CAUUCACUAUCACUUUAUUCUCCAUAUUUCUCUUUUCUUUCUUAUUAAAAAAAAAAUCAACUCUCCAAUCAAUAUUUACUAGUGAAGGCCUGCGCUACGCUGCGGGAAGUUUAUAUAAAUUUAGUAUAAUAAAUAAAAUAAUGUGAAUCAUGAAUAGAUGUCGUAUUAAAAUAUAAAUCAGAAUUCAGAAACGUAUUAAAAUAUGAAUCAGAAUUCAGAAUUUAUAUAAAAGGUAACUUAUAUGAAUUAAAGUAGAAUUCUGUUAAGCAAUUCAGGAUUCAGCUGGUUAUUGUUUGAAGUAAAAAAAAAAAAUUGGGCCAAUAAUAAUUGAAAUUCAUAAUAAGCCCAUUCAUAAAUGUGAGUUGGUGGGCCUUAUGAAAGCCCAUGCAAAUAAAAAAAAAAGGGCUUCAUUUCAACCCAUUAUUAUUUGAGCCCAAUAAAUUAAAGUGGGCCCGAUUAACGACGGUCCACACCCACACCCUAUAAAAUAUCUAUUUGAAAUCAUAACCUAUUCAAAAUCCGAAUUUCGAAUUUCGAAUUUUGAACUCCCAACAAAUUUUCAAAACAUCAUCCAACAAUCCAUUCAAAAUUCGAUUUCGAAUUCGAAUUUCGAAUUCCCAACCAACUCCAAAAUAUCCUCCAACAAUCUAAAUGCAAAAUUCGAUUUCGAUUCGAAUUUCAAAUCCCAAACCAAUUCCAAAAAUAUCCUCCAAUAAUCCAUUCAAAAUUCGAAUUUCGAAUUUCAAAUCCCAACCAAUUGUCCAAAAAUAUCCUCCAAUAAUCCAUUCAAAUUCGAAUUUCGAAUUUCGAAUUCCCAACCACUCAAAAUAUCCUCCAGCAGAUCCAUCAAAAUUCGAUUUCGUAAUUCGAAUUUCGAAUUGCCCAACCAACUACAAAAUAUCCCCAACAAUCCAUUCAAGAAUUCGAUUUCGAAUUUCGAACUUUUCUUCCAACGCAAUUCCCAACAAAUCUUCCAACCACCCAUAAAACCUAUUCAAAAUUCAAUUCGAAUUCGAAUCCCUUAACGCAACUCCCAAAAUAUCUUCGCAAACUAUCCAACAACUCAUGUCAAAAAUUCAAUUUCGAUUUUUGAUUCCCAACCACUUCCCCAAAUAUCCUCCACCAUCCAAUAAUAAGUCAAAUUCGAAUUCGAAUUUUGAAUUCGCUAACUAACUCCCCCCUCCAUUAUAAAAUACGGGAACCGAAAUCAAACUCGCGGGAGAAUUUUUUUUUAACGGAGACUAUACGACAGCAAAAGACAAAAAAAUGAUAGAUAGAGUUGCUACAGCUCGUUCCGACAUACAAAAAAAAAAGAAAAAGGAAGAUAUUCGCGCGAGCGCGAAAAGUAGGAGGAAUCGCCGAGCCGCGGAAAGGAGGAGAAAUCGCCGACCGCAGAAUCAGGAGAGAAAUCGCCGGACCGCGAAAGGAGAGAGAUCGUAUCGAGCCGGAAGCUGAGGAAUCGUCGAGCUGAUGUCAUGCCAUUCCGUCAUUAUGAUCAGUUGAAUCAAGCAGUAAAAAAAAAAAAAAAAAGAAGAAAAAUGAAGAAAUAAGAAAAAAAGAAAACCAAAAAAGAAAAAAAAACGAGAAAGAAAAGAAAAUAACAAGAUCUCUUCUUCUUCCACCCCCGCUCUAAUUUUUUUUCAUUUUUUUGUGUCCUGCGAUUGUUAAGUGCCAUCCAUACACAUCUAGAUGCUUUGCGAUGGGCAGAGUGGAGGGAAUCUUUGAUCCCCGUUUCUUCUCGGACUCUCAAUACCCCAUCCGAAGUCGUUGAUGACGCAUAAGGUGAUUACAUUGCCGCGACUAUCUCCAACAUCGUUGGUUUAUACUUUCGAAAGAAGGGGAGGGGAAGUCUUUGAUUCCCCGUUUCUUUCGGACCCUUCAACAGUUUUUUGAAAAGUCAAAUCAAAUUUGCCGAGCCGAACAGAUUCGCGCCGACGUCAAUCAAUUCACCGACACAUCUAGGACCAUUGCCGUUUGAUAGACUUUCGAAAGUGAAAAGAGGGGACUUCGAUUCCGUUUAUUCGAGCCCUGUCGAACAUUCUCUUCGAAUUCAAGAAUAAAUACCGAUGGCCGCACAGAUCCACGCGCAUCGUCAUGCAACUUUGUACGACCCGUCAAUCUGGCAGCAUACGCAAGAAGAGGGAGGACAUCUUUUGAAUCCCCGUUUCUCUGACCCCAAAUCAAAAUUAAAAAGGGGAUUCUCGACCCCAAAUUGGAACUCAAACGGGGAUAUCUUCGGAUCCCAAACAAAAAUCCAAUACGGGAAUUUCAUUCGACCCUAAAUCAAGAUUAACGGGGAUCUUCAUUCUGACCCAAAUCAAAUCCAAUUGGAGAUCAAAUCGGGAUUUCCUUCGGACCCCAAAUCAAAAUGAAAAUCAAAGUCCAAAUGGAAACAGGAAAAUCCAACGGGGACUUCUUCGGAGCAGCCGAAUCAAAUUGGAAAAUCAAUCUAAUUGGAGAGUCCAAACGGGGAUUUCUUUCUUCGACCCAAUCAAUCCAAUAGAGAAUCAACGGGGAUUUCUUCGACCCCAAAUCAAAUCAAGUCAAGAAAUCAAGACGGGGAUUUUUUUCAGGACCCCAAAAUUAAAUCCAUUGGAGAAUUCAAACGGGAUUCUUCGGCGACCCCAAAUUAAAUUGGAAAAUCAAAUCCAAAUUGAAAAAUCAAACGGAGAUUUAUAUUCCGACCCAAUAACCCAAAUCGAGAUAAAAAAGGAAUUUCUUCGAACCCCAAAUCAACAAAAUCACAAGAAUUUCUUCGAUCUGAAAAUCAAGUUGGCAAAAGAGGAAUGCCUCGAAGCCCGAAAUAAAUUAAAAAAGAAAAUCAAUUCACAUAAGAACCAACACUCGAACAGCCAAAUAAACCCAAACCCAAACCAAACCUAGUCCACAAAUAAAGCCCACAAAUAAACCCAAACUCCGAACCCAAAUAAACGGCCAAACCAAACCAAACGCUUAUCCACAAAUAAACCGACAAUAAACCCAAACCCGAAUCCAACAAAACCCAUAACCCAAACCAAACAAAAUCAAAAUCAAGUCACAAAUAAACCCAAACUCGAAUCCCAAAUAAAACCCAAACCCAAAUCAAAUCCAAACCUAAAACAAAUACAGUCCACAAUGAACCAAAAACCAAAUCUCAUGGAUCUAUCCAUGAACCAAAACCAAACUCAUGGACCAAUCCAAUGAACCAAAACCAAAUCUCAUGGACCAAAUCCCAUGAACAAGAACCAAAACGCUCAUGGACUAAAUCCAGAACCAAAAACCAAACCUCAAUGGAUCAAAUUCCAUGAACUAAAUACCAAACCUUAUGGACCACAAUCCCAUUGAACCAAAACCAAACUCAUGACCAAAUCCGCAUGAACCAAAAACCAAAUCUCCAAUGGCCAAAUCCCUAUGAUACUCAAUAACCAAACCUCAUGACCAAUUCCAUGAGCCACAACUAAAUCUGCAUGAUAAAAUCAUGAACGCAAAACCAAACCUCAUGACAAAUCUUCAUGAACGCAACAAAUCUCAUGGACAAAUCCCAUUAACCCAUAACCAAAUCUCAUGAUCAAAUCCAUAACCAAACAUCAAAUCUCAUGACCAAAUCCCAUGAACCGAUACAAAUCUCAUGGACCAAAUCCCAUGAAGCCAAAACCAAAGUUCAUGUACCAAAUCCGACAUGAACCAAAACCAACCUCAUGGACAAAUCCUAUGAACCAAACCAAAUCUCAAAUGGAACCAUAAUCCCAUUGAACCGCCAUAUUCAAAUCUCAUGGACGCGAAUAUCCAUGAAACUAAAACCAAACCUCUAUGGAUCAAACCCAUGAGCCACAACUUAAAUCCUCAUGGACCAAAUCCAUAACGCAAAACCAAUACUCAUGACCAAUAUUCCAUAAACCAAAACCAAACCUCAUGGACCAAAUCCCAUGAACCAAAACAAACCUCAUGGACGCAAAUCCCAUGAGCACAACUAAACUCCAUGGACCAAAUAUCAUAACCAAAAUCAAACCUCAUGGACGCAAAUCCAUGAACCAAAAACCAAAUCUCAUGGCCCAAAUCCAUGAACCAAAACCAACUUAAUGGACUCAAAAUCCAUGAGCCACAACCAAUACCUCAUACCGCAAAUCCCAUGAGCCCACAACCAAACCUCAUGGACCAAGAUCCUCAUGGACCAAAACCAAACCUCAUGAACCAAACCAAACCUCUCAUGGACCAAACCAAAACCUCAUGAACCAAAACCAAACCUCAUGGACCAAUCCGAGCAUGAGCCAAAACCAAAACUCAUGGACCAAAUCCGCAUGAGCUCAAAACCAAAGCCUCAUGGACGCAAAUCCCAUGACCAAAACCAAACCUACAUGACAAAUCCCAAUGAGCCAAACAACCUCAUGGACCAUAAUCCAUGAACCAAAACCAAAACUCAUGACAAAAUCCCAUGAACCAUAAUCAAACCUCAUGACCAAAUCCCAUGAACGACAACUAAAACCUCAUACCAAAUCCCAUGAAACCACAACUAAACUCAUGGAUCGCAAAUCCCCAUGACAUAUACCCACCUCAUAAUCAUAGGCCAAUCCUAUGAGCCAUGAACCAAAUCAUCUUCAAUCUCAUAAAACCAAUACCCCAUAGCCCAUGAUACCAAUUACCAGAUCUCAUACCGCACAAUCCUAUGAACCAAUACUCCAGGAUCUCAUACCUCAUAUCCCCAUGAAACGCCAAUUAGCACUCUAGUAUAUAGAGUUAGUAGCGAUUAGGUCUUUAACCACAUAUUUAUUAGGGCGCUAAUCAACCUGCAAAUUCAACUGAAUGCUCAACAAAUAAUACUUAGGAUGCCAUAAACGCGGAGAUACGAUCCUCUCAUCCAAGAUAUAAAGGCUCUCUUAAUCGAAGGUGCCCAAUCUCAGAGGGUAAUUACAGUAGAAUGCCUUGCUCUAUUGGACCAUUGGACUCGCAAUACCUGAUACCCCACUACAUCACAUAUAAUACUCAAUCUGAAAUCAUGAAUACUACCCCAACGGCCCGAAAAUCCAUCGACCGGCGAGGGUGCGUCAUCCGUGGUGCAGACAAAAUGGCCACGGCCGGCUGGGACAUAGCUUCUUCUUUCCAUCUUCCGAGACUUAAAACAAAAAAAAAGAAAAAAAAAAUAAGGUCCUAACUCUACCUUUUUUCCACAAGGAAAUGCACACCAUUAAUAGAGCGUUGUCGCUGGCAUCCAACAAACCUCAAUAAUAUGAGGCUGGUUCCCAGUUGCUUGCGCACGUCUCCUUACAUUCGAAAUGCAGGAACCUCAAUCCAAUUUGGCACAUUCCCGAAGAUGUUCGACUGCUGUCAUGGCUUAAUUCUUGCUGCACUGGGGGCAUGACCCUCCCGCCGCCUCUUCAUAGCAUGUAUCCAUCGGGUCAUUUUCUCGGCUACCAUCCUCGAGGAAGACGACCCAAUGUGGUCAAUCCCCAACCCUCCUCGCUGGACGCCAUAGGCGAACGACUCACUUCCAACCUGCAUCCAAAGAGGCCAUGGAGUCUGAGGAAGACUGAUAUUCCCGAAAUGCAAGAGUGCACGAAACUAUCAAGUAUUCGAUAGCUGCGCUUUCUAAUGAUACUACAACCACCUAUUCCUCUAAUGAGAGUGUCCUUUAAAGGAAUAGCCGCCGCCUUAACUCCACAGGGAAAAGUUGCUCGGGGCAACGACAACCAAUAACGUUCAAGAGCCCAAAUGACCAAUCGACGACAAUGUCCGUUAAACUAAGGCAAAAAAAAAUAGGGGCCGACAAAAGAUGAGCUAACAUCGUAGUGAGCCAUCCUCAUUUAAACUAAUAUUAGUCUGAAAGAGCAUAUCACUUCCAAUUGGUCCUAAAAAAGAAAAAAAAAAAAAAAAAAAAAAAAGAAAAAGAAGGUGGAUGGACAUGUACUUAAAUUUUUUUUUUUAUAAACAUGGAUAAAAUAUGAGCCACUACCGACUGAUUGUUCCACAUUCGGACUCAGGGUAAAUUGCAUAGAAAAGUUCUCGUGGGUAUUGUAAUACAGCUGAACUUAUUGCAAAUUGCAAGUUCGAGUGUGUGCAAUGGUGUGUGAUCACUCCCUACAUGUUCUAAAAGGUAGAACAACGUGUUUGGACAAGUUUUUGAGAGUUGAUUGGAAUGCAAAAUACUAAGAAAUGCAUUGACCUGCGAAAUUUACAUUUUCUGGGCUUGCUGUUACCGGUACAGCCAUUACUUGUACGCGGUACAGAAGCUGGCAGAUUGUGAUAGGCAGGGACCAAAUUGGUCAUUUCAGACUCACAUCUUGUGCUACCUAUUUGGAUCCCAGCACGACUCUUGCGCUUGCUGGAGUGUUGCUGAGCCCGAAGAAGCAACCUUGCAUAUUUUUCUCUCUUAUCUCUAGGUUUUUCCUCUCUCUACAUGUAAGAAUUAGCCGAUUUCGCAUCGUUUUUCGUCGUCAGGCGCAUGCUGUUCUUCGCUGAUUGCGAGCGUCGCAGCGCCGUUGUGGGCACUUCAAGAGAGCGUUUUGGAAGGAAUUUCGGCAGCCCUGGACAGUGGGAUGCUGGUUGACAGCUUGAGAGGUAAACGACUCGGAUUUCUCUUAAUGCAACGUUACUAAGUAGUCCGUUUACGUGUUGCGUUUUGAUAUUGCUUCAGUUGCUUUAACCUGAGAUUUCAAGCAAUUUAAAGUUGGAUUAAUUAGCUGUGAAUUAAACCUCCUUAGACCAGGGUUAAGCUACUUCUACAGCUUAAUGGAGAUAUUUAGUCCUUUUAUGAAGCUAUUUUGGAACGAAAAUGCUAUUGUUUGAGCGAAUAAUGCAAAUUGGGGAUUUCCUUCGCACAGGUCUUUCGAGCUUGUUGAGCUGAAUUUUGUACCUUAGAAGCUGGUUGAACUGCCUACACCUAGGGAAAGCUAGAACUCAGUAGAAAAACUGAAUCACAAGUUUCCGGCUAUAUUUAUUAAUAGUCCAACUGAUUUUGACAGCCGUUUUGAUAUUGUUCGAGCGAGACAGGUAUUUGACCCUUGGAUCGCCUUCGUUUGCAUUGGAGGCCUCCGGAAGCUUAACGUGAGGAAUGAACUAACCAAAAACAUGAAUUGAUGGAAAUUGACUUCCACUUUGUAUCUACAAUUAGGAAUUGCCGGAAAUUGGAAUUGUAGUAAUCGGCCUCGUGCGGUUUUGGUACCUUAGUUUUCAGCGUCAGGUUUUGGGAGCCUUGUUGAGCUGAUUCUUGAGAAGUCUUGUGACUGCUUGAGCAUAGUACGAGGUGGGUCGGACCUAACCAGAGCAAUGAAGCUCCUCUAUGUUCGAUAUGUCACUAUGAGAAUGAUAUACUUUGUGUGUUAUUGUCACUAUGUAGUUACUAAAGGAUGGGGACAGUCCGUGUGAUUAAGCUAGCAUAAUGGAAAUAGAAUCCCUCCCCCCCAACCUCUAUAAGUAGAGAGCACUCAAUCGCAUAAGUGUCUUUAUGCUUAUAUUUUAUGUUUAUUUAGUUAAGUUAACUAAUGGACAUAAUGAAUGAUGAUUUUGGAAUAGAGAACCAUGAACAUGUCUUUAUCUCCAUGAAGUGGAAAAGAUUCUAUAUUGCUCAUAUGUAAAUUCGCAUUAUACCCGCUGUAUCUUACUAACUAGUGGAUCUAGUUGUUGUUAUAUUUUGUUAUAGUUUAUACUGAAAUGUGAUCAAAGGAUCGAGAACGAGAAUAUCUGUGAACUAUACAACAUUGAUAAUUGAGACUGUUGACUGUGGACGCUUGCUUGCUUGGCCAUAGUGCUCAUUCCCCACACGCUUUUGAGGUAGCUCCCCUACAAGCGCGGCAACUCCGGAGUUGGCCUAGCCGCGAACAGUUGCUCGCCGUCGGGAUUGGUUGCCUGAAGUGGAUUGCCGUGGGGAGUGUAUACUACCCGGCAUUAGGGCGCUCGGCGCAAGCUGGACCUACCUUGAAGUAGAUCCCGUGAAUAAAGGAAAGUCGCUAAAGAAAAUUGGACAGUAAUGAAUAAUUACGCAGUUAUGUACAGUAAGUUACUUCAAUCACCUUAUGCUACGUGUAUCUAUAGUAGGUACUGCCAUGCUUUCUAUCUCUCAGUUGAUUCAUUUACUGUUGAUCUAUGAUCACAUGUUGUUCCAUGUUCAAUAUAAUUGUAACUUGCUUAUGAAUUGCUAGCAUUGAAAAAUAUAUCAUCGACAAAUUAUGUCUUUUAUUUCAUUCUGUACAUCCUUGAGCCUAAGUGGUGUAAUUCGCCGAGGCUGGCGGCUUACCCCACUGGAAACUAUGUAAUAGUCCUCACGCCCUUUUGUGGUUUGUUUUUAGCAUGAGCCUGUUAGCAGUGAAGAGCUAGGGAAUCGUGCAAGGGAGUCGCGCCUAGCUAGGGACUACUAGGACGUGGCUUAGUCGAUCACGUUGCUACUCGGCUAAACGGCCGAGGGGUGAUGUCCAUAUAUAUAUAGAAGCCACUCAUUUGGACAAUCUAUUCUUUUUUGUAAGCAGACGCCUGAUGUAAUAUUACUUUCGGGGUGAGAAUAUAGUAGUGUUACUUCCCUUUUUGCUGAGUUGUCAUGUUUGCUAUACUACUUUGGAUUUUGACUCGGGUUGAUAUCUCUUGUAUAUCGACUUGUACCUUUUGCUCUGAUAUCAGGAAGGAAUCUCGUUGUUUAACUGUCCUAUCGACUUGCUUUCUCGCUAGACCUUAUAUAGCUGGCAGGUGUAUGGCGGGUCUGUGACGUGCCGGAUAUCUGUGCCGGGACCGUCCGGCGUGACAGAUUAUAGUGUUCGUAUCUAAGCCCUAGGUUGAAGUCUUAGUAGAACGCUUGUAAACCUUAGGCUGUGGACUAUACAGGAUAGCUCGUGAGAGAUCGAGUCUAGUCGAGGUUGUUGUUAAGCCGAAAGUACUUUGGAUUUGGUACUCGUAUAAACUCCGAAUAGUUAGGAGUUGAUUCGGGUGUGAAGUACUAACUUGCCAAAGAGGGUACGUGCCGGCCGACCACCGUGACAUCGGAAGUUUAGUAGUCGUUACAUUUCCAUUACUUUCGGCUGAUAGUCGGUUUAUAUCCUCAAUGGUGUGGUUCAGGUAUAAUGGGUUUAUUGACCUAUGUUUGUUUUGGUGUUGCAGGUUCAAGAUGCCCUACACUCGUUCUGGAACCGCUUGGGCGGCUAGCGGCCGCUUGGCGGAAGAGGUAGAGACUUCCGUCACGUCGGGGUCCAGAGUUCCAUGAGUUGGGCAGGAUCAGCUUGCGAUCGUUGACAGAGUUGGUUACUCAGCAGCCGCGGCCACGACAGAAUGGACCGCCUGCGCGUCGGGAGCAGGACAGGAUAAGAGUUAGAGGAUCUAUUAUCUGCGGCGACGACCGAUAGAGAGAUUCCAGUUCUUACCGAUCCGGAUUUCUGUAGCCCUAUAGUACCAAAGGGGCACCACAAGUGAGAGCCAGUCACCGUACCUCGAUACACCCCCAGUACCGAGGCCCGAGAACGCCGAACAGGAGAUAAUAGUACCACCACCAUAGUACCAUGUAGCAAUAGCCUGGGAUAUGUGUUACCCGGAGAUGGUGGGGGUUGAGGACGAGAGCGGAUGAUGGAAACGACUGAAAAUUCGUCGCUGGUGCAACACCAAUGUCUGUUAUGGGGAUGAAAGCAGAUCAUUUGUGGGUGGUUAAAAAAUGGUUAAUGCAUAUGGAGAAAUCAUAUUCUAUGACACUUUCGUUGAGAGCGGUACCGAGUUUGGUUUGCGAAUUGGGCAUCACUGAAUGGCCGGGUGAUGCUUACAGUGGUGUGUGGGGGUGAACAUCCGGAGGAUCCCCGUGCUAUUUGUCUGCUAUCUACGUGAACAGGUUCAAAGAGUUUUGUUGAUCUACCUAUUUUCCACAGAGUGUGAAGAGCAGAUGGAAAGGGAUCUGAGAACUUGAGACAGGGACAGUACAGUGGCUGAGUACGAGCGAAGGUUCUCUCGAUUACAUGUUGCACUUGUGUUCCUUUUGUAAGUCCGAGACGAUGAGGACAAGCCGUCUCUUUAGGUGGGUUUUGCGGCCGAUGCGAUUUCAAUUGGUCCAGGCGCAAACCUCUCCACUUACCGGGAUGUCGUGAACCGAGCCUUGAUCGUGGAGAAAGGCCGCGGAAAUCAUGAAGGAAAGAGACGUUGUGGUCGAGGUAAGGGAAAGAGAAGCCAGUCAGCUGAGAGCAGUGGUCAAGCAGUCCUUCAGGAGACCGCCAAAUAUCCAGAGGGGACAGUCAGGACAGUCGAGGGGUCGAGGUUCUUUAAAGUACCGGGGAAGCACCCGAUGCGUCGUCGACCACGCGAUGUUUAUCUGUGGUGGGCUCCGUACCCGCCACAGUGUUCCACGCGUCGGGGCAACGCUGUUUUCUUUGCGGCCAGGAGGCCAAUUUCGUUCAGAGUGUCCGAGAGUUCUUUGCCCCUGCACCCUCGUCAGGCUUCUGCACCUGCAUCUUCAGCUCGAGCCAGGGCACCCGACAGGCGCCUAAUCAGUCUAGGCGACCACCAGGACAGCGCAGGUCGCAGAGUUCGGCAUCAGGGUCGAGUGGCGCAGUAUGCCGCGACUGAGGCGCCAUAGCAGUAACAGGAGGUCGUAAGCAGGUAUUUAUAUGCUUUACAGAUAUUCGUGUUUCGUGGCAUUAUUUGUAUACUGGUGCUUCGGCAUUUCUUUUAUGAUCGGGCGUUACGCCGAGUUCAUACAUACUAGUUAGUAACUCGUAUUUGCAUUUGGGACGAGUGAUUGUACCUGACCAUACCUGGAUAUUUGAUGAGUAUUGCCCUCGGCCAGUUGAAGGGUAGGCGACUGGAUCAUGCCAGUGGAUUACUGGCACUACACAAACUAGGUGAGUUUGAUGUAGUAUUGGUAUGGCUUGGUUGACGACAGUAUUAUGCCACCAUAAGAUUUGCCACAAACAGAAGUGACCAUUCGGAACGGAGUCCCAACAGGGAGUUUGUUUAUAAAGGGUUGCCAGAGUUUCAUUGUUCGCUACAUGACCAUCAUAGCUCUUGCUCGAGCACGACAGUUUAUUCGGAGGGGUGUGUAGCCACUUGGCUAAGCAUUUAAAUGAGGAUGGAAAAACCCAGAUGAUGAUAUUCCACCAGUUGUGCGAGAAUUCGAGGGAUGUUUGCCAGCUGAGAUUGCCCGGUCAUGCCACGCCUGAUUAGGGAAGUGGAGUUUGUGAUUGAUCUUGUCCCUGGCACAACUCCUUAUUUCUAAACGCACCCUAUAACGCAAUCGGCACCCGCUGAGUUGAAAAGAAAGCUGAAGGAACAAUUACAAAAUCUUUUUAGAGCAAGGAUUUAUUCGACCGAGUGUAUCGCCUUGGGGAGGGCACCCGUGUUAUUUUGUGCAAGAAGAAAGAUGGAUCUCUACGAUUGUGGCGUGGAUUAUCGAGAAAAUCCACAAGUCACAAUCAAGAAUAAAUAUCCAUUUGCCGUACAGAAUUGAUGACUUAUUUGAUUCAGCUCAAGGAUCGACAGGUGUAUUCGCAGAUUGAUUUGGCAAGUCUGGUUACCAUCAGCUUAAGAUCAAGCCUGAAGAUGUCUCUGAAAACCGCUUUUAGCCACACGUAUGGCAUUAUAUUACAUCAUGCUUUUUGGAUGCUAAUGCGGCCAGCAGCUUUAGAUUUAAUGAACCGUGUCUUUAAGCCCUAAUUUGGAUAGAUUCGUAGUAAGUGUUUAUUGACGAAUUAUCUUGAUCUAUUCUCGAAGUGACAACGAGCAUGAAGAAACCAUUUGAGAGUGGUGUUGCAAGUACUGUCGAGAAAAAGAAACUUGUUCGCAAAGUUAAAGAAAUGCGAAUUUUGGCUUGAGAAGUGGCAUUUCUCGGCCCAUGUGAUUUAAAGAAACUGGGAUAGCUGUGGAUCACAGAAGAUUGAAGUCGAUAAAGAUGGCCUAGCCGACCAGUGUCCACAGAGAUUCGGAGUUUCCAUUGAUUUGACGGAUGCAACUCACUGUUAGGGUCGGUUAUCGCAGCAAUUUCGAUUUGCUUCUCGAGCAAAUAAAAAUAAAAAUAAUCCGAUAUUUUCUAUUAUCCAAAUAUAUUUGCCUAUGACGGAAUGCUAACCACCCUAGGGUUGGUUUGCACAGCAAUGUCUGAUGCUUCUGCAGGCAAAAUAAAUAAAAAGAAAAAUAUAUAUAUACUUACUUCCUGAAAAAAAAAAAAAAAGGUGAUGACAUAUUGUCUAAAUUUUUAGAUAAAUGGGUAAAAGUAUGAGGCCACCAGCGGACUUGAUUGUUCACCGAUCGGACUUCAAGGGUAAAAAUUGCAUAAAAGUUCCCCCGCUGUGGUAUAACCCCACAGGCAAAAUUGGAAUCCCGCUGUGCAGAAAACCUUUCGAGGCUCACUGCAAAAGUUAGGGAAGGACCUGGUGAAAAACCCAUAUGGCGCCAGAUUUACCAAGAUUCUUGAGGCAAAAAUAAACAAAAAAUAAUAAUAAAUCUGUGUUCGAACCUAACUCACUUAGGGUUACGGUUUAUGCGUACAAUUUCAAUUGCUUAUCAAUAAAAAAAAAAAGAGAUAUUUCUUGGACAAAAAAAAGAAGAGAAGAAAAAACACAGUCAACAGAGGGACUGAACAAAAAAAAAAAAAAGGUUCGAACAAAAAAAAAAAAAAAGGAAAAAAGGAGAUCGAGUAAAAAAGAAAAAGAGGAACGAGCAAGAAAAAAAUAAGAAAAACUCUGACUAAAAAUAAAAAAAUAAAAAAUAAAAAAAGAGAAAAAGGAGCACCUUUUGCCGCGCGUGAAACUCUUACGUCGAAAAGGUGGUGGCGCAAUUUGUUUUGAAAUAAAAAAAAAAAUUGGGCCAAUAAUAAUUGAACUUCAUAAAGCCCCUUCAUAAAUGUGAGUUGGUGGCCUUAAUGAAAAGCUCAUGCAAUAAAAAAAAAAAAAAGGACCUUCAUUUCAACCCAUUACUUAAUUUGAGCGCAAUAAAUUAAAGUGGGCCGAUUAACGACGGUCACACCCACACCCUAUAAAAUAUCUAUUUGAAUCAAUAACCUAAUUCAAAAUGCCGAAUUUCAGAAUUUCGAUUUUGAACUCCAAAAAAUUUCAAAACCAUCAUCCAACAAUCCAUCUCAAAAUUCGAUUUCGAAUUCGAUUUUCGAAUUCCCCACCAACUCACCCAAAUAUAUCUCACAACAAUCUAUUCAAAAUUCGAUUUCGAAUUCGAAUUUCAAAUCCAACCAUUUCAAAAUAUUCUCCAACUAAUCCCAUUCAAAAUUCGAAAUUUCGAAAUUUCGAAUACCCCAACCAAUUUCCAAAAUAUCCUCCAAUAAUCCAUUCAAAAUUCGAAUUUCGAAUUUCGAAUUCCCAACCAACUCCAAAAUAUCCUCCAACAAUCCAUUCAAAAUUCGAUUUCGAAUUCGAAUUUCGAAUUCCCAACCAACUACAAAAUAUCCUCCAACAAUCCAUUCAAAAUUCGAUUUCGAAUUUCGAACCUCCAACCAAUUCCCAAAAUAUCUUCCAACCAUCCCAUAACCUAUUCAAAAUUCAAUUUCGAAUUUCGAAUCCCUAACCAACUCCCAAAAUAUCUUCCAACUAUCCAACAACUCAUUCAAAUUCAAUUUCGAAUUUUGAAUUCCCAACCACUCCCCAAAUAUCCUCCAACCAUCCAAUAAAUAAUUCAAAAUUCGAAUUUCGAAUUUUGAAUUCCUAACUAACUCCUCCCCUCCCAUUAUAAAUACGGGAACCGAAAUCAAACUCCGGGAGAAUUUUUUUUUUACGGAGACGAUACGACAGACAAAGAACAAAAAAAGAUAGAUAGAUUGCUACACUCGUUCCGACAUACAAAAAAAAAAGAAAAAGGAGAUAUCGCCGAGCCGCGGAAAGGAGGAGGAUCGCCGAGCCGCGGAAAGGAGGAGAAAUCGCCGAGCCGCAGAAAGGAGGAGAAAUCGCCGAGCCGCGAAAGGAGGAGAGAUCGUCGAGCCGCGGAAAGGUGGAGGAAUCGUCGAGCUGAUGCAUCCAAUCCGUCAUUUGAUCAACAGGUAAAAAAAAAAGAAAAAAAAAAGAAGAAAAAUGAAGAAGAAAGAAAAAAAGAAAACAAAAAAAGAAAAAAAAAAGGAAAGAAAAAGAAAAUAACAAGAUCUCUCUUCUUCCCCCCGCUCUAUUUUUUUUUCUUUUUUUUGGUCCUGCGAUUGUAGCCAUCCAUACCAUCUAGAUGGCUUCGAUGGGAGAGUGGAGGGGAAUCUUUGAUUCCCCGUUUCUUCGGACCUCUCAAUACCCCAUCCGAAGUCGUUGAUGACGGCAUAGGUGAUCUACAUUGCCGCGACCAUCUCCAACAUCGUUGGUUUGAUACUUUCGAAAGAAGAGGGGAGGGGAAUCUUUGAUUCCCCGUUUCUUCGGACCCUUCAACAUUUCUUUUGAAAAUGUCAAAUCAAAUUUGCCGGCCGAACAGAUUCGCGCCACCGUCAUCAACUUCACCGACGACAUCUAGGACAUUGCCGGUUUGAUACUUUCGAAAGAAGAGGAGAGGGGGAUCUUCGAUUUCCCGUUUCUUCGGACCCUUCAACAUUUCUUCGAAAUGUCAAAUCAAAUCCGAUGGCCGAACAGAUCCACGCCAUCGUCAUCAACUUUGUCGACGUCAUCUGCAGCAACGCAAGAAGAGGGGAGGGGAAUCUUUGAUUCCCCGUUUCUUCGGACCCCAAAUCAAAAUUAAAACGGGGAUUUCUUCGGACCCCAAAUUGGAACCAAACGGGGAUAUCUUCGGAUCCCAAAUCAAAAUCAAAACGGGAAUUUCUUCGGACCCUAAAUCAAGAUUAAACGGGGAUUUCUUCUGACCCCAAAUCAAAUCCAAUUGGAGAAUCAAACGGGGAUUUCUUCGGACCCCAAAUCAAAAUGGAAAAUCAAAUCCAAAUUGGAAAAUCAAACGGGGAUUUCUUCGGACCCCGAAUCAAAUUGGAAAAUCAAAUCUAAAUUGGAGAGUCAAACGGGGAUUUCUUCGGACCCCAAAUCAAAUCCAAAUUAGAGAAUCAAACGGGGAUUUCUUCGGACCCCAAAUCAAAUCCAAGUCAGAGAAUCAAACGGGGAUUUUUUCGGACCCCAAAUCAAAUCCAAUUGGAGAAUCAAACGGGGAUUUCUUCGGACCCCAAAUUAAAUUGGAAAAUCAAAUCCAAAUUGAAAAAUCAAAACGGAGAUUUAUUCGGACCCCAAACCCAAAUCGAGAUAAAAAGGAGAUUUCUUCGGACCCCAAAUCAAACCAAAAUCAAAAAGGAAUUUCUUCGGAUCUGAAUCAAGUUGCAAAAGAGGACUGCCUCGAACCCGAAAUAGAAUUAAAAAGAAAAUCAAGUUCACAUAAGAACCCAAACUCGAACCCAAAUAAACCCAAACCCAAACCAAACCUAGUCCACAAAUAAACCCACAAAUAAACCCAAACUCGAANACUCAAGUUUUCUUAGUGGAUUUUCUUUGCGUGAUCGGUCCCGUGGGUUUUUCACUCCGAAUUGGAGUUUUCCCACGUUAAAUUCUCAGUGUGCUGUUUUAAUUUCCGCUAUUUCGUUUUGUUUGCAUCGAGAUUUUUCGAGUUUGCCGGAUUUACACCUAUUCACCCCCCUCUAGGUGUUACUUACCUUUUAGAUCCUCGGGAUCCAUAUCUUACAGCCCGUACCUCAAAUGCCAUAAUCUUGAUUCUUUUUUAAAUUCAGAGUGGUAGCACCUUUCAAUUUCUGACUUUAUGUUCAUAGAAAACAUUUGAUUCUUUGACAUAUGCACUUUUGCUAUUAUUUUACCAUUCUUAUCCUUCAAAGUCAGAGUAGAGCCUUCCAGAUGAACAAUAUAUCCUUUCUCCAAUAAUUGUCCGAUGCUUAGUAUGUUGCUCUUUAAUUCUAGCACAUAAUAUACAUUCAAGAUUAAUUCUUCUUCACUACUCUUCGAUCUAAACAUAAUUUUUUUCUCUUUCUUUAACAGGUACUUUGGAUGAAUCACUAAAUUUCAUAUUGCCAUCAGCAUUCUCAUCCAUUUCAACAAAUAGUUCUUUCCUUCCACAUAUGAUUUGAAGCAUCGGAAUCCAGAAACCAUACAUAUUGUGGAUCUUUAACUUCGUCUUGACAUGAAAGUAAUAGUGAGGUUUUUGCAACUUCAUCUUUUAAAGUACCAUCGAUAUAGUGAUUCACUCUUUCAGUGUUCCUAUGCCAGCAAUCUUUGCUAUAGUGACCAUAUUUUUCACAAUUAUAACAUUGGAUGUUCGAUCUUGCACCACCAUAAGACCCUGGGCGAUUGUUAUUACGUUCGCCUCAUUUUGGUCCAUAUCUAUGUCGUGAAUUGCGACCCCUGUUGUUGCUACUCUGUCAGUCAUUUUUAUAUCUCUUUUGAUUCUAUAUUUAUUGUAAUUAUUUUCUCCAUGAUUUUUUCUUUUUCUAUUAUCAAGUUUCAAUUUUGACUUGAGAGCUUGCUCAGUCGAUUCAUCUUCAAGCACCUUUUAUAGUCUUUGCUCAUGUACUUGGAGAGAUCCUGUAAAUUGGUCGAUAGAAAGAGUACUGAUAUCUUUUGACUCUUCUAUGGUGACAACAAUAUACUCAAAUUUUGAUGUGAGGGAAUGAAGAACCUUUUCUACAACUCGUUCACCAUCGAAUUCUUCUCCAUUUUGCUUCAUUUGGUUUACAAUUACCAAAAUGCGAGAAACAUUGUCUGCAACACUUUCGGACUCCUUCAUACGGAUUGCUUCAAAUUUCGCUCUAAGCUUUUGUAGACAAAUCCACUUUACUUUGUCAUCUCUUUUAAAGAUGGUGGCAAGAGUCUCCCAUGUUGCUUUGCUCGAAGUUGUUUUGUCAAUUUUCUAGAACGUCGACUCGUCUACUGCUUGGUAAAGAUAGAAAAGGGCCUUUUUGUCCUUUUUGCUUCCUUCAAAUCGUUUCGACAGGCUAUAAUUAAUGUAGUUUCUUCUUGCUCUGUGUAUUCUUGGUACUUAGUUUUAACUAAUGCCCAUAGGUCUUGAGAACCAAGAAAUGCUUUCAUUUGAAUGCACCAAUUCUCGUAAUUGUCUUUUAAUAGUUUUAGGGUUUGGGUCUGGAGAAGUUGAGUGGCCAUUUUUUAACUGAGUUUCUUUCUAACAGCCUAGCUCGAUACCAAAUGUAGGUAGGCAAUUAUAUAUCAAAGGAACUACAAAAGUAUUUAAAACUAGAACAAUCAAAUUUAUUAAAUAUAACUAAACUUUAGUACACAAAAACUUAUUAAUACAACUUGAUCCACACAAAAACAACAAGUAACAUACUCUCUAUUUAUAGAGUACGAAAUAACACAACUUUUUACUAAAACAAGCAUCCUUUCACUAAACGACACAACUCUAAACUAAAAGACGCAACCUUAAAAUAAGAGACACAACCUUACGAAGGGACAAAUCCUUUUAUAAGGUACACAACCUUUCAUCAAAAGAAGUAAAUAACAAAUUAAUAAAUAAACUUAUAAUCUAACAGUGAGCAAAUCCAAUAAUGGCAAUGAAUUGACAACCGAAUGAACCUCUUCUCACCCUCCCAUCCAAUAAGAAUUCAGCAAAAGAGUCCUCCCACAAAUAGAAAGGAAGGUUUAAACUAAUCCAAUACAAAAACUGCACUAAUGCUGAAAUUGAAGCCAAAACCUGAAGUUUAACCAAAUGUGGAUUAUUCUACCUUACUACCAGCUGAAAUAAGGUGUUCGCCAAGCCUCCUAGUAGUACAACAAGUGGAAAGGAAUAUGAAAAUGUCCCACCAACCAGGGAUUUGCUGAAAAAUCCAGAAAUUGGAGUCAAGAAACUUAAUGAUGUGCAUUUUCGACUUCGGAAUCCAAUUAACAUAAGAUUAGAUCAAAGUACAUCAAUACUCAGUUGAAAGGAACUCUAAUAUAGCUAGAAUUGAAGUCAUGACCAGCAAGAAAACUGCAAUUGAUUUACUAGAAGAGAUCGGAGUUGAAAAAUCAAUGAGAUUCGUCAAUAACUAAAAUUUCAGCAUUGUAGUAAAAAUCUACCAAUUAAAGUCUUUCUAACCUAAAAUUUGCUUGGAAGAACAAGCCUACAAACUCUUCUUCCUCACUAGAUCACCCACAACACUACAAGAAAAGACGGUUGUAGAGGCGAUUGUAUAGAGACGGUUCCUACAACCGCCUCUAUGUGUUGUAUAUUAGAGACAGUUUAGAGACGGUUUUUAUGGACCGCCUCUAAAUCCCCAGGAGGGAGGAAAAAAAAAAGAAUAAAAACCCUAAACCCUAAAAAAUAGGUUGAUCAAUCUAAUCUCCCCACUUCUCUCCCCUUUUCCCCCACGAGCCGCCAAACCUAGAGGCCGCUCACCACACUGCUCUACCUCCGACUCCUUCUGUAAGGUACCAGACUUCUAAAUUAUGAAGUUACGGUACACAUUUAAAUGGUUCCAAUAAGGUUGCUGUGGAAUGUAACAUACCGGAUUUUAAAUAUAAAAGUGAAAAUAAAUAAAAAUAGUAUGAGAUACUAUUUUAUUGGAUUUAGAGGAGUGAAAUAUAGGUUGAGAAUGACCUGUGCUGAAAUCAGAGCGAAAACAGAAGAUUAAGAAUUUUCUGUGUGAAAUAAGGCAGAUAAAUUAGCAGAAAAUGCACAGUGUCAGAAAAUUAUGAAAACUAGAGGAUAUAUCAGAAAUAUUUUUAUGAGGCUAGAUUUGAAGUUUCAUUUCAUUCUGACACCCAGAAGGUGAAAAAUAAAAUCGAACUGCUAUCUGCUAAAGAUUACAGUUCGGCACAGCUUUCAGUAACCAAACGGAGUCGAAACUGAGAACUUAAGAUAUAUUCUUGCUCAGUACGUUAAACCGAGCCUGCCUGUCAAAUUUGAGCUCAAACGGACAUUCAAAAGAGCUCCGACUGUUCUGAACUGCUAAACUGCAAGUUGUAAUAGGUGUGAGAGGGGGUUUUCUGCAAUUGUUGCAGCCCCAUAUGUGUGCGGCUCCUUGGCCGAAUCCACUACACGCACACACACAUUCUCUCCCUCUCCCUCACACUUGCAACCAUGGAAGAAAAACCCUCUCUUUCUCUCUCUUGAAGGUGGAAUCAAGAGAAGGAUUUGGUAGAGAAGCAAGUUUGGAAGUUGAUCUUCAUCUUCAUCGUCUUCUUCCUCUCCAUUGGAGCUUGUUUGAGAGGUGAGCUUUGAUGCCCUCUCAUGGUAGAUCUUUAAAGCUUUAUUUAUAAUCUCUAUAAAUGGUAUUUUUGGGAUCCUAGGAUGCUAAUGAGAUGUUUACUACUUGAAUCUAAGGUUUAUAUUGUAUAUUUUUACAAUAGAUGAAACAUAGGGUUCAAAUUGGAGUUUUUCGAAAUAUGAAGGUUUGAUCUCAAUUGACCCUCUGUAAACCUAAUUGCUAGGUAAACGAACGCGUUGGCGAAGUCGGUUCGGCGAUUCGCCGAGCCGUUGAGAAGAUAUUAAAGAAAUGGAUGUUUAGGCUUCGUUUCCGCCUGGAGGGCCGAGGCGACGUUCAAAAAUCGUGGAAACGGAUUUGGAGCACCGUAGCAAGAAACCGAAGACCUUUAAUUUUCGGAUCGCGGAUCGGGGGUUGUUCGGUGGUCGCGUACGCAUUGGGUCGAGCGGACCGGCGUGCGCUGUGUCGAGCGGACCGGCGUGCGCUAUGGGAGGCCGAUUGCGAGUGACUACAAGCAAUCGGAACGCGAUAACAGGUAGGUUGUGCUUACCGAAGCGACUAGGUCGCCCCGCAUGUCAAAGCGGAUUGUGAAUUCUUAUUGAUGCAUAUAUGUAUGUGCAUACGGGUAUUUUAGUAUUAUGUAAAUGCAUGCUAGCAGGUAGAAUACAUGCUAGUGAUGAUUGCAUAAUAAUGCAUUGAAAAGUACAUGCUGGUGAGUAGAUGCAAGUGGCGUAUUAAUGCAUUGGAAAUAUAAUCUAAUAAUAGAUUCAUGUUGACAUGUACUAGAACAUGCUAGAGAACAUGAGAAUACAAAUGAAUGUUAACAUGUUGUUAGUUGUGUGAGUUAUGAGAUCAUGUUAGAGAGCAUGCAUAUUAACAUGUUGUUGAUUGUGCUUGAUUAUGAUGCAUGUCGGCAUUGUGAGCGUGUGUUAGAUAUACAUGAGAAUGUGAACUAAGUCGAUGAACACUAUAUAAUAGAGAACUCGAUAUGACAAAUAGGAUGUCAAGUAGAUCGAGUGGCAUUAACCUAGUGUUAAUAAACAUAGGUCGGACAUAGAUGACACUGAACCUAGUGUUGUUGAACCUAGGAUAAAUAACGAGUGGUAUCUAACCUAGUGUNCGAAAAAUCCAUCGACCGUGCGAGGUGCGUCAUUCGUGGUGGCAGACAAAAUGGCACGCCCGGUGGGACAUAGCUUCUCUUUCCAUCUUCGAGACCUUAAAACAAAAAAAAAAGAAAAAAAAAAAGGGUUCCUAACUUCUACCUUUUUCCACAAGGAAAUGGCACCAACAUUAAAGAGCGUUGUCGCUGCAUCAACAAACUCAAUAAUAUUGAAGGCUGGUUCGCGAGUCUGCUUGCGCACGUCCGUCCUUACAUUCGAAACUGCAGGAACCUCAAUCCAAUUUGGCACCAUUCCCGAAGAUGUUCGAGCUGCUGUCAUGGCUUAAAUUCUUGCUGCUACUGGGGGCAUGACCACUCCCGCCGCCUCUUCAUAGGAUGUAUCCAAUGUGGUCAUUUCUCGGCUACCAUCUCGAGGAAGACGACCCAAUGUGGUCAUCCCCAACCCUCCUCGCUGACCCAUAGGCGAACGACUCACUUACCAACCUGCAUCCAAGAGCAUGGAGUCUGAGGGAAGACUGAUAUUCCCAAAUGGCAGAGUGCAGAAAGCAUCAGUAUUCGAUAGGCUGGCGCUUUCUAAUGAUACUACAACCACNCCACACAUACAUAUAAAUACUCAUCUGAAUCAUGAAUACUACCCCACGGCCCGAAAAAUCCAUCGACCGUGCGAGGUGCGUCAUUCGUGGUGGCAGACAGUUAUUUCAAGACUCCAUAAAGAAUCCAGAGCCAAAUCGAAAGUUGGUCCAGUUCAGGCCAAGAAACCAGCAUUGAAUCAUCUUUGAUCAACAUAGAAAGUAGAGCUAUUGACUUGAAAUCCCAUCUCAAGAGAAUGAUUUAGUAAAGGCAGCAGCAAUUGAAAGAAUCUGACAUCCAAAGGAACAAUCAAUAAUAAGAUCAAAAAAAUAAACCGAAAUUAGCAUGAGGUGGAGUUACUUUGAAGAACUCAUAGAAGAGAUCAUUGAAAAAGGCAAUUGGGGCAUGGAAAGCUUCAGUUUUACAGCAGCUACACCUGACAUUUCUUAUCCAGAACUUACUAAAUAUCAACAGCGACCUAGUAUUUGAAAGGGGAAAAAAAACGUGAUGACCGAAUUAAUCUCAAGAUUUGAAUGUUCGGAACAUUUCACUUUAGAUGUGUUAUGCACCUAGAUAUGAAAUCGACAACAUAUAAACUAAAUGAUAUAAAUGUAUAAACAUUUCACUCUAGAUGUGUUAUUCACCUACAUAUGAAAUCGACAACAUAUAAAUUAAAUGAGAUAAAUGUAUUGAAAGCUGAAAUGUACUUGCAAACCAGAUUUAUAGGGCCAUUAAGGAAUAUCAAGAGAUAAGUAUUGAUACGAAAUAAAAGGAUAUAAUUAUUCAUGGUCAAUUCAAUUCAAGAUAACUGGCUAGGAUUUUUAAGCACAUACGCAAGUAAGCAUCUUUUGGUUUGGAGGAUCGAUGGGUUUAUUCUGAUUUACCUUAAUUGAACGGACCAUUGAACUGGAGUAGAGCCGGUGUGCUUCCACAAUGAAAGACGCUACAGCUUUUUUAUGCCCACGAAGUGUAGCAGCUGGCUCAAAGCAGCGUUUAUCUGGAUUAGGCUUCCAACCCCAAAUACUUCCACCUUACUUAGAUAAAAGUUCAGGCACUGGGAACAAAACUUGAUAGAAAAUCAAUCCUCACAGAAGAACUUCGCAGUCAAAACUCUGCAGAUCAAAUCGAAAUUGAAUUAAAAUCAAACUCCAUAGGAAAAAUUGCAGAAAUUGAAAUUGACGAAGAAAUUGAACUGCCACACCAAUGAACCCUUUUUUUUUAACAUGUAAAGUAUAAGGAUGUGAGGAGGCGCCUUUUCAAAUAUCAGAUUUGGGAGCUCAAAAGAAGCGCAGGCAAACAGCCAAACUAAACAGUCAGGGGGGAAAAAACACUAUAAUUAUAUUUUGCUAAUUCAAACUCUGAUGAUUCAAACAAUCUUUUAAAAAGUGGACCCAAAAGUAGCAGGAACAACAGCACGUACAAAUUAGCAUUUAACUUGACCUUUUUUUACAUGUAUUCUAAGUCUCAUACAUGUAAAUCAGCAUGCAAAAAAAUCAUUUAUGAGACUUUGAGUAAAAAUAUUUUUGGAAAUCAAAGAAAGUCUCAUAUAGGCAAAUUAGCAUGAGUAAAAAUCACGAAAUCAAAGGAAACAAAAAAGAACAACAAAAACUGCUUCUAAGAAAGCUAAAAAGCUCCAUAGUAAAUCAGCACAUGGAAACCAUACCAAACAACAUACAUGGCUGCAUACUAAAAUAAAUGAAGAGUAGAAGCGUAGAUUCGGAAGUAAAUUAGGCCACCAAAAGCAUACAAAAGAAAGCUGAAAAGCUCCAUAGUAAAUCAGCACACGGAAAUCAUACCAAACAACAUACAUGAAUGCAUACUAAAAUAAAUGGAGAGUAGAAGCGUAGACUCGGAAGUAAAUUAGACCACCAAAAGCAUACAAAAUAACCGAGACAAAUUUAGUCGAAAAUAGUCUAUUCAUAAGCAUAGAACGGUAGUAAGAACAAAAUUUGGCAGGCAAGGUACAUACAUUUUGCUCAGGCCUCCCCCAUUUAUCAAGCAUUGAUUGGAUCAGCAGUAAUGUUGUUUUCUUUUUUUUGGCUUAGAAGUGUCGGAACCAAAUAAGCUGCAGCACAGAUAAGAAGCGCUGGUUGCCUGCAAAGCAUACCAUCCAUAGCGUCCGAACUGUUAAUUAAGAAGGGCGCAUUCGAACGGAACUAUCGAAACCAACUGACACUCAGGGGAAGUAUCAUCAUAGCAUGCAUAAGAACAAUCAGAAGCAGCUGCCUAUGAGUAGGCCGGCCAAACCUCCAUAUCAUCACAGACUUUUUUUAAAAAUAGGAAUUUUGAAAGAAGUAGCAAGGAAUAAACGAAGCCAAGUAAUGUUAGUAAAAUAACAAUGCAUCAAAGCAGAACAGUUUCAUUCUUUUCAUAAAGCAAUAAUAUCUGAGGGGAAACCAAAAAAAGAGGGAAAAUGCAGUGAGGAACCAGCGGGAGAAGGGUAAAAAAUUGCAGGGAAGAGUUUUUUUUACCAAACAGCUGAAGAAAUCAUACAAAAGACAUGUAAAACGCAACCGGAAACAGCACAAAAUAAGAAAAUGCGAAAACUUGGGAAUAAAAAACGGACAAAAGUGUAUAUAAAGCUGCAAAUUUCUUAGGUACUUACAUAAAAAAAAUUUGUGCAUUUAAAAAGGGGAAACAAUUUUAUUAUAGUAUCCAUGGUUGGGAAAUCCCCAAAUCCUUGACUAGACUAUAAAAUGAAUACUCAAAAGAAAGAUGUAAAGCUCUAUCAAUCAUCAUCAAUAGAUAUAUUAAAAGUAGAACUUUACUGUGGCCACGUGUCGCCUCCUCAGUGUGGAAAUCACGCCAAAUACUAUACAUGAAUGAGAAUCCAAAUCUCCAACUGGACUAUAAAAUGAAUGGUCCAAAGAAAGAUGUAAAGCUCUAUAUAAAAUGAUUCUAUGGAAAAUAACGCCAAAUAGUAUACAUGAAUAAGGAUUGACUGUUGCAUGUAGCAGUUUUGCUUAAAUGUUUGAUGCAAUGCCUACUUGGUUACUACUACAAACUGCAUAAAUGUGCGUAAACUCUUAGUGCGGCUGCCACCAUAAUGCGUGUCAAAAUUAUCUAAUGCUUUACCUGUGUUGACUUUGAUAAAAACUAACAGAGGAUUGAUGGCCUGUUAUGCAGCGAAGAAAAUGACAGAGGAUAGACAAUAACAGUGAUGAGAGUACAAAAUAUAUCUAUACCACAAGUUUAGUUAGGACUUGGAUCAUUAUUAAUAUAUCCACCUAAAAGUGCAGAUUCUGAUGGAUCAUCUACAUGCUUACAUGAAAAUGAAACGAAAUCAACAUAAUAUAAUAAUAAAUAAUUAAGAGGUUAUCGACAUAUCCAAGUAUAACAUAAUUAACCAUCUAAUUAAACACCAGUGUUUUUGUAAUCAUCUAUAUUUCCAUAAAUGCAUUCAUUAUGCACCACUUAGAGUACAAUCUUCAUAACCAUGUAACCAUAGCCGAAUACGCAUAGCCACAGUUCCCCUAGAAAUAAGGACAUGAGUAGUAGCCACGAAGUAUAAGAACAAUAGGAAGUGGUUGCCNAGUGGCGCGGCGGCGCGAGGCAAGGGCAUAGCUCCAUAGAUAGCGCCCUACCCCAGAGACCAGAGAUAGCGGUACCCCGAGUCGGCAUAGCCUAGGGGUAUAGGAAAGGGAAAGGAACACAAUGUAUCAAAUUUGUAAUAUUAAUUGUAAUAACUUAAUUGCAUUUGGAGGUUGAAUGUGAUGUAAAAAUGAAUCUAAUGUGAAUGUAUGUAAUAACAUAGGAUAUGUUAUGUUGUUGAUACCUUUCCAUUUGCAAUCUUUCUUGAAUAUUGUUCCUGUUUGGAACCUCUUGUAUUAUUUUUGCUUGAACGUACAGGGGAGACUCUAUCCGCGGUACAGGGGAAACUCUGUCCGUUCGGCGAUUUGUCAGCGCGCCCGAACCUGACCAAAUAGGCGGGGCUCAGGGCGUGACACCUUCGGCACCUUCGCCGUCUUCGAACAGCGGCCGUUUGUGAGAAAAGUCAGUUAUUUGUUCUUUAGUUGGUUCAUUUGCUCAUUGGAUUCUUAUUCUGAAAAUAAUAUGAAACAGAAAUUUAAAUUUUGAUUAGUUCCUUUGCAAACUAUCUGUUAAUGCCUUUUAUGAUAACCGUGUUGAAUGUGUAGUUUACUUUAGGCAAUUGAGCAUUUUUUAUAUAUCAUUGUCAACUUCCUUAGCAUGUUAACACUGUUUUUUUUUUAGAAAAGAGGUAGCACGCUACCCGCUUCAUUCACUGAUAGGUGAAUUAAGCUACAAGUGUGAGGCAACCAGGCCCCGAACAAAAAAAAAAAAAAAAAAAAAAAAUGUUAGAGCUCGAGCAGUAGGUCCCACUCCUUCAUAAGCUGCUUAAGUCUGUGGACCGCCAACCUAGGGUUAGGAAGGAAAUUCCGAAAUAUGAAGUCGUUUCUUACCUUCCAAGUGAUCCACCAACAGCCCACUAGGUCGGUAAAUCUGGUUCGUUUCUCAUGGUAUUCCUUCCUGGCCAUCCACCUAUCCCAAAUGAGAUUCACAUCGUCCCCCGGAUCUUGGGCAUGGAUAUCUUCCGCCCCUGUCACUAAGAUAAAUUUACUGAAUACGCACCGCGUGAACAGGUGAUCCGCUGAUUCCUCUUCCGACCAGCAGAGCACACAGGUAGUAUCAUCUAGCCCCCUUCGCUUGUUGAGUCUAUCACGUGUCAGAAUCCUUUUCUUAAGAACCAACCAGAUGAAAACUUUUACCUUUAACGGGAUUUUAAGACUCCAGAUGUGGUUAGCACGCGCAUCUCUCGUCCCUCCAUCCAUCAAUGCCGAAUAGGUCGAUUUGACCGUAAACUGUCCAUCAAUACUCCAACGCCAAAGUAACCUGUCCGGUCUCUGCGCGACGGUGAAACUGGAGACCUUAUCAACGAGUUCCGAGAGUCUCGGUAUUUGCCCAUGCACUUGACCCACCCCGUUUUCGAGGAUCUUAGUCCAGUUCCAAAUACCCAUCGUAAGGCAGUCCUUUACACUAUAACUUUUCCCCCCGGACAAAAGGUAAGCUUCCGGAAACGAAGGUUCAACGUUUUCUCCCCAUACCACCAAUCCUGCCAAAAAUCAAUAGUACUCCCGUCUCCUAGUGCAUACGCCGCUCCCCACUUAGAAAUGGUGGUGACGCUGAGAAUACCCUUCCACCAGUUAGAGAAAGGUCGAAAAGAUCGACCUUCCCUCAUCGGUUUUCUUCUACGGUAGUACAAUUCUUGGAUUAGCUUAUUCCACUGAAGUUCGAGUGCUAUGUGGAAUUUCCACCACCAUUUGGUCAGGAGAGCUUGAUUCAUGAACGCUACAUCUAAGAUUCCUAGACCGCCUUCCUUUUUGGGCUUGCAAACAUUUUUCCAAGCCACCAGACACCCCAUGCCAACGCGGUGGCGACUGCCACUCCAGAAAAAGUCUCUUCUUAGUGCUUCGAUUUGUUUAAUCGCCCAAGCGGGGGCCUUGAACAUCGAUAGGAAAUACAGCGGUACGCUGGUAAGUACCGUAUUAACCAGAAUAAGUCUGCCUCCCCUAGAAAGGAGUUUGGCCUGCCAACCCUCUAUCCUAUGCUGAAGCUUCUAUAUGAUCUCCCUCCAUGCCUCGUUGGAUGGUGAUCUUGGCGAUAGAGGUAAGCCCAAAUAUUUUGACGGGAGAUUACCCACUCUACACUCGAGAAUGUUAGCUAAUCGAGCACCUUUACCGUCCUCCUGCCCCAGAUAGUAAAGCUCCGACUUCUCCCUAUUGAUUUUCAUUCCCGAUGCCCAUUCAAAAAGACGCCAUAAGAACCUAAGAUUUCUCAAGUGCCUGUUUCUAGCCUCACAGAAGAAGAAGGUGUCGUCCGCAAACUGAGUGAGAGUGACCUGCUUGUCCCAAUCGGACCGAUGCCUUUGAAGAGGUUAUUAGAGGUCGCCUCAUUGGUCAAACGAGCCAGACAUUCCGCCACCAAUAAGAAUAGAAAAGGCGAGAGCGGAUCCCCCUGCCUUACACCUCUCUUCGUCUUUAUCAAUUUGGUCGGUUCUCCAUUCACCAGAAUCGCCACUUUCGCGUUGCACACGCAAGCGUCGAUCCAACCGCACCACUUAUCAUUGAAGCCCCACGAACGUAAAAUUUGGAAGAGGAAUGGCCAAGAAAUCCUAUCGUAGGCCUUUUCAAAAUCCACCUUUAUCCCCACUCCAUCGACGACUUUCUUACUCCCCCAGCCAAUAAGUUCGGAAACGGAAGCGAACGUGUCGGCAAUGUUCCUACCUUUCAGGAAGGUUGACUGUGAUGGGGAUAUCAAAUGCUUCAUAACGCGUCCUAGCCUAUUGGCUAGGACUUUAGACAGGAUUUUUUGGAUCCCAUUCAACAAGCAUAUAGGUCGAAAGUCAUUUGCCCGCAUCGUCCCCUCCUUCUUAGGAAUAAGGCAAAUGAAGGUGUAGUUGAUGGCGGCCGUGGAGAGCCUCCCCUCAUACAUCUCUAGGAAUACACUCAAAAUGUCCUCCUUAACAGUGUCGCAAAACGUUUUGGUAGAACUUUAAUGGGAAACCGUCCGGUCUCGGCGCCUUGUCGCUCCCCAGUUGGAAAACAGCUUGUUUAAUUUCUUCUAAGUUGAAGGGUUCGGUUAACCUCGAAAGGUUGAGGUCCACCACACGGUUGGACCGAAAAAGCCGCUUCCAGUCCCCAAAGGAAGUAGGGUUCGACGCCUCGGGCGAGAAAAGUGACUUGAAGGAAUAGUAAAAAUAGUUCUGUUUAUCCUCUUCGGAUUGGUAGCUAAUAUCAUUUCGACGAUCGUGCCGAUCCAGUUGGCUCUACGUCUGGCAUUCACUACUGAAUAGAAGAACUUAGUGUUACCAUCCCCCUCUCUCAGCUAGUGUUGUUUGGACCGGAUUUUCCAAAGGGAGGCUUUAUCACUUAAAAUUGUUCUCAAGUUUGCCUUUAAGUCCGCCCUCUUAGGACUUAAUUCGUGCGAAAUGUCGCUCGCUUCUUCUGCUUUAUCAAUGCUCUGUAUUUCCUCCAUAAGAAGAUUCUUCUCCCUUCUAAUACUGUAGAACUCAUUAGUGCACCACUCCUUCAUCCUAAUACGGCAAUGUCUCAACUUCGCAGUGAAAUUCAAGAUCGCCGAAUUAUUCUGAGUCCCCCGAGAAACCUCCCUCCACCAGCCCGGGAGUUUAGCGAUGAAAUCGUCAUGAUUCAACCAAGCUUGCUCAAAUCGAAAGGUCUGUUCUUUAUCCUAACGCCUUUCUCCGCAGUUAGUAAGAUAGGGCAAUGAUCGAAAGUAAUUCUAGGUAACGCUUCUACUCUAGUGAGUGGAAAUUCCUGAUCCCAAUCGGUUGAAACAAGGAAACGAUCCAGUCUCACAAACAUCGGGAUAGCUUGCAGGUUAGACCACAUGUAAGUUUGGUUGGACAUUGGCAAAUCAAGCAAGGCGAGCUCCUUGAUCAGAUCAUUGAACAGAGCUGUGGCUUUGAUGCUCCAACGCUUACCUCUCCUUUCGUCUUGCCCCCUAGUGCAGUUGAAAUCGCCGCAGAUGAUCCACUUAUCCACACAAUAAUCCUUUAGCUGGGCCAAUUCGGCGAAGAAUUCUUCCUUGCCAUCCCACGAGGCCGGUCCAUAGAUGUUGGCGAGGAAGAACUUAGUCCCACACGUGAUGGAGUAAAGGAGAGUCGUAAUGGAGUUAGUCUUGACAAUGACUUCCGAACAAGUGAAGAAACGGUCACUCCACCCCUUGAUAAUUCCUCCUGAAGCACCGACGGCCUCAAGAAAUACACAUUUGUUUAGAAAGGGACCCCCGAUACUACUAAGAAAAAACCUAGAUACAUGAUUGACUUUCGACUCCUAAAGACACACCACCGCGUUACGCAGUUUCGACACUACGGCCCUAACGGCACAUCGCUUAGAGGGAUCAUUAAGCCCUCUAACAUUCCAACUACAAAUGCGAAACAUAAAAAACCGACAGACUCUCACCAACAAAACCCAAAACAGAGUCUACAGUAUCACUACACUCCCUGCCUACUUGCACUCACUAAGAAACGCAGAGAAGUUCUUAGCCUCACUCUCAUCUAAAUCCACCCCGCAUAGGCGGCUUGUGUAGGUGAUCUUCGCUAUUGAGGCUGAGCUCCCGGUCGCUUGCUCGCCUUCGCGCAGACGGAUCUUCCUUAACAUAGCCUUUGACAGCAUCGUUCUCUUAGCUGCCGCCACGAGCGUGUUAACACUGUUAGAAGUUCAUUAUUUAGGAGUUCCCAAACCAAAACAGCACUUCAACAAGGAGAGAAAAAACUAAAGAUAUGUCUAUAUUUAUGCAUUUGAAAGGCAUUCCCUUAGUGAGAGCUAAAUAGACGAAUUGUUCAUUUCUGCUUCCAUAAGCAGGAUUCUGAUUUGGUUGUCCGAUUCCACAAAGAUGUAGAAUGCUGAUCCCAAGCAGUAUGUCAUAUCAAUUUGUAGUAUAAUAUUAAAAUAUUUAAAACAGAAUUUCUAGUGCGGCCCAGGAGUUUUUUUUGUUAUUCGUUAGGCUUAACUGCUCUUUACCAUUCAAAAGUUCUCAAAACAAGCAUCCUAUAUUUUUGAUUCACUAUUCUAAUUGCCUGAAAUGGUAUAUAGCACUUUUGUAGAAGGUGACAUUCUAUUUGACUUGGUGAGAGAACAAUAGUAUUGAGAUCUGUAAGUCUUAUUGAAGCAUAAUAGACCGUACAUAGAAUGCACGUGUACUAUUUAACUAAUGGCAGAAACUAUCAUAUUUUUUCGUUAAGUGGAUGAGAAUUUUAAAACGAACAUCUGCACCCUACACUUGUUUUUCAUAUCCUCAAUAACGUUGUCAGCUCUGUAUUUUCUCUGGCAUGCUAUGAUCGACGCAUCAGCUGGUUUAACUGCUAAUCAUUCUAAGUCCUAUUUUGUAAACGCUAUGCUGCAUAAUGCAAUUAAUUGAUCCGUCCCUUCUUUUAAUAAUGUAGGGUUUGGCCGUUAUACUAGUUCAAGCCCGUUUAUAACAACUGGUUUGGCGACUCUCGACUUCAUUCAGGUAAAUUGGUAGUGUCCUUAGUACUUUCCAAAAGUAAUGAAUCAACUAGUUUUCAUUCAAGUUGGUUAUUGCAGUAGCUAGUCCUGGUAUUGCAAGCAACUCAAGUCAACUUCGAAUCAAAUCAAAUUGGCCUUUAAUCUUAAUGCUAGAUGGGGUGAUCUCAAAUAUAGACCAGUGACUUGUUUGUUCUUUUGAUUUGUUUGUAGAGAUUUCUUGUUGUCUAUUUUAAAUGAUAAAGCCACCCUUACAUUGUGUAUGUGAGAUCCGAGUCAUGUUUACGUUGUCACUAAAUAAAUUCUAGUUUGCGUUCUUUCUUUAAUCCUCUUUAAUUCUAAUAUCAGAGAUUCUAAUUUGCUUGGAAGAACAAGCCCGCAAGCUCUUCUUCCUCACUAGAUCAACCACAUGAGCCCAAUUUUAUAGCUAACAUUUCAGGUAAGGGAAUUGGAUGGAAAAAACUAUUGAAAGAACCAAUAGAAAGCAGAAUUUCAGCUUACACCUCCGAAUUCGCUCUAAUUCAAUCAUAUUAACUUGGAAGUUCCACCUGGUAAUAGGUUCAAGAUAAGCUCCAGCACUCCCUUCUCCUCCAGUAGACCUUCAAUUUCGCAAUUGAAGUCCCAAUUGGACUCAACUAGAUCUCUCCACAGGAUUGCUGCUGGUGCUUGCCAGGUUGCUGCUGCCAAGCUGCACCAUGUUGGCAGCAGCUGCUACUAUUGCUGAGAAGCUGAGUUGCUGCUGCAAGUGGCCAACCUAGUGCUGUGGUUCAAGUUGCUGGUGCUGACUGAGAGGAGGAAUGAUAGAAAAUGAGCUGUUGCUAGCUGCCCUUGCUGCUGCAAUCUGCCAGCCUGCUAAUGCUGCUGCUAGCUGGUUCUAUCGGCUGCUGCAGGUGGUGAAGUUGCCACCUGCUGCAGUGGGGGCUGAUGCUGGUGUAGCUUGCAGCAAUACUUGCUAGCUGUGCCACCCUGCUGUUUUACCACUCCUGCGCAGCACCUGAGGCUACUGGAGAAGGUUGGUUGCUGCCACUGCUUGUUGACAGCCAGCAGAGAGAAAUCAGCAGGGAGAGAAAAGAAAGAGGAAAGGAAAUGGAAUAGGAAAAUGAGAGGAAGGAGAAGAAGAGAAGGAGAGGAAAAAAGAGAGUUUCAGUUGGAUUGAUACUACAUGCCAAAAUGCUCAUUUAAUUAGAGGUGGUUGAGGGUUAAGUUGCAGCUUUGGCAUCACAUUAGUCCACUAUCAUAUUCCCACGAGAAAAAAUUCACAUUUCGGAUUUGUUUGUGACAUCAAUUUUGCAUCAAAACAAUUCUAGGUUGUCCCGACACUUUAUAAAAGUAUCGAUAAGUCACCAUAAUUGUAAUCAUUCAGGCAAAUAAAUUUUUCGGAACUCUAUAGGAAAGUACGUGUAUGAUAAUUAUAUAAAUUUGUAGAAUUUUCAGUAGUAGUGAUUUAUGGUUUUUGGGCUACAUCACAUGUAAAAAAAUGACUUAGGCUGAUGACUGGAAUGUAUUGGUGCAUAAAUUGUACAUAUGAAGUUUCCUUCGGUAACUUAAGAUGUUGUUUUAAAUUUUAGAUAAUUCUACAAUGUAGAAAUUUUCUUAUCUAUUUAUUUUUGAAUUAUACAAAUAUUUGCUAAAUGUUCAACUGAAAGGAUAGUACUGGAUUUAUUUGUUGAAACAUUGGUACUUUGAAUUGCAGCUUCCCACGUGAAACAACUUAGUUGUACCACUAGUUUUGUCUACUCAAAUGUAUAAGUUACUGUAACGAUCGGACCCGCUAACAAUAAUAACUCAUUGGAUCAAACCACUAGCCCAAAAUAUUUAAACUUAGUUAUUUUUUUGAUUAAACAGGGAUAUACCCUAUUUGAUAAAGGGAGUACAUACUAAGACAGCGAAGCUAGCUCGGCUUUCCCCAAGAAGGCCCCUUGAGCUGACUUCAGUUAGUACAUCUAAACCACUAAUUAACUAGGUAAAAGAAACAAAAGGAAUCUCACUUAGGACCCCAAAAUGGAUUCCCAGAGCUUUAAGACGGAAACAACAAUCGUUCCCAAUUGUUCGUACAUAGAGUGGUGGUUGCUGAAGAUCCGUGAAUUCCGCUGUUUCCAAAGUUCCCAACAAGCCCCAACAAAGCAUCGGUCGAAAAGUGCUUGCUGCUGCCGCCAAUGACUCUCUGCCGCGCGUCCAUCUGGUCGAGACAUCCCCAACUAGGUUGACCAAUAAUUCAGCAGCGAGCAGGGUGUUAGAAAGGAGCAGAUUCCACAGGGACCUCGCAUAAUUGCAUCCAAAGAGAAGAUGAUCCAGAUUUUCUUCAUUGGCGGAGCAUAACACGCAUAUGGACGGUCCUUGCCAGCCUCGUUUCUCUAGAGAAUCAGCUGUCAAAAUCCUAUUCCUCGCUGCCAACCACAUAAAGACUUUGAUCCUGUAUGGCACCUUGAGUUUCCAAAGUUGAGGUAGUUUGCAGUCGCUGACUCCGCUGAAUGUAACGAAGUCAUAUGCGCUCCGUGUCCGGAAACGUCCAGUUGAGUUCCAUCUCCAAACAACAGUGUCUUUUGUAUCGACGUUUAAAUUAGUGUUGGAAAUUAAUACCUCCAAAUCGCGGAGCUCUUCUUGUAUUGCGGUGUUGAAAGGCGGCCUGAAUCCCAAUGUUGUGUGUGCGGCAAAGCGGCGAAACCAACUUUUGACCGAAACGUGCUUAUGUGUCGGUAGAGCAUGUAGUUUUGGAAACUGCUUUUGCAGAGGAAGUUCGCCACACCAUCUAGAAUUCCAGAAGGAUGUUAUCAUUCCAUUGCCCAGAGUAAGGUUGACCGAAGUAGAGAACGGGGCUGCAGUACUAAGAAUCGCCUUCCAAAUGGGGUAGCAAUGCGCCGGUUUAAUGCGAUCAAGCCGAGGUGGUCUAUACUUGUAAUGUUUAAUAUUAGGAUCUAUAGUCUCUUAUAUUUUUAAUCCCAACCUUUUUUCCAUCUGAUGUUGGGCUAUUGGGGUGUAGGCAGACUCCCUCUAUUUAAAUUCUAAUGUUCUCAUCAGCCAAUCACACACAUAGCUGAAGAUCACCGGGUGAUGUAAGGCCUACAUGACAUUUCCAACUAGGAACAGGCUCUGAUACCAAAUACAACGACCUGACCAACUGGUAAUAAUAACUCGUUGUGCCCAAACUGCUAGCCUAAAUGUUUAAACUCAGUUAUUGUUACUAUGGUUUAUGAUCCCUUAUAUGUCUAAUCACAAUUCGAUUUUCAUCCCAUGUGAGACUACUGAAGUGCUACAGUUAUAUUUAGUACUGCAAAACGAACAUGCUAUAGUAUUCUUACUAUUCUAAUUUGAGCCAUGUAACAGUAACAAGCUACUUUUAUUUAUUGAGAUAUCUAAAGGAUAUAUUGAAUCUUCAGCUACACACAUUUGCGCUACGGAUGCCGAACCCUUUUUACAAUUAUCCACUAUCUCUGUGAAAUUGAAAAUAUGAUGGAAAAGGAUAAAUCAAAUUAAACAUUAUAUGUGAUGCGGCUAUCAAAUAUUUCUACGUAUGUAGAUUGAUACAUUAAUUUGCAUUUUGUUUAAUUUAAAAUACAUUUUGACUUACUGCAACGUUAUCUUUCCUAUGACCAUUACUCUGGUAUUAAUUAUUUCUGUAUCCAUUUUUUGUCAUUUGUAUUUGAUUCAUUUGCAUACAAUUGCUUAAAAUUUUCGUUUAUUUUUUAAAUUAUUUAUGCGUUUGUUAAACGUGCACAUGUACAGCAUAGGCACGUUUACUAGUAAUUAUGCAUAUGUUUAGUUGGAUGUAGUAGAUAGUGUUACUAUUGUUAUAAAUAAUUUGUUUAGUUAUAUGCUGUUGAGAGCCGUAUUUACUAACUUUAUUACUUCAUUCAUAUGAUGAUGAGAAUAGUCUGAACGGUGAAAAAGAAUAUAUUUUUUUUAAAUAAAUAUUGAGAAGUUUCAACCUAGUGGCAGAAAGCUUAAUGUAGAAUUUCGGUUAAAUGUUUACGAUCCAUGAGCACCUACUCCAACACCGUGUACGGCGUCGAAGCGCAACUUCAUCCCUUACCAAGAGGAAAUCAAGAUCGAGCUUAAGGUGGGAACUCGCAACCUCCGAGCUCUUCAAGCUCUGGCAAAAUGAGCACGUCCUUACUCAACAAGGGAAGUGACUUUCCUGUAAAGUAUAAUAGGAUAUCUAUUAAAAUAUCCAUCAGAGGGAGUUCAAAUUGCCAUGUCACAAAGAAAAAACAAACAAACAAUAAAAAAAACAUCUCUCUCUUUCGUACGAUAUUUUUUGUUCUAACAAUUAUAACAUAACAUAAGGGAAAUGGAGAGAGAGAGAAGAGAGACUAGGUGAAGGCGGAGUGAAGAGGGAUGUCAGGAGCAGUUAAGGAGGGCCUUUUGCCGAGACGAUGAUAGAGUAGGGAAGAAGAAGAAGACGCUGAAGAGACUAGCUUGGGCGGACGAGGUAGGUGGAGAGUUAUUGAAGGUCCACAGAGACCAUGAUGACGACGAGGCGACCUUACCUGCUUCCGGCAAAGGCUCCCCCCGAGAGAAAAAGGUGGAGUUUAAUGAUGAACACCAUUCAGGUUUGCUUCGGGCUUCGUUAAAAGGCUCAAGGAGUAGGAGGUGGACCAGGGUGGAAGGUAGUGUCAUUAACUACCCCAAGCUUGUAACAGGGUCCUAUAAGGAUGCGUUGAUGAGGAGGCCGAGAAACCAUCCAUCUGCAUACACUUCCCAACCAUCUCAUAAACCUUCUUCUAAUAGCCGUAGGGGUUAUCCUGCGUGUAGACAAGGGAAGAGGUGUUUCCGGUGUCUUGCGAGCGACCACAGAGUCUCGGAGUGCCGCGACCCUGUACGGUGCUUCAGGUGCUGGAAAACUGGGCACCGAGCCUACAGUUAUGGGGGAAAAACGGUGAGAAGAGACGUUGAGAUGAACAGGGAGGUUCACCGUAGAGAGCGUGCCCCCUACCAAAGGUGUACGUUCCGUACAUUGAGGAAUACUUGCAGAGAGUUGAAAUGCGACGUAAUGCCAUCCUCGCGAACGUAAUUCAGCAAGCUAACCUCAGACCGAAUCCAAUUACCAUCAUCAAGAGUGCCCUGGCUAGUCGCUUCGGGGGGUAUACUGAAGAUUUUUGUAGUACACUGAACUUUGGCAAAUUACGAAGUUCGAGUGUGGGAAUAGCAAUUGGAGCUAUCCUACAUCUUUCUAAGGGUUGUCGAGAGGUUCGGCAAGUUAUUGGAGUGAGCAAUAGGCCGGAAGAGCAAAAGUGCAUUGCAAAAUGCGAAAAUAUGUAUUUUGGCACUAUGUACCGGUGACAACAUGAUGGGGUACCGAUACCAGCACUGCAGCUGCGUGGCAGCAAUGCUGUUUUGGUCAUUUUACUUUCUAAGCUUGUUCUUAUUAGCUUAGCUCGACCCCUGAGCUUGUCCUUAUCAUAUUGGAGCUCUGGAAAACAGGGGUGAGUUUCUCUCUCUCUUUCUCUCUCUAGAUUUUCCCUUUUGAGAUGGAAAACUAGUGUUUUAAGCUUGGUUCUUCCUUUUCUCUUGAUGCUAGCUGAAGUGGAAGGCUUUGAACCUAUAUUUUGCUGUUGGAGAGGGAUGUUUUGGGAGGUGUUUCGCAGCCCUGGCUCAGCAAGAAGUUGAGUAAAAACUUGGUAAGGUGAAGGAUUCAACUUCUUUUUAGAUUAAUGCUAUAGUAGUGAAGUUGAACUUGUUUUGGUUUCUUUGUCCCAGCUGGUUUUGGGAGGGCUUAAAACAGCAAUAGAAGUGAUGUUUUGUUGUUAUUCUUCAACUCUAAUCCAGGGAAAACUGAAUUGAAGUUUUGGGAAGGUAAAUUAGCAACUCUCUUCUCUAGUUUCAUGUAGUAGUGGUUAUAGUAAUGGAUUGUGAGCUUGUUUUUGCUCUAUGAUGCCAGCUGGUUGGAGGAGCUUGGUAGCAGCUGAAGAGAAGGUGUUUUGGCUGUGAUUCUUUAAUCUUAACUCAGUAGAACCUGAGUUGGAUCCUUGGAAGGUGAGUUAGCUACUAUUUCACUAGAUUUAAUGUUGAAAUAGAUGUUUUAGUAAAGUUCUUUGUGAACUCGCAGCAGGCUGGUGUGAACCACUUUGGCUGAGUAUUAGUGAUCUUUGUAGAUCGAUUUUGGUGUGCUUCAACCUGAGUUGGAGCUGCGCAAGGUAGGUAACCUAUCUUCUUUCAAUUUGGAUAUGUUGGUAGUAGUAUUGAUGGAUUUUAAAGUGUAUGUUCACAGCAGGUUACAGCGGGGUAUUGGAUUCCUGUUGGCUGAGUUUCUGUGACUCUUAAAGGUUGGAUUGGGUGUAUUCCAACCUGAAUUGAAGUGAACUUCAAGUGGGGAUUCUAUUCUAGGUGAAAUUCUUACCUAAACUAAGUGAUUAUGUGAAGGUUACAUGUGGAAGCUUGGUUAAGCUCCUAGCUAAUUUUAGAAUGUUUAUCAGGGUACUUGGAAGCUUCGGAUUAUCUUCAUUUGCGGGAUCGACGAGAGUCGAUAGUAAUUAGAUGGGUUUGACCUUACCGAAAUGGGUGAAUUCCCUCUAUGUCUUCUUUGACGUUAUAGGACUGGAAUUGUUGCAUCUUCAUGUGAAUACAUGUUUAUUUGAAUGAAUCGGGGCAGCACCAAUAUGUAUAUCAUAUCGGACAUAAUAGAACCUCUAUGUAGUAGAGGUAGGAUUAUGAAAUUGAUUAUUUGACAUAAAUCACUUGCUCGAUUACCAUGUAUUUAAGAUGCAUAUCAAUUUGUGUAGACAAGUUAAACAGGACAUCAUUCAAUAAGGAAUAGCUAUAAAGCCAUGAAUGAUGUAUUGUGAUGAAGCAUCUUUGAGUUAAACCAUGCAACUCUAUGUCAUAGACAUAACAUUAGAACUCUUAGUAUAUCAUGUAUAGUGAGGUUAUUUACACCUUUAUAUGGAAUCAUGUAAAGAGUAUGAUAGAUGAUGUUUCGCAUGCUUGUGUUGGUAAGUGGUUAUUGUUUUCAUUUGAUAGAACUAACAUGAACUUCUUGCUUGUUAUGAUAUAGUAAGUAAACUAGAAUUGGGCAUUAUAAUAUAACAUGAAUGUUAUACUAUUAAAAAUGAUCUAGUUAAAUAACUAGAACUGGACAUGAGGAUAUACUUGUGUAGUCAAGUAGAAGUACUUGCCUAAUAUUUGCUUACUCCAAGUAGUGGAGGUUUAUGUAGAACCAUAGAAUAUGUAAACCACUUUUCUUAUGUAUAGGGAGUAGUGAGAGGACUCUAUGUGAGUGUGCGGGUAUAGCCCAUUAGAAACAUCCAUAUGAUGUAAAGCAUAUACUUGUUUAAGUCAUACUAUCUAUUGGUAGAAUUAUGUCAACAAAUAGUUGAGAGUGGAUUAUGACGUAGUGUUACUGUGUCGACCUUGUGUCGAGUUGAGAUUCCAUGUUAGAGACAUGAUGAACUUGUGACACCUAUGCUAUAGAUUAUGUUUUCUUGCCAUUGUGCUCAUUCGCACAUGCUUGUGAGGGUCGCGCCCCACAAGCCGGCACUCCGGAGUUAGCCUAGCGACAGAUUGCUCGCUUUUAUACGAGAUUGAGCGCCGAAGUGGAUUGCUGUGGGUAGUGUUGACUUCCACAGGGCCAUUAGGCACGGCACGGGCUGGAACUUUACUAUGUGUAAGUCUCUUGUUAAUUGGGUUAAUAUAAGUGACUUUAACCUUAGAUGGACAUAGUAGUAAAGAUACUUUAUGUCAUUAGUUGAAUAUACCUAGUAGUGAACAUAUUAGGAGGUUGACAUUCCUGAUAGUCAGUAGUAUAGUGACAGUACCUGAAUGUUUACACUCUUACUAGUGUAGGAAAUAGCUACAUGAUGGCAUUAACUAGUAAAUAAUGAUGAAAUCCUGCAUACAGCCUGACAUAUAGCUAAUUUAAUUGUUAAUUAGCAUGACUUAUAAAACUGGUUAUGAUAAAUUAGUAUAUAAGACAUGUUAGAAAACAUGUCUUUUGAGGCAUGUUAUGGUUGAACUACUUUGUUUACUUAUUGCUUUUACUUUGCUUAUUUAUUGUUGUUUAUUCAUGCCUCAGUUGACCUAGUGGUGUACUUCGCCACUCUCAGCGGCUUACCCACUGGGAACUAUUGUUUAAUAGUUCUCACGCCCUUUUGUUGGUUGUUUUAUGCAGAGCCUUCCACAGCGGGAAAGGCUGGGGUUCCUGGCGAGGGGUCAGCGGCUAGCUAGAGCCUUUUUGAUGUUAAAUAGACGAACCUCUACCAAUUUAUGCAAUUUAGUUCAGUGUUGUGUACUGGGAUUAUGUAGAUAGUACCUUGUUCUUAUCAGUUGUAAUUAGCUUAUGGGUUGUGUAAGUUAUAAACUUUUAAGUUUUGCUCUGAUUACCUGAUUAAGUUAGUAGACUUUUACUAUGAUGAUUGUAGAUGCCUGGUGUACUUGUGAGUUUGUGAUGUACACGACGGGUCUGUGCACGCGACUGAUGAGCUUCCGCUAAAGUCCAGGGCGUGACAAUUUUGUAGUCGCACAAUGCAGGGAGGGAGACUUUGCAAUCUUUCUGCCGGAAUGGAUCCCGACUACGGUCCUGGCUAGAAGGGAAGUACUCACCCUCAAUAGCUUUUGGUUAAGGUGCUUCCCCUGGGGCUAGUAUCGUAACAUUUGCCCACACCAUGUCCGAUUUCGAGCUUGGAUUCGACUGAUAAACCUCCUAUUUGAGAUUUGGUCUGUGGCACGUGUGGCGGCACUAGUUAGUGGAUUUGGGCGAUUCAUCAAGGCGAACGGAGUGACCAAGGCGAUGACGGAUUUUUGAGUCUUUCGGUGUCAAAUCGGCCUCGACUCGCUUGGUGCUAUCCCCCAGAAUCUGUCGGUCAUUAUCAGUGACGAACUGUUCUCGGUUAUCGUCCAUUUGGAGAGUUGGGAACGGUUGGAGAACGCGGGAGAUCCGGCACCCCUCGCCCCCACAGAAAGGACACGAAGACGUUGGCGCGCCGGUCGGAGAUCGGCGCCAAAGACAACCUGACAACGAAGGACACGACCAUGCGCACGAGGAGAUAGAGGACGAGGCGGGAGAGCUGGAGGAAGUUGAGCCAACUCCGUCGACUCACAGGGGGUGGAGGGGCUUGACGGCAUUAAGACUCCCCAUGGUAGCCAAUCAGGUUACAGCGGCGGCGAGGGUCCGGGCGGCGUACGGACGGAGGGCCUGGGUAGCAACGGGUCGAUGAGUCGAAGCGGCGUGGGGAUUGAGACCAUGGGCGCACCUGAACCGAGGCAAGCUGAGAGAAGCGGGUCCUCCGAGAGUUGCACGAAGUUGGAUUAUUGGUCGAGUGGGUGUAGGGAGAAAGGCAUUACUGCUGCUUCCUUAGCAAGGCCUUUUUCUCUCCACAACUCACUGACAAGGGGCUUACCUCGGGAGAAGAUCUUUUCAACCUUAGUGGUUGAGGGGUCCACUGACUUUAUUGCUAUGGCGGUCUCUGCCAUGGGUUUGUGCAGUGCCGAGGCUAAGUAUGAGAAAGAGGGGAUUAGUGCACGACAACCGAGAAUGAUGAGGAGUUCGAUGAAUUAUGUUCUAAUGAAAGAUGGGUUGUGGAAGAUGAGUUCGAAGCUUCCCCCUUCACCUUUGCUUUUUAGCUCUAUGACAGAGAAGAUGUCUAAAGAGAGGGUGCCUUCCACCUUCGAUACCUCGAGAUUUGAGCCUUUGGUUGACUUUAGCCAGUCCUUGGGAACCAACCUAUUACAGCCAUAUGGGAUUACACGGUCACUGUUGUUGACUCAGGGGGUUCUUGUGCUACCCUGGGGAUUCGGAGACUUCUUGUGGCGCGUGGGCCGGCUUGCGAUGGUAAAGGAGUGUUGGGCCCUGCCUCAUUUUCUGAACUCGAUCUCGUGCUCUGUGGUGUUUCAACAUAGGGACCGCGGGCUGGGCCUCUAGUUAACCUCCUUUGGAGUGGGCAGUACAGCCCAGUUUGUAAAGGCCUGGAAGCGUAUAGAAGACAGUGAAAGUAUGGAAGGAGCAGAUCACCAGAUCUAUGGGCGGGCUUUGGAGCUCUUUAAUGGGUGUAAGCAGCUUUCUGACUCAAUUUUUGAAUUGGGAGUGGUGGAUGGAGGCAACAUAGAGCUGUCUCCCCCAACGAUGGAUUCGGUUGAGACGGGGGCAUCACCGAAUCACUACUUGUCCCGUACCUGCCAGAGUAGCCCCAGUCAUUCCAUCCGCCGCUACAGCGAGCGUCUUGGCAGUGCUGACAAGAGUUCAAUACUACACAAAGCAAUAUCGAGGAAGGCUAGAUAGCGCGAAGGUGAGGGUAGCAAUGUGGUCGACCAUAUUGUUAGGAAGAUCAUACGUAAGAGCCGGUCCUUCGGGGUGAAUCUGGGAGUUGCGGAGGCGGAAAGUUUCGUCGAGUUUGCGGCCUACUGCGCAUAGGGUGGGAUGGUUUUCUGGUUUGGAGUAUGUCUUUUUGGAUUUUUUUGGGUUUGGGUGUCUUUGUGCUUUUGUCGAUGUUUCGUGUCUGUAGCUGGAACGUUAGAGGGCUCAACGACCAUCUAAACGUAAUGCCGUUAGGGCGGUAGUCUCUAAGUUAUGUAAUGUGGUAGUGUGUCUUCAGGAAUCUAAAGUUAGUCAUGUAUCGGGGUCCCUUUUUGCGGAGCUUUGGUGGUUCAUUCGUCGACAAAUGUGUUUUUGUGGAAUCUAAUGGUGCGUCUGGGGGCUUAAUCACUUGCUGGAGUUUCCGUGUCUUCAUUUGCCACGAAGUGAUUAUGCGAAGAUUUUCCAUUACGGUACUGCUGACUCACGUCAUGUCUAAAGCAAAGUUCUAUGUUACGUGUAUGGACUGUCUAUGUGGGAAGGUAAGAAGGAGUUCUAUUCAGAGGUGGUGCAAUUGAAAGAGUGCUGCAUAGGUAAAUGGAUUGUUUGUGGAGACUUUAAUAGUACUAGAGGACAAGAGGAGCAGAGGGGGAAAACCUGGAGCUCGAAAGCAACUCUUUUGUUCAACGAUCUUAUUAAGGGGCUAGCACUGAUUGAUCUACCUAUGGUUAACCAAUCUUUCACGUGGUCUAACAUGUAGAAGAGUCCGACUUUAGCUAGACUUGACCGCUUCUAGUCUCGACGGAAUGGGAUAUGGACUUCCCUUUGACCAAGGUUGAAGCCCUGCCUAGAGUAACGUCGGACCACUGCCCUAUUCUGUUAACUGCCAAGCGAUCCGAUAUGCUGAAGAAAAAUAAGCUCUUUCGUUUUGAAAAAGCCUGGCUGAAUCAUGGGGACUUUGUAUCCAAACUCCCGGGCUGGUGGAGGGAGGGUAAUCAGAAAAAGUCGGCGAUACUAACUUUUGUAGAGAAGCUUAGACACUGCAGAACGAGAAUUAAAGAGUGGUGUGCGAAUGAAUUCUACAGUAUCCGUGGACUUAGAUCUAAACUUAUGGGAGAAAUCCAGGAAAUCAAUAUAUUUGAAGAACAGCUAGAACUUACACAAGAUCUAUAUUUGAAGAGGGAGGAGCUUAAAGAAAAACUACGGAGGGUUUUAAAUGACGAAACGGCCUUGUGGAGAACACGAGCCAAACAGCAUUGGCUGCAGGAGGGGGACGGCAAUACAAAAUUUUUUCAUUCCAUAGCUAACGGCAGGAAAAGAGCUAAUGGAAUUGGCAUGAUUAACGACGAUGGAGGUGUGUUCCAAACAGACGACGAAAAAAAGAAUUACUUUUAUCUCAAAUUUAAGGAGCUUUUAACUCUAGAAGUGAGGACCACGACAUCCUUCAGGGAUUAGUGCGGCCUCUUCACUACGAACCGGGUAUCUAAAUUCAAUAUUGCUCGCCUGACCGAACCCUUUAGCACCACUGAAAUUAAGAAAGCGGUCUUCCAACUCGGGAGUGACAAGGCGUCGAUUAUUGUCGAUUAAGAACCCUUUAGCACCGCUGAAAUUAGAAGGGGAUAUAUUGGCUCUUUUUCACGAGAUGUACGAGGGAAAGCUAUCCACUAAUCCUAUUGAUUAUUCGUUCAUCUGUUUUAUUCCCAAAAAAGAAGGGGCGGAGCGGGCGAACGAUUACCGGCCUAUAAGCUUACUAAAUGGCAUCCAAAAGAUCCUAUUGAAGGUCUUGGCUAACCGGUUGGAACCGAUUAUGAACGACCUGAUUUUCUCUUCCUAGUCAGCAUCCUUAAAGGAGAGGAGCAUAUCCGAUGCUUUCGUCGCAGCCUCCGAAAUACUCGGAUGGAGAUGUAAGAAGGCUAUAGAGGGGGUCGGUGUGAAAGUGGAUUUCGAAAAGGCUUAUGAUCGGAUCAGUUGACCUUUUUUGUUUCGAAUUUUAGACUUGUGGGGCUUUGACACAAAAUGGAGUGAUUGGACCAAGCUCUGUGUGUGCUCUACCAAAAUAGCCGUUUUGGUUAAUAGAGAGCCUAUUAAGUGGAUCAAGACAAAAAGAGAAGUUAGGCAAGGGGACCCGCCGUCCCCUUUUUUUUCUUGCUAGUGGCAGAGUGCAUAGCCCGAAUGACUAAUGAGGCAUCUACUAACAAUCUACUCAAAGGUCUUGAUCAAUCCGAGGCGAGCAGAGUAACUAUUAUCCAGUUUGCAGACGAUACAUUUUUUUUCUGCGAGGCUAGGAAAAGGUAUAUUAGAAACCUUAAGGUCUUGUGGCAGCUGUUCGAAUGGGCCGCAGGAAUGAAGGUUAAUAAGGAGAAGUCGGAAUUGUUCUAUACUGGAAAAGUUGAAGGAAAACCGAGAAGACUUGCGGACUUACUUGAGUGCAGUGUUGGUACGCUCCCAAGUACCUUGGCCUUCCUCUCUUUAGUAGAGCUCCUUCCAAGGCGGACUGGAUGGGAGUAAUCUAGAAAAUCCAAAGUAGAAUUGACGGCUAGCAGGCUAAACUCUUUUCAAGAGGGGGUAUAAACUCAUACUAGUUAAUGCGGUCUUAACCAACCUACCUAUAUACUACCGGUCUACGUUCAAGGCGCCCAAAUGGGCGAUCAAACGUAUUAAGGCACUUCAUAGAAACUUCUUUUGGAAAGAAGGUAGCUGCUCCCCAGGCAAGGGAAGUCUAAUCGCCUGGAAAAAUGUAUGUAUAAGUAAGAAAGAAUGAGGGCUUGGCAUCUUGGACUUGGCUGUUAUGAAUCAAGCUUUACUUGUCAAAUGGUGGUGAAAAUUUCACACGGCGCCCCAGCUACAGCGGAAUAAGCUUAUUCAUGACCUAUAUUACUGCAGAAGAAGACCGUUGAACGAUGGAAGAUCUUCUAGGCCUCUUUCACAAUGGUGAAAAGGAGUUCUAAGUCUCUCGGAUAUCUUCAAAUGGGGAUUAUUCUAUUGGGAAAUGGAUGCACUAUUGAUUUUUUGUCGGAUCGAUGGUGUGGGGAGAAGGCUUUGCAGCUGGCCUUCCCGGAGGUGUACGACAUGGCGGAAUGCAAGACCGUUAAAGCUAAGGAUUGUUUGGGAAGUGAUGGCUGGAACUGGAAUGUGAUCCUAGGAGGCGAUGGCGUUGGUAGGCAGGGCUUGUGUUCUACCUGGUCAGAGUUUAAGGAUCAAAUCUCUGCCUGCACAGGAGAUCAGAGCCCUGAUAUGAUCCUUUGGCGGUGGGACCCCGGGGGGCGCUUCUCAGUUAAGUCGACGUACUCUGCGCUGAGGGAUGGAGGCACGAGGGAUGCCCGCGCAAACAAGCUUUGGAGACUUUGAAUACCUUUAAAAGUUAAGGUGUUCUCCUGGCUCGCCCUAAAAAAAGGCUACUUAUGGCCGAUAACCUACAAAAAAGAGGGUGGAGCGGUGACACGGCUUGUGUUUUGUGUGGGUCUAAAGAGGCAACCGUGGAUCACUUGUUCUCUGCUUGUGUCUUUGCUAAAUUUAUCUUUGUGAUGGCAGUGGAGGGUGUUCAGAUUUGAGAUUUGGCAGACAGCGUUCAAGGGGUAUGGGAUAGAUGGGCGGGUACGAAGAGCCCGCAUUCUACGUCUAACAGACUUACGGAACUAGCGGCUUGUUGGUGGAUCAUCUGGGAGAGCAGGAACGAUGUGAUCUUCAAAACGACUCAGCUGGACCCUCUGCGAGCAGCCCGUAAGGUUAAAAAGUUGUCGGUGGCUUGGGAACAAUCUUUGUCGGCUAAUCAGUAGUUUUUUUUUUUGUUUUUUUUUAUUUUUUUUUCGAACCCAAGCCUAGCUGCCUCACUUCUGUAGCUUAAUUCAUCUUUUCAAUGAAUGAAGCGGGUAGCAUGCUACCUUUUCCUCAAAAAAAAAAAAAAAAAAAAAAAAAGUAAUAUCCAUCAGAGGAUAUGUUGUUUAACUAAUAAGAAAUAUAUAAUUUAUUUUUAUUCUUAACUUAUUAGAAUAAAUCUCAAUCCAUAUUCUCUUUUUUAUAAAUAAUCUAUUUUGAGAUGUCAAACAAAUAACACAUCAAGCCUAGAGGAAAUUUUUUAAUAAAAAAAAUAUGGCUAAAUUACAUAAAAUUUUCCUGUCAAAAUUCAAUUUUUCACUUUCCCGGCCCUGUCAUUUAAAAACCUACACUUUGCCCCCUUGUAAAAUGAAAAAUGUUCACAGGGGGAUACGGUGUGUAAAAUGACCAUUUUGCCCCUCACCAUUUUCGUCUCCUCCCUCAUCUUCCUCAACCGCCGCCUCGAUCGGCCGCGAUUCACACCUCGACCGGCCGCGAUCUCUCCAUUUUCUUUUCCACCUGCUCCCCUUCUCCUCCUACACCCUCGCUGCCUCUCGAUUUCAGCAACAGUAGAGAGGAAAUUGAGGUCGGCGCUGAUGGAGAGGUAGGCAAGGGCAACGAGGGCGAAGGCAAGGCGGCAGAAGAGGGUGAAGGGGAUGUGGGCGAGAGUGAGGGCGAGGCAGUGGAGGAGGGCAAGGCGGCGAGGCGACGGCGAAGCGGCGAGCCGGAGGGAGGCGAAGCAACAGGGAAGAGGGUGGAGGGGUAUUGUUGGCAUAAAAAAAUAUUUUAUAACGGAACCCUAACGGAUCACUAACGAUAAGGGAUGAGUGAACAUUUUUCAUUUUACAAGGGGGCAAAGUGUAGGUUUUUAAAUAACAGAGGGGGAAAGUGAAAAAUCGGAUUUUGACCGGAAGAUUUUCUAUAAUUUAGCCAAAAAAUAUCAACAACAAUCUUCGAAGACCCUUCAUAAAACCCAAGACAUUUCUCACUUUCACCAUCAUUUAUUGAAGGUAAAAUUGUACAAAAUUUAUUUCAACUAUAAAAUAUUUUGAGUCGAUUAUUUAAUUUUUUUAAAUUUUAAUUUUACUAACCAACCUUUCAAUUUGUUUGAUUUUAAACCAGUCAAGACAAUUUCACUUCAAAAUUUAAACUAAUUGCUUACUUUAUUGAGUUCAUAAAAUGUACUAACUAAACAUGUAAAAUUAAACAACACAUUAAAAUUUUGAACUCAAAAUAUCGUUGACCGAAUCAAAUCAAAUAAAUUGAAAAAUUAAGUAGUAAAAUCAAAUUUUAAAAGAUUAAAUAUUUGACUAAAAAAUGGUACAUAGUUCGGAUAAAUUCUAUAUGUUUUUUCCUCAAUUGAAUAGCCUAUGAACUAUGCAUCACCACCAAAGUCCACAAAUCCAAUUCUCCAAUGAGGAAAUCAACAAGUGAACUUACUAUCUAUCAAAUUACAAGGAAAUAAUAAUAUGCACAAGGAUACAUGACAUAGUUCAAUAAGAAUUUAACACCCUCAAGCUAGUAAAAGAGAAUCAGAUGUACUAAACCUCCAUUUCCCCCUCUCUAAACACAACAAACUAUUAUCAUGAUCACCAUAAACUUGCUCCAAACUCUGCUGCCAAAGUGGCGAGGACCUCAUCGGCGGCGAGGACCCGACGCAGACGUCGAGCCGUGCCCUAAACCGCUCGUCCCCAGGGCGGAGCAUCGCGGGGAGCGGCAACCGCACGCCUCUCUCUUCGCAUGCGAUGUGCCUCGGCCGGAUCCGGCCAUCGAGGCCGAACGAGAAGUAGUGCGGGAACUCGCGGAGCUCCACGGGGCUCCGGCCCAUCGCGUCGAGCAAGAACCCCAGCUUCGGCCGCAGAUUACCCUCGAUGCUGUAGCACAUCAGCUGCGGGAACCGCCGCGCCAUCGCUCGCGCCUCCUUGCGAGAGAAACCGGCAGACUCCAAGAACUCGAGCCGCGGGAGGAGCUUCUCCUCUACGCUGCAGGAUAGCAGGGUUGCGUGGCGAGAGAUCGGCGAGAUACCUGUUGAGUAUGAAUGAUUAAAAUCCUGUUCUCUAAUAGUUUAAGCGUUCAAAGAAUAACUAUAUAUUAUUUCGAUUAAAUAUAAAAAAAAGCAGGAGAUCAUGAGUUAGUUACAAAUGCAAGAGGACUUCUUGUGUCAUUUAUUAAUUUCCUCUUAUUUGCCUUUAACUAUAUGCCAUUUUGAAAUAGGCCUCUAAUACAAAUAUAUUUUCCCCCUCUUUUAUUGAUAAUAUAUAUAUGAACUUACAAUUGUCUUGAUUUGAAUUGUUUUUCUGAAUAGAAUUAGAUAUAUAUAUAUAUAUAUAUAUAUAUAGUAAUUAACAACUUUCUUAGCUAAAGUAGUUACUGACUAAUGAAUUUACAGUUCUAUAAAAUUAUAAUACAUCCAAAAUAUAUAUAUAUAUAUAUAGUAAUUAACAACUUUCUUAGCUAAAGUAGUUACUGACUAAUGAAUUUACAGUUCUAUAAAAUUAUAAUACAUCCAAAACAAUUAAUUUACCAAAAAUUUUAAUUUAAUUUAAAAAUAAUAUAAAUUAAACCGUAAACUUCGUUUAGCCUCCGUGUGGUCUAGGCUGCGCACUUUCACUUCGCCAACUUCUAGUCCGAAAACUUUUUACUUUACCAUUCCGUGGUUCGAAAAGUUUUACUUUGCUACCAUGUGAUUUAUUCUUUGUUUCACUGUAAGGACCUCUCGUUAAAUAGGUAGUAAAGUGAUAGAUUUCACAACCACAAGAUCACUAAAUGUAAAUUAUUGGCUAGUUAUUAAUACUACUAUUUGCGCCCCCCUAUGGUUUGUAUAUUGUCCAUUUUACUGCCCCGUGGUUUGCACAUUAUAGUAUUUUUAGUAUCUCAGUUAAUAGCAUAUCUUUAAAAUAAAACAAAGAGAAAACCACGUCAUAAUAAAGUAAAACUUUUUAAAUCAUAAAAUGGCAAAAUAACAAAUAAUCAAGUGUUUAGGAGUGUCAAUCAGAGACAAUCGUUGAAGGAUCUAUUUUAAAACGACAGUGUUUACCGGUUUCUGUGGCUUAACAAAAACAAUAAACUUAUUUUAAUACUCUAUUUAACAGUAGGUCCUUACGAUGAAACGAAAAUGAAAUUAGAAUAGUAAAGCGCUACUUUUUUCAAACCACGUGAUGGCAAAAUAAAAAUGUAAGGGCGUUUAGAUUACUGCUACUGUGGUUCAGUUGAAAAUUAAGCUUGCUAAGAAUAAAACUAUUGAUGCCGAAGAGAUUCAUCGUCUAAUCGUAGAUUAGAUUUUGGAUCUUUCUAUGAAUCUCCUUUUCAGAGUCUACGUGAUAAGUAAUAAGACUAACAUUUUAACUCUUAAUAACUUAAAUUACAGCAAAAUCCUGACUUCAUCAAUCCAAAUGCCACUAAAACCACCAGAAGGCAAAUUGAAGUUUACCUUUAGGAUCUGUUUGUUCCCAGGUUUGUAAUAUUUGAGAAAUAUUGUAUAUUUUAUAUUUGGAAUGAUAAAAUUAUUAUUAACUUAUUAUGCUGCAUGGGGUGGAUGGUUGUUAAGAAUUAGUAUAUUCCUAUUAAUAAGCUACUAAUAAUUCCCAUGAAGCAUGAAAAUGAGAAUUUCUCCUAACUCAUAAUAAUCUAGUAUUAAUUCCUACCAUCUAAGAAUCUACAAUGGUUCCACAACAACCAUAUUUGGAUGUCGGAAUAAGUUAUUCAAGAAUUAUUUAUUCCACAUAAAGAUUUUCUAAUAUGAUUGUAAAUAAGGUGACUUUUGUUCCUUCAAACAUCAAGCUAUCCAUGAUUUGGCAGGAUAGCAUAUUUCACCUAUAAGAUUAUUUAUCUUGUGGAAAACAAUAAUUUAAAAGUAUAGUAUCCAAUUCUAAACAUUUUGAUAACACUCCCUAUCAACCAAAGGUACAAAGUUUUAAAAUAAAUUAAGGCUCUAUUUGAAUGUCGGAAUAAGUUAUGAUUGUAAUUAAGAAGUCUAAAUUUUGUUUCUGUCUUGCUAUCUAUAACUUUGUGGGAUAGCAUAUUUUAUUCACGAGAUAAUUUAUUAUAUUCUAAAAAUAAUUUGAAAGCCGAAUAUGAUACUCUAUUUUAUAUAUUUGAUCACACUCCUUAUCUACCAAAUUUAGAUAUUUCUUAAAUAAAUCAAGAAAAUAUAGAGCUAAAAAAAUAUAUCGAACAAGAUAUUCAUAUAUCCAAACAGAGCUUACGCCAUUUCCACCUUUUAUAACUACCCACAAUAAGUUGAGUAUGUAUUGAUUUGAAUAUUUUCAAGAGUCCGACUAUGGUGCUUCCGAAAGCACCCGUCGUAUGGUAUUUCUAAUUUUUUAACCCUUGGAACAACCUCUUUGAUCAUUUCUAGUUCUUGAAUUAAUAUUAUUCCUCUAGAAGAAGAGAACCAUUAUUAUCCCGACCCUACAAUUUUUAAUCCAAAGGUCAAAAAGUCGGAAGUAUCAACUCCUUCGUUUUUUCGGAAGCACAGAAGCUCUACACUAUUUUCAAGAACAAAUAUGGAGAAUCACCGGAAUAUUACAAACCACACACAAACAUGAAAUUAAGCCUUUGAGAGAAAUCGGGAAAAUCUACGCACCUAGGGUUUGGAGGAAGUAGAGUGUGGGGCGGAGCCGCCCGGGGACGGAGGAGACGAGGAGGCGCGGGCGCCGCCGGAUCACGCGGGGGAGCGCGGCGGCGGGGACGCCGGCCUCGCGGCGGAGGAACGCGGCGGCGGCGGCGAUCGUCUCCGGCGCCGCCGCGAGGAUCUCCGGGCACAUCCCGGCGCUGCGGCGGAGCUCGCCGGGCCCCAGCCCCAGCUCCACCAGCGCCGCCGCCGCCGCCCGCAUCUCCCCGAUCGGCGCGCGCGCCACCGCCGCCGCGGCGGCGCCGGAGGCGAGGUCGACGCCGAGGGAGUCGAGGAAGAGGAGCUUCUCCUCGGAGGAGGAGGAGGAGGAGGAGGAGGAGGAGAGGGGUAUUUUGGGAAGAGAGGGGUGUACUUUGGGAAUUGGGGCGAUUGGGGGAACGGGGGCGUGGAGCUUCGCCCUCGCGGCUGGGAAGCGGGGGCGAGGAGGACGACGACGAGGACUAUUUUGGGAACGGGAGGGUAAUUUGGGAAUGGGGGAGGAGGGGCAUAAUGGGAAUGACAAUAUUUCCUCCAUUGGUGAGCCACUCGUGUGUCGAUGCUACAUUGCUGCGUAGGAAAUAGAAAGAAAGGAAAAAGAUAGAUAGAGAGAGAGAGAGAGAGAUAAGGCGUUGAAGAGCAGAGACAGAGAGAGAGAGAAAUUUAUGGGUGCACUUGGUGUAUCGGUAAAUCUCGUGCACCGCACUUCAUUUGAUGAUCUAGGCUUCAUAAUUGGAAAUUACUACCUAUAUAUCUCUACAUAGACCGAGAGAGAGAGAGAGAGAGAGAGAGAGAGAGAUAGGUUUUAUACUUUCGAAAAUGUGAAAGCCUCCGUCCGUGCAUAUAAGUUAUUUUGGAUGAUGGAACAUUUGAUUCGGCGAUCAAUUUUGUUAGACAUUAUCUAUGCUAUUGAAACUAUCUAAAAACCAAAUUUUAGAAUUUUUUUAUUUCAUUUGCUUAGUGAACAAGUAGUUUAAAAAUAAACAAUUGAAAAUAAAAAUCUCAUAAAAACAAUGAUAAAAGAUAAAUUUUAAAUCAGAAAUAUUAAUCUUACUAUUGAUAUUAAGUAGAAUUUUCUAUUAUAAUUUUUAUAUAAUUUGGAUUGUUCUAUACCGUUCAACAAAAAAACGUGCCACAUCAACCGUUAAAAUAGUCAAUUUUUGAGACCUUUUGAUUACGUGGUAAAUAAUAUUGAAAAAUUAUGAAAUUUUAUUUUCAGUAGUUCCAAUAGCAUCGAUUAUGCCUAUCGGAAUUAAUCGAAUGUCUUAUCAUCGAAAAUAACUUAUAAGCACGGAGGGCUUCAUACUUUAGAAAGCACAGAAGAUGUACUCUAUAUGUGUGUGUGUAAGUUUUAGACCUUGCUUGAUGUGUAGUGUUCACAAAAUCAUUUUAGCUUUUUAGUAUUAAAAAAAAUAGGGUAAACUUUAAAUACCACCACUUUCGCACUUUCUUACUUUAGUACUUAUAGUUUAAAGUAUAUCAAUAUAGUACACUAUGGUAUCAUUUUUUUUUUUUUUUGUCAGCCCCUCCGUUAACUUUUCAUUAAAUCAUAUAUAAAAAACUUCAUAUGCCCACCUAUAGUUUAUCGAAUAUUCAUUUUAGUAUAUUUUAGUUUUAACUUUGUCACUGAUUUAAUGAAAAUAUAUACCACAAAAGGUUAACAUUUAUUGAAAUAUAUUUAUAAUUCACUAUAUUUGUAGAGACCUGUAUGCAUUUUAAAUUAUAGAAAGCAGAUAGUACUCUAUGUUAGUAGAGAAGUGACAUAUCUUAUACAUAAAUUAUAGGGAAAACUUCAAAACCCCCCUGUGGUUUCGUAGUUUCUCACUUUGCCCCCCUGUGGUUUAAAAUGUAUCAAAUUGCCCCCCUGUGGUUUCGUUUUUAUCUUUUCGGUAGCUUUUUCGUUAAUAUUUUAUUAAAUUAUAUACAAAAAAUUUUAGAUACUCAUCUAGAUUUAUCAAAUAUUCACUUUAGUACCCUUUAAUUUUAACUUUAUUACUGAUUUAAGAAAAAAAAAUAAUGAAAUUGAUUAGAAAAAGAGAAAAAAGAAACCACAGGGGGACAAAUUGAUAUAUUUUAAACCAUAGGGGGGCAAAGUGUGAAACUAUGAAACCACAGGGGGGUUUUUUGAAGUUUUCCCUAAAUUAUAUCUAUUCAUUUGAGCCUUAAAAAAUAGGCUCAAUUUUAAGAAGACCCCUUGCACUUUAAUGCUUUUCUUAAGCACCCCCUGCAUUAAAAAUUACAUCAAUUACUCUCCCACAUUUUGUCAUUAUCUUAAAUUGGUCUAACUAUUCCGAAUAAUUAUUGAAUUUAGCUAUAAAACUUUAUAAAAAUAAAUCGGCUGGCAAAAUUAUCUUUAGAUAAUGCAAUAGAAUUAGUUACUCGACAAAUGAUCAAUUUUGAUAGAAUUAGCAAAAUAAAAAAAAAUUAUCUAAUUUUUUGAUAUAUUUUUGAGCUGCAAACUGAAUAUAUGUUGAGAUGCGGAGCAAUGUGAUAUACCAACUCAUUUUAUUAAAAUUUUCAAGCCUAAUUUGUUAAAACUUUUUAAAUAUUUUGGAUUUAUUUAAGAUGAUGACAAAAUAUAGCAUGCUAAUUGGUGGAAUUUUUCAUGUAGGGGGAUAAUUGAGAAGUUGAUAAAGUGUAAGGGGGCUUUUUAUAAUUUAGCCCUAAAAAUAUUCUAAAUUUAACACCUCGUGACCUCGUGUAGGUUUAUAUUAAUUAUUAAUUAUGGUGCGGUGUAUGAGAUGUAGGGAUACACCAGGUUCAGCCAACAGUACUUGUGUGAGCACACUCCAGGGAGUGAGAGAACCCACUCAAAAUUUGGACGGUUGAGAUUUCGAGUUGAGAAUCUGACGGCCCGUGGAUAGCUGGGAAAACCCCAUUCCACAAAUUUUGAUGCGUGGUUUUAUUGAUUUCCGAAAUUAAAAAAAAGAAAAAAAGAAAAAUGGGGUAAUUUUUGUGACCACAAAAUUUAGCGGGCAAACCACGACCACAAUCGGGCUUUUUGUGAAUGAAUGGCGCCACCAACAACCUUGUAACAUGCACGCUUCACAUUUUUCUUCGAAUUUAGGCUUCGUUUGGGAUUACGGGGAUCGCGUUACGUGUGGUGAGAUAGAAAGUACAUUGAAAAAAUAUUCUGUUUGUUUUCGUACGUAAUAUUGCGUUCCGCAUAUCGCGAUGAGUCAGUUAAGAUAUAUUUUCUGUGGUCCCACCGGAGAACGCAGAAGUAUAUCCCUAUAUGCUUUUUCCUCAUCUCUAUUUUAUCUAAUAGCGUUAGAUAGGUCUCAAUACUAAACUAAGCCUUAGUAAAUUAUAAGGCAUGUACCGGCGCUUUGCUGUGGGUACGAUAAGUAUAUUCUUAAUAAAAUUUGUAAAAUAUAAUAUAUAUUUUUAUUUUAUAUAUUAUAUAUUAUUGAUAUAUAAUAAUUAUUAUACUACAUAUAUUAUUAUAAUAACUUAUAUUUGUAAAUUAAAUAUAUAAAACUUAUAUUAUAUAAAUUGAUGUAUAUAAUAUAAUAUAUAUACAAUAAUAUUUAUAUAAUACUAUAUAAUAAAAAUAUAAAANCAAAAUUUUCUGAAGUAAAAGAAAAAGUUUGUAAUAUGCUUAUUUUUAGGUCAGUUUGUCUGAAAGAUAUAUAUCCUUUUUUGUGUUUUUUUAAAAUUCUUAUUCUUUUAACUCUAUUCAGAUUAUUUUUGUCGAUCUAUACAAGCAAUAUCGAGAAUUAAAAAUAUUAUGAUAAAAUAAAAAGUAGUUACUUGAUUCAUAGGUUUUUAAUUCACCGGCUUUAUAAUUUUUUUAGAAUUUAUGAACAUAUAUUUAAUUUUCUGCAGGGCAAGAAUUUGUUUGUAAGAAAUUUUUAAAUUUAGCACAAUUACGCACCAACGUGAGAAAUUAGAUAUGAUUUGAUCUAAAAUUUGGACUUAUAAUAGAUAAAUGACAAAAAAUAGAGGAGUACUCUAAUUGGUUUAAUAGUUGGUAGGCAAUGAAGCAAAUCAAUUUAGAAAAAUAGCUCAAAAUUUUAUAUACUUUAGGAUUUAAAAUUUAAAAUUUGAAGUUGAAAAUUUGGGAAUAAAUUAAAAUUUUGAUAUCCAAAAUUUGAAAUUUUAUAAUAUAAAAUUUUAAAACUCUGUAUAUCUAUACUUCUAUACUAUAUAUACUAUCUAUACUAUCUAUCUAUACUAUCUAUAACCCUUAUGAAAGCCCGUGUUCCCUUUGUCCACGUGGCAGCAUUAGCUUAAUUUUACUUUUGUGGGCCCUACCUGUUAUCUUAAAAUAUUUUAGUAAUUAAUUAGUGGGUGGGUCCUACCCAACCAAAUUUUUUUUCAUAAUCUGCUUCCAUUUAAUUUUCCCUAUUCCAACUCCGCCUCCUUCCCUGCUUCUAAUUAACUUCUUCUUCCAACUUCACCUCCUUCGCUCGCCCCUCUAGGUGCCGCUCCGACUCCUGUUCCCUCCCGUUCCCUCUCUGGACGGAAUGUUGGGCGAGUUCAUGGUCGGGCCUUCUUCCCGUCGCGACGCUUCGUUUCGUUCGCUCCUUAUAUGCCGCUUCGACUCCUGUUCCCUCUCUAGACAGAAUGUUGGGCUGGGUUCAUGGUCGGCGCUUCUUCCGGUCGCACCGUUCCCGUUAGCGACGCUUCGUUUCGGCUUAUUCAUCCCCUUUGAUCACGAAAAUGGUAUGGAUUCAUUCUCUGUGGUCCCUUCUUGCUGUCUAUAUAUGUUAAAAUCGGAAUGGCGAAAAAUAGAUCCAGAAAAUAAUUUAAUGCAAGAAAAGAAAAGAUAAGCGGAAAGAACACACCGAUAUUUACGUGGUUCGGCCAACGGUCUACGUCCACGGGCGAAGGCGGAGCAAAUAAUUUAUUAAUGUCGAAAAGGCGGAGUACAAAGAGAAUCUCCCAAAAGACCAAAACUUAAUUAGAUCUGAAACGGCGCAACAAGCAACUUCGGAAAAAAGCUUCUCUGUCAAUCCGUACGAACCAAGCCAAUGCCGACUCUCUACUGGUGUGCAUGCCUUAAUUAGAGCUGUGCAUAAUUAAAGGCUGCGGCACCUCUCCAAUGCACACCACGAAGUUGCCACGUAACCACCAGCACUUCUUAGGCCCUUUAAUUUGAGCUCCGUUAAUUAGAUCAUGGCCUCUUAAAUUUUGUUGCGAUUGCUUCGUUACCGUACGGAUCACCAACAACUUAAUUUCAUGGCUCUUAAUUUGGUCGCGGCGAUUAAUUUGGCCGUGACAUGUAUAUAUAAUACAUGUUUCCUAAUUAGAGUCUAAUUCUAAUUCAAUUAGAAUUAUACUCCUAAUUAUAAUCCAUAUAUGCCAAAUUAAAUCUAAAUUAUAUAUAAUCCUAAUUAGAUUAGGAUUUAACUCCAAUUUAGAUAACUGCAAAUCUAAACCAAAUAUAACAAUAUAAUAUGCCUCUGUCAAAUUUUUAUUUGCUGCAAAAAACUCUCUGAUUUUUUCCAUCGAUUUGGUAGCGAGGCCUCCGCGGGCUUCGAUUUCACCUCCAGGAAGCGGAUCGAGCAGCCGCCCGGGCCCACGCCCGCACGAGGGCACGAGCCGACACGGACGCGAGCCGGCGCGGGUGUGGGCGUGGGCGUGGGCGUGGGCGCGCGCAGGGGCGCGAGCGGCGUGGGCUGCGCGGGUUGGGUCCGGACACGGGCGCGGGAAGUGAUCUCCGCGCUCUCUCCCUCGCAGGCACCGUGCCCUCUCCGCGCCCUCUCCCUGCCGCCGGGAUCUGCAGUGUGAUCUUCACUGGUGCCGCGCCCUCUCCCUGGCACCCUCUCCGACCUCCCGCUCGCGAACCCCAAUGCCCUCUCCCUGGUGCCCGCGCCCUGUUCAACGAAAUGCCGAGCUUAUUUAUAAAUGACAAUUUCUCAAUUUGCUGAGCUUUUUAAAUAGGUUUACUCAGAAGAAUCUACUCAGAAUUUAUCCAAAGGGAACGCGAUUCAAUUCAUCAAACUAUAACCCGUAUAUCGGUUGGAUGCAUGGUGCUCAAAUGGUUGCAUUCAAUAUGCAGGUUAGCCUCUAUGCUUAAGAUACAUAGUGAAGUAUAUUUGAUUCAAUUUCCUAAUCUGUUCAUUUGAGUUGAUGUGCCCUUGCAUUUAUCUCAUUGCUCCAAGUUUAUGAAAUCUGGUUUCAUUACUCCAAGUGUAUGAUUUUCUUAAAUAUUUUAUCAUCUAGAGAUAGGUAAAUUGGCUUUCUCAGAUCUGGUUUCUGUUGAUUAAGGAUGUGAUUUAUAUAUUAGUUUCUUAAAUAAAAUCCUAUGCAUGUUUUGUUGGUUCUUGGGGCGCAGUUGUUUAAAUCAGCUUAUAAGAAUUGUGCUAUCAUUUUCAUCUUUGUUCCAUUUUUUUGUCGUAUUGGCAACUGGGAGGCGCAUAUAUAUUUUUUCUCUUAACAGCUUGCUCUUACUUCCUUUUAGGGGUAUGGAAGAUCCUUAUGGUUAACGCAUGGGUUUUACGAAGCCAAUGAGGGUUGUGGUUAUGUGAAAAAACCUGAUUUCCUAAUGGGGAAUGGUUCACAUGGUGAGAUUUUCGACCCGAAAGCAAAUUUACCUGGACUGAUGACCAACGAGCAAUAGAAUGAUAACAAAAUAAGAUAUUUGCUUUUUUUCCCGGAGAAUUAAAUUUCUAAUCUCUAUUGGCUUUUAUUACCUAGCAUUCUAUGGAGAAAAGAUCCUACUCUCUUUAGAAUAUAUUAUGCUUAGAAACUGCACAAUGCCUAUCAGAAGCUGUCACUCAUGACUCUCAUUACUCUAUUAUAGUUUCUGACCCUACUUUCGUCUUUCUAUAAGGAUGAUCACUAGAUGUUACAUUUUAUGAAAUUAAUCCCUCUUUUGGCUUCCAUUUUUUUUUACUUAACUUCUUUAAUUGGUAACAUACACUUAUGAAUUGCGGUCAAAAAAUCUAAAGCUCAAUUUAAUAUCCCCAACAUACUUUUUCAGUACUUUACAUAUUCUGACUUAUGCAUUUGCAAGUCCAAGACUCUUCGCAUUAUCAAUUUUAUUUCUCUUUAUUUAUUUCUUUUCUUUUCUUUUCUUUUUUAGUCUGGUAAUUAAGCCUUUGUAAAUGUCUUAUAUGCAGAUAAUAAAAUGAGGAAUUAGUUGGUGGAGUUGGUCUCAUAUGUUGAUAAACUGAACAUUGAGUAAGCUUAUAUUUUUCCUUUAUAUCUGAAGUGUUCUAUAGCUUAAUUAGAUACCUAGCCUCAUAUGUAUAAUCUCUUACCAUGAACUCAACAUAUGUUGUUCUGGGUGGAUUAGGUAAUGUUCUAUGAGAAGAUCCGAAUAAAUAUAAUGCUGUGUGAAAAAAAAAGAGUUGCUAAUUAUUAAGACUUCAUUUCAUUUCAUUAUAUUGACAUUUCCUCCUUAAAUGUUGGAUGGUUUUGAUGGUUGCGAUCGACCCGACCCUUCUUAACUGGUGAUGAGGACACUUUGGAUGGCCUACUUUGUAGGCAGUCGGUUGCUCCCUGCUAUGUAAAAAAAAAGACUUCGGCGGCGAUCUAAUACGCAAAACAAGACUUCGGCGGUGAUCUAAUAAUGUUCGAUGGAUAGGGAAGCCUUAGCAAAGUAUAUUUAUUUUCACUAUCAGGUUUGCUUUCGCUCCUACUCUAUAUUUGUAAAGAAUUUAUUUUCAUCUCGAUUCAUUUAGUCUAUUUGGUAUGGUUUUCAUGAUCUGAUUUAGUUUCCUAUGCUUUUCAUUGUUGUCCUAUGUGGUCUACGUUAAUAUUUAUGGUGGCCUUCCCCUUGAAUGUCAAAUCGUUGUGAUAAUUGAGAGGGGCCUGGGCCUUCUAGACUGGUUAUGAGGGCACUUUGGAUGGCCUUAGUACUCGAUUAAUAUUCCAGCUGCAACUUUGAUUGAUUAAACUCUUCUUUGUUCUCUCUAGGUUUCUGGAUAAUCACUAAAUUUUCUACUCUUUGUGCCAAGCUGUGGUGUUCUAAUGCAAUUGUAUAUGUAAAGCUUAGUGCCUUAGCACAUAUUAGUGUAAAGUUGCAUGAGUUAACUCUAACUUAAAUUGUUGCAUGAAUGAUUGCAUAUUACAUUCACUUUAGAGAACAAAUUUGAGUUUUAGUUGGAUUCUUCAUUCGAAAAUUGCAUCUUUAGAAUUUGAGCUGAGUAUAAUAGCUACAUGUGUAGCUGAACAAGCCUUUCUCACUGAGUAAAUCAUGUAAAAUAAUGCAAUUUAGGUAUGAAAUUUGGCAAUAUUCUUUUUUUUUUUUUAUGCAGUGAGUAAACUUGCAAGCAUUGAUUUUAUACUUCAAUUUCCAGUUUUGGUUGUUUGUAGUGAAUUUUUUACUCUGGAUUAUCCUCUUUCUUUUCCUUUUUCUUUUUCAGCCAUUUUAUAUGCAGCAUGGUCUUACACUUUCUUUCUUAUACCUCGAGAUUGCUUUUGCUUUCCAUUUGGAUGGCUUGGUAAGUAUUUCUGUCAAGUUGGGGUGUUUUUCAUUUAUGUCCAUGCAAAAUCAUCAUUUACAUAUAUACUUUUUACAAUCUGAAUGUUAAUAUGUGCUCCCCGAAAGUGAAUUUUGUCCAAAGGUAUCCUUAUCUAAAGUGAGGGAGCCAUCUAAUUUAGGUGGCAAUUGCAUGAAGUUAAUUUUGUAUCACCGAAGGUCUUUACUGAGAAUCAUUUUUGGUGGCAGAAGGGUAUAUCUAGAAAAAAGUAAGUUUUUGAAGUAGAUGAAAUUCAGUUUAUGGAGAGAUGCGUAGAUAACUUUUUUGAAUAAUUUGAUAAUUGAAAUUGUCUUCUACAUUCAGAUUAUAUCAAACACCACAAUUUCACGGCCAAAACCUCUAGAGAAGCACCAUUUGGCUCCAGAACCUGGUGGUUUAAAUGGGAAGCCACUCUUUGAUCUAUCUAUUCAUACUCAAGGUGAUGUAUAUGCUCACUCAAGGAGAUGUAUAUCCACACACAAGGUGAUGUAUGGUAAUUUAUUUUGGAUUCUUUAAAAAAAAAAAAAAAAAUAAAAAUCAUCAUCUCAAGUUUGUUUAAUUUGUAAACAAUGCAGUGAUGAAGAUGCAUACAAGAAGAUCCAAUCAAGUGCAACCCUGGUUUAGCUUUAUACUGGUUUUGCCUUUGGGGGACCAGCACUUAUUCCCUAGAUAAAGGUCUUUAUUAGUACUAACCUACUUUUCAUCCUAUAAUAUAAUACUUUGGGUCUAUAUUUAAAUGUUAGGACUUAAGUUUUUCAUAUCAUCAUUUAAGUGUUGGCUAAAACUAAUAAUAUAUCUAAGUCAUCUUGAUUUACUAAUCAGUCAUAAAUGAGUUGUGUUUUAGGCGAGCUUGCGAGCUUGAGAAUGUCAAUAAAGUUCAGACACAACCUUUUAGUGCUACUCUACCUAACUAAGUGAAGAAGGUCUGUUCUAAAAACUAAACUGCAGUUAACAAGGGAGGUUGCCCGACGUAGUUGAUGAGCAUUUUGAACUUGCUCCUGCCCUGAGAGGCGAGCUCCAAAUGCAUCUCCAUAGUCAUGGCGUCUGCGUUCUGUCAUAGCUUUCCGAUCGGCAUGGUGCACUGCUCCUUGAGCUCCCUGACUAUCGUCGCUGCCCUUACCCACCACCCUAGCUCUGCAUGCGGUGCCGCACCACCACCUCUGCCACUGCAUACCGGGGGAAAAAGGGAGAAAAUUAUAUACUAUAUAGUUGAAAUGGUUGUUGUUCUUAUUAUUAUGGUGUAACUUUUGUUUUGCGAGGAAUGAAAAAAUGGCAUACUACUCUUUCUAUUACUUUUUACUUCCAAAUUUUAUGCGAGCUUAUUAUUAUAUUUGAUAUUUGGAAGAUUUUCAAAAUGUUAUGCUAUAAAGAAAAGAUUUUGCUACAACAAUAUCUACCCGCCGCAUCGCGCGGUUAUUACACUAGUUAUAUUAAUUCUCAAUAAAAUAUGCCACGUGACGAUAUUUUUCUUUCACUUGAGUUGUUAGGGUUGUGGGCUCCACCUUUCCAUCCCCUCAUCUCUUCCAAAACGUAUGCCCCUUUACUUUCCUUCACAUACUUUCAUCUUUUCUCAAAACGUACGCCCCUUCAUCGUUCUUCAUACUUUUUCAAAACGCACAUUCUCUCAUCUCCCCACCCUUCAUUCUUUUCAAAACGUACGCCCUCUCAUCUCCCCACCCUUUAUAUUUUUCAAAACGUACACCCCCUCAUCUCCCCACCUUUCAUACUUUUUUAAAACCUUCAUACUUUUUCAAAACGUACACCCUUAAUUUGAAAGUGUAGAUUUUUACAUAUCAUUAUACUUUUUCAAAACCUUUAUAGUAUUUUAGUGUAGAUUUCUAUCUUAAACUUUUCAUUUUCUUCUUCUUGUUUUUUAUCAUCAUCCCCUCCUUCUCUCUCCCCAUUAAUCGAGGAGUUAGUAAUCGUGUAAUUUUUUGUGGACGUGGUACAGAUUGUUAGAGCAUUCGCUGCUAUGCCAAGAAGUUUCGUUAUGACCCCUAUGUUGCCCCUCACCAUGGCCUCCUCUCCGUGGGCUGUGAUUACAGCGCUCGUUUCCCUACCUCCUCUCAAACCUCCUCAUUUGUCGCCUUUGAUGUUUAAUUCGACUCCGUUAUUAUCGACAUUAUAAAAUUCUCUCUUUAUUUUUCUAUGAUUUUUUUUUCUUUUUACUCAAAUCCUUCUAAUAUGAGAUUCGUUUCUUUGGAUUUAGAAAAAGGUCUGCAAGGCUAUCGACAUCGGGAUUGUUUACCAUGCACGCCAGCUGUUCGAUGCAUUAUCUUUGAAAAUUAAAAUAGCAUUUAUAGGUUCCAAAUUAUUAUUAAUAAUUUCUAAAUGCUAAUUAUUAUAAUUUUGUUUUGAUUUAGUGUAGAGAAAAAGCAUGUGACAAUGAAUCAAAGAGCUAUAAAUCCAAAGCCUUCUUUUAGAUGAGAUUUUAUAUUUCAAUAAAUUUAAAAAAUAUUUUUUUCCUCUAUUUCUUUCUCUACUAAUUUUAUUUUAUUUUAAUUGCUAUUUUUUUAAAAAAAAUUGCUUUGAUGCAGAAAAGAAGAAAUGGAAGCUUGUUAUAAUUUGUCGAAUAACAAAACCAACCCCAAUGAAAUCACCUCCAAUUUUAUUUUCUCUUUUUUAUUCUUGUAUUAAAUUAUUUUUUUAAUAUCCAUCUAUGCAACAAUUUUUAUUCUCCUAUAGUUCUUUUUUUUUAUUUUCUUUCUUUAUUCUCCACUGGAUUGUAUUCUCAUUCUAAUUAUUUUUAAUAUAUUUUUUAUAUUAUUAACCAGUCUUUUUUUAUAUAUUUAAUUUAUAAAUUUUUAUUAUAAUUUCUAUCCGCCGCAUCGUGCGGCUUUCUAAACUAGUAUAUAUAUAGGUAGGGAGAGAAAGGAGGGGAGGGUUUUGGGGGACACGUGUCAUCCCCAAACCCUCCUUAAUGUAGAAGAAAAGAAUAGAUAGAAAUAGACGAGACGCAUCCAAGAUUUUUUCAUAAAUCAUACAUAUGUCCCCAAUCAAUGGUCUAUGGUGCACCGGGUGUACCGAGUAGUUGAGUCGGACCCAUGUCAAUAAAAGAAGAAUACCCCACGCACUUUAGUAUAUAGUAAUAAAUAAUAGAUAAUAGAUUAAAUUAAAUUAUAAAUUUUUUUUUAACAAAGUGAAGUUUAUAAAUAGUUUGGUUAAAAUAUUGCAAUUUUAGACAUAGGAGCAGCAUGAAAAUUAAAGAGCCUACCAAAAUUAUAACUGAAUAUUAAAUAAAAGGGGUAAUUGUUUAUAUAUUCCUGAAAAAUUUUCGACUUUUUUAUUUACUCCGCUUAGAAGGUUAAUAUUAAAAAUAUCCUUUCAACAUUCUAAGCUUUUUCAAAUUUACUUUUAGAGUUAGAUUCUAUUAGUGAACUGUUAGGAACAACCGAUAUUUUUGUAAAAUUAUUAUUUUGUCUUUUCAAAUAUCAUUUCUACCGUCACCAACUUUUCUUAUUUGUCAUUAAGUUAGAGGUAAAAAGAAGUAUUUUGAUUUAUUCCUUUCAAAUAUAUUCUUCUACUAUCACCAACUUUUCUUAUUUACUGUUAAGUUAGGAAAAAAAGAUAUUUGGACCUUGUUUCUAACUUUGGUAGAAAUUUAACUGAUAUUUGAUCCCAGAUGAUUUAACGGGUACUAACAACAAGAAUACUUAAUAAAUAACGGAGAAAUAUACUAGGAGUAUAUUUGAUACAAAAAAAAAAGUAAAUCAAAUAUUUCAAAAGUAUUGAGGGGUACUAGACGAUUAUCUCUAAAUAAAAAAAUUCUAACGGCAUAUAUGAUUUCUUUUUUGAAAGAAUGCCAGAAAGAUUUUCAUUGAUAAGUAAACAAGCACAGAAUAACAAUAUGUCGGAUUGUUGAAGCUAAUCAUUAAUCUCAAAAACUCGAACUGUUAAAAAGAUACAACUAAUUCACUUAAAAUGUACAAACACAGUGCCCAUGGGGCAGGAUGCUAGCCUCUUUUAAGUCAAGACAAUAAAAACAUUACAAACGGACUCAAAUUUUUGGUCAAGAUUCUACUUAAGAAGAGCAAGCGGUCCAGAAGUAAAUCGACCAAUUGACCGGACGAAAAAUGUCUGGUUUUCUCUCUAGGCCAGAUAUUCACAAAGUAAUCUGAUAGGAUUAUUAGAUGUUUCUGAAUUAAUGCUCCUUUUGUUUUCAAGACAUAUAUUUUAUAAUUUUUUUAGAAUAGUAAAAUAUAAAUACUAAAAGAUGCGGAAAAUAUUAAACGAGUCUAAAUCAACAGUAAAUAUUUGAUUUUCUUAUAUAAAUCAACAAUAAUAAAUAUUAUAUGAUGAUACCCUCGUCACACAGAGGCCUCCUAUACCUUAUCAAAUAAUUUAAUAGUUCCCUCCUUUAAGGGAAGUUACAAAUUACAUAACUGUAUUGUUUAAGUGUCUGUUAAAAAAAAAACAAAAAAAAAAAAAGACAAAAGUUGAAAGGGUCUCAAACUCUCUGUACAUUUUUUUUUUUCAUUUUUAAAUAAUUUGGGACCGUAGUCCGGUCCGGAGCCCACUAAAUUGGUUUGGGCUAAGUUUGGGUUUAAAAUGGCCCGGACCAGUUCCACCCCUAACGAAGAUAAAGAUCUAUUUGGCCUAGAUUUUGAAAAAGUAAUUUCUAUAAAAUUGAUACUGGAGAAUUAUUUUUGGUUUAUAUGCUAUUUUCAUUAGCGAAAAUAUAGUAAAAGUAUGAAGGCCUCCGUACUAAUAACAAUAAAAUAGUUAAGGCUACAAAACUUUGACUAAUAUUUUUGACCAAUUCCUGCUUGAUAUUUGAGAAAUGAGAACUAGUCAAAAUUACUAUAAUAUAUUAUUAUAGAGAACUUUGAAUAUUAAGUUGAUAAUGAGAAGAGCAAUGUUUACCCCUAUGCUACAUGUACAGGAGAUAAGUCUUACACCCUAGGCUCCGAAAAGCCAAAAUUUACUCAUUUAUCUAACCAAAAAACACUAAAAAAAUUUUAAAAAAAAUUUAAAUAUUUGAAUUAUGGAGUGUGAGAUAUAUAGUUUUAUAAUGGGGUGUACAAGUAGCAUUUUUCUAACAAAGAUAUGUAGAACUAGAAAUAAUAGAUUUAAUUGCACCGUUCGUCCCUAAUUUUUAUAAGCUUCUUGCUUUGGUUCCUAACCUUUGUUUCGUUAUUAGGUUUCUAAUUAGAUCACAGUUAUCUAAAUUUUUAUUAAUUUUGACAAAAUAUGCCACUCCAAUUCUAUUGUAGCUCUCGUGCGUGACUCAUAGAGAUUAAGGCUGUCAUGUAACUCCCUGUAAAUCUGGGCACCGUCCUUUUCAAAUUUCUUAAUAAAGAGUUAGGUAGUAUGUCUAGCUCGACUAGAAGAGUGCCAAAUUUUCAAAGAUGUCAUAACGUGCGAGGUGGAGAUGGUUAUGGAAUGAAGAAUGAACUAGAGGUAGAAAUGUCAACGGAUUGGAUUCGGGGCGGAUUUUUAAAAAUCCGAAGCCGAACCCGACUCCAAACCUGAGAUCCGAAUCCGAACCCGAAUCCGACGGAUUUUAAAAAUCCAUAUCCAAACCCGAACCCGAACCCGAAAAUUUGUACCCGAAACAAUUAUUUCUUUUUUCAAUAUUUCAAAAUAUAUUAUAUUAAAUUUAAAUUUUUAAAAUACAAAUUCAAAUAUAACAUCAAAUAUAUAUAUAUAUAUAUAUAUAAUACAAAAUAAAUUCGGGUUCAGGUCGGGUUCGGGUUCGGGUCGGGUACUAUCAAAAUCCAUAUCCGAAUCCAUAUCCGUUAGGUUUCUAUUUUUGAUAUUCAUAUCCAUAUCUAUAUCCAUCGGAUAUAUACUUUUUAUUCGGGUUCGGAUUCGGAUAAAAUUUCGGGUAUCCAUAUCCAGUGACAUUCCUUCCAUACCCAUUGACAUCCCUAACUAGAGGGUAGUGAAAUUAGAUUUGACGCGACAUGUGUAUUGAUAGGAGAAGAGGUUAAGGACCAAAGUGUUAAAAUAGAUAAAGGUUAGAAACCAAAUAAAUAAUCGAGUAACGGUUGGGGACCAAUGAUGUAAUUAAUCGUGUGGACUUUGGAUACCAUGGAAGAAACAUAUUAUCUAAAUACAUUAUCAUACAGUGCACAUCUGACACCCUAUCAUCUAAUGAUUUAAAGUUUUAUUUUUGAAUUUUUAAUAUUAAAAAAGCUGAUGAGACAUGUGAUAUUCUGGUUUAGUCUUAUAUCGAGUAGAAAGCUUUUGGAGCAUUUCUAAAACUAAUUACCAAACUUAAAUAUUUUGGGCUGGUGGAUUUGGCCGAACAGAUUAUGGGCCUAAGAUAUUUAGUUAACAGAGUUGUGGGCUCUAUAAUAUGUGGAAAAAGUCUAGAAUGAACUAGUUAUACUGCAGACGACGAGGCAUUGCUAAGCAAUAAGAUUGUAUCACUUGAAUUGAUCUGUCCCAUCAUAAUUAAUAAAAAAAUAUUAUUAUUAUAUUUUUUUUAAAAAAAAAUAUAUAUAAUUGGCUUAUUAUUAAUGAUGUGGCAUAAGUGUAACAAUAUUUGACUAAGUCUGAGGUAAUGAGAGAUUAAUGUGUAAAAAUUUAGUGUUUUUGGAAUCUAAUCAUGUACAUGCCAUAUCUUUCAAGUAAUCAAUGAUGAUCAUGAUCCAAUAUAUACAAUUGAGUACAUACCAAAACUAGUUAGUAAUCAAUGGCGAAAAAAAUGACAUGAUUUAAUAAACAUAUCCUAAAUAUAAAAUUGAACAAAUUCAAUGAAGCUAUAAUCUUAAUCCAUUCUAUACCAGGCUCCACCCUCCCAUUUUUAUACUAUACUAGUGCAGAAAUCCGCGCGAUGCGGCGGGUAGAUAAUAGAAUCCCAAAUUUAAAAUUUUAAAAAAUAAAAUUAUAUUUAGAAUCCUAAUUACUAAUUUUUUUUAAAUUAUAAAAUUUGGAAUGAAAGUUAUAUGGCUCCAAAAUAUCACUAUUCUUCAAUAAAUUGUGUCUAGAAACUUAAAAAUUUUACCAAAUUCUAAAAUUCAUACUAUAAACUUCAUGCUAUAAAGUUCAAAAUAAAAUAAGUCUCUUACACAUAUCCUUCAAAUUAUAGAAAUGAGAUCUUAUGAUAGUUUUGCUGAAAAAAUCUUCACUUCUCUUCUUCAUCGGAAUCAGAAGACUGGAUUAAACUGCAAAUAAGAGUACACAUUCAAGUUAUUUAAGGCAAUAUUUCAAAACUUCUUAUGAACAUAAUUUUGAAAAGUGUGUAUAGAAAAUAAUGUUAGUAAUUAAAUUUUUCCUGAUGAAACAAUUAAAAUUACUAUCUACUUUGCUUUUAAAAAAAAUUUUCAUAUUACCUGAGCAUCUUUUUUUUCCUCUUGAUUUCCUCGCAGUUUCUCCAACUUGUUAUUUGAGCUUCUUUCAUGUUUAUAAUUUCAAAAUUGUAUAUACAAAAUAAUUAAAAUAAAUAAACAAUUAAACUGAAGAAGAUGGAUUAAUUAGAAGUCUUGUGGAGGAAAAGUGAGGGAUCGUAAUAAAUUAAUUAGAAAUAAAAUGGUGAGAAUUAUAAUGACAGAGGGAACAUUUAAAACAUUAAUUGGAAGUUUAGCAGUGGGCCAUUUAGAUGUAUUAAAUAGAUACGUUAAUUAAACAUUUAAGGAGAAUUUAAAUACAUUAAUUGGAAGUUAGUAUGUGGCCAUUUUAGAUGUAUUAAUUAGAUAUGUUAAUUAAAAAUUGAUGAAGAGAAGGGAAGAAUCACAUGGUGGUGAAGGUGAAGAAAACUUGAUAGAGAACAUUUAAAUACAUUAAGGGUGUUUGGAUUGACGAAUUUGAUCAAGUAUAGUCAAGUGUAGUGUGUGUUUGAGUUUCCCUGAAGUUGAUUAUUUUUCUGUUGUUUGUUUUGACGUAAUCUACCACUGUAAGUUAAAUUCAAUCACUUCUGCUGUUUAUUUUGAUGUAACUUAUGUGAUAAAUUAGUUUUUUAAGUUCCGUUGUUUGUUUUGAUGUAAAUAAGUGGAUCCCAUUAUCUCCUAAAUAUAGUAAUAAAUUAUUACUAUAAAAUUUAACUAUUAUAUAAUUAAUUUUUUAUUAUUAUUUAAGAUAAAUCUUAAUUUAUUAUAAAUAAGGAAUUCUAACUUAUUAUAAAGAAAGUAGAGUUUAGUUUUAAUGUUUAAUAUAAUUGUUUAUGAGAAGGUUGAUUGGGUGGAAGUCCGAGUUCAGUAACUAAUUAGAGCCCGGAGAUCGAGCGUAGGUGAAGUGGAAGCUCUAAACGUAACUGAGUUACAUAUAUUUUUCACUGUACACCAAAUACAAAUACGAAAGUGAUGGAACACUUGAGGUUCAGAUCACUUCACUUGCACCAAAACAAAUGGGCCCUAUAUUGGAAGUUAGUGUAGGCCAUUUCAGAAGUAUUAAUUAGAUACGUUGAUAUAAUCAGCUUUAAGUGUGAGAUAUUAAUAACAUUUAAUGUACAGAUUAAUGGAAAGUUAAAUACAGUCGAUUAAUUUAGGAAGACGCGCCAGGCGGCUGCGCAUCUCGGCGUCGCGCCCUUUCGGGUCCCAUAUAUCGGGCCGGGUGGCGGACGGAUGUCGGGUCGGCCUUCAGGGCCGCAGCCGGGCAUUCAGAUGUAUAAUUAGAUACGUAAUUAAAAAUUGAUGAAGAGAAGGGAAGAAUCACGAUGGCCAUGAAGGUGAAGGAAAACUCAUGGUGCCCACAUGGCCCAAAACAUAUUGAGGAUUUAUAUAUUGUAAUAGACUAUAUAUUAUAUAUAUAUAUAUAUAUAUAUAUUAUAUAUUAAUAUAUAUAUAUUAUAUUCCCCCAUAUGCAUAAGAUAACAUUUUCUCAAAAGGUGGUGACCUUGAAUUUUGAGGGAAUUGGAGUAGUUGAGCUCCUCUGCUCUCUCUCUCUCUUCUCUCUCUCUCUCUCUCUCUCUCUCUCAAACAUGGCGAGCUCAGGAGGUGUAUCCAUGGCGAAAUCCGAGGAGGAGUGGCGCGCCAUACUCUCCCCAGAACAAUUCCGGAUCCUCCGAUUGAAGGGAACCGAGUAAGAUUAAACCUGGAAUGAUCUUAAUUUCUCUCUAUUUUUAAUGCAAUUUUAGAUGACUUUGUUUGGAUUUUUUGGGUUUUCAUGAUGACCCAUGAGGCAAAAGUUCCCAUUCAUGUAGGGUUUUGGUUUAAUUGAGUUGUUCUUGGUAUCAUAGAUAGAUGUGAAAAAUUGCUCUUUUUUCAGCGAAUUUUAGAUGAUUUUCUUUGUUGCAUUUGUGGAAAGUUCCCAUUCAUGUGAGUUUGUGGUUUAAUUGAGAUUGGAGCGUCUUUGGGAUGGCUCUAUUAUUAUUUUUGGCGAUUUUUAGAUGAUUUGAGUUAGGUUUAUGGGUUUUUAUAGGCUUUUUUUAUAAAAUAACCCUCUAAAAUUUUAAAAUUGAAGAAAUAAUCAUGUAAAAAUUUUAUUUAGAAAAAUAACCCUCCUUUCGCCACGUAGGCGCCACGUCAGAUUUUUGCUAUGAAUGCGGUGAAUCAUUCACCGCCUUCACAUAUAUAUAUAAUGAAGACGGUGAAUGAUUCACCGCCUUCAUAAUAUAUAUCUAAAGACGGUGAAUCAUUCACCGCCUUUAGUGCAAAAUAUCUCAAAUUUAUCGAAAUUUGUUUAAGUCCUAAAGUUAAAUACAGAUAAGACGGUGAAUCAUUGAUUCACCGUCUUCACAUAUAUACUAUGAAGGCGGUGAUGAUUUACCGCCUUCAUUAUAUAUAUGUAAAGGCAGUCACCGCCUUUAUAACAAAAAUCCAACGUGGCGAAAGGAAUUUUAGUUUUCCAAAUAAAAUUUUGAUAGGGUUAGUUUUCCAAUUUGAAAUAUUUGGAGGGUCAUUUUACAAAAAAGCCCGUUUUUAUAUCACCCAGGUUGUUUGCUUAUAAUCUAUUUUGGAUUAAAGUAUUUUGCACUUGAUUAAUUGACAUGGGAUUUUUGGGUUUUGAUUUUAAAUUGCUUCUUAUGAUGCUCCUUUGUUUUGCAGGUAAUAGUGUGUUAUAGUGUUCCAAUUUUUUUUUUUUAUUAGAGUAUUGAAUAAUACCAGCUUUGCUACAUUUUAUUCUGAGUUGCUUUAAUUAAGAUUGGUUUUUUCCUGUUAUGAUUUUACAUAAAAAAUAAGAGAGGAAAGAAAGAUUACUGUUAUUAUUUCAUUUUGGUUUGGGAUCUUUCUAGUAAUCAAAGAUAGAAGUAAAAAAAAAAUUGCUCUUUUUUCAAUUUUUAGAUGAUUUGGAUUAGAUUAUUUGGCUUUUAUGAUGACCCAUUUGGGGAAAGGCCCCAUUUUUGUAGGUUAUAGUGUUUCCUUUUGAGAUUUAAGUAUCCAAAAAUAUCAGCUUUGAUAUAUUGUGUUCUUGGUUGAUUAAUUGAGAUGAGUUUUCUUUGUUCUUAGUUUUACAACUAAAUAUUAAGAAGAAUAUGGUUUAUUAGUUGAAAAUUGAGGGAGAAAAAAAGUUGAUUUUAAUUUAUAUCUAUUGUUGCAUGUAUGGGGAUAUUAUCAUGAGCUUUUUUUUUAAAGGUAAAAAUGCAUAGAACUUAUCUGACCUGUGGAAGACCAUUUUAAUUCGACUACUCAACCUUUUAGAAUAUUGAUUUUAAUACGCAACAUCUCAAUUUGUCGGAUUUGAAUCAUUUGAUGACUCUUCCGAUGCAAAAUUUAAUCGAAUUGCUUAUUUUACUAAAUUUAUAGUCAUAUGAAUUGUAUAAAAUUUGCUAGUUAAAUCCGAAAAGAUAAAUGACGUCUUCAAAAAUUGAAGUCAAAGAGUCAGUAAUUGAUUCAAAUCAAACAAAUUAAAAGAUUAGAUAGUAAAAUUAGAUCCGAAAUUGGUGAUUACUUGAGGUAAGUUUUUUACAUUUUUACCUUUUCAGAAUAUUCUAGUGCUGUUUUGGUUGUCGAUUGACCCAAAUUAAGAAUGUGGAGUCCAGUUGCAUGCUUUGACCAAACAUGUGGCCACCCAAAUUAGACCAUGUAAUUUUAAAUGUAAUGUUUAGUUUUAUAUUUGGCUUGUUGCAAAUUUUUUAUAUUAUAUAUCUUUUAUAUUAAUCUUCUUUGGUGUGUGCAUUGCAUAGAAUUCAAUACUUGAUAGGAGACUAAGUCUUUGAUAGAAGAGUAAUACUUUGUUUAAGCUUGUAGGCUUUGAAAAUGUUCACUCUCAAAAUUUUAUAUCAUUUAUAUGCUGAAAGAGAUCAUUACAAAGCUUUGUCAGUAAAACUUUACAUAGACCCCCUCGGCUACCAGGCCAUUUUGAAAAUAAAUCAUUUUUUCCCCUCUGAUUCUGACAAAAUCCUUUUUGAUUUUAAUUAUUCUCAUUAAUUAAAUUCUGGAUUUUAUCAAAUCCAACGGCCAUUCUACUGAAUUUAACUGUUUUGAACACCUUUUUAUUUUUAUUUAAUGGAACUACAGUCUUAGUUAAUUGGAGCUAUUGAUUUUAACGAAUUCAAAAAUUUUAUUUAUGAAAAUAACUCAGCGAAACAAUCAAAUGGAGCAGGGGUCUAGGAAAGCAUAAUAACGUUGCAACGCUUAUUCAAAAUGCCAUAUUGUUCAUGGGUUGCUCUUUCGUUUUUUAUCCCUAUCUGCUGAGUCAUAGAAUCUGAAAAAAAAAAAAACAAACAAACAAACAAACAAACCAAAACAAUCAAAAGUAGAGGCGUCGUCACACUGGCUAUUGUUUACAGUUGUCUCCAUACAUUUUUGCCUAUUUUGUGUGCUAUUUGCUGAAUCACAGAAUUUGUGCUCUGCUGUUUUGAUAUUAUAAUUUUCACUACUUUGGGAGCUCUUUUUAUGUUUAAUGCUAAAGUCUUUAAUUUUACCUGCUAAAUGGUAUGCGUGCAAACUGUUAAUUUUGGUGGUAAAUCUAUCAUUUGCCGAAAAUUCUCUAAUUGCGUAAAAGAUUUUUGAACUUUCGUUGCCCCCGUCGUUUGUUUAAUUUGCAUCUCACAGUAUGGAUAGAAACUUCUAUCCCUAGUGUCCCCUACAUGCUUAGUUAGUGCUUUUAUGGGGAUUCAUUGAAGAUUUACAUGUACAUAGUGAUGGAUGAAGUGAAUUACAAUUAGAUGAUUCAUGACAUGAUUCUUUAUGGUAAAGACGUGGAGUUCUUUAGGUGAUUCUAGGACCGAAAGCUGAUUCGAGUCCAACUGCUUUGAGCUGCAGUAGAAGUAGAAGCUUUCAAUCAGAUCUUCUGCUUUUGUGGCUUUGAAUGGCUUUGAAGCUAAUUCUACUUCACAACCGAAGCUCCAAGCUUGUUAUAUGCCAAUCGGUUGACUGCAGUGCUCACUAAAGUUAAAGAAAAAUACUAACUCCUGUUCUCCGUUUUUAAUAUCUAAAUGAUAUGCAUAAAUGAGUUUAGUCAAAAUCGUACCUACAAAUUAUGCAUAAAAUAAGUGGUAUUUUUCAGGCCUCCAGGGACAGGUGAAUACAACAAGUUUUACGGCGAAGGCGUUUACAGCUGUGCUGGUUGCGGAACUCCUCUUUAUAAAUCCACUACCAAAUUCAAUUCUGGGUGUGGUUGGCCAGCAUUCUUUGAGGGACUUCCCGGGGCCAUAAACCGAACGGUUGUUUUUCUUUCCUCUUGCGUUUUUCUUUUGCUAAUAACACAUUUUUUGUCCCUUUUCGGGUAAAUUGCACGUUUGGUCCUCAACUAUGGAGCACAUGAUAGCUUAGUUCUCAAACUUUAGUUUGUUGUAAUUUUUCGCUUAAACUUUCAGAAUUGUUGCAAUCAAAUUCCACGGUCAAAUUUAGCUGACUAAAUUUUAAUGAUUGUUGAUGUAAAAGUGAUAUGGUAUCUUAAUUAUUGGUGAUAUUCAAUAUUUAGUCAACUAAAUUGGGUUGUUGGAUUUAAUUACAACAAUUCCGAGAGUUCGAGCGAAAAAUCGAAACAAAUUAAAGUUUGAGGACCAAAGUGUCACCAGCUUAACAAUCUGUGGACCAACUAUGCAAUUUACCAUUCUUUUUUCAUACAGGCAUUACGAACAUGCUAAAUUGCAAACACCCUUCCGAGUUGGUUCUUGCUUGUAUGCUACUCGAAACCAUACACGCAAAGUUCGUUUUGCUUAAUUCCCUUUGCUGGAGAACACACGCAAUUACUAACUUGUGUUGGUGUAAUUACUUAAUUUUUCUUAUUUGCAAGGGUAUAAAUGCGGAAAAGUUCCUACAAUUUACUCCUUGAUGAUGUAUGCUUUUGUUUUUCCUUGGGUUUUAUUUCAGCCCGAUCCCGAUGGGAGGAGGACGGAGAUCACCUGUGCGGCGUGCGGCGGCCACUUGGGCCACGUGUUCAAAGGCGAGGGGUUCAAGACGCCUACCGACGAACGCCACUGCGUCAACAGCGUCUCGAUCAAGUUUGCUCCCCCGUCGUGAGACAUCUCUCUAGUGCCCAGUUUAUUACUAUGUUUCGCGGACAAUAAUAAUAACAUGUUAUGUUAUUUACUGAUGAAUAAAGUUUGUGUGUUAUGAUUGAUGGAAAUAAUCUCUCUCCGACGGCCUUGUGCAGUGAUUUAGUUUGUUGCAUCAGUCAGCUCUUACUUGUUUCGUAGAAUCAAUCCUACAGGAAUGAGAACCUUGCUUGAGCCCUGAUGUUGAAGUUCCAUGAAACAAAGUGAAAACAUUGUUGUUGAUAUGAGUUGGAACAGGAGUACUAUUUCUGAACGUACGGAGACCUUCGUGCUUCCACUUUUUUCUUAAGAUGACUGAAUAUCUGAAUUGCCGAUUAACAUCCGUAAGCUUCGACUAAAAGAUUUGAAGUUUCUAGGAUCUAAAUUUCAUGGAUUGAUUGGUCUAAAAAUGAACAAUCAAAAGUGAACAAGCUCAGGAAAAUAGAUGGAACAAUUCUUCAAUUUCUGAUCAGGGAAUUUUUUAAGUACUCUUAAAAAUCAUGUUCUACCAAAUCUUCGGCUAGUUUUGAUUGCUUGUAGAGAUGUUAACGGUUGGAUUCGCGAUGGAUUUUCAAAAAUCCAAACCCCAACCUGAUGGAUUUUAUCCAAAACCAAAUCGGACCAAAAAUUCGAAACUCGAACCCAAAAAUUUGAACCGAAAAUAAUUAUUUCUCUUUUUAAUAUUUCAAAAUAUAUUAUAUUAAAUUUAAAUUUUUAAAAGACAAAUUCAAAUAUAAUAUCAAAAUUUUAUAUACAUAUUAUAUAUAAUGUAAAAUAAAUUCGGGUUUGGGUUCGGUUCGGGUGGGGAACGGUCAAAAUUCAUAUCCGAAUUCAUAUCCGUCGGAUUUUUAUUUUUUGAUAUCCACAUAUGAAAUCAUAUCUGUUUAGUAGCGGGUAAAUCCGCUCCGUUCGGGUUCGGGUUCGGAUUCGGAUAAAAUUUUGGAUAUUCGUAUCUAUUGACAUCCCUAAUUGCUUGUCAAUCAUUAAACUCUCAUUUUUGAGAUCGUUUGAUUGCCUUUGUUGAAAUAGUAUAAAAUUAAUUUGUAUAUUGACAUAUUAUUAUUGAAAAUAAAGUGGAAGCACUCCAUUUCAACUCAUAUAUUUUGGCUUUAUGUUCAGUAAUCGAAUUUGAGUCUUAUGUGAUUGAUUUUAGUUACAAAUAAUUUAUAUCUUUUGAAAACUUGGACUGGAGAAAAAAAAAUGAAACAGUUUGAGAAGUUCAAUUUGCAGGUAGCUAGAGUGUUUUGUUUGUUGUUCAUUCUGCAUGAAUUUGAUCCUUACCAAUUUAUACUUUUAUUAAAGCUUAAGUUUCUGGAGAAUAGUAUGUUAUUAUAUAUUUUAACACUUUCUUACAAUCUCUUAAUUUGAACUCUGUUGAUCUUAAUUUCCAAAACUGUAGAUUUUAUAGCUGAAGAAUGAUCAAAGGGAACUUUAAAGACUCUUAAAAUUUAGAAUUUAUGAUGCAACAAUGGGAGGAAAAUCUUGCUAAAACCACAUUUCAAAAUACUCGGAACUACUAAAAGGCAAAAGAUGAAAUUAACCACAAAUUAAAUUAAUUUUUUUUUCAAAAUUAUAAAAAAACAUCAUUUGGAUUAGGGAUAUAGUCCAAUCCAUAUUUCUUGAAAUAAAUCAAUUGAUUUUUCAAGUAUUAUAUUUAGAUAUUUGGUUCCUCCAACAAACUUCUUGAACAUUACAUUAGAAUCAUUCAAAGUAUCUUUGAGUUGUUUGCUUUCAAGUGGGAGCUUUUCAAAUUCUCUCCCAUUGUGAAAAAAUUAUAUUGGUCUAAGAUUAGCAACUUCGAGCUUCUUCUUUAAUAUUUUAUUUUCUUCAUCGAAAACAUUAGUGCACUUUUCCUUUAACAAAUCAAUUUUAUUUUUUCAAAAAUUUAUUUUCAAUAAAUAAAGAAGAGUUUGUAGUUGAUGAUUUUAAUUUUUUUCACUUCUUCCGCUAAUGAAGCAUUUUGCUUCUUUUUAGAAAACUAUAUUCAUCAUAUGAAAGGUUUUUUUAUCUUAUUUUCGAGUGCUAUUAAGCAUAAGAUAUGAAUUUGAUCUUCAUGACAUAUCUUUGCAACUUCGCUUUCCGACUCAUCACUGCUAGGCUCGUCGGGCCCAAUUUAGGGCAUUCAAUACUUUCUUCUUGCUUUUCUUAGAAGCUUUAUUUGCAGGUGGACAUUCACUUUUUAAAUGCUCCGGUUUUUGUUAUAAUUGUAACAAAUGAUUCUCUUUGUAAAUCAUUCGACUUUGAGCCCUGCUAUUUUGUGUCUUCUCAAAUUUCUUUGUUUGAUUAGUCGAUCAAGCUUCUUAAUUAGAGAUCAUAAUAAUCUCUUUACUCGAGCCAUCACCCGAGUCUUCUCCGUUUGAGUCUACAACACCUUUAUUAAGUGCUAUAUUCUUUUUCUUUUCGAAAACAUCUUCAUUAUCAUACUCCUUGAGGCAUUGCUCAUGAGCCAUAAGUGACGCUAUGAGCUCCUCAAUUUUCAUUUUAUCAAGGCCAUGGGCCCCUUGAAUUGCCAUAUCCAUUGGUAACUAACUCUUGAAAAGAAUUCGAAAAAACUUGCGCACCAAGUCUGAAGAAAUGAAGUCUCUCCUUGAAACUUUUAAACUAUUUAUGAUGUUAGUGAACGUCGUAAACAUAUUCGCAAUGAACUUACUUUCGUCCAUUUUGAAUAGUUCUUAACUUCACAUUAGUAUAUUUACUUUAGAUUUCUUCACCCGAGAAGAUUCCUCAUGAACAACUUCAAAUUUCUCUCAAGUUUCUUUUGUCGUAGUGCAAAUAGAAAUUCAAUAAAUUUUUUGUCUCUAAGAGCACAAAGAAAUGAGUUGAUAGCUUUGGCAUUUGAUUGAAAUUAAAGUUUUUCGUUACCAUUUCAUUCGGCUCUUAGUUUCUUUUGAGGAAUAUGACUAUUUUCAACUAUAUUUUAUAUAUCAAGAUCAAGAGAUUGAAGGAAAAUUCUCAUGCGAACUUUUUUAAAGGAAUAAUUGAUUCCAUAAAAAAUGGUAGCUACGCAAUGGAUUGUUCUUCAACAUUCUUUCCAAAUAUUACCAUUCUCGUUAGAUGUUAAUCUAAAUAAUGUGAAACCUCGCUCUGAUACCAAUUGAGGAUCGAAAUGGAAACCUAAGAAGGGGUGAAUUAAGUUUUCAAAUUAAAAUACAAAAAAAACAAUCCAAGAAAUUCAUAGUAAAUGAUAACAAGAAGAGUUGGAAAAAUUCAAACUCAAAAAGUACGCAAUCAAUUUGUUUUUGAGAUUCAAUACUUUGCCUACAUCCUCGACAUCUUCUUAAUAUAAAAGAAUAUUGGAUCUCCAUUAGAUGAUACUUUUACAAGCAAACGCCGAGCCUCUACACGAAGAAACUCUUUUCUCCCCAAAAAGAUCUCACAAUUACUUUUUUUUCCUCUCUUUUAUAAAUUGUAUCUUGUUACAAUACUCACUCAAGCUUAGAAAGAGAGUAGAGAGUUAAGAGUAUUGCAUAAUAGCAAUUACAAGUUCAAGGAUCUUAAUUUUAAGGGUUAAAUGCAUACAGGUCCUUGCAAACAUACCCAAUUGCGGAUAUAUCCCUGCAAAAUGGAAACUCCAUAAGUUGUCCCUGCAAAAGUUCAAAGUUAUGCAGAAUUGUCCCUACAGUUAACAUCCGUUAGUGAGCUGUUAAUUUUCUAACAGUGGAUUCGUGAAAUGACAAUUUUGCCCCCACAAAUAUAUCCCUCCAAAAGUCCUAACUGAUAAAUAUUUGCAAAAAUAUCCUCGCAAAAAUACAAACGUGAAANCGCGGGCGGAACACCUGAGGGCUCUCCUGGCAGUUCCAAUCAACUAGGGUUAAGGGCCCACUAUGGUGGUUAGUUAAGUUAAUAGAAUAUAAAAUAACAUAAGAGGGGCAAAAUAGUCAAUUCACAUUAUUAACUAUUCAUGGUUAAGUAGUUUAACUCUGGUUAACAAACUUUCUCUAACAGACUCUAACAGUAGGGACAAUUCUGCAUAACGUUGAACUUUUGCAGGGACAACUUAUGGAGUUUCCAUUUUGCAGGGAUAUAUCCGCAAUUGGGUAUGUUUGCAAGGACCUGUAUGCAUUUAACCCUAAUUUUAAUCACUAAAGCUCUCUAUUUAUAACCAAAAUCCAAAAACUAAUGGUUUCAGUAAUUAUGCACUUUUGGGCAUCCCAAACAUGUUUUCGGGCAUUUGUUUCCAUAAUGAUAUUGCUCCUUAGAGUAAUUUCAGAUGCCCGAAACAGAUUUCGGGUGUUCUGCUCUGGUGACCACUCUCACCUACUCUGCAUAGUGGAAAACAAUAUGCAAUCCUUUGAAAUCCAGGCGACCGAAAUAUCUUUCAGGUGUCCGAAAUAACCGAUUUCAUGAUUUCGGUUCCAAAAUGUGGAGUUUGAAACAACAAUUAGUUCAAAUUCAAAUUUGAUGGUUUUCAAACGCUGGAACAAAUUUCGAAUUCCCAGAACCAUUUUCGGGCGCACCUACGUAGGAUCAGGAUGCCUAGAUCCAACCAUUUGAUUUUCCUUCUUCUAUCCAGACAUUCGAAAUGUGAUGCGAGCAUCCAGAAGCUCUUUCGGAUGCACCUUCAUGCAUUCCAGAUGCCUAGAUGGAUGGAUUCGAAGUCAGAACAUUUCCGGAUGCUACUUUCGGGCGCUCGGUCAAGAGUCCGAAAUCUCUAAUUUGCUGAAAUUUGGUUUUGAAUAGAAUUGGAUGCCAUUGAAUUUUGAUAAAUAGAAUUUUUGGCAUUCUCUUUUAGCACAUAUUAGAUCAUGUUCUAUUUUGGUCUACUAGUGAAGUUACACGCGCAUUGCGACGGGCUGAUGCUAUAGAAGACAAAAGAUUAGAGAUUACAAUAGCUGUAUUCAUGUUGUCUAUAGUCACGGUGUAUAACCCUUUCUACUUAGGGCGAAAAAAAAGAAAAAAAGAAGAGAGUUAUCAUUAAUCAAUGUAAAGAUUAAGAAAGAUUCAAUCUAUAGUAUGCUAUUACUACAAUCUGUUGUUGUUGCUGCUUCUGCAAUCUGUUGCUAUUGCCAUUGCUGCUGCUGGUUGCAAUCCUGCUGUUGGUGCCAUCUGCUGUUGCUGUUGCCGCUUAGAUCUGCUAUUGCUAUAUGUUUUUCACUUGAAACCAUCCCAAUUUUUAUUUGUUUUGAUUCAAAUUAUUUAAGGCGAUCGUAUUAAAGUUUUUAAAAUGGAUGUAUACAAAUAAAAAAAAAGAGGGUCUUCUAAAACAUAGCAAUUGGAUGGCAAAAAUUAACAUGAAUGUAUGCAUGUAUAUACACAUCCAUAUAUGCAUGCAUGGAAUGUAAUCAAAAGUUGUUCCACAAAGCAACCUCUUAAAAGAACAGAAACAUAUCACAUGAGAGCUAUAAUCUGCAUUUUGUACAUAUAUAACAAAAAAAGGUUUCAUAUUGGAGCAUUGCACUCCAAGUCACUUUUAUAUGUACACCACCUGAAGAGAUAAAAAAUAUAGAAGGUACAAAGGCUAACCUAUAUAAAGCUUUUUCUUAUAAAUUUGUCCCCAAAUCAAUCUGUACCUAAAGAGAUAAAAUUGGAACAACAUAAGAUGCACUAAAGCUUAGUAUCCAUGCUCAAUUCAUAUAGAUCCCUGCUUCCAAUAAAAAACUUAGGUUCCAUAAGAUAAAGACAGCAAAAAGAUUAAAAUUCAUAAUAAUUUAAAGACCAAAUUUUAACCGAUAGAAAUAGAAGAAUGUUUGCAUAAAAAGAUUGUACACAUAUGCCCAUGUAUAAUUAUCUACUUACAAGAACAAAGUGUGAAAUUUUUUGACUUAAGAAAAAGAAAUUUCUAUAAGAAAAUACACUUUCGCAGGGCUAAAUAGAAAUAUACUGCUGCCAUUCAAAAAAUAAUGACAUUGGUAUGCAUUUAUUGUAUGUAUUUGUAUAUAUACAUAUAUAAUUAAACAUACGUUAUUCUAUAGAACAAAAUUUUAUGGGAUCUUUACAUAAUUCUUUGAUUCAACAAUUGGAAGUCAAAUUAUUGUGAAAGUUUCAUAAAAAAUUUGAGUGGAGUAAGAAGCAUUUACCUGUUGCGUGUCAGCUGAUACAACAAAAGAUUCAGUAGUCAAUAAUCAAAGGAUUUUAGAUAGAUAACUCUCAUUGCAUUCUCAGUUAAAAUCUAAAUGUAAAAGUAUAUUUAGAAAGUCAAGAUGAUGCCUAACAAUUUGGUUGAACUUAAAUAAUUAACCAAUAAAAGAAGCUUGAUACAAACCAACAAAUAUAAGAAAUGAAUAGUAGGUUGCAAAACAGAAAUGAAAGGCUUAGAUCAUGAUAUAUUCUUGCAUCAUGAGACUCAUUUCUUUUUUCCCUCAUCCAAAUCAAUAUAUUAAAGGACUGAUAGCUGCAACAGUUGCCUAUGUGGAGCUACCAUGCCAUCUAUCAAUAUUGAUCUAAAAAUAGCUAGAAGAGAGGAGAAGGGGCCUCCGUUUGAGAUUAUCUCAUCAAUAUGUAAAAGUUGUCAUCUUUAUCAAUCCUUUUAAGGAACAAUGGUCGGUUAUUGAUCAUCAUCGCUUAUUAGACAACUGUACACAAAGAUGAUCUUGCAUAUCCGCCUUAUUCAAUUUGCUUAAAUUAGCAAGAUGUAUUGGCAAAAAGAGUCAAUAGGGCACUUAGGAAGAUUUGGGAUUCUAGCAAUAGGGAACACGGCAAAGAUGCAGGAAGCAAGCACAAUGUUAUUCUAUACUAUUACAUUAGUAAAGAAAAAAUAAUUGAAAUAAAAUAUAUGAAAUCACUAAAGUAAUUUGGUUAUGACAUUAGUGACAUGUAUAUGAAGCAUAUAUACAGAGCAAGACCAACAUGCAAUAAUAAAUUGUUGAAUUACUUCAAAAAAUAACAUAAGCUUAGGUUUUUUUUCAAUCCAGAAAAUUAAUUAAUAAAUAGAUAAAGAUAUGUUCUAUCUAUAUACAUAUAACUAUAUUGUUUAUUUGUUUGGCUUAUUUCAACAAAUAUCUCAAAGCACUCAAGGAAUCGAGCAUCUUUGCAAGCCUGCAAAGCCCUCCGAUGGCGAUCUCACAGACAUCGCGGUCGAGGCGGCGGGGGGAGUUGGCGCAACAGAGCCAGAAGAAGACCUUGGCUUAUUCGAGUUCAAACUAGUGGGGUGCGAUAAGCAUGGCGAUUGCUUGCCUUCUAAUUUAGGACAAGUAAGAGAUAUUAUUCCAAACCAAUAGAUUAUUCAAAAGAUGUGAAGAAAUUUAUAGAAAUGAACUGAGGAUUAACGAAAGAAGCUUCAUGUUUCAAUAUGUGAUUGUUUCAACAUGAUAAGGAAAGUACUGCAUUUUCGUGAGCAAAAUAAUUUGCAUCUUCGACUAUCAGGAAUCAUAAUAUGGCCAAUGUAAAAUUUUCAAUCUCCAAAUUUGUUUUAAAAUACUACCCACUGCAAAAUACCGAAGCAAGGAAAGAUAAGAACUUCUAAACAAAUUGAAGAGGAAGAUAUGUCAAUUCAGCAAAAAAAUACUGAAAAUUAGCAUUACACAGUUGGUUAUGAGAUUGAAUAUAAGAAGAUGGAAACAAUCCAAUAUUUAAACUAAUAUAAAAUGGAUCUUUUGAGCUAAAUAAAUUUAAAAAAGCUAUGCAAUUCCAAGAACUAAAAGAAAAUAUCAGCCCAAUUAUUCAAUAUUGGAAGAAAUUCAAAAAGAACUAAGGAAAAGUCUCUCCAAAAAAUGCCAAAAAAAAGAAGAAAAAAAUUUAAAAAAAAACUCUGGGGGCAAAGUACAAUCCAAAUCUUGGAAUGCAAUAGCAUCUAUAAACUCAAGAAAGCAGAAGUACAUUCAGCAAUCUCAUAUUCAAUUAGGGCAUGUUUGGUUCAUGAUUGGAAUAGGAAUAGGAAAUGGAAUUGGAUUGCUUUGGAAUGGAAAAUGAAAUGACAAAUCAUCUAAAAAUAUUUGGUUCAUUAUUGGAAUGGAAAUCGGAAUGAAAAUUUAAAAUUUUUGAGAGAGGGUUUUGAUUAAGAGAGAGGAAAGUACUGAAGGGAGAGGAGGUAGGUGUUGAUGAAAGAGGAUUUUGAAUAGUUUACUUUAGAAUGAGCCAAUUCAGAAUUCAAAGCCGGAUUAGAUCAUAAAUGGAUUUAGCCAUUCCCAUUCCGAAGUGGAAUGAAAAUCGGAAUCCGAUUCCUAUAAAACAAACAGCAACUAUCAGAAUUGUUGGAAAUAAUAGGGCAACGAAAACUUACAAACCGGAUAGCCAACGUAUCCGGGAACCGGAAUUGGAUCGUAUUGCUUAUUUUACAAGCCUUCUUGGAUCGUCCUUGUCUCGAUGCUUCUGGAUCUCCCACGUUUCUCGCCUUCUCCCAUGCAUACGCCUUACGCCACGGAUCGGAUGCGGAUCUGAUGCGACGGAUGCCAAUCGAAGAGGGCUACCAGAGUCCUCUUCUAUGUCCACACUCCAAAACCCCAAGAACGUAGGUGGAAAUCCCACUGAUGAAGAAGAGAGAGAAUAAGGAAGAUAUUUCGUGGGUUCUUACCAAUUUGAUCGUAUGCGAUCAUCUUUUUUUCCGGAGAGAAAAGGGGGCGUCUAUAUAGAAUAACGGAACCCCUAAAUAUCCUGAAUCUCAUAUAGAUUAGGAUAAGGAUCAGGAUAUUUAUUAACAUAUAAUAGAUAUCCACUAGUAGAUACGUUUCUUAACUAAUAAGAAAUAUAUGAUUUAUUCUUAUCCUAAACUUAUUAGGAUAAAUUCCAAUCUACAUCUUAAGUGGAUCGGGUUAAAUUAAAACCCGCCAAUGUAGACACACCACAUGGCUACAAUCUUCCACUUGGCCACAUUGGCCAAUUCUCUCUUAUUCAUUCAUCUCUUCAUAUGGGUAAUGGAGCGUGUGACCUGAUGAAAGAAACACAUGCAGGAGUGCUAUAUUAAGUCACCACCCAACUAACAUAGCACAUCACUGACUUAAUUCGUCUAUGCCUUAGACGUUUCAACACACAUCUGAUCAAGCAUCACAAAGUCCCUCUCCUGUAAUGACAGGGCUCGACCCCAUCGUUAUUUCUCGUACUCAUGAUUAUCUCAAGUAACACAACCGGGAUAAUCGCCAAGGCAAUGAGUCACAAGACGUACGUGGUGUGUUAUUGAAACAUCUUCCUCAGCCCCUCACGUUAAUCCAUAUUGGUCCAAGUACUUUACUAGACAUGCUCCGCGAGAUCGUAUUUUCUUAUGACCCUGAGAUACAUGCUAAGUUAGUUACUUUGGACCUCCACUUCAUAACAUUAUUCUAAGUCGAGGGCACAAAAGGGUUAGUGCUCACACAGUGACAUGGAGGGAAGAACUUAUGUCACUCUACUAACUGGUCGACAAGCACAUACAGUAUGAUAUGUAUGCUAUGGCGGAGCUCCCAUUCAAUGGGUCAUGUCACACUCUGAAAAACGCCAUAUGAACCUUGGUCUAGGUACCACUAAGGUAUCUAACCACCAUAACUCAAAUCAUCUCUCUAACCUAAGCACUUAGGUUCGGCUACUAUACAGGCUCGAUAUGAAAUUCACAAAAACUUUCAUAUCUGACUCUUUAGAGUCUCAUCUUAAACUAAUUAAGGCGACUUUAAAUUAUAUCAACACUUCAUUCAUAACAUAUAUAAACAAAGUAAUCAAAUUACAACUACUCAAGUUUAAUAUGAUUAUCUAGUCUCAUCCUGCUCACCACUUAGGUGCUAGGGCGAUCACCCGUGUGAGUGGGCAAAUCUGAGCCUGGUGACUUAACGAAUAUGUGCCUACUAAUAUCAAUUACGCUAUCUCAUUAAAAGAAAAAAUAUAUUUUCAUUAAUAAAUCGUAAGAUACAAAAUAAUGUCCAUAUCAAAACCUACGCAGACCCAAACUCUUAACGUGGGUCAGGAACAUAUCCCUAGCUAUCGGCUUGGUCAACGAAUCAGCCACCAUCCUAGUGGUGGAAAUAUGUCUAAGAAUGACCUCGCCUAGCCUAAUCAUCUCUCGAAUGUACUGAAAACGGAUAUCUAUUGGUCCUGCCAUGAUACUUGGGAUCUUUCACAUACUCCAGGGCAGCCAUGCUGUCAGAGAAUAUCUCAACAGGUUCACUUGCUCUAGUCACGAUGUCGAGGUGCUGGAGAAAUCUCCUCAGCCAAACAGCCUCCUGAACGGCCACUGAACAAGCAAUGUACUCCGCUUCAAUGGUUGACAAGGCAAUACAGCUCUGCUUCUUACUACACCAGGAAAUUGCCCCACCUCCAAGCAUAAACACGUAGCCUGAAUUGGACCUGCGCUCAUCUCUAUCACCACCCCAAUCAACAUCACUAUAUCCUUUCAAUCUCAAGUCCCCAUCUUGAAAACACAGAACGAGAUCACUGGUUCCUUUUAAAUAUCGAAGGAUUCUCUUAACCGCUUGCCAAUAAAUAGGUCCUGGGUUGCUCUGGUAACGACUUACCAAGCUAACAGCAAAGCAAAUGUCAGGUCGAGUACACAUCAUAGCGUACAUCAACUGCGAAUUGCACUCGCAUAAGGAACCCUACUCAUUUGCUCCUUUUCUUUAUCCAUUUUAGGGUACUGAUCAAGACUCAGAGUGUGAUUCUUUUCCACUGGAGUGUCAGUGGGUUUGCAAUGAUGCAUCCUAAAAUGCUCUAGAAUCUUUUUAAUAUAAGUUUCUUGAGACAAACCAAGAAGCUUUCUAGAGAGAUCACGGAUGACCUUCACUCCAAGCACAUAGCUCGCCUCACCUAUGUCUUUCAUUUCAAAAUUGAGAGAUAACCACUCCUUAGUGGUAUUAAUUAACUCUAUGUCAUUUCCAGCCAAUAGUAUACCGUCGACGUAUAGAGAGAGAAACAAAAUCCCAUUCUCUAUCUUCUUGACAUAUACACAGUGGUCCUCCUCUAUCAUGGACAUACCGAUAGAGGUGAUGGCUUUAUGAAACCUGAAAUACCACUGUCUUGACGACUGCUUGAGACCGUAAAUGGAUCUUUUAAGAUGACAAACUUUGUCUUUUUAAUCUUUGAGUACAAAAUCCUCAGGUUGAUCCAUAUAAAUCUCCUCCGCCAAUUCUCCAUUGAGAAAAGCUGUCUUGACAUCCAUUUGGAACAAUUCCAAAUCUAGGUGUGCCACUAAGGCUAGAAUCAAAUGAAUAGAGGCAAAUCGCACAACGGGAUCAAACGUCUCGUUGUAAUCCACCCCUUGCCUCUGAGUGUAGCCCUUAGCCACGAGCCGAGCCUUAUAUUUAUCGAUUGAUCCAUUUGCCUUGCGCUUAAUUUUUAAAACCCAUUUAUUUCCAAUAGACUUGCGCCCAGGCGGAAGGUCAAUCAAUUCCCAUACUUGGUUCUUGCUCAUGGAGUCCAUCUCAUCUUUCAUAGCAGCCAUCCACUCACUGCAAGCUGACGUCUGUAGUGCUUCUUUAUAAGAAGCAGGUUUAUCAUCAUCGAGCGGAGUGCACAUAAAAAUAUCCCCUUCGAUCUCAAAAUGUCGACGGGGAAUAUGUCCACAUUCACUUCUACGUAAUGGAGGGUCUAAAUUGCCGACUUCCAAGGGUAUGCUCUCAUUCAAGGAAGCACUCCCACUAGCCGAAGGAUCGCUACCACUUCCUUCAGCGACUUCGGGAAGUGAUCGAUCACCCUCAAUAGCAGAUGGGGUAGCGUCGUCCUGUAACUCAUACAAUCCGACGUCUCUUCGCAUUUCACCAAUGCUUGGAAAAUUCCCUUCUAGGAAUUCCACAUCACGAGACUCAAUCUCGGUCAUACCACCAUCUGGGUGUUCACCAUACAUCACAUAGCCCUUCGAAUUUUCAGGGUAUCUGAUGAACACAUGCUUGCUUGCUCUAGGAAGUUUCCCGAAUUUAUGUGAGAGGCUGUGAACAUAUCCAGCCAAACCCCAAGGGCGUAAGUAGUGUAAACUUGGCUUUCUACCACUCCACAACUCAUAUAGGGUGGUAGGCACUAAUUUGCUAGGGACUCAAUUAAGGAUGUAGGCUGCAGUCAAAAGAGCAUCUCCCCAAAAAUUUAUAGGAAGUUGCGCUUGCGCCAUCAUCGACCUAACCAUGUCUAAUAGAGUACGAUUCCUUCGCUCUGCAACACCAUUUUGUUGCGGAGUACCAAGAAUAGUGAGCUGUCUACUAAUGCCCUUUUCCUCACAAUAAGUCUUGAACUGAUCAGACAAGUACUCACGACCUCGGUCAGUGCGAAGCACCUUUACACUUCUUUCUACUUGAUUCUCAGCCUCUUCAACGAAGCGCUUGAAGCAAUCGAAAGCUUCAGAUUAGCGAGAAAGCAAAUACACAUAUCCAUAACGGGAAUAAUCAUUAAUGAAUGUGAGAAAAUAGCACGCACCAUGUCGGGCCCUCACAUUCAUUGGCCCACAAAUGUCAGAGUGGAUUAGCUUUAAAGGAUGAGAGGCAUGAGUAGCCUUACCAAAAGGCUUUCUACAUGCCUUCCCUGCCAGACAAGACUCGCACACAGAUAGGUCAACUUUGGCGAGAGACCCCAAAAGGCCUUCUCGAGCCAGUCUAUUCAUUCUUUCUUGACCUAUAUGACCCAAUCUGGCAUGCCAUUUAAUGGAUUCAUCACAGAGAAUAGAUGAAGAAGAAGAAGAAGAAGCAAAUGCAAACAAAUCAUCCUCCAAAUCUAAUUUAAAGAAAUCAUCAACUAAUGUACUAUAUCUAAAUAAAGUACCAUGAAAAGAAAUAUUAAGGCGGUCUCUGUCAAAAUGAAAUGAAUAUCCUAGAUGCAACAAAGCUAAAACUGAACAUAGAUUACAUCGAAUUCCGAGUGCAUAUAGCACGUCCUGAAGAAGUAAAGUGCGGCCACCACGCAACUUGAGUUGGUACGAACUGACUCCUAGGACUUCUUCCUUCCUGCCAUUCCCAAGGGUGACAAACUGUGUGCCAGACGGUACUCGAUGAUAAUCUACGAACCCCACUCGGUCACGAACUACGUGUUUGUUUGCUCCUGUAUCCACAAUCCAAUCAGGAAGAGAAUGAGCUACUAAAGCAUGAGAGCAAACAAAACAGUGUGAGUUGAGUUAUAGGGUUACCUUUUUCAGCUCAGGACAAUUCCGAGCGAAAUGACCCUUCUUUUUGCAAUUGUAGCAUUUUAGCUUUGUAGCAUCCUUAUUGCCAACGCGCUUGCCUCUGCGACACUUUCCAACUCCACCCUAAGGAGCUUGAUUCUAUUUUUUCUGCACUCCAUUGUUGUGAUGCUUUUUGCGCUUGGGUGCAAUCCCACUACGCUUCUCGGAGCGUGCAACAAGAGCGACAGAACGGUUCACUUCUAAGCGCUCUGUCUCGAGCUCGAGAUGGCGCGAGAUGUCAUUAAACGUUUUAAUGUUCUCGCUAUGCGUCAUCAGGAGCUUCAUCUGGGACCAUUCAGUAUCAGGGAGUGAACGAAUCACUGCUAGAACUUGUUGCUCAUCAGUGAGCUCGUUUCUGGCAGCCUUAAGGUCCCGAAUCAUGGCGCUCAUCACACGAAGGUGCUCAGCCAUUGAAUGCUUCGGGUCUUUAAUGUACUGUAGAAACUUGAGAUUUAAGGCACGUAGCCUCGUAGAUGAAGUUUGACCAAAAGUAAUUUUCAAAUUGUCCCACAUGUCCUUGAAAGUUUUAAAGAUCUCAAACUGUCCAAUGAGGUCGUCUUGCAUGGCACACAACAUAGUGUACCGAGCAGUUCGAUCCUCCUUGAUCCAUUUGUUAUAGAUCUUUUUCAUGCUCAGAAGCUGUGCCUUCGGCAGACAUAACUCUUUUGACAGAAAGGGUUUCAAGAACCCCUUGUUCAUUAAGCAGGUAUUGCAUUUUCCUAUGCUAAAUAUCAUAAUUCUUUCCAUUUAACUUAUCACCCCUGGUGAGAUCAGCUAUGAUGUUUUUAGAAGUCAUUUCACUACAUUCAAAAAAUAGGUUUGGACAUUAGGCACAUAUUCCUAAAAAAAUUAACAAGAUUGAAACAUUAUCCUCGACACAAUGGGAUCGAAAACUUCGCUAUGCUCGUAAUCAUCACCCAGUGUCGGUUCAAAAUAUUGCAAUCUUAUUAAUUUUCUAUUAAUUUUGAAACUUAUCCAAAAUAUUGAAACUCAUCCAUUUUGAAGAACAUAUCCUUUUCUUGAAAAAUAUUUAUAUAAGGAAAACUUAUCUCAUAAUAUCAUCACACAGACAAAAAUUAAGUACUUAUGUCAAAAUUUAAUUUGAAAAACGUUUACGCUGCUGCGCAAAACACAUUCCUUUACAUGGCCAUAAUUAUUACAUCACUUUUGCAUAAUUAAAACCUACUACAUCACUACAAGAUGUACAUCAGAAAAAUAAUAUUCUACAGGAAUGCUGCACACGUCGAACUCGUUUUUCCAAAAUUAAAUUUGAAAAAACACCGAAACAACACAAGUACUUAUAUGCCAAAAGAUUUUAUACAAGUAUAAUAUGCUACAUAAGCAUAAAAAAAACAUCCACAUAGGAUAGAUUAAACAAACAACACAUGCAUGUUAUAAAAAUGGCAUACAAGCAUAGAAAAAAAAAAUAUGUAUUCAAAAAAAAAAAUUAUCAUGCAGGAAAUAUAAAUAUCCACAUAGGAAAUUUUAUUUUAUUAAAAAAAAAAAUCUCUGCACUGCGAGCCGGGCCGGGCACGCAGGGUCGCUAUUCUGCGCGCAGCAGGCCAGGCCGGGCCUGCAAAAUCGCCGGCAGAACNCGCCCGCAGCACGCGGCGGGCUCGGGCCGGGCCCGCAGGCCCCCCACACUGCUGGCGGGUACCGACUCGCAAUGAGCCAGGGCCCGCGCUGUGCGGGCGGGUGAGCCCCGCUCCCGCAGCGGGCCGAGCCGCGCAGUACGGGCGAGUGCACCCCGCUCCGCAGCGGGCCAGGCCACGCGGGUGCAGGCGGGUGCGCCCCGCUCCCGCAGCAGGCCGGGCCGCGCGGUGCGGGCAGGUGCGCCCCGCUCCCGUAGCGGGCCGGGCCGCGCGGGUGCACGCGGGUGCGCCCCUGUGCCUGCAGCGGGCCAGGCUUGCGCGGUCUGGGCGAGGGAUCAGACCGCCCCCACAGCGCGGUGCACCCGGGUGCGACCCGCGCCCACAGCGGGCUGGGCCCGCACACGCAGCAGGCCGAGCCUGCGCGGUGCGCGGGGGUGCGCGCCCUAGCCCGCUCCCGCAGCAGGCCGAGCCUGCGCAGUGCGCAAGGGUGCGCGCCCGAGUCUGCAGCGGGCCGAGCCCGCGCGGUGUGCGCCACCGUCCGCAGCGGGCCGCGUUGAGCCCCAAACGGUCGCAAACAGCGAUUUUAUUAUAUAACAUGCAUUAAAAAAAAAUCACAUGUCCUGAUUAAUUUAAAGAAAAAAUUAAAACUAAUUUAAUUUUUCUUUUCCAUAUAUAUUUUUUUUUAACCGAUUUCACUUAGAAACUGAAAAAAUUGUAGAACCAAUGUACAUAAAAAAUUGAUCGAUAAACAUGCGAUCCAAAACAAAUAUGCAUCACAGACAUGAUCAUAAGGCGAAAACAAGCACACAUUCUCUGAUACCAACUGUUGGAAAUAAUAGGGCAACGGAAACUUACAAACCGGAUAGUCAACGUAUCCGGGAGCCUGAAUCGAAUCGGAUUGCUUGUUUUACAAGCCUUCUUGGAUCGUCCUUGUCUCGAUGCUUCUGGAUCUCCCAUGUUUCUAGCCUUCUCCCACGCGUACGCCUUACGCCACGGAUCGGAUGCAGAUCUGAUGCGACGGAUGCCAAUCGAAGAGGGUUACCAGAGUCCUCUUCUAUGUCCACACUCCAAAAUCCCGGGAACGUAGGUGGAAAUCCCAGAGAGGAAGAAGAGAGAGAUUAAGGAAGAUAUUUCGUGGGUUCUUACGAAUUUGAUCGUAUGCGAUCGUCUCUUUUUCCAGAGGGAAAAGGGGGAGUAUAUAUAGAAUAACGAAACCCCUAAAUAUCCUGAAUCUCAUAUAUAUUAGGAUAAGGAUCAGGAUAUUUAUUAACAUAUAAUAGAUAUCCACUAGUAGAUACGUUUCUUAACUAAUAAGAAACAUAUGAUUAUUCUUAUCCUAAAUUUAUUAGGAUAAAUUCCAAUCCACAUCUUAAGUGGAUCAGGUUAAAUUAAAACCCGCCAAUGUGGACACACCACAUGGCUACAAUGGAAUCAAUGAAUUCCGUUCUGAUUCCAUUGUCUAAAAUAGGUGAACUAAACAUGUCCUUAGUUCUUCCUUGAAAAAAAUACAACCACUUUCUCUCAUAAUUAUUUUAGAUCUGCAACUUUCCUAUGUACAAAUUGAGAUCCUCAACUUACAAUUUGAAUCAAUAAAAUAGCAUCUUUUAUUUCUAGUAGAAAAUUUUUUAGAAACAAAAUAUUUCUAAUAUCGGAUCUGACCAAAAUAUGAAGAACACAUGAAUAAAAAGAAAAGGAGAACCAAACCCAAUUAGAAUUUUCAAAGAUUGAACCAAUCAGCCAUGGGAAACCAAAAAUUUUGGAGCAUUAUGUUCAUUUAAAGAAGGUUUGGAUAGUAAAAAUGAAAGCUAAAAAAAAAAAGGAGAUCCAAUGUCAAUACCAUCGCCAAAAGCCAGCCAACGUCUCUAGCGGCUACGGCGAGAUAAGAUGAUGACAUUUAUUGCGUUGGGGUGAGAAGCGAAGGAGGCGCCAUAGCUUUGGUGACCAACAACAAAUCAAACGGCAAGUUUGAUGAGAUUCGGAUCCAACCUAUGAAACGGAAAGAGGAGAGGGAUGAUGCGGCGGAAAGGGGAGAGGUAAUGCCGUAUCGAAACGUUGAGGGAAGAGGGAACGCGCGGUGGAGAGGAGAGAAAGAGAACAUGCUGCCGAGAGAGGAGAGGUUUACGAUCCGUACAAAAACACAGAGAUGAGAGAGAUUCACAGGAAAAAUGACAGUCCGGUUCAGAAGCAUGGUUCGGUUCAGAGAAUUGUACAAACAAUACGGAGAGGAGAGAGCAGCAGUUCGGUUCGGGGACGGUUCAAAAAGGGACAAGUGAGAGAGAGGAGAGAAGUGGUCCGGUUCAGGAAAAAAACGCGGUUAGGAUUAGAUAAGCUGUUUGGUUCAAAAGAGGGGCAAGUGAGGGUGAAGGAUAGGCUGCCACAUGGCAAAAUUAAGAGAAAUAAUAAUCAGGAAUAGAUAGAUGUGAGCUUUUAGAUGGUUAAAAAAUAUUUAAUUUAAUUCAGAAAUUAUCAACUCUAAUUAAAAAAUGAAUAAAGCUACAUUUAAACUCUAAAAGGAUCAAAUGUAGUCUCUUUGACUAUAGAUGGCUUCAAAUCAUGAAACUCAAUUCCUUAAAAUUUGCCCUCCUGGAGUUUUUUCCAAAUUUGAGAGAUUUCUAAACAAAAUCUAAGUGUAAAGAUUUAGUCCAAAUUUCAUAUUAUUUUUAAUCAUCAAAACUUAUAGAUGAGAGGGCCACUAGGCCAACAUUUGGCUCGUUAAUAAAUAAGCCAAACACGAAUUGAAUUUUUGAGCUUGAUAUUUUAAAGAGUUAGCUCGUGCUCUGCUCGAGUUGAACACGAGCUUAUUCCAACUCUUACGUAUGUUCGGCUCGUUGCUAACCCAGUUGAACGUACACAAGAAGACUCAUUUGCAAUAGUUGCAACUGCGCCAAAUUGGGCUGCAGUUUCUAUUAUAGUAAUCAAAAGGAGUAAUCUUUGAUGGAAUGUAAAUUUGACUCCCAUAUCACCUUGAUAUAUAAUAUAUAGGGUUAAUUGCAUACACUUUCCUAUAAAUAUAACGAAUUGCAAAUAUAUUCCUGCAAAGUUUAACUUUUUUAUGUUAUCCCGGCAAUCUUAAUAUUUUCGAAUAUGUCCCUACUAAUACUUAACCAUGAUUAGUCAAUGAGGUAAAUUGACAUUUUUACUCAAUCAAAUUCUAACAAUGAGACUUUUCUUCUUCUCCCUCUUCCUCUAUCUCCUUCCUGCUAGUUUCAAACCCGUAACUAAAAUUUUUUUGUCCCCAUUCAUCCACAACGCGAGUUAAGUUGUCCAUAUCGAACGUGUGUUGCUUCUCCAUUCAAUCUCCUCUAUAAUUCUUUUUCUUAUUUUGCUCAAAAGAAAGGGUUUAAGAAAAAAGGAGUAAGAGAAGAGGUUGCAAUAAUGAAGGAUUGGGUUGAAUUUUAAAGAGAAAGAAAAUGAUCAUUGAAAAUGUUUGGGAGGAUAUUUCUGCACAAUUAUAGCAAUUGGGUCUCAACCAGAGUGACAAAUAUGAAUAUCACUGGACUUUGUAGGAACAGUAUAAAAAAGUUAAACUUUGUAGAGAUAUAUUUGCAAUCGCUUUAUUUACAGAAAACUGUAUGCAAUUAACCCUAAUAUAUAUAUUUGUAUAGAAAAUUGGGAUAUUGUUACUACUGUACAUAUAAAAUAUAAAAGCAGUAAAUAAAUGUUUUAGUUACAUGUAACCAACCAAAUUAUUUAUAUUUGAAAUGCUUUUUAUUAUAUCUAAUCAAAACAAAAUGCAUAUUGUUAUUGCUGUUAUAUUUUUAACUACUUAUAUUUUUUUACUAUAUUGUAUUUAUAAUUAUAUUCAACUACAUAUAUUUUUUUAACUACAUUGUAUUUAUAAUUAUAUUCAACCAAGUGGCUUCUUAGCUAGAUAUAUUUAAUUAUAGAACUAAUGUGGAGGAUCAUGCACAUUGUAACUAUCAUAGGGCCCACAAGUUAUGUAAUUUUCUUAUUGAUAGCUUGCUCAAAUAAUAUAAAAAUCCACCCAAAAUUAAGGAUAAAUUACAAGUAUAUUUUAAUAAAUUUCACAUUAUUUCUCCUUCGCUCACAUCCACAUCAUUCUAAGGAAAAAGUAUUGUAAAGUCAAAAAAAAAAAAAAAAAAAAUCAAUUGUUGCUUUCCAUUUCCUCAGUUAACCAAAUAGUUCAAACCCCCUUUUUUUUUUUAAUUAAAAUAAUGUGAUCGGAUUGACAUAUAAUUAGAAUGAGAAUAAAAAAUAAAAUUCAAUUGCAUUGAAAUGAAAAUAUAGAACGGGGAAUCAUCUAAAAGUGUUUGAUUCAUUAUUAAAAUGGAAAUUCGAACAGAUGCUUUGAAUUUUAAGAGAGGAUUUCAGAUAAGAGAGAGGAGUAAGAUGAAAGGAUAGGAGGAGGGGGUGUUUGUGAGAAAGGAUUUUAAGUAGUUUAUUUUUGAAUAGACAAAUUCAGAAUUCAAAGUCGGAUUAUCUUGGCUUAAAGAAGUCAGCAUAUUGGGCCGAGUCACGUUCAAAAUAGCAUGAGGCCGGAUCAAAUCGAGUCAUAAUUAAAAUGGUGUGAGGUAGGUUGGUCUGAGUCACAAAUCGAAAUCCAUGGUGCUGUCUCUAUGCGCUUUAAGUGAAUUAGUUGUAUCUUUUGAACAGCUCGAUCUUUUAGGAUUAAUGGCUAGCACCAACAAUCCAACAGAUUAGAUCAUAAAUGAAUUAACCUAUUUUCAUUCUAGAGUGGAACGUAAAUCUGAAUCCGUUUUCUAUAAAACAAGCAACUAUUAUCACAAUCGGUGAAACUCAUUCUAAUUUCAAAGUCUAAAGUAGAUGAAUCGAACAAGCCCAAGCCCUUAACGACAACCUCACCCACAAGCUCAUCAUUUAAAUAAAAAAAAUAUUGAAAUAAAAAAAUUACACCGUAAGGAAUCUUAUUAUGUUUUGUGCGAAAACACAAUACUUGCACACGUAGCUUCCAAACGCACGCAACAGAAUAAAAUUAUUUUUAGUUGCAAUGCUCUUCAGUAGAUACUAGCCGAAUGUACGUACAAUGGGCCCCUAUCCAAUCAUUUACAUACUAACAAAAGAACAUUCAACAACUAUCAUUUUAUAAUGACCAUUAUUAUACCCUUACAUGAUGCUAAACCCUAACACCCAAACCCUUUAAACUGGGGCAACACAUAUUGCAUGGGAGUUCACACAUAAGUAGCUCAUAGUUCUAUGUUUUUGGCUAAAUUAUGAAAGGCUUUUUUAUACUUUAGUUUUGGCCUGAAUUACUCAUGGCAUUGAAAAUUAUAGUAAUUACCAUUCUAUAUAUAGUUUGUCAUCAUCUCAAAUAGAUUUAAAAAUUUAAAAAAAAUCGAUAAAAUUGACAGUAAAACUUCACUGAAAGAAAUUGGCAUAGUCUAUUGUUCUAGAUCUAAUAUCUAAUUUGCAACUCAAAAAAAAAAAAAUAAAAUAAAAUAAAGAAGAUCUCUUAUUUUACUAUCGAAAUUGAAAGUUUGUGAAUUUAGUUUUUAUGCUUCUGUUGCAUUACUUAUAUAUAACUUUAUCUGUAAAUUUAUUUUUACAAAGUUUUAUAGCUGAAGUAGUUAGAUGUAUUUUAUUUUAGAUAAUGAGGAAAUGUAGGGGAUAAUUGAUGCAAUUUUUUAAAUUAAUGAAGAGAAAGAGGAAACUUGGAUAAAUUUGUAUAGUUUUAAUUAAUAGCCAUUUGAAAGAGAUAACAAUCAAUUUUCAACGGUCAAUUGAAGAGAAAAUUUAAAUUUACGAGGCUACAAAUAUGCAUAAUAAUAAAGAGGACCCAUUUUUUCGUUAUUACUACGCAAUUAAUCAUACCCCAAAAAAAACAAAAAAAAAAAAAAGAAAGAAAAAAAACAAAAAUAGAGAAAAAAAAAUCACUCUGCUUAUAGAAAUUAUACCAAGCAUUAACUUGUAACAUUCAAUAAACUCUGAUUCUUGCUAUAAAGAUACUAUUUUUAUUCUAAUUUGAAUACAAAAUUAUUCCCGGAAAAAUAAAAAAAAAAAAAAGAAAAACUCGCUCCUCCCAAAAUUCUCACACAAAAUUUUCUAAAUUCUAUAUAUGGACUCCAAAUUCACCAAUUUCACUUAUUCUUACGCAUAUUCGCAUUUUCACUAGUUGAAAAUGCUGCAGCUACAAACAUUACAUAAAAUUUAUACGAUCAGCGGCGAAUGUCAACCGUCGCCCAGCUUUAAAUUUCGUGCCAUUAAAGUGUAUACGCAUUUGUCGCAAAUUGCACACAAAGUCCUUGAACUUUGGACCAACUCUUCUUAUAUUGUUCCGAAUAAAAGUUUCGAAUUACAAAAUUUUGAAAAUAUCUUUAUUUUUAUUAUUCAUAUUUGUUCGACACGCCCGUAUGUAAUAUCCGUGCAUCAUAUGCAAUCUCAUAUUUACUUCAAUCUAUUACGAGGGUGGAUUGAAAAUAUAAGAUGAAUAGAAAUUUCAUAACUAUAAUAAUAAUAAUAAAAUAUAACUAUCUAAAUUCUAAUAUAUAUAUAUAUAUAUAUAUAUAUAAUUUUUUUUUUAUUAUUUUUUUUUUUUUCUCCAUCUGAUUUUUUAAUUUUUUAAUUUUGCAUUUGGGGAUAUGAAUGAAAAGUGCAAACUCACGCCCGGCGCCCACCGUAAGCCGCCGUCCCCGCGUCACGCCGUGGUGAGGCAGGCGGGCCCCCCCCACCAGGCUCGGAUCCCGUCGCGCCCGCGCGCCUCUUCUUGGCUCUCGUCGCCGCCGCCCCCACCCCACCUCCCCUCCUCAGCCUCCGCCUCCGCCUCGGGAUCCGUGGCGGCGUCGUCAUCCGCUCGGGAUCCGCGUCGUCGUCGGCGACGAGGUCAAUAUGAGCGUCCGUCGGCGGCGGGAGGCGCGGAGGAUGUCGGGGGGCCGUUCGAUCCGACCUCCGUGAUCACGACCCUCCCUCCCCCCUCGUCGCCCGCAGGAACCUCCUCCUCCCCCGCCACCACGUAUCGGCGGCGGAAACCCUAACCCUAACCGAUCCCCUCCCCCCUCUCCUCCCCCUCGUCUCCGACCCCUCCUCCUCCUCCUCCUCCCCCGCCGCGCCGCCUCCGCCUCUGCCAUUACCUCCCCCCGUCGCAGCUCUCCGAUCCGAGGCUCUCCGUGCACAGCCGCAGAUCCCCCGAUCCAGCUCUCGAGCAGUCCCCUCGCCCCGCGUCACCCUCUCCUCCGCCGCCGCCGAGGGCUCCACACGGGCCUCGCCGCGCGCGGCGGAGGAGGAGGGGGACGGCGGAGGGAUCCGCCGCGCGCGGCGGCGGCGGGGCGGCGGAGGCGAAGGAAGGCGAGGCCGCUCCGCGUCUUCGGGGCGGGAGGCUGCGGCACCGUGCCGGCGCGGCGAAGGCGAAGGCGGAGGCGGCGGCGGAGGGUGAGCCGCCGCGCGAAGGAGCUCCGGCGAUCGGCGGGGUGAAACCCUAGGAGCAAGGUAUGGACGCUCCUGCAUAUACUCAGCAUAGCAUUUGAUCCCCACACCCCUUUUGCCUCUUUUCCAAUUAUUUCUUUUUCCAAUUUUAUUUUAUUUUUUACUAUAAUAAUAAUAUUUAUAUAUUUUUUGUGGAAAUGAGAAACCGUUGCCGUGUGAUGUGUGCGAGUGUGAGAGCGGAGGUGGAAGGAGACGCGGUCGUAUAUAUAAAGAGGGGAGAGCGAGCGCACGGAAACGGUAAUAAUUGCCAAAUCAUCUCGUAGACCGGGUCUAUAGACCGGUACGGUCGAGUUUCAAUACUCAGCUCCAUUUAGAGUGCCGGUCUAGGGAUGACGUGAUACACCAGGUCUAGGGCGUUUCGUGCACAUUCUGCGGAAUAUUUGGCGAAAAUGUACGACGACACCCUCAAGUUUUGACCGGUCCGAAAUGGCUCCCUCGGCGUUAUAUUUUUUAUUUUUAUUAUUAAAGUUUAAUUGAUCAAACUUUGUACAUGAAAAUAUUAUUGGAUGUGAUUUGAAUUAAUUUGCCAAAAUAUGUAACGGUUUUAAUAUAUAUAUAUAUAUAUAUAUAUAAACAAAUUUGAUUAUUGUAGAUUGGAUUUGACAUAGAUUUUUAUAGUUUCACACAUGUAUUAAAAAAAAAAAACCAACUGUUCAUGAGAAUUACCCCUUUUAGUUUCAUUGCAAGUAAUAAAAAUAAGGUGGAAUAGGAAAAAUAAAUUGAUAAUGAAAUUCAAUCAAGUUCUAUUUAUUUAAAAUAAAAGAAUUUAUGACAAAAAAAUUAAUUCAUUUGAACUCAAGAAAUUGCAAAUUUAUUCAUUUUACUUGGAAUUGUUCAUGCUUCUAAUUAUUUCUCAAAAGUUGUAUUGUUAGCAAUUCUUCUAUGAAAUAAUAAUUUUACAUUUAAAAUAAUCUAAUAAAAUUAAUUAUCAUUGUUAUAUCUUUAUUUAAAUUGUGGUAUUAUUCUGCAUAAAUUAUGAAUUUAUAGAUCCUAAAAAAGUUUUAAAAAAUUUUUUCUUACAAAGAUAUAAUGGUUCUCACAAGGAAAACGUAGUCAGUUAAUUAAGGGAAGUCAACAUGUAUGGAAAAAAAAAAUAAUAUAUUUUAAAAUUUUGAAGAGAUAAAUUUUAUAACUAAAACAUUUCAGGACAACUUUGGUUAAUUUUAAAAUUUUAAAAUUUUGUAGGAGUACAUAAGAAAUUGUUUGUGGGUAAAAAAUACUUUUGGUCCUCAAAACAUAAAAUGCGCGGCAAGUCUCACAAUUUAAUUUAAUUAAAUAUUGACAUAUUACUUAUGUAAAAAUUAUAUAAUAUAUCUUAUUUAUCAUAGCAAUCACAAUACUACUAUAUAUUACUUUUAUAUUAGUGACAUAUCUGUUGGAAUCGGUAUUUAUGCUGAUACCGUUUGUUGGAAGCGUGAUUUUCUCUGAUAUCAAUUAUUGAAACUAGGAUCUAAAAUAAAACAAAAUAAUAUGAAAAAGAGAUAUUAGAGGAGGAAAAAGAAAACUAAGCUAAUAAUUUGUUAAUAAAAAAAAUUUAAUUACACACUAGGCGACAACCCUCGGCCUUCUAUAUCUAUUUUGGCUUAUUUCUCUAAUUAACUCAUACCUAACUACAUAUAGCUAUCAAGUUAUAACAAAUGAUAAAUUCAAUUUUUAUUUUGAAUAAUUACAAAUGCUAAUCAUAAUCAAAUAAAAGGCUUAAACUUAUCUCUAAAUUAUAUUUUAAUUAAGUUUGAAUUAUUAUUCUAACAAUAUUAGUAUCUACUUAUGAUAAUUCAAAAAAUUUGAAUCAAAAAAUUAGAAAUAAAUUAAAUUUUAGGACAAAAUGUCGCCCGCAAAUAAUUUGGGGGACCACAAAAGCAGUUUAUCCAUUAUUUUAUUAUUAUUAUUAUUAAUUAUUAUUUAUUUAAAAAAAUGAGAACUAGAGCAUUGGGAACAGCGAAGAAGAUUAUAACCCUUCUCUUCUCCGAGAAGGCCAAAAAUAGAAGGUGAGGUGUCUCGAGAUGGGGCUCCCCCUCGUGAUGACGUGGCGCGCGGGGGAGUCGUUAAUUGUGCUGUCGCUUUCAGAAAAGUAUGGGACUGCAGAUGACGUGGCACUCGUCGCAUAGAAAAAUUCUUAAAAUGCAAUAAAUAUAUUUGUCACGUGUCAUAACAAAUCAAUCAAAUAAUUCCUUUUAGAGAUAUAUAUCCUAUUAUGUUAUAAAAAAAUAUUUUUAUUGUACUUUUAUUUCAAAAAAAAAAAAUGAUUAACUUAUUAUUGAUGAUAUAGUACAAGUGUAAUAGUAUAGAAUUCUUCCGUCGCAUAGGUUACUCAAAUUCAUCUGUUUCAUUAUUUUUUAAAAAAUAUAUUUUUAAUCUGUUUCGUUAAAAAAAAAAAAAAGAUUGACGGGUUUUUCGUCCUAAUCAGCUCUUACUAUCUUCAUUGGCCAUUUGAUUUUACAUAAUUAGAAAUAUAAAAUAGUUAUAAAUGUACAUAAUUCAUAGCUAGUUAAUUCGGAUUCGAUAAAAAUUGGAUAAGAAUAUAAUACGCAUAAAAUUUAUUUUUUAAUUUUUUAAUUUUUUAAAAAAUUUAGCUUCAAAAAUAGAUUUGAUAUAAAAUAUAAAAUAUAAAACAAUCUAUAUUUUAACAUAAAAAUUAUAAAUUUUUUCUUCAGAUUUUCAAUAAUUCGGGAAUAAUUCGCGAAUUAUUCAGCUGGCCCAAAAAUUCGUGAAUAAUUUUCUUUUUUUUCAAAUUCGUAAACGGACCGUUUAAUUCGAAUUUUCAAUAAUUUGCGAAUUAACUAACAAAGAUAUAAUUAGAGUAUAAUAAUUAUAUAUAUAAAUAGGAUUACUUAGAUGUAGGGAUGUGUGGUUAGGAUGAUAGUGGUCCCCUAAGAUUGAAUCGGUGAUUGACUGAAUAGUAUGAUCUGAUAAAAAUAGUUAAAGGGCUAUAUCUAACGGCGGAAAACUAAAUAGUACUAAGCGUUUGUGUAGUGUUCUAGAGCUUUGGAUAGAAUUGGCUUCAGUGUUAAUGACUGGUCGACACAUUUGGAGAGUGUCGGACUGAGUCGGAGUCAUUUCUGAGCGAAAUGGGUGCAAAAAAUGGACUCGACGCACUCAAAUAAGCAAAACUGGAGUUUUGCCAGUUUAGGGCGCCCAGAACUUGGUUUGGAGCGGCCAGAUUUUGAGUGCUGGUUUGAGCAAAAUUGGAAGACAAUUCAGAUCCUGUUCCGGGCGCCCAGAAGUGGGUCCAGAAGUUUACUUUGGAAAUAUCGCUGACGUUGACAUGUGUUUGUGGUAGGUGAGGUCCGCCGGACCAGGAUAAGGGUGCAGCACACCGCGGGCAAAGGAACCGAAGAGGGCUGUUUGUGCAGGCUAGAAGUUCUGGGCGCCCAGAACUUGGUUUAGGGCACCCAGAACUUGGUUUUUCUGCAGCAGUGUAACUUUGUAUCCAAUGUUCCUGAGGCUUAUCUGACCAUUUGAUCACCCUAUAAAUAGGUGAGAGACGCCCCCGGUAAGCUCUUUUCCUCUCUUUCUCACAGGGAAGCUUACAAUUGCAUUCCAACCCCUCCAAAACACUCAAAUUGCAUCGAAAAUCCACAAAUUCAGCUUGAGAAGUGCUGAUUCUGCAGUUUUCCAGCGACGACCUUCAGUGUUUUAGCUCGUGUGCGACAUAGGAAGGUCGGCUUGCGGUGAAACUUGGUUUACUGGAUUUUAGACUUCCAGAGGAAUCCACGAAACCCAGAAUUGCAGAUUUUGGUUGAGUUUAGCUUGGUCGAUUCUUUAUUUUUCUGGACAGCUGGUGACUUUGAGAUGAAAAUCUGAUUUUUGAGUUUUCUUUGAUGCUAUCUUUGGAGGCAGGGGGAUUUUGGACCUGAGCUUGAUAUCUCAAUAUACUCCAUUGGAUUUGAGACCCUCCUCACCAGAUUUGGAUGUAAUUAGUGAGUUUUGACAUUGGAGUUGGGUUAAUUAAGCUUAAGUGCUGAAAUUGUAGUUGUAUUGAUGGAUUUUGAUCUUGUUAAGGUUUGGAGUUUGGUGAACUCUUAUUGCUGGAUUUGGAGGAACUUCGGUUGAUCCAGCAGGGAUUCUUAGUGGUUCGAGACCUCCUUGCUGCCAGGAAUUGCUUUUGAGGUAGGUGUUUCAUCGGUUUUGCUCCUAAGUGCUUGUAGUCGAUAUGUAUGAUUUCGGUUAUUGUAUAUCAUAUUAUAACUCAAAUUCGUUGAUUGUAACACGUAUGAAACUGAAUUGGGAGCAUGAUUAUUAAUUAGAUGAAUAUACAUGUUAGACUUGGAACUUGACUUAGGAGAAAACCAGCCAUUCGGCCUGUCAUAUGAUUCUACUAUCUGAUUUUAGCUUUAGGAGCCGUGGUUUGAUUGUAUCACUGCUGUAUCAGCGCGGUGGAUACCCGGGGUAGUUUAGAAUGCAUUUACGCUCGUGCUGGGAUGCCGAGCUUAUUUUUACAGCAGAGUCUAGGCUGUUUCAGGUUGUUGGGUGCCGUCGGGGUAGACGGUAGACCUAGAUUUCUGUUUUUGGUCUCUGAUUGUGCCGAGGGCACGUGGGUUUGGUUUCUAGACUUGUUUUGACCCUAGCUCUUGACUUUGGCUUGUUAGAGCCUGAUUGAGCUCGAUAGAGAUACGCUGCAUAUUCAGUUGGAUAGCUCACACGAGUGCCACUCCGAAAACGGGCGCUGUGCUUUGCGUUGGUGUCGUUCGUGCAGGUUGGACUUGCUCUCCACGGACUGGUUUGUGUGGAGGUAGCUGUAUAGUCGCAACCGGGCGGGACGGGUGUGUUCACAGUCCUAGGGACGGGUAUGAUGCAAUAUACCGAACUUCUAAUUCAUGAAGUUACGAUGUAUGUUAGCUUAGAAAGCCAUUGGAAUCAUUCCAGCGAAGUUCGGGAGCAUUCGGGUGCUUCGGUGCGCAUAGGGCGCGAAAACGGGACCCGAAAGGCUAUGUUGGACCAUGGACUAAAUCCGGUAUUAGCGUGGAUGAAAAGAUGAUGAAAACAUGCUUGAAAAUACGUUUGGAGAGUCUCGAUUCGAUUUGAAAUGAAUCGGAUGUCAAACGAGCGAAAACGAGUGAAAACGGAGCGAAAACGGUGAAAAAGUUGAUAAUUUGGCUAAGUCCUUGAAGACUGAUUUCUGGACCUUCGGGGACCGGUCUCUCAGUCAAAGGACCGGUCUCUCAGGGACCGGUCUCUCAUCGCAAGGACCGGUCCCCGAACCCCGAAAAUGCCGAGUUCGAGCUGUUGCGAGAGAAGCAUUGUUGAGGGACUUAUUGGCAUUUUGUGCAUGGGUUAUGAGUAAAGAGAGGAUUAGAACCUCUCUCUCUCCCUCUCCCUCACCGUAUCACACCAAAGCCUCCUCUCUAUCUCUCUAGAAAGGCGGUGCCCAAUGUUCCCUGACACAUUGAAAUGAUUAAUUCUCAACCUUCGGAGUCGAGUACAAAACAUUUAAGAUUAUGACUCAAAUCGGGCAAAAGUUAUACAAGGUGCGUCUAUUCUCAUCACUCGCGUUUCAUAUUGUCGUACGCCCACAUGAAACACUCAGUUGAGAAUAAACCACAACUUGAAUCUACCUCUAAUCUCCUUUUUAGAGGUUUACAAAUAACCCAAUCCAUUAUCUUUUCGCCACAAGUCACAAGUCCUCGUCUCUCACGACCUUAAUCUCCUAUGGUUUACUAUCCUAGGGUCUCCUAGGUCAAGCUAAACAUUUUCUUUAAACUCUUUAUGUCCUUUUUAUGCUUCUCUAUAUUCUCUUUAUGUUCUUUUUAUCUCUGAUAACCAUCUUAUCUGUCACGCCCCGAACCGACUCUUUGGUCGGAUUCGGGCACGCCAACAGACCGCCGAACGGACAGGGUUUCCCCUGUACGCGGACAGAGUCUCCCUGUACGUUCAAGGCGUCGCAAUCAAUACAAUGUACGAAGUUCCAAACAAGAACACAUUUCAACCAAAGAUUGCAUAAGGAAGUAUCAAAACGUAAAUCUACUUGCUAUUACAAGCAUUCAUCUCACAUAUUACAUUUUUACAUUCUUAGAUUUCAUCACAUUUGAUUCCUUGAAUUCUUACUUCCAAAUACAAUCAAAUUAUUAUACAAAUUAUUACACAGUUGAUACAUCUUGUUCUUUCAUUUUCCAUAUCCUAAGUAGCCGACUCAGGGUGUUGGCUAUCUGGUCUCUGUGGUAGGGCGCUAACUACGGAGCUAACGCCCUUCCUCGCGCCGCGCGCGCUCGGUGUGAACUAUAACACCCCGAAACAACGUGGGGUGAGAAACUAACUCCAUAGUCCCAGUGGGUACGGCCACCAAUGGAAGAGCUCAGAACCAUCAGUCCAACAGGAGGCAAACAACAUGUUAGUCCAAUAGAUAGAUAUGAAAUCAUAAAUCAUGCAACUAACAUUACAUGCUUUUUCCUCACAACAUGCAUCAUGUACAUUAUGAAUUCAUAUAGUGGAUUAAUUGCUUCAUACACUUAUUCUUACCAUUCUUUACUUUUACUCAUAUUUUAGCUUUAUAGACUAAGUCUAUUAUUUAGCAUUAACCUGUUCUAUUCUUUAUACUGUCUUUCGUUUAGCAUUAACCUUCCUUAUUCUUGAUUCUUUAUUCUUUAUUCUUUACGCUUUACUAAGGGUACUCACACCUUAGUAAUAUUUCUUUCUUUGCUAAGGUUACUUUAUUUAGCCAACUUUGCCAUCCGACUCGGUCUUGAGCCAAUCAACUGCAGAUAGUCCGGCGCUCUGUCCGGCUUGAGGUGAAGGAACUCUCACAUACACCUCAGCCUUCAUCACAAACCACAUCGCCAACGGGUCGCCAGAGCUGCGUCACCGGAGUGGUCAGGGACCCCCGGUGGAGAGGAACAGCAUACACCCGCAGCCCGAGAUCCUCGUACGGGAGAGGAACAUGCCACAUGCACCCUAGCGCUCACGCGUUGCUCAUUAAAAGCCUCUGAAGUUUUCCGGUGGGAGAAGGAACAUGCCACAUGCACCCGCGGCCAGAACUAUCGAGCUUGUAUGUUGCACUAGCAGCCGCGCACUAGCAGCAGGGAUUCCGGAAUCUACUUCACAUUACUCGAGGGUUGGUCUCACCCUAUGUUAUCGACCUAUCUCAGGUCCAAGCCUUUUACUCACCUAAGUUAAUACAUUAGGUUCAAUGUCAUUACUCUCAUAAGUCUAGGUUCAUUGACACUAGGGUCCAAUUUCUUUAUCACCUAGGUUCAUUCGACUCUAGGUCCAUAUCAUUACGUUCACCAACCUAGGUUUAUUUGACUCUAGGUUCAAUACCACUCAUGUUCUUGUUUUCCUAGUGGUCCAUACUUAGAAAUCAUACUUGACAUGCCAGUCUUGAAUAACCUAUGUUCAAUGACACUAGUUCAAUGCACUCGUCAUCCUAGUUAUUUAUACUUAGGAUCUUUACAUAUGACAGCUUGUCGAGUUCUUUACUUUACUUAGAGUUCAUUGACCAAGUUCAACCUUCAUAUCCAUUCUAACAAUUCUUCAUUAUGAAAUCAUGCAUUUUAUACCAUCAGUCAGAUAACAUACAUCUUAUAAUGUCUUUAACAUUUAACUCAUGCUUCAUCUAUAGCAUUUCUAUAAUAUGUCAACAUGCAUUCUUACUUAGCAAUUCUCAUCAUGCAUUCUUACUUAGGCAAUUCUUAUCAUGCAUUCUUAUUUAGCAUCAUUAUAUUAUGUCUAAUACACAUUCUUUUAGCAUUUCAUCAUGCAUCAUUUCUAAAACAUGCAUCUAGCUCAUGUUACUUAGCAUUUAACUGAUGAUCUACAUAUGUCUUAGAUAUUCAUUAGCAUUUAGCUCUUGCAUUCAUUACAUACUUCACAUGCACUUAGCAUCUUUAUCAUGGGAUUAUAUACAUUUAUUAGCAUCAUUAUGGUGCAUUCUUACUUAAGCAUUCUUAUCAUGCAUCAAUAGUGGAACACACACACUUUGGCAUGAAGGCGACCCAGUCGUUUCGGUAAACACAACCCACCUCUUAACGCGUUCCGAUUGCUUGUCGUCACUUACAAUCGGCCCCCCGCAGCCCUGAUCCGGUUGCCCGAACUCUCGCGCGACCACUGACGGCCACCAAUCCGCGAUCCGUCUUGUUCGGGAGUUUAUUCCCCGACACCACGAUGCUCCCGAUCCAUUUUCAUGAUUUUUGGAGGCUUAUCCCGCGUGCGCGGAUCUGUACCAAAACAGACUGUUUCGUAAAUAACUUCGCGUACACUCGUCGGAUGUCGAACGAGCGCACCAAUGCGUUCGUUAUACCCCCAAUUAGGUUUAUAUAGGCGUCAAUUGAGAUCAAACUCAACUAUUUACAAAAACUCCUUUUUGGAGCCCUAGAUGCUACUCUAGCAAAUCCUCCAUUUCGUCUCAUGACAUCAAGCAUGGUUCAUCUAUUUAGCAUGAUAGGAUUCCAUUAAAAUCAUCUUUAGAGUAUAAGAACUUAACCCUAAAGAUCUUACCAUUAAAGCUUCAAGAAGCUUACCUCUCUAGGUUUGCUCCAAGGUGAAAGAAAAAAUGAAGAGAUAUGUGAGGGAAGCUCUCCACUUGCUUCACCUUCUUUUUCCCUUUCUUCUUCUUCUUCUUCUCUUCCUNNNNNNNNNNNNNNNNNNNNNNNNNNNNNNNNNNNNNNNNNNNNNNNNNNNNNNNNNNNNNNNNNNNNNNNNNNNNNNNNNNNNNNNNNNNNNNNNNNNNUUAAGCUAAUCAAUCAUAGGUGAGGAAAACUCACCUCUAGUGCAAAAAUCUCCUCUAAAGCUCCAAAAUGAAGCUAGGGCUCAUCCAAUCCAACCUAAUGGAAGCCUCUAAUCCACUCAAUCUAGCUUCAAAAGCCCUAGAAUCAAAAUGCCCAAAAAUAAGCCCUAAAUCUCCAAUUUAGGGUUUCAUCACAAAAAUCUCAAUAAAACUCUAAUCUAGAGGAAGAGAACAAGUGGAUUACCUCUUAGAAGCUUCAAUCCAAGCUCCAAACUAUCCAAGUCCCAAGAUCUUCCCUUUACCAAGCUCCAAAACCAAGCUCCAAUGGUGGAAAAGCUUCCAACAAGCAAAAAGGAGCAAAAAAAUGAAGGUUUAAUCUCUUAAAACCCCAACCAAAAUCAAAGAAAUCACAAAGGAAGGUGUGGAGGGCUUCCUCACCUUUCUCCCUGCAGGUUCCAAGCUCAGGAGAUGCCCUAGGGGCGUGGGGUUACUAAUAGAAGGCUACAAACGCGCAAAACCCCCUGCAGUUUCAUUCUGCACGAAAUCUGCCUCCUUGUACCGGUACACAGGUUCUUGUACCGGUACAAGGUCGACGAAAUUGCAAACCCGAGGCUCGGGUCGCGCGGUCUGCGGCUCUGUACCGGUACAAGCCCGAUGGCUGUACCGGUACAACCAUCAACCCUUGUACCGGUACAAGGCCAGUCUGUUCCGGUACAAGCCCUACUGCAAGCUACCCGAGAGCUGUCCAAAAAUUUCGAUUUUGGAAUUUUGGUGCCAAGUCUCACUCCAACAUCCUCGGGAUGCGUGCCAGGGGUCGGAACACUAUCAACGACCCUCCAAAAACUGUGGGAAUGCCCCAAACACAGAUCAAACACUCGAAUCUAGCAUGUUUGUUGCACAUAAAUAAUCAUACAGGAUUAUCACUAUAUUCAUGUACAUAUUCUAUUAAUAAGCAACUUACAUAACUCACGCUUUNACACUCGAAUCUUGCGAUUUGCUAAGAUCCAGUGUAUUACAGGAGAUCGGCGGAGUCAGCGGCCGAACCCACUGGGAACUAUUCGUAGUUCUCACUCCACCAUGUUACAGGUCCGAGCUCGAGCGCCCCCGGUGAGGAUCGCGGCAAGGGCGUAGCGCCCUAGCGGCGUGGUAUUAGUAGAUAGCUUUACUUUCCCCUUGCAUUAGCUCCACCCUAUGCUUUAUAUUUUGAGAGUAGAUGUUGUAUAGGGUGAGGUUUGGAGAGUGGUUGUACGUAAGCUUGAAUAAAUGUAAUCAAAGUAUUCAAGUUAAAAGAAAAUAAUUGUAUAAAGUUAAAUGAGCUUAAUAGUUAAGUAUCUCUCUUUUAUUCACUUGUAUGAUUGUAUUACUCGUGAUGCUUGCUCUCGUAAUGUAUAGCACUGGUUGUGCUUUUGUUGUUAUUGAAUGAUUUUGUAUGUAUUCAAGUUGUUUUCCUGGAAACUUGUUGUACACAGUCUCGUCGUUGGAGCCUUAGGCGGACAGGGGAGACUCUGUCCGUUCGGCCUCACGCCCGCCGCCCUCGAAUCGGACCAAAUUGGUACCGUCUUCGGGUCAUGCGUUCGGGGGCGUGACAACUAUGUUCAACAACGAGGUCAUUCAUUCGAUUACCCAAUCUCUCGGCGAACGCAAGGCUCGCUCACAGUCUCACGUGUGUAAGUCUCAUAGGGGAGGAGGUCAACUACUGGACUACCCCCGAGACCGCCUGUGGACAGUUAGCGGCUGUCCGGGCAGCUAGCGGCUACCCCUCAAGUGACAAUACUCCGGAGUGCACAACUUGUGUGGAGCUACCACCACAAGUGCAGACAGGCUGCGCGAGCUCGAUCCAAUCUCAUGAGCUAAGAACAUCCUACCCGACCAGGGGUGAUAGCAAUUUAGACUCAGGUGUUCUAGUAGUCAAUCACCUAGUAUCCCAACUAUACUAAUGUUCUCAUGCCACUCUGGGUCAUAUUUAAAGUCAUUAGAUGCCACUCGUCCAAUGUUUAAGAUUAACUAAAUGCCACUCGUUCCCCUGACAAGUUCUCGAUACACUAGUUGCAUUUUACUAGGUUCUCAUCCACAUAAGCAUAUUCCUUCCUUAUCAACUAUCUUUUCAUUCUAGGGUCUCAAGUCACUUGACACUAUGUUAAGCAUACUAGAUUUAGGUAUUAAGCAAAUUAACUCUACGCUAUUCUACUAGCAUGCAAGAACGUGUAACAAUUACAUUUAGCACCCUACAAUGCAACAUUACAACAUGUAAUCGAUCGACUUGAUAAACUUAGAAAUAGGGAGCAGUUCAACUGCUUUGGGAUGGCACUCCCCCACCUCGUGGCGAUGUCGCGAUUCUUCGAGCACGAUUCGCCGACUUUACGACGCCUCGUUGGCCUUCUAGGCAGGAACGAAGCUCCGAGGGUCUCCUUUGACGAUAACUUCGCACCUACUCGACGGAUUGACGAACCGUCUUCGCCGACACGUUCAGGAACCUAGCAAUUAGGUUUGCGACCCAUCAAACGAGAUCAAAACCCUAGAUUUGCUAAAAUCCCAAAUCGGGGCCCUAGGUCUCAACAAUGGAGAAAUCCGCGGUGCGAGCUUCAAUCUCGAGCUCGAACCAUCUCCUUAGCUUCAAUAGGUUCCAUUCGAACCAUUUCUAAGCCAUAAAACCCUAUCACAAUAAAUCCACCAUUGUAAGGUUGAGGCUUACCUUCAAAACCCACUCCAACAAGAGGAAGAAGAUGAGGAAGACGAUCUUCACCUUUGUCUUCUUCUUCUUCUACUUCUUCUCCAUCCUCUCCUCCUCUUUCUUCUUCUCCUUCUCUUGCUUCUAGAGAGAGAGAGAGAGAGAGAGAGAGCAAUGAGAGUGUGGAAUUGGGAGAGAAAUAAGAGAAUGAGAGAGGGAGAGGGGUCCUCAAGCCCUCAUAAAGGCAGUUUUGCAAAUAAGCCCCUCAACUUUCCUCUUACGAAGCAGUCCUCACUGGGCCACUUUCGGGUACGGGGACCGGUCCCUCUCAGGGAGGACCGGUCCCCCGAGAGCUGCCCAAAAAUUACGCGUACGGGAACCGGUCCCCACACUGAGGGACCGGUCCCCGAGAGCUUUCUCCGAAAAAUUGGGGCUACGGGAACCGGUCCUCUCCCAGAGGGACCGGUCCCCGAGAGCAUGAAAUCUGCUCCUUGAGCAGAUUUCGCUCCAAGCUCUCGCGGGUCCGUCCUCAAUAAACUUUCGACGUUUUUGAUGUUCUCGGACUUUCCGAAGCACACCAACUCGACAAUUAGUCGAUUUUAAACAUAGUCAAAUCCUCGAAUUUCGAGAAUUCACCUCCCUUACAAUAUAUCCCGCUUGAAUUCCUCCCACAACAUUGGCGGAAGAUCGGAAGGCCGAUCCCGCUUCACGCACUUCCACCACACCUUCGCCGCUUUCUCCAAGCAAUGGGUGGCGAGGUACACCUUAUCCCUCUCCAAGGUACGCAAAUCAUCGAAGAGGGUUUCCAUCGAGUCGAUCCAAGACUCGACCAUCGCCGGCUCCACCUUCUUGCCCUCAAAAGUUGGCGGAUGGAACUUGUUAAACUUGAUAAGAGCCGCCAAUGCGCGCUCUCCUUCCACAUCUUCGGCCGUCACAUCGGGUGUAGCCGAUCCCGACGCCGCAAGAGGAACAAUUGUCGGCGGGGGACGCGCCGCCACCGGAACCGCCGCUAUACCCUCACCCUCAGCUGGCUCAGGCACGCGAGUCAAGGGUACGGGCACCUCGCAUCCAUCCGUCGCCGUUGCGACCGCCGCCGCAGCCUGCCGCUCCAAGAGCUCCUGGAGCCGCUCGAAUCGGGUCUCCUGGCGCUGCACCACAUCGGUCAGCGCAGUCACUUGCGCUUGCAACCGAUCCAUCACGCUCGGUUCAUCCUGCUCGGGCACCUCAGAAGUUGGUGCUGGGGCAGAUCUACGAGUGUAGCGUCUUGGAGACAUUAGUCCCUGAAACGCAAAUACUUGGUCAGUCAUCUUAACCAAUUACCUCGUCGAACUUACGACACAAGACGACUCCCUAACGAAAUCGAGCGGAAGCAUACAAGCAUACUCGUUCUAGAUUCUUGGCAUCACGUCGUCGGCCGCCGACAUAACCACCUCAAAUCAAGAACUAAUACCACUUGAAUCCGUCUCUAUUCACAACUAGAGACAUAUUAUCAACUUCGACCCAAUCGAAUUAACUUCCGCCAUCGUUAUAGGUUCACGUUCCGCUCACGCACCUAUAACCUUAGGGCUCACCAACUAGGGUCUCCUAGGUCAUCCUAGACUUUCUCUCUCUACUUGCUCUUGUUGCUCUGAUACCACUAUACCUGUCACACCCCGCCCCGAAACCACUACCAGUUUGGCAUGAUUCGGGCGCGGCGGCGGACCGCCGAACGGACAGCACCUCCCCUGUCCGCCCAAGGCUCAACAACGGGAAUGUGUACAAGAAUUUACCCAGGAAUUUAAAUUCUAAACAUACACAUUCAACGAGGGCACAAACAGUGCCAACAACAAGAAGAGCAAGCAAUCCACAAGAAUGACAUGUGAAAUAAAGAGAGGACUUUACUAACUAUUACAAUAGUUUGCAUUCUUUUUCAUUUACAUCAUUUUCUCAAAAUGUAUACAUUUGAUCCUCAAAAUACAUAGCCCUCCAACCUCACCUACAUGAAUCUCUCUCAAUACAUAGGUGUGCUAAUGCAAAAGGAAAGCUACUAUACUACCGCGGUCUCACUGGUCGGCGGAUCCUUGCCCCGUCCUCUCUCGGCAACCUGUACUACACUGGAAUAGAGUGGGGGUGAGAACUACUUUCCAUAGUUCCAGUGGGCUCGGACGCGACUCUGCCGAUCUUCCCCACUAGGUCAAGUGGGCACAAGCAAAAAAGAUAGAUAGAUAGAUAGAUAUCUGAAAGCUGUAAAUGCGAUAGUAGGAACAACUAUGCUAACUAUGCCCAAAAUCAUGAAUAUGAAUGCAUGCAUCAUAUAAUAAAGGUUUGCUACCAUGCUAACAAAUUCGAUACAUGUUCGAAUAGUAAUGUUCAAUGACAUUUUUAAACGUUUAUCUUUCCAUUUACCCAAUCUGUGGCGAGACCCUGGGGCUCGUCAAUGACUCACCUUUCAAUCCCAAAGUAGGGAGGGAGCUCCAAGUGCACCCAAGCCCGGGACCGUCUGCGGACCUCCAUGUGGUCCGGACCUCCAAGUGGUCCUAAUCGCACGACACUCCGGAGUACUCGACGACAAUCCCCUCCAUGUGGGGAUAGGAUGGCUAUACCACCCCAAAGCAGACUGUGAGCUAGAUCUAUCCUCUCCAAGUGAGGAUACACUACACUAGGGUCAACAACCCAAUCAAAUCCUCUCCAAGUGAGGAUGCUCUACAACUAGAGUCAACAUCUCUCGCGGAAUCAUUUGUUCCCGACAUUCAUGCAAUGCUAUUUAGCUUUCUAAAUUCAUUGUUCACAAGGCAUUUUCUAAGGGAUCCACCUAUCCCUAGGUUCUCAAACCUCUAGUGUUAUUUACACUACAUUAAUGCCACUCAUCAUCAUUUAACGUUUGGAUGCCACUUAUGUGUUCCUUGACACUAACCACUACUUUCUAUGUCAUCAACACCCCCAUUGGGUUCAUCUCUUUUCUUUCGCAUCAUAGGAUCCACGUUCCGACCCAAUCCUCACCUAUCUAAGUUACCAAGCGUUCCAAGUACACUAGGUUAUCAAUUAGAAAGCAUAAGGAAAGGUACUACUAUGCAAUCCUACAAUACAACAUGCAAGAGAUGAGAUUAAAUGCAAUCUAAGACAUAGAAUGGAGUUCGAAAGCUUCGGGAUGGCACCCCCCACCUUUUAUCGAUGAAGAGGCUUUAGAAAUGAUCCUCGGCGAACUUUACGAAAAGGCUUUAGCCUUCCUUGCCUAAGACAAUGCUAGAUCGGCCUCGUUUUGCCGAUAACUUCACGCCGGCUCGCCGAAUGCUAAAACCGACUUCGCCCCCACAUUUUGUGACCUAGCAAUUAGGUUUCCAAGGCUUCAAAUGAGAUCAAUCUCAUACUUUCUCAAAAACCCCAUUUUGGAGCCCUAGGUUUGCACCUAUAGCAAACCACCAAUAAAUCCCUAGAUUUCUUGGGAUUGAUCUAUUUAGAAGCUUGCUUAGGGUCCAUUUGAUCCAUUCCUAAGCAUCAAAACCCAAAACCCUAAGUUCUAAAAGCUAGGGUUCAAGAGCUUACCUCUUGAGCUACUCCAAAGAGAAGAUAAGAGGGAGAUGAAGGUGUCCAAGGCCUUCCUCUUGGUCUCCUUCUUCUUCUUCUUCUUUUUUUCUUCUUCUCCUUUUCCUUCCUCUCCUUCUUGUUCCUCUUUUUCUUCUUCUCCUUCUAGGGAGAGAGAGGGUGAGAAAAUAUGAGAGGGAGAGAGUGUGAGUGAGGGUGAGAGAGGAAGAGGGCUCAGCCCCUCUAAUCCCUCCCUAACUAAUGCCAUUUUGCACAAAAACCCCUCAACUUUUAAUACUAUACACUGCCCUUACUGGGCAGAAUUCGCGUGGAGGGACCGGUCUCCCCGACUUGGGACCGGUCCCCAAGGGCCUUCCUCGGGCGCACACGUUCGGGAACCGGUCCCUCCCCGGGAGACCGGUCCUCGGGAGACCGGUCCUCGCCUGAGAGACCGGUCCCCGAGAGCUCGAUUUUCAGGACUUAGCCAAAUUUCAGCAUUUCUCGCCGGGACCACGUUCAGGAACCGGUCCCUCCCUGCUAGGGACCGGUUGCACCAAGCAACCCCGCACACCCAGCCGAUGGAACCGGUCUCUCACCUCCAGGGACCGGUCCCCGAGAGUAACAUCAGCCCAAUGAUGCUGUUUGCACCAUUUGCUCUCGUGGACUCAACUCCAAGGCACUUUUUGUGCUUUGGACAUCUUUAAUUUCCCCAAAGGGUAUUCUCUCGAAAAAUAGUCGAUCCUGGACGAAGUACAACUCUCGGAUUUCGAGAAUUCACUUCCUUACACCGACAGCGAAACAGACUAGUGAGUAUGAUCCAAUCCUCUCAAGAGGAUACCCUAUCUACUAGGGUCAAUGUGCCUCUGCUGCACAGUCAUGAUAUAUAUAAUCAAUGUUGGAACUUCUACUAUCCCUAAGUUCAUGUCAAGUUUACUACACUAGACUCAAUGCCACUCAUUUAGUCAUUGUAGUAAAUGUCUCAAUUAUUCUACAUGCCACUCGUUCAUGUUUAGUGUUUCUACUGCACUAGUCAAUGCCACUCUACUAGGCUAUCAUGUGUCCAAGUUCGGCUCUUUAUGCCAUUAUAGGAUUUUCAUGUCACAAGACCCAAUCCUCAUGCUACCCUAGUCCAUGUGUUCGACUCAUAAGUUACACUACUAAGAAGCAUGCAAGGAAAAGGAAAUGUACAUCUAUUAACCCUAUAAUGCAAUAUGAUCAACAUAUAUAUAACUUAGACAUAAAAAGAAACCCGGAUGCUUCGGGAUGACACCCCCCACCUCUUGAGGGUAUGAAGGCUCUAGAAAUGCCCUCCAACGGACGUUACGACAAAGUCUUGGUCUUCUUGGUCCAAAAUGACGCUCAAUCGGCCUUGUUUUGCCGAUAGCUCUUGACCCACUUGACGAAUGCGAAAUCCAACCUCGCCCCCGCGUUUAGCCACCUACCAAUUAGGUUAGAGGAGGGUCAAAUGAGAUCAAUCCUCUACUUUUCCAAAAACCCUAUUUUGGAGUCCUAGGGUUCCCAUCUUGCCAUUUGCAAUUUGGAACCCUAACUCUAGCUUCAAUCCACCAACAAUGGUGCUUGGGUUCCAUUUGACCCCAUUCCCAAAGCUAAAAACCAAAAAACCCCAAAUUUCACAAGCUAGGGUUAGAAGCUUAACUCUAGGUUAGCUCCAAGAGAGAAGAGAGGAAGAGGGAGAGGUCCAAAGCCUUCCUAGAUUGAUCUUCUUCUUCUUCUCCUUCCUUUUCUUCCUUCUUUUCCUUCUGUUUCCUUCUUUUUCUUCUUUUUCUUCUUUUCUUCUAGAGAGAGAGAUGGAGAAAGAGUGUGAGAGAGAGAGGGAGUAGAAUGAGAGAGUGAGGGAGUAAUCUCCCAUGUAUACCCCUCUAACUAAGGCCAUUUUGCAUAAAAGCCCCUCACCUUUCAUCUCUGUGCACUGCCCUCACUGGGCUGUCUGCGCGCGGAGGGACCGGUCUCCCCGACUUGGGACCGGUCCCCGAGAGCUUCAGCUCGGGUCACGCGUUCGGGUACCGGUCUCUCCCAGAGAGACCGGUCCUCGGGAGACCGGUUCCUUCCUGAGAGACCGGUUCCCGAGAGCUGGGAUUUAGGACUUAGCCAAAUUUUGGCUUUUCUCGCUGGGAUCACGUUCGGGAACCGGUCCCUCACUGCCAGGGACCGGUUGCCUCAAGCAACCCCCGCAACACCAGCCGAUGGGACCGGUCCCUCCCUGCCAGGGACCGGUCCCCGAGAGCAAUUUUGCUCCAGUGCAGAUUUUGCACUAUUUACUCCCGUGGACUCGUUUCCAAUGCACUUUUGGUGAUUUGAAUACCUUUGGCUUUUUUUUCCAAGGUACACCAACACGACCCUUGGUCGAUUCUGGAUGAAGUCUAAUCCUCGUAUUUCAAGAAUUCACUUCCUCACAAGCUUACCUCAAACAAAGUCCUCCCAUGGUGAGGAAGAAGAUGAGAAGAAGAAGCUUCCUCUUCUUAGCUUCCUUCUCCUCCUUUGUUCUCUUUUUCUUCUUUUCCUUUUCCUUUCCUUCCCUUUCUUUCUUCUUCUCCUUCUUGUCUUCUAGAGAGAGAAAGAGAGGAGAGAGUGUGAGAGGGUGUGAGGAAAUGAGAGAAGGCCCUCAUAACCCCCUCAACAUAACCCAUAUAUUGCAUAAAUGCAAAUAAGCCCCUCAGCUUUUAUUCUGUUACACUGCCCAGACUGGGCGCUUCUCGCGCUCGGGGACCAGUCUCCCCGACAAGGGACCGGUCCCAGAGAGCUCUCCCUGAAGCUGGCAAAGCUCCAGCUUGAUGCAACCGGUCUCUCUCUGGGGGACCGGUCUCUCGGGGACCGGUCUCUCCCCGCAGGGACCGGUUCCCAAGAGCAGGUUUUCUGGGACUUCGCCAAACUUUUCCUUUUCUCACCUUUCACGCGUACGGGGACCGGUCUCUCCUUCAGAGACCGGGGACCGGUCUCUCCUUCAGAGACCGGUCCCCGAGAGCUGAAAACCUGCAGAAUGCAGAUUUUUGACUUUUAAGCUCUCGAAGACCUCCCAUAACGCACUUUUGAUCAUCUUAACACCUUCGGACUUUCCGAAGUGUACCAUCCUCACACCUUGGUCAAUUUGACUAAAGUUCGAUAUUUAUUUUCCGAACUUUCGGUAUAUUUCAGUAGCCUUGCUCGGCAUAUUAAUAUACAUUAGGUGCAUAUAAUUAUUUCCCCUUUUUUCAAUUAAUUUUACCAACAUAAACACACCUUCAUCUUUUCAACAAUUUAAAAUAGGGUUAAUUGCAUACACGUCCCUGCAAACAUGGUGAAUUGCAGAUAUAUCCCUGCAAAACUAAAUUUUCAUAAGUUGUCCCUGCAAAAGUCCUAAUAUAUGCAGAUAUGUCCCUGCUGUUAGGGUCUGUUAAAAAAUUUCGUUAACCACAGUUAAAAACUUAAUCAUGGUUAAUUAAUAAUGUGAAUUGACGGUUUUACCCUUCUUCCUCUUCCUCCUCUUCCUCUUCCCUCUUUUUCGACGCCGGCGAGGAAGGAGAUGCGGCGGUGAACCCUCUCCCUCUCCCUCUUUCUCUCCCUCUUUCUCUUCUCCCUUCUUCUUCCUUCCCUCUUCCUCUUCCAUCUUCUUCGUCGCCGGCGAGGAAGGAGAUGCGGCGGCGGCGGCGAACCCUCUCCCUCUUCCCUCUUCCCCUCCCUCCUCAUUCCCUUCUUCCUCUUCUCUCUUCUUCUUCCUCCCCUUCUUCCUCUUCCCUCUUCUUCUUCCUCCCCUUUUUCCUCUUCCCUCUUCUUCUUUCUCUUCUUCUUUCUCUUCCAUCUUAUUCGUUGCCGGGGAACCCGACCCCGAUCUUGCCGAAGCGCCGCCGCCGCCGUCCGCUCCGACGGCCCGAAGAGGGAGAGAAAGAGAAAGAGGAAAUACUUUUGGAGGGACAUAUUUGUGAGGGCAAAAAUAUUAUUUCACAAAUCCACUGUUAAAAAAUAAACAGUUCACUAAUGGAUGUUAACCAGAGGGACAUAUCUGCAUACAUUAGGACUUUUGCAGGGACAAUGUAACAUAUCGCAUCCCCGUAGAACGUGCCAAGUUCCGUCGAAAUGAGCGGAACGCGGAGUCGGAUGAGUUACAAUGGGUUCUAAGUGCAUUAGGACCUUAGUAUAGAGUAAAGGGACCUAAGAGAGCAAAAUUGUGAAAAUCUGGCUAAGUCCCAGAUUUUGAGCUCUCGGGUCCGGUCCUUGCGGGGAGAGACCAGUCCCCGUAGGUUGGAAAAUUGCCCAGCGGCUAAGUUCUGAAAAUCGUGCCCUCAGGAACCAGUCCCUGGAGGAGAGACCGGUCGCCGUGCGCGUAGCCAGCCAAAAAGAGUGAAAAUUUAGCUAAGUCCUGAGAGGUGUGCUCUCGGGAACCGGUCCCUACGGGGAGAGACCGGUCCCCGUAUGCGAAUUCUGCCCAGGAUGGGCUGUUGUGAAAAAUGGAAUUGAGAGGGGUUUAAGUGCAAAUCUGCCAUGUGUAGGUGUAUAGAAGUGAAUGGUAUUGAAUGAGAGCUCAUUUGCUCUCAUGCCAAUACCUAGGGCAACCCUCUCUAUCUCUAAAAACCUCUCUUCUCUCUCUCCUUCUCUCUAGAGCUUGGACCAAGGAGGCUUUUUGGAGGGAUCUAGGUAGAGAAGAAGAAGAAGUAGAAGGUGUAGCUUGCAAGAGUGCAAGUGUACAAGGAAGGCUUGGACUCCAAGGUGAGUUUCUAAGGUUUUGAGUUAGUGUUUGAGUAAUAGCUUCUUGUAUGAGUAUCUAGGAGCUUCUAUGGUGAUUUCCCCCAUGUUAUUCCUGUAAAAGGACUAGUUUUGGGGAAGAUGACAUUGUUGAGGGACCUAAGGUUAGGGUUUUGGAAUUUUGAGGUUCAAUCUUGGGAUUGAUCUCUUUUUAACCUAAUUGGUAGGUCAACGAACGCGUUGGUGCGCUCAGUUCGGCGAAACGACGAGCGUGCGCGGAGAUAUUGCGAAAAGAAGCUAAAUUGGUACAGAUUGCCGCAGCUUGCGGCGUAGAAGUCUAAAAAUCGUGAAAAUUGGAUUGCGGCAUCUUAGCAUCACCAAGAGGUGGGGGGUGCUAUCCAGAAACACCGAAUUUCCUUCUAUGUCUAUAUUAUCAUUAUUGAAUAUAUUGAUGUUAGCAUUCAUGCAUAUAGGGUAGUGUGAUGAAUAUGAUUGGUUGAGAUUCAAUUGUAUGCUAGAGAACAUAUGAAUUGAUGUAGAACCAUAUGAACUAAGAAUGUGAAAAAUCCUAUGUGUAUGUGAAUGUAUGAAAAUGAGACUAUGACAAUAGUAAACAAUGGUGAUAUUGACAUUAGUGACGAGAUUGGCACUGAGCAUAAGAACGGCUAAACAAGGUUUAACCUAGAAUGGCAUCAGGACCAUUGUGGCUCAGAUAUAGUGGGAAUGUGAUAUGGUAAUGACCUAUCCUUGGCAUUGAGGCUUUGUGCAUUGAGACAGGUUUGGCAAUACUUCCUCAAUUUGAGGAUUGGAUCGUACUCACACUGGCUUUGGCUUAAGGGAGGUAGCUCCCCCUCAAGCGGUGUACUCCUGAGUGUAUACACCACGGGGAGAGGCCUCGUCAUUGUUCCCUCGGGUAGUAGUGCUAGUAGCCUCCCCCGGUAGAUGGGAAUUGUGGUUCGUGAGUUUGGGGUGAACCAUGUGUACCCCGGGAUGAUUGGGUAAAGGCCAAAGAAAAUGAGAACAAGGACAUGCAUGCAUAAUAUUAUGAAUACGAAUAUCUAUCUGUGGAUUGUUUUCUUGCAGGCAUUGUAUUAGAAGUGUAUUAGUUGGUUUGUUAUCUUCCUUUAUUGAAAUACAUAUGCCUCAAUAGACCCAAUGGGCGAGUCGGCGCGGUCGGCGGCCGAACCCACUGGGAACUUCUUUUAGUUCUCACACCACCACUAACCCUGCAGAUCCAUGCGCAAGCGGGACGGCGGAGGAUCGAGGCAAGGGAUUAGCGGCGUAGUUAGCGGCCCACAGAGUUAUAGGCAUACCCUAUGCUGGAGUAUUCAACUUUUGUAUGUUGAACUAAGAAAUGCAAAGAGAUGUAAAUCAUAUUUUGGUUGAUAGACAAUGUGAUGUAAAUGUGAAUGAAUGAGAAUGAAUGUAAAUGUAAUAGAUUACUUGUGUUUGAUUAAAAUGUAAUCAAAUGACAUGUAUGUGGGUAAAUGUUUAGUUUAGUAUCGAUGCUUUCACGUGAGAUGGUUGUUGUUUGCCCUCGUGUAAACGUUAUAUAAUUGCAUUCAUUUGUGUUGAAUUGCUUGUAUUAUACAUGUUGUUGGAGCCUUAGGCGGACAGGGGAGGUGCAGUCCGUUCGGCGUCUGUUCGCGUGCCCGAACCGACCAAAUUGACGGCUCCGGGGCAUGACAGACAACUUAUGGAAAUUGUAUUUUGCAGGGAUAUAUCUGCAAUUCACUAUGUUUGCACCGACGUGUAUGCAAUUAACCCUUUAAAUAAGUCAUUAAAGUUUAACAUUUUAGUUAAAAAAAGUUUAUACAAUAGCUACUAAAACUAUUAAAUUUGAUUAAACUAUUAAAUAAAAUUGUUAGAAUAGAAAAAGUUAAAAAAUAUCUAUAAAAUAUAUGAAUUCUCAAUGCAGUUGGGUCACAUCUAACAAAAACAGAUAGUGACGUCAUCAAUUAAACAAUAAACUAAUGAGAACUUGCCAAUUGUCCGAUGAAAAUUUGGAUGUACCCAUUAACCAACUUUAAAAAUUAUAAAAUAUAUGAAUUCUCAGUGCAGUUGGGUAACAUCCAACAAAAACAGAUAGUGACAUCAUCAAUUAAACAAUAAACUAAUGAAAACUUGCCAAUUGUCCAAUGAAAAUUUGGAUGUACCCACAAACCAACUUUAAAAUACACAUAAAAGAUAAAUUUAUAUUAUUCAAUAAAAUUUUAUAUUGUAUAUUUUAUAUUAUAUUAUAUUUUAUAAUAUUAAUUAUUAAAUAUUUUAUCAAUCAUUUAAUACACCAUGUAGUAUAUGAAGCAUUAGUAUGGGAUAUUAUAUUAAUAUACGUUAGGUGCAUAUAAUAGUUUCGUAUUUUUUCAAUUAAUUUUACCAAGAUAAACACACCUUCAUCUUUUCAAUAAUUUAAAAUAUGUCAUUAAAGAUUAACAUUUUAGUUAAAAAAAGUUUAUACAAUAGCUACUAAAACUAUUAAAUUUGAUUAAACUAUUAAAUAAAAUUGUUAGAAUAGAAAAAGUUAAAAAAUAUCUAUAAAAUAUAUGAAUUCUCAAUGCAGUUGGGUCACAUCUAACAAAAACAGAUAGUGACGUCAUCAAUUAAACAAUAAACUAAUGAGAACUUGCCAAUUGUCCGAUGAAAANAAAAUAUUAUAUAUUCGUCACGGGAUUCUCCAUUAGUAGAAUGGUUGGGGUUGGGGCCACUUUUUUUCUUUUUCCUUUUUUUUUUUUUUCUCGGCUUUCCAUCCAAUUCGUUUAUCUCACAUGUUCCACUGAUUUGUGUAGGGGGGAUAAUUUCUAUCCAAACGAAUUCCCCUCUCUUAUUAUAAAAAUUUUAAAAGUAUUUAAUUUUUUUACACAUAAUAUUUUAUAUAGGUUAGAUUGGUUAUAUUAAAUAUAAAUUUUGAUUUAUAAUAUUAAUCGCUUAAAAAUAGGUUGUACAACAAAAAUAAAAAAAGAGAGAUAGAUUGACGGAGUUUAAUUAAGUUAAUUAUUUAUACUAAUAUAUUAAUUUAUAGUUGUGAGAACUGUAUAAAGUAUACUAACUAAAUCUAUAUAGAUAAACGAUACAUUCAAAUUUCAAAGUCAAAAUAUUAUUGACUGGCUCAAAUCAAAUAAAUUGAAAGUUUGGAUCGUAAAAAUAAAAUUUGAAAGAUUAGAUAGAUGAUUCAAAUUGGUCUAUAAUUUAGGAAAGUUUUACAUGUUUUUAUUUUGAUUUUAAUAACAAACCGUAACGUCAUAUUUAUAGUUGAUGAGCGAUCAACCUCACACUUAGAAUUUUUAGAAAUAUCCAAAAUAUUGUAAUUAGGUAUUCUAAACUUUAUUAGAUAAUUUAGUAGGUUUAUUUCUUGAAUGAAAUUACUGCUUGAACAAAAUCGAUCAAUGUUCAACUCCUUACUUCAUCUGGAAUAAAAAUAAAAAUAUAUGUAUGCUGUCUAUCUCUCAAAAAAGAAUAAAUAGUAAAAAAGUAAAUUACACUUUUUGUCACGCCCCGCGACCGCUACCAAUUUGGUCCGGCCCGGGCGCGUCGAACAGACGCCGAACGGACAGGACCUCCCCUGUCCGUCCAAGGCUAACCAACAGAUCGUGCAUAAGAAUUUACCCAGGAAUCAAUUCAUAAAUACACGAUCAAUAAGCACCACUAGUGCCAUAAACAAGAGCAAGAUACAAGUAUAGAAACAUAUACAAGUACAUAAGAGAGAAGAGACUAUCUAUUACAUUCAUUUGAUUUACUACAUUUAGAUACAUCUUUUACAUUCUUCCAAAAUAUAAAUACAAGCAAUCAACCCUCGCCCUAUACAACAUCUACUCUCAAAUACAAAAGGGGUGACGGCUAAUGCAAGAAGAGGAGGUAGCUAAUGCGACUAGAACGCCGGGCCCUUACCGCGAUCCUCACGCUCACCGGGGACACCCGAACUGGAACCUGUGGUAAAAUGGGGGUGAGAACUAACUUCCUUAGUUCCCAGUGGGUUCGGCCGCCGACUCCGCCGAUCUCCCCACUAGGUCCAAGCGGGCAUAAGUAGACAAUCGAUAGAUAGGUAGAUAGAUAAGGAAAGCUGUAAAUGGCGGAAAUGAAGCUACGCUACCAUGCCCAAUCAUAAGUAUAUGAAUGCAUGUCCAAUGAAAUAGGUAAGCAACUAAUCUGUUAUCAUGUCCAAGGGUGAAGCUAUUCACUCGUUCAUUAACCUCAUUUACUUGUUCAUUAAUCUCAUGGCUUACCCGAAGGCUCGCCUACAGCUCACUAGCCAUCUCGACACGUAGGGAGAAUUAACUCACACUACGGACCCGAGACCGUCUGGCGGGGCCAAAUAGGCAAUCCCUGGCGUGACCAACAUCCGGAGCGCACUACUUGUGUGGGGCUUCCAUCACAAGAUUUAACAGACCGUGAGCAUGAUCCAAUCCUCUAAGCUCGAGGAUACCCUGUCCUCUAGAGUCACAAUCAUCAUAUAGUCCAUAGGUGUCGCAUACACUAUUAACUAGAUUGUCCGUUUGUCCGCUAUCGACUAGAUGCCACUCGUUCAUAGUUUACUAUUAACUAGAUGCCACUCGUUCAUAGUUCAUCAUUUUCUCUACAUCAUAGGAUUCACAAUCUCGACCCAAUCCUUAUCAAUCCAAUAUAUCAAUUAUCCGAUGUACGCUACGAUACCAUGAAGGAAAAACAUAAGGAAAGGCAAUGCAUACUAAUCCUAUAAUGCAAUAAUACAAGAUGCAAGAUCAAAUAUACUAAGACAUAGGAGGGAGCCCGAUUGCUUCGGGAUGGACACCACCCACCUCUUGGCGAUGCCGUGAUAGUAGAAAACUCGACGUUGGGGUUCUUGUACGCCGCUUCAACUCCUCGGGGCGAAGCGAGCCCUCGAGUACCCGAUUCGGCGAUUUCUCCGCACCCGCUCGUCGGAUCGAGAAACCGACUUCGCCGACGCGUUCCGGGACCUAGCAAUUAGGUUUGCGACCUAUUAGAUUAGAUCAAAACCCUAGAUUUACCAAAAACCCAAUUCCGUGCCCUAGGAUGGCAACGGGGAAGAAAUCCGUGGUGCGAGCUUCAAUUGCGAGCUCGAACCUUCUCCCUAGUUCCAUUAGGUCCCAUUCAAACCAUAAAAACCCCAAAACCCUAGAAACACCAUUAAAGGGUUUAGAGCUUACCCCUACACAAGGUUCCUUCAAGCUUGAGGGAGAGGGAGAGAAGAAGAUAUCUUCUUCUUCUUCUUCUUCUUAGUCUUCUCUUUCUCUUUCUUCUUCUUUCUCUUCUUCUUCUCCUUCCUCUUCUUCUUCUCCUUCUUCUCUUUCUUUUCUUUUCUUUCUUAGAGAGAGAGAGAAAAGAGGGUAAGAGAGAGAGAGAAAGCAGCUGAGAGUGAGAGAGAGGGGUCCCCCACCUCUAAUAAAGGCCAUUUUGCAUAAAAGCCCCUCAACUUUCACCCUAGUGCACUACCCUCACUGGGCAGUUUUCGCGCGGAGGGACCGGUCUCCCCGACUUGGGACCGGUCCCCGAAGGCUGCCAUUUCGAGCAGAGGGAUUUUCGCGUUCGGGAACCGGUCCUUGCCUGAGAGACCGGUCCCCGGGAGACCGGUCCUUGUCCGAGAGACCGGUUCCCGAGAGCUGCAUUCUCGGGACUUAGCCAAAUUUGGCUAAAUCUCGUCGGGCCAACGUUCGGGAACCGGUCCCUGCCCACCAGGGACCGGUCUCAUCAGAGACCUCCGCAACCCAGCCUGAUGGAACCGGUCCCUCCCUGCCAGGGACCGGUCCCCGAGAGCAUUUCUGCUCCAGUGCAGAUUUUGCACUGGUGCUCCCGCGGACCCUUCUUUAAUGCACUUUAUGCAUUAUAAUCGCCUUCGGGCUUUCCGAAGCCUACGCACUCGACGAAUAGUCGAUUCUGGUCGAAGUCUAAUCCUCGAGUUUCGAGAAUUCACUUCCUUACAUCCUUCCCACCUUAAAAGAGUUUCGUCCUCGAAACGAACUCAAUACUCCAAAACUUGAUUAGAAUUUCAAAUUCUAAAUUCAUACCUCAAUUUAGCCUUCAAACAGGCGAGGAUGAUUCGCCUUCAUCUCCUCCUCGAGCUCCCAGGUGGCUUCGCGAUCAUCAUGAUUGCUCCACCGGACUCGGACAUAAGGAAUCUCUCGACUCCUUAACUUGCGCACUUCACGAGCGGUAAUUGCCACCGGGAAUUCCUCGUAGCUCAGAUCCUCCUGAAGUUCCGGCGGCUCAUAUAGCAUUACAUGCUCGGGAUCGGGAACGUAUUUGCGAAGAUUGGAGACGUGGAAUACGUUGUGCACAUCCGCAAGCUUUGGCGGCAACGCGAGCCGAUAAGCCACCGUCCCAAUCCGCUCCAAGAUCUCAUAGGGGCCAAUGUAUCGGGGACUUAGUUUUCCCCGCACUCCAAACCGCUUUACACCCCUCAUAGGCGAGACCUUCAAGAAGACGCGGUCACCCACCGCAAACUCUAGAUCUCGCCGGCGCCUAUCCGCAUAGCUCUGUUGUCGAGAUUGCGCCGUGAGUAACCGUUUGCGAGCAAGGCGGACCUUUUCUUCCGCCUCCCGCAGCACAUCGGGGCCAAAUUCCGCGCGUUCGCCCACGUCACUCCAAUAAAUAGGAGAGCGGCACUUCCGCCCAUAAAGAGCUUCGAACGGUGCCAUCUCCACACUAGCGUGAUAACUAUUGUUGUAGGCGAACUCGGCCAUUGGCAAAUACUUACACCAGCCUCCUUUGUAGUCGAUGACACACGCUCGCAACAUAUCCUCCAGAGUCUGAAUGGUUCUUUCAGUUUGUCCGUCUGUCUGGGGAUGGAAUGCAGUACUGAAAUCGAGCCGUGUGCCAAGGGCCUCCUGCAGGCUUUUCCAGAAAUGUGAAGUAAACUUGGGGUCUCUAUCCGACACAAUCGAUUUCGGCACCCCGUGUAAUCUCACUACCUCAUCAAGAUAUACCUGCGCCAACUUAUCUCCCGCCCAGGUGGUGUGGAUCGGCAAAAAGUGUGCUGACUUGGUCAAGCGGUCCACGAUCACCCAGAUUGCGUCGUGUCCUCCUGUCGAGCGAGGUAAGCCAACGACGAAAUCCAUAGAUAUGUCUUCCCAUUUCCAAACGGGAAUAGGUAAGCUUUGAAGCUUCCCCGUUGGAAACCGGCGCUCCGCCUUUACUUGCUGACAAGUCAAGCACUUCGCCACGAAGCGCCCAAUAUCAGCCUUCAUCCCCGGCCACCAAUAGAGUGCCCUCAACUCAUGAUACAUUUUGGUGCCGCCCGGGUGAUCCGCAUAUGGAGAUCGGUGAGCUUCUUGCAGGAUCAACUCGCGAAGUUCUUCAUUUUCCGGCACGCACCACCGGUUUCGAAACCGGAGCGCACCACCGGCGUCCACACUGAAAUCGCCAUCUCGUCCUUCCUCGAUAUUGCGCCGCACCUUUUGGAGACUCGGAUCUGCAGGUUGCAAAUUUCUGAUCCUCUCCAAUAAGGUCGGUUGGAUAACGAGCGCCAUCAGCUGGGCCGGGACCUCGGGAGCGACCACUUCAAGGUCCAGCCGCUCCAUCUCCAGCCCUAGGGGUGUUUGCCGGGUAACAUCAAAGGCGAGGUUCUUCGCCGACUUCCUACUAAGUGCGUCUGCGACCACAUUUGCCUUGCCGGGGUGGUAGAGAAUGUCGACAUCAUAAUCUUUUAAUAGCUCUAGCCACCGCCUCUGUCGCAUAUUCAGCUCCUUCUGGGUAAACAGGUACUUCAGACUUUUGUGGUCGGUGUAGAUCUCGCAGUGUGCACCGUAUAGGUAGUGCCUCCACAACUUCAGCGCAAAGAUCACCGCCGCCAACUCCAAGUCAUGGAUGGGGUAAUUCUUCUCGUGGUCCUUCAGCUGACGGGAUGCAUAAGCUAUCACCCUCCCGCCUUGCAUCAGGACACACCCCAAGCCCAGAUAGGAUGCGUCGCUAUAAACCACAAAGUCCUCGCCCUGCACCGGUAAGGCGAGUAUUGGAGCCGACGUCAAUCUUUUCUUCAACUCGUUGAAGCUUCGAUCACACUCGUCGCUCCAAAUGAACUUGACGCCCUUCUGAGUCAAACCGGUAAGUGGAGUUACAAUCUUCGAAAAGCCUUCCACGAACCGUCGAUAAUAGCCCGCUAAGCCCACAAAGCUUCGGACCUCCGUGACAUUCGUCGGGCGUGGCCAAUUCUCGACCGCUUCGACUUUCCUCGGGUCAACCGAAACACCACCCUCGGAAAUUACAUGCCCUAAGAAGGCAACUUCUCGAAGCCAGAAAUCACAUUUCUUUAGCUUUGCGAAUAGCUUCUCCUCCCGAAGGAUUUGAAGCACCGUCCGCAAAUGCUCCGCGUGCUCCUCGUCGUUCCGCGAAUAGACCAAGAUGUCGUCUAUGAAGACCACGACGAAUCUAUCCAGGCACGCCUUGAACACACGGUUCAUCAGGUCCAUGAAUGCAGCCGGGGCAUUAGUGAGCCCGAAAGGCAUAACCGUGUAUUCAUAGUGUCCAUAACGCGUACGAAACGCGGUCUUCUGAAUAUCCUCCGGCUUGAUCUUUAACUGAUGAUAGCCGGACUGUAGAUCUAUCUUCGAGUACACUCGUGACCCUUGUAAUUGGUCGAACAAGUCAUCAAUUCGGGGUAACGGGUACUUAUUCUUAAUUGUGACCUUAUUCAACUCUCGAUAAUCCACGCAGAGUCGAAACGAGCCAUCCUUCUUGCGCACGAACAACACCGGCGCUCCCCACGGCGAUACACUCGGCCUGAUAAACCCUUUGUCGAGAAGAUCUUGUAACUGAUCCCUCAAUUCUCUUAACUCUGCCGGCGCCAUGCGGUAUGGGGCCUUUGAGAUCGGCGCCGUCCCGGGAAUCAAGUCUAUAACGAACUCGAUCUCCCGAUCCGGCGGCAUCCCCGAUAACUCCGUGGGAAACACAUCCGGAAAUUCCCGCACCACCGAUAAAUCUUCUAAUUUCGGCACCACCCGGUCCACCUCCACGACGGUCGCCAAAAAUGCCGCGCAACCGCCGCUGACCAACUUCCUAGCUCUCGUCGCCGAUACUGUCGCGACGAAGCAAGAACUCCGACAAGCUUGAUAAACGAACUCCUUCUGUCCGGGCUCCCGAAAAGUGAUCAAUUUAUUCUUACAAUCGAUCGUGGCGUAAUACUUCGAGAGCCAAUCCAUACCUAAAAUAACGUCGUACGCCUCCAGUUUAGUGAGUUCCAACAUCCGAAUGGGCAUUAUCCAAUCACCCACUUGCACCGGACACGACGAGCACUCCGUAUAGGUGUUAAAUGAUAACUCGGGACCCUCGACUCGCCACUUGCCACUUGCUUCUAUGGGUAUGUCAUGCAUGCGUGCAAAUGCUCUACUAAUAAAUGAAUGCGUGGCACCCGUAUCGAACAUAGCUCUGGAGCGAACUCCAUUGAUUAGAACCAUACCUGCCACAACAUCAGGCUCCUCGGCUAGGGCAGGCUCCUCGGCUUGGGCCUGAGCGGCGAAUACCCGUCCGCUCGGCGCUGAUCGAGUCACCUCCGGCUGGCGCGGCGCCAAUGCGCGUCCUGCUGACACGGGAACAUAGGGGGCCCCUCCCUGAUAAGGCGGGGGCGCUGGAGCCGAUGCGACCGACGGAGUAGACGAGGCCCUUGCCGGACAGUCACGGCUAAUAUGUCCUUCUUGUCCGCAGUUAAAGCACCGUCCUUGUCGUUGACUACACUGCGGUGCCCGAUGGCCUCGAUCUCCACAAAUAGGGCAACGCCGCGGCCCACGGCCCCACGACUGCGACCGCGGAUGCUUCGGGGGCCUCCUCGAACUCGACUGUCCACCCGAACCGCCGCCCGAUCGCUUCUUCCCCUUGUCUUGGGAUCCGGCCAACAACUCACGCUCCUCCCGCACAUGGGCAUCUCCAUGCUCUGCCCACAGCGCCUUGUUGAAGACCUCGGCGAAAGUUGUGAGCUGGAAUAGCUGCACCGCUCUAUAUAUCCAUGGCCGAAGUCCUCGCAAGAACCACUCGGCUCGAUCCGCGUCGUCCUUGACCACGUCCGGGACGCAGUCUAUAAUGUGGGAGAACUCCUGCUCGUAGUCCGCCACCGAGCGAUCUCCCUGCCUCAACUUGCGAAACCUCUCCUUCAACUUCCGCUUCUCGGUGUCGGGGAAGUAGUUUCCGAACAUCUCCUUCUUGAACUCCUCCCAGAGCAUUGGCGGAAGAUCAGAGGGUCGAUCCCGCUUCAACCGCUUCCACCACACCUUCGCCGCCUUGUCGAGGCAAUGGGUGGCGAAAGGCACCUUAUCUUUCUCCGAGGUAUAUAGGUCCUCGAAGAGAGUCUCCAUAGAGUCUACCCAAGACUCUACCACCGACGGCUCCACUUUCCCCCCUUCAAAAGUUGGUGGCUUAAACUUCAUAAACCUCAUUAAAGCCGUUAGCGCACGCUCCCGCUCCACUUCAUCGGCCGUCGUAUCAAGCGUCGCCGAACCCGAAGCUGUCGGAGGCGCACUUGUCGGCGGGGGAACCGCCGCCAUCGGAACCGCCGCUAUGCCCUCACCCUCGGCCGCUACCGGCGUGCGUGCCGAAGGUGCGGGCGGAUCGCGAUCUCCUGCCGCCGUCGCGGCCGCCGCCGCUGCCGCUUGCCGCUCCACAACUUCCUGGAGCUGCUCGAACCGAGCCUCCUGGCGCUGCAUCGCGCCCAACAUUGCAGCGACCUGCUCCCGCAGCUCCUGCACCUCCUCCGAUCUUGGCUGCUCGGGCUCCGCAGAAGGCGGUACCGGAGCAGACCUACGCGCAUAACGCCUUGGGGACAUUGCUCCUGAAAAGCAACAACUCGGUUAGUUAUCUCAAUCCGAUAACUUCCUCAACGUUCACAAAACUAAACGACUCAACAAUAAAAUCGGGCGGAAGCUCGCAAGUGCUCUAGUGUUGGACUCUUAGCGUUGCGUCGUCGGCCGCCGACACAACCACUACAAGCCAAGAACUAGUGUCACUUGUAUCCGUCUCUAUUCACAGCUAGAGAUGUGCCAUCAACUUCGACCCAAUCAAUCAACUUCCGCCACCGCCAUGGGUUCACGUUCACUCACGUCCCUAUAACCUUAGGGUUCACCAACCUAGGGUCUCCUAGGUCAUCCUAGACUCUCUCUUUACUUGCUCUUAAGUGCUCUGAUACCACUUUAUCUGUCACGCCCCGCGACCGCUACCAAUUUGGUCCGGCCCGGGCGCGUCGAACAGACGCCGAACGGACAGGACCUCCCCUGUCCGUCCAAGGCUAACCAACAGAUCGUGCAUAAGAAUUUACCCAGGAAUCAAUUCAUAAAUACACGAUCAAUAAGCACCACUAGUGCUAUAAACAAGAGCAAGAUACAAGUAUAGAAACAUAUACAAGUACAUAAGAGAGAAGAGACUAUCUAUUACAUUCAUUUGAUUUACUACAUUUAGAUACAUCUUUUACAUUCUUCCAAAAUAUAAAUACAAGCAAUCAACCCUCACCCUAUACAACAUCUACUCUCAAAUACAAAAGGGGUGACGGCUAAUGCAAGAAGAGGAGGUAGCUAAUGCGACUAGAACGCCGGGCCCUUACCGCGAUCCUCACGCUCACCGGGGACGCCCGAACUGGAACCUGUGGUAAAAUGGGGGUGAGAACUAACUUCCUUAGUUCCCAGUGGGUUCGGCCGCCGACUCCGCCGAUCUCCCCACUAGGUCCAAGCGGGCAUAAGUAGACAAUCGAUAGAUAGGUAGAUAGAUAAGGAAAGCUGUAAAUGGCGGAAAUGAAGCUACGCUACCAUGCCCAAUCAUAAGUAUAUGAAUGCAUGUCCAAUGAAAUAGGUAAGCAACUAAUCUGUUAUCAUGUCCAAGGGUGAAGCUAUUCACUCGUUCAUUAACCUCAUUUACUUGUUCAUUAAUCUCAUGGCUUACCCGAAGGCUCGCCUACAGCUCACUAGCCAUCUCGACACGUAGGGAGAAUUAACUCACACUACGGACCCGAGACCGUCUGGCGGGGCCAUAUAGGCAAUCCCUGGCGUGACCAACAUCCGGAGCGCACUACUUGUGUGGGGCUUCCAUCACAAGAUUUAACAGACCGUGAGCAUGAUCCAAUCCUCUAAGCUCGAGGAUACCCUGUCCUCUAGAGUCACAAUCAUCAUAUAGUCCAUAGGUGUCGCAUACACUAUUAACUAGAUUGUCCGUUUGUCCGCUAUCGACUAGAUGCCACUCGUUCAUAGUUUACUAUUAACUAGAUGCCACUCGUUCAUAGUUCAUCAUUUUCUCUACAUCAUAGGAUUCACAAUCUCGACCCAAUCCUUAUCAAUCCAAUAUAUCAAUUAUCCGAUGUACGCUACGAUACCAUGAAGGAAAAACAUAAGGAAAGGCAAUGCAUACUAAUCCUAUAAUGCAAUAAUACAAGAUGCAAGAUCAAAUAUACUAAGACAUAGGAGGGAGCCCGAUUGCUUCGGGAUGGACACCACCCACCUCUUGGCGAUGCCGUGAUAGUAGAAAACUCGACGUUGGGGUUCUUGUACGCCGCUUCAACUCCUCGGGGCGAAGCGAGCCCUCGAGUACCCGAUUCGGCGAUUUCUCCGCACCCGCUCGUCGGAUCGAGAAACCGACUUCGCCGACGCGUUCCGGGACCUAGCAAUUAGGUUUGCGACCUAUUAGAUUAGAUCAAAACCCUAGAUUUACCAAAAACCCAAUUCCGUGCCCUAGGAUGGCAACGGGGAAGAAAUCCGUGGUGCGAGCUUCAAUUGCGAGCUCGAACCUUCUCCCUAGUUCCAUUAGGUCCCAUUCAAACCAUAAAAACCCCAAAACCCUAGAAACACCAUUAAAGGGUUUAGAGCUUACCCCUACACAAGGUUCCUUCAAGCUUGAGGGAGAGGGAGAGAAGAAGAUAUCUUCUUCUUCUUCUUCUUCUUAGUCUUCUCUUUCUCUUUCUUCUUCUUUCUCUUCUUCUUCUCCUUCCUCUUCUUCUUCUCCUUCUUCUCUUUCUUUUCUUUUCUUUCUUAGAGAGAGAGAGAAAAGAGGGUAAGAGAGAGAGAGAAAGCAGCUGAGAGUGAGAGAGAGGGGUCCCCCACCUCUAAUAAAGGCCAUUUUGCAUAAAAGCCCCUCAACUUUCACCCUAGUGCACUACCCUCACUGGGCAGUUUUCGCGCGGAGGGACCGGUCUCCCCGACUUGGGACCGGUCCCCGAAGGCUGCCAUUUCGAGCAGAGGGAUUUUCGCGUUCGGGAACCGGUCCUUGCCUGAGAGACCGGUCCCCGGGAGACCGGUCCUUGUCCGAGAGACCGGUUCCCGAGAGCUGCAUUCUCGGGACUUAGCCAAAUUUGGCUAAGUCUCGCCAGGCCAACGUUCGGGAACCGGUCCCUGCCAAUCAGGGACCGGUCUCAUCAGAGACCUCCGCAACCCAGCCUGAUGGAACCGGUCCCUCCCUGCUAGGGACCGGUCCCCGAGAGCAUUUCUGCUCCAGUGCAGAUUUUGCACUGGUGCUCCCGCGGACCCUUCUUUAAUGCACUUUAUGCAUUAUAAUCGCCUUCGGACUUUCCGAAGCCUACACCCUCGACGAAUAGUCGAUUCUAAUCGAGGUCUAAUCCUCGAGUUUCGAGAAUUCACUUCCUUACACUUUUAGCCCUCAAAUUAACUAUGACAUCCUUGACACUUUAGUUCUCGAACUCAUAGUUAGUUAAUUCCUGAACUAUUCACGAAUUAUUCGCAAAUUAUUGAAAAUCCGAAUAAAACGAUUUGUAUGCGAUUUAUUCCCCAAAAUUCAAAAUAAAAUGCGAAUUUUUGUGUUAGAUUUAUUAUUUGCGAAUAAAUCGCGUAUGCCGAACUAUUCGGCCAAAAAAAGCGCAAAAUCUCUUUCCGAAUUUUGCCGAAUUAUUUGCGAAUUAUUAAAAGACUUCAUAAACUUCUAGAAUAUGUGGAUCAUGAAAAAGAUAAAGAUGGAGAUGACAAUAAAAUUUGCUAUUAUUUUUUUUUUCACUUAAUCUACUUUAUUUUGUUAAUCUCUAUUUUUAUAUUCUUAAGAAUUUAUAACUAUAUAUGCUAGUAGCAUAAAUUUAGAGAAAAAAACUUAAUUUAAUAGCCGAAUUUUUGAUCCCGAAUUUUUAAUUGGUGAACGUAUAAUUUCAUAUAAAUUGCAUAUUCGAAUAAUUGGCGAAUUCGUUUUUUAAGCAAUAUUUUUCAAAGAAUUUAGAGAUUGAAGAAAUAUGAAUUUUGUUUAAACUAUAUCCAUAUCGAAUUUUUGCCGUGUAAGGACUGAGAAUUUGGCAGUGCAAUUAGACUCUUUGUUGACGAUGUUUUUGUGUGUAAUUUAAUUACAUAAGCACUCGUCAAGUUUCAGGAGAAAAUGAGUUAGAAUGGAGAAGUUACGCGACCUUUACUAAUCACUUAAAGUGAAUAGUAACUUCGAUUUUCGAAAAGGCCUGGGGCCUUGGACAACCAGUCCAGAGGUCACCCGCUGCCCGCACACGCUACCCACAGCAACCACGAAACGUAAAUUUGCACAUAAGCCCUUGCAACUAUAUAAAAUCACAUCAUUUUAUGUGAUUUUCAGAUUUUUACGGCCCGACAGUAAACCGAGGACAUUCGAGCCUGGCCGAGACACCUACUGAUAGGUCUCGACAUGCCGGAGGCCGUGCUCAUGAUUCGGAGCAUGGCCGACCACUUUGGAGAGCGCGGGAGCGACUCGAAGUUCAGCGAACACUGCACGCUGAAACUAAAACACGUCCAAUUCCCCAAUCUCGGGCUCGUUUGUGAGGACUAAGAUUUGUGCUAUGCAGAUAAACCCUUCGUUGAUGAUAUUUUUGUGUGUAAUUUAAUUACAUAAGCACUCGUCAAGUUUCUGAAGAAAACGAGUUAGGAUGGAGAAGUUAUGCGACAUGUACUAAUUACUUAAAGUGCAUAGUAACUCCGAUUUUUCGGAGAGGCCAAUUAGUAGAGAUGGCUUUUGAUGCGUAUUGGCACUACAAGAAUAUUAUAUAUUAGUGGCGAGUAAUGUCGCCACCAUAUAUAUAUAAGUUGCCACCUUUUUAAAAGGUGGCGAUUUUUAAAGUCGCCACAAGCUGCCACCGAAAGUGUUGCCGCUAAAUGAAAUUGUGGCGACGCAUGAAAAAUCGCCACCUUUUUUAAAAUAGCGUGGCGACAUUUUAUCGCCACGAAAUAUGACUUUUAGUGGCCAUUGCUAGCCGCCACCUUAUUAAANCCACCUUAUUAAAGAUAGAGUGGCGACAUAUUGUCGCCAUCAAAUAUGACUUUUUAGUGGCCCUUCUUAGUCGUCAUUUUUUAUGGAGAUAAGAUGGCAAUACAUUUUCGCCACCAAAUAUUACCUUAAGUGGCAACCAUCACAGUCGCCACCUUAAUUAAAAAUAAAAAUGCAACUUUUUGUCGCCACCAACUGUGCAAUAAAUGACCACCAAUAAUAAAAAGGUAAUAAACUAAAUAUAAAAAUAUACAGCUCAUAUUUUAUAAACAGAACAUAUACAAAAUAACAAACAAAAUAUUAAAGUAAACAAAGUUAUUAUUUUAACAACAAUUUAAAAGGCUAAUUGACUUCUAAUUCACAACAGCUUAAAAACAAAAUAAUAGCAAAGUCAAUUUAAAGGUAAUAGAGUAAUAAUAUUCGAUAUACAAUUCAACAUCAUUCCUAACUCUCUCAACUUUAAAAAUAGAAAAUAUUUAAAAACGAUAAAAAAAAAAUGCUUCAGCUCCUAUUUCAACAGCAAUUCAUUUCCUGCAACAAAUAAAAGAAAUAAAAGAAAAGUAUAUACAUUAAACAAUCUACAACAAGUUAGAAUAUUUUUUGCAUAGUUGGAUACACAAACAAUUUGUCUUUUUGAAUUUUUGAUUUAAUGAAUUAUUAACAAAAUAGACAAUUGUCAAAACUAUGUACAUGCAUGUUCUACUCUCAUUAAGGGAAAAAAAAAAAACAGACAUGGAAGAGAAGUAGAAAAAGGGGGAAUAGAUCAUAGGUGCCAGCAAAUCAAUUUAGCAACAGUUCAUGUUGUUAUCAUGCCCAAAUUCAACAUAAACAAGUAUUAUGCCAAUUCGAUCAUUAUUAGAUAAUGUGUGCUUGUCUCUCUGCAUUUAAAUACAUAUGCAUACAAACAUAAAUAAAUACGGCCAUUACACAUAACCACCAAUUUACACACAUGCAUUGAUGCAAAAAUGCGCAUGGAUUAAAGGCAUGCACAGAAACAAGCAUGCUUCUACGAAUAUGUUCCCGUGGAGAACUAGAUCGUAUAUUAGAACAUAUAUUAUAUCUGUCAUGUGACAUUCAUGCAUUAAGAAAAAAUUUACAAAGCAUACAAAGAGAAUCCACAAUAAAAUUGGCAUGGCAGAACAAUUCUCCAAGCUAGUAAGACAAACACGGUUAAGGCAUACAUGAGUAGGAAAUUCCCGACCAAGAAGUAUGUGUACAAUACAGAAUGAGUAGUACAUUCAAAACUGGAAAGUAUAAAAAAAAUAUUGAAAAUCAUCAAAAACAAAGAAGGUCAAAAUUGCAUUUUUCAAUGUCCCAUUAGAAUUGCAGCAACAAAUCAUACCUAUCAAUCACAUCUUUUGUGCAAGAACAGUUAGAUUGUUCUUCUGGUUGACGGGUUGGCCGCGGAUUUGCACUGUAGGCGGCCUAGCAUUACCCAUGGCCGGUUGGCUCGCCAUCCUGAAAUUAGCAUCAGGUAGUUUUGGACAGUUAAUAGUGGAACAAAUUAUUAGCAUAUUGAUUUGGCAAAAAACAAGGGGUACAAUGUAUGGAUUGCUCCUCUAGUAUCUCGAUAUAGCAAUUUGUACCCUGAACUUCAACAUAUAUCAUUCAAGUCCUGACCGCAUGAAAAUCUAAUUUUUCUUAUUUCCCCUUAUAGACACUAUAUUAUCCCAUUUCCUAUAUAAUGACGACUAACUUAUUUUAGUUUACUUUAAACAGGGUCAAAAGGUCAGCUUAUGAAAUGACUAUGCACAAAUUUAUUUUAGUUCAAGGACUCUAUGAGAAGUCCAAAUGCUGGAAUACUACAUGUGGAUUCAUCUCCAAAUAUAGGUCAGUUGGAAGUGGGUCCCUGAACUACUCAUUUCUUCAAUUUGAACCCCUCAACUAGCGUAUUCCUUGAAACCAGAAUAACUCCAUAGAACUAAUUAAAGGACUCUGAACCAUUCUAGACAGAACUUUCGGAAACUUAAUAAAAUAUUCCAUGACCUAACCAAAUAAUCUGAAACUACUUCAAAGGGAAGUGUUAAAUUCUGAAGGUCUUCGAGGAUUUUCUCAAAUCUAACAAUGAGUUAGCUAGGCAAUUCACACCCCAAGAUUAACAAUCUAUAGUUCAAGAAUACAUCUUUGUGUAACAAUUAUGGGUAAAGUGCUCCACUACUCCCCGAACAUUCAGCCAAGUUUCAUUUUGUCCUUGCACUUUCAAUUUUGACGUUAGGGUUCCCUAAACUCUUCAAAGAGUUUCACUUUUAAUCCUCACACAUAUUUACUAUUGGAGGAUAAAUUGUUGCCUACACCCAGUGCAUUUGUACAUCUAUGCACCAUACAUUUAUUAAUUACUUUUUCCAUCGCAUAUUUCAACCCUACCAUCCACUGAUUUAUAAUUUUUCUCUAUAUAAGAAUUGGACCUCUGGAAUGAAAGUAUGAAUGGAUGAAAAACCAAUGAAUUCAUGGUGAACAAACAAAUAGAUGAACUAAGUGCUAGCGAUAAUUACUCUAAGGAUAAAUGAAACAUUGUUCAGAGUUUAGGGACUAAAUUGAAACCUCACCAACAGUUUAGGGUCUUGAAAGUCGAAAUCAAAAGUUUUGAGGACCAAAAUGAAAGUUAACUCAAAAGUUCAAGAACAGGUAAUUCAAUUUACCCUUAUAAUUAUUACACAAAUCAGGUAUUUCAGCUAGUAACUUAAUAGUGCAGCUAAACAUAGGAAUAAUUUCUACAAAAUAAAACUUGCUUAGCCGGUGCACCUAUAUAUUCUUGAUAGCAGCUGUCAUGGCCAUGAAGGCCUGUUCAACAUUAGUGGCAUUUUUUGCACUAGUCUCCAUGAAUGGAAUGCCAAUUUCAUCAGCAAAUGCCUGAAGGGGACAAAAUAAUUAAAUAAACAUCAAAAUUAAUACUCCUAACAAAGAAAAGAGAAGUAGAGACACCCUAAAUAGCAUAUAUCUCAUGCAUAAUACAAAAUCCUUUUGCAUCGCUUUCUACCAAAAUCUAAUUAAAACUAGCAGAAAAUUGAGAAUUGAACAGGCCAGCAAUGACAUUAACUGUUAAAUAUACGAAUGAAAAGCAAUUAGUUGAUUAAGAGUAGAUUUUGAUUAAGUCAAGAUAUUUCAAUAAGACCUUUCAAGAGGGAAAUUUAAAAACUAUGAAACUCUAAUUGUAGGCGGAUAAAAUGGAUUUCUAAUCAAGUUAUUUUUUCAUUUUUGCAGUUGGAGGUGGUUUCACUUUUUUAACUGAAAUACCCAAGUCUCAUUAUAUCUACAUUAGUAACUUAUAACAAGGAUUCUUGACCUUUUUGAUGUUAACGAUGUGUAGAGCAGAAAAAGGAUGAGGGAAGAAAUUGAAAUUACCUUAGCCGUCUCAUAAGACACAACUUUGUUUGUUGUAAGAUCACACUUGUUACCCACAAGAAGCUUGUUGACAUUCUCACUUGCAUAACGGUCGAUCUCAUUUAACCAUUGCUUUACAUUAUUGAAACUCUCUUGGUCUGUCACAUCAUACACAACCUGCAAUUCCAGGAUCAAUACCAUGAAAUGUUUCGUGGGGAUUCUUGAUCAGUAGGCAUAUGAUUAAAAAAGAGAUAAUGUACACAUACACCCAUGAAAAAAUCUGAAUACUUGUAUUUUCUUCAAAACUUGAUUUCUUAGAUAUAUAUUCCUUCUCUUAAAAAAGUGUACCUCUCGACUGAAAAAUGAGGUUGAGAAAUAGACUUUCAUUAAACAUGCUUAAAAGCAUUUUUUAUACCAGCCUAGCUUCUAUAUAUAUAUAUAUAUAUUAUAUAUAUUAUAUAUAUAUAUAUAUAUAUAUAUAUAAAUGGUACACGGAGGCCUCCGUGCUAUCGAUAGAUAUACAGCCUAAGCUCUAUCCUGAGCAUGGAAGCUGCAUUGUUCCUUACACACCAGCCUUGAGUAGAGGUGACAACAGAUCAAAUAAUGCUCAAUACACUUCUACAAGGCAUAGAUAUAUUAAACGGACACCACAAUUCAAUACCAUCAAUCUAAAUAUAGAUACAGAUAUAAAUGUGCAACAAAAUGCAUAUUAAAUGGUUAGGGUAUGAAUAUGAUAUGAAUUAAACACUAAACGAAUGCAGCUACAACUUGGAUAUGAAAAGGAACAUGAAUACAAAUCAAACCAGUAACUCAAUUAUAUAUCUAUAUAUAUAUAUAUAUAUAUAUAUAUAUAUAUAUAAAAGAGUUGCCAUAAGAUUUCGUAAUACUUUGGUGCAGCAUGUGAGAACAAAGAAGUACUAAUACUAUGAAACUAUAAUCAUAUCAAACAACUCAAGCUCAAUUAUGUAGAGCAGAUAUAGAAAUAAACAACAAUGUACAAAGAGACAAACAGUUGUAUACCUGAAAACUCCGCCUGUGCUCCUCGAGGAUGAUCCGGAGGAGCGAUGCGAGCCGCAAGACCAUUUUGCGGCGCCCGAGGAUGAGCGAAACGUUGAGGAACCUUACGAGGAGACGGAGCUGCUUGUGCGUGAGGGCGACCUCGGAGGCGGUGGCGGCGGCGGCGGAGGGGGCGUCGCGGAGGUACUCGCGGUCGAGGACGGCCUCGUAGAAGACGAAGGCCUCGGCGAGGUAGGAGGAGUCGCUGGUGCGGCGGUACUAGCCGUAGUAGAGCUGGGCGAUGCGGUACGCGAUCUCGCCCACCUCCCACCGCCGUAUCCCGGCCUCGGUGAGCGCCGCGCGGUGCUCCUGCUGCAUCUUCCACAGCCGCGUGUAGAUCUUGAACGCCUUGUGGGGAAGUCCCCAUCGUCCCUGAAUCGAAGAACAAGAAGAAGAAAAAGAAGAGGGAUCGAAUUAGGGUUCGGGGUGAGAGGUUUGGGGGAGGUAGGGGGUUAGGGUUUACCGAUUGCGGUCGUGGGAGGGGCGAUCGCGGACGCGGGAGAAGCGGCGAUCGGCCUUGCCGACGAGGGACCGGAACUGCUCGGUGAUGGGGAUGGCGCUGUUGUUGCUCUGCGCCAUGGACGAGGAGAGGGUGGGGAGGACGAGAGAGAGGAGGAGGAGGAGGAGGAGGAGGAUGCUAGGGUUUUUGGGUGGAGAAGGGGAAAAAAGGAAAAGAGUUGGGAGGGUGAAGAAGAAGAGGAAGAGGAAGACGAAGAUGAGGAGGAGGAGGUCGACGAGCGUGAAAGGCAUCGGGUUUCGGAUUUCGGGUAUCGGGUUUCGGGUUUCGGGUUUGAAGAAUUUGUUUAACCGCAAUGGCAUCGAUUUCGAUUGGGUUUAAUUUAAUUUAAUUAACUAAUAAUUUAAUUUAAUUUUUAAAUUUAAUAAGUUAAUUUUUAAAAUUUAAAAUUUAAAAUUUAAUUUAAUUAAUAAUUUGUAAUUUAUUUAUUUAUUUAUUUAUUUAUUUAAGUUAAAUUUAAUUAAUUUUUAAAAAAUAAAUGACAAUAAUUAAUAGGUAAACACUAAUUAAUAAAGCUCUUGAAUUUAAAAAUUCAACUAAAUUAACUAGAAUAAAAUAAUCAAAAGAAGUUCAGAGGUGUUAAUCAAAAUAAAAUUAAAAUUCAUAAAGCAAUUUCAAAAUGAUCUGAUGUUGAAAGUGUCUCUAUACAUUUUCACCCUCAAUUUUUAACAACUAUAGUUUUUUCACCUUCACUAUACAUUAUUUUGAUAUAAACGUUUUAAAUAUUUUAUUUUUAUUGUAAUUUUAUUAAUAAUAUGCGUCAAUUUUUUUUAUCAUCACUAUAGCUAACCAAAUAGUGGCAAAAAAUUAGUCAUUCAGUGGCGAAAGUAGUAUUGCCACUUAAAGUUAAUUAAUUGGUGGCUAAAUUUUUUUAUCGCCACUUAAAGUUAAUUAAUUGGUGGCAAAAUUUUUUUAUCGCCACUAUAGGUAACCAAACAAUGGCGAUAAAAUAAUCAUUUAGUGGCGAAAGUAAUAUUGCCACUUUAAAUUAAUUAAUCAGUGGCAAUAUUUUUUAUCGCCAUCAUAAAUAACAAUUUAGUGGCAACAAAAUAAUUAUUUAAUGGCGAAAGUAGUGUCACCACUUUAAGUUAAUUAAUCGGUGGCCAUUUGUUUUAUCGCCACCAUAGAUAACCAAAUAGUGGCGAUAAAAUAAUCAUUCAAUGGCGAAAGUAGCAUUGCCACUUUUAGUUAACUAAUCAGUGGCAAUUUUUUUUAUUGCCACAAUAAGUAACUAUAUAGUGGUGACAAAAUUUAUCGCCACAUUAUUUUUGCCACCAAUACUGUCGUUUCUUGUAGUGUGGACUCCGUUCAUAGUGAUCCAAUAGCUCGUUCUCGACGGUUCGACUAUCCUGGACCCAAAAAAUUGACGGAAUUAGAUUUUGAGGCACGAUUUUCGAGAAAAAGGGGGUUUAUUGGAUUUACAUAUAUAUAUAUAUGUGUGUGUGUGGGGGGGGGGGGGGGGGGGGGGGGUUUGGAAAAUUGGAGAGCGGAUGAGUUUCGUCGCAAAUCUACGACCAAAGCUGAUGAAACAAAAUUGUAGAUUUGAUGCCCCAGUCGUACUGAACGCGCUUGCGUGAUCCGAUCGGAAAUCCGAUGGACGGAUCUCCGGGAAUCGCGAGAUGUUCGCUGAGGGGUCGAAAUUGGCAAAACGAAAAAUCUGCGAAAAGCCAAAUAUUUUAUGUACCGUUUUGCGUGAUUUCGAACAUCAAGGUGCUUGUGCGCAAAAUACACGUGCCAGCAGGGACUCAGCUGAAAAUAAUUAGGUAUGGGGUUUUAUCUGCAAAAGUGCACAUGGUAUAUUAGUGGCAGCUAGGGUUUCUAUGCAUGAAACCCUAGAUCUAGCCGACCCAGCUCCCCAGCUAUGCCAUAGUCAACAUCAGCAAGUCCCUGCCCUUGCUGUGCGCGCACCCUAGCCGUCGGUGAGCGUCCCCGGCCGCCGGAAAAGCUUGGUCGGCCUCUCCUCCAUCAUCUUCUCUACCUAACCGCCACCCUUCUCGACUUUUUAUCUCGAGAAGUCGCCCACACGUGUCGGGCCUCCAUCCCUAGGCCGAGACCGACCUCCGGCACCGUUCCCGCCGGUCCCCCUCCAUCCGCGCGCGCUGCCAGUGUCUCUUGGGAGAUCCGCGGCCACCCGCAGUGUAACAUACCGAAACUCGGUAGAGAAUAUCGAACUUUGGUCAAAUUGACUAAAGUGUGCGAAAGGAAUAGUUGGACAAAGUCCAUUUAUCAUUCCAACAAUGUUGGAAUGGUUAAAGUUGAGUUCCAAGGGAGUUGGAAAGGUUUUAGCGUUGCUCAGCGCGAAUUAGAAUCGAAACAAUGCGAGAUUGAGGUUCGGGAGCAUUUGGGUGUUUCGGUGCGCGUUGGACGCGAAAACGGAACCCGAAAGGCCAUGUUGGACCAUGGAUGUGAGGAAAUGAAUUCUCGAAAUACGAGGAUUAGACUUCAUGCAGAACCAACCAAGGGUCGUGUUGGUGAGCUUUGGAGAAGCCAAAGAUAUUAAAAUCACCAAAAGUGCAUUGAAAACGAGUCCACGAGAGCAAUUGGUGCAAAAUCUGCACUGGAGCAAAACUGCUCUCGGGGACCGGUCCCUAGCAGGGAGGGACCGGUCCCAUCGGCGGAUGUUGCGGGGUUGCGUGAGGCAACCGGUCCCUGGCAGGGAGGGACCGGUUCCCGAACGUGAUCCGAGCGAGAAAGCCAGAAAUUUGGCUAAGUCCUGAAAAUAUUGCUCUCGGGGACCGGUCUCACAGGCAAGGACCGGUCUCCCGAGGACCGGUCUCUCUGGGAGAGACCGGUACCCGAACGCGUGACCCUAGCUGAAGCUCUCGGGGACCGGUCCCAAGUCGGGGAGACCGGUCCCUCCGCGCGCAGACAGCCCAGUGAGGGCAGUGUACAGAGAUGAAAGGUGAGGGGCUUUUAUGCAAAAUGGCCUUAGUUAGAGGGGUAUACAUGGGAGAUCACUCUCUCCCUCUCUCAGUUCACUCUCUCUCUCUCCCUCUCACACUCUCUUGCUCUCUCUCUCUCUAGAAAGAAAAGAGAAGAAGAAGAAGAAGAGGAAAAGAGAAGGAAAAGAAGGAAGAAAAGGAAGGAGAAGAAGAAGGAGAUCAACAAAGGGAAGCUUUUGGACCUCUCCUUCAUCCUCUCUUCUCUCUUUGAAGCUACAACAAGAGGUAGGCUUCUAACCCUAGCUAUGAAAUUUGGGGUUUUUAGGUUUUAGCUCUUUGGAUGGGAUCAAAUGGAUCUCUAGUACCAUGAAUAGAGGGAUUAGAGCUAAAAUCUACGGUUUUGAGAUGGGUUUAGCUUGAUGCUAACCCUAGGGCACCAAAAUAGGGUUUUUGGUAAAGUAUGAGAUUGAUCUCAUUUGAGGCCUUGUAAACCCAAUUGCUAGGUAACGAAGCGCGGGGGCGAAGUCGGAAUUUCGAUUCGCCGAGUGGGUCAAGAGCUAUCGGCAAAAUAAGCCGAUUGGGAAUCAUUUGGACCAAGAAAAUCGAGGCUUCGUCGUAAAGAACGCCGAAGCGCAUUUUUAGAGCCUCCGUAUACACAGAAGGUGGGGGGUGUCAUCCCGAAACAUCCGGGUUUCUUUUUAUGUCUAAGUUAAUUAUAUUGAUCAUAUUGUGCUAUAGGAAUAGUAAUUGUACAUUUCCAUUUCCUUGCAUGCUUUCUCGGUAGUGUAGCGGGGUGAGCUUGACACGUGGACUAGGAUAGCAUGAGGAUUGGGUCUUGUGACAUAGAAUCCUAUAGCGGCAUAAAGAGCCGAACUUAGACAUAUGAUAGCCUAGUAGAGUGGCAUUGAACUAGUGUAGUAGAAACACUAAAUUGAAACGAGUGGCAUGUCAACUAGUAGAAAACUUACUACAAUGACCGAACGAGUGGCAUCGAGUCUAGUGUAGUAAACUUGACGUGAACUUAGGGAUAGUUGAGAUCCCGGCAUCUAGGAUGCAUUGUAUAUUGUGCAGCAGAGGCACAUUGACCCUAGUAGACAGGGUAUCCUCUUGUGAGGAUUGGAUCAUACUCACUAGUCUGUUUUUGCUUGUCGGUGGUCGCUCCACCGAGGCACGAGUCUCCGGAGUACUUCACUAGGGGCAGACGUAGUUGUCCCGCAGACGGUCUCGGUGUGCGAGUGCAGUUUCUCCUCACCUAUGAGAUUGAGAGUGAGUCGAGGGUUUAACCUACGGGUUAACCAAGUAGAUUGGGUAAUAAACAUGAAAUGCAUAGUAGACUUGCAUUAUUACCUUGAGUAGACAUAGUGUAUGUGGUAGUUUACAUUACUAUGCACCUUUAUAUACUCAUGACAUGACAUUAGCAUGAUAGUAAUUGUUGCAUGCAUUAUUAUCAUUGAUGGCAUGAUAGAGUAGUUGCAGUUCAUUUUCUAUCUAUCUAUAUAUCUCUCUAUCUGUGCCAGCUUAGACCUAGUGGGAAAACCGGCGGCGUCGGCGGCCGAACCCACUGGGAACUAUAUUUAUAUAGUUCUCACCCCGUGUGGUUUUGGGGUACAGGUACGCACAGAGGCCAGUCAAGCGAGGACCGCGGCAAGGGCAUAGCGCCCUAAGUGAGUUUAGCUAGUAGCUUUUUCUUUAUGCAUUAGAGUACCCUCGUGUACUAGAUGAUGUUUUGGAUAGUUAUUAAAGAGCUACUUGUAUUUUGAGGAAAACCUGUAUUUACAUUUUGGAAGAUGGAAAUGUAAAAUAUUCAAAUGAUGUAAAUGUUGAAUGGUUGUAAUAGUUAGACUAUCUCUCUUUAUACACUUGUAUCUACUUGUGGUUCUUGCUCUUAGAUGUAUUGCACUUGUGCAUCGUGUUGAUCAUGUAUGUUAUUUAAGCAUUCCCUGGGCGCUUACUUGUACAUGAUCUGGGUGUUUAGCCUUGGGCGGGCAGGAGAGGUGCUGUCCGUUCGGCGGUCCGUCCGGCGCGCCCGAACUGUGCCAAAUUGGUAGUGGAUUCAGGGCGGGGCGUGACAGUGUUGGUAUCAGAGAGAUUAAGAGCAAGUAAAGAGAGAGUCUAGGAUGGACCUAAGAGACCUUAGGACGGUGAACCCUAGGAUUGUGUAGGUACGUGAGAGAAACGUGAACCUAUGUCGGUUGAGGAAGAAUCCGAUUAGGUCGGAUCGAGUAUAGAUCUCUAGUGUGGCUAGAGAUAGAUCCGAGCGGUGUUAGUUCCGAGCUCGAGGAGUUUUUGUUGGCGGCCGACAACACGACGCUAAGAGUUCGAACUAAUACACUUAUGUACUUCCGCUUAUAGCGGAGCUGAGUCGCGUAAUAUAGUGUAUGCGAUGGAGUUAAGUGGGUUAAUGGCUAACCCAAUUGUUGCGUUGCAGGAGAUAAUGUCCCCAAGACGCUACGUACGUAGGUCCGUUCCGGCACCAUCUCCUGAUGUGCCCGAGGAAGCCGGAUCUAGUGAGGUACAAGAGUUGCGUGCGCAGGUGUCGGCACUAACCGGCAUUGUGCAGCGCCAAGAAAGUCGAUUCGAGCAGCUCCAAGGGCUUAUGGAGCGGCAUUUUGCGGCGGCAACUGCAGCUGCGACUGAGGGUCGUGAUCCGCCCCCGCCUCCAGCUCGUGCGCCUACGGCGGCUGAGGGUGAGGGCAUUGCGGCAGUUCCGGUGGCGGCACGUCCUCCGCCGGCGAGCGUUCCUCCGGCGGCGUCGGGUUCUACGACACCCGAUGCGACGUCAUUGGAGGCGGAGAGGGAGCGCGCACUUGCGGCUCUCGAGAAGUUCCGAAGGUUUAAUCCACCGACCUUCGAGGGGGAGAAGGUCGAGCCAUGGAUGGUUGAGUCGUGGGUGGACUCAAUGGAGACCUUGUUCGAGGACCUCUACACCUUGGAGAGGGACAAGGUCUACCUCGCCACUCACUGUUUGGAACGAACGGCGAAGGUUUGGUGGAAGCGAAUCAAGAGGAACCGAGCUUCCGACCUUCCGCCGUUGACGUGGGAGGAGUUUCGGGGGUUGUUCUAUGUCAACUAUUUCCCCGAUAGUGAGAAGAAGAAGCUUCAAGAGCAGUUUCGAAAGCUGAAGCAAGGUAGCCGCACGGUGGCGGAAUAUGAGCGGGAGUUCUCUCAUAUCAUUGACUGCGUCCCUGACGUAGUGCGGGAUGACAAAGAUCGAGCCGAUUGGUUCGAGCGAGGGCUCCGGGCUGAUAUCUACCGGGCGGUGCACAUUUUGAAGCUCACUACCUUCGCGGAGGUGCUCGACAGAGCGUUGUGGGCGGAGCAAGAAAACGCUCACAUCCGGAAGGAGCGAGAAGCGUUCGAGAAUGACGGUGGUAAGAAGCGGGGCCAAAGUAGUUCGGGAGCUCAAGCCAAGUCAAGGAAGCCCCCGAAGUACCCGCGAACGCAAUCCAAGGGCCGCGGACCGCAGUGGUGCACAAUCUGUGGUGGGAACCACGAGCCUAGGACGUGUGAUCAACGGGAAGGGAAGUGCUUCACGUGUGGACAGGCGGGCCAUAUCAGCCGCCACUGUCCAAUGAGGGCUUCGCCUGCCCCUUCGGUCGCGUCGGCUCCGACGACUCCGGCGCACUAUGGAGGAGUCCCACCUGCUGUGUCAUCGGCUGGACGUGCGAUGGUGCCACGCCAACCUGAGGCGACGAGAUCGGCUCCGAGCCGGCGGGUGUUCGCCGCCCAAACUCAAGCCGAGGAACCUGCUGAGGCGGAGGAUCGCCAUGUUCUCGCAGGUAUGGUUUUAAUUAACGGAGUUCGCUCCAGGGCUAUGUUUGAUACAGGUGCUACACAUUCAUUCAUUAGUAGGUCAUUUGCACGCAUGCAUGACAUAGAACUACAAGAGAGUAAAAGCACUUGGAGGGUAUCGGGCCCCGGACGUGAUUUUAUAGUCCGUAUGGAGUGUUCGUCUUGUCCAGUGCGGUUGGGCGAUUGGAUAAUGCCUAUCCGUAUGUUGGUGUUCAAGAAGUUAAAAGACUUCGACGUCAUUCUAGGGAUGGAUUGGCUCUCGAAGUACUAUGCAACUAUUCACUGCAGAAGUAAAGUGAUUACGUUUCGCGAACCGGGCCAAGAGGAGUUCACCUACCGGGACUGUAGAAGCUCGCGCUUCGCUGCUAUGGUGUCGGCGACGAGGGCGAGGAAGUUGAUUAACAGCGGUUGUACGGCCUACUUGGCGACCGUUGUAGAGGCCGAGAGGACGACUCCGGCACUCGAGGAACUAUCUGUGGUCCGAGAGUUUCCUGAUGUGUUUCCCGCGGAGUUACCGGGGAUGCCACCAGACCGGAAGAUCGAGUUCGUGAUAGACUUGGUUCCAGGAACCGCGCCUAUCUCGAAGGCUCUGUAUCGGAUGGCGCCGGAGGAAUUGAAGGAAUUGCGGGAUCAAUUAUUGGAUCUCCUUGAUAAAGGGUUUAUACGGCCAAGUGUAUCGCCGUGGGGAGCCCCGGUCCUAUUUGUGCGAAAGAAGGACGGAUCCUUUUGACUCUGCGUAGACUAUCGCGAGUUGAAUAAAGUUACGAUCAAGAAUAAGUACCCGUUGCCGAGGAUUGACGAUCUGUUUGAUCAGUUGCAAGGGUCUCGGGUUUAUUCAAAGAUUGAUCUACAAUCCGGUUAUCAUCAACUCAAGAUUAAGCCGGAAGAUGUGCAAAAGACCGCGUUUCGCACGCGGUAUGGACACUAUGAAUUCACGGUCAUGCCGUUUGGGCUUACUAAUGCCCCGGCAGCGUUCAUGGACCUAAUGAACCGUGUCUUCAAGGAGUACUUGGACCGAUUUGUCGUGGUCUUCAUAGACGACAUCUUAGUCUAUUCUCGUAGCGACGAGGAACAUGCCGAGCAUUUGAGAAUCGUGCUUCAAGUCCUUCGGGAGGAGAAGCUAUAUGCUAAGUUUAAGAAAUGCGACUUUUGGCUCCGAGAGGUUGCAUUUCUUGGGCAUCGUAUCUCCGAGGUCGGAGUAUGCUGUCGCAGCCCAAAAAGGUGAGGCUAUCAAGGAUUUGGCCUCGGCCCUUGACAACCGCCCAGAAGGUUCGAAAAGAGAGCUUCGUUGUUUAGCGGGUUAUUAUGACGGUUUGUGGAGGGAUUCUCGAAGAUCGUUGGUCGCACUUACUCGCUGACUCGAAAGGCACCAAAGUUCAUUUUGAAAUGACUGAGGGUGCGACCAGUUCAAGAGUUGAAGGAUAGAUUAACUUUCGACUCCCGGUGCUGCUACGCGUGCAAGAUGAAUACUUUGUGGUUAUACGACCGAUCACAAUCGUCUUAGGGUGUGUUGCCUAGAUGCAGGGCGGGAAGGUGAUGCUUAAUGCGUCCGCGUCAGCUAAAGAACUAUGAGAGAGAACACCCUUUCACGGUGGGGAGUGUUAAAAAGCAAGGAGCCUGCUUGGAGAGCACUUAAGUUGCCGCCUAUAGUGUUUGCCUCUUGCAAAGUUGCUGGUGACGGCCAACUGACCGUGUAAGCGCCGAUGCUGGCGGUUGCGAGAUACUACACGCGACCAAGUAAAGUACUGGAAGAGCAGCUGUUUCAUUCAGCAAACAAGAGAAGGAGCUGCACAUGCGGGCAGGAGAGAACGGUGUUGAGAUUGCUAAAGAGACUGUUUUUUGUGGUUGUCACCGGAUCAGUGACGAAUCAUCAUAGUAUGCUGCCAGUGCGCCGGGAUAUAGAGCAAACAUGUGGCCGACGCACUUACAGCAGUCAGGUGAGAAUCUUGCUGAUGUUGGAGUUACUAGCAUCAGGAGCUCUGCGGGAGCAUAGAGAUGGAACGAUUGGUGGAUCUCCGAAGUGGAUAGCUCCGCAGAAAGUCCGAUUCUAUGCUUACGGCUCUCGUUUGUCCGCAACCGGCUUUGUUUGGAGCAGAUCAUGAUUGCAGAGCCUGCGGACGGCCCGAAUAGCGUCAGGCAAAAGAGGUGCGGUGCGAGACAGGAGCAGUGGUGACCACCGGUGAUUUCAGUGUCAGACUGCCCGAGGGUGGCGCUUCGAUUUCGAAACCGAUUGGUGCGUACCGAAAACACUGAUGGAGGUCCGGAUAGUGUGGAUUAUCACCUAUCAAAGAACGCAAAUGCGGACUCUAUAGCAUUUCACCCGGCAGGACCGGAAGAUGUACCCGCGAUCCUGAAAUGCAGGUCUGGUGGCCGGGUAUGAAGGCUGUGUUGUUCGCUAUGUAGCGCAGUCGCUUCAGUGUAUCCAGCAAGUCGAAGCUGAGCGCCGGAUUUCUCAUGCGGGAAAGCUCCAAAGUCUACCUAUUCCCGUUUUGAAAUGGGAGAAUAUCGCUGAUGGACCUUCGUGGGUCGAUUCCCCCGUUCGACGGGUGGCCACUGAGCGAUCUGGUGAACUUGUGAUCGUAUGACUAAGUCGGCCGCACUUCCUACCCGAUUACACCACCUGGUCGGCGACAGGUUAGUCGCAAGGUGUAUCUAAUGAAGUUGUGAGGUUGCACGGGGUUCCAGAAGCGAAUUCGUGUCAGAUCGAGACCCCGCGUUUACCUGUAUCGCACUUUUGGGGAAAAAAGAACGCCUGCAGAAAGCGCUUAGGCACACGGACUCGAUUCACACCGCGUUCAUCCUCAGACAGAUGGAACAGUCGAAAGGACUAUACAAAUUCUGAGGAUAUUUGCGGGCGUGUGUCAUUGACUACAAGGUAUUGGCAGACCAUUUGAUGGAUGGCCGAGUAUCGCCCUACAACAACAAGUUACCAAAGCUAGCAAAUUGGGAUGGCAACCGUCGAUGGUCCUAUAUGGACGGAAGUGCCUCGAUCCUCGACUAAUAUUCAUGGACGUGAUGUGGGUGAGCAUCGCGCAUUGGGCCAGACGUAUUGCGAGAGCGCGGAAGAGAAGGUCCGCGUCUUGCUCGGAGAGCUACUUACACGGCACAGGUGAUGGCAUAAAGAGCUAUUGCUGACAAACACGUAGAGAUUUGUAAUUCGCGUAUAGCGCCCGCGCGUUUUUCUUGACAGUUUUCACCCUAUGAGAGGUGUGAAACCUUCGAGUUGCGGGGAAAGCUAAAGGCCCCCCGAUAUAUCGGCCCUUUCGAAGUGUGGAACGUGUGGGGCGGUAGCAUACACAAAACAAAUAAAGAUCUUCAGUUACCGGCCUGAAGCUCGCGAGAGUGACAUGAUGCUAUUCCACGUUCUAACCUUUGCAAAUCAUGUCCACUGACAUUCCGGAGCCCUGUGAUGUGCAUUACGGAUACCGGCCGGACUACAGGAAAUCUAAGUUAAUAGGAGUUCCCGCGAUGAUCAUUGCUCGGAGAAGUGGCGGAAAUGAGAAGUCGUGAGAUUCCCUAUGUGAAGGUUCGUCGUGACCAAUCACCGUUACGAUCGUGAGACCACGUGGGAAACUCGGAGGAAAAGAGUGAAAGGCCACUAUAACUCAUACCUCUUGUUACCGAAAUGACAAUAAGGUAUGAGUUGAUUAAGCUUAGUGUGGGGAAAAUGUUUCGUUUCGAGCACAGAACUAUCAUUUUGUAGGAGGGGAGAUGUGAGGCAAAGUGACACUUCUCGCCAAUAACAGGAUUAACUCAUGCAAACCGACAAGGUCGUGUUGUGAGCUUUUUGGAGAAGCCAAAGAUAUUAAAAAUCCCAAAUGCAUUGGAAACGAGUCCACUGAAGCAAAUUGUGUGCAAAAUCUGCACGGACAACAAAACUGCUCUCGGGACCGUUCCUGGCAGGGAGGGAUUCGGUCCUAUCGUCGGAUGUUGCGGCGGUUGCGUGAGGCCAACCGGUCCCUGCAGGAGGACCGGUCCCGAACGUGAUCCGACGCGACGAAAGCCGCAAUUUGCUCUACGUCUGAAAAUAUUUGCUCUCGGGGACCUGGUCUCCACGGCAAGGACUGCGGUCUCCCAGGACCGGUCUCUCUGGGAGAGACCCCCGGUAGCCAGCGACAGCGGACUCCGAGCUGAAGAAACUCUCGGGGACCGGUUCCAAGUCGGGAGACCGGUCCCCCCUGCGCCAGCCAGCCCAGUGAGGCAGUGUCACGGAAUAAAAGGUUGAGUGGGCUUUUAGUGCAAAAUGGCCUUAGUUAGAGGGGUUAUCACAUGGAGAGUCACUCUCCUCCCGUCUCUCAGUUCAACUCUCCUCUCUCUCCCUCUCACACUCUCUGUUGCUCUCUCUCGCUCUAGAAAGAAAAAAGAAGAAGAAGAAGCAAGAAGAAAAGGAAGGAAAAGAAGGAAGAAAAGGAAGGAGAAAAGAAGGAGAUCAACAAAGGGAAGCCUUUUGGACCCUCUCCUUCAUCCUCUGCUUCCUACUUUGAAGCUACAACAAGAGGUAGGUCUUCUACCCUAGCUAUGAAAUUUGGGUUUUUGGUGUUAGCUCUUUGGGAUGGGAUCGUAAUGGAUCUCUAGUACCAUGAAAUUUAGGGAUUCAGAGCGCUAAACUCUACGGUUUGAGCCUGGGUUAGUUGAUGCUCACCCUAGGGCACAAAAUAGGAUUUUUGGUAAAGUAUGAGAUUGAUCUCAUUGAGGCCUUGUAAACCAUUGCUAGUAUACGAAGCGCGGCAGGGGGCGAAGUCGGAAUUUCGAAUUCGCCGAGUGGUCAAGAGCUAUCUGGCAAAAUAAGCCGAUUGGUGAAUCAUUUGCACCAAGAAAAUCGAGCGGCUUUCGUCGUCAAAGAAAGCGCCGAUAGAGCAUUUUUUAGGCCUGCGCGUAUAAUCAUGAAGGUAGGGUGUCAUUCCCGAAACAUCCGGAUUUCUGUUUUAGUCUAAGUUAAUUAUAUUGAUCAAUAUUGUCCUAUAGGAAUAGUAAUUUACAUUUCCCUUUCCUUGCAGCCUUUCUCGGUAGGAGCGGUGAAUGCUAUGACACGGGACUAGGAUAGCAUGAGGAUUGGGUUUUGUUACAUAGAAUCUAUAGCGGCAUAAACGAGCCGAACUUGGACAAUAUAUGCCUAGUAUAGUGAUUGAACUAGUGUAUUAGAAACACUAAAUUGAAACGAGUGGCAUGUCAACUAUAGAAAACUUACUACAAUUCCGAAUCGAGUGGCCAUCGAAGUCUAGUGUGUACCACCUUGAGCGUGAACUUUAGGAUAGUGAGAUCCCGGCAUCUAGAUGCAUUGUAUUAUUUGUGCGGCCAGCAGGCCGCACAUUGACCUAAGAGACAGUACCUCUUUUGAGGAUUGGAUCAUACUCACUAUCUGUUUUUUGCUUGUCGGUGGUAACGCUCACCGAGCACCAGUCUGCCGCCGAGUACUUCACUAGGGCCAGACGUAGUUGUCUCCGCAGAUGGGUGCUCGGUGUGCGAGUGCAGUUUCUCCCACCUAUGAGAUUGAGAGUCAGAGUCGAGGGUUUAACCUACGUUAACCAAGUAGAUUUGGGUAAGUUAACAUAGAAAAGUGCAUAGUAGACUUGCCAUUAUUACGCUUGAGUAGAGACAUAGUGUAUGUGUAUUUUACUUACUAUGGGCACCUUUAUAACUCAGUGACAUGACCUUAGCAUGAUUAGUACAUGUUUGCUCAUUAUUAUCUAUUGAUGGCAUGAUAGAUGUAUUGCACCUUGCAUUUCUCUAUCUAUCUAUAUAUGUCUCUAUCUGUGCCAGCUUAGACCUAGGAAAAACCGCCGGCGUCGGCGGCCGAAACACUCCACUGGGAACUAAUAUUUAUAUAGUUCUCACCCCGUGUGUUUGGGUACAGGUACGCACAGAGGCCAGUCAAGCGGAGGAACCGCGGCCAGGCAAUAGCGCCCUAAGUUAGUUUUAGCCUAGUAGCUUUUCCUUUUAUUGCAUGAGUACCCUCGUGUAUCUAUGAUGAUGUUUUGAUAGUAUGUAAAAGCUACUUGAUGUGAGGAAAAUCUGGUAUUUACAUUAUUUGGGGAAGAUAAAUGAAAAUUAAUUCCGAAUGAUCGCUAAAUUGUCUACGGUGUUUAAAAUUUAGAUCUAUCUCUCUAACCACACCUUGUACUACCUUGUGUUCUUGUCUCUUUAGAUGUAGUGCACUUGUGGCAUCGUGUUGAUGAUUUUUAUGUUAUUUCAGCCUAUUCGCCUAGGCGCACCGUUUAACUUGUACAUGGAUCUGGGUGUUUUAGUCCUUGGACGGGCAGAGAGGCUGGUCGUGUCGGUAAGCGGUCGCGUGCCGGUGCGCGCCCGGGGGACUGUGGGCCAAAUUGUAGUGAUUUCGGGGCGGGGCGUCCAGAUGGAUUAAAUCCGGGCAUAAGCGUGAUGAAUAAGAAUGGUUGAGCCACCUGCGAAACAUUCUGCGUAACAUGUUUUGGGGGUCUCGUGCGCAUUGUGGAUGAAUCUUACCCCAAACAGAGCGUGAUAAACAGCUAAAACGGGACAAAGCGGAGAAAUGCUGAAUAAUUGCCGCUGUUAACCGAUGACGGAGACACCAUGUACCGGUACAUAUUGUAAAACACCGAAACAGCAACUCUCGGUUUGCCUUCUAUGGGAGAUCGUGUUUUACCUCGGUGAAAACAAAAGUGUACCGUACAUUUGGCGUCGGCAGCAAAAAUUAGUCUGCUGGCAGAUUAGUGGUUUUUGGGGGGCUUGGUUGCUAUUGUUGCAACCACCUAUAAAAACACGUCCAACCUCCCCCUUUUUGUCUCAGCAGUAACAAACGAAACGCCUUCCUCUCUCGUCCAUUUCUUCUCCCUCUCUUUCUCUAGACAGCUCUCUACAAGCUCAAGAGAGAUGGAGGAGGAGUUAGAAGGUGGAUUUUGAGAUUAGAUGAUCAAGAAGUCUCUCCUACAAAGUGACCUUGGUAGUGCUUUGGGUUAAGGUGAGUUUAUGCAAAACACUUUUAGGUUGGAUUUAACCCACUAAUCAAGUUAACACACUGGAGACUUCGUAAAUUGCGAGGUUCGAGGUGUUUGAUCUGUGUUCUCAAGUUUUUACCUAGUAUUCUGGGUUCGUGACAGUGGCUCCGACCUAUGGCUCGAUAAUACCCGAGAAUUGAUCGUAUUUAAACAUACGGCUAAGGUCACCAAGUGGAGGACCUUAGCUGCUCUCGGGUUGCUUUUGGCAGGAAUUCGGUACCGGUAUAGUUGAUGGAUUACCGGUACACAUGUGGUAAUGGCCAACGGAGCCUGCGGGUUGCGCAUUCGGGGAGUGUUACCGUACACUUUGCGAAGACUGCAAUUGACAGUUUUAAAGGGUGUUUGUUCUACUUGUUGCUCACACCCCGGACACGAUCCCUUUGGCCGAGUCCUGGGACACUCGAACAACGCGAACGGACAGAGCCUCCCCCAUGUCGGGCCACUAACACAUAUUACAAUUCAACAAAAGAAUGCUCACAAGCGGAAACAUACACAAUCGGCUUUAUACUGAGGUAACAAUAGCCGAAGUGAAAGGGAAUACUAAACUAUACAACUUUACAAGCUUAGAAAGAUUAAUCUUUUAACCAUUUACAGCAUUCAAUACCUAUCACAUCUACAUUCAUUUUACAUAUCCAGGUUGCUUUUAUCAUUUCUUUCUUCUUUACAUCACCACACUUUUCAUCAAAAAUGGAAAGCUUUACAUUUCAUUUCUUUACAUUCUAACAUCAAAUUACAAAAAGAUGGAUAUGGGUAAUCAUCUACAAAUAUGGAACCCAACUUGGCGGUCACUGUCAUACGGCGCAGAUACCCUUUAAUCGCGGUGGUCGCCGGCCGCUCGUGUCCCGCUGUGUGUGCGAAAUUUAGUGAGGUGAGAACUACAACGAGAUUCACCAGUGGGUUCGGCGCGCAAUCUCCAGUCCGACUUUGUGCACUAGGUCUAACUGAGGCAUAAUAGAAAAAUACAGCAGAUAGAAGUAACUAGCUAUAAAAUGCAGUAAUAUGACUGACAAAAUAAUUCAAUGAUUUGCUCAAUUGUGAAGUUUUGAGGAGCGCCCUAAGGAUCAAGUCUGAGAUUGAAUCCAACACCUAGAGCAGUGUGAAUAGGUGUAAUACCACAAACCACAAAUCUCAAUGCGAUAAAAUCAAAUGCGAACAUCUAAGAAAUCACACCGAAAUUUACGUGGGAAAACUCCAACUUGGAGAAAACCCAUGCGGACAGACACGCGAAAAAUUAAUUCACUAAGAAGAAAGAUCACAAUGGUAUUACCGGAUCCACGGACCAACCUUUUAACUCGCUAUGAAUCUCGCGAUCCUCCGCGUUGUCACGCCCUCACUUCGAUAUCCACGAACGCCUCGCAAUGUCCGAAUCCAACGAAACGCCAUCUCGAAUCCACCAGAGCCCACGAUUCCGAAUCACACGAACGCGUCAAUCACCGCCGAUCACGACGCCAGUCAUGAAAGUACAUCAUUAGUAUGCGUGAUCCCUCGCUUAGAGGUAUCGAUGAAAACAGGGAAGGAAACUCUAAGGCGAAGCGGAGAUCAAAUCGACACUAUAGAUAUGAGAUUUCAAUAUCUGAUUUGCCGUAAAGAGGCUAGUAUUAGAAAAUAGGUUUUAGAUGAAAUCCAAGCCUCUAGGGUUUCUCAAACAUGUAUUCUCGUGAUGCUUAAUGUGUUAGAGAACCCCAAUAGCUUAUUUAUAGACUUUAGAAUCAAUUGGAGUCGGAUUAGAAAGUUUUCACGAUUUUACAUUGUGUACCGGUACACUUUAAGCUGUCACCGGUUACACGAUGACGGAACGAAAAACCUGACGAAACAGUGAAACCGGUUACAUCCUCGAUGGCCGUAUCGGUACACAUUUUGUAUCGGUACACUUCUGAUGCUGUACCGGUACACUUUGUAAAUUUUCGCCGUUUCGGGUUUUGCAAAGUUCCGAUGCACUUUCUAAUCCGUUAGACAUUGAUAUUAUGAUUCUAAUGUUUACAACUAAGUAUGAGUCACCAUAACAUGAAUUUAUACUUUACCUGGACAUCAUGAUUCAUAUCGUGAGUUAUUUUCCAACUUCUUCGAAAUCUUGAAUUCUUCGAUCUUCGACGAUAUGCACCAAUUCUUCAAGACUCCGACUCACUUCACGAAACUUGCCAACACAUAAGACUUAACAAUCUCCCCCUUUGGCAAUUUCGUGACAAAACUCACACAAACUCAAAAAUUACAAUUAAAAAGAAAAAAACGAAGUUCAAUUGUCAUCACCAAAACAAUGAACCCCUCGCAUGUGAUCCAAAUACAAUAUGAAAUGCAAAAGUACAUCAAAAACUCCUAAAACAGACUCUAUGACUUAGACACAACUAGGAGUCUUGAAGUGUUGAUUUCCAGCAAAACAAUUUAUCCAAAACUUUCUAUAGAGAAUUGUUUUGUUGAAACCUGGAUAUUCUUGCAAUUUACGCUUCUUCUCCCCCUUUGUUCUUCAUUCCUUCUUCUCCUUGAAACAUCACUCCUUAUCUCCCUUUGCUUUAGAUUAAUACUGUAACACACUGGACCUUUGCGAAUUGCGAGGUUCGAGUGUUUGGAUGUGUUUCGAGCUUUUCCGCACUUGGUGGAGGGCUGUAAAAUGUUUCCCGACCCGAAAAGUUCGAAAUCUGGAACUUCGGACUAGUCCUGAGAGUUUUUACUCUCGGGGACCGGUCCCUGGAGGGAGAGACCGGUCCCCCCAGUGAGCAGUGUUGAGGCAGCCUGAGGCAACCGGUCCCUGGCAGGCGAGACCGGUUCCCGAACGCGUCUUCGCAGUGAGAGACCGGUCCCGCGCAGGGAGAGACCGGUUCCCGAACGCUUGUUUUUCGGGUUCGCAGCGAGAGACCGGUCCCUGCUGGGGAGAGACCGGUCCCUCUGGGCGAAAACUGCCCAGUUCGGGCUGAUGCAAUAUUGGAUUUUUGAGGGGCCUCACUGGAUUUUGUUACAUUAGAUGGGCUUAUUAGCCAUUUCCCCCUCUUCCCUCUCUCAUUCUCUCAUUCUCACCCUCUCCCUACAUUUUCUAGAGAGAGAAGAAGAAGAAGAAGGAGGAGAAGAAGAAGAGGAGCUAGCUUGAGGGAGCUUGGAGCUCAACCCCUUUCUCUCUUUCCCACCUUUGCAAGGCUUGGAGCUUGCUUGUAGAGCUUAGUGGUGGACCAAACUUCAACCCUAGGGCAUUUUGGGCUUGGAUUGAAGCUUCCAAAGGGUUAGUAUCAUGUUUCCCUCCUCUAGAUUCUUGUUUUUGUGAUUUUUGGGAGAUGAAACCCUAGAAAUGAGAUUUAGGGCUUAUUUUGGGCAUUUUUGAUCUAGGGCUUUUGGACCCAAAUUGAUUGGUUUAGAACCUUCCUAGGGCUUGGAUUGGAAGGGUUCUAGCUCUCUUUUGGAGCUUUGGGAGAGAUUUCUACUCUUGAGGUAAAUUUUGGCCCUUUUUGCUCCUAGGUUAAUGUUUGAUCUUACGGUUGGUCGUGAUGCUCCCGUAUCUCUUCACUGACCACUUUUAGGGUAUCUUGAGGCUCGUGGACAACUUCGUUCGGCGAAUCGAGACCCUACGCGACGGUUCGGUGGGUUUGACCUAGCCACACAAUGAGAAAUUCUCAUUUGUGCUUAAUUAAGUGUUGUUAAAUGAAAAAGCAUGCAUAUUCUUGUUAUAUGUAUUUAUUGUGAAUUUUAGAAUGCUUAAAAGGCCUAUGUUAUAUAUGAUGAAAUUUUGGACCUCUAUGUAGUAGAGAGUAGCUUAUUGGGCCAUAGUUGCAUUUAGCAUUCUACAUGAGACGUGGUAUCAUGCUUCUAUAGUAUAAAUGAGUUCGGAUUCAUGCAUUUAAACCUAAGUUACUUGUGACAUGAAAAUUGACAAGAUUGUCAUUUAGAAGCUAUGUGAAUUAGAGAGCUAAUGUCAUCAAGCGGCAUUGAGCUCGGGACAUGUGUGAACCUAGUGGAUAGGGCCAUCGAGGGACUUGGGAUACAUGUUGGACACCAAAUUGCCUAAGUGUCAUUAAGGGGCACUAGGCGUAGCAAAUGUUGAAACUUCACAUUGUGACUUGAACUAGAUCUUCGGGAUGCUAGUGACUAUACCAUGUUAGAGACAUGAGGAUUGGAUACUUGAGACUUGGACUUUGCUUGCUUGCCAUUUGUGCUCAUUCGCACAUGCUUGUGAGGGUCGCUCCCUACAAGCCGGCACUCCGGAGUUAGCCUAUGCGACUUAUGUUCGCUCGUGCGGUAUUGAGAAGCCUACGGGGUCGAGUGGGACAGACACAUUCCAAGAGUAGGGAUGUUGGGCUACCACAGGCACUUAGGCGGCACAAGCUGGACUACCUUUGGUAGGUCCUUAAUUGGAAAUGGAAAUCGACACGGUGUUGAGAAUGGUUAAUCACUACUAGAUAGGUUUAGUAGUUGAAUUACAUUUAUAUGCUUUUAGCAUAGUGUUGAGACAUGUAGUAUACUUGAUAGUCUCCUUUUGCAUUAAAGCAUACUUGGUUGCCAUGACAGAACUUAUGCAUAAUGUAUUCAUAAAGGUUAAUGACUUACUAUUUUGAUAUCGUAGAUGUACAUCACCAUGACAUCGUUUAUACUUGAGUUUAGUAAUUUAGCAUUUUAAUUAUGCCUUUAUAUCGCAGUCAUUAUUGCUAUUAUUAUUGUACUUACCCUUUUCUUUUGGGGCCUAGUGGUGCAUAGAGCUGAGGUCAGUAAUUGCCCACUGGGAACUAUAAAUUAUAGUUCUCACGCCCUCUUUUUCUCGAUGUUUUUCAGAGCCUUCCGCUCAGGGUGAGGCCAGGGAGCGCGGAAAGGGUAUCGCCUCGGGCUAGCGCGCUUACCGAGGGAUCGUUCGAUAGGUGGUCUACCUCUCGUGUUUUUCUUUUUGUGAGAGGUUGAGAGUUGUACCCGUAUAUGUAUAGAGACCACCAUUUUUGUACUAGAGACAGUUAUGGUACUACUUAUGGUUAUCUUUGUUUGACUAGCUUUAUUUCUUUACUUUGGUGUAGAUGAUAAAACUUUACUUGCUCUGAUAUCACUAGUUGCUAGUUAUUUCACUUCUCUUAUUUGUUCCAUCUCUUGCUUUUACUUCCUAUUUUCUUGUAGACGCCUUAUAUGUGAAGACAUAUGGCGGGUCUGGGCACGCUACCGGGAGGGCCUCCGCCGGUCCCGGGGCGUGACAAAUACCUACCUGUUCAUCAUCAUUGCUCUCCCCCUUUUUGUCAAAAAUUGCCAAAGACAAAGCAUAUAAAAAGAGAAAACAUACUAGAAAGUAUAAUAGUAGGCAAUUCAUAGUUACAGGCCUAAAACAUGCAAAAGAAAGAUAAGCAAGCAAAGCUGAACUAAACAUUGUCCUAAAAAGUAAACAUAGUGAAGUAACAAGACGAAGCUCGAGGAAGACAUCACUCCGUGUCCUCGUCAUCAUCAUCAUCAUCAUCAUCUCCUGCGCCAGCUCCAGAUCCCCCAGCCUCAGGAGCAUCACCAGACGGUGGAAUGAGAGGAUGUCGUGAAGUCGAUCUUGUAUACGUGGAGUAAGUAGGCUGAGUAGGAAAAAUAUCAUCAUGCCUACAGCCCAUUUUCUCCAUCAUUCUCUUCAUUCCCAUCUCCACCUUCCUCGCAAGAUCAGCCAAUUUCUUCUUCAUAGAGCGCACCUCAUGAUGAAGUGAUUCUACAGUAAUCACUCCCCCUGAACUAGAAGAUCCCUCACGUGCUGCUCGAGGUGGAGGAGCUGAACUAGUAGCUCCUCUGGAUGAUCCUUUGGUUUGCUGAAAAGUCUUCAAUGUGCUCCUUGACUUUGCCCAAGUUACAGCAUCAAUAGGUCCAAGUCCAAAGUCAUACUUCUCACAUGACAUGUCAACUCCAUGUUCUUGAAGAAUCCUCGUGAUCAACAACGGAAACGGAAGAAGAUCACGGCGAACCUGAGACUGUAUGACAUGAACCAUUCGUUGCCACAUAAGAAAAGGAAUAUUGAUGUUUAACCCGUCUGCUUCCUCAGGAUGUCCCAGAAGAUACAGAAGCACCAGACGAUCCCAACGAAUUCUUUUCGUUCCAAUUGUCGGUUGGACAUUAUAGCUCAUCACCAAAGAAAGUAGAUGAUACUCAGGUAGUAAAUCCUUAGACUCCACAUAAGAAUGAUUGGUCCUUACACCCUCCUUGCAUAUAGCGCGAAUAACAGUCUCCCAGUGGGUUGAAGACUGAUAAAGCCCUGUCGUAUAAUGAAGGCCUGUAGUAUCCACAUGCAUACCUAAGAGCUCUCCAAUAGUAUAAGGAGUGACUUGAAUCUUCUGCUUACGCACAUAUAUCUCAAAUACAUAAGUCCCAGUCUCCUCAUCCUCUCCAAGUACCAUCCCGUUCAUAUAGAACUCCCGAAUGAGUUCCACACAGAAUGGGGCACGAGCUGGAACCCGUCCAACAGGCUCAAUAGGGACCCUCUGCAGCAAUCGACCAAAAUCAGGUACCUCCUUGACCAGCUCAGUAAAGUUGACAUAGCGCUCAGCUAGAACUGAUCGGCUCGAAUAAAUCCGCUGUCGUUCUGAAGAAGCCUCUACAGCACGUUUGGAGCGCCUUUCACGUGCACGAGAAUCACCUCCUCGCGAGGAUUCUCCUGCUAGGCCUUUACCUUUAGCAGCUCGAGUAACAGCUUCUUCAGUAGCUUCAGGCGAGCUUGCUUGAUAAUCAGGAUCUUAUCCAGAUGACUCGUCGGCAGUACGAGUUCUCUUUGAUUGACCACGUCGUCCUCGACCACCACCACGGCCACGACCGGCGGCCAUAAGCACCAAAAGUAGGAUCACGAGCGAAAACGCCAUUUUCCUACAUGAAAAUGAGCCAUUCAUGAAGAAAAUUUUGAAAAAAUCUGUAAAAAUAGCGAAAAAAUAUCUAAUAAUCUUAGAAUGCAUACUGAUGCUAUUUUCAACUCAUUCAUGCAAAAAAUUUCAUCAAAAAAUGAUAUUCCAACAAAAAUUCCGAAAAUCCAUGUAUUAUGAUAUAAGGAUCAUAGAUCAGCGAAAAAUAACGCAUUAUAACAUGAUUGAAAUGAUCUAGAAGCAAGAUAAUGUCCAUAAACACUGAUCUACAGUUAAAAAAUUGCAUCAAAAACGAUCAAAAACAGAGAUCUAGCUUCAACUCGGAAUAUUGUUGAAAAAUAAGCAAGAACGCGAUGAAACAAUUUAAAUCCAAGCUAAAUACUCACAAAUCUUUGGGAAAACCAAGUAGAUCUAGAAGAGGGAGUCCCCUGGCGAUUUUAGAGAGAGAGAGACCGAAAUUUGGUUUUGAUUUUAAUGAGAAUAAAAGCCCUGUAACCGGUUAUAUUUCCGCGGCUACAGUGAUUUGUACCGGUACACGGGAUUUUGUACCGGUACACAUUCCCAGAUUUCGAAAAUAUGAAUUUAAAAACCCUUUAAACUUAAAUUAAUUUCAUACAAAUUAAGGACUUUACUCAAAAAAUUAUUAUAAUGAAGAUAGAACAUUAUAAGAUUUCAAAAUCCAUCGAAACAUCACAAUUUUGUUAUCAAAGAUAGUCUAAUGAUUCAAAACUAUCAAGAUGUAAGUUGAUGAAAAAUGAUUUUUAGAAAUUCAAUAAAAUUGACACCAAUUAGUCGCAACACGUUCAAAAUAGAGAUUUAACUACUAUGGCACCGGGAGUGGCUCUUUGAGCAUCUUUUUAACGUACCACCUUAUAACUCCGAAAAUUCUAAUAUAUUUAAUUUUUUCAACCUUUCCGGCUUUUCAAUUAAUCUCCAUGUGGUAGCUUCAUACACUUGCCGGACGACCGGGGUGGUAGCUCUUUUCUACAUGUGGUGGUAGUUUUCACACUUCUUUUAGGAUAUAACUCUUUCCACAUCUUUUAAACAUAGGAGUUUUUUUUUUCUUUUUUUUAUUUUUAAACAAUUUCAAACUCCCCCUAAAUUAGACAAUCUCACAAUUGAAGAUAAUUUUGACGAAUUUUAGUCAAUUUGAGAAUAUCCAUCCAUCAUAUUCAACACACACAACCAAGAUGAACUAAUCAUCAAGAGAUCAAAUUUGAUUUCAAAAUUUUGAUGAAUAUAUGUAAUAAGAAAUCAUAUAUUAAAUUAUCGUCAAAAUAGUAAAGAGUGGAGUAAAACCGAUAAUUAAUAUGAAUUUAAUUCAAGAUGAAUUCCGGUUAAAGAAAAAUUCUAAUCUCCCCAAAAUAAAGAUUUUCAAUCAUCUCCUCUCUCAAAGAAAAAUUUUGAAAUUCCCAAAUACCUUUCCACAAAAUGAUUUUUUUUUUUUAAACCAAUAAAAAUUCAAGCACCAAAAAUCGUCUAAACAUGUAAUGCAAUGAAUAAAAAUAUGCAAUAAGCACCUAUCAAAGCACUACACAAGAAAUAAAAAACAACUAAGACGGGAAGCAAGGAAAGAUAUCACCUUUCCGGAUCCAAACUUGUCGGAUCUUUGGUUUUCUCGGCUUGUCGACGUUUGGUGCCGUUUGUUUAGAUUUUUGAUCAACCGUUGGUCGUUUCGUCGCUUGAGACUUCGGUUGAACUUGUCGUUGAAGCUUAGACACCCGAUUUGCAUGAACUUGGCGUUGACGUUGUGCGCUACAAAUCCGAUUUGCUUCAGAGUUCGGUCGGACUUGAUGUUGUGCAAUAGAAAUCCGGGUCCCUCGAUGUGUCGACAUUGCCAAUUGAUUCAUCUUUUCUUUGUUUAGGCAAUUCCCUUUGAUGUGUCCAUUGAUGCCACAUUUAUGACACACCUUGUCAUUUAAAGUUGUUGAGACUCUAGAUGUUGAUUUUGAAUCCUUCUCAACGUAUGUUCUUUCAUAUCCGAGUCCCAACUUAUUCGUUUGACCCAACCCGAGCAUAUGAUCCAAUUUCUUAGAUCCCAAAGAAAAUUGUUGAAUGUCGGAUUGAAGUUGAUGAACUUGAUUAGUCAAAGCUUGAUUGGAUACACAUGUUUCCUUGAAUUGUUGCUCCAAAAAUCCAAUCUUAUCUUUAGAAGAUUUGAUGGUUGAUUUCGCUUCAUCUAGCUUUUCUUGGAGGUCCGAAUUAUUUUUCAAGUUUGAAUCCCUUUCCUCCUCAAGAGUCUUAUUCAAAGUCUUUAAGUUGUUGUUUUCCUCCUCAAGAUCCAACAAACGACGCCUCAACUUCUUAUUAAGUUUGGCCAUCUUUUUCGACUCAAAAAGAAGUUGAUUGUACGCUUCCGCUAUGUCGUCGUCGUUUGAUUCCUCCUCACUUUCACCAUUGUCGCUCGAAGAGUCAUGCGAAGAAAGAGAAAUAUCGGAAUUCGUAGCAAUAGAGAACAAACAAAUAACAUUGGACGAAGACAAAGAAUUAUUAGCAAUUAAAGUAAUAUGAUCAUUCUUUUCUUCGUCACUUGAACUUGUUUCACUUGAAGUUGUAUCAUCCCACGUCUUUGCUUGCAUAGCCUUUUGUCUAUAGGUCUUCUUUGAAGGACAAUCCGUCGCAAUGUGGUCGUAACCUUUACAUUUGUAGCAUUGGAUUUCUCCUUCAAAUUCAUUUUUUUCUUUUGAAUGCUUUGCAAGUUUCCUAUCCUUAGAUUUAGAAGAUGUAGAUGAUUUAGAAAAAGAUUGUCGCUUAGACGAUGAAGCCUUGUCCAAUUUAUUCUUGUUCCGGAAAUUCCGACGAAACUUCUUUGUGAGGAGCGCUAAUUGAUGUUCGAAAUCGGCAAGCGAAACAUCUCCGUCGGAAUCCGAGUCGUCUUCUUCUUUCUUUGUUGAUUUGAGUGCAACCCCUGUGCUUUUAGAAAAAGACUUGGAAGAGGAUUGAUUAGUAGGAAAAGUCAUCUCAUACGUUUGUAAAGCGCCUACUAAUUCUUCGACUUUCAUCUCGUCCGGAUGCUUAACGGUUUCGAUCGCGGCAACCUUUACCCGAAAGCAUUCCGGAAGAGUUCGAAGAAUCUUUCUAACAACUUUAGCAUCCGGGAUUUUCUCUCCCAAGUUAGCGCAUGUAUUGACUACGUCUUGUAGACGUGUGUAGUACUCGGUAAAGGUCUCGUUUUCAUCCAUAGAAAUAGAAUCAAACUUGCUCGUUAGCAUUUGCAAUUUUUGGACCUUUACUAAGCUCGUUCCUUCAUGCGUAACUUGUAGAGUAUCCCAAAUUUCCUUUGCCGUUUCGCAAGCCGAAACACGAGUAAACUCCGUUUGAGACAAUGCAUUAAAUAAAGCGUUUAUGCCCUUGCCGUUAAACGAAGAUGUCUCGUUUUCUUCUUUCGUCCAUUUGUUCCGUGGUUUUGGCUUUUCAACAUUAUCGACCUUUUCUAUCGGAUGUUUCCACCCAAAUUCAAUUGAUUGCCAAACCCGCUCAUCGAUAGCAAUUAGAAAAGCUCUCAUGCGAACUUUCCAAUAGGCAUAAUUCGUGCCGUCGAAGAGCGGAGGUCGAUUAAUGUUACCACCUUCGGCCAUUAGAUAACAAUUUAUCUAGAUCCCGCUCUGAUACCAAUUGAAAGUUUUGAGGAGCCCAAGGAUCUAUCUAGAUUGUAUCCAACACCUAGAGGGGGGUGAAUUGGUGUAAUAGCCACAAACCACAAAUCUCAAUGCGAUAAAAAUAAAUACGGAAAAUAAAAAUCACACCGAGAUUUACAUGGGAAAACUCCAACUUGGAGAAAAACCCACGGGACCAACACGCGAAAAAAUAAUUCACUAAGAGAAAAGAUUACAAGGUGAUUACCGACUCCACGGACUCAACCUCUCUUAACCUCCUAUGAAUCUCGCGCAAUCCUCCGGGUUGUCCACGCCCUCACGUUCGAAUCCACGAACGCCUCGCACACGUCCGAAUCCACGAACGCCACUCGAAUCCACGAGCCCACGAUCCGAAUCCACGAACCGCCGUCAAUCACGCCGAAUCCACGACGCCAUCAUGAAACACAUCAUGUGUAUGGUGAUCCCUCGCUUAGAGUAUCGAUGAAAACCAGGGAAGGAAACUCUAAGCGAAGCGGAGAUCAAAUCAACAUAUAGAUAUAAGAUUUCAAUAUCUCGAUUUGACCUAAAAGAGGCUAAUAUGUAGAAAAUAGGUUUUAGAUGAAAUCCAAGCCUCUAGGGUUUCUCAAAUAUGUAUUCUCGUGAUGCUUAAUGUGUUAGAGAACCCCAAUAGCUUAUUUAUAGACUUUAGAAUCAAUUGGAGUCGGAUUAGAAAGUUUUCACGAUUUUACAUUGUGUACCAGUACACUUUAAGCUGUCACCGGUUACACGAUGACGGAAUGAAAAACUUGACGAAACAGUGAAACCGGUUACAUCCUCGAUGGCCGUACCGGUACACAUUUUGUACCGGUACACUUCUGAUGUUGUACCGGUACACUUAGCAAAUUUCCGCCGUUUCGGGUUUUGCAAAGUUCCGAUGCACUUUCUAAUCCGUUAGACAUUGAUAUUAUGAUUCUAAUGUCUACAACUAAGUAUGAAUCACCAUAACAUGAAUUUAUACUUUACCUGGACAUCAUGAUUCAUAUCGUGAGUUAUUUUCCAACUUCUUCGAAAUCUUGAAUUCUUCGAUCUUCGACGAUACGCACCAAUUCUUCAAGACUCCGACUCACUUCACGAAACUUGCAAACACACAAGACUUAACAAAUUGAAUUACUCAUGAUGAAUGCAAGUUCUCGAUCUCGAAGUUCAAUCUCAUGGCUAACCCGUAGGUUUCGCCCUCAAGCAACUCACCAACUCGUAAUCCCAAUUGUCGAGCGAGACUACUACAACCCGACAGGGACCGUCCUCUGGGGAGACUACUACACCCAGUGAUGACUACUCCGGAGCUCAUCACCCGAGGGGGAGCUACCGCCCUCGAGCCAAGACGUAAGGCGAGUAUGAUCCAAUCCUUAACUAUAAGGAUAUAACUUCAAUCCAUUCCUUAACUAUAAGGAAACAAUGCAUUCAUGACCCUUAACUAUAAGGUUGUAUGUCACAAUGUCAUCUCUCACAUGUACUUGCAUUCUUUGUUUUCGAUCAUGCCAUUACACUAACUCUAGUGUUCUUUAUGCCACAUUUGAUGCUAACUCUAGCAUUUAUUGUUCUUUAUGCCACUCUUGUUCUUUAAAUGCCCCACAUUAACUCUAGUGUUCCAAUGCUCUAGCAUUCAAGUUCAUUGCUCAUGCCACACACACUAACUCUAGUGUUCAUCUUUGCAUUUACUAAUGCCACUCGAUCUACAUGUCAUAGUGUCACAUUGUUCUUUACCUCGACUAGGUUUUGUUAUCACCAAUCAUGCAUACAUAGGGUACAUAGGUUCUCAACCAUCUCAUAAUGCAUUUGUACUCACAACAUGCUACCAUUCACAUGAAUAUCAUCUCAAUCACCAAGGCGGAAACGAAGCCAAAAUGUUUGUACUCACAACAUGCAUUUGUACUCACAACAUGCAUUUGUACCAUAUCAUUUUUGGACGUCGCCUCGGCCCUCCAGGCGGAAACGAAGCCAAAACGUCCGUUUCUUCAAUAUCUUCGUGUAGGCUCGACGAAUCGCUGAACCGACUUCGCCAACACGUCAGAAAUACCUUAAAUUAGGUUUACAUAGGGUUAAUUUAGAUCAAACCCAAACAUUUUACAAAAAUCCCAUUGGAGCCCUAACAUUGUACCAAUGCAAGAAUCCAUCAUAUAACUUCAUGAUUCAAGCAUUAACCAUCAACUUAGCACCCUAGGAUGCCUCUAAAAUCAUUCUAGAGCUUAAAAAUCUAAACCCUAGAAAUCUACCAUUAGAGCUCAAAGCUUACCUCAACAAGCUUUCUCCAAUGAUCCAAGGAAGAAGAAGGAGAAGUAGAAGAACCUCCUUCAAGUUUCAAUCUCCACCAAAUCCUUCUCUUGAUUCCACCUUCAAGAGAGAGAGAGAGGGAUCCUUCUUUGGUUGCUAGUGUGAGGGAGAGGGAGAGAAUGUGUGCGCAUGCUACCAGGACCCGCACACAUAUGGGUGCUGCAACAAUUGCACAAAACCCCUUUCACUAAUAUUAACACAACUUCAGUUUAGCAGCUCAGGUACAGAUACUUUUCGCCGGCCCUUCUGAAUAUCCGUUUGUGCUCAAAUUUGACAGUCAGGCUCGGUUUUUACUAAAUAAACGGAAUAUAUCUUAACUGUAAGGAAGUGAAUUCUCGAAAUAUGAGAGUUGAACUUUAGUUAGAAUCGACUGAUUGUCGACUUGGUGUGCGUCGGAAAGCCGAAGGCAUCAAAAUGGCCAAAGGUGCAUUGGAAUGGAGUCCGCGAGAACAAAUGAUGUAGAAAACCUGCACUUGGCAGAUUUGCUCUCGGGGACCGGUCCCUGGCGGGAGGGACCGGUUCCCGAACAUGGCUCUGCGCGGGUUUGCUCUCGAGGACCGGUCCCCGGUAGGGAGAGACCGGUCCCAUCGGUUGGUGGUUGCGGCGAUGCGUGACGCAACCGGUCCCCGUGUCACACCCCGGGACCGAUACCAAUUUGGGGCGGCCCGAGCACGUCGAACAGACGCCGAACGGACAGAGUUUCCCUUGUCCACCCAAGGCUCAUCACAUGUACAAUUUCAAACAAGAAGUGCACUAGCGGAAACAUACACAAACGGCUUACACGAGGGUAAGCAACAGCCAUGAGUGAGAGAAAGGAACUAAACAUCUACACAAGUAUUAUGAUUCACUUUUGAUCACAUACAUGUAUCCAUUUCAUCCAACUUGCACAUUCAUAAAGUCUUUACAUACUUUUCAUCAUUUCUUUUUACAUCACAUUUGCUCAAAAUAAACAUUACAUUCUUUUCUUUCCUUCCUUUAUACAUUAACAUCUUAAAUCAUCAAAUACAAAGGAUGAUAAAAGGGAAUGCUACCACAAAAUGUAGAUAACCCGACUCGGGUGGCCUCUGACUAAGGUGCGAUACCUUUACCGCGAUCGCUCGCCGGCUCGCUCGGUCCCGGCUCUGUGGAAUAGUGGGGUGAGAACUACAACAAAGUUCCCAGUGGGUUCGGCCCCAACAUCACCGACUUUCCCACUAGGACUAACUCAGGCAUAAUAGAAAGGAUAAGCAGAAUAGCAACCGAACUAUAAUCAUGAUGCUAAUAUGCCUGAACAAUAAAGCAGGAAAUAUGCUCAACGUAAAUCAUGCAAGUUUGCAAGUUCUUUAUUCUUUUACUCUUUGUUCUUUGUUCUUUAAUCUCACGGCUAACCCGGGGGUUUCGCCAUAUUAACUUGCCCACAUUAAGUCCAUCGCGGGCCCUCAGCUUCCUCCCGCUAAGACCGUCCUCGGGUUUACUCCAACCCGUGAUGCAAAACUCCGGAGCGCAUCGCCCGAGGGGGAGUGACCGCCCUCGAGCACGGAUGUAACACACUGGACCUUUGCAAAUUGCGAGGUUCAAGUGUUUGAUCUGUGUUCCGAGCUUUGCCAGAUAUUUUGGAAGGUUGUUGAUAGUGUUUUGACCUAUGGUUCGCAUCCCGAGAAUUGAGGUUUAAAGCUUGUACCAAAAUCCAAAAAGAUGGAUUGUUGGUCCUGCUCUCGGGUCAGCCUCAGCCAGGCUGUGUACCGGUACAGCCUUGAUGGUUGUACCGGUACAGGAUUUGUACCGGUACACCUUGAUGGUUGUACCGGUACACUUCGGAUUUUCUGCCAACCCGAGGCUCGGGUUGGGCUGUUUCGUAGGAAGUGUACCGGUACACUUUUCCGUGUACCGGUACACAAUGCAGACUGGGCUGUUUUCGGGGAGGGGUGUAUUUGUAAUUAUUGCAACCUCUUUAAAUACCACCCCAGCCCCCUUAGCUGCUCUUUUGAGCCCUAGACCUGUGGAGAAAAGGUGAGAACUCUUCCCCUUUGGAUUCUUCUCCAUUUUUGGUGGAUUUUAGUUCGUUUUGAUCUCUCCUUUCUUCUCCUCCUUGCUUUUUGUUGGGUUUCCUCCAUUGUUGAAGACUUGGAGCUUGAAGAGGAGCUUGUUUGAGAAGAGAUCUCCAACCCUACUUGAUUUGGAGCUUGGUUUGGGGCAUCUUGUGAGGUUUGUAGCAUGUAUUUCUCUUUUCAUACAUGUUUUAGUGGAUUUGGAUCUUGUAACCCUAGAUUUUGAGAUUUAGGGUUAGAAAUAGGAACUUUUGAUUUGAGGCUUCUAGAACCAAAUUGAUUGGUUUAGAAUCAUGGUUUAGGUUGGCUUUGAAGGAUUCUUGCUCCCUUUUGGAGAUCAAGAGAGAUUUUCACCAUUUUCGGUGAGUUUUUAGCCCUUUCUUUGAGUUGCUUAAUGUUUGAACUCAUGAAUUGUCGUUUCGAUGUUGUAACUCCCCUAGCCUAUCUCUUAGGGUGCUAGGAGUGAUUAUCGAAGCUUCGUUAGCGUUUCGGACGCCCGCGCGGAGCUUUUGGUUGGUUUGGCUUCACGUGAAUAGGGAAAAAUUCCUCCUAAGGGGUUAAUAUGUGUUGUAUUAUCAUUUUGCAUGCAUUUUCAUACUAGAUAGGAUUUAUGUGAAUUUUGAAUACUUAAAUGCAUGUGUUGCGUAUCAUGAAAAUCCUUCUCUACAUAGUAGAGCAUUAUGUGUAGUGUACAUGUAUGUUUAAAGUAUUCUCUUUUUCGAGUUGGAAAACAUGUUGCAUGUGAGGAAGAUGGUUGAAAUAUGUAUUCAUGAACAUUAAACUCAUGUUUGAAUAUAGUGAACUAGAAUGCCAUAAAGGGGCACUUGACUUAGUAAAUUGUGAAAUUGCAACAUAGAGACAUAGUGAUAGGACAUCGAGACAUAUGCUAUAUUCCAUGUUUUAGACAUGACGACAUAGUGAUAGGUCAUUGAGAUAUUUGCAACAUUCCAUGUUUUAGACAUGAUGACUUGGUAUUUGAGACGGACUUUUACGCUUGCUUGCCAUUGUGCUCAUUCGCACAUGCUUGUGAGGGCCGCUCCCUACAAGCCAGCACUCCGGAGAUAGCCAUCGAGACAUAUGCUCGCUCGUGCGGGAUUGGGUGCCGAAAUGGGAUGUCGUGGGGGAGGCUCAUUCCUAGAGUGGGGAUGUUGACUACCACGGGGCCAUUAGGCACGGCGCAGGCCAGACAGCCUACGGGUGGGUCUUACAUGAUUGGAACUUAGUGACAGAACAUGCCAUUUGGACUUUGAGCAGAAUAGUAAACAAUGACAUUUACUAUUUAGCUUGUGGACAUUAUGUUAGUGAUGCUCGUUUAUCUAACAUAUGGAAACAUGGAGUUGCGAUGUCAACUUUGAUCUAGGGGAUCAAAGUAAGGAUUGAGCUAGUUGGACAUCAUCCUUGAGUGAUUUGUGAUGCGCGUGAAUGAAUUCUGGAGAUAAAUAAGUGUUUCGGCGCAAAUUGGGCGCGAAACAUAAAGUAAAGAGAAUUUGCGGAUUUCCGACGCUAACUUUGAUUAAAAGAAUUAAAGUGAGCAAAAUAAUAUCAAAUGGUGUGAGAUACCAUUUGAUUGGAUUUAAGGGCGUAAAAUAUAAGUCUGGAAUGACUCGUGUUGAAAUCGGAGCGAAAACAGAAGAUUUAGAAUUUUCUGUAAAGAACGGGACUGAGAAAAUUAGCAGAAAAUGCACAGUGUCAGAAAAUUAUGAAAAUUGGCAGAGAUGUCAGGAACACUGUUAUGAGGCUAGCUUUGAAGUUUCAUAUUAUUCUGACACCUGUAGAGAGAGAAAUGGCAUCUGAAAGUUAUCUGAUAAAGAUUACAGUUCGGGACAGUUCGCAGUGACCAAACGGGGUCGAAACUGAAAUGUUAAAAUUUCAGUGGACUUGUUAAGGAAAACCGAGUAUUCCUGCCAAAUUUGAGCUCAAUCGGACUGUCGGAAGGGCUUACGAAAGGUAUUUGAUCCGUGUCGCUACAUGGACUUAAGUCGAGGGGCAUUAUGGUAAUUAACCCAUGCUUUAGUGGAUUUCCACUAAGUUCCCUGCCAGGAUGCCUCCAUCCUUAUCCCCUCCUCUUCAGCUUGCAUACGUAGAGAGAGAGAAGGAGAAAAGAAGAGAAAAGAGAAGAAGAGAGAAGAGAAGAAGAAGAAGAAGAAGAAGAAAAAGAAAGGUGAGAAUUUCUUCUCUCUCUCUCUGCUGACUAUGCCCCUUCCCCUCCCUCUCCCUGCUGUCAGCCUCGGCAGCAGCAGCCUCAGCAGUAGUGAGCAGCAGCAGCAGCAGUUUUUGCUGCUGCUGCAAGCUAGAGCAGCAGCAGCAGCAGCUCUUGCUGCUGCUGCUAACCAGGGCAACAGCAGCAGCAGCAGCUUGUAGUAGCAGCAGCAGCAUGCGCAGCACAGCAGCAGCAGCAGCAGCAGCUUGUAGUAGCAGCAGCAGCUUGUAGUAGCAGCAGCAGCAGCAGCAGCAGCUUGUAGUAGCAGCAGUAGCAGCUUGUAGUAGCAGCAGCAGCAUGCGCAGCACAGCAGCAGCAACAGCUAAAGCAGCAGCUAGCAGCAGCAGCAGUAGCAGCAGCUAGCAGCAGCAGCAGUAGCAGCAGCUAGCAGCAGCAGCAGUAGCAGCCAGCAGCAACAAUAACAGCAGCAAUAGCAUCAGCAGCAGCAGCUGCAACAGUCAGCAGCAGCUGCAGCAGCCAGCAGCUCAGCCAGCUGCUGGAGCAGCAGUGGACAGCAGCAGCAGCUGCUGGAGUAGCAGCAGGCAGCAGCAGCAGCUUCAGCAGCAGCAGCUGCUGUCAGCAGCAGCCAGUCAGCAGCAGUAACAGCUACCCUGCAGGAAAGAAAAGAAAAGAAAAGGAAAGAAAAGAAAAGAAAGAAAGAAAAGCAAGAAAGAAAGAAAGAAAGUAAGAAAGCUGCAGGGAAAGAAAAGAAAGAAAGAAAGAAAGAAAAGAAAGAAAGAAAGUAAGAAAAGAAAGAAAGCAAGAAAGAUGAAAGAAAGAAAAUGAGAUAGAGAGAAAAGAUGGAAUCGAAGUAUUUGGGCAGAUUUUACUAAUUGUUUUGAGGUUCUUGGGCUAGUAAAAAGUUGAAAUACUUAACGUAAUUGUGAAAUUGCAUUGAAACGAGUUUCUAUAGAAACUGACCUCAAUAAUGCACUUUUGCAGGAUAGAAGUCCUCAAAAGAAAUUGACCGCGUACAAACCUAAUUGAGGGUAAAAGAAACGCGUUGGCGAAGUCGGUUCGGCAAUCCGUCGAGCCUACGCGAAGAUAUCGCCAAAAGAACAUUUUCGGCGACAAGUGUCGGGAGCGCGGGUCGCGAUUCGUGGAGAAGUGCGAGAAGUGGAUUUCUCUCAUUCCAGUACCAAGUAAAGGUGGGUUGUGCUUUACCGAAGUGAUUAGGUCACUUCCAUGCCAAAGUAAAGUAUGGUUUCAUUGAUGCAUAUAUGAAUAUGAUUGUCGAUAUAUGACAUUAAUGCUAGAUGCUUAUGAAUGAAUCGGCCUAUAUGAUUGUUGAUAUAUAAUGGUAAUGUGAGAUGAUUUAUGGUAGUUAUCAUAUGAAUAUGAAUGCUACAUGGAUAUGAAAGUGAAUGCUAGAGACAUAAGAAUAAAGAUAUAUGAAGGUGCAUAUAAAUACAUUGUAGAUCGUGCUAAAGACGUAUAAUUGUCGAUAUAUGAACGUGAAAGCUAAAUGCAUAGUCAUGCUAAUAGAACAUGCAUCUGAAUAUAUUGAGAAUCAUGCUAAAUGACAUAUGAAUGCAUAAUGGUUAAUGCUAGAUAAUGUAGAAUGGUAAUCAAAUGAUGAACAUGCUAGAGGCAUAUGACUAUUUGUAGAUUAUGUACAAUUGUCGAUAUAUGAACGCGAGAACUAAAGGCAUAGUCAUGCUAAACGCAUAUGAACCAACAUAUAAGAUAUGAAUGUUGAACUUGUAAAUGCCAAAGGCAUGUAAGUUAAAUAUGAAAUGGAUAAAUUAUAAUCCUAGAUACGAACAACUAGGAUGAUACAUAGAUCGAGUGGCAUAAACCUAGUGUAAAUGAACCUAGGUUAUGAGUUAGAGUGACUCUUAGUAAAAUUGAACUAAGUUAUGAGUUAUAGUGGUAGUAGGACCACUAGAAAGCGAAUUGUAAUAUACCGAAAAUUCGGGAAAUAAAAAUGUCGAACUUUAGUCAAAUUGACCAAAGUGCGAGGAUGGAACACUUCGGAAAGUCCGAAGGUGUUAAAAUGAUCGAAAGUGAGUUGUGGAAGGUUUUCGAGAGCUAAAGAAUCAAAUUCUGCGAAACUGCAGAUUUUCAGCUCUCGGGGACCGGUCCCUGGUGGGAGAGACCGGUCCCCGAACGCGUGCAGAAUGAGACAGCCGGAAAAUCGGCUAAGUCCUGGAGGUUAGCUCUCGGGAACCGGUCUCUGUCUGAGAGACCGGUCCCCCAGAGACCGGUCCCCCAAGGAGGGACCGGAUGCAUUGCGUGCGGCUGCUCUGGCUGCGCAGGGUGGACCUUCGGGGACCGGUCCCUGCUCGGGGAGACCGGUCCCUGCCUGCGAAAACUGCCCAGUCCAGGCAGUGUAUUAAGAUGAUAGUUGAGGGGUUUAUUAGCAAUUUUGCAACCCAAGGGUUAUGUUGGGGCUGAGAGAGAGCCUUCCUCUCUCAUUCCCUCACCCUCUCACAUUCUCUCUCUCUCUCUCUCUCUAGAAGACAAAGGAGAAGAAGAAGAAGAAAGGAAGAAAAGAAGGAAAAGAAGAAGAAGAAAGUGAAGGAGAAGAUCAAGGAGCAAAGUGGCUUCAUCUUCUUCCUCUCUAGUGCAAGAAAAGGAAGCUUACAAGGUAAGCUUUGAUCCCAAGUGUAGUAAAACCUUAGAAUGAGUUUUGUAUGACAUAGAAAUGGGUUUUAAUGGAAUGAUUAAAGAGUUUUGAAGCUUUCUUUUGCUUCUUUAGAGAUCAAAACCUAGAUUUGCUAUAGAGGUGAGCUUGGACCACCUCUAAUGGUGAAAUCCAAACUAGGGUUUUGGAAAGCCUAAGAAUGGUUCUAAUGGACUAUUUAGAGUAUAGUGAAGCUACUUUUGCUUCCCAAUGAGAUCAAACCCUAGGUUUUGUAUGUGUAUUGGAGCUAGGGCACCAAAUUGGGGCUUUUGCUCAUGAGGGUUUCUAAGUGCAAUUGACCCUCUAAAAAUCUAAUUGGGGGUAUUUCCGACGCGUUGGUGCGCUCGGAAUAGCAUUACGAAAAGUGUAUGUAGAGUUAUGGGCAAAAUGGCCUAAUAGGGCUUCGUUUUGACGCAGGUAAAGAACGAAGGAUCUAAAAAUCUCAAGAAAAUCGUCGGAGCACCUAAAUAGACCUACGAGGUGGGUGGUGCUUCUCAAACUCAUUGGAAUUCUCUCUAUGCCUAAUGUGUCAUUCAAUUGAGCAUAUUAAUAUAUUUGUUGCAUGCAUUUUAGGGUAAAGUAAUGAAAAGAAUGUGAUGUGCAUGAUUGUGAGUACAACUUGCAUAAUGUGAUGGUUAAGAACCUUAUGAAAGUUAAACCCUAUAUGUAUGCAUGAGAGAAAAGGUGAGCACCCAAGUGAGGCAAAAGAACCGAGUGGCACAUGACAUAGAUCGAGUGGCAUUUGAGAAUGUAAAGUGACACUAGAGUUAGUGUGAGGCAAGGAACUAAAUGCGAGCUAAAGAAUGAUGAUAAUGGUCAAAGCUAAAGUAAAGCGAGCCAUAAAGAAUGUGCAAAGUAUAAAGAACGUGAAAGCUAAAGAUAGCUAAAAGUAAUGUGGGCAAUGAGAACAAGAAUGCUAGAGUUAGCAAGAGUAAUGAAAAUGUAAAGAAUGUGAUUGCAUGAGUUUGCAACAUAAAGUGAUGUAAAGAACACUAGAGCUAGUGUAAAGUCAAGAUUGAACUUAUAAUCUUUGAGUUAAGGAUAUGAUCAUACUUGCUAUUGAGUUCCGUGCUCGAGGGCGGUCGCUCCCCCUCGGGCGAUGCGCUCCGGAGUUAUGCAUCCGGGUUGGAGUAGACCCGUAAGGACGGUCCUAGCUGGUGAGUACCUGCGAUGAUGGACUUAACGUGAGGCAAGUUAAUGUGGCGAAACCCCCGGGUUAGCCUUAAUGAUUAAAGAGCAAAGAACAAAGAAUAAAGAACAAAGAGUAAAGUGAAAAGAACUAAAGAACAUGCAUAAUCUGCAUCUAUUAAUGUUGAGCAUAUUCCUUGCUUUUGUUCAGGCAUAUUAGCAUCAUGUUAUAGAUUGGUUACCAUAUUUCAGCUUAUCCUUUCUAUUAUGCCUGAGUUAGUCCUAGUGGGAAAGUCGGUGAUGUUGAGGCCGAACCCACUGGGAACUUUGUUGUAGUUCUCACCCCACUAUUUCCACAGAGCCGGGACCGAGCGAGCCGGCGAGCGACCGCGGUAAAGGUAUCGCGCCUUAGACAGAGGCCACCGAUGUUGGAUUUCAUUUUGUAGUAAAGUACCUUAUGAUCAUCUUUUGUAUUUGAUGAUUUAGCAAAGAAAGAAAAGAAUGUAAAGCUUAUUUUGAGGUAAAUGUGUGGUAAGAAAGAAAUGAUGAGACUAUGUAAGAACAGCAAGAAUCUUAAUUGUAAGAGAUGGAUGCAAUGUAUAUGAUCUAAAAUGAAUCAUAUUACUUGUGAAUGUUUAGUUUUCCUUUCUUUCACUGAUGGCUAUUGCUUACCCUCGCGUAAGCCGUUUGUGUAUGUUUCCGCUAGUGCACUUCUUAUUGAAAAUGUACAUGCGAUGAGCCUUGGGCGGAUAGGGGAAACUCUGUCCGUUCGGCGUCUGUUUGACGUGCUCGAGUCGGGCCAAAUUGGCAGCGGUCCCGGGGCGUGACAGGAAAACUCACCUCUAGUGCAAAAUCUCCUCUAAAGCUCCAAAAUGAAGCUAGGGCUCAUCCAAUCCAACCUAAUGGAAGCCUCUAAUCCAAUCAAUCUAGCUUCAAAAGCCCUAGAUUCAAAAUACCCAAAAAUAAGCCCUAAAUCUCCAAUUUAGGGUUUCAACACAAAAAUCUCGAUAGAACUCUAUUCUAGAGGAAGAGAACAAGUGGAUUACCUCUUAGAAGCUUCAACCUAAGCUCUAAAAGCUCUAAGUCCCAAGAUCUUCCCUCCACAAGGCUCCAAUCCCAAGCUCUUGGCUUCAACCAUGGAGAAAAGCACCAAAAAGGGAAAAAGAGAGAGAUUAAUCCAAGAAAAACCCAAAAGAGAGGGACCAAACCAAAGAAAUGAAGGGGAGGGUGCCCUAUCUUCUCCUCCCUGUGCUGUGAGCUCAGGAGGUGCCCUAAGGGGCGUGGGUGCUAAAUAGAUUAGGCACAAACGCAGAAAACCCCCUGCAGUUCAUACAGUUCGGAUUCUGCCAAAGUGUACCGGUACACGGGAAAGUGUACCGGUACACAUCCUACGAAAAUGCGAACCCGAGGCUCGGGUUCGAAAUUCGCCACAAGUGUACCGGUACAACCAUCAAGCGCGUACCGGUACAAAAUGUGUACCGGUACGACCAUCAAGAGUGUACCGGUACAUCUUGUGCAGAAGGAAAUCCGAGAGUAGGCUAAGUCCAACUUUUUAGUGACCUUAGCGCUACAUACAAUGCUACAAUUCUCGGGAUACGUGCCAUAGGUCGGAUCACUGCCAACGACCCACCAGAAAGUCUGGAAAGACUCGGGACACUGUCCAAACACUCGAACCCCGCAAUUUGCAAAGGUCCAGUGCGUCACACAACUAGUCUGCAAUCUGCAGCUUUCUUGUACAUAAUACCAUACCCAAGCAUACUCUUCACAUACCUCAGGAUUCGACGAACAGAUUCCAAAUGAGCCUUCUUUGGACUUUGCAUGUAGCGACUCAUCACACCAACUGCAAAGGAAAUAUCUGGCCUUGUUAGAGUUAAGUAGAUAAGACUACCCACUAACUGCCGGUACAUGGUAGCAUCUUCUAAAUCUUUCCCUUCAUGAGCACACAUUUUGGCGUUUGGCUCCAUCGGUGUCGAGAUUGGCUUGCAUUUAAGCAUUACAAACUUCUUCAACAGAUCUUUGGAAUACUUUUGCUGAUGGAGAAAUAUUCCUUCCUUAGUACGGUCAAUCUCUAAACCAAGAAAAUGCUUGAGCUUUCCCAGUUCUUUCAUCUGAAAGCGAACUGACAAAUUCUCCUUGGUUUGGAGAAUUUCUUCUUCACAAUCGCCCGUGAUGAUUAAAUCAUCCACAUACACCAGCAAAAUAGCUAGCUUCCCUCCUUUAGUUUUGACAAACACGUUAGAAUCCGCAGAUGUCACAGAAUAACCGCUAUGAGUGAGAAAUUCGGCAAUCUUACCAUACCAAGCCCUCGGUGCCUGUUUCAAUCCAUAGAGAGCCUUCCGGAGCUUACGCACAUACUCAGGAUAGUCUUGACUCUGAAAGCCCAUCGGUUGGCUUAUGUAGAUCUCCCGAUCUAGCUCCCCAUGCAAAAAUGCAUUCUUCACGUCCAUUUGCCACAAGUUCCAACUUUUGCUAGCUGCAAGUGCUAGUAAGACUCGUACAGUUGUAAACUUUGCAACUGGACUAAACGUUUCAUCAUAGUCUAGUCCAUAUUGUUGAGAGAACCCUCGGGCGACCAGACGAGCCUUGUGCCUUUCUAUUGAUCCAUCUGUGCGACGCUUUAUUUUGUACACCCAUUUGCAAGAAAUAGGCUUCACAUCUCUUGGCUUUGAUACGAGUUCCCAAGUCUGAUUUUGCUUUAAUGCAGCAAUUUCCUCUUCCAUAGCUUUAAUCCAUUCUGGACUCUGGGAUGCUUCCUCAAAUGUCUCUGGUUCUUUUGCAUCUACUUCUUCUACAUUGGCGGCAUUAGCAUACUUGGGAUUUGGCUUUCUGGCAUUUGUUGAUCUUCUAAGUGCAGUUGGUGUACUUGGCUCGCCUUCUUCACUUGGCCUUUGGUAUACACCUGUUUGCCAAGGAUUUUGAGCUAUGGCUUCUUCAACAUCUUCACCAUCAUCUGCAACCUCUGUUUCACCUGAACUUAACUGAGAUUGAGAAAUUUUUAAUUCUUCCUUAAAGAUAUCUAAGUCUGAUAAUACUUCCUUGUUUGAGGACCACCAUGAGGAAGCUUCAUCAAACACCACAUUCCGAGAUGUGUAGCACUUCCCGAUUGUUGGAUCGCAACAUCGCCAACCUUUCCUUUGACUGUCGUAUCCUACAAAGAUACACCUAACAGCCUUUUUUUCCAUCUUGCUACGUAAAUGGUCAGGUACAAAUACAUAGCAUACACAUCCAAAAACUCGAAAAUGACCAACAGCAGGUUUCAUGUUCCAUAAUUUUUCAAAUGGUGAAAGAAAGCAUAACCUUUGUUGAGGAAGCCUAUUGGUCACGAAGGCCGCAGUCUUCAUCGCUUCCGCCCAAAAUCGUCCCGGGACAUUCUUUGCAUGAAGCAUACUUCGACAUACUUCUGCCAGAUGCCUGUUCUCCCUUUCUGCUACUCCAUUUUGCUGCGGAGUGUUGGCACAUGUGAAUUGAUGGCGUAUUCUACAUUCCUGAAGGAAGUCUGAGAACUCAUGUGAGGUGUACUCUCCCCCGUUGUCGGUGCGUAAGCAGCGAAUUCUUUUACCAACCUCCGCUUCCGCUAUCUUCUUGAACUGUUUGAACUUUAAAAAGGUUUCAAAUUUUUCUUUCAAAAAAUAAACCCAUACGUACCUCGAGAAAUCGUCAAUGAAGAUCACCAUGUACUUCAUCCCACUAAUAGAGGCUUGCUUAAUUGGCCCAAACACAUCAGAGUAAAUCAACUCUAAUGGUUCCUUCGCUUUAAAUUUGGACUUUUCGUACGGCAACUGAUGUGCUUUCCCAUAUUGACAGCCUGCACAUAUACUAUUUGUUCUCACUUCAAGUUGUGGAAGUCCCUUUAACAUCGACUUCUUCAUCAUCACAUCUAGCUUGGAAUAGCUAACGUGACUUAGCCGCAUGUGCCACAAGUCUGCUGUCUCAUUCCUUCUUGUCUUGUCUAUAUAUGCUGUUUCCGCAGACAUCACGUAGACUGAUUCCAAUCUUCGUCCCUUCAUUGCCGGCUCUUCUGUGAUCUCAAGGUCCCGAUAUAUCCUCACAUCUUGUGGACCAAACAGAACAAAAUGGCCAGAAGAGGUUAAUUGUGCUACCGAGAAAAGAUUUUUCUUCAUACCUGGAACAUGAUAAACAUUUUGGAGUGGCACCUCGAUAUCAGUGCAUUGGGGAGAGACUACCGUGCUAUCGAUGUAAGCUAUCGGUAACUUUGAGUUAUUUGCCGUCACCACCACUCGACUUCCAUUGUACUCUGACAAGUUCUGCAACUUCUCUAUGUCGCCAGUCAUAUGGUUUGAGCAACCUGAGUCAACGAUCCAAUCAUCCUCAUAGUUGAUUUGAUUGAAUGUUGUUGCUGCAAGGGCUAGCUCCUCUUUUUCCAUAGCAAAGAGAGCCUCAGCAUCCCAUUCGUCUUCACUUUUGGAAGUAGCAGUGUUACUCUCGACGACCUUCUUUUUUGACCAGCAAUCUUUCGCCAUAUGACCUUUCUUUUUGCAGUUGUAGCACUUCCCUUCAAACUUUUGGCCAUUGCCAUAGUUCUUAGAACCUUUCCCAGCAUGAACACUCCCUUCACCUUGAUGACUUCUCGCUUUAUCACCAUUCUUUUUGGAUCCAUCGUUAACAUGCUACUUGGAAUUCCACCUGCCUUUAUUGGCAUAGAGGGCCUCUUCUUCAUUCUUCAACGAGACUCCUCCCAUUUGCUUAGCUAAGGCUUCUUGACCAGCUAGCAAAUUUUCGAAUUCCACAAGCGACAGCUGAGUUUGCCAUCCUUGUAUGGCAGCAACAAAACUCCUGAAUUCUGGCUUCAAACCAUGGAUGAUGAUCCGCUUCAUCCUAGUGUCGCCAAUAGGAGCCUCCGGAUCCAACUCAGUAAUCUCUCGGCAUAGCGUCUUCACUUUGUGGAAAUACUAUGCGACCGUCAUGUCGCGUUGCGCUACAGACAACAACUCACUCUCUAAGAGUUGAAGUUUCGUAUCGUUCUUCUUAGAGAAUAGUUUGGCGAAUGUAUCCCAAGCUUCUUUGGGAGUUUCCGCAGCCCGGAUAUGCUCCAGCACAUCCUCUUCAGCCGUCGUCUUCAAAACGAACAUGGCUUUGCCUGCUUUAAUCUUCCACUUCCGCAAUGUCCCAUUCGCAUCUUCAGCCUCCGGUUGUUUCACAUCAUUUCCAUUUACAAUCUCCCACAAAUCCUGGCCUUGCAUGUAAGACAUCAUGCAGGUAGACCAAGAAUUGUAGUUCUGGUUGUUGAGCUUCUUGUUUCCGCCAACGACUUGAAGAUCACCCAUCUUGGCAAUAGAGAUACUAACCAAAAAGCUCAGAACCUUGCUCUGAUACCACUUGUCGGAUCGUUGGCGCUAACCAUUAAUCCCAAAAGCUCGAGCUAUUAGAAAUACGCAACCAAUUCACUUAAAGCGUACAGAAACAGCGCCCACGGGUCUCGAUUGUGACUCGGCCCACCUGACCUCACGCCACUUCGAACAUGACUCGGCCCAACCCAGCCUCACACCAUUUCGAACAUGACUCGGCCCACAUGGCCUCCCACCACAGGGCAGGAUGCUGACCCAUUUAAGCCAACAAUCCCCCCUCCAGCACCUGCACACAUUUGCAGCAUGUAGGAAUCGAACCCGUGACCUCUGGCUCUGAUACCAAAUUGAAGAAACGACAGGUAGCAAGAAUGGUUCAAUAACCUCUAACGAGGGUAAAACAAUGGAAGAAAACAGGGCACUAGCACAUUAUUCAUUUCCACAACUAAUAUUAAGCAAUCAGUUCACUAACCUAUAAUUCCUAAAAAUUAGGAUCAGCGUAACAGACGCUAAGGACUCAAUAACAGAAUAACAAAUAAACAGGCAACCCACGUGCUGGUGUUGUUUUAUUCAAUACUCCCCCUCAACACCAGCUUCUACUCUUUUUACCAUGCCGAGCUGAUGACAUAAGCUUUCGAACUUGUUGCCAGUCAAGCUUUUUGUAAACAGAUCUGCAGCUUGAUCUUCCGUUCAGACAUGUUCCAACUUAAUUUCUUCUUGCAAAACUUUCUCUCUGAUAAAAUGAUAAUGCACCUCCACAUGCUUAGUUCUUGCAUGAAAAACUGGAUUCUCCGCUAAACGUAUUGCCGACAAGUUGUCGCAAUACAAAGAGAUACCAUACUCUGUUGGCUGAUGCAAGUCUUUCAAUAAUCGCAUAAGCCAAGUGCUUUCUUGAGCCGCCAUUGCUGCUGCUCGGUACUCUGCUUCCGUGGUUGAUAAAGACACUGUUGGUUGUCUUUUGCUACACCAAGAAAUUGCUCCGAACCCAAGCAUGAAAACAUACCGAGUAGUUGAACGUCGGGUAUCAUGGUCGCCUGCAUAGUCAGCAUCACAAUAGCCAACUUGUCACGCCCCGGGACCCAGCGGAAGCCCGCCCGGCGCGUGCCCAGACCCGCCAUAUGUCUAAAACAUAUAAGGCGUCUAAAAACAACAGUAAUAAAAGCAAUAAUAAGAGGCAUCUAGGAGUAUCAGAGCAUAAUAAAUGUCUAAAUGCUACAGCAAGGUAUAAGGUAAAGCUGAAAGUCCACUAAAUAAAAAAAACAUAAAGUAAGUACAAUAGGAAAUCCCAAAUACAAGUGCUAUAGGUAGGUACAUAGGUGGUCUCUAUACAUGGAUACAAGAAUCUCACNGGCGGCGAAAACACACACACACACACACAAACACACACACACACACACACACACACACACACACAACAAAAUAUUAAGAGAUCUGCCUUGGUGGGAAUAGGGAGUCCCACUCCUCCAGCAACUACUUAAGCUUGUGAGAUAUAUUCAUAGGGUUCGGUUGGAUACUUCUAAAGAUCGUAUCAUUCCUUGCCUUCCAGAUGGUCCACCAGCAUCCUACUAAUUCGGAAAGACUGCUUCUCGUCUUGUGCCAUCCUUUUCUAAUCCUCGACGAUGCCCAGACUAGAUUUACUUCGUUUCCCAGGUCCGUCGCCUGUAUACCGUUCACCCCAUUCACGAUAAUGAACUUAGUAAAAACACACCGCGUGAACAGAUGAUCCACUGAUUCCUCUUCCGAUCCACAAAGUACACAAUCGGCAUUUCCCACCCACCCACGCUUCGCAAGUAAAUCGGUUGUAGAAAGCCUCUUCGUAAGAACGAGCCAACAUAACACUUUAACUUUAAGAGGAAUACAGAGUCUCCAAAUCGUAUUUAGGCCUGGUUCCCUUGUUCCCCCGUCGAUCAACGCUAAAUAGGUCGACUUCACUGAGAAGAGUCUAUUUGGACUCCACCGCCAAGAUAACUGCUCCGGUCGUUGUUCAAGUGUAAAAUGGAAAAUCCUUUCCUUGAACUCUGCAAUAAUGUCAUUAAUCCCUACUAAAAUUUCAGGAUCAGUGCCCAGAAUCCUAUUCCAGUUCCAACUGACUCUUGCGAAGCCAUCAAUGACUUUCAGUCUAUUUCGGUAUGAUAUCUGAUAGAUUUUCGGGAACGCACGGUCUAAAGUGGUUUCUCCACACCAACGAUCUUGCCAAAAAUCGAUAGAGUUUCCAUUGCCUAGUUUGUAGGCGGAUCCCCAUUUGAAAAUGACUUUGAGGCUAAGUACUCCCUUCCACCAGUGAGAUUGGGGCCUAAAUGAACUGCCUUCCAUCAAAGGUCUCCUCCUUUUGUAGUAGAGAUCUCGAAUUAUCCUAUUCCACUGCAGCUGGGGUGCCGUGUGGAAUUUCCACCACCAUUUGGUCAGCAGGGCACGGUUCAUGGUCCCUACAUCCAGGAUCCCUAGACCACCUUCUCUCUUGCUCUUACAUACAUUCUUCCAAGCUAAUAAGCAUCCCCUGCCAGGAGAAUUAAGUCCACCGUUCCAGAAAAAGUCUCGGCGGAGAGCUUCCAUGCGCUUGAUCACCCAUUUAGGUGCCUUGAACACCGAAAGAAAAUAGAGAGGGAGGUUUGUUAGAAGAGCAUUCACCAGGAUAAGUCUACCUCCCCUGGAAAGGAGUUUGGCCUGCCAGCCAUCGAUCUUGCACUGGACUUUCUGAAUGAUGCCCCUCCAAUCCACUUUAGAGGGGGGUUUGGGAGAUAGUGGCAAACCUAGGUAUUUUGUCGGGAAAGAACCGAGGCGGCACUCAAGUAAGUUCGCUAGUCUAGUCGUUUUUCCUUCUACCUAACCUAGGUAAAACAAUUCCGAUUUAUCUCUGUUGAUAACCAAACUCGAGGCCCAUUCGAACAGUUGCCACAAGAAUCUGAGAUUUCUCAUGUAUCUCUUUCUAGCCUCGCAAAAAAAGAAGGUAACGUCCGCAAAUUGAAUGAGAGAAAUCCUGCUCGUGUCUGACGGCCCGAUACCUUUGAGGAGGUUGUUGCGUAACGCUUCAUUAGUCAAGCGGGUUAGGCACUCGGCCACCAUCAGAAAUAGGAACGAGGAGAGCGGAUCCCCCUGCCUGACUUCUUUUUUAGUCUUGAUCCAGUUGGUUGCCUCUCCGUUAAUCAGAAUUGCAACUUUCGCAUGGCACACACACAGAACAAUCCAUUCGCACCACUUGUCGUUGAAACCCCACCACCGAAGAAUACGGAAGAGGAAAAGCCAGUCAAUCCUAUCAUACGCCUUUUCGAAGUCUACCUUUACUGUGACCGCCUCGAUAGCUUUCUUAUUACCCCAGCUAAGGAGUUCGGCUACAGUUACAUACGCAUUAGUAAUGUUUCUUCCUUUCAGGAAUGCUGACUGUGACGGGGAGAUCAGAUAGUCCAUGACCUGUUCGAGGUGAUUCGCCAACACUUUUGACAAGAUCUUUUGAAUUCCGUUCAGUAAGCUAAUGGGUCUAUAGUCGUUGGCCCUUUUGGCCCCCUCCUUCUUAAGGAUAAGGCAGAUGAGAGCAUAGUCGAUCGGAUCAGUGGAUAGCUUCCCCUUAAACAUCUCUUGGAAUAAACUGAAGAUAUCGUCCUUGACCGUGUCCCAGAAGACUUGGUAGAACUGUAGUGGGAAACCAUCAGGGCCCAGUGCCUUGUCGCUCCCAAGUUGGAAAACUGCUUGCUUGAUUUCGUCAAUGUUGAAGGGUUCGGUAAUCCUCGUAAAGUCAGAGGCUGGAAUGCGAUUUGAACUGAAGAGACUACACCAAUCCCCAACCGAGGCAGGGCUCGAAUUAACUGGCGCGAAUAGAUUCUUGAAAAAGUGAUAGAAAUGUUUCUUCUUGUCCUCUUCAGAAUAAUGCUCGACAUCGUUUUCAACAACCAAAUCGAUCCUGUUAGCUCUGCGUCUGCCAUUAGCUACCGAGUGGAAGAACUUAGUGUUAUCAUCUCCUUCUCUAAGCUAGUGUUGUUUGGCCCGCGUUCGCCAGACCGAAGCUUCGUCAUUAAGGACCCCUCGUAGCUUGGCCUUAAGAUCUUCUCUUUUUGAUUGUAGUUCCAGUGAGAGUUCUCCUAAUUCUUCUGCUUUGUCGAUCGACUGGAUUUCAUCCAUUAGAGAAUUUUUUACUCCUCUAAUACUGUAAAACUCGUUGGCACACCAUUCUUUGAUCCUCUGGCGGCAGUGUCUCAGCUUCGCGGUGAAGGUGAGCAUGGCCGACUUACCUGUCGUACCCUGGGUGCCUUCCUUCCACCAAUCCGGCAAUUUGGUGAUGAAACCGUCGUGGUUCAACCAUGCUUCCUCAAAACGAAAGGACUUGUUCCUCACGUUAGCACUUCGUUUCACAGUAAAAAGGAUAGGGCAGUGGUCAGACGUGACUCUAGGGAGUGCUUCGACUUUAGAAAAGGGAAAUUUCUGUUCCUAUUCCGUGGAGAUUAGGAAGCGAUCGAGUUUCGCGAGAGUCGGGGUUUUCUGCAUGUUGGACCAUGUGAACGAUUGGUUAGUCAGGGGCAAGUCGAUCAGAGCUAACUCAUUGAUAAGAUCGUUGAAAAGAGCUGUCGCUUUGGAACUCCAUGGUCUUCCCCUCCGCUCCUCUUGUCCCCGAGUACUGUUGAAAUCUCCAUAGAUGAUCCACUUGCCCUCACUACGAUCCUUCAUAUGAGCCACUUCGGAAAAGAACUCCUCCUUGCCGUCCCACGAAGCGGGGCCAUAGACAUUGGUAACAUAGAAGUUUGUGUUGCGCGUGACGGAGGAAAGAAGAACAGUAAUGACAAUUUUCCUCACUAGAACUUCUUGACAGUUGAAAAAGCGUGAGCUCCACCCCGUGAUAAUCCCCCCCGAGACGCCGUUCGAUUUGAGGUACACACAUUUGUUGAGAAAGGAGCCACCAAAACUACGCAAAAAGGACCCUGCCUGAGACAUGAUUAACUUUUGAUUCUUGAAUACAGACAACCACAUUGUGAAAUUUCGAAAGUACGGCCCUAACGACGUUACGUUUAGAUGGGUCGUUAAGCCCCCUAACGUUCCAGCUACAGACUCGGAACAUAAAACAUGAGUAGACACUGACACCAAAAAGGAGCCCAAAAUCGGUGACUACAAUUGCUACCAACUCCCAGGCUACACACAGUCGUACAGUAGCUCAGCGAAUUUCGUCGCCUCGCUCUCAGUCAGCGUCACCCUACACAACCUACUCUUGGCGAUGACCUUCUUCACGGACUUUCCGUUUGCGCUCCCAUCCCUACCUUCACGGAGACCAGCCUUCCUAGACAUAGCCUCGUGUAAGAUUGAGAUCUUGGUCAUGUUGGCGAGACGCUUGCUAGCCCGUGGCGGGGUAGAACGCAAGGUAGUAUCCGAAUCAUCCAGAGUAGCUAAAACCUGGGUCAGCGAGUCCCGGUGGUCAAUCCCGCAUUCGUGGUCUUUGUCGAGGGUGGAAGAGACGAACGGAUCGAGUUGGCUAUCGUAGGGUAAAGCAGUCACAGUAUCCACCUUCAGGUCAAUGGAUGGGGGUGAUCGAGCUCUUUUACCUGUGUCCUUAACGUCCCAGCUUGACACAUGGUCCAAAAUGCUCAGCCCAAGGAGAGAAUGGGUAAACAACGGCCCACAACCCAAUAAUCAAGCCUAACCAGCCAAGAGUUGGGGGAGAAAAAAGCAUGAGGCCCCCAGGCCCGUUUGACCACAAAAGGCCCAAUCACAAGCACUGGGACCGGCCCGCACCCACUCCUACCAAUCACUACUUGGCCCACCAGGCAAAGGGAAUUAGAUAGAAGCAUAGCAGGCAAGCCAGCUAGCUUCUGCCUUGGUCCCGAGAUCUGACUCAAGGCAUUAAAGGCCUCGGUCUCCGCGUCAGCCAAGAUCGAGGAGCCCGCCUUCCUAGGCUCUCCCUUUGGCAGAAGAGAAAGAUGAAGCCUCUUUGACAUGGAGGAAGUAAGCAGGCCUUCCCUGAAGUCUCUUCUCCCUUUUUUCCUUCUUCAUGCAAAAUGUGGUACUCUCCCUGAGCUUUGCUUGCCUCGAAAAUAAUGAGCCGAGGGCCUCGGACCCAGCGCCAUAACAAGCCGUUGCACCGCGAUGCCGUCCCACGUCCACGGCGGCGACCCUAGCCACAGCGACGCCAUGCCUGGCCGACGGGGGUGCGUGCUACAGCACUGCGGGGCGACACACUGCCGCCCUGGAAACCCGCAGGUCCGCCGCGGCGACCCUAGCCACAGCAGCGCCUUGCCUGGCCGACGGGGGUGAGCACUGCAGCACCGCGGGGCGAUGCUCUGCCGCCCUGAGAACUCACAGAACCGCCACGGCGCCUUUCUCGGCCGCUUUGCGAGCUCGCUGGCCCGUCGUGAUGGGAGAAGCCCUGAGCAACUGCUGGAGAGGGUCCGCUUCCUCAAGAACCCCAGCUUCGUCCUUCAUCUCUUCGUCAACGCCCUCGCUUUCCUGGUCACCCCCCCGACCACCUUGCUCGUCGUCGUUAGGCCCAUUCUGCGGCUCCGUGGGAGGGUCGUCUCCUCCAACCUCUGCCGCCCUCUCCCAGCUCUCCAAGUGAACCCUGAUGGAGAAGGUCUCCUCCCCGAGCACUACAGACAGGUUUUGGGGGAUGUCCCUUACCAAGUCAAGGGCGAUCAGGCAGUGGAAAGCUCUGAGGUCCGUCGUCGCCCUAGUUGUCGCAUCCGCUUUGAUAAAUCGCCCGAAGCCACAAACAAUGGCCGCCACCCGUGCCACCGUCCAGCAUUCGAACGGAAGAUUGAGCAGGCGGAUCCACGCUGAGUAUUGUAGCCGGUGCGGUUGGGCAUUUCUGUAUUGGCCCCAGGGAUAGCAUCGGAUCCAAAACUCGCUGAGGGAGAGAACUUCCCUUCUGAUCAGCACAUCAGCGGAGACCCAUUCCGAAAGGAAAAUUGCGAAUUCUAACGUGCGACCGAGAAAUCCUCUGUGUACCCCGCAAAACGAUUGGCCAAAGCGUUGGCAAUGAAGCGUAUAGGGUCAGGUCCCACAUUCACUGGCCAGAUUAAGUCCGCCAGGACGGCGUUGCGGCGAAGCUCCCUUCUACCCAAGUACUCCUCAGUGUACGGGACGUAGACCAUAGAAGCAGGUGCCAGCCCCCGGUGCCAGUAAGCCCUAAUCAUGUCAGCGUCUGUCUUAACUGUCUUACCCUUGCAAUGGUGAGCUCGGUGUCCAGUUCUGAAGCACCUAUAGCACCUUACAGGGUCGCGGCACACAGCGAUAGUGUGAUCACGAGCGAGGCACCUGAAGCACCGCCUCGCUUGGUACCGAAAUGGUGUAGCCUUGGGGCUGGAAGUGGAAGGUUUCCGGUUGGGUUUAGAAGUGAAUGCAAGGGGAGGUGGGCUCAAUUUCCUCAGCAGCGCGUCCUUAUAGGAUCCAAGGGCAGUAAAUGGAGGUAUAAAUUCUCCACCUUCCACCCUGUUCAAGCCUCCCUUUCUUGGAUCUCUAGGUGACAGCCCCAUCUUGCACUUAGAUGUCCAUCAUUAAGGCCAACGUUCUGAUCACGAAGAGGGUUCUUACUGGAAUUAGCUAACAUCUUCUCAGCUGUAUCAUUGCUCCCAAACACCUCCAAUAACUCUCGACCAACCUCGUCUGCCCAUGCCAAUCGCUUCACAAUCUUCUUCCUCUUCCCCUCUAGGUGCACGCCCUUUCUCUGUCUCUCUCUCAUCUCUCCAACCAUUAACCAGAGUUAUCACAUUAGAAGGCUAAUAUUGAAAAUACCUUUUUUACAUUCCAAUCUAUUUCAAAUAUACCCCUAUAGUUAAAAUCUGUUAAUAAACUCUGUCAUCUCUAUGAAAUUACUAUUUUGUGCUUUCAAAUAUACCUUUCUAUGAGCACCGACUUUUCUUAUUUGCCCCUAAGUUAGGGGCACAAAAAGUAUUUUAUUUUUUGGUCUUUUCAAAUAUAUCAUACUACCAUCACCAACAUUUCUUAUUUGCCUUUAAGUUAAGGGCAAAAGUGGUAUUUUAAUUUUUUUUAACUGUGAUAGAUACUUAACUCACAUUUAACCCAAGUUAACUUAGGUGAUAACUGUAGAGAUAUUUUGGAAUAACGAAGAACAUAUGAGAGGUAUAUUGGAAAGAAAAAAGAAGUAGGGGUAAAUAAAAUAUUUCCGAAGUUUUGAGGGGUAUAUAGGCAAUUACCGCUUUAAACAAACAUGCCAAUAUGAAUCUAAAAUAUAUGAAUUUAUUAAUAUAAAUUUUUUUUAUUCAGUACAUCAUAUGGGGCUAUUCAAACUUAGUUUACAUAUAUUAGGUGAAAAAUGGGUCUCACAUAUUUAACCAUCCCAACCAAUUUUAAUCUAAUCUAUUAAAAUUUGUCCUGGAUUGUUGAAAACAAAUUGUUGCUUCAUUUAUAGAUACUGACGAGAAGUUACAUCUACAUUUUUAUGCAAUGAGAUCCAACAACAAAUGGAAAAAAUUGUUAUAAGCAUUGAUCUACGUACUUGAUAUUAAUGAAGAUUUUCAUCAAAAAUAAUACUUUCCAUUAAUGGAAAAAGAUCAUGCUAUAAUGGAAAACUAUCAAAGAUAAGAUUGCAAGUGAGAAAAUAUAUCAUUUCAUGUCAAGAAAAUAAUUCAUGAAGAUGAUCGAGAGACCAACUAGAAAGCUCAAUUAAAUUCAAGAAGGAAAUAUCGUAAAGGAUUAUUUGUGAAAUAUACGCACAUCAAGAUUGAUUUCAAUCCACUCAAAAAAGAAAAUUAUGAUUGUAUUUUAUCAUUUCAACUUAUUUUCUUUUAUGCAUGUAAUGCUAUUCGUAACACUUUGUAAAAUUUAUAUAUUGAAUAGAAUGAGGAAUACUCUAAAAUAUAGAGAGAAACCAUUUUAAUAAUUUCUGAGUCUUAUUUUGGUGUUUUUAGUCUACUAACCGUCUCAAAAAAAAAUUUAUAAAAUUGGACCCCCUCAAAUUUAUAUUUGUAAAAAUAGACUCUGGGUAGACACAUGAGUGCCAAGUUCGCGGGAAUAUAUAAAGAUGGUGAACCAUUCGCCGUAUUAAGAUGAAAGCACUAAAUGGUUUAACAUCUACUGAAAAAAUAUAAAAUCCUAUGAAUGCGGUAAACUAUUCAUCGCCUUCAUAUAAGCUGUAAAUGGUUCACCAUCUUUAAGUACUUAACCACUUGUUUUUGCUUAGCUUAACUCAUUAUUAACUGGCGAAUGACUUAAAUGCAGUGAACCUGUAGGUUAUAAGGCCCUAAGAUCUAAAAGGUAUAAACACACCUAGAGGGGGGUUGUAAGGUAAUGAAUCAUUGACGCGUAAACUGAACUUUGGUCGAAAUUGACCAAAGUGUGGUGUUGGACGCUUCGGAAAGGUCCGUUGAGCGUUCCGAAAGUUCGGAAUGGCUUAUAAGGGUGUGAAGGGCCUUGGAGAGCAUUGUGGAGAAAUUCCAAAAACUUUCACAGUGGAAAUGCUCUCGGGGUCCGAACCCUGGCUAUAAGGUCCAGACCCCGUACACGAAAAGUGGCUGGUUGAACUGGGGGGGUCAAUUGUGCAAGGGGCUAUGUGCAAGUGUGCAAUGAGAGGGUAUAUGGAUGAGUUCCUAACUCAUUUCUCUCAUUUCCCUUUCACACACCAAACAAAGAGAAAGGUCUUUCUCUCUCUAAGUCUCUCUCUCUCUCUCCUAGGGUUUACUCCAAGAGGUGGAGUUGGUGGAGAGAAGUUGCUUGGAGGUGAAGCUUCUCCUUCUUCUUCUUCCUUGGCUUGAGAGGAAGCUUGAGUUGAGGUAAGCUCGAUUAGAUUUGGUGGUUUGUAGUUAGGGUUUUGGUAUAAUCCCUUAGAAAUGAGUUAUAUGGAAACCCUAGGUAAUGCUAUGCUUGAUUAUUGCAUGAAUCAUUGAGUAUUAUGUGUAUUCUUGCAAUAAUGAGUUUUUAGGGUUUCUAGAGAGGUUUUUGCCAUGAGUUGGGUUUAGAUGUAAAUUGACCCUAUUGAAACCUAAUUGAAGGUAAAACUGACACGGUGGGGAACUCAAAUUGGAGUUCCUACGAGCGUGUGGCGAAUCGUUGAAGAAAAGUACGAUUUUCAAUUCGUUUGCGUUGGGUCGAGCCAAAACGACGUCUAUAAAUCGUGAGGCUAGGAUUCUCGCACCUCGGCAUCAUUAAGAGGUGAGGGGUGCUAUCCGAAACAAUCGGAUUUUCUUUUAUGCCUAUGUUGCUUCAUUGGCCAUGUAUGUUCAUGUAUAGAUAUCAUGCAUUGUAGAGUAGUUGUGUUGGUUAUUCCAUUCCUUGCAUGCUCUCAUGGUACUUGUAGAAAUAUGAGAUGGAAUAUAGUGACUAUGUGCAUGAGGAUUGGGUUGUGAACAAAGAACUCUAUAGUGCUAUGACAUUGUGAACCUAGAAAACAUAGUGACAUUAAAAGGUGGCAUUCAGAUAUGACGAUGAGAACUUAGAAACAUUGUGGCCUCAAAGGUGGCAUUUGGAUAGUACAUUGAGAACACUCAUGAUAUGAGGAUAGGAAUUGGUAUCUUCCAUGGCUUCGUUACCACUAGUUGGUAGGGUAUCCUCGGGAUAGAGGAUUGGAUCAUGCUCACAUACGUCUGUUUCACUUGGCGGUGGUUGCUCCACCCAAGCAGUGGUCUCCGGAGUACUUCACGGUAGGGGUUAACGUAGCUACCCCGCAGACGGUCCCGAGUGAGUGUAGCAGACGUCUCCUCACAUUUCGGGAUUCGGCUGUGAGUUGGGGCUUAACCUUCGGGUUAGCCGGAAUGAUUGGGUUAUGAAAUAUGAAAGGCAUGCAUCAUGAGCAUAGUAGUUGCUAAUACAUGUUUAUCGUACCUAUUUAUUGUUUUAUAUUGCCAAGACAUAGUAGCAUGCUAGAUGAUUAUUAUAUUGCUAACCCUUUCUACAUAUGCCUGCUUAAACCUAGUGGAAAAAUCGGCGAAAUCGGCGGCCGAACUCACUGGGAACUAUUAUUAGUUCUCAUCCCACUUUGUUGCAGGGCCUAGCACGAGCGAACCGGCCGAGGAUCGCGGUAAGGGCAUAGCGCCCUAGAUAGUAGCCUCCUAUGCAUUAGAGUAUCAUGUACCCUUUUGAGAGAUAAUGUAUGUUGGUGAGGUUACUUUUCUGGAUGUAAACGUGUUAUGAGGCAAAUGAUGUAAACCACAUGUAUGUACUUGGUGGAUGGAUGUAAAUAAUCAAAUGUGAAUGUAAUAGCUAGUAUUUCUCUCUUACUCUUGCUUGUAUUCUACUUGCAUAAUUCAUGUAUGUUGACUAUGUUUAUGUCACGCCCCGGGGUCCCUUCAGGUUAAAAACACCGCGAAUUUUUUUUUUUUUUUUUUUGAAAAUCUAACCCCAGGGAAUGUCAGAUCCGCCACAAAUACAGGAAAUCCACUGUUCACACGGACAGAGUCUCCCCUGUAUUUGCACGGCGUCGCACAAGUACAAGAAGUAUCCCAGGUACAACCACAACCAAAUGAAUAUAAAAACGACUAUGUAAUCAUUCAUUCACCAUUCACAUCACAGUUAUACAUUCAAUAUUUAAACAUAAAUCCACAGAAAAUUCUUUUGAAAACUGUUUUCUACAUGGAAACUUUUAUUCUUUAAAAACGCUACCACGAGGAGUAGAAAACCUUUUAUUUACGAAAACAACGAAUCCUUUUUAUUACAUUCAUAAAGCCAAAUCAAAAUAUGAUAAUUAACUGAAAUACCCAAAACUGAACCAUAUAAACUAUCUAAGCUAUAUCAACAGGACAGUAAGGGUAGAAACUAAACCGAAUAACCUGGGUCGGAAGCUCUAUCGACCGCUACGUACGUAUCUCACGUCUUAUCUCAACCCUCACCGCUCGCGAUACCUGAAAAAUAGUGGGGGAGGUGCGAACAUGUAAACAUGUCUCCCCUCCCAGUGGGUACCGCAAGCCGAUGAAGGCGAGGAGUACUCACCGGAUCAGGAAGAGCUAAACAACAGUACGGGUCAGUAGAAAAUACAGUAGCAAUAAUAAUAAAUGAAAGAGACAUGUAUAUGAAAGAAAGUACAACUACCGCUACUAUAAUGAACAACUGAAUGUAUACAUGUAACAAGACUAUAGUAGCAAGACAAUCUAACGAAAGAACUGAAGAUAUACAAGCGACAACUGCUACUAUAGUUAUAUGCGUCAACCAGACGAUAAGUCCAAAUAUACCCAAUCUGAUGCUGCUAUAUUGGUCCGCAGACCUCAAGCGUUGCCUGUCACAGAGCAGACACUGAGAGCUUAUUCAUGCGUCACCGACGACCUAUCCGGAUACGUACACCUCUUGUUGGUGGCCAAACCAACCUGGUGUCUAGAAUACACAGUGCUGUGACUAAAUCAUGCUGAUAUGCUCAAACGAAAUCCGGCUAAAGCCGGUGCCUAGGCCGAAGCCAGAAACAAGGGCGUACAACGCCAAACCACGAUCAACCAGAUCGAAACACAUGACAAGAGAGUCGAUGUGUUGCCUGGACCCAAGGUCCACAGAGUCCAACUGACCAACAAGGUCCCUGAUACGAAGUACGAGAACCGACCAACCAGGUCAACAGAUACGGAAUGCAACAACCAACCAACUAGAUCAACAGAUACGGAAUGCAACAACCGACCAACUAGGUCAACAGAUACGGAAUGCAACAACCGACCAACUAGGUCAACAGAUACGGAAUGCAACUACAGACCAACUAGGUCAACAGAUACGCAUGUAGAUAGAACUACUCUACUCCUACUCAGGAUACUAAGCAUGCAAACAACGAGUAGAGUAUAACGAAUAAACAAGGGUGCAAGGCUCAAUAUACUAUGCGAUAGUAACAACAGAAGAGUAAGGGUAAGAAACCAUCACCAAGCGUGCACCACUGUACCGACGUCGGAUCGAAGUACCCACCUGUAAGGAUGUCGCGUCUGUCUCCUGACUGCAAAAGAAUGUCGACAGGGCCUAUAGAGGGUCCACCGGGUUAGUAUCUAACCCACAACUAAUAAUCACAGUAUCCACAACCCCACAAACAAUUUCAUGAAGAUCGGUUUCCCAAUACCGAUUACCGUUCGCCCGAAGUCCCGAAAACCACACCGGGACGCCGUCGGGACCCACUAAGUGUCCCGAAACUCACCAACUCGUACCACGAGUCACCCGCUGCCACAAAACACACCAAUUUGAAUGUCUUGGCAGUAAACACAAGGUAACACAACCCAACAAUUAUCGUCGGAUAAUUGUUCGGAUCCGGAUUCCCAGAAGUGUCUAUUUCGACACCGGAACCACCGUCGCUCACCCGUCAUCAUCGAACCCACAAAAUGAUGAUGGUGACCAGCCAACAAGGCUCAGCGACAACUCAACGGACAACCAAACCACGUCGGAAGAAAUCCGAAUCAAAUCCGCGUUCUUUCGGCGAAUUUCGCUGAAAAACGCACCGUAACCGACUCUUCGAUUUCCGCAAAGGCUAUUGGAUCAUGGACAAUCAGUCCAGAGGUUACCACACACUCCAAUGCAUUGCCCACAGUAGCCAUAAGGUGCACAAUUGCAUAAAAGUCCCUCAAAUUACAUAAAAUCCUAUCAUUUUAUGUGAUUUGAGCGAUCAAGUGGCUAGUUCACGCAAACCGAGGACUUUCAAGGUCUGCCGAGACACGUAUAGCUUGGUCUCGACGUACCGGAGGCCGUGCUCAUGAUCCAGAGCACAACGGCUCACUGUGGGAAGCACGGGAGCAACCCGAAGGUUCGGCGAAAAGCGCGCAGUCAAGGGAGAUCACGCCGAACAGGACUAACCGGACACAGCUGAUCCAAAAUAAGGUGAGCACCGUGAUCAGCACUGACCAGCGGUCACCGUGCUCACCUCCGGAGGCAUCGGAACAGCCUCGGAUCGCCGAAAAAGCACGCACAAACACAGAACAACAGCCAAAAAGGCUCCAUAGGGUCGACACCGCAAAAACAGCGGAACGGGGCCUUCCCGACAGAAACUAAGGUGAGCACGAUGAUCAGAAACUUGCCAGUAUCAUCAUGCUCCCUUCCGUAGAGAUCGGGGAGGCUCGAGAAGCUCGGAAUAGUAAACCAUCCCAACUAAGCCCUAUUUCGGGCUUGGCCGGAGCAAGCUUGCUCCGGCCGGCUUCCGGCUGCACGGCGGCGCGCGCAGAGGCCAGUAAUGGGUGCGGGUGAGGUGAGGAGUGAGGUGCUCACCUCAGUCGGCGGCCGGAAGCGGCGGCGGCGGCGGAGGAACAAGACAAGCCCGCACGGCUAGGGCACGGGUUCCGCGGGCACCUGCGGCCACGGCGGCGGCCGGGGAGCUCCGAGACGGCGGAGAAGGAUAGCAGGAGGCCGGAGGGACGCCUCGGGUGCGGCCCCAAGUGGCGGCGGUGCAGGGGUGGAGUCGCACGCUCGCCUCGGCCCGAGCAGGUCUGGGGCAGCUGCGGGCUGGCCGAGGCGGCGGCGGCGGCACUCUGGGCGGCUCGGGGCGGCGGCGGCCGGCGGCCAGACGUCGGGAAGGUGCUACUGGAGUCACCCAGUGCGGCGGCAAAGCGAGGAAGAGGCUACGAGCUGACCUCGGCCUGUGCUCGCUCUAGCUGCCUGAGGCGGCUUCAGCGCGGCGUGGCGGCGCUCGGCCGUGGAUGGCUCGCCGAGCACGGGACGACCCUGGCGGAGGGUCUGAAGGUCGCGGCAGUCCGCGCUUCCUCACAACCCGAGAGGAGAGAGAGAGAGGGAGAGGGGGAAGGGUGGCUCCGGCGGCGGUUGGCCAGCCGGCAUCAUCGGCGGCGGCCUGGGCGUACGCAGCAGGUGCAGGGAAGUGGCGGUGAGGUGGUGGGGGUGCGGCUCCGGGCUGUUAGGGUUAACACGGCUCCAAACCCUAAAGAGCUAUAAAUACUAAGUGUGGGCAACUUUGGGCAAAUAAGUCCCAAACUCAAGCAUUUAUUACUCGCGUCCUUCACAGCAGCGUGUAAAAGCGCGGCACCCCUCCACGUGCGAUCCCACCGAACGAAUACAUAAAAUAUCGUGACUUUUGCGAAAUUUUACCGUUUUGCCAUUCACAAGACCUCUCCCGAUCAACGCGCAAUAUCCCAGAUCUGCGUCGUUAGAUUUGCGAACAGAUUGCACCAGUGCGAUCAGGCACCGACCGAGACAACAAGCUACGGUUUCGUUUCACCACGAUCGACACGGAUUUCGGACAAAAUCCAAUCUCUUGGUUCCAAAUAGAAGGAAUAACACAUAACUACAUAUAAAAGAAGUAUUUUUGGAUUUUCUCGAAAUCCGUGCGUCAAACUCAAAAUCCGUCAGCGCCAAUAGUUCCAGAACAGCUGAACCGAUCGAAACGAGCUAUUGGACCGCUAUGAACGAAGUCCGAUACAAGCCAGAAGCCAACUUCCCACCGUGGCUUCUCCGAGAAAAUUGAGUUACUAUUCACUUUAAGUGAAACUUGGAAAUCGCGUAGAAUUUCCGUUUUAACUCAUUUUCAUCCGAAACUUGACGAGUGCUUUUGUAAUUAAAUUACACACAAAAACAUCAUCAACUGAGAGUUUAGCUACACUGCAAAAGUCUCAGUCCUUACAGUUUACCUGGGCAACUAAAUAUACAUGAUUGAUAUUUGUUAAGCCUUGGGCGGACAGGAAAAACUCUAUCCGUUCAGCGUCUGUUGAUGUACCCGAACCGACCAAGUUGGCGGUUACGGGGUGUGACAGGGAUGAAUAGAUGUAAACGAUAAACCAACCAACUCGAUACAAUAAAAAUUAAAUGCGAAAAAAUUAAUGCCAACACACCGAGAUUUUUAUGUGGAAAAACUCUAAGAGGAGUAAAACCGACGGGACCGAUCACACGAAACAAUCCACUAUUAAUAGAAAGUACAAGAUGAUUUACCGAAUCCACGACUCAAUCUUUACCCUAACUUCAAAGUAGAUCGUUUUCGUUGGUCCCCGAUCGAUUGAACUCCUCCAACCGAUCACGCCGCGACUCCUUGCAGCAACAACGCCCCAAAUCCUCGAGUGUAAGGAAGUGAAUUCUUGAAAUCCGAGGAUUAGACUUCGUUUAGAAUCAACUGAUUGUCGAGUGUGUAGAUUUCGGAAAGUCCGAAGGCGAUUAAAAUGCAUAAAGUGCAUUAAGAAUGAGUCCGCGAGAGCAUCAGUGCAAAAACCUGCACUGGAGCAAAAUUGCUCUCCGGGACCGGUCCCUGGCAGGGAGGGACCGGUCCCAUCGGCUGGUGUGGCGGGGAUCCUUGAUGCAACCGGUCCCUGGUAGGGAGGGACCGGUCCCCAAACGUUAACCCAGCGGGAGAGCCAAAAAUUUGGGUAAGUCCCAAAAAUCCAACUCUCGGGAACCGAGUCUCUCAGGCAAGGACUGGUCUCCCGGGGACCGGUCUCUCAGGCUGAGACCGGUUUCCGAACGCGAAAUCCCCUCUGCCCGAAUGGGAGGCUCUCGGGGACCUGUCUCCCCGACCUGGGACCGGUCCCUCACUGCGAAAUUGCCCGGGGAGGGCUAUUUUGUAGAGUGGAAAGUUGAGGGGUUUAAUUACAAAAUGGCCUAUAUGAGAGAUGGGGGACCCUCGUCUCUCCCUCACUGCUCUAUUUUCCCCUCACACUCUUACCCUUUCUCCCUCUCUCUCUCUCUAGAAAGAAAAGAAGGAGAAGAAGAAGGAGAGGAAGAAGAAGAAGGAGAAGAAGAGAAAGAGGAAGGAGAAGACUAAGAAGGAGAAGAAGAGAAAGAGGAAGGAGUCUCUCCCUCAAGCUUGGAGCUUGGUAUUGAAGGUAAGCCUCAACCCUACAAUGGUGAAUCCUUUGAACUUGGGUUUUAUGGUUUAGAAAUGGUUCGAAUGGAACCUAAGGGAGUUAAAUAGAUGGUUCUAGCUCGAAUUUUAGGCUCGAACCAAGGAUUUCUUUAUCGUUGCCAACCUAGGGCACGUUUUGGGGUUUUUGGAAAUCUAGGGUUUUGAUCUAUUUUGAUGGGUUGAAAACCUAAUUACUAUGUCACCGAAUGCGUGGGCGAAGACGGUUCGUCGAUACGACGAGCGAGUACGAAGAUAUCGCCGAAACGAGUACACGAGGGUUCGUUUUGGCUCGAGGAGUUGAAGCGACGUAUGAGGAUCGCGACGUCGAGUUUACUAGCUACAUGGCACUACCAAAAAGGUGGGGGAGUGCCAUCCCGAAGCAAUUGAACUGCUCUCUAUGUCUAAGUUCUAUCGUCGAUCAAAUUGCAUAUUGAACAUCAUGCAUAUAGGGAGUUUAGUCAUUUAUAUUUAUAUUCGCAUGCUAGCGUCGUUGUAGCUUAGUUGAUAUAGCACUUGAACCUAGUAUGCCUGAGUUGAACAUGAGAUAGUUAACCCUAUAUGUGAUGAACAUGUUUAUGUGAAUAAGAACCUAGUAUAUUGCAAACUAGUGUAUUGAGAACGAGUGGCAUCUAGUUAACAAUGAACACAGAACGAGUGGCAUCUAGUUAAUAUGAAACAUGAAAACCUUAGUGUAGUCGAACACUAUGGGAUUGAGAACUAGAAUACUUCGAUUCUAUGAUGGGACCAACCUUAGUUGGUAGGGUGUUCCCAGUUCAUGAGAUUGGAUCAAGCUCACAUAGCCUGUCUGCGCCUGUCGUGGUAGCUCCACACAGGUAGUGCACUUCGGAGGUCGUCACUCGAGGGGGGCCAUUGUAGAUGCCCUUGGACCAUUGUUGUUAUGUUGUUUGAUACCUUCCUUAUGCAAUCUUGCUUGAAUACUGUUCCUGGUUGGAACUUCUUGUACUUGUAUUGAUUGCGACGCCUAGGACGUACAGGGUAGACUCUGUCCGUUCGGCGGUCUGUCGGCGGUGCCGCGACCUCGGCCAAAUAGGCGGGUGGUUGCGGGUCGUGACAAUUGUUGUCACGCCCGGGUACCAGCGGAAGCAUAUCCGAUACGUGCACAGACCCGCCAUACACCUGCAGUAUAUAAGGCGUCUACGAAGAAAGCAAGUCGAUAGGGAGCAAAACAAAGAAAGUCCUAUCCUGAUAUCAGAGCAAUGUACAAGUCGANCGCGGCGACGAAAACGAGCAAAAUCGACGAUUUCUUCGUAGAGAGAGAGAAACCCUAGAGAGAGAGAGAAAAGGAGAAGGAAGAGCACUUCUCUGAGCUCAAACAUGCAUAUCUGAACAUCCCUAGUCGAGCUGGGGUCUAAUAGAUAAGGAUCAAGGGUGAAAUUACCAAAAUAGCCUUGCUGCCACAAUUCUGCCAGCUUGUACCGGUACAAGGUAAUGGCUGUACCGGUACAGCAAGCAGAAAAAAUGCUGAUUUCGUCAGUUCAAUGUAUUUUCUCACUUUUAGCAUUCCAAUCAACCUCUAACUUAUCCAAAAACUUGUUCUAACCUUUUAGAACAUGUAGGAUUGAUCCACACAUCGUUCCACACACUCGAACUCUGCUAUUUGCAAAAGUUCAGUGUCUUACAAUUGUAGCUGUCCUCAGGCGGUCUCGGGGGUAAACGAGCAGUUAGCCUCCUUCCCUAUGAGACUUACACACGUGAGACUGUGAGCGAGCCUUGAGUUCGCUGAGAGAUUGGGUAACCGGACGAGUAACAUUAUUGUUGUGCAUAGUAGUUGGUUACUUAGCCUUACCUUAUGACACAUGCAUGCAUCAUUUCAGAUUGAGGCAUAGUUAGAUGUUCAUUUUGUAUACCUGCCUGUUUAUUAUAGAUACUUUCAAUUCAGCAAAAUAUCUAUCUAUCUGCAUAUCUAUCUGUGCCAGCUUAGACCUAGUGGGGAGAUCGGCAGAGUCGGCAGCCGAACCCACUGAAAACUAUGGAAGUUAGUUCUCACCCCACUCGCUACAGGUCCGAGUUCGAGUGUCCCCGGUGAGCGCGAGGAUCGUGGCAAAGGCAUAGCGCCCUAGGGGUAUCCAUAGCUAGCUUUGCUUCCUUCUGCAUUAGUUCCACCCUAUGUUUUAUGUUUGAGAGUAGAUGAUGUAUAGGGUGAGGUUCGAGUGAUUGUAUUUAUAUUUUGGAAGAAUGUAAAAGGAUGAAAUAAUUGUAUCGAAAUUAAUGAAUUCAAUAGUUAAGUAUCUCUCUUUUGAUCACUUGUAUGCUUUACUCAUGUUGCUUGCUCUUGGUUGAUAUGCACUGUUUGUGCUUCGUUAUCGUUGUAUGAUCAUGUAUGUAAUCAAGUGUACUUCCUAGGAACUUGUGUACAUGAUCUCGUCGUUUGAGUCUUGGGCGGGCAGAGGAGUUACUGUACGUUCGGCGGUCCGUUCGCUGCGCCCGAACCGUGCCAAAUUGGUAGCGGCCUCGGGACGGGGGCGUGACAUCGAGCGUCCACCGAAUCCUCAGCCCACACGCAAAGCCCUCGCACAAUCGCUCCAUACGGAGCUCAUAGAAGAAUUGUUGGUGGUGAUUUCAAUGAAAGAACAUAAAAUGUAGCGCACUAAACUUCUACAAAUUGUGGAGUUCUAGUGAGAGAAUAGUGCUUAACAUUAUUCUGAAGGUUUUGACUGAGUUUGGAGAGCUUAGGAGUGUUUUCAAGGCUUUAUAAGCGCGAAAACGGACUCCGAAAAUCAAAUUCUGCAAAACUACAAUAUUUGUGUUGUGUAUCAGUACUGGACUUGAGGUACCGAAACUUUGCAGAGUACCAAAUUGGGCAGCUCUUGGAUUCUGUGGAACUCAACUCUGGAUAUCUGUACUGUAGUAUCCUUUAUAUAUAUAUAUGGAUGCCACAUGCCCAUGUCUAUACAUAUAUAUAUAUGUGUGGAUGCUACGUGCCCCCAUGCAUGGUUAUCCAUUCAAUUAAUUGAGGGAACAGCCUACACCUCUCUAAUUAUAUUUUUCUUUCUCUCUUUCGUGUGGAGUGGAGAGCUGAAGCGGAGGAGCCGCGUAGAGGUAGCCGCGUAGAGGUAGCCGCGAAGCUCGGAUUCGCCGUCGACGUCGCGCCGUGGAGCCGUUCGAGCCUACGUUUGUCGCCGUAGCAUCGCAAGGAGGCCGGGCGAGGGUGUGUUANCUUAGUGGGUGACCGAUGUUGUUUUGGGCGGUACCUACUGAGGACUACUUGUUUUGUAGUAGUUCUCACGCCCAGUUGUUACUCUUGUUUUGCAGAGCCACAGGUUUCGGCUGCUGCGCCUUCCGCGGAUCAGGAUCGAGGCAAGGGCGUCGCGAGUUAGAGCCCUACCCGACGAGCAGAGCUAGAGGCACCCCUACUGCAGGUAGAUGUUUUGUUUCGAGUUUAUGUACAUAGUAGCCUUAACUCGCUAGUGCGAGUAACUCUGUAUUUUGGAUUUGGACUAUGUAUAUGAAACUCAGUUUGUUUAACUUCUGUUUUCUCUAGCAGCUCUCUACUACUGUUCGUAGUAGUGUUUGACUUACAGGCACAGCUGUCGCUUCGUAUACAGGAAAAAUUUCUUUGUAUACGGCGGAUUUGUCGACGUGCCCGGGGAACGAGACAUCCGGGGCGUGACAUGUACUGCAUCGGGUGAGUACCGAAACGCAGUGAAAACCAGAAUUUCCAACGUUUGGGUUCUGCGAUACUAGUCUUCAGGUCCCAGAACUGACCGUCGAGUGCCGGUACUCCAAAUCGCGUACCAAUACUCAAUGUUGUGUUUCGUGCUGAGAGUAAUUUCUAUAUUUUGGAGUGGCUUUAGGGAUAUUAUUACAACUUGUAUAACAUGUCUCUCACCCCCUCAUUUCCCCUCUUGCUGGCUGAAGCUAGAGAAGGAGAAGAAGUGAGUUUUUCCUCUCUUCUCUUUUGAAUUUCUUCUCCUUACCCUCAAAUCUUUGGGUUUGAUCUCUGUUUCUUUCUCUUCUCUUUGGAUGCAAGCAUCUAGGCUUCAAAGGGGAGCUCGGGAUUGAAGAGAAGAGCUUGUUUGAGGAUUGAACUCUAACCCUAGCAUUUUAUAGCUUGGUUUGGAGCUUGAUUUGAGGUUAGUAUUGUCCUUUUACUCUCUAAUUGAGAGAUUUGCAACAGAUUUUUGGUGGAAAAACUAGUUUUGCAGAAACUAGGGUUUGUUUCGGGGCUUUUCAUUGGAGAGCUUUUUGGAUGGAAUUGAUGAGUGUAGAACACUCUUGUAGGUUGGAUUUGAAGCUCCAUUGGGUUGACUCGAGCCUUGAACAAGUUUUGCUUGGUCGGUCAAAGGUAAUUUUCACCUAAUUUCUAUUUGACUUUUGGUGAAUUUCGUGGGAAGCUUUUAAGAAGCUCGUAACUGUAAUAUACCGAAACUUUGGUAGACUAUAUCGAACUUUAGUCAAAUUGACCAAAGCGUGCGAGAGAGAUGGUUGGGCAAAGUCCAUAUGACAUCCCUACAGUGUUAGAGGGGUUAAAGUUGAGUUCCAAGUGAGAUUGAUAGGUUUUAACAUUGUUCGACGCGAAAUAGAGCCUAAGCACUGCCAAAACUCUGAUCUGGGUGCUACGUACCGGUAAUAAGGAAGUAGUAUCGGUACCAGGCCGGCCACCCGAGAGGGUUGCUCUCGGGUUUGGUCACUGGAGUCCGCGUACCGAUGACACCCCUGGUGCGUACCGGUACCAGGCAGCAAUCCGAGAACAGCAGCUCUCGGGUUUGGACAAUUGAACAGGGGCGUACCGGUGACAAGAAUCCGCGUAUCGGUACGCAGUGCUGAGAACAGUAGGUUGAGUCUACUGCAAAUAAAAGAAAUUGGAGGGCUUAAAUGCAAUUGUGGUGGCUUAUAAAAACCCCACACCCUCUCUUCUCUUGUUCACAGCAGUGAACACUUCCUCCUCUCUUAUUUCUCUCACUCUCUCUCUUUAGGAGCUCUUCCCCAAGGUGGUUUGGAGGAGAUUAGAGAAGAUUUAGAGGAGAUUUUGGAGCUUUGGGAGGAUCAAGGGCUCUCCUACAAGGUGUAGCUUGGUGAGCUUUUGGGCUAAGGUGAGGUUUUUUGUAAGAUCUUGUUUAGGAUUUGGUUUUAUACCCUAGAACACUUGGUUUUGAUCUUCUUACAUGAAAGAAAAUCUAAGAGAGACCUUGGAAUCUCAUGUUGAGACCAUGUUGUUUAUGAGCUCUCAUGGUAGAACUCUAGGGUUUGGUUCAAAUGCCCUAAGAGUGGAUCUAGAUGAGUUUCUAGAUGAUGUUAAGCUUGUUUUUGCUUAUCUCCAAGAUUCAUACGGUGUAUGUGCUAUAGAGCAUUGUUAGGGCUCCAAAAUUGAGGCUUUUGUCAUAGAUUGGUUUAAAUAUAAAUUGAUCAUGUAGAAACCAAAUUGAAGGUAUUUUCGACGCGUUAGGAGACUCGGUUCGAAGAUCCGACGAGUCUACCCGAAGAUAUUGGAGAAAAAGCCUAUUUCGGCUUCGUUUUGCCGCAGGCGAGAGAAUAGGCGGCUAAAAAUCACGAAAAUCAAACCGUAGCACCUUAGCAACCCUACAAGGUGGGUGGUUCUUUUUGAAAUCCUCGAAUUUUAUUUUAUGUCUAAAAUAUCAUUUCUUGAGCAUAUGUGUAUAUUGAGCUUCAUGCAUUGUAGGGUGAUUGAGAGUUUGUUGUUGCAUAUUGUGAGUACAAAUGCAUAUGAGAUGAUUGUAAACUAAUGAGAACUUGUAAAACCCUAUGUAUGCAUGAAUGAUGAUAAGAACCUAGAAAAGGCAAAGAAUCUAGUGACAAUGAGAACAAAUGACAUUAUGACAUCGAUAGUAGAGUGGCAACAAUGAGUUUUGAAUGCUAGUGUACAAGUGUGGCAUUAAUGAGUAUUGAAUGCUAGAGAUAAACACAUAGUGUAUGUGGCAUUAACGAGUCAAAAAUGCAUGAGAAUGAAUAUAAAGAACAUUUAGUGUGUGGCACUAAUGAAUGAGUUUAAAGAAUGUAAAAAAAUGGCAUAUGUGACAUAGCAUCCUCAAAGUUGAGGCAUCCUUAUAGUUAAGGAAUGGAUUGAACUUGACAUCCUUAUAGCUAAGGAUUGGAUCAUACUCACCUAUAAGUCUUGGCUUGAGGGCAGUCGCACCCCCUCGAGCGAUGAGCUCCGAAGUAGUCAUCACUGGGUUGUAGCGAGUAUCUCCCCAGAGAACGGUCCCGUCGGGUUGUAGCGAGUAUCUCCCCGAUAGUAGGGAUUUGAGUUGGUGAGUCUAUUGAGGGCAAACCUACGAGUUAGCCAAAAGAUUGAGUAAUGAAAAUGUGAUCUUGCAUGCAUCAAGAGCAUUUUAUUUGAGCAUCAUUAUUGAUUAUAUCUUGUUCAGGCAUAUUAGCUGCAUUUGUAUAGUUUGGUUACUAUCUAUCUAUUUAUUCUUCUAUUAUGCCUGACUUAGACCUAGUGGGAAAGUCGGCAAGGUCGGCGGCCGAACCCACUGGAAACUUUGUUGUAGUUCUCACCCCACUAUUUCCACAGAGCCGGACCGAGUGAGCCGACCGACGAUCGCGAUAAAAGUAUCGCGCCAUAGACAGUGACUACCCGAGUCGGUUUCAUACUUGUUUAGUUCAUACCCUCUUUAUAUUAUCUUUUGUAUUUGAUGAUGUUAGUAUUAUGAAUGUGAUAAAUGAUGUAAAGAGAGCUUAUGUAUGAAUGUAAAGGCUUAUAUUUUGAGAAUUCUUGUGAUGUAAAAGAAAUGAUGAAAAGAAUGUAAAUGUAAAAGUUGAAUGCAUGUAUGUGGUUAAAAGUUGAUCAUAUUACUUGUAUAUUGUUUAGUUUAGUACUUUCACUUUUGGCUAUUGCUUGCCCUCGUGCAAGCCAUGUAUAUCUUUGUUCCGCCGUGUAGAAUUUAUAUAUACAUGAUCUGUACUUGCGUUGAGCCUUGGGCGGACAAGGAAGGUGCUGUCCGUUCGGCGUCUAUUCGACGUGCCCGAACCGACCAAAUGGGCCGGUCCCAGGGCGUGACAGAUUUAGUGGUAUCAAAGCCUGAAAAGUGAAAGUAUAGGAUGGACCUAGAAACCCUUAGGAUGGAAAACUUAGGGAUCUAGGGAACAUGAGCGACGUGGAAUCAAUUGAUAGCGAAAGCGUUAUGGAUUAGGUGAUGUUAGUAUGUCUCUAAUGUGGUUAGGGGCUAAUCCAAGUUGAUAUUUAUUCUCUGCUCGUGUUGCGUUGGGCGGCCGACGACAUAAUGCUUCGGAAUGAGAAUGAAUACAAGGUCGAUGCCCGAGGAACCGAGUGCGGCUCCUGAGCAAUCCGGAGCAAGUGGUGACGGGGAGCUUCGGGAGCAAGUGUCCGCACUCAUUGGAGUGGUGUGGCAACAAGCGGAGUCCGUGCAACAUCAAGGGGAGCAAAUUCAAAGACUUCAAGAGGCCUUAGAGCGACAGCAGGCGGCGGCGGCUCAAGUGGGUGUCGAGCAACAUGCACCCCCUGUAGUGAUGCCGAGUGCGGCCGAGGGCGUUGCCGCGGCGGCUAUACCAGUCGCGGCGGUGGCAGCUGGUUUGGGAACCUCAAAUCCUGAUAGUGCGACUAUGGAAGCGGAGCGAGAGCGUGCGCUUGCCGCUCUCAUCAUGUUCAAGAAGUUCAGCCCACCUACGUUCGACGGGAAAAAGGUGGAGCCGUCGAUGGAGUCAUGGAUCGACGCGAUGGAAUCGCUCUUCGAGGAUAUAUAUACCUUAGAGAAGGACAAGGUGCACCUCACCACUCAUUGUUUUGAGAAAGCGGUGAGGUGUUGUGGAAACGGGUGAAGCGUGAUCGAUCUUCCGACCUUCCGCCUAUACUCUCGGAGGAGUUUCGGAGGUUGAUGUUCGCGAAUUAUUUCCCCGAUACGGUGAAGCGGAAGCUACAAGAUAAGUUCCGCAAGUUGAGGCAAGGAGACCGUUCGGUGGGAGAAUUUCAGCAGGAGUUCUCUCACAUUAUUUAUUGUGUCCCGGAUGUGGUUAGGGAUGAUCGGGAUCGGGCCGACUGGUUAUUGCGAGGACUUCGGCCGGAUAUUUACAAGGCCGUGCAAUUAUUCAAGCUCACAACCUUUGCGCAGGUCUUCGAUCGAGCAUUGUGGGCGGAGCACGACAAUGCCUACGCGCGAGAAGAACGCAGGUCUAUGGAUAAGGAAAGGGAUAGAGAGAAAAAGCGGACUGCGGGUGGUGCUGAGGGUUGAUCGAAUGCAAAGAAGCCCCCUCGGUAUCCCCGGCAGCAGUCGAGGAGUUGGAGGCCCACUCGUUGUACUAUUUGCGGCGGUGAUCAUUGAUCGCCGGCAUGCCCGCAGCGUGAUAGAAAGUGUUAUUAAUGUGGCCAAACGGGACAUAUUGCCCGGGAUUGCCUGAGUUGGACGUCGUCUGCACCGACGGCGGCAUCAGUUUCUUCUACUCCGAGAUAGCUCGCGAGGUUGCCACCGGCUAUGUCGGCUGGACGCUUAUCAGCACCGCGUCAGCCGAGAGAUCUCGAGCACCGAGUGGACGGGUUUUCGCCACUUAGGUGGAGGAGCCUGCCGUACAAGAUGACGUGAUGGCGGGUUUUGUCUUAAUUAAUGGUACUAGAGCUAGAACUUUAUUUGACAUAGGUGCAUCUCAUUCAUUUAUUGGCGCAUCAUUUACAAAAACUCAUGGCAUUGAGGUGUUGUAUAGCCCAGAUUAUUGGUGGGUUAAUGCACCAGAGCAUUUAUUUAGUGCUCACAAGGAGUGCGCGGUGUGUCCAGUUAAGAUAGGUGAUUAGGUUAUGCCGGCAAACUUACUAGUGCUAAACCAAAUGUGGGGCUUCGAUGUAAUCUUGGGGAUCUAUUGGCUCUCGAAGUACUAUGCGGUUAUAGAUUGUAAGAGCAAGGUGAUCACUUUUUGUGAGCCUAACCAAAAGGAGUUAGUGUAUCGUGCUUGCAAGAGCUCGUGUUUCGCAGCGACCGUAUCGGCGGCGAGGGCAAGAAAAAUGAUUAAGGGUGGAUGUGUGGCCUAUUUGGCGACAAUGGUAGAGACUCAAAGGGAGCACCCGGAACUCGGGGAUAUCCGAGUAGCAUAUGAAUUUCCGGAUGUAUUUCCGGCGGAGUUACCGGGAUUGCCACCGGACCGGGAGAUCGAGUUCGUCAUUGACUUGGUUCCCGGGGCAGCGCCAAUUUCGAAGGCUCUGUCGGAUCGUUGGCGCUAACCAUUAAUCCCAAAAGCUCGAGCUGUUAGAAAUACGCAACCAAUUCACUUAAAGCGUACAGAAAUAGCGCCCACGGGUCUCGAUUGUGACUCGACCCACCUGGCCUCACGCCACUUUGAACAUGACUCGGCCCAACCCAGCCCACGCCAUUUCGAACAUGAUUCGACCCACAUGGCCUCCCGCCACAGGGCAGGAUGCUGGCCCAUUUAAGCCAACAAUCCCCCCUCCAGCACCUGCACACAUUUGCAGCAUGCAAGAAUCGAACCCGUGACCUCUGGCUCUGAUACCACUUGUCGGAUCGUUGGCGCUAACCAUUAAUCCCAAAAGCUCGAGCUGUUAGAAAUACGCAACCAAUUCACUUAAAGCGUACAGCGUACAGAAACAGCACCCACGGGUCUCGAUUGUGACUCGGCCCACCUGGCCUCACGCCACUUCGAACAUGACUCGGCCCAACCCAGCCUCACGCCAUUUCGAACAUGACUCGGCCCACAUGGCCUCCCGCCACAUGGCAGGAUGCUGGCCCAUUUAAGCCAACAGGCUCCGUAUAGAAUGGCACCGGCGGAGUUAGUGGAGUUGAAAGCCCAAUUGCAAGACUUGCUUGAUAAAGGCUUUGUGAGGCCGAGCGUAUCACCGUGGGGAGCUCCGGUGCUAUUUGUGAAGAAAAAGAUGGAACACUUCAACUCUGCAUGGAUUAUCGCGAGUUGAACAAAGUGACAAUCAAGAAUAAGUACCCUUUGCCGAGGAUUGAUGAUUUGUCCUAUUAGUUGCAAGGGUUGCGGGUAUACUCGAAGAUUGAUCUUCAGUCGUGAUAUCACCAAUUGAAGAUCAGGCCGAAGGAUGUGCACAAGACGGCGUGUCGUACGCGGUAUGGCCACUACAAGUUCACGGUAAUGCCGUUUGGGCUUACUAACAUCCCGGCAACAUUUAUGGACUUAAUGAAUCGAGCCUUUUGACCGUUGUUAGAGAUGUCAACGGGUCAAAUUCAGGGUAGAUUUUUAAAAACCCGAACCCGACUCCAAACCCGAGACCCGAACCCGAACCCGAACCCGACGGAUUUUAAAAAUUCAUAUCCAAACCCGAACCCGACCAAAAAUUCGAAACCCGAACCCGAACCCGAACCCGAAAAUUUAAACCCGAAACAAUUAUUUCUUUUUUCAAUAUUUCAAAAUAUAUUAUAUUAAAUCUAAAUUUUUAAAAUACAAAUUCAAAUAUAACAUCUUUUAUGCCCCGAAUUACACGUUUCCCGGGCACGCCGACAAAUCCGCCGUAUACAAAGGAAUUUCCCCUGUAUACGAAGCGAUAACUGUACUUGUAAAUCAUACAAUACUACAAACAGUAGUAUAGAGCUGCUAGAAGAACCAGAAAUAAAACAAACCGAGUUUCAUAUACAUACGCCAAAAAUCAAGAUACAAAACUACUCACACCGGCGAGUUAAAUAUGUAUGUACAUGAACUCCAACAAAAACAACUACCUGCUGUAGGGGCACCUCUAGCUCGGCUCGUCGGGUAGGGCUCUAACUCGCGACGCCCUUGCCUCGAUCCUGAUCAGCAAUAGCAGCAGCCGAAGACGAAGGCUCUGCAAAAACGGGGUAACAACAGGGCGUGAGAACUACUGUAAAACAAGUAGUCCUUAGUGGGUGCCGCCCUCAAUAUCAUAGGUCCACCCACUAAGUCUACAGAUCUAAACUCAGUGAUAGAAAAGGAAGCUGGAACAAAUCUACAGCUAUAUGCCACUAUCCUAACAUGAUCCAAUACUACUAUCUGUCGAGUAAUGCAGCCUCAGACCUAAAUCCGUAGGGACUGUGAAAACACCCGUCCUAGGGACUGUUAACGCACCCGUCCCGCCUAUCGAAUCCUAAAUGCUACCUCCACACUAACAAGUCCGUGGUGAGCAAGUCCAACCAGGACACUAUACAACGCAAACGCACAAAGCCCGACUCCGGAGUGGCACUCGUGGGCGCUACCCAACCGAGUAUGCAAGCGUAUCUCUACUGAGCUCAAUCAGGCUCUCACAGGCUAUAAUCAAGUAAACAGAAUCCAACUGGUCUAACAAUCAAGACUCACGUACUCUCGGCACAAACUGAUGCAAAACCCGCAAUCUGGUCCACCGUCAACCCCGACGGCACCUGACAGUCUGAAACAGCCUAGACACUGCUGUAAAAAAAUAAGCUCUGCGUCUCCGCCCGAGCGUAACUGUAUUCUACACUAUUCCGGGUAUCCACCGCCAACAAACUGCGGUGAUACAGUUCUACUACAGCUUCUAAGCUUUCAGCGUAUCAAAAGCACACAACAGUGUGGAUACUAUCCGCGACAACUCCCAAAGCUAUCUGAGUAUCAAAUGCGCACUAACAGCGGGGAUACAAAGCACAACAGCUUCAGAAGCUAUCUGAGUAUCAAUCGCGCACUAACAGCGGGGAUACGAAGCACAAAAGCUUAAGGAGCGAGCAGAAAAGACAGUGUAGAACCUACAAUUAAAUAUUACCCAAGUUCGGCAUCCCGCCCGAGCGUAAAUGCAUUCUAAACUACCCCGGGUAUCCACCGCGCUGAAACAACAGUGAUACAAUCAAACCACGGCUCCUAGAGCUAAAUCAGGUAGUAGAAUCAUAUGACAGGUCGAAUCGCUGGUUUUCUCCUAAGUCAAAUUCCAAGUCCAACAUGUAUAUUCAACCAAUUACUAUUCAUGCUCCCAAUUUAGCUUUCAUACAAUAACCCAACCAAUGAAUUUGAGCUACAACAGGAUAUUCCGAAGUCGAAACUAUACAUGUUUACUAUACAUAUACUUAGGAGCAAAAUCGAUGAUAAACCCACCUUAAUAGCUAAUCCCUGGCAGCAAAGAACUCCCUCAGCUGCGGAACAACCUGCUUGAUAGACCGAAGUCCUCCAAGUCCAAAAAUCGAGCUAACUCCAAGCUCUACAAUCGAAAUCCAUCAAUUCUGUCCACGUAUAACAACAGCAGGGUAAAAUAAGGUUCGACCAAGCUAACCUUCAUCAAAUCCUGCAAUCUUAGAUUUCGUGGAUUCCUCUCGAAGUCCUAAAUCAAACGAACCAAGUCUCACUGCAAUCCGACGUUCCUACGUCGCACACGAGCCGAAACGCCAACGGUCGACGCAGGAAAUCUGCAAAAACAGCAUCCUUGAGCUUAAAGUAGUUGAAGUGAUGUCAAUGGAUCACUCACCUCGAAAACCCCUCUAGAAUCGGCGCAACGUCGAGAACGGCAAAAAACCACGCUCACCCAGCCUCCUCACAGCACCACGACGAUGAAGACACACUCAAAUGGCACCGCGGCGCGACAUCAAUAACACUCGAACUCCACCCGAGCUCCUCCUUGCCCACGGUCCAGGCUAGAGAGAGAGGAGAAUAAGGACAGGGAAAACUCACUCUCUCUUAGCUCUACACAAGCCUAAAUACAGUGAGAGAGAAAGGGUGACACGAACGAAGUGGAAAAAGACCAAAAAGUCCUCCUACCUACCCUGGCAUACCGGUACACGGGCCCGUGUACCGGUAUAGUGGCCAACCCGAGAGCAAGCUGAGUGAAGCCCUGAGCAGUGUACCGGUACACCGUGAUGUCUGUACCGGUACAGCAAGCAGGAAACUGCUAUUUGCAGAUUUUCUUACUAAAUGCUGCUUUCGCGUCGCACAGAGUCCGUUUUGCGUCUGUUUCACGCCAGACCGCGACUAAGCUGUCCCGACACUCUCACAGAGCUGUCAGUCAAGCCUCAACCACCAAACACCAAGGAUCUCACACAUCAAAUAUAUACAUAUAUAUAUAUUAUAUAUAUAUAUAUAUAUAUAUAUAAUAUAUAUAUAUAUAUAUAUAUAUAUUAUAUAUAUAAAAUACAAAAUGAAUUCGGGUUCGGGUCGAGUUCUGGUUCGUGUCGGGUAUAAUCAAAAUCCAUAUCCGAAUCUAUAUCCGUCGGGUUUCUAUUUUUGAUAUCCAUAUCCGAAUCCAUAUCCAUGUCCAUCGGAUAUAUCCGUUUCAUUCGAGUUCGGGUUCGGAUAAAAUUUCGGGUAUCUGUACCCAUUGACAUCCCUAACCGUUGUUGGAUCGAUGCGUCGUGGUGUUCAUUGACGACUUGUUGGUUUAUUCACGGAGCGAAGAGGAACACGAGGGGCAUUUGAGAACCGUAUUGUAAAUACUCCAAAAAGAUAAGCUUUAUGCCAAGCUAAAGAAGUGCGAUUUUUGGCUUUCGGAGGUUACCUUUUUAGGCCAUAUGAUAUUGGGUGAUGGUCGAACACUCGCCAUGGAAUACAUCGCCAUGUGAUAUCGGGUGAUCCCUGAUCCGUGUCGAACACUCGUCCGCCGCCGUCGGAGCUCCCCGUCGGCCAAACUUGGGCCGUGCUCUCCUCGGCUUAGUGUGGCUAGGGCAUCAUUGCCCGCUGCAGCCACUGCCUUCCAUCGCCGGUUGACGCGCACCCCGACCUCCUUCCGUCGCCAGCACCUGCCUGCAGCCGGCGUGCCCGCCUCCGGGUUGCCGCCUGCCGUGCCGUAGCUCCCCUUGGCCCGGUAUGAUUAAUUUCAGCUUUACUGCGCACUGUUUCUUGUUUGGGUCACUGUUCCGGCGACCCGGGGCUGUUCCGAUGCCUCUGGAGGUGAGCAUGGUGAUCAUAAGUCAGUGCUGAUCACAGUGCUCACCUCAUUUGGGAUCAAUGAGCCCCGGAUUGCGGAAUUAGAUGCGUUUAAGUCUCAGUACAGGGUUCACUGAACUACGCGUCGACCGUACGCUUGCCACAGUGGCCGGCAGUGCUCUGAAGUAUGAGCACGGCCUCCGGCAUGCCGAGACCUGUCAGCGGGUGUCUCGGCUUGGCUGGAAGAUCCUCGGUUUGCGCUGUUGGGCCAUAAAAGCUCGAAAAUCACAUAAAAUAAUAUGAUUUUAUGUAAUCAGGAGGGCUUUUAUGCAAUUGCACAUUUUGUGGCUGCUGUUGGUAGUGUGUGCGGGCAGCGGAUAACCUCUAGACUAAUUGUCCAAUGCCCCAGACCCUUGCAAAGAUCGAAAACUCAUUUUCGGUGUAUUUUUCAGCGAAAUCCGCCGACGGAAUGCGUUAUCGAUUUGGGAUUCUUCCGACGGUGCCUUGUGAUAAAUUGUUUUGUUGCUGAGCCCUGUUGGCUGGUCACCCACAUCGUUUCGAGGGUCCGAAAACGACGGGUGAGCGACGGUGGGUUCUGGUGUCGAAUUGGAUUCUUUCGAGAACCCGGAUCGAAACGAUUAUCCGAUGAUAAUUGUUUUGAAGCGAGAUAGUGUAAUUGCUGCCAAGCCACACUAAAUAUUGAGUUUGAUGGCAGCAGUUGACUCGUUGCACGAGUCGGUGUAUUCCGGGUGGGUCCCGGCGGAGUCCCAGUGCGAUUUUCGGGACUUCCGGCGUAUUACGGGAGUCGGUUUUGGGAAACCGAUUCCCGUAGGGUUAUUGGUGGGGAUUGUGAGUUAGUGAUACAUGUUGGUGGGUUAGAUUCUAACCCGGUGGACCCUUCGUAGGUCCGGUUAUUUCGUCUCCGCAGUCGAGAAACCAGUACCAGAUACGUACAGAUGGGUACUUCGACCCGAAGUCGGGACAGUGGUGCACGCUCGGUGACAUUUCCUUCACUCUUUUCGUGUUGUUUAUCUUGCAUGUUAUAUGUUGAGCCUAGCACCUAUACCAUAUCUCUUUAUUGCUCUACUUAGUUAGUUGCGUACCCCGUAUCAUAUUUUAGAAGUAGAGCGGUUUUGAGAUUACUUGUGAGAUUUAUGACCUAGUCGGUCAGUGCGUUGCAUCUGGUAUUGUGACAUUGUUGGUCGGUUCUUGUAUCUCGUAUUUUUGACCUAUUCAGUCGGUUUACUGUAUUGUUAUCGAGACCUACUUGGUCGAUUGGACUAUUUGAUGACCUAUAUGGUCGAUAUACCCUGAGGGGUAGGAUUGUCGGCUGGUUGCCGACGGUUGAUUAUUCAGCAUAUCAGCAUUGAUCGCCCGAUACUCGUAUGCAUUUCACGAACACCAGCGGCCUGAUCCACCGCAAGAGAGUGUUCUUUUUCGGAAAAGUAUUUUGGCGGUGCCAACCCGUGAGCCCAAGAGAGGUUAUAUGCUUGGUCUGCGGUGCGGACCAACAAGGCACAGCUUGAGGUCUGCGGUGCUGACCAACAGAGCACAGGUUUCAGAUUGGGUAUUUUUGGACUUAUCGUUCGGUUAAUGCAUACAUACAGUAGCGGUAGUUGUGCAUUUAUACAUCAUGUUCAUUUAUUAUCGUUGCUACUGUAUUUCACUUACCUAUAUAGUUGUUUAUCCUCCUUGACUAGUGAGUACCCCUCGCCCUCGUCGGCUUGCAGUACCCACUGGGAUGGGAGACAUAUUUACAUGUUCUCAACCCCUACCCCCAUUACAGGUGAUGUCGCGGGUCCUAGUGGGACGGUUCGUGAGGAGCAAGUCUAGCGAUCGAUAGUGCCACCGUCCCGUUGUUUGGUUAAUUCUCAAACUCAGUUCCUUUUAAAUAAUUGACUUAGAUAGUUAUAUAGUUCAGUAGUUUAUUACAUUUGAAUAAUUGGAAUUUUUAUGAAUGUAAUAAAGAAUUUGUGAUUCUUGCAAACUAAAAAUAGUUUUCUACCCUUCAUGGUAGUGAGUUUUAAAAGAAAAAGGUUUCCGUGUAGGAGACAGUUUUUAAAGGGUUUUCUCUUGGUUUUCAUGACUUAGUAUUUCAAAACAAGUUUCCGGAUGGAAAACAUUUUAAACUAAUAGUUGUGGAUUUAUGGAUAAACUCUGGAUGUGAAUUUGAAUGUGAAUGGUGUAUAAAUGUAUGUAUAUUCAUAUGUAGUGGUUGUAUCCUGUUUUAUGUAUCUUGUACUUGCGCGACGCCGUGCAAAUACAGGGGAGACUCUGUCCGUGUGAACAGUGGACUCCCUGUAUUUGUGGCGGAUCUGGCAUACCCUGGGGGUCAGAUUUUUCAAAAAAAAAAAAAUUGGGCACUUCCGCUUUACUUUUAAAUCAAAAAGGGACCCCGGGGCGUGACAGUAUCAUAGGUCUAAAGAUCAGUUCUACCACUGCAACAUCGAACCAGUUACUGACGAAUGAGUAGACAUCCAUGUAACUGUUUGUAGUUGGUCACGCUCAGUACCCUUGUUCUCCGACAACCACCUGCAUGUUCGCUCCAGUGUCCCCACACUGUGACUCGAGAUUCGUCAUCCCAAAAGGGAAGCGGCACACAUCAAUCUUAUCGGAUCAAUCAUCGUCCCCAUGAUGAUCCUCUGAUUGAGAGCAUUUAUGAUUUAAUCACCAAUAAUAUGUAUCUCAAAUUCUCAACUCUUGAGAAUACAUAUUAUCAUCUUAUUAAUUCGAAGGACGAUUCACGGACACAUUAAACAUGAAUGGAAUAAAAGGCAAAAUUAUAUAAAUAAUAAAGAUUAAGUACAAAUAUAUAUCCCAUAGAAAAUAAAAUGCGUCAGCUUGAUAGGCUUCUAGGGCAUGCUAGUAACACACUAAUAUAACCAUCAACUAUGUAUGCAUCAACUACUAGUGAAGUACUAUGUCAAGGUUGAUUACAUUCACCUAAUUAACGAGGGACUUACACGUGGUACAGUCCCGGCUCGUGCCAUGCCUAAUGGCCCCGUGGUAGUCAACACUCCCCACGGCAUCCUACUUCGGUGCCUAAUUCCGCACGGGUGAUCAAUCGUCACAAGGCUACUCCGGAGUGCCGGCUUGUAGGAAGCGACCCUCACAAGCUUGUGCAAAUGAGCACAAUGGCAAGCAAGCGUGAUCAAAUCCUCAAUCAUCAUGUCUAAAACAUGAAAUUUCCAACAUCGACUCGAAGGUCGGGUACUAGAUCAUUCAUGUCAUAAUUGGUUCACAAAUACAUUGGUGGUAUGACCCUGCCGACACAUAAUAUGCCUCAAGCAUGCAUUGGUUCACAUCUUAUUAUCCUAUCUAGGAUAGUUCACUAUUUUGAUCAAGACUCAAAAGAGGUUUCAUAACACACUAUCCCACUAUAGCCAAGGGAGUCAUUUACUAAUGCCAUAUGCAAAGGAGUUAUCAUGCAAGCAAUUUCAUUCAACUAGUAUUAUAUGCAAUUAUCCCUAUUAUUGUUUGCCCAAAGGCAUUGUAAUCUCAUUCGUCAUGUCUAAAAUAUGGAAUACAACUAACGAUCUCUAGAUCAAAUAGUUUGUCACAAUGUAAAGUUCUAAUUGUUCAGUUACGUUAAGUACACCAUGCUUAGUUUCAUGUUUAACCCUAUCAUGCAUUAUGUCACCUUUACCUUGUUUAUAACAAGUAUAUUGUUCAUCAUGCAAGUUAAUCACUUUUUCUAUUCCAUUUGCUAUGUAUACUCUGUAGGAUAAAUCAUUAUUCAUCACUAACAUGUUUCCUAAUGCUGCAUAAGAGAAAAUCGUCAUGAAGUACUAUUUAAUUCACAUGUCCAUAUUGUAAGCCUCUAUUUCAUAGAGCAUAAAGAUUUCUACACAUAACAUAUAUGAAGCAUGUAUUCAAAAGUUCUCUCAUGUCAUAAUUAGCAUGAAUAUGCAUCUAAUUAAGUCUAAAGAUAAUAUGGAAGACAUAGAGGGAGUUCACCCAUUUCGGUUAAGUCAAACCCACUGGAUACUCCUCGAGCCCUUUCAUUCCUUCGAACAAAGUUGUCCACCAAGAUCCUAGCACCCUAAGAGAAUUUCUAAAAAGGUUAUAAGCUUCGAAUGAACCUCAUACGAAAAUACCCAAAAAUCAAGUCUAAAAUGGGUAGAAAAUAUCUUUACCCAAGAAGAACUUGUCCAAUGUCCAAAUUGAAGCUAUAAAGCUUCAAAUCCAACCUAAAAGGGAGUUCUACACUCAUCAAUUAGGUUCCAAAGGCCUCACAACAAGAAAUCCCAAAAUAAACCCUAGUUCUUCCAAAACCAGAUUUUUAUCUACAAAUCUUGAAAAAUCUAUAAAUAAAUGUUGCAAGAUGAGUACUAACCUUCAAGAAAGCUCCAAAUCAAGCUAAACUUGAGCUAGGAUUGGAGUUUAAUCCUCAACAAAACUUCCUUCUUCACAUCCAAGGCUUCCAAGAAGCAAGCAACCAUGAAGAGAAAGAAGAAAAGAGAUCAAAACCCAAAGCAAAAAGGAGUUUGGGGAGAAAAUCUAGAGAGAGAAAGGGAGAAAAACCCUACCUUUGCCUCUCUCCAAGCUAAGCACAAAGAGGGCACGUGGGAGGGAGGGGGUGUUAUAAAAGUGAUAUAACAAUUCCCUCAAAACCCCUCAAAAUCCCAAAAAUUACAAACUGCACGAACUGCAGUUUUCUGCGUUGAGUACCGGUACUCGAAUUAGAGUACCGGUACCCAGCCCUUAGCCUCACAAAACCAAAGCGUAGAACCUUCGGGUUUAAUACAGUAUACCGGUACCCACGCAAUGCAGUACCGGUACUUAGCCCCAGUACCGAUACCCAACACCAGUACCGGUACUCAGCACCCCAAAUCUCAAACCCGAGAGCUGCUACUCUCUGGCACGCAAUGGGGUUACGGUACCAACCUCCAGUACCAGUACUCAGCUCUAAAAUCUGCUGUUUGCAGAUUUUGAUGCCGAAAGCCUGUUCUCGUGCAUAAUAGGCUCCAGUAACAGGCAGAACAACACAGACCACUCUCAAAACACCCAGAAUAGUUGAAAAUACUAUUCUUACACCAGAACCUUGCAAUUUGCUAAAGUUCAGUGUGCUACAAACCUGAUUUGGAACAUUGCCUAUGAAGUCUCCAGCCUUUCCGACGCGAGCUUUCAGACCUCGAGAUUGGGGUUCACACAAGGACGAUCCAAAUGGUGCCUAAUAGGUUGAAAGGUGAUGUUGAGGUUGGUGCUACUGAUAUUGCCCUCGUUGAUUGUGGUGUGGGAGAUGUAUUAACUGCAAAGUUGGAUAAAAAUUCUCUCGCUAAUGAGCCAAAAUUAAUUGGAAAGAAAGGAGUGUCCAAAAACUUACAAAAGAAUGGCAAUGAUCUGGAUGGUUGUGUGGAUGUGGGAUUGGACAAGAAACAACCUCCGCAGGGGCUCUGUGCUUCAAUGUCAUCUCGGGGGACAAAAUGUCUUAUAAAGAAGCUGUCUUAAAGCAACCUUCUACACCUAAGCUUGCCAUUGUUAAACACCACAAGUGUGACGACGAUCGAAGUGGUUGGUGAAGGUGAAACGUUCCACUGCUAGGAGGUGCUCAAGAUGUGUUGGAUGUGACCACAAAGCGGUUGCCUGCCGCUAUCCCAUUAGGUGCUUACGGUGUCCCAAAACUAGUCAUACGGCACGACUGUGCAAGGAAGGUGUCAAUGAUAGAAAGGGAAACAUGUUCAGGGCACAACAUACACGUGGUCGAGCGGCGGUUACGAGGACGUAUGUCCCUUACACUGAAGAAUAUUUCACACGAAGGGAGCUCCGCCAGAAUGCUGUACCGGUGGAGAUCGUGGAUGCUGCGAAUAUUGGACAUUCACCGCAACUUUCGAUUGCCAAUGCUUUAGCAGAUCAAUUCGGUGGGUAUCCGACGAACUUUAUGGUGGCAAAAUAUAGAGAGCACUCUUUUGCUAUCUUUUUACCCCAGUGGGUCCUGACUGAGACACUUGUGUGGCGACAAACCAUCACCCUAGAGGGUUUUUGGCUGCGAUGCUACCCGUGGGGACCAUACCGGUAUGUUAUUAUAUUCAGGCCGACGUUCAAAGUUUGGAUCAAACUCAUCAACCUGUCGUUUGAAUGUUGGACAGUUGCGUGAGUCUCAGCAAUCAUCAGCGGGUUCGAAAGAUUUCUAAGGGCCGACGAACCUACAAGACAAUUAACUGACUUAAGGGCAUUUCAAUAUCGUGUUGCUGUCAAUGAUCGUAGGGACAUACCUCAUAACUUAUCAGUGAUAUUCGGAGAUGAUUGUUUCUCUAUCUUGGUGCACAUUGACUAUUGGGAAAGGGAAAGUGACGAUGGGAACCCACCUCUACCACCACCACCACUACUACCAACGGGAGAAUCAGCCAAGAGAGACGAUAGGAAUGAAGGUGUACAGAACCGAGCUCUCGAAGGUCACCAGAUCAGGGGAGGAGAUGAAGAGUUAGGGGAGGCUAACUCUGACAAAGAACCCAGAAGAACAAAGAUAUCGGCCAACUAUCCUAGGCAAAUGAGAUUUUCAGAAGGUUUGUAGGAACGACGUGAACAAGGUGUCGUCAAUAGUUCGAGGAAGACCAUCUCCGGCGACGAUGGUAAGCCGAAAUUCAGGGGUACUGAAGCACACGACGUUAGGGCAUUCUUGGAGUCUCAUGCGCCGUUGGUCCACAGCCCGCAUGCCGCGGUCCACAAAACCUGCUUGCCGAGGUGCAACCCCUGGGGAUGUGUCCUCGAGUACAGCGUCCAAGCGAAGACGAAUGGCGUUCUAAGAACAUUUUCACAAAAUCAGAUUUUUUUCAAAGUAGGGAGGAGUUCGAAGUCUCCAGGCAAUUCUGUUUUUGGGUUGCUUCAAGUGGGAUUGUGAAGAUUUACAAGGUGAAGGACGACGGCACGGUGUACGAUGAGCUUCUCUCCACCAAAUGUGCUAAAUGCAUUCAUUACGUUGGUGACUUAUUUUUUAUGCUUUCGGAGAAAGUAAGUGGGGCCCACAUAACUUUUUUUCUCUUGGGGUAGAGAUGGCAAGAGGUUUAAUGUCAUUAAUUGGUGGGGCUCACGCCAAUUAUGGCGGUUGACUUAAGUUGGGAAUGUGUACCUAUUAACCCAGAGUGCUGCAUAGUUAAAGUUGGUAAUAACACUUUGUUAUUGGGCUGGGUUAAUGGGUUUCAAUGGGAGAAGAUUACUAAGGAGGUUGUAAUUGACAAGAUUUUUUUUUCAGAAAACUAUUAAUCCAUUGGAAGGGGCUGACGAACAUGAUGGACAAGUGGAGAACAAGUGUUCGGCUAUGGGUCAGUGGCAGAAAUGGACCCAAGACUACAAUUAGAACCCAAGAAAAUAGUAUCUACUCGACGGGUCAGUACUCGGUUAGCCAAGAACUAUUGUGAGUCAAUGACUUGUUGUCACGCCCCAGGGCUGAUUUUAAAAUCCUUUUUAACAUCCAUUACCAUGUUUAAAAUCAGAGUUGCGAAAAUCAUGCCCCUUUUUUUUUCAACCUGACCCACGUGACGUAUAGACCCGCCACAAAUACAAAGUUCUUCUGUCCACUCGGACAGAGUCUCCUUUGUAUUUGCACGGUGUACCAACAACAUCAACAGGAUCACAACCACAGUCUAUAUUUACCAAUCAACAACCAAUUCAUGCCAUACAUUUCCAUACAACUAACAAUUCUUAGAAAUGAUGCAUUCCUCUAAACACUCCUUAGGCACUGGGUGAUGCAAUGCACAAUACAACAAACAUUCUAUUUAAAAGUGCUCCCCACCUGGAAGCUUUGUUUUUAAACUCUAAUUCAAUCAUUCAUGUAAAUCAUUCGAAAACCUUUUUAAAACUAUUUCCCACUCGAAAACUUUAUUUUGAAAAUCGACUGCCUCGAGGGGUAGAAAACCACGAUGCAUAAUGUACAAAUCCAAAACCAAGAACCCAUAUAACUAAUAUCACAGAUCCACAAUCUCUAAUCAGAUGCAUAAUGGAAAUCAUCAACUCGAACAAUUCACGAAUAUUCAAACAUCAAAUAUGAUCAUCUAACUGAACCAUUUAUUAUAAAUUACUAAAUACAGGAAUAAAAUAUAACCCGGGUGACGGUCGCUGCUGCCGACUAGCUAGAUCGUCCUCCCGUUGAGCCCAAAUACCAACUUCUCGCCCGAGUCACCUGGGGGAAUGGGGGGUGAGAAACCGCAAUCAAGGUUUUCUAGUGGGUACGACAGAGCCACGAAGGCAAGUCGUAAUCACCGGAAACCAAAGGAGAUAGAUAAACAAAGUACAAGUACUAUGAUACAAAAGAGAACUAUAGUAGUAAUAGAAAUAGGAUAAUAACUGAGCAAGAACGAAACUACUACUGUAACAAAAACUCAACUGAACGGAUGCCUUAAGGGUAAAUAGUCCAAAGUCAAACCCAAUUUGAAGCUGCUAUAUUGGCCAGGUAGACCUCAAGCGUUGCCUGUCACAGAGCAGACACUCCCAAUGAUUCACGCGUCCACCGACGACCUAUCUGGAUACGUACACCCCUUGAUUGGUGGCCAAACCAACCUGGUGUCUAGAAAAAUCACGCCGAACAGAACUAACCAGAAUCCGUUGAUCCAAAGUGAGCUGAGCACUGUGAUCAGCACUGACACACGAUCACUGUGCUCACCUUUGAAGGCAUCGGAAUAGCCUCGGAUCAUCGAAAAAGUGCCCGCAAACUCGAAAUAGCAGCCAAAAAGGCCCUACAGGGGCGACACCGCCGAAACGGUGGAACGGAGCCUUCCCGACAGAAUUUAAGGUGAGCACGAUGAUCAGCGAUGAGUCACAAUCAUCGUGCUCCCUUCCACAGGGAUAGGGGAGGCUCGGGUUGCUCGGAACAGCAAGCCGCCAAGGAAUAGCCCUAUUUCAGGCUUCGCCGGAGCAAGCUUGCUCCAGCCGGCUUCCGGCGGCACGAUGAGGUGCGCACGGGCCAGAAGUGGCUGCGGGGGAGGUGGGGAACACCGUGCUCACCUUAGCUAGCGGCGGGGAGUGACGGUGGCAGCAAGGGAUGUAACAAUGGCCAAGCUGAACUAGGGCUCGGGUUCAGCGGCUCCUCCCAGCGACGGCGAUGGCCAAGACAGGUCUAGGACGACGGCGGCGGGUCCCCAGAGGCCGGAGGAGGAGAAGGGAGGUAGCGAGCAACAGCGGCGAUGGCCCGCAGCUCCGGCGCGUCCGCCCAAGCUAGGCUCGGUCUGGAGACCGAGGCGGCGGUGCCAAAGGCGUGCGGCAGUGGCGACGACCUCUUCGGCUGGGGGGCAGGGUGCCGGAGGGUCUCGGGGUUGUCGCCAGUGCGGCAGGAGGUGGCGGUGGCAGCGCGGAGUGGAGGCGGCAGCUGAGCUCGGCCCCAGGGAAGGCGGCGGGGCAGGGCGAAGGCGGCGGCUGCGCGCGGCUAGGAGGCUAGGGUUACCUCGGCUAAGGUUAGCCCGAGAUGGCGGGGGGCAGGGUGCCGGAGGGUCUCGGGGUUGUCGCCAGUGCGGCAGGAGGUGGCGGUGGCAGCGCGGAGUGGAGGCCGGAGGUCACCUGGGCUCCAGGGAAGGCGGCGGGGCAGGGCGAAGGCGGCGGCUGCGCGCGGCUAGGAGGCUAGGGUUACCUCGGCUAAGGUUAGCCCGAGAUGGCAGCAAUGUGGUUGCAGCGCGGCGGCCACGUUAAGCGACAGCAGCAGGCGGCGGGGGAGGUCGCCGGGGCUACGGGGGUGACGCCGGAGAGGAGAGCAACCUCGGCCUCGUCCCCAACCCGAGAUGAAAAGAGGUGGAAGGAGAAGAUGCAGGGAAGAGAGAUAAAGGUGGCAGGGGGGUGGGGCAAGGCUAGGGUUAGGGUUUCAAUGGAAAGAACCCUAGAGUGCUAUAAAAUGGAAAGAACCCUAAAAUGCGCAAAUACACCUCCACAAGCGAUUUCACACGAAACGGUACAUAAAAUGUCGCACUUUUUGCGCAAUUACCAUUUUUCCAUCACCAACCUCUCCUCGAACAACGCGCAAUCCGUUUUCUCUCUAAUCAGAUCCGCAAUCCGUUUUCUCACGGAUUGCACCAGUGCGAUCAGCACGACAGAGAUAACAAAUCUACGCUUUUGGUUCGCCUCGAUCAAUCACGAAUUUGCGACGAAAUCCGUUUUCUCUCUAAAAAGGCCAAAUGACACACAAAUACAUAUAAAACAUGUAUUUUUAGAUUUUCUCGAAAUCUGUGCAUCAAACCCAAAACCCGUCAGUGCCAAGAGUUCCAAAAUAGCUGAAUCGUUCGAAACGAGCUAUUGGAUCGCUAUGAACGGAGUCCGAUACGUGCCAGAAGCCAACUUCAUGCAUUGGCCUCUCCGAAAAAUCGAGUUACUAUUCACUUUAAGUGAAACUGAAGAUCGCGUAAAAUCUCCGUGCUUACUCGUUUUCUCCCGAAACUUGACGAGUACUUUUGUAAUUAAAUUACACACAAAAAUAUCGUCAACAGAGAAUUUAGCUACACUGCCAAAAUCUCAGUCCUUACACUUGUAAGGCCAUGACAAGAAAAACCCGACAAAGAGGGGGAGGGACUGAUGUCACAGAUAUUUUUCACAAGUUUGGAAAAAAGAAAAUCAAGAAAAAGAGCGGGAUGUGUCGGGUUCACUUGGGAGACGAGGACUCCAAGUCCUUCAAGAAGUUUCUCCGUGGGAGUGCAUGACUGACGGAUCUACAUUCUAUUUUUUGAGUUUUUAUUUUAGUCUUCUCUCUUUUUUAUGUUUCAUAUCAGCAGUUGGAACGUAAGGGGACUGAAUGAUCCCUCUAAAAGAAGAGCAAUCAAGUGUGUGGUGUCUAGGUUGAGAAAUGUUGUAUAAUGUUUGCAGGAAACUAAAAUCGGUGUUGUAUCUCUCACUUUUCUUCGUCACGUUUGCGGGUCCUUUUUUGACAAAUGCCACUACAUUAGCUCCAACGGUGCUUCUGGUGGACUCCUUACCUGUUGGAGCUCACGAGUUUUCUCUUAUAGGGAGAUGAUCAAGAAAAACCUCUCCCUCACGCUCCAACUUUCCCAUCUCCGGGGUGGAGAAAGCUUCUAUAUCACUAAUGUAUAUGGCCCGCCAGCUUGGGAGGGCAAUGAAGAUUUUCGUACGGAGCUGUUGCUUCUACGGGAUAUAUGUAAGGGUUGUCGGGUUGUUUACGGUGACUUCAAUUUUACUAGAACCCAGGAUGAACGCUCAGGUAGAUUGUGGAGCAAUAGGGUGUCACGUAUGUUCAAUGAUCUUAUUCGGGAACUUGCACUUCUGGAUUUACCUAUGGUUAACCAAUCAUUCACUUGGUCUAAUAUGCAGAGCAUCCCUACUCUUGCGAAAUUAGACCACUUCCUCACUUCGACUGAGUGGGACAGAAAAUUUCCUUUUUCGAAAGUAGAGGCACUAUCCAGAAUUACUUCGGAUCACUGUCCGAUCCUACUCUCCUUGGGAGGUAAAAUAGGGAAACGUGCUUUUAGAUUUGAAGAAGUAUGGCUGAAGUAUGAAAAUUUUCUCUGAAGUUUGCCAGCUUGGCGGAAGGAAGUGGGGACUCGUGGGACUGCUGUGCUAACAUUCACGGCCAAACUACGCCACUGCCGUAAACAGAUACAUGAAUGGUGUUAGCAUAGCUUUUAUAAUAUCAUGAAAGAAAAGUCAGAUAUUCUGCAAGAAAUUCAACGCAUCGAUAGAGUGGAAGAACAUCUUGUCUUGUCAAAAGAGUUAAUAAACAGGAGGGCGAAUCACAAAGAUAGGCUUUUAAGUGUACUCAAGGAUGAGGAGCUGCUAUGGAAAACUCGAGCCAAGCUUCGCUGGCUCCGAGAAGGAGACGGAAACACAAAGUACUUCCACACAGUUGCCAAUAACAGAAGGCGUUCCAAUAAAAUUGGCGUGGUAGAGGACAAUGGGAGAAAAAUAUAUAACGAGGAGGAGAAGUUGUACUUCUGGAGAAAAUUUAAAGAGCCUUUUGUACCUGAGGAUUACAAACCAGCCGCGCAUGGAGAUUGGAGCGAGCUUUUCCAAACCAGACGAGUUUCUAAUCCUGAACAAUUAACUACUCCUUUUUCUUUAGAGGAGAUUAAGAAGGUUGUUUUCCGAUUAGGAGGUGAUAGAGCGCCUGGCCUAAAUGGUUUCCCACUUAGUUUCUACCAGAGUUUUUGGGAUGUCAUCAAAGAGGAUGUGUUCAACAUUUUUUCGAACUCUAUGGGGAACGUAUCUCCAUACAGCCUAUUGAUUUUCCUAUCUCUGCCUGAUCCCUAAAAAGGAAGGUGUUGUACGAGCCAAUGAUUUUCGACCUAUUAGCCUACUGCAUGGUUUACAGAAAAUAAUUUCCAAAGUGUUGACGAAUAGACUAGAAGGAGUUAUUCAAGAACUUAUCUCUACAUCCCAGUCUGCUUCCCUUAAAGGUAGACUGCUAUCUGAUGCUUUUGUCAUAGCAAGUGAGUUGGUUGCAAGGGGUUGUAAAAAAUCUAUAGAGGAGGUAGGAGUGAAGGUGGAUUUUGAAAAAGCUUACGAUAAGGUUAAUUCGGUUUUUCUUUUAAAAAUUAUGGAACUGUGGGGCUUCAACGCCAAAUGGUGUCGAUGGGUACAAGAGUGUAUAUGUAAUACAAAGGUGGCUGUAAUGGUUAAUGAUUCGCCUACCCAGUGGAUUAAAACAAGAAGGGGUGUGAGGCAGGGUGAUCCUCUUUCUCCAUAUCUUUUCUUACUGGUUGCUGAGUGCCUAGCUAGGAUGACAAAUAAGGCAAAUAAAAAUAAUUUGAUCAAAGGGAUUGGACCAUCCGAGGAUAGUUUAGUGACACUUAUCCAGUAUACAGAUGACACUUUUUUCUUCUGUGAGGCAAAGAUGAAACACUUGAAGAAUAUUCAAUUCAUGUGAGGCUUGUUUGAGUGGGCCUCAGGUGUGAAGGUAAAUAAAGAGAUAACUAAAAUGUUUUUCUUCGGGAAUAAGCAGAGAAAAGACAAAAGACUUGCCAAACAUCUGGGAUGCAGGGUGGAAAAAUUGCCUACUAGAUAUUUGGGGUUAGCACUGUCAAAUAAGAUGCUCCGCAAAGAGGACUAGAUGGGGAUCAUCGAUAAGAAUCAAAAAAGAAUUGAUGGGUGGCAAGCAAAACUAUUGUCAAAAGGAGGUAGGCUAACUUUGGUAAACUCGAUACUUACUAAUUUGCCACUACAUUUUUUCUCUAUAUAUAAGGCUCCUAAAUGGGCAAUAAAAUGGAUUGAGGCAUUACACCGUGAUUUUUUCUGGAAAGGCAGGGCAACUGUUAAAAGUGGUACAUGUAUGGUAGCAUGGAAAAGUAUUUGCAGAGAUAAGAAAGAAGGUGAGCUCAGGGUGAAGGAUCUCGCCUCGAUGAAUGAUGCACUCAUCUCUAAAUGGUGGUGGCGCUUAUUUACUAAACGACAACUACAAUGGAACACUCUUAUUAGAAUCUGAUAUUACAAUAGAAGAAAAACGUUGGAUGAAGGGAGGACAUUUUGACUUUUUUUCUCAAUGGUGGAAGAGUGUGCUAUCUACUGAGGAUAUCUUUAAAAGUGGCACUUGUUUUGCUCUCGGAGAUGAACAGUCUAUUGACUUAUGGUUGGAUAGGUGGUGUGGUGAUGCCUCAUUGAAGACACUUUUUCCUGAUAUCUAUGAUUUAGUAACUUUGAAGGAUGUUCUAAUUAUGGAGUGUAUCUCUUCUUAAGGUUGGAGAUGGAGAAAAAUCUUAAGAGGGGCUGAGAUUGGGUUGCCUAGAGGCGAUAGCAGAAUUAGAGAACUCAAAGAGUUACUUUCAAGAUUCCAUAUUGCUGACACACCCGAUGAACUACGAUGGAGAUGGAAUGCGAGUCUGUGUUUCACAGUUAAAUCUGUGUAUAAGUUGAUCAAUGACGAUGGCAUUCGAGAAGUCCUUCUACAAAAAGUUUGGGUACUUAAAAUAUCGCUUAAAGUUAAGAUUUUCAUCUGGCUAGCCCUGAAGAAGCGCUUACCUACAAUAGAUAACCUGCUUAAAAGAGGUUGGUCCAGAAACCAACAGUGUGUUCUGUGCGGCAAUGAAUUCGAAACUGGCGAUCAUCUGCUUGUGGGAUGCAUUUUUAGCAGAUAUUUGUUAUUCAAUAUCUUCAAAGGAGGAGUUAUCUAGAGGUCGAUGGAUGGAGUCAGGGGACUAUGGGAGUAUAUACUGGGGAACAGUACUCAAGGGCCAGCUGAGAAGGAGCUGGCUAGUUUGGCGGUUUGUUGGUGGAUGAUUUGGCGAGAAAGAAAUAAUGUGAUUUCUAGAAAUCAAUCUUUCGACGCCUUAGUGGCUAUACAGACAAAUCCGUGAAAUGAUAAGGGAAUGAGCUAAGUUUUGCAACUCUAAGUGACCUUUUAUUUUUUUACUUUUAUUUAUUUAUGUAUUUAUUUUCCUUUCAUGUAACUGUUUGAUCCAUUCGAGGCCCUACUACCUCAACAUUUGUAGAAAUUCAUUUUCCAAAUGAAUGAAGCGGGUAGCGUGCUACCUUUAUCUCAAAAAAAAUGGAUAAAUUGUAUGCAAGAAUUAAUUUUUAUUUUUAAAAAAAUUAUGUAAACUAUAGAUUAUUUGUGAAGUGGAAUAAAAUAAUGGUAUUGAUUAUAAGUCAUAGACAAGUUCUUAAUUGGAAUUUGAGCUUAUUCUCAUAUACUAUUAGCUCUCAAAUUGGCCCAUAAGUUUUAAAUUACAUUAAAUUAAAAUUUGUAUUAUAAUUACUGAAUUUUUCUACAAAAGUUACAGCUUUGUAUGAUAGUUGGUCAAGCUAAAGCCACUCGUUAGUCCUUUUAUGAGCUUUGACACUAAUCUAUCCAUCUGUCUUUUUACAUGGCUUCUAAGCUAUUUACAUAUAAAAAUAUUUUAAAUUAUAGAUGGUUUUUUCUCCUUCUUUGUCGGAGACAUAAAAAAGAGAGAGGAACUAACGGAACUUGCUUGGACUUUGCACCAAUUUCGUAAGAGAAAGAGAGAGGGUGAUGAAGAAUGAAGAGGAGAAAAAUAUUGCCAUAUUGGGAGAAAGAUGAUAAAGUAGAUAUCAUCGAUCAUUGCUCCGGCCGUUGCGCACGGUUAAUUGUUGCCGUCUACAACCACUACCCUAGUCAUCGCGCAUGGCCAAUCGACGUCGCCAUCUACGACCACUGCCCCAACCAUCACAUAUGGCCAAUCGCCACAUCGUUGCCGCUACUAACUUCUAGACAUAGAUCUCAUACAGAAUUGGUAUUUAUAUAAAUAUAUACAUAACAUAUAAAAUAUCGAUAUAAUCAUAUAAAAUUAGUUAGCAAUUGUAUAUUUCUAAAAAUAUAUAAUUACUAUUUCUUCGGAAGCAUAAAAGAGUUGGUUUUCGACUUUUUAGCCCUUGAAUCAAAGAUUGUAAGGUUGUAAUAAUAGUGGGUCCCUUUAGGGUUGAGUGGUCCUCAUAGGGGAAUAAUAUUAAUCCAAAGGCACUCAUAGUGGUCCUCAAAUUGUCUUUAGUCCUCCCAGAAAUAUUCAAUACAGUACCAAUAAAAUUAUUACUAACAUUUUUUUCGAUAUGCAUUACAUCUAGAUUAUGUCGAAGAAGAUUAUCUUUCCAAUAGGGCAAGACAAAGAAAAUACUUUUCUUUUUCCAUAGUUGUUCUUCUGCAUGUGUUCCUUCCUCAUCAUAAUUAUGAGAAUCAAUAAUAAAAUCAUCAGCAUCUUCAAAAAUAGUAACUUGAUCCGCAUUAUGGACUUCCUUGUGUAGCUGUUGAUUCAUUAAGCUCCCCACUUGCUCUCGUCCCCUUUUUCUACUAGACUUGGAGCUUUUUCCAUAUUUAUUAUUGAGUCCUUCUACCUGCUGAAAAAUAUCAAUUCCUGAUGGCGAAUUUGGAGCAGAUCGUAACUCUAUCGAACCAUCAAACUCAUCUUUUUGAAAUCUAAAAGGAUGAUUUUGUUCUAACCAUCUACGGUUGCCUAUAUAGCAAAAUUUUUCUCCAUAUUUUAGCCAACAUGAAUCAGUCAAAAUGCCACAACAAGGACAAGCAAAAAGUCCCUUUGUACUCCAACCAGAUAGAUUAGCAUAAGCAAGAAAAUCAUUAAUAGUCCAAAUUAGAGCUCCUCUCAUAUUAAAGUUCUAUUUUGUGAAAGCAUCAAAUGCAUCAACACCUUCCCAUAACUUUUUCAAUUCAUGAAUUAGAGGUUGUAAAAAGACAUCAAUAUCAUUGCCUGGACCCUUAUCACCAGAAAUAAUCGUUGAUAAUAUUAAAGAUAACUACUUCAUACACAAUUAUGGUUGUAGGUUAUAAGGGAUCAAAACAACCGGCCAUGUACUAUGAGUAGACUUGAAUUAUCUAGCAAUGGAUUCAAUCCGUUUAGAACGUUGAGCUCUACUUAUAGAAGAAUCGUUAGCUAUCUCAUAGAAGAAUCGCUAGCUAUCUCAUAGAAGAAUCCAUCGCUAUGAAAUGGCAUGAAGAAGGAUUGACUCCAUCGCUAGCUAAUCCAUCGCUAGCUAUGUGUCAUCAUCUUUAUUUCCUAACCAUCUUGAAGUUCCACAUACAUGAUAGUUUUCUUUGUUUACGCUUUCAUUCCAAUACAACAUAUAAUUAUUAGGACACGCAUGAAUUUUCUCAUAUCCGAGUCCUAAUUGGUUUAUUAACUUUUUAGCUUCAUAUGAAGAUGAUGACAAUGAAACGCCCAUCGGAAAAGCAUCCUUUAAUGUUGGAGUAGCAUAGUAAAUGAUUUUUCACACCACCCAUUCAAACAUUUGAGAUGAAAAAGGUGGAGUAGAAAAGACAAUUUUGAAAAAUUUGUACAUCCCGGGUAAAGUUCUGGAUCACAAUCUUGCAUUAAAGUAGCAUAUGAAGUUGUAUCAACAUUUGGCAAAUGUUGUUGCGUAGUUGUUUCACUUGAAUUUUCAAUAUAAUCUGUAUCGUCUAUUGGAUCACUUAAAAUUAUAUUGGAAAAUCCAAAAGCAUCUUGGAGCAAUCCUCUCACAUCUUCUUGUCCCGUGAUAUUUUCUUGCACAUUAGUGUAAUCUGUAAUGUUUGGGGCAUGUUGAGCAGCAACACUAGAAGAAGAAGUUAAUGAUUCUCCAUGAAAUACCCAUUCCAUAUAACCUAAUGAGAAUUCCUUCCAUACCAAAUGUUUCUCCACAACUUCUGGAGUAUGUGAAGAACAAUUGCAACACUUCCGACAAGGACAUACAAUCUUUCCUCUAAUAAAUAAUUUUUUGAUAGCAAAUCUAAUAAAAUUAGCAACACCGUCUAAAUAAGCCUUAUUAUUUCUCUGCUUAUUAAUCCAACUUUUGUCCAUUUUCUUAGGUUGCGAGUUCCUUACUAUAUAAUAGCCUAAAGACAAAAAAUGAUGUUAAUAUAACUAAACUAAAGAAUGUAACUUAAUUAAGUAAGGAUAUUACAAAAAAAAAAGAACAUCAAGAUAAGGUAAAAUUAAAAAUCAAUAGGUCACAAUAAUAGUUUUAGAAUGGUACUGAAUUAUCUAUUUGCAUAAGAAACUCAAAAUGCACCGUCAAAAAGUGAAUUAGUUACGUUAUUAAGCGAUUGGAUUGCAAAGGAAUGAAUUAAUCUUUGUAGUGCCCUAUAUGAGGUAACUAGUAGUAGUAAUACUACAAUAACGGCAACAAAGAGCAAAUUGUACAUUAGAAUGAAAAGUAUCAAAUCACUCAUCUUAAUAUAUCAGUAUUUGUCCAAUCAUCUAAAAGUUGCAUAUAUUAAGUUUUGUAAAGAAAAAAAACUAAUGAUCAUAAAGUAGUCAGGGAGACAUUACCUUUUGAGGAAACUAUAUGUCCAACCAAAAAUACGCGAUGGAUGAGUGAAUUAGCCAAGUACUUUGUUGCUACCUAUAAUAAGAGUCAAAAAGUUAAGAUAUUAGAAACAAUAUAAUAAAUACACUUUGUCUCAAAAUGCACAGUCCAAAUUAACCUAAACAUUAGAUGUGUAAAUACUAUAACUUCACUAGAAGUAAUAGUAGUAGUAGUACUUAAAAAAAAAUUAUCUAAGGCAUGUAUGGUGUGCCUAAUGGGAAUACAAACAGUAAAAGUUGAAUGGCUAAAAAAUAUACAAGCAGUUGGGAGACGAAGGUGGAUACCAUUGUUGCUAAACUUUAAUGCUUAACUAAAAUACUAUUUUUUGGAAACAAAAAACCAAUUUGAUUUCCUACACUACUUAUAAUUAAUUUUUCCAAUUCUUGCAAUACAUUGGGAGAGGAAGGUGGAUUAAACAUGAUAUUUUCCUCUUCUCUUCAUCAUACUCUAUUUAAAUAAAAGAACUUAAGAUACAUUGUUUCAUAAUAAUUGACUAAUUGAGUAUUAAAAUGAAGGAAAAAAAUUAUUCUUAGCUUUAAAUCUAACACAUUAUAUCAUCUAAUAUUCUAUUGUUUACAACCCACACGGUUUGCUCGGGCCACCAGAGUUAUGUGACAUUUAAAUUGAAAAAACACAUUAAGCAAUCAAUGUCCUAUAAAAGAAAUAAAGUUAUUUACUUUUCCUCUUGCACCCAUCUAAAUAUACGAUGUAAAUUAGCAAACACUAGCAAAAGUUUUGUUAAAGAAAUGUCAGCGGUAAAAGACACCUCCUCCAAUGGCAAAAGACCACUGUUUCAUUACCCUUUAUCAAAUCUGAGAAAAUAAAAAUUAUUCUCAGAGAAGAGAACAACCCAGAGUCUUUUGCUCAUGCUUAAGAACUAAAAAUCAAAUCAGAAAAUAGUUGAGGGAUUAUCCUACAAACAACCAAAUAAUUUAAAAAUAUUUUAGGAAAAUAAAAUCUUGACAUCUAAUUUCUAUAUCCCACACUAGAAAAUAGUGAAAAGAGGAGAAACAAAAUAUUCUCUUCUUCUUCAAUCUUCAUGCUGCCAAUUAAACAAAGCAACUCAAAUUUUUUCGAAAUGCAUUCUUCUCCUCUAAAUCGAAACUUAAACAAAAAUUUAAUUUUAAAUCUCACAGAAAAAAAAAAUCCUAACCCAGACCACCACCCAAUUCCAGGAAAUGGGUUUGAAUCAUUCAUUCUUGGUGAUCCUAACCUUGGAUUUAAAGAUUGAGCCAAAAAUACUGAAUAAAAACAAAAUCAAACUACAAACCAAAUGGAUUCUUCUCGAGGCGUCAGCGUCGAUGUAAGGACUGAGAUUUUUGACAGUGCUACUAAACUCUCUGUUGAUGAUGUUUAUGUGUGUAAUUUAAUUACNAGUGGAUUCCCUGUAUUUGUGGCGGAUCUGGCAUACUCUGGGGUCAGGUUUUUAAAAAAAAAAAUUUAAACGCUUUUCCGCUGUGUUUCAAACUAAAAGGGGACCCCGGGGCGUGACAGUCGAAUCCUCCUUCUCCUCCGCUCGCCUUGCUCCUUCGUCACCGGAGAUGGCUAGUUGUCACCUUCGAAAUAAAGAGGAAAUGAAACACCAGCGAGGUGGAGAAGGGCUGGACGGCGGCAGGUCGAUCUGGAGGGCCGCGGUGGUGACGACGAGGCGAGAAAGGCGCAUAUUCGGGAGAGAGGGCCAAACCCUUGUGUGGGAGAGGGAGGUGCUGAGAAGGGGUUGAGCGGGAGCUAAAGAAUGAAGAUGAAAAGUCUAAUAAAAAGAAAUGGCAAAUUUAUUUUAAUAAUAAUAAAUUAAUAAGGCUCCUUUUUUUUUGGCACGCUAUAAAUAGCGACGCUAAACCCUAGCGUCGGAAAAAUUUCGACAGUGAAGAAAAUUACCGACGCUUUAAAAAAGCAUCAUCAUAAAAGCGUCGGCAUAGGCAUAUUUUUUUUGUAGUGAUAUAGCUAGAAUGGCCAAAGGAAUUGAUCCAAUAGUUAAAAAUUUAGAAGCACUGAUUCUUUAUGCUUCCGAAAGCACAAUAGUCGGACUUUUUUUAAAAUAUAAAAUAAUAUAAAUAUUUUGUAAUCUUUUAUUAUUCCAAUGCGAAAUACAGAUUUUACGCUACUUUAUAUAAAAAAUGAUGUUUGAUCUUUAUUGUAGUUUUGUAUCUAUUUUAACUUCAAAUUAUAAAUUUACUUGUACUGUUUUUUAGUUUGACCAUAAAUUUUAAUUUUUAUUUAUAAUUAAAAUGUAAAUUUAUUUUAGCAUAAUAAAUUUAUAUUUUAAAUUCAAAUUGUUAAUUUAAGUUAUUAUUAUAUAUUUUUAACUUAGGAUAAAUUACAGUUUUGGUUCUCAAACUAUGAGGCAAGUGACAUUUUGGUUCUUAAACUUUAAUUUAUUAUAAUUUCUGGCUUGAAAAUUUUGAAUUAUUGUAAUUAAGUCUUAUAACCUAUUGGCUAACUGUUAAUAUAUUUUUGAUAUAUAAGUGAUGUGAAAGUAUUGUAAUUGAUGAUGCGGCAAUAAUUAUAAUGUUACAUUAAUUCUACAUUAGCGAUUCAUCAAUAUUAAACCAAUUAAAUUUAGAUUGUGGGACUUGAUUACAACAAUUUUAAAAAUUUGAGCUAAAUAUUAUAAUAAAUUAAAAUUUGAGAACCAAAAUAUCACAGAGCGUGUAAUUUAUACUUUAACUAAUUUAUAUAUAAUCAAAUAAUCAAACCUACAAAACUGUAAUAUUUUAUUUUUUACUUUAUAAUUGUACAAUUAAACUAAAAAGUUAUCUUACAAAAAGAUAUUACUUUUAUAAAAACUAGAAAAGUUUUUCGAAAGUCAUGCAUUUAUUAGUUUUUUAAAAAAAUAUUAAAUGACACAUUUUAUUUUUAAUAUUUUAUGCCACGUAUAUUUAUCUAGUUAAGAUUUUGUAAAGAAUAUUAUUUAAAAAAAAUGUGGAACAUAGGAGAUAGUAGAUACCAAAAGGAUAAUUAAAAAAAAAUUAUACGAGAUACUUUAUUUAUUAUCUAUCGAAUAAAAUCUUUUAAAGUAAAAAUAUCUGACGGUUAUUAGAUUUUCAUCAAACAACCAGGGGGCCAGAUGUUAUUAGGAGGCGAAAAAUCUGAAAUUGAAAAAAAAUAAAAUUCGUUUUUUUUAUAAUAGUAUAAGAUAUAAGAUAUAAAUAUAGAUUUUUUUUAUUUUUUUUUUUAUUUCAGCCAUAUAUGGACAACGCUCUGAAACGGACGGAACGGAAAGCGAAUCGAAAAUUUUUUGUUUUUUAUCGUAUUAUUAUUAUAAUAAAAUAAUAAAAUAUAUUAUUAUAAUAAUAUAAUAAUAUUACCGCCAGCUAAUUCAACCGUACCGAUUUGGUUGAAAUAUAUAUAUGUGAAGAACUUGUGUGUAGUCGAUCUCCAGUUGCCCAGCGUUUCCGGUCAAAAGAAGACCCCUUCCGGUCGAUCUAGGGCAUCUCGGUCACGGCUCUCCCACCCGAACCCUCUCGACCUUCAUUUUUCCCUUUCCUCCAACUUCCCCUUCUGCCUCCGUAGAGACCACUCCCUCCCUCUCUCUCUCUCUGUCAGAUCUUCUUCUUCUUCACUAUUUGGUUUGGUUUGGUUUGGUUUGGUUGGCCACGAAAAUGAAUCCUCGCUCCUGCUGCCUGAAGUGGCUUUCCUGUAGGUGUAUGUAAUCUUCAUUAAUUUUCAUUUCAUUUCUCGCGGAGGCCGUCUGUCAGGAUGCGGUCUCUGCAAUUGCUGCAGCUGACGGAGCAUGGCCGCAGCCUUUUGGCUUCCAGGAGGUACGCCCGCUCGCGGAACUUAGAUCUUCUAUUUUUUUUGUUUUUUUCUUUUUUUUUAACUAGAAUUAUGUGAUGCACAAGGAUUUAAGUGCCCAUUGACAAUCAGCGCGGAUCAAAACCCUCCCUUAUUUUUUUUUAAAAAAAAUAGUAGCUGAGUAGUUACAUUAAUAAUAGUGUCCAAAGAUUUGGUUAGAAUAUGUAAUAAGCAAUCAGAAUCUAUUUGUGCCGAAAAAUAUAAAUAUUUCUUGGAAUAGCGUGUGUUUUUGUAUGCCUUACCGUGCUGGUCAGUGCUGGGCACAAUCCCGUGUGGCAGUACUUAAAUCCUUGGCGUGUAAAUUUGUGGUUUCUAGAGUACUUUGUUGGAACUUGAUGUAGCAGAUGAAGAAAAACUUCUAACCACCGAAUUUAAGAAGAUCUCGUCGUAUUAUGUCAGAAUUAUUGAUGGAGUAUAUAUCUAAUCAAAUUGAAUAACAGAGCCAGCUGAAUAGUUCUUGGGUCCUUGUACUCUAAAUUUGUCUUAGGGAUCUUUUAAUGGGCUCACAAUUAAUGAAGAAGACCUCAGUUAACGAUAACUUGUGCUUAUGAAGGACCUUCUGCUAGAUGUAUUCCUUUAAGGUUGUGUAUUGAUAUAUUGGUUAGCACUUAGCAAGGUGCCGUUGAUGACAUUUCUUGCCACUUCUUCUGUAUCUUCCUUACAGUAAGAACUUAUUAUAUCUCAGUACCAUCUUCACCAACAUUUUCCUGUGAUCUCUCUCAUCACUGUGAUCUUAGCCGUUGUUGUUAAGAGCGUGACCAGCACAUAAGUUGUGGAGGACAUCAAAUUGGAUAGACAUGUGGAUUGGACAAUAGAUCAUGAGGCUUUUUGUCAUUUCUUUGUAUAGUUAGAAAAUCGAUAAGUAGACACCUUUUAUAUCUAAGUCGAUGAUGAUAUAAGAAAUUAUUUCAUUUUGAUAUUAGAUGCAAGAAUCUUAUUCUUUCAAAUGGUAAAAUAAACCCCAACAUAAUGACUUAUUCGACGAAAUUUUUUUCGGCCAUUUAAUUAAAUAAACUUAAUUAAAUUAUACUUUAAAGUUUUUCAUUCUGGAACAUGAUUGUCUAAGCUUAACAUCUGUUAUUUUUAUUGAGAAUUUGAAAUUAGAAACUGAGAGUUUGAAAGAUUGAGAGUUGAACAUGUUGGAUAAUAUAUACAUUUUUAGUUCUUAACUUUUGAAAUAUUUUCAUUUUUUCCUCUUGAUAGUUAGUUAACCAAAAAUGUUGAUUUAUGUGAUAGAAAAUUAUUCUUGUUUUGCUAUCGGGCAUGGUCGGGCCCAUUUACCACUUGCGCUGGCCCCAAACAUGUUAAGCGCAGUUGGUAGGAAAUGGAACUUGAAUACUACCCAUUAUAUAUUUGAAUAGGGUCUGAAGUUGGAUAGGGUUGAAAGUAACGAUAUAGUUGUUAUGUUGGAUUGAGGUCGAAAAACCAGUCCAUAUUAUUGGAGAAAAAUAACAUUAUAUAACCAUUAUAAUUUGGAAGUAUAAAGAGUUUAGUACAAAAAUUAGCUUAAGUACUGUUUAUGUCAAAGCCAAUGAAUUUAAUAGUAAGGAAGAAUAUCUUGAUAACUUGUUUCCCAUUAAAUAAAAGGAAAAAAGUCGAGAAAGCAAUCUGAAAACAAGAAAGGAAGAAAGUACAUCAUGGAGAAUAAUUGUAGGAGAACAAAACUAGAUUAGGCCUAUAAGAAAGGGCCACUAAGGAUCAUGGAGAAUAAUUGUAGGAUAACAGAACUAAAUUAGGUCUAUAAGAGAGGGCCACUAAGGAUAUUAUUGUAUGCAGAAGGCCUACCAAAUACUAAUAAAUUAUACCAAGAAAAUAAAUAUUGUAUGGCUAAAAGUACUUAAAUAUAUGUAAUAGAAGUAUAUCGGAAGAGAAUCUAAUAUUGUAUAGCUAAAUGUAUUUAAAUAUAUGUAAUAGAAGUAUCUUGGAAAAGAAUCUAGUUUGGGUGGGGUAGAAUCUGCAUCUUCUAAACCUUCACCUGGACCUCAAAUCCUAGUGUCUUAGCAUCCACCUGUACACAGCUCUGGGAUUUCAACCUUGAUUUUGUCAGAUCGAUGCUAGGUAAUUGGGACAGGUAAUAAUUCCAAUAUCUGAUAUCAUCGGACCUUGUGAUUCAAGGAAAAAGGAUGAGAUCCCUAUUGUUUUCUACUGCAUUCUGUGCUACUCUGAGAACAGCCAAGCUUUGCUAUGGAUAGUGUAUGGUGCUGCUUGUGCGAGCUAAGAACCACAUAUUAUUAUCGGAAGGAACAACAAACAAGUACAACCAGCUAACAGCAAGAAAUAAAACAAACUAUCACAACUGCCAUCACCAAAAUCCCAUGAGUAUGUUUGAGACAACUAACCAGGCGAAUAGUAUCCCAAAGGCUCAUUGUCCUAACUUUUCCUUGAUAAAGAAGAUACUAGAAAAUAGAAACUUCUAGGUUUUCAUUUUUUUAUCUUAAAAAAUUUUCAGCAAAGGGAACCUGAGUGACUUAUUGUUUAGGGCUGCCUAAUGCUGUUAGAAAAAAUAGAGGGGACAAAAGCAUAUAGGGAUAUACUUCUCUAUUUUCUGGUGGGACUGUAGAAAAUAGGACUGGAGGAAAUUUAUCAUAACUGACUCAUUGUGAUAUGUACAACAUGAUUUUAUUUAUGGAAACAAAUGGACUUUUUUUCUAUCAUACUUCUUUUUCACUGCUCGUAGUGCAAUCUCGCCACAAUCCCAAAUAGUCUUUAUGUAAUUUCUACCAAUAGAUAAAUCACUUGCAUCGCAUGUAAACUUACGCGGAGAGUACUAUUGGUGAAUUCACGAACAUUGGUUAAUCUAAUAUCAUUCCAGUCGGAUUUGUAAAUGAUGUGUUGGAAAGAAUUGCUAAGGCAACACAAUCUCAUGGAGACGAUUGCGUGGUAUAUGCACCCGCUGAGAUGAGAUGAUGCUUCUACUACAUGAAUUGUUGUAAACGUUAAGUCAAGAUAGAGUAUUGUAGAUGUGAAACUUGGUAGCUUAUAGCUAUAGAAAAAUAGAGGGCUGAUAUAUUUAUAUAUAAAGAUAGAUAAUUUUGGGUAGCAACCCUAGGAGAUCCAUCUUUCAGAAUGCGAAACUUCAAAGAAAUUACCAUGCUGGUUGUAAGAACUUACCUCACUAAGCACUAAUUUACUGGGGACGGAUGACAGAGUCCAUGCUAAAGCAAACUUCUCCUGGAUGUAGUCUUGCUAUUUGUUUCUUGUAAUUAUAACUCAAACUUAUGUUUGUCUCAGCCACGUUUCAUUUAAAACUUGACCUUAUCUGCUUACAAUUAUGCCUUUUUGGUUGGUAUAACAUUUUUGUCAUCCCCAAUAGGAAUUAAGAGCAUUUUCCUACUUGUUUCUCUUUAGGAGAACAUCAUUUGUGAUAUUUUUGUUCAUAUUCUUUUGCCAUGUUAUUGAGGGAUCCUUGUAUCAUGCAAGCUAUGGAGUUAAGUAUUUUUCUUUUCCCCUUGAAGAUAUCAUUAAUUAAUGAAUUACAUACUUGCUGGAUGAACAGGAGAACGGUUGCACUUGUGUCUGGUGCCCUACUGGCUGGUGGAACUCUGGCAUACAUGCAGUCGCGACAUCAUAAAAGAUCCUCAAGACCAAAUUCUUCUAAUGAUGUCUCCACACCUGGUAUAAAUGAAGAUAGCUUGAACCAAAACGGUGUAGAUAGUAAGCCAAUUAGAGCAGCAUGGCGGAAAAAAAGUGGAUUGAGAUCUCUACAUGUUCUGGCUGCUAUUUUGCUCAAGCAGAUCGGCCCAAUGGGCAUGCGAUGCCUUUUGUCCUUGGUUACUACAGUUGUAAGCAUCUUUUGUUUUCUCAUUUUUGUGUUUUAAUCCUUCAUCUUUGUGCGAUUCAUUCAUACAACAAUUUGGUACUGAUAGUUAGUGAACUCUAACUAGAACAACCACUCGAAUACUCAAUAAAUAUAUGGGCAAAUUUUGCAAUAUUAUCCUCUCCAGAGUGUUUAAGCAUAUGAAAAAUAACAUGCAAAUAGCAUGAUCAUAUUUCUUUCUUCUGUAAAUAAUUGGAAUGACUUGGUUGCUGAUGAUCUAAAAUGCAGAAGAUAACUACUGUUGCUAGUUUAUGCGGUAAUUUUUCAUUUGACCUAGAUCCUACCCAGCUUCAUGCAGUCUCAAGUGCUAGUUCAUACUCUGUAACUCUUGAAACUUUACGGUCAUAAUGAAUUCAGUGUUACAGUUUAUUGAUGCCACUUUGUUAACAAGAUCUAUGCAGGAUAUUUAAUACUGUACCAUGCUAGUCAUACCCUUCUUUCUCUUUGAUAAGAAAUCAGGAAUCUGUGAGAUUACUGUAUUUUAUAGCAGUAUGGAAUGUAUACCCUUCUUUCUGUUUGAUAAGAAAUGAGGAAUCUGUGAGAUUACUGUAUUCUAUAGCAGUAUGGGAUGUUUUACUGAAAUAAUUAUUAUGGUUGUGAUUCACUUCCAAUAUUCCAACUGAACUACAAACUUUUGUAUCAUGGGAAAUAUUUAGGUCUUGUGUGGCUUAAUAAAUAUAUGCCUGGGGGUACUUAAGAGAUAAAUUUAUUUAAUAUUUUGUAGAAUAGCUGGAUAUUCUUGCUUACAUAUGUAUACAGUUGGAUAUAUAUAGAAUCAAAUAAAAAGCAAGAAUAUCUUAAUCUAUUCAUUUUCGACCAGAUUGAGAGUUGACAACUAAUAAAAGGAUUUAAGUGCCCAUCGGCCCAGACCGUGCCCAUUGUGUCAUUUUGUGUUGACAAGAUAUCAGUAUGAUAUGACCCCCUUGAUGGCAUGGCUCGAUACCCUCUGUUCUUUGAACUUAGCGAGUAAUUACAUCAAUAAAAGGCAAAGAUUUGAUAAACAGUAUAUACUAAGCAUUUAGAAUAUAUUGGUGCCAAAGAAAAUAAGUAUUUCAAGCCAUAGUGUGUGGGCACACAUGUAUUUUUUUGUCAAUGCACACAUCAGCACUCCGCGCGUCACUGCACUUAGAUCCUUGUGUAAAUACAUGAAUCACUAUUAAGGAAACUUAAAUGUGGGCUUGGAGAAAUUUUGACUCGAUAAAUAUCAUGAUGUUCCACUAAAAAAUAAAGCCCCACAUGUUUUGACCAGGAAAGAUUUAAAUCCUAUCUAAGAAUAGGGCGAGUAUCAGGAAGGAAUCAAGACACUUAUGGCCGAUAGAAGUAAUAUCCCUCGACACACCAGGAGCUCCCAAAAAGUCUUGGUAACUGCCUGGCAGCCGAAACAAUAUGGAGAGGAGAAAAUACAGCUGUAGGAGUGGAGGGAAAAGGGGAGAAGAAAGCACAGCCAUAGGCUUGAGGGGACAAAAAGGGCUGCAAUGGUAGAAGCCAUAGAAGGGGCUAGACAAGAACACUAGACAGGCGAAAAGGAGAAGAAAUAGUGCUCAAUCCAGGAACGAAUGAUAGAAGAAAAGGCGGCUUAUUUUGGCACAAGGUGAGGGUUGAGCAGGGACCACAAAAAUUCUAGGUAAAUUGCUUCAAUAGUUCAAUACCAAAGUCUGUUUAAGAAAGAGAGGCUGGCUGGGUUAAAUAAUCCUCAAACAAAUCACAUGCAAGCAAACCAAGUACAGAUUGGAGAACAAACAAUCGUGCAAGACUUAGAAGUCAGAGAAGAGGGCAACCUGGUUUAGGAAUAUAAGUAAUAGAUGCUGGUUGAGAUACAAGGCCCAAUAAGUAUAAAAACCCCAAAAUAAAGAACCAGAUAAAGAAAAAGGCCCAAAACUUGAAUUAGAUUCAAGUUGACUGACAAAACCAGCUGGAAGUUCAGUGGUAAAGGAAUAAUGGUUCUAUAGGAAGACAAAAUCCUCAUUCGACCAUAGAUCAACGGGAUGCCACGCCACACCAGAAAAUAAGGAACUAAUUAUCUAAUAAUAAUCAUUUAAUAGUUCAUUACUUGAAAAACCAUAUUCAUUGUUAAAGCUUCGACUGAAGCAGAGCAAAUUUGAGCUGCGUUAAAUAUCCAUUCCUUAAAAUUUAACCUUUCCCUCUUAUAAAUGUUUCUGUUAUACAUUUGCUUUCUUAUUCUCUAGCUUUGGGAUUUUCAAUUGUUUUCCAUAUACUUGAACUGUCAUCAAGGGAGAAUAACAACAUCAAAUAUUGAAUUUGUCGCAGGUGUUGCGCACUGCUUUGAGCAAUAGAUUGGCAAAAGUUCAGGGGUUCUUGUUUCGAGCAGCUUUUCUUCGGCGUGCGCCAGCCUUUGUACGCUUAAUUGCUGAAAAUCUACUACUAUGCUUUCUUCAGUCUACCUUAUUUUCUACCUCGAAGUAUUUGACCGGGGCCUUAGGUUUGCGCUUCAAGAACAUUUUGACAGAUCUUGUACAUACUAACUACUUUGAGGUAAUUGUGUUAUUUUCUAUUGAGUUUUGUGGUUCUUAUCAGGAGAUAUCUUUCUUUGGAUCCCUCAUGCUGUUCUGGUUGUAUUUGUAACCACCCAACUAGCUCACUAUUGUUUGUAACUUGUUGGACCUAAACCAUUGACCCAAACCUAAGUCCAUAUUACGCAUACGAGUUGGAUACUGCUUAUAUAUCCAAGUAUGCUCUCAUCAUCUUCCUUUGUGGGACUAUUGGGCGUGAAACAUGUUUGAAACUAAAAAGAGUACAACUUUUAGUCCAGCGAUCUACUAGAACAACCACAUAGAAAAUCACCAUCAUUAACUUGCUCUUUUCUUAUGUUUGAUGUGUGCAUUGGACAUGCAGCAGACUUCAGUGUAUUCCAUAGACAGUUUUCGGUUCCUACUGAUGCAAAUAGUACACAACAUCUAUUUUACUAGGUUAGGCAGUCCAAAUACACAUAAAACUUGCUUGAAGCAUGAAAAUCAACUCAAAUAAGAGACUCAUAAAUUUGGAUGUAUCUCAGGACGCCUGUUUUAUAGACUACUGGAUCAGAUUAAACCCAUGUUGGUCAAAAGUAGGUGACCAAAGGCUAACUUUUGUUGUGGAUGAUUCCCGGUUCUUGGUGAUUGAUCACUAGAGCUAAAGCUAAGAGCAAUCUACUAAUGUCUAAACUAGUCAAUAGCACUUGCAUCAAUGAAUUUCUGAUAGGAAUAGUAUGUCUUCUUUAGGAGGUCAUUGGUUCUCCAAUAGCAUGUUGAAUCCUUUUUCUUUGCGCCCUUAACUUUACUUAAUUUGCUUGCCAUAAUGUACAUGAAUUCAGCAUUGAGCUGUAAUUGUUAAGUAGAUAUUGGGUUUUCCGAUAAAAUGUAAUAUGGCAGAAGAUAUUUGAUUAUAAUAUUUUAACCUCGACUGGACUCAUAUAUAUAUAUAUAUAUAUUGUAUUAUUCGAUUCUAUGCAAUAUUUGAUUCUAUGCAAACUUAUCUGAUAUUUCUUUGGUAACUCAUUGUAUUUUUCUCCUUUCCUGGUGUAUCUACCUCCUCUCUACAGAACAUGGCAUACUACAAAAUCUCGCAUGUUGAUGGCCAAAUUACCAAUCCAGAGCAACGGAUUGCUAGUGAUAUACCAAAAUUCUGCACAGAACUAAGUGAGCUUAUACAGGAUGAUUUGACUGCAGUUUCUGAUGGCAUUGUAUAUACCUGGCGCCUUUGUUCUUAUGCUAGUCCUAAAUAUGUGCUCUGGAUACUGGUAAAGUAUUUUUCAAUGAAAUAAAUGCUUAUCAUAAAUGACUAAAUAUUAUUUUUUUCCUCCUCUUUUAGAGGACAUUAAUUUCCUAUUCCCAUGAUGACUUAAUAUUCAAAGAUGCUCAAUUAUCUUGUUGCUUACAGGCAUAUGUAAUAGGAGCAGGUGCUGCCAUUAGAAACUUCUCUCCUUCUUUUGGAAAGCUGAUGUCAAAGGAGCAGCAGCUUGAUGGGGAUUACCGACAACUCCACUCAAGGUUAAGGACCCAUGCUGAAAGUGUAGCAUUUUAUGGGGGUGAGAACAGAGAAGCCUCCCACAUCAAACAGCAAUUCAAGACCCUUAUUCAUCAUUUGAAUCUUGUUCUUCACGAACACUGGUGGUUUGGAAUGAUCCAAGAUUUCCUUUUAAAGUACCUGGGUGCCACAGUAGGAGUUGUCCUGAUUAUCGAGCCAUUUUUUGCUGGCAAUCUGAGACCUGAUUCUUCAACAAUAGGAAGAGCGGAAAUGCUCAGUAAUAUUCGUUAUCAUACUAGUGUGAUAAUAUCCCUAUUUCAAUCGCUUGGGACUCUUUCUAUCAGUUCAAGACGGUUAAAUCGUCUCAGGUUUGUUUGCGACCUAUUCUUUAAACUGAUAAAAUGAUGCCAUUGCUGCUACUUGCUAGUAAACUACUGAGAAUGUAAAUUGCUUGUAUUCUUCCCAGUUCCAAGUAACAUUUUUUUUUGUCUUUGCGUAGUACACCUGAUUAUUUUGAGCGUACUGCUAUCUAAAGAUAUUAGGUAGUGACGAAUUUCAAGUUUGCAUUAACCAUUAGAAACCGGGAAACCGAUAGUAGAAUCGGCCAUAGCAGCAGGUUAGAUGUGCUAUAAGUUACCUCAUAUUUUUCUUAUGUUGACGAAGCCCACCAGAUGUGAAAUAUAUGAAUUGGGUCUAGAAUGCAGUUAUCUCACAUGUGAUGUGGCCAUCUAGAGGUUAGUUGUGUUUUGGUUAGAGAUACAGAAUUACAAAUAGAGCACGCUAGAACUUCUAUAAUCAACAAUGUUCCAAAAGAUGGUAUGCAGUAUUCAUGCAGGUACCUACCGCAUAGCGCAUAUGCAGACGCAUAUGUGGUCCAUCUAUUAAAAUAUUAAUAAAAUAUUUAUAGGUAUUAAAAAUGUAUAUAAAUGCUUUCUAACAAUGCUAAAUAACUAAAGUAACAAGUCAUAAUUCACAGAUUAAAAUAAUUAAUUUCAAGUAAAGGACCUCAUAUGCGCACAUGUAUGACUAAACUAAUAAUUAGUAAUUUACUCUUAAUUAUUAAAUAUAGAAAUAAAUAGAAUUUUAAUGCAAAAUCAUAAAAUAUGUAAAUAAAGAUCAAUGUUCUAAAAAGCGUUAUGCUAAACUUUUAUGAAGAAUAACAAUUUUUUCAAUUCACAUCAUUGGAGAGGCCAACACUUGGAAAAAAUCUAGCGUAAUAACAUCUAACAACUACAAAAUUAUUUGUCAAUAUUUGUAAACAUAAUUAUUAGAUAGACAUACGUAGUCUGACCGCAUACUGCACUGCAUAUUACCUAUGCGGUGUGGUCUAUGGUCUGAACCACAUAUGCAGCCGCAUGAACGGCCUUUUGGAACAUUGAUAAUAAAUUGUAAAAGUUGGCGUGCUUAUAGGUCCUCCAUAUAAAGAGUUUAGUGUAAAAGCUCAUUGGAGCAGUUCCAUUUGAAUUUAUGUUCUACUUGGGAAGAUUUACUUCAUCAAAAUGUGGAUAUCAUAGUGAAGAUUGAGUGGUUGACUUAGUCCAAAUCGUGGAUUAUCUUUUCUGUAAGAAUAUUGUUCAAACAUUAAAUCAAGGAGAAAACACUGCAAGCCAACAGUAGCAACUUAAAAAGAAUCAUAGCACUUAAUUAAUUGGAGGCUUGGUUCACUGUUGCUAUAGGUUAUUUAUCUAAUUGAAUGUACGUGGUUUAAGGGAUUAUUUGCCAUGUUAAUGAGAAGUUGAUAUUGCGACAUAUUUCGAUAGGGUGUUGAGUGGAAACAAACAAGUAGAUUAAUUUAUGACUAGUUUGAUCAGCCUGUGUCCUGCUAUAGGCGGUUCCCUGAUUGGAAUCUAAUAAGGACUUUUUAUUGGUAAGAAUUCUUCCAAACAAUCCAAUUCAUCUCCACAAGGACCUAGAACCUUACUCUAACACAGGUAUUUGAGUUCUUAGAUUACAGGCUUGAGUUAUUUCUCCUCUCUUGUCCAGUGCUGAAAGUUACUCUUCUGCUUAAAGUUACUCUUGUGCUUAAUGUCUUAAUUCUCUCUCUAGAAGUAUUAUGAUCUUUUCAAAGGUUAUAUUGGUAUCAGGAUCAAACAACUUAUUCCAAGAUUGAGUAAUUGUUGAGGAAUUCAAUCUCAAUAUUAAAUUAAAAUUCUGCUCUUGUUGCAAGAUGUUUGAUCACUUCUUGUUAGGCGAAGACCUAUUCACAUUCUCUUGCUUGAGAUUUCUGAUUGAUCGAUUCAUGCAACUGACCAACUUUUCAUCUUAAAAUGGAAAAAAUUGUCUAAUGGUAUUUAUGCUUUCAUAAGCUUCCAUAAGUUGAUUGACAUGACCACCGGUUCGGUCAAAGUCCUUUAUUUGUUAAUUUUUUCGGUACAAUAUCCGUCCAACCAUGUAAGUUUCAAGACAGGGUAUUUUAUGUCACAUUGUCUUGCAUGAAAAUUGUGAAUUACUCUGAUAUGUUGGUUGAAUUGGACUUGCUGUAGUCUGAAUAUCUCAGAUUAUGACCUAGCACUAGAUUUAAUAUUUUGCCCAAUCGACUGAAUGAGUGGUUGUUAUUCUAGAGUUGUGAUCUUCAAGUCUUCUUGUUCAGUAUGACUUGUACUCGCUUUAAAUUCCUAAACUUCCAUCAUGGUGUAGAAUCUUUUUGUGUCAACUUGAUGUGCCUUAUUGUUAGUGUUUACCGUUUAGUGUUUACGUUGCAAUGUUUUAUUUUUGACCUUAGAUAUCUACCAGUUGCUUAAUUUUUGUAGUUCAUCUUUCUGCUAUAUGAUGUUUUACAUUUGUAAGCACUUUUGUUUACAGUGGUUAUGCAGACCGCAUUCAUGAGCUAUUAGUUGUCUCUCGAGAGUUAUCUGCUGUUCAUGACAAAUCAUCAUUGCAAAAAAGUUCUAUUAAGAAUUAUAUCAGUGAGGCAAAUUAUAUUGAAUUUGCCGGUGUCAAGGUUUGUUGGACUUGCUGAUUGUCAUAGUCGCAUUUUCAGUUCACCUGAUUUUUAUUGAUCUUCAUCUCUUUGAUUCUGAUGCCAACUGGUUUCAGGUGGUUACACCAACUGGAAAUGUCUUGGUGGAUGAUUUGAGUUUGAGGGUAGAUUCAGGAUCUAAUCUUUUGAUCACUGGUAACUCUUCUACUAUAUACCUUUUUUUUUUUUAUACACUGCUUGUUCAUAUGGAAUUUUUAAUUAGUUGUAUGAUCUGCUACUGUUUUAUCACAGAAGCAUUUAAGCAUUGUGUCUGUAAGCAUCUUUCGGAGACUGGAUAAGAGCUUAUUUACAGUUUUAUGGUUGAUUCAGCAACUAUUGAUAUUUCUGAGCUUUAUAAUACAGAUAUUUCCAUGUGAUCAGACCAUUAAACAAAUUGGAAAUAAGGAAUAAAAAAAGUAGCACUGGGAAUAUUUUUUUUUGUCGUGUAUUGAAUUUUGUUCUGUCUGAGAAGCUUACCGUAUUCAUCUCGUUGAAUGCCAGUGUUGCUUCUGUAAGUGAAUUCUAAGACGCAAUGAUCCCAGUUUGUUUCCUCAGAAGCUUAUGUAUGCUCUGAAAAAGGAGGAAGAUGAAAGAUGAAGAAAGCUUGGUCCUUAGUCUGAAAAAGUCUUUUAUGCAGAAUUUUGUGUUUCUAGGAAUCUAGUUACAAACAAUUUCUCAUCACGUUUUUGCUUUGCACUGAAUUAGUUACCCUGUAUCCUCUUAGUUUACUGAUCAAACAUACUUCAUAGAGGUUCAGUGAUCUUUGAUCCAUUAUCGAGAAGUACAAUGAUUAGUACAACAUGGGUCUUGACAAUAUGCUACCUGUAGUUGCACUGUGACCUUUAAUAUGUAUGUGCUUCAUCUGAUGCAUCUUUCCCUUUCUGCAAGAUACUAUAUAUGCUUUAAAGGGCAUUUCUAUGUACAUCUGCCAUCUAAAUAUUUUGUGGUUUGCUCAUCAGACAUCAAAUUUUCUCCUUCAACUUUGUUGGUUUGUUCAGGUCCAAAUGGAAGUGGGAAAAGCUCCCUCUUCAGAGUUCUCGGAGGACUAUGGCCGCUUGUAUCUGGUCAUAUUGUCAAGCCUGGGGUUGGUUCAGAUCUUAAUAAGGAAAUAUUUUAUGUCCCACAACGACCGUAUACAGCUGUCGGAACACUCCGAGACCAACUAAUCUAUCCUCUUACAGCAGAUCAGGAGACUGAACCGCUUACUUACGAUGGCAUGGUUGAGCUACUAAAAAAUGUAAUACAAUUUAUAUGUAUUACCUGUCUCUUUACUUGCCUUUUCUUUUGAUCAAUGUCUGUUAUUAUUUCUAAUGCUUGCCUGAUCAAUAAGUUGGUCCUUAAAGACUUUCUAAAGUAUUGUACAUUUGGUAGGUUGACCUUGAAUAUUUGCUGGACCGGUAUCCCCUUGAAAAGGAAAUCAACUGGGGUGAUGAGCUUUCUCUUGGCGAGCAACAGAGACUAGGAAUGGCCCGCUUAUUCUACCAUAAACCAAAAUUCGCGAUUUUAGAUGAGUGUACAAGUGCUGUCACAACAGAUAUGGAAGAGCGCUUCUGUUCUAAGGUUCGAGCGAUGGGUACAUCAUGCAUUACGAUAUCUCACCGCCCAGCAUUAGUUGCUUUUCAUGACAUUGUUUUGUCCUUGGAUGGCGAGGGGGGUUGGAGUGUUCAGUACAAGAGGUUUUAGUCCAUAAACUUUAUGACUUAUUUUCAUUAUUUCGAAAUAGAUCUGUGGAAAUUAUUUAAAACUCUUUAGUCUUGAUAAUGUAGGGAGGGCUCAGCAUUUCCUACCGAAGAGGAACCCAAUUCUUUAAAAUCAUCUGAAACUGAUCGUAAGAGCGACGCACUGGCUGUUCAAAGAGCUUUUAUCACCAGUGCAAAGGUUCGGGAUCUUUGUAAUUAUCGUCGUAUUAUUGUUGUAAUUUUCCACGGAGUCUUGUUUAUGGAUUUUAUAUGACAGGGAAAUGCUUUAUCAAAAUCAAAGGAGCACUCUUAUAGUACAGAGGUGAUAGCAUCAUCUCCUAAGAUGGAGCAUGAGAUUUCACUGCCCCAUGUGCCACAGUUGCAAUGUUCUCCAAGACCUUUGCCUCUUAGAGCAGCUGCAAUGUUUAAAAUACUGGUAUUUCUUGGAUUUCUUCACUCACCACAAUUUUUGUUGUGCAUAACCAUGAUUAUUAUCGAACUCAGCGAUAUGUACAUUAAACUCACUCUAGUACUUCAAUGAGACAUGUCUGAAAUCAUAAUCUGAUUGAUCAAGUCGAUAUUAUUAGACCUUUAUGUUCAUUCCCCUCUCUCUUUUAUUCCAGAUUCCCAGAUUGCUUGAUAAGCAGGGAGCGCAGCUGCUUGCAGUUGCUUUACUUGUUUUCUCUAGGACUUGGAUUUCGGAUCGCAUUGCGUCUUUGAAUGGUUAGCUUAACGUCAUUAUUUUAACUAUUAAGAUACAACAACAAAUGAACUGGUUCAUCAGGUUUACUUUAUUAUACUUAACAGGUACUAGUGUGAAGUAUGUCUUGGAGCAGGAUAAAGCAGCCUUUAUCCGGUUAACUGGAAUCAGUGUUCUUCAAAGUGCUGCAAACUCUAUUGUGGCACCUUCCUUAAGGUAUGAAUUUUCUUUUUGGGGAAAGGGCAACGAUGGCUUCAAUUCUUUUGUUGAGAUUUAAUUUGUUCGGUUAAAUCUCCAUUAAUUUUCAUGACCCAAGUCCCCUUUGUUCAUGUUGCGACCGCUGCACCUCCAUAAGAUCCAAAUUAAAUAUUGCUAUGUUGUAUUUCCAGUUUACUAUACCAUUUGAGCUAUACCUUUGUAUAUUUUGGUAAGCUUACUUAAGGAAUAAAUUGAGAAUAAAAUUUCUAAGGUGGAGUUAACGAGUUUCUUUCUGUUGAUUUUGUUGUAAAGAAAUUAUAUUAAAUUCAACCUGCUUGCCGUUGAAAAAUACAAUUUGCAGUUAUUUCAGCUCACCGGCUGAAUGGAAUUUAUUCGUACAGGCACCUCACAGCGAAGCUUGCACUUGGAUGGCGAAUUCGUUUGACUCACCAUCUACUCAAAUACUAUCUAAAGAGGAAUGCUUUUUACAAGGUACUAUUUUCCUUUUUAAGUACUGCAUUUUUUUUCUUUCUUUUAGGAACUGCCAUAUGUUUCUUCUUCCACCUGAAAUUUGAGCAGAAAAUCUUCUUUGUAAAUUUUUCUCUAUUGGAAAUGCAUUGAAAUGAAUCAAAUUAUAAGGGGCUAGUAUAACAGCCUCUCAAUCAGCGCUCUCUAAGAUUGUUUAAGUAGAUGUGUAAGUGUUAACUAACAAAGUUGUUGGAGAUUUUAGUUAAACUUGAUUUAGAUAAAUGUUGCUGGACUUUGUCAUUGAUUUUUAUUGGAAUACCGGAGCCUUAUUGAAAACUACUAGUCUUUAUACCCUUUAUUUUCGUGAAAAUGAAGAAACACAAGGGAAUGGUUGUUCGGCAGUUGAUUAGUUUAUAGUUUUGGAUGACGAUAUUUUACUCGGACAAAAGGAAAGGAGAAAGAUGUAAAGAUUAAGACAUACUAAGGGCAGCUGAUGGAAAUGUGAACUGGCUUUAUUGCACUUGAACAUCAGAUUCCAGAGAGCUACAUUUGGUUGAAUCUCUAACAUUGGUGUUAUUUGUUUGUUUUCUUUUUCUUUUUCUUUAUUGGAAAGAAACCCCAGAGCAAUUUCAUUAGAUUUGAGGAAAAAAAAAAUAGUAGAAAAGAUUUAGAAGGUGGUUCAUAAAGAUAUACCUUUUAGGUUCAUUGUGAAUUCGUAGCCUUUUUAUGAGUCAAAGCUGAGGUCCCCAGGGUUAGGAUCAAGGACAACAAACCUCCAUCCAAUGUUUAUUUGGGAAAUUUUUGCAGCCAAGAUUCGGAGGGCCCAGAUGAACUUUUCUUGAGCCCCUGCUUUAGUUUUAGGGCUUUUUUUCUUCACUCGGCCGAACAAAUCUACUGUGCUAUUUUUAUUAUGAAGAAAAAUUGGAUUAUCCUUCGUAAAUAAAGUAUACAUGUCUCUGCAGUGGUGGUUGUUGGCCCCUUGUCAUAAACAACAACUACAAGGUCAGUUACAUGAGUUUCAUAAAUUUACCUUACAAUCAGAGAGAGAGGAGGGAAAGAUCAAUUAGUAUCUAAACCGUAAGGCCAGAGGACAAAACAUGGGCUCUCUUCUCUCAGAUGCCACUAAAAGUGCUGGAAAAAUAGUUUGCACUUUGCCUGCGAGUAUUUAUUUUAUUUUAUUUUUUAAAAUUAAUGGAGCUUCAAUUGAGAUUCUUAGUGCACAAAUUAAGAGGAUUUAAUUAAUGAUCCUUUCUGUUUAAUCGAACUCCGUCUUCUCUUACUGGACUUUUAGCUUUUAGAUCUUGAAGUGAUUAAACAUUCAGAAAGUGGGUAGCAACUAUAUCCUGUGUUUCUUUUUGUCUCUGAUUCUUCAUGCUGUCUUAACAGUAGUGUGCGCAAAAUCUCAACUCUACAAGCCAACCAUUACUUAACACCUGUGUGGAAGUUGAAACCAUGCUUGUUCCUCGCUCAUAAAUUUUUCCACUUUAUGUUACGGAUGACUAAGCUGAAGCUUCUUCAUUCCAGGUAUUCCACAUGUCGGGGAAAAAUAUUGAUGCAGACCAAAGACUAACUCAUGAUGUGGACAAGUUGACCAAUGAUCUUGCAGGAUUGGUCACUGGGAUGGUAAAGCCAUCAGUUGACAUUCUUUGGUUAGUUAGUUUUCCUUCGUUUUAUACGCAUUGCUUAGCUACUUUCUGGUAUCUGGUCAGUCCUCUAAAUGUUCAUAUAUCUCUAUUAUUCUGGUCAAACUCGGCAGGUUUACAUGGAGAAUGAAGCUUUUGACUGGACGAAGAGGAGUUGCUAUACUGUAUGCAUACAUGUUACUGGGUUUGGGCUUUUUGAGAACUGUUGCCCCUGAAUUUGGUGAUCUAGCAAGUCAAGAGCAAGAACUUGAAGGAACCUUUAGGUAUUCAACUUCUUACUAUAUUGUAAUCAUCUCAGCAAGUUCUUUACUUUAAAUUGUAACUGCUUAAACAUCAAAUGGAAUGUCUUCUGUCAGGUUUAUGCACGCAAGAUUACGUACACAUGCUGAAUCUGUUGCUUUCUUUGGUGGUGGUUCUCGGGAAAAAGCUGUGAGUUUCUUGCGCAUAGAUGAAAUCACGCUUAUCUUGAGUUGCGAAUUUAUCAAUGGCUUAUUUCCGACUGUGGAGUUAAUUUUUGUUUUACUCAUGGAGCUUAUACAAUAAAGGAUCCACUUAUUUGUGGAAACGAAAUGUAGUAGCUCCGGAAGCAUGUUGUUUACUUGAACAAUUCGGGGAGUCAUAAGCGAAGUCGCUCUUCUUGUUCUCUGAUUGUUUUAUUCUUGUGUUUCUUCUCUUUGCCUUUGGAUAUAUGCUCGUAUUUUCCCAAUGUUACCUUUUUGGUUGAUUUGUCUUGUUCUUUGACUGUCUUCUACCUUUCAAUUUUUCUUUAUAUUUCGCUUGGAUUGCUAUAUUUGUGCAUAUAUUUAGCAGCAUAAAAGUUUAAAACAGACUCACUGCUGCCAAAAUAUUUGGAUUUUCUUGUUUCCAUUUUGGCCUAACAAGAACUAGAACUCUUCUUGUACAUCUGGUAAAUUUGUAAUUUUUAUUUUUUUCUCUCUAUUUUUUGGGUCUAAUUCAUUUGCAGACAUCUAUCUAUGUCAGAUAAUAGUAUCUCGAACUUUAACUCGUUUACCUGUCUUUCAUAUCAAACAGAUGAUUGAAGCAAAAUUCAGAAAAUUGCUCGAGCACUCGAAGCUUCUGUUAAGGAAGAAGUGGCUCUAUGGUAUACUAGAUGACUUCGUUACGAAGCAACUACCUCACAAUGUGACCUGGGGGCUGAGCUUGUUAUAUGCUUUGGAGCACCAGGGAGACCGUGCUUUAUCUUCCACACAAGGUUGAACAAUUGUGACACUAAAUUUGUUUGGUUAGUUAUUUCACUUUGUCUGGGUUUUUUGCUUGAAAGUUCACUUUUGUCUUUUUCCAGGGGAGUUGGCGCAUGCCCUUCGCUUCUUAGCAUCUGUUGUGUCACAAAGCUUCCUAGCAUUUGGGGACAUUCUUGAGCUGCAUAAAAAGUAUCUUGAACUUUCUGGUGGCAUCAACCGUGUCUUUGAACUAGAAGAGCUUCUACAUGCUGCCCAAAGCGGUACACCUUAUUUGAUUAGAAAUGUUUCAAACCUUGGAUUUCUCGUUGUCAUUUCCAAGUUCUUAAUUUCGUCGAUUCAUAUCAUAACUUUCCUGUUUAGGAAUACAAAUAUAUAUAUCCCUUGCAUUAUCUAUUUGCAUUUAUGUUCCGGCAAAAUUUGAAAUUGUGUCAUUCAAGACAUAAUUUCAAACAUAUAUCCGUUGUACUCAUAAAAAAUGUGCCUCUUUAAGAAACCCUUCAUAAAUUGGUUGACUCCCCCUACUGAAGGGUAUUUUUGUAAGAAGCUGCACUUUCGAGGGUGUAUAUGUGAAAAAUCAUGUUUUACUAGCCUAUAUAUUUAAAUAUGCGAAUCUGCAGGGAUGUGUAAAAUGCCUCUUUUGUAUAUAUUUGAAUAACUGAUCAUGACAUAAAUUUGAAAAACUUAAAGACGGUUCAUCUGCUGAAACGUGCAGAAGUUACUCUUCUUGAUUCUCCUGUUCCUUCCAAAGAGAAUGGUACACCUGCUGAAGAUCGUAUUUCCUUCCAAGAGGUGGAUAUCGUUACUCCAUCUCAGAAGCUAUUGGCUAGGCGGUUAGUAUGUGAUAUUGUUCACGGAAAAAGCCUUCUCGUUACCGGUAAGUUCACUGAUGAUUCUAUUUACAUACAAUCUAUGAGACUCCAACAGAAAAAAAGAAAAUGUUGAUCUUAAAAUGUUCCUAUUGUCUUGAAUUUGCUUGUUUUAUCUCAUCAAGGUCCUAAUGGGAGCGGAAAGAGUUCUAUUUUUAGAGUACUUAGAGAUUUAUGGCCCAUCGUUUCUGGAAGGCUUGUUAAACCCUCUGAAGGAGUGUUUCACGUUCCUCAGCGACCAUAUACUAGUCUGGGGACCCUGAGGGAUCAAAUUAUAUAUCCUCUCUCACGAGAUGAGGCAGAGCAGAGAAUGCUUACAUUGUUCAAUGCAGGUAAAAUAUUACUUUCCGAAAUUUUAGUUGAUUAUGUCAUACUUCGAUUAUCUAAAUGUAGGAACAUAAUUUUGGAAAUUGGUACAUAGUGAUUCAAGGAAGUUUACUUAGACUUAAGCAUUGUAAGCAGCUUUCAUGCUCUAUGUGAAGAUCUGCAUAUUUUGAGAGUUUUUCGUGGGCAUCACUUCAUAUUCUAAUAAAACCCUUUGUCUCUUUUGAACAAUUUCUUUGAAAUUUGUUUGAAAUUAAGUGCAAACUAUUCUCUAAUACCAUUUUAGGACAACUAAAGUUGUCAUAUGCCAUAAGAACUUCAACAUCCCAUGGUAAGGUGUUUUUGCAUUGAAAUAUUAUGUUAGCGGCACGCCACCCCAUGCCAUAUGUUGGUACAUGUGCCGCAGCAUGGAAGCCACAUGCUCCCCUGCCAUUCCAAACUAUUCCUCGCUUCAUUUAGAUACUAUAUAUCAGUUCAAUAAAAAACAAUUAGGGUGUGUUUGUUUGGGUGAAAGUGAGGGGGAAGUGGAGAGGGGGGAAAUUGUUUACGCCGUAAACUAUCACUUCCGUUGUUUGUUUUGCUGUAAUUUUAUUACGGCUGAAAGUUGAGUUCACCCAAAAUAGGGUAAUUGACUUCGCCCUCCCACGGGGCGAAGUCAAUUCUGGUGAAGUGCAAAGAGGCAAAGGAACUUGUUAAAUUUGGUUAGGUAAUGUGAUCAAAUUUGGUUAGGUAAGUUUUAAUAUAUUUUGUCUAAUUUGUAUAUUUAGAAAAUGAUGAAAAAUGAAUUUGUUAAAUGUUAAUAAUUUUUAACUUUAGAAUUUUAUUGUUGCAUUAUUAUAAUUUAUAUGCAAACAAAUAAUAUAAUUUUUUAAAAUUUUAUUUUAUAAUUAUACAUAUAUAUAAUUAUAUACAUAUAUAAUUAUAUUAAUUUUUAUUUAUUAUAAUUUAUUAUUCACUAAGUUACAAAAUAGACAAUGAUAUCACUUCGGAGGUAAGUAUAUCGGGGGUGGAGAGCUACACUUUUUACGUCAUCUAUUUCCUACCAAACAAAUAACAGAACUCGCAGAACUGCACUUCCACAGUUAGAAACAAACAGCAGAAGUGAAUUAAUUUUCACCCCAACUCCACUUCAACCCAAAGUCCACUUCCACCCCAAGUCUACUUACGUUGAAACAAACAGGCCCUUAAACGAAACAAACUUGAUGCUUCGCUUUUUAUUCAAUUAUAUAAUAUUACCUUUCUUUACAAGAUCACUAUGAGGAUUGCAAGGAUCAAGCUACACUCUUGUAGCAGUCUUGUGUAAAGAAUCUCCAGUUUGAUAUCUAACUCAAAAAGUUGAGGAGUCUUAAAAAUCAGCAAACUAUGCUGUCCAUUUACAGAUCUCAUUAUGAAGGUCGCUGACUCAAAAUCCAAAAGUUAGUAUUAAAUUCCCAUUUUGCCGCUUAUAGAACUGUAGUUCAUUUAAGCAGUUGAAUAUAGCAAUAAAAUUCAGUAGCAUUUCAAUUGGACAUCUUAUGGGGAGUGUGCAGUAACAGUAAUCUCGUAUUAAAUACAGGUGACAAGUCCAAGGCGGCUUCUCUCUUGGAUGCUCACUUGAAGACUAUUCUUGAAAAUGUUCGACUAGUUUAUCUUCUUGAGAGGGAAGGUUGGGAUGCUACUCCUAACUGGGAAGACGUUCUAUCGCUAGGCGAACAACAGAGGCUCGGCAUGGUUAGUCAAAUUAAUCUUUGGUUCAACUGUCUAAAAUAGAGGAAGGAAUUUUGUCUUUUACUGCUAUAGCCUAUCCAAUGUUUAAAAACUGAUAGAUAAGUGAUGGAUUUUUCCAAUUUUCCAGGCUCGCUUGUUCUUCCACCACCCUAAAUUUGGUAUCCUUGAUGAGUGCACCAAGUAUGCUACCUACUUUAAUCUUGCUAUGUGUGUGUUCUUUUUUUUUUUUUCUGAAUUUGACUAGUAUUUAGAUCCUUACGCACUUCUUUUUUCUACAGUGCGACAAGUGUUGAUGUCGAAGAGCAUUUAUACAGACUGGCAAAUGAGAUGGGCAUAACAGUCAUUACCUCCUCACAAGUAAGCACCAACAUUACAUCAGAACAUUUUUCUCAUUCCAAUUCACUUUUAGUUGCAAGCUAUUCUUUUCUUUUCCCAUCUUACUAAUUUUCACCUAUUAUAUAGCGGCCCGCCCUCAUACCAUUCCAUUCGUUGGAGUUGAAACUUAUCGACGGGGAAGGGAAGUGGGAGUUAUGCCUAAUCAACCAAUGAAUAUGCUAAAAACGCUGCUUAAGUCACAUUUUCAGGUAGAGAUCUGUCUUAAGAGUCCGACAGGGUGCAACCAGAGGUAUAAAGCAAUCCACAUUCAUGCCGAGAAUAGAGCGUCUCCGCAUGUUUGGAUCUCACAUUGUACUUUUAGAAUAUUUUUAUUCUUUUCUCUUCUGCUGAAAUGUUUUAGCUAGAAGAACAGCAGGUGCCGCAUAGAGUCUACAGGAUUUGCCGAAAGGCGACUACGGUGGGGCCAUGUUUUAGUUUAGAUGCGUGGCACACGCGAUUGGAACUAUGUUAUACUCAGUGGGAUAACAUUGUAGAUAAUCUCAUUUAUAUAUGUAAACAUUAGCAUGUGUUUCGCGCGCGCGAAUAUAGAAAUAAAGUGGCAUAAAGUGAAAGUGUAAUAACACAGUUAUUUAAUUUAAACUGGAAAUCAGAAGGCGUAUUGAAAUUCUUGUGUUGGUGGUCUUUUUCUUUUGACGUUGCAUAUGAUCAUAUGGUUUGUAAAGAGUGAGGUAUUUUUUUUGUUCGAAUGGUAAAACCUUGUUUUAAAGUUAAACAAGGGAAGCAAUGUCGGGGUCGGUGAUCGAAUAUAUUUAUUCAAGACGAUUGAUUCGUGUGAUGAUUCUAGUUACUGAGCUAGUUGUUUGCAUCGUGUUUCUGGAGAUUGUUUAGUUUAGUAGCAGUGUGUUUUUUUUUGAGAAAAAAAUUAUUUGUAGUAAUAGUUAAUAUGUAUGGAGAACCACUCUUUGAAAUAGGGUUUCGUUUAGUUCGAUUUAUAUUAUCUGAGUCUAUCGAAUUAGGGAUUUUAUUAAGUUAUCAUAUUCUUUUUAGGUAAAGAAAGGGGUGAGUUUUAUUAAUUUGAUACGAUUAAUAUCUGAGGGGGCCAUCAUCAAUUUAAAUGGAAUUUUGUUUGAGAAUGAAAUAAUUUAAAUCAAAGCUCAUCAGAAUGUGUUGUAUCAGUGAAAAAAUGAAUAGAUGUGAUUCAGCCUGGGUCUGAAUUUUAACCAUUUGUUUCAAUUCAAAGUUUUUCAGUUGGAAAAUUACCGAUCGUAUUUGUUGCAAUCCAAAUCUCCUCAAUUCGAGUCAAGAUUGCUGUACUUUCAUAAAAUUUAAAUUCUAUUUAAAUUUGAAACUUACUGUUGAUAUCAAAAUUGAGCCGACCUAACCCACGUAUGAGCCAAUAAGGAUACGUGGUACACCAGGAGUCGGCAAUAAGACGCCAGAAGAACAAGAAGGCGGGAACUGUUGAAGAUUGGGACGUAACUUUCAUGAGGAGUUAGUGUAACUUCCAUGAAGAGUUAGUAUAACUUCCACGAUAAUGGUUACAAUUACUUCCCCCAACUACUUUCAACCAACUAAUAAUGUGGGCUAUAAAUAGUAACUUUGAAGCUUGCAAUAGAGGUCUUCGCCCCUGCGCACAAAAGACCAUCUUUAUUUUCCUGCAUCUUUCUAUUCUCGCAUUUACCGCUUUCCCUAAGAGUAGUUCUUGUAAUUUAGCAUACUCGGAGUCUAUCUGCCCUACGGGCAUCACCCCUCUGUUCCCAUACUUGGAGUCUGUCUGCCCUACGGGCAUCACUCCCCUGUUCGUGUAUUUUUUUCCAUUUGCUAUUCAAUAGAAAGCCAUCUUCGGCUCUUCCUGCCGAUCAGAUCACGAGUUGUUUAGCCAUUCAGCUCAUUUCUUAGUCGAAUUCUGGGCUUCUCCUCUCUAUUCGGCUCAUCCCGCCGAAACGAAUUUACUGUGGAGGUUUUCGAACCCGACUGAUUCGAUCCCUCAUCGGCCGAAUCGCUUGAUCCGUCGUGGGCGCAAACUUCGAGGGUCACUAUCCGCAGCCGUUCUUCACCCCGACGCACUCCCCGAGGAGAAUUCUUGACCAGGUCAAGGGUCGGGACAUUCGGCAUUCAACACUUACAAAAAUACAAAACUUGUAGGAAGCAAAAGGAGACCUGCAAUAUUACAUUACAAUAAUGCAAUGAGAAGAAAAGGGAACAUAGAAAUACCAAAAAGUAUUAUUUAGUGAUAUCAUAAAAUAGCCCCUCGAACAAUAAGAUGAAUUUGAGUUUACCAUACGAACAUGCAACUAGAAAGACUGUUAAUACCUCAGAUAAUAGACUCAACACCACAACGCAGUCAGAAUCAUACUUUCCACCUCUAAACGUCGUAUAUCAUUCAAGAAUAGCUCGUCAUAAUAUACCCGAUCAUUCAAGAGUAUGGUAUUAAUUUUUGUUGGUACUAUCUUUGCCUACCUCUCCGGUCAUGAUUAUACUUGGGCAUCCUAGUGUAUAUAGAUCAUAUAACUGAUCUGCUCGAGUGUUGUCCAGUAUAAUAUUCCCACAUGAUGCACAAAACUUAGGAUCAAAUAUAAUCCUUUAUCAUGUUAGUGUUAGAUCAUCAUGCCCCGAUCUACUAAAUUUGGCAUACGUUGUCUAAUGUGUGUGUCCUAUUAUAGAUCUCCACCCCAUAGACCAUACUAACUUUACAGUCUCACAUGAACACUGUAUUGAUUCCUUGAAUCUAUAUAAUCACAUAUAACUCGUAUUCCAAUGCUUGAAUUCUCAACUCGAUCCACAAUUUCUUGGACAUAGCAAAUCCAAUACGUGAGGAAAUCCGAAUUCAUUGUUUCAAUAAAAAAAUUCACAACCAUUAUAUAUACUUGCAAUUGAGAGACUUACGGACCUUAUUAAAGUGACAUAUUCUCAAGUCAAAUCAUACUUACCGAAUACUAUAUGUGAAGGUCCUAAACAAAUUGUUAUAGUAUAAUAUGCCCAAUCACAAUACAUGUCUGCCACCACGAAUGACGCACCUCGCACGGUCGAUGGAUUUUUGGUGCGUGAGGUAGUAUUCAUGAUUCAGAUUGGUAUUUAUAUGUAUAAGUGGGUAUCAGGUUUUGCGGGUCCAUGGCUUCCAAUAGAUGCAAGCAUCUACUAUUAAUUACCCCCUUGAGAUUGGGGUACCUUCGAUUAGGAGACCUUCAUAGAUGGGAUGAGUUGAAUCGCGUCUCGGUUUAUUGAAUCCUAAGUAUAUGUAUUAGGAUUCAGUUGGAUUUGAGGUUGAUUAGGCCCUAAGUAUAUGUGUUAAGACCUAAUCGAUAUUAAACUCUAUGUAUUAGAGUCUAAUUGGUUCAUGAGAUAUGGGUAUGAGAUCUCGGUAUUCGUUCAUGGGAAUUAGGUAUUGGUUUAUGAGAUUUGGGUAUUGGUUCAUAGGAUAUGGGUAUUAGGUUGGAUGUAUGGUUCAUGGGAUUAAAGUCCAUGAGGUUUGGUGUAUGGUUUAUGGGGUUUGGUCCAUGAGGUUUAGUUGUGGUUCAUGAGAUUUGGUCCAUGAGGUUUGGUUGGUUCAUGGGAUUUGGUCCAUGAGAUUUUGUUGGUUCAUGGAAUUUGAUCCAUGAGAUUUGGUUUAUGGUUCAUAGGAUUUGGUCCAUGAGAUUUGGUUUUGGCUCAUCGGAUUUGGUCCAUGAGGUUUGGUUUUGGCUCAUGGGAUUUGGUCCAUGAGGUUUGAUUUUGGUUCAUAGGAUUUGGUCCAUGAACUUGGUUUUGGUUCAUGGGAUUUGCUCCAUGAACUUGGUUUUAUAUGUGAACUUGGUUUGGUUUGGGUUUGGAUUUGAUUCUGGAAUGGGUUUGGGGUUCUUUAUGUGGACUUGGCUUGGUUUCGGUUUAUUUUGGUUUUGGGUUGGAUGUUUAUUUGGACUUUAUUUGGUUAGGUUUUAUUUGUGGAUUUGGUUUGGGUUCUUAUGUGAACUUGAUUUGGGUUUGGGUUUGGAUUUAGUUUGGGUUUUGGGUUUGGGUUUAUUUGGGUUCAAGUUUGGGUUUAUUUGUGGGUUUAUUUGUGGACUAUGUUUGGUUUGGAUUUGGGUUUAUUUGGGUUCAAGUUUGGGUUUAUUUGUGGGUUUAUUUGUGGACUAGGUUUGGUUUGGAUUUGGGUUUAUUUGGGUUCAAGUUUGGGUUUAUUUGUGGACUUGGUUUGGUUUGGAUUUGGGUUUAUUUGUGGACUUGGUUUGGUUUGGAUUUGGGUUUAUUUGUGGACUUGGUUUGGUUUGGGUUCUGAACUUGACUUGAUUUAGGUUUGUAGGUGAACUUUAUUUGCAAUUUGGGUUCGCAUAUGAACUUAAUUUGCAAUUUGGGUUCGCAUAUGAACUUAAUUUGCAGUUUAAGUUCGUGUAUAAACUUGAUUUGCAAUUUGAUUUGGGGUCCGAAGAAAUCCCCUUUUGAUUUUGCCAUUAGAUUUGGGGUCCGAAGAAAUCCCCUAUUGAUUUUGCAAUUGAAUUUGGGGUCCGAAGAAAUUCCCUAUUGAUUUUGCAAUUGAAUUUGGGGUCCGAAGAAAUCUCCGUUUGAUUCUCCAAUUGGAUUUGAUUUGGGGUCCAAAGAAAUUCCCGUUUGAUUCUCUGAUUUGGAUUUGAUUUGGGGUCCGAAAAAAUCCCCGUUUGAUUCUCUAAUUUGGAUUUGAUUUGGGGUCCGAAGAAAUCCCCGUUUGGUUUUAAUUUGGUGUCCGAAGAAAUCUCCGUUUUGAUUCCAAUUUGGAGUCCGAAGAAAUCCCCGUUUUAAUUUUGAUUUGGGGUCCGAAGAAACGGGGAAUCAAAUAUUCCCCUCCCCUCUUCUUGCGAGGCUGUAGAUGACGUCGACGAAGUUGAUGACGGUGGCGUGGAUCUGUUCGGCCAUCGGAUUUGAUUUGACAUUUUCGAAGAAAUGUUGAAGGGUCCGAAGAAACAGGGAAUCAAAGAUUCCCCUCCCCUCUUCUUUCGAAUGUAUCAAACCGUCGGUGUUGUAGAUGAUGUCGAUGAAGUUGAUGACGGUAGUGCGGAUUUGUUUGGCCGUCGGAUUUGAUUUGACAUUUUCGAAGAAAUAUUGAAGGGUCCGAAGAAACGGGGAAUCAAAGAUUCCCCUCCCCUCUUCUUUCGAAAGUAUCAAAUCGGCGAUGUUGGGGUGGUCGCGGCAAUGUAGAUCACCCAUUCCAUCAUCAACAACUUCGAAUGGGGUAUUAAGAGGUCCGAAGAUAUGGGGAAUCAAAGAUUCCCCUCCACUCUCCCAUCGAAGCCAUCUAGAUAGUAUGGAUGGCUACAAUCGCAGGACCAAAGAAAAAAAAAUAGAGGGGGGGAAGAAGAGAGAUCAUUUUUUUUCUUUUUCUUUCUUUUUUUUUUUUCUUUUUAUGUUNUUUUUUUUUUUUUUUUUUUUUUUUUUUACCUGUUGAUCAAAUGACGGAUUGGAUGAAUCAGCUCGACGAUUCCUCCACCUUUUCACGGCUCAGCGAUCUCUCCUCAUUUUCGCGGCUCGGCGAUUUCUCCUCCUUUCCGCGGCUUGGCGAUAUCUCCUCCUUUCAGCGGCUCGGCGAUAUCUCCUCCUUUGAAUACUUUGAACGUGGAAAUAUGUGUAGCAAUCUAUCUCUCUUUUUUUUUUAUCUAUCGUCUCUGUAAAAAAUUCCUCAAGAAUUUGAUUUCGGUUCCCGUAUUUAUAAUGAGAGGGGAGGAGUUAGUUAGGAAUUCAAAAUUCGAAAUUCGAAUUUUGAAUUAUUUGUUGGAUGGUUGGAGGAUAUUUGGGGUGUGGUUGGGAAUUGAAUUUUCAAUGAGUUGUUGGAUAGUUGGAAGAUAUUUUGGGAGUUGGUUGGAGGUUCGAAAUUCGAAAUUCGAAUUUUGAAUGGAUUAUUGGAUGAUAUUUUGAAGUUGGUUGGGAAUUCAAAAUCGAAUUUCGAAUGGAUUGUUGGAUGAUGUUUUGGGAAUUGGUUAGGGAAUUCGAAAUUCGAAAUCGAAUUUUGAAUGAGUUGUUGGAAGAUGUUUUGGGAAUUAGUUGGGAAUUCGAAAUUCGAAAUCGAAUUUCGAAUGGGUUGUUGGAUGAUAUUUUGGGAAAUGGUUGGGGGUUCGAAAUUCGAAUUCGAAUUUCGAAUGGGUUGUUGGAUGAUAUUUUAGGAAAUGGUUGGGAAUUCGAAAUUCGAAUUUCGAAUGGGUUGUUGGAUGAUAUUUUGGGAAUUGGUUAGUGAAUUCAAAAUUCGAAAUCGAAUUUUGAAUAGGUUUGUUGGAGGAUGUUUUGGGAAUUGGUUAGGGAUUCGAAAUUCGAAAUCGAAUUUUGAAUGGGUUGUUGGGUAGUUUGGUAUUCAAAAUUCGAAUGGAUGUUGGUUGGGGAUUCGAAAUUCAAAAUUGAAUUUUGAAUGGGUUGUGGGAUGGAUAGGUAUUCAAAAUUCGAAUGAAUGUUGGUUGAGAGAUAUUUUGGGAGUUGAUUCGAAGUUCGAAAUCGAAUUUCGAAUAAGGUUAUUAGGAUAACAGAUAUUUUCUGGGGGUUUAAAAAUUUAAAAUCGAAUUUGAAUAUGAUAUUCGAAAUUGAAUUUUCAAAAGUGGGUGAAAAUGUGGGCCAUGAUCCCAUGAAUUGGGCUGAAAUUGGGCCCACUUUGAUGAGACUUGUUGGGCACAAUUAUUCAUUGAGCUGAGACGAGGCCCGAAUUAUUGUAUAGGCUUAAAAUUUUAAAGGGCUUUCAUGAGGCCCAUUAAUUCAUAUUUAUGAAUGGGCCUAUUGUAGAAAUUAUAAUUAUUGGCCCCAAAAUUUUCUGACCAACAUGAGACCUAUCAAAAUUGUUUGAGUCUGAAUCUAAUCGGUUUCGAUUAUGAUUAGGAUUUUUUUUUUUUUUUUCACUUCAAACAAUACAAUAUGACUAUAUCAUAGAUUAGCGAAUGUGACAAUUUCACGGUUCAUACGAUAUAUCGGAAAUGACAAUCAAUGUACUAUGAUACUAGCUAGUAUUCAUGUUCAGAGGUAUCAUUUGGUUCAAGAAUAGGCAAGAAUUGCUUAGUCUUAGAACAAGUUCAAGAAUAAACAGGAACAACACCAAAUUUUUAUUUGAAUAAAAAUUAGGUUAUUUUUGGGUACAAGAAAAAUAAUGUUUGAAUGAAUGAAGAGGAAUAAGGUCCUAUUUGGAUGCAUAGUUAAAAAAUUCUAUGGACUUUUUAUUCUGUGGUUUUGGUCUAAAUGAAAUACGGAAUUCUGUGACUAUAAAAAGAAUUCCACACCUUCAUUUUUAAGCUGUUUGGAUACAUAUGGUACAAUUCCACAGGAUUUAUAAUAAUUAAAGUUCUAAAAUUUAAAAUUCAAAAUUCAAAAUUUAAAAAUAAAUAAAAUUUUAAAAAAUUAAAAUUUAAAAUUCAAAUAUUAAAAUUUAAAAAUAAACUUUUAUAAAUUUGAAUUUCAAAAUAUAAAAUAUAAAAUUUAACAUUCGAAUAUCAAAUUUAAAAUUAAUUUUAAAAUUUUAAAGUUUAAAUUAAAAUUUUAAAAGUUUAAAAUUAAAAUUAAAAAUUAAAAAUAAAAUAUAAAAAUUAAAAUUAAAUAUUAAAAUAUUAAUAUAUUUGAAUUUUGAAUUUUUAAAUUUGAAAUUAGAAGUUUGAAACUUGAAAUUUGAAUUAGAAUAUGAAAUCUGAAACCUAUAUCUUAAAUUUAAAUAUUGUAAUUAAAUUUAAAAUUUAAGUUUUAAAUUUAAUUUUAAAUUUUAAUUUAAGAUGUACAAUUUAAACUUUAAAUUUGAAAUUUAAUCAAAAUCUAUAUUUAAUAUUUUGAAUUUUAAAUUUAAAAAUGAAAAAAUUUUAAAUUAGCAAAUUUAUAAAUUUGAAAUUUUGAAAUUUAUUGAAAUAAAUUUAAAAUUUAAUUUAAAUUUUAAAUUUUAAAUUAAUUUAAAUUUUAAAUUUCAAAGUCAAAAUUUCAAAUUUAUAAAUUUGUAAAUUAAAUUUAAAAAUUUGAAAUUUGAAAUUUUUAAUUCAAAGUAGAAAUUUAAAAUUUAAAUUAAAACUGAAUUUUAAAAUUUUAAAAUUUGAAAUUCUAGAUCGAAAUUUUAAAUUUUAUGUUGAAAUUUAAAAUUUAGAACUUGUUACAUCUUUGGGGGUAAGGGUGCCUAAAAAUGGUGGAAUUUUCCCACAGUUAAAGUAUAUUGUAAUUUUACUCGGUUUUUAUGAUAUGGAAUGAAGUAUACUUAAAAAUUACGUGUUUUAUUCUUUUUUUUUUUUUUUUUUUUUUCAAACGCUUCAUAGGAUAUAAAUUCAUUAUGACAAAAAUACUCUUCUCCUUAAACCAAUCUUUGUAAAGUUUUAAUUAUUAAAAUUGAAAAUAUAUCAUCACAAAAUUAGCAUUUUAAAUUUGAUUAAUAGUUUUAAAAUAAUUAAAAACACAUUUAGUAGAAAACAAAUUAAAUUAAAUUAAAUUAUCUGCAUUAGAUGUAAUUAAUAUUAUUAUAUUUUAAUACUAUCAUCUAUUAAAAUUAUAUUCUCUUACAAAAUUAGUAUUUUACUUUCAAUUAUUUUAAAUUAAAUAAAGAUAUAAUUAAUUACGCACAUCUAUAUAAAGAAUUUUAAUGGCAUCUAUGCAUAGUGUACUAUAGUAAUUAAUUAAGCCAUCUAUAUAAAUAUAAGGAAUGCUUGAAGAUUAAUUUCAUCUGAAAAAAGGAUAAUUAAUUAAGAACCUCGAGCAGAAUAAUUAAUUAAUAGAUUUUACAAGUAUUGAUAGAUUUUACAGAACUUUUAUAUAGAGGAUUUUGAAAAGAGGAGAGAGAGGGAGAGAGAGAGAGUAAUUAAUCGUCCGCUUCAAGGCAAAAAAACAAAACCCUAACCCUAACCUUGGUAGCCCUUUUCCACCCCCGGUUCUGCUCUUCAUCUUCUUCUUCGUCUUCGGUAACAUCGCUUUCUAUGUAUCUUUAUCUACAGCCGAAGGAGCCGCCGCCGCUUCCGGAGGAUGCCAGAAAAGGAGAAGCAGAGCCGCCGGGGUCGCCGGAGAAGAAGGAGAAGAACAGGAAGCGGAAGGGCAAAUCCUCCGUUUCGGCGGAGAUCGUCGAGGGUUUCAGCGUGUUCGGGUGCUCUGAGUCCGUUUCUUCUGUGAGAAACUCUAGUUCCGGGGAAGCGGAUGGCUCUAAUACUCAUAGCAAGGAGGUGGCAAUGGCAAGGGAGAUCGAGGUCGGCCAAGUUGCUGAUUUGAGUUUCUUGUUUAAUUUCUAUUUUUUGGGCUAAAGAUUUCAUUUUAAUUUGGAUUUUGUUGUUGUUGGUGUGGGGUUACAGAGAGCUUCGAUUCUGCGGAAGAAGCAUGGGAUUCAUAUUUCAGGUUAUAAUGUUCCUGCACCGCUUGAGAGUUUUGAAGAACUGAGUUCAAGGUUGGCCUUUGUUGUUCAUCACGUUAGCUGCAGUGUUGCUGAUUUACUAAUUUUGGAUAUUUGUGAUAUGUUUUGGAUUGAUAAUGUUUUUACUAGAUUCCAUAGGAGGAACAAGUGCAAUGCUGAUCUAAUACUAGUAGGGACUUUUUGUUUUGCAUAAUAUUGCAAAGAUUCUUUUAUAUGUAAGAAUUAAUGGUCUAUUUAUUCAAGAUAGUUAUUUUGCACUAUAUAUUGGAAAAUAGAAUUAUAUGCUAGAACUCGACUUUUUCGUGUUGCUCUACUGAAAACGGCAUUGACAAUUGACAUUUUUGGGCUUGCAUUUUUUGUUGGCUUUAUCUUUUGUGAAUAUUUAUUUUGGGAGCCUUAGGACUGAGGUAACUUAGGAUUUCUGUGAUGCCUGAACCCAAUCUUAACCAUUGUCAACUGCAUCUGUGUCACGUAUCUUAUAUCUUAAUUCAUAUGCAUAGGAUGUUAUCAAAGUAGUUUAUUAUUGAGUUGUAAAUCAAAGAGGGAUUCAAAAUCAUGAAAUCCAAAAAGGUUCUGAUGACCUUUUGAGACCUCUGAUAUUUUUUAAAAAUGUGGAAAAUUUUCACAUAGUUGGAAAUAUAAACCUAAUUAAAUUCAGAUAUGCAAAAGAUUAAUUGGUCAUCAAUUACAUAACGCUGGUAGAAAAUAUGUUUUUUCUCAAAUGUGAUAGUUCAAAACUGUAUGGUAGUUGCUUCUGGAAGUUAGGAACAUAUUACCGACCAAUUCUUGUCUAAAAUAUUUUUGACAUAUGGUCAAGGAUUGCCAUUCCAGUCGGCAUGAUCUGGCAUAGUCGGCAUGUGCUGCCUGUGCCGACUGUGCCAACAUAUAAAAUGGGGCGUGCGUUGGCGUGCCGUGCCGUGCUGUUGGCACAUCAGAUGCCCGUACAAGUGGCUCGACAAUCCUUGCAUGGGGUUGUAGUGAGCUGGUCAAGGUGGAUAUUAUGAUUCAAGGGUUGGUAUUACCUGUGGUGUUGAUUUGCCUCUCUCUCUCUCUCUCUCUCUCUCUCUCUCUCUCUCUCUCGCUCUUUUUGGUUCAGGUUGUUAUCGGAAGUUUCUUUCUAAACCAUUUUGGGUCAUUUCCAACUUUCCAUCUACAUUAGUAUUUCUAAUUCUCUACAGCAUAAAAUUGUGACAACACACCUAUGUAAGAAUCUUAUAUGUUGCAAAUGCCAUUAGCAAAUCAACUGAAUAUUAAGAGAUCCCAUGUUAUGUACACUUUUUGGAGACCGACCUUUCAUUUUUUCCAAUUAGCAUUAUUGAAGUGUCUGUUGAAGCUUGAAAAGUGAAAAAUUGAAAGGUUUUAGCAUGGGUAUAGAUAUGAACUAAGAAUUGUAAAGAAAACAUCAUUUUUUAAAUUAGAAUAGUUUGAAAGAAAAACAAAUUAAAAAUUUAAAAUCUUACCUUGUAAAUGGUAGAGACAAACUCAUACAACUUAGUUUCUUUCUCAUAGGAUUACCUUAAUCAAUAUUUUAGUAUGCUUUACUAUAGUAGCGCAUAAAUGAGGGGUCUUUGUACUCUUUUUCCUUAAAAAAGAAUUAUUGAACGACGAGAUGUCAACCAAAAGAAAAAGUUUUAAGCCCUUCAUAGAAAUGGCAUAUAGUAGAGGGGUCCAAAUACAAUUUUAUAUUUAUAAAAAUUUUUUUAAUACACUUCGCAGUAGUUGAUAGCAUUUCAACAGAGGUUUUCCAAACAUCUUUCUAUACCAAAUAUAAUAAUGCGAAACAACAGUUUUUCUCUAAAAGCUUAAGCCGGUAGAGAAUGGUGUUCUUAUAUUUUUUAUAUUUAACAUUCCGGCUCACAUUUGGACUCGAGACUUUUUGAUAGGCCAUGAAGUGGACUCGAUUUAAAUGGAAGGAAACCAAUUAUGCAAGGAGCCUGGUGUAACUCGAACUCGGGAUCUCUUGCUUUGAUACCAUGUUAAAUAAUGCGAAACAACCGUUUUUCUCUAGAAACUUAAGCUGGUAGAGAAUGGUGUUUUUAUAUUUUUAUAUUUAAAAGUAGACAACACUUUUAUAGCUGAAUUAGACAAACCAUCUACAUUUGUUUCAAUAACAUCGCACUAUUCUAUAUAGCACCUUUUCAACCACACUACAGUCGAUAGCUUGGCUAAACGGGCCUUCUACCGUCUUGCUCUGAUAGGCUAUCAAUUCUAUCAAUGUUAUUUUAAUCCUUAUAUACUCUACCACCCGUGUCAACGUUAUCAAUUUAUUGUGGCUCUAUUCUAUCCAAAAAUAAUUAUCAGGAAUAUUACCGAGUUGAAAAGUAGACAUAAAUCAAAUCUAUAAACACCAAAUUUUGUAAGAAAAUCAAUGAACCUAGUCCGUGACAAGCAUACUAUAGUAUUUGGUGGUGACAGACUCAAAACCCACAUGGUGUUGCAAAUUUAUUCAGAAUGUUGCAUAUGGUUCGGCAUGAUACAACCCCCGUACCGAUCGCAUAGCUCACAAUUCCUAUUUUUUAAAUUAGUAAGUAAUUUUCUCAACAAAAGAUAUGAUAAAAAUACAUAAUAAAUAGUUAGAAUAUUUGUUGCUAAAGAAAAUAAAUAUUUCAUGCCAUUAUGUGUCGGCACAUAUGUAUUUUUUGUGACCUGCACGCAUUGGCACUGUCUAGCGCUCACCGUGUCGUGCCGUACCGUACUGGCAAGUUUUCGGUACAACCAUGUGCCACGGCACUUAAAUUCUUAGUUUAAAUGAUAUUUUGCAGACUUAGGAUUCAAUUUCAUAGGAACUAUUGGGUUUUUUGAUUCAGUUAUGUUGCAAACAAUCCAACAGUCUUUGAAUUUGCUAGAGAACAAUUUUAAGUGUAAGAUUGAAAACACUGUUGAUCUAUAGAUGCAUGUUCGCUAAAUGAAAUUUUUGUUGAGACGAAAGAAUGCUCAAAACUCUUGUAGCUUAAUUUAUUCUGAUGUGCUAGUAAUGCAACAUUGACACAUAAAACUUACAAUUUGGAUGAAUUGAAGUAAUGAAGCUUUAGCAGGCUACAAACAUUUCAGGACGAGCGACAAUGUUGGAUCUUCUACAUACAUCUUCAUCGCCAUUUACAUGGGAGAGAUGCAUACUGAGAUCAAAAGUCUGACUCAGAUUUUUUUCUUUUAAACUGAAGAUUGCAACUCAUAAUCAAAUUUUGUUUAGUGACCAGUGGCAGCCUGGUAUAUAUUUCAAUGAUGAUGAAUCAGUAAUAUUAUGUGUUCUUAUUUGGUUAUGUCGUUGUUUUCAUUUUUGCCAUUUUAUUCUUUAAUAUUUGUACCUCCAUGGAGCUCUCUAUUAUAUUCUCUCCCUUUCCACUGGCUCUUGUCCACUUGCAGUAUUCAAUGCAGGAAAUUUCAUUCUUGGGUAUGAAGUUCCUAAAUUUAGUUUUCUAACUUGGUAUGCUACAAAGCUUGUUAAUUUCAUAAUUUAUUACAUGGACAGGUAUGGCUGCAAAUCCAAGUUGUUGCAGAACUUAUCUGGACUUGGAUUUAAAGAACCUACACCUAUUCAAAGGAAGGCUAUUCCAGUGCUCCUCUCAGUAAGCUCUUUUACUUCACUGGCUCCCUUGUGCUUAAUAUUCGAGUCCCCCGUUCCAAAGAAAAAGGGAUAAUUUAUGUUUAUUGUAGAAAACUAGCUUGACUUUAUCUGAUAUAUUGCAGGGGCGAGAGUGCUUUGCCUGUGCUCCAACAGGUUCUGGAAAGACAUUGGUUUUUCUAUUUCCAAUCCUUAUGAAAAUUAAGGUGGCAUUUUUCAGUUUGGGUAUUAUCCAUAAGAGAGACACUGGGCAUACUCUAAGACUAAUUUGCUGCUAACAGCCAAGAACUAAGGAUGGUGUAAAAGCUGUGAUUCUUUGCCCUAUGCGAGAAUUAGCUGCACAAACUACAAGAGAGUGUAAGAAGUUGGCUAAAGGAAGGAAAUUUUAUAUCAAAUUAAUGACUAAGGAGCUAUCUCGAUCUGGUGAUUUUGAAAAAAUGCAUUGCGACAUUCUUGUUUCAACUCCACUGCGGUUGGACUUUGCUUUGAGGAAAAGAAAGCUCAAUUUAAGUAGGUUUGUGCUAAAAGUAUCAGUUCUUUGAAAGAUCCUUUCUUAGUUUUUCUUUUAUUUGCUGUAUAUAAAAGAUUCAGGAACAAUCUACAUAUGAUCUCUUAUGCUUCAAAAUGCUAGAACGUUUAGAUUUUCUCUUACCUGUAGUUUAUCUUGCUUUGAAAGGCAAACUUUCUAUUUGUAAUUCGGUAACUAUUUCCCUUGAAUCUUAUGAAUCAUGCCUGGUUCUUUUUGUGUACAAGCAACCUAACGAUAUUCUUGCCAUAUAUGCCUAAUGGUACAGUUCUUUUGAUGUUGAUCAUUAAUGUCAUUUUCUAUUACUUUGUUUCGAAAGUGAACUUGUUGUUCGAGUCAUUCAAGUAUUUCAAACAUUUAAGAAAAAUCUACACAGUUUAUUGAGUUCGAAGUGUAAGGUCGAUUACCGUAUACUCAUAUAUUAUUUUGAAUUCAACUGUGAAACCAGCAUGAAUAUUUAGUCGAUAGAUGUUGCUGAACUUCUUUAAUUUGUCAAAGUUACUCUUUCUUGUAAAUAUUCUUGGUAAAUCACAUCUCUUAUGUUCUAAGUAUUUUUGACCUUAUGGUUUUUGAUCAUAUUAGAGUUGGAUGAAGAAAAAGGGAUUUGGUCAGAAAAUUUAAUCCUUUAUUUGUUGCUUGCUGCAGGGUGGAGUACCUUGUCUUGGAUGAAUCAGAUAAGCUAUUUGAGCUUGGAUUUGUUGAGCAGAUUGAUUCUGUUGUUAAAGCUUGCUCGAAUCCUUCGAUUAUUUGUUCUUUAUUCAGUGCCACCUUGCCUGAUUCUGUUGAAGAACUUGCGCGUUCAAUAAUGCAUGAUGCAGUUCGAGUCAUUGUGGGUAGAAAGUGAGUAUUUCCAUCAAGACUCACACCUGAAUUCCAUUCUGUUCAUCAUUUAUGCAUGUCUUCAUAGCAUUUUUCUCACAAUAUAGUUCCUCCUGAUUGUAGAAAUUGAGUACCGUCUAUUUUGUACUUUUCUGCUCAGUUGUUUAUUUAAGCCUUAUAUUUGAAAGAUUCUAACAGAAAUUCUGCUUCCGAGUUGAUCAAGCAAAAACUGGUUUUUGCUGGAAGUGAGAAGGGAAAGCUUCUUGCACUUCGUCAAAGCUUUGCUGAAGUAUGCUUCUUAUAAUUGUCUUAGUUUUUUUCCACAUUUACUUCUGAAGUAAUGCUCUAGUGUAUUUUGGUAUUUUAUGCUCAUACUUAAGACCAAAAAAAUGAUGUAUUUCGAAUGAAGUAAUUUUGUUAUUCUUCAACAACAACCUUUUCUGCUGCUUUUUCUGUUUGGAUAGUUUGUGGUUGUUGAAUAUCUGGUCUUGAUGGACCCUCUAGGGCUGAAUGCGUACGAGAAUAACUUUUAUGGCAUAGCUCCUGUUGUUUAUUAAGGGACCAUUUGGUAGUUGAAUGUCGAGAGGCAUGAGAAUUGAGAAGUUGCCUAAACUUGAUAUGAAGGAAUAGCGAGCACGAAAGCAAACACUAUACAACACAAGUUAUCACCAUGUAAUAUAUGCCGAUGUCCAAAUAGGCCUUUAGUAAGUAAUAUGAGAUCAUUUAUGUUAUUGUCUGUUAUUGGUGUGUUCUUUAAUUGCCCGAUCAAUGAAUUCCUUUAACUCAUAUAAGACUCUUUUAUUGAAGCUGAUGUUAAGUUCUGUUCCACCUAAAUCUUUGACGAACACGUGGAGAGUUUUAGCAUCACUAAUGCAGCAUUAGGAGAAGGCAGUUUCUAUUUUUAUUUUAUUAUUUUGCUGUUUGCUGUUCAAAGUUUCAUUUUACGAAAUGCUAAUUAAUUUUUAAUUUUUAAUUUUCUUUUCCAUGUAGUCUCUAAAUCCUCCGGUAUUGCUGUUUGUUCAAAGCAAAGAAAGAGCAAAGGAACUAUACAAGGAGUUAGCAUUUGAUGACAUUAAAGCUGAUGUGAUUCAUGCGGACCUCACUCAGCAGCAGGUACUAUUUAUAAAAAGAAAAAUUACAUUUUAAAGCAUAUCCCGGAGUUGAUUAUAUCUGUGCAAAAAUGCCUCUAAUAUUUAUUAUUUGACCACUUGAAUUUACCAAUAUCUAGUUAAAGAACAUUCUACCCUUUCAAAUGUGUGUCCCUCUAGGUACUUUGAUGAUCAUUUUUGUCCCCUCACCUGUUAAUUUCUUAUGCUGCCCCUAUUAACUUAGUUCCUAAGUUUUUCAUUCUAGUUUAUAUAUAUAUUUGAAAAGGGUACAACCAGGGUUUCCAGUGUUGUCCUGUGCUGUCUCCCAAGAUAGGGGCCACGGUACAGGGGGGGAGGGGUCUCGCAGGACCCCCAUGCCGCAAUACCCAGUGGGUAUUGCACGAGACAACGCGAUACCCGCUAGAGUAUCCGGCAUAGUAUUGUGCCAGUUUUUUAUUUUUUAUUUUUUUGUGAUUUGUUAUCAAAUCUAAUCUAGAAUGUCUAUUACAGUAUUAAAUAUAAUAGAAUAUAACUAACUAAAUUCGAUUUAUGUAAUUUUUACCUAAAUUAAUCUAACCUAGUUUAAAAAUUCUAAUCUAAAAUUACCUUAUUUAAUCUACUUUGAUAUCGAAUCUAAUUUAAUCUAUAUUUUAUAUUUAAGUUCCUAACCUAAUUUAGUCUAUUCUAAUCUUAUGAAAAAACUAAUAUAAUCUAGAAUUACUUAAGCUCUUCUAUUCCAAUUAGAAUUUGUAAAUUAGCAUAAAUAUAAAAUAAUUUUGAUUUACUAUUAUUAGAUAUAUUAGAAUAUAUAGUUGGUUAUAGUAGAUUAUAUAGCCAAUUUAAUUUGACAACAUCAAGAACAUCUGUACCAAAAUUGUCAAAUAAAUCUUGUAUCUGCAAAUGACGAUAUGCUAUAUAAUCCACCAUGACGAUCUAUGUGGAACUAAACAGCAAGGAUUAAAAUACCCAUCGGCACAGGCCGUAUUCACUGUGUUGAUAUUUAAUGUUUUCUAAUUUCAGAUUCUUCAAUAGACUCCAAUGUUUUAAUGUUAGCUGGUAUUUUCUUUUGUAUGAUGACUUAACAGUAUAUUUGAUCAGCAUUUUUUCGAGUUGAAAAUAUCACUGCUGGAUAAUUAUGCUAACUUCUUUCCAUGAAUUUAUUGUUUUAUUUACUAAGCGAGAAGAUGUCGUCGACAACUUUAGAGCAGGAAAGACGUGGGUUCUGAUAGCAACUGAUGUCAUUUCACGUGGCAUGGACUUUAAGGGCAUCAACUGUGUUAUAAACUACGAUUUUCCUGAGUCAGCUGCGGCUUAUAUUCACCGGAUAGGUAUGCAAUGUGACUGAUAAUCCUUAGGCUUGCUCUUCUAUCGUUAUAACGCCUAGGAAUGUUUAGCCAGUUAGACCCUUGAUAUGAUUUUGACUGGCGGUUACGCAUAAUGGUAGGCCUGAUCAGUCUUCAUAAAGUUAUUUUUGUUAUUAGAAAUCCCAAGGUCAUUUUUCUAUAAAGAGUUAGAUUUAAGGAUCAAAUACAAAUUUAGUGACUGAAGUUUUACCUUGAUUCCUAGUUUGUCCUCAAAGGUUUUGUAAUGACCGAGCCACUACUACUAACAACUUACUACUAACAACUUGUUGGGCCAAAAUUGUCUGCUGAAAGUACUUAAGCCCCGUUAUUAAUAAUACAGUGAUAGCCACAUAUAAGACCGUCACAUCUCCCACAUUAUCCACACACAGUCACACACACACACACACACACACACACACGACAUCCUUGUCAGGCCUAAUUGUACACAGUCCAAACUUGCCUGCGAUGUGAGAAUUAUUUUACACUUUCGGUUGGCAAUCAAUCUUGCUAUGAUGCCGAUGUUACAGCCCAGCUGCUAUCACUAGUAAUUUAUUGAGUUCAAACCACUUGCUCAAAAUGCUUAAAAUUUCAAUUGUUAGUAAGAGAGUUCUGGCCAUCUUUAAGACUCUCAUACUCUUUCACAUUAUCCGAUGUGUGAUUAUUGUAGUGUUAUUGUUUUAAUUGUAACAAUUUAGCCAGCGAAGUUUGGCUUCAUUCUAAAUUUUACCCGGAAAAUUUAAAUUCUGACAAAUUCAGUUCAUAUAGUUUUGACUCCCUAUUUCAUUUUUGUCCAAAAUCUAAAGUUGCUGAUGUGGCAACUUUUUAGAAUGGUAAAAUAGCUGGACUUAAUUGUUAUGUGGAAGAAAUUCACAAAGUAAAGUGCUACUAUUGAAACCAUAAGAACUACAAUUUGAAAUAUUAUGCUGGAGUUACUCGAACAAAGUAAAAUGCUACUAUUGGAACUAUAGGAACCAAAAUUUGGAAUUUAAACCUAGAUUUUGGCCACUUAGAAUGAUGUUUUCACAAGGGAUAGAUUUUGGUCUAUGUAUAGUGUCUAUUAAAUAAGGUUUAAAGUGCCGUGGCACGGGGGCGUGGCGUUAUGUCCUUGGCACGGUACGGCACGGGCACGCUUGCGUGCCAACACGUGGCACGCUUGCGUGCCGACAGCGUGCCGAUAGAUACGCACGACCUCCUACUGGCACGCUUUGGCACGGAUUUUUUAAAGUUUUUUUGGUUCCAAUAAGCUUUUAUAAUGUUAUUUUGAAAGAUUUAGACAAAUUAUUAUUAAUUUUUGCUAUGUAUAGCUUAUUAUACUCAUCAAUUAACAUGCAUGUAAGCAUUUUGUAUAUAAAGUACAACUAUACCUGAUGUAGAAUAGAAAUUAAAAUUCUUUUGUUUUUAUUUUUUUGUUUUUAUUUGAAAAGUACAACUAUACUUGCUGUAACAUUUGAAAAUUCUUUUGUUUUUAAUUUUUUUAGAAUUUAAAAAAUUAUAACAGAUAAAAUGACAGAAAAUUUUAUUUUUUCUAAAAACGUUUCAAAAUCUAUAUAUUGAUUCGAUUAUGAAGUAUAAUAACUAGAACAACCAGAAUAGUACCGCAAUUACAUCCAUUUUUUUUUUUAUUCUUUUAAAAAAUAUCUUAUCAAAAUUUGUUUAGGAGAUCGAUUUUUGUUCCCCUAAUUCAUCGAAAACUUCGCGGUGCGAUAAAUUUUAACAAAAUAAUUUGCGAAGAAAAAAUGGAUGUCUGUGGUGGAAGUGGAGGGCUCGGGCGAAGUGAAAAAAUAAAAGAAAAGUAAAAAAAAGGCAAUAUAGAUGGCCGGGCGAAGGCUCUGUAUCCCAGAGAACAAAAAAAAAAAAGAGAAAAAACCAAAAAAAAAAACCAAAAAACCAAAAAAAAAUAAAAAAUAAAAAAUAGGGCGGCACGCGGCACAGUGCCGCGGCACAUGGCCGUGUGCCGCUUUGUCUCGAGCGGCACGCGGCUUGUGCUGCGGCACCCAGGGGGGGUCCGAGACCCCCCCUGUACCGUGCCCCCUUCUUGGGGGCACGGUAUGGCACGCCCCGUGCUGUACGGCACGGGGCGGCACCUUCAUCUUUGUCUAUUAUACUAUUAUAGAUAUAAUAACUUAGCCUGUUAUUUAUACCUCUAGGUCGGUCGGGAAGAGCCGGUAGAACUGGGGAGGCAAUUACGUUCUACACUGAAGAGGAUAAACCAUUUUUACGGAACAUAGCCAAUGUGAUGGCAGCUUCGGGAUGCGAAGUUCCUUCAUGGAUAAUGGCGUUGCCGAAGCUCAAACGCAAAAAGCAUCGUCCAAAGAGAGAUUCAAUCUCAACCCUUCCCGAAGACAAUGAAGAAUAAAGAUGCAGUGUGCUAAGUGAGCACCAAAUAUAAUAACAUAUUUUCCACUUCUCCCUCGUCAAAAAUUUUGUAUCUUAGCCUAUUACAUUUGUAUUUUAACACAUGGCCGCAGAAUAACCUCCCCUGAUUGCUGUGCUUUUGCUUAUAUCCGUCACAUUGAUUGUUGGUGAUGCUAUGUGUAUUCUUAUUUAUUGUCUGAGUUAUACAUGCAUGUUGAUCUAUUUUUUCAUGUAAAGCAUUUGAAAGCAUUCGAGAACAAGUACUUUCACCAUUGCAAUGGUCAAUUUUUUCAAUGUCGUCAAAUACUCGCUUUUGUAGUAUUUGUUUUUGUUUUUGUUUUUUUUUUUAUUUUAUUUAUAUGCAAGUAUAAUACUUUCCUAACAGUAUUAUUUCUAGCCCUUGUUCCCUUGGUUCUCAUUAGGGCUAUUGAACUUUGAAUUUGCAACUUUAUGUCCAUAUCCUUCAUAUAAUUUUUUGCCUUUGGUCCUAGGAUCAGCUGAUGUUUAUGCAUGGUUAUGGAGAAUCAAGCUAAUAUUGUAAAUCUGAUUUAAUCAAGAUUUUGUCUGUUGGGACUACCCUUNAUUUCUAGCUUAGAUUAUUUUUAAUAAAGGAGCAAAGCGAAUAGCUUGCUACCUUUCUCGUAGUAUAUAUAUAUAUAUACCUUUCCCUCAAUAUAUAUAUAUAUAUAUAUAUACAUAUAUAUAUAUAUAGAGCUAGGCUGGUAUACUAUCGGUAGCACGGAGGCCUCCGUGCCACCAAGUUGUUUUCAAUGAUGCGGCUUUCAAAUCGACGAUCGGCUCCGUUAGACUUGAUCUAUACCAUUAAAAGUAUUUGGAAACUAAAUUUCAUAAUUUUUCGACAUCAUUUGGCUAGUGAUCAAAAGGUCUCAAAAUUGACAAUUUUAAUGGUAGAUGUGAUGCGUUUAUUAAUUUAACGGUGUAAAACAAUUCAAAUUUGAUGAAAUUUUUAUAGAAAAUUCUUUUCACUAUUUAAAGUAAGAUCAGCAUUUCUGAUCUUAAAUUUAAAUAUUUUAUCAUCAUUUUUUAUGAGAUUUUUAUUUUCAGCCGUUCAUUUUUAGACUACUUGUUUGAUAGGUAAAUGAUGCCAAAAAAUUAUGAAAUUUAGUUUCCAAAUACUUUCAAUAGUGUAGAUCAAGUCUAGCUCUAUAUACCAGCCUGGCUCUACAUAUAUUAUAUAAUAUACUAUAAUAAUAUAUUAUAUCACUAUAAAUUAUAUAUAUAUAUGAGACUAUUUUAAAUUUUGGGGGUGUAGCAUUUCUCCUCCCUUUUAAGUCUUAAGGUUCUCGUCAAGUUCAAGCACAUUUACAAGCACAAAACAAUGUGAGAUUUGCUAGCCAUGUGAGAUGAUGUGAAACUGUCUCGUUAGUCAUGUCAUUCAGACUCUAAUUUAACAUGUCAUUUUUAGGCUAUGGGUCAGUCGAGGCUGAUCUCGUACUUUCAGCUAGAGAUUGUUUCUGAUACCAACUAUAAUGACUUUGCGGCCGACUAGUAAUAAUUUGUUCAGCCUAAAUUAAUGGCCCAAAAUACUUAAUCAUAAUUAUUAUUAUUAUUAUUAAGGUCAAUGGUCUCUUAUAUUUUCAAUCACAAUUUCGUUAUCAUCCGAUAUGGGAAGACAGAAAAAUGGGUCGACACAAGGAGUUUAUGCAUUUUGUUCAUCGUCAAUGUAAAACUCGCAAAGAUUUAUUAUUUCAAUUUACAAUCAAUUAAUUACAGAAAACUUGUUACAACUUAAUUAGAAGUUCACACAGCAUAUUUAUAUAUAUGUUCAACGUUUAGAAGAAUGUAAACAACUGAAGCAAUCUUGGAGACAUUGGAUUUCACAAGGCGGAUUUUGACGAGAUUUAGACUCUUCCGAUGAUGGGGCCAUCGAAUGAAGCAGCGGAAGCUCCUGCAUGAAUAGCUCCCGCGCACAGCAGCUGGGUUCCAGAUAAUAUGAUCGUCAGAGUCUCCAGCGUCCUCUGCGUAGAAGAGUACAUAGAAUCAAAGAAUUGAUCGUCUUUAUUGUUGUUGUCGGAUUGGAUUUGGUUUGUAUCGUUUGGCUUGGCGAAAAAGUUUAAUCUUUUAGGUUUGAUUAGUCAAAUUAAUAAAGUGCAGGUUUGAGUUUAAGGGAGCUUACGAGGCUCGCGGGACGCCAGCUGAUGCUUAUCUCUUUACAUGCCAACCUGCAGAAGGAAAUGGUGCUGGCAUCGUAAAUGAACCAUGCAAUAUAUAUGACCAAAACUACGCAGGUAUGUGUUUUCCUUUUAUCUUUUGGAGUUCCACUUAUAAUGUGUGGCUGAUGGAUGGAUGAUUCAUUAUGGAUGAAAAGGCAUGGAUGGAGCUUUGAAAUUUUGAUUGUGCUAUCCAACUGUAAAAUAUAUUUUGAUUUAUGCAUUGCUCAUUUAACAUUUUUUGACGGAAUAUUACUUUUAGAAACACGGAAACUAUGUUGUUCUCGAAUGAUAGAUUGUUUGAAUCGACGUUGGAUCGAUAUUGUUAAACAUAUAUAUGCCGAGUCCUUUCUAAGUGUUUUUGCUCGAGGGAUUUGAAGUGCUUACCCCAUUGCCAGAAGGGUGAGGGCCCAAGUAAUGACUGAGAAAGCUGCGGCGGACAGCAAGCUUGCCGGUUUCGACCGUGAGACGUCGAGUAAGCCGGUGAGCGAAGUUGCGGUGCCGACGACCCCGGCGAUGAGCGAGAAUAUCACGAAGAAUCCAGUGGAGAGGUUGCCGAUCGGAAAAUAUAUCGGGAACAGCUGAGCCGGCGGAGUCAGCCCGGACACUGCAUGCAUGGCAAUUCAACGUGAAAUUAACUGAUGAUACAAGAAGAAGAAAUGAUUCAAGAAGCUUCUUUCGGUGCCAUUUCUAAAAAUGAGAGAGAGAGAGAGAGAGAGAGAGAGAGAGAGAGGGACUCGUGACUUACAUGCGUGAGGCGUCUCGUCGACGCCGUAGUUGAGAGCCCAGCCGGCGAUGAUGGCGACGAUGACGUACAUUAUGAGGUUGAGGAAGAGGAGGGUGACGGCAGCAGACUCUGGGCCUGCUGCGGCCAUGACAGCUGAUGAUACAAGAAGAAGAAGAAGAAGAAGAAGAAGAAGAAAUGCAGAAUACUACGUGUGAUGCAUGAUAGGUUCUCAAAGGACUUGUAUACGAUAUAUAUAUAUAUAUAUAUAUAUAGAGGGAAGAAAUUAAUUAAAGUAGUUAACACGUUAUAUAUGAUGGUCCAUUACAUAAUUAAGAAUCUGAUUCCCCAGCAAAGUGAUUGUUGGGUGUCUCUCCCUUGAUUUACUACAAUUUAUGUAAAGAUGUACAAGGAGCCCCUCUGUAUAUAUAUUGGUUGUUCUGAAAAUAGACUACCCAACUAUGUUUUCUGUUCUUGUUUUUGAAGAAAAAGACAACACGCUAUCUGUUUCAUUUAUUUUUAGAAAUGAACUUAGUUGGAAAAACAAAAAAAAAAAAAAAAAAAAAGCGAUUUUUUAAUUUGGAGUCUUGGAUACCAAUUAUAAGCCUUUGGCUGCUGGCAUGCGCAAAGGACAGUCGGAGAUUCAAAUUACUUUUAUCAUUUGAAUUGGGCAUUUUUUUAAAAUUUACUGAUGAUUCUGUUUAAUUUAACCAUAUAUUUUUAAGUUUUUUAGCUGAUGGAGCUGUGCAGAUUUCAAGAGCUAACUAUUAAUCUCAACGAAUUCUUAAUUGGUUGAAUUUACCAUGAUAACUCGAAUCAAAACAAUUGAAAGUAUAAAAAGUAGAGUAGAGCUAUUGUGCUAUCGGAAGCAUAGAGGAUCCGGUGCUUCCGACUUUUUGACCCUUAGAUUAAUUCUUUUAAUCAUUUUCAACCUUUGGAUUAAUACUAUUACCCUAUGAGGACCACUCAACCCUAGGGGUACUAUUCAAUCUUACGGGGCACUGUAAUCAUCCCUAACCGUAUAAUUCUUGAUCCAAGGGUCAACAAACCGGAAGCAUCAAAUGCUCUAUUCUUUCGAUAGUAUAGUAACUCUACACCAAAAAGUAUUACUCAAAAGAGACUAAUGUAGUUGAAGGGUCCGUGUCAAAAUGGCCUAUAGUCUAGGGGAUCUCCAUAUACACAUUUUGUUCCGACAAUACAUAGUGCAGUUAUCCAAGGACUAGAUAGUUGGUAUUCGAAACUUCAAGUUGGAAAUCUAAUUGUUUAUAUUUUUAGCAGGAUUUUUUUUAAAAAAAUAAAAGUAAAAACUUUAUUCAAGUGAUCAAUCAAACUUAGGAGAGAGAAAUGGUCCACAAUUAUUCCUUGCCUAUUGAAUAUAAUAUGCUAUAUAAUUUAGGGUUCUCUUUCUCUUUCUCUUUCUCUUAUAAGAAGGGAUGUAUUAUAUCACUCUCACCAUUAAUUGGGUUAAAAUGGUAAUACAAACCUCUGGUAGGAAACAGAUGAAUAUAAAGCCCAAACGCGCGCGGCAAACUACGGUAUUUGACAAUCCAAUAUAUGACAUGCACUUCAACGCAAGUUCUGGUAAAAACAAAAAAAAAACAUUAAUGGAAAAAGCAAAAUACUAUUUUUUUUUCUUUCCUUUUUUAAAAUAUAAACUAGGUAGCGAUAAAAGGUAAACAUAUUCUCUUGUCACGCUCCCGCCCCGAGUCCGCUACCGAUUUGGUCCGAUUCGGGGGUGGUGAACGGACCGCCGAACGGACAGCAACUCCCCUGUCCGUCCAAGGCUUAAACGACGAGAUCAUGUACACAAGUUCCUAGGAAAUACACUUGAUUACAUACAUGAUCUAACAAUGACGACGAAGCGCAAACAGUGCUUAACAACCAAGAGCAAGUAACACAAGUAAAGCAUACAAGUGAUAAAAGAGAGAUAUACUUAACUAUUAAACUCAUUUAACUUUAUACAAUUAUUUCAUCUUUUACAGUCUUCCAAAACAUAUGUACAGUCACUCUCAAAAUCUCACCCUAUACAACAUCUACUCUCGAAAUAAGUACAGGGUAGAGCUAAUACAAAAGGGAGUAAAACUCUACUAAUACCACUAGGGUGCUAUGCCCUUGCCGCGAUCCUUACCGGGGCUACUCGAACUCGGACCUGCAACAAAAUGGGAUGAGAAUUACGAAUAGUUUCCAGUGGGUUCGGCCGCAGACUCCGCCGAUCUUCCCACUAGAUCUAAGCAGGCACAGAUAGAUAUGCAGAUAGAUAGAUAUUUUGCUGAAUUGAAAGCAUCUAUAAUAAAUAGACAAGUGUAUAAAAUAAACAUCUAACUAUGCCUCAAUCUGAAAUGAUGCAUGCAUGUGUCAUAGGGUAAAGCUAAGUACCAAACUACUAUGCCCAACAGUAAAUGUGACACAUCAGGUUACCCAAUCUCUUAGCGAACUCGAGGGUCGCUCAAAAUCUCACGUAAGUAAGUUUCAUAGGGGAGGAGCCCAGGCUCAACUACCCCCGAAACCGCCUGCGGACAGAUACGUUAGUCCAAGGGUAAAUACGUUAACCCUCCUCGGGUGACAACUCCGGAGUGCACUACCUGUGUGGAGCUACCACACUACGCGCAGAUAGGCAAUGUGAGCUCGGUCCAAUCUCAUGAACUGUAAACAUCCUACCAACUGGGAUGAUCUCAUCAUAUCUCAUCGUAGAACCCAAGUGUUCUAGUACUCAAUCUCAUAGUGUUCACUACACUAAAGUUUUCAUGUUUCAUAUCAACUAGAUGCCACUCGUUCUGUGUUUAUUGUUAAUACGCUAAUUUGCAAUAUACUAGGUUCAUAUUCACAUAGCAUGUUCAUCACACAUAGGGUUAACUAUCUCAUGUUCAACUCCUGCAUAUUAGGUUCUCAUUCAUUGUAUCCGCAAAUCCAACUAACACUAGCAUGUAUUAAUAUGUAACAAUUACAUUUAACUCCCUAUAAUGCUAUAUCACAAUAUGCACUUGAUCAAUAUGAUAACUCAGACAUAGGGAGCAGUUCAACUGCUUCGGGAUGGCACUCCCUCACCUUUUGGUAGUGCCGCGUAGUUAGCAAACUCGACGUCGCGGUCCUCGUACGUCGCUUCAAUUCCUCGGGGCAAAGCGAAUCCUCAAGUACCUGUUUCGGCAAUAUCUUCGCACUCGCUCGUCGGAUUGACGAACCGUCUUCGCCUACGCGUUCAGAGACUUAGCAAAUAGGUUUACGACCUAUUAAACGAGAUCAAAACCCUAGCUUUCCAACAAUCCCAAAUCCGUGCCCUAGGUCGGCAACGAUGGAGAAAUCCAUGGUGCGAGCUUCAAUUUCGAGCUCGAGCCAUCUCCUUAACCUCAAUAGGUUCCAUUCGAACCAUCUCUAAACAAUAAAAAUUCCAAACCCUAGAAAUACCAUUAGAGGGUUUAGAGCUUACCUCUAUACAAAGCUCCAAGCUUGAGGGAGAGAGAGAAGAAGAUGAUCUUCUUCUUCUUCUUAGUCUUCUCCUUUUUCCUUCUCUACUUUUUUUCUUUCUUCUUCUUCCUCUCCUUCUUCUUCUCCUUCUUAUCUUUCUAGAGAGAGAGAGAGAGGGAAAGUGUGAGAGGGAGAGAGCAAAUGAGAGGGAUGGGAGAGAAGGGUGGUCCCCAAGCCUCUCAUAUAAGACAUUUUGCAAAUAAACCCCUCAACUUUCUAUCUAUGAAACAGCCCUGCCUGGGCAUUUUCGCAGUGAGGGACCGGUCCCAGCUCGGGAAGAUCGGUCCCCGAGAGCCUUCCACUCGGGCAGAGGGGAUUUCGCGUUCGGGAACCGAUCCCUGCCUGAGAGACCGGUCCUCGGGAGACCGGUCCUUGCCUGAGAGACCGGUUCCUGAGAGUUAGAUUUUCGAGACUUAGCCAAAUUCCGGUUUCUCUCGCUGGGUUAACGUUCGAGGACCAGUCCCUCCCUGCCAGAGACCGGUUGCAUCAAGGAUCCCCGCCAGCCCAGCCUGAUCGGACCGGUCCCUCCCUGCCAGGGACCGGUCUCUGAGAGCAAUUAUUCUCCAGUGCAGAUUUUGCACUGCUGCUCUCGCGGACUCUCCCUUAAUGCACUUUAUGUAUUUUUAAUUACCUCCGGACUUUGCAAAGCUUAUACCCUCGACAAUUAGUCGAUUCUAGACGAAGUCUAAUCCUCGGAUUUCGAGAAUUCACUUCCCUUACACUGAGCAACAACGAGACAAAAUGGAGUUUAUCAUAUUAUUUUUUUAGACAUAAUUACAUAUGACUCCCUACUAAUAUAUCAAAUAGCAAAUAUAUUUCUAUAAAAUUUAAGUUAUCAGAUUUAUCCCUUCAAAAUUCUUUCUGUUUGCAAAUAUGUUUUUUCGUUAGCAAAAUUUAGAUAAUCACGAGUUAAAAAAAUUAACCACAAUUAGCUAAGGAAUAAAAUGACCUUUCUACCCCUUAUAUAUAUAAUUUGUAUUCUAAUAUUGAUGUCACAUUCCGAAAUUUACCCCUUUUUUUAUUCAUGGUAACGGUGAGUCCUAUGGCGGCGAUAACGUCGAAAGCGAGGCCCUUGGCCGCGGUAAAAAUGACGUACGCUGCGUGUGUCGCGAUGAAGGCGAGGAAAGAGAGAGAUAGGAGGGAAGAUAUAUAUUUUUUAUAGGGACAAAUUUGUAAAGACAAAAUAGUUAAUAUUUUAUGCACCGGCCGUUAAAGAGCUAAUGGUUAAUCGGACGGCAAGGACAUAUACGAACGAACCAAAGUUUUUAGAGGAAUAUAUUUGUAAAUCAUAAAAUUUUCGAAGGAAUAAAUUUGAUCACUUUAAGUUUUGUAGAUAUUAUCAGCUAUUUGAUAUUUUUACAUGCACCUUUGUAAAAUUUACCCUAUCUUUUGCUAACUCCAAAAGAUUGGUCCGCAAUAUGUAUAGUUACGUCAUCAUGAAAUGGAUUGAAUAGUGUUUAAUCCGGAUCCUAAUCCGAAUCCGAAUCCGAAUCCGAAUCAAUGAUUUUAUAAGUCGGAUCUAAUUAACCGUAUUUUGGAUAUUGAUUGGAUACUCAAAUUUAAAUUGGUAUUCAGUUAAAAUGGGUUCAGAUACGGACCGGAUAUUAAAUGAAAGGGCGAUACUUUCAUAUUUUCUAAUUAUUUUUAAAGAUCUAUACCGUUCGUCCAUUAAGGGUAAAAAGGUAAGUCUAGUAACAACCGCUCAAUUGGAUUUGGAAAAACGUUUUUAUUUUACUUCAACUGUUUUUAUGUUGUUAUUUUAAUUAAUUAAAUUAUAUAUUUUGAUAAAUUAAUUAGUUAUUUGAUCAAAUUAUAUUUUAAACUGCAUUUGGGAUGUACGUGCAGAGUUUCUUAAUAAUGAACAAUCGGUAGCAAAUAAGAUCAUUAAAAUUUUAAAAAUGAUUUCCAUUUCAGGUGACUAAAAUAACUCAAGUAAAAUAAAAAGUUAAAAAAUAUCAACAAAAAAAAAUUAGCAUCGAAGGGCUCUAUUUCAAAAUGGCCUAUAAUUGGAGGGUCUGAACUAUCAAGGAUGCUAUAGAGAUAGGAAUUGUCGCAUGCGUCUCUGUGUAUAUUUAAACAACUCAAUCAUAAAGAUUUUAAAAUCUGAACCUAAAUAUUUAAAUACAAAACUAGUUAGCUUAAUUACGUAUGAAAAAUUUAUUUUUAGAACAUCUAUUAUUCAUGCAUCAAAUUAAGUAGUUGUAAAAAUUCACAAUGAUUUAGAGAAUGAUUAUCUAAAAUUUUAGUUUUUUAUUAGGUAGAUAUUUUUUAUAGGUUAGAUUCAGGUUUUUCAUUUUCAGGCAUCUAUAGAUAUAUUAAUUCUUGAGUUCUCCUAUGGCCUACGUGGCGACUCCUCAGCGCCCCGCGCCGCCCCCCCACCCCACCCCACCGCUCGCCCAGCCCCUCCCCCGCUUCGCGCCCAGGACUCGCGCGGCGCAACCGAGAGAGAGAGAGAGAGAGAGAGAGAGAGAGAGAUCGGUGGGGGGGGGGGGGGGGUCGCGACAGACUCCCCCUGCGCAGCGCCAGCCCGAGAGAGGAGAGAGAGAGAGAGAGAGAAGAGAGAAGAGAAGAGAUGACGGGUGGGGGGCGCACGACUCGCGCCACCUCGCUGCAGCGGGAGAGAGAGAGAGAAGAGAGAGAGAGAGAGAGAGAGAGAGACGGGUGGCUGGGUUGGGUGGCGGGAGAGGGGGUUGCGUGCGAUAGCCGCCCUGCGCCGCGAGGGAGAGAGAGAACGAGAGAGAGGAGAGAAGGAGAGGGCGAGGGGAGAGAAGAGAGAGUGCGGUGGGGGGGGGGGGGUUGCGCGCAACACCGCUCGCCACGCGCGCGGAGAGAGAGAGAGAGAAGAGAGAGACGGUUGAUGAUUUGGGGUGCCCGCGAACCGCGCCCCGCGCAUGAGUGCGGAGAGAGAGGAGGGAGGGGGGGGAGAGAGAGAGAGCCGGUUGGGAGGUGACGCGACUCGUGGCCCCGCUGCGCGCGGGAGAGGAGAGAGAAAGAACGAGAAGAGGGAGAGAAACAUGUUCAACACACUGCGCGCCCGCGCCACGGGCGCCGGUGACGAGAGAGAAGAGAGAGAAGUCGAGGAGGGCCUGGGGGUGGGAGAGGCAGAGAAUGGGGGAGAGAGAGUGAGAGAAAGAGCCAGGGGGGGCGGCCCUGCCAAUGGCGGGAGAACUGCACCACUGGCGUGCGCGCGCGCGCCGGCGUCGAGAGAGAGAAAGAGAAGAAAGAAGAGAGAGAGAGGACUCUCCUCCACUCCCCACUACCCCUCCUUUCCUCUGCCUCCCCCCCCCCCCCCCGCUCUCUGAUUCCUCUUCCCCUCUCUCUCCUCCUUUUUCCUCUCCCUCCGCCUUCCCCCAGCUCGUCUAUCUUUUCUCCUUCCCCCCUUCUCCCAGCGCACUGGGUCGCGGCGGUGGAUGGGAGAAGCCGGGGGCGGAGGUUUUGUCACGCCCCAAACCCGAGGCGUAACAGACGCCGCAUACCUGCUAAACUAGUAAGUAUGCAAGGCUACAGAAUCAUACGGAAACUAGCAAAAAGAUAAUUACAAAUUUUUCACUAAAUUCAAAUAAUCAUAAGGUGAGACUAAGAAAUUAAAUUUUAACUAAAAUCAAACGAAAUUCUAACAUUUAUAAAACUAAGCUUACUACGAAUCAUAAGAGAGAUUCAGUCCACAAAAAUACCAUAAGAAACAAAGGUGGGUACGAAGAAAUGAGGAAAUAAAAACAGAUAACAAACGAUCAUCCACGUAGUCUAAAGAUUCACAUCCAAAAAUACUAGAUAGAAAAACAAAAGGGAUUAAAAUCAAAACUAGCUACAUCUAACAUUCACUCGAUUUCAGCCCGCCCGGCAAAUCAGUCUCGGUACCUGGGUAAGCAACCAUACACCACAUUAGUCGGAUUAAGCAUACAAUACAAAUAAACAAUUGAAUACAAAAAUUAUUUCUAGCGACUGGUUUUUUUUAAUUUGCAAAAUUUUAGAAAACAAGAAUUAUCAAAUUUAAAAUUCAGAUCAUAUUGAAACUAUAACUUUACAAAGCAUUUCUCUUUAAACAAAUAAUGAAAUAAAUAUUAAGUCUCCGGCAACUAACUAUAUUAUAUGAUCCGUUGGCGAGAUUCAGAGGCACCCGAAGGCGCAAACAGAACAGAGGCACCGAAGGUGCAUGUACAAAACAGAGUCACCCGUAGGCGCAAACAAAACAGAGGCGCGAAUAGGCGCAGGCACCCGAAGGUGCAAAACAAAGACGAAGCUCGCUUCUAUAACAAAAUACAUGUUGACAUGGCCAACAUUAGCAUAGCAGAAUACCAAGAGACAUAAUAAUUCAAAAUGUAUCCAGUUACUAAUUUACAGAACAAAUUAUCAGGUUUCAAAAAUUCUUUUUGCUAAAUGAACUUGUCAAUCACAGUUGAAGCUCAAUUUACAGAAAUAUUUAAUAAUAUGCUCAACCCUUAAUUUUAAAAUCUACAAAAUAAAAUUUUCAUACAAUCGGAAUAUUUUCCUAAAUUAUCUUACGAAAAACUAACGGGUGUCCGGUCGCUUACCUCAAAAGCGGCUUCUAAGCUAAGAAGCUAUCCAGUCAAAAAUUGCACGAAAUCAAUCGUCAGAACCUAAAAUAGAGAUAUACGAUUCUCUAUAAGCUAUUUAAAAUAAACUUACAAAGAGAACAUAUAUACAUUUAGAAAGCAAGCUUAUACAAAAAUUUGAAUUCGGAUAGACUCACAGAGGUCGACAAUGUCGGCUAUGAAUGCAUGCAAAAAGGUCAAGACGGAGCACAAAAGAGAUUUAGAAUAAUACAUUGGACGAAACUCAAAUUAACAAUCAGGAGGAUGAUGAGUUCCAAAUAUUAAAGUUUUCAAAGAAGCAAGAUAACAUGAAUGAAAUUUUAAAUAAUAAACGAAGGAUCUAAUGCUCAAAAAGAGGGUUUUCAGAUGUUGAAACAUUGAUAUGCAAAUCAAUAAUUAGAUAAAAUUAAGAUGGGAACAAAAACAAUAUAUGCCUUAUUUUAGGCAUUUUGUCGAACAUAUAGCGGACAUUCAAUAAGUGUGUACAAUAUGUGAAGUUUUAUGCAACUAGAUCAUAUAGAGGAUACAAGAUACGAAAUUAAACGGUUCGAACGAUGAAGAUUAGAUAUAACGAAAUCAAAUUUUGAUGGUUUCAAAUUUCAAUCAUCAUGAGGCGAGUAUUCAAAAUAAUAAUAAAACAAUGAACAAAGAGGUUGGAUGAUCACAAGAUUCGAUAUAGAGGUAAAAUGAGGGAAAGAGAAAAACCUUCUCGAAAAUGGUGAAGAUGACGGCAGGAUGCCAACGAUAGCGAACCAAAAAAAUAACGGCCAAAGAGGAUUGCGGUGGAGGCGGCUACGAAUGAUGGCAACGAUCGGAUGGCGUCGCGCGCGCACUUGCGAAACGACAGAAGUCGUACGGACGCGGUGAGGAGGAGAGAGAGAGUCGUGCGGGAGGGGGAAAAAGGUUGAUCGGGUGAGGGUUAGGAAAAAAACUAAUUACGUUAGAUACUAAUUAGGUAACAAAAUGCCGCCGAGUCCCUCGAAGAUUGAAAAUUACGAAAAGGUCCAAACUUAAUAAGAAUAGAAGUCAAAACAAUAGGUUUAAAAGAAUGGGAUGUUACAUUCUCCCCUCCUAAAAGAAGUUUAGUCCUCUAAACUUAACAUAUCUUAGCUCUCGAAGGGCUAAACCCACCAAACCCGUUGGUGUAGCACUUUGUCCCGCAUAGCACUUAGUUCUCACACUUCCGGCUGGUAAUGGUCCUGAUUUGUCUGUCUGUGAUCUGGUUUGGACCCGACGAGGAAGUCAGGGUCAGGGAGAGUUUGUAACGGCCCCAAUAGUCCCACAUCGGAUGGGAUACUCAUUACGAUCAGUUUAUAUGAGGCCUACACGCUAGUAAUAAUAACUGGGCUUAAGCAUUUUGGGCCGAUGGUUUGGGCCCAACGAGUUAUUGUUGCUAGCAGGUCGGGUCGUUGCAGGCUUAAAUAUAAAUUUUUGUCAAUUUUCUUAAAAUAGAGCUGGCCGCAAUUUUUGUCAAUUUUUGUCUAUUUUAUUUUCUUUAUUUCUAAUUUUCUUAAAGAGAGCCUAAACAUGUUUUCAUUAGUGCACAACAAACUAGAAAAAAAAAUCUAUUUUUUUCCUACAGGCGAUGAGCCAAGAUUAUAUAAAAACUGAAUUUUAAAUUUUCAAAAAAUUCCAAAUAAUUUUAAAUUUUUUUUAAUAAUUUUAGAAAUUUUAAUUUAGAAUAUUUUUUUUAUUGGGACGAUAACUCUGAAAAGACAGAUUUCCUAUCUUUUCUUUCAACUCAGGAAAAAUACGAUGGGGGGGGGCUAAUUCGAAUCCCUCGGGUAAAAUAAGAACAGCACCCACAUUCAAACCCCCUUUUUUACCGGUGGUAGAGCGCGCCCCUGAUAAUUGCGUCUCGAAGCCUGAGGUAGUAAAAAAAAGUGGGAUACUGUAUUUUAGAAAUUAGGAAGAAAUGUUAGAAAAUAGCUAAUAAAUGGACAAAAAUUGCGCAAAUUUUAAGAAAAUUAGAAAAAAAAAAAAAUUUUUGAAUAAAAAUAAGAGAGAAAUAAAGAAAAGAAAGAAAUAGAAGGAAGAGAAGAAAAAGAUAGAAUUUUAAGGAAAAAUAAAUAUUCGCCAGCAUACAAAGCAAUCGAAAAAAAUAAGAUAACACUAUGAUUGUAAUAACCGAUCAAUUAAGGUUGAUUUGGAUUAAUUAAAUUAUAUUUGGAUUUAAUUCAGAUUUAAAUCGAUUAGAGAUGGGCGUUAAGCCUACAAUUUAAAAAAAAAAAAAACUAAAACCUUAAAAAAAGAGAAAAGCUAAUAGAAAAUAUAUUAGGAUUAGCAUCGUGGGGAAGAAGAAGAUGGGAAGAGUUCGGGAUACCCACUCCUCUCUCUCUCUUUUUCCUUCUUUUUUUUCCCUUUUUUCUAACUUUUUUUUUUUUAUUUUGUAUAGUUGUGGAUCACAUAAAAAAAUUUAAAAUUAAAAUUAAAAUUUAGAGCGGGAGCAGGCGUGGGCGCGAGCCGGCGUGGAGCGGGUUGUUUUUUUUCCUCCUUUUUCCCUGUGGGACGCACAAUCUUUUUCCUUUUCUAACUUUUUUUAUUUUGUAGGGUUGUGGAUCACAUAGAAAAAAUAAAAAAAAAAAUUUAAUAUUUGAUAUUUUAAAAUAUUGAAUUUUAAAAUUUAAAAUUUAAAACUUAAAAUUUAAAAUUGUAUAUUUUACCUAAAUUACUAAAACUAAAAUUUUACUGUUUUAACUUUUAAAUUUUAGAUCCUAUAUUUUAGAUUUUAAAUUUUAUAUUCAAAUUAUGAAUGCUAACAGUUUAAAACUUCUUUUUUAAAUUUUAAAUAAUAUAAAAUGUUGAAGUUUAAAAUUUAAAAUUAGAUUUGAAAAUUAAAAAAUUUAAACUUAAAUUUAAAAAUUUAAAUGAUAACAACGGAAAUAUAGAAAUAUAUUUUUAUAUACUUUUAUCUAAAUUUUAGUAAAUAAUAAUGAACAGUCUAUUUAAAAUAUUUUAAAAAUUUCGUAAAUUUACCACCGCGAAGCUCGGGCUUUCACUAGUAUCUAUAGAAAUAUUAAUUCUUGAGUUCUACUGUGCUCUACGUGACGCCUCCUCAGCGUCCCUUCUCUACCGUUCCCUCUCGUGCCCCUUCGAAGCCUCCCUGCAUUGGGGGGGGGGGGGCUUCGGUGGCUCGUUGAUAGGUUUCAGCGUGCUGGAGGCCGUGCUCACCUUUCGGAGCACUGCCGGCCACUUUGGCACGCGCAUGAGCCCGGCGGAGUCCCGGUGCAGUUUUUUUUUGUGACUUCUGGUGAGUUCGGCAACCAGUUUUGGGAAACCGAUUCCCGAGGGGCUAUGAUUGUGGGAUUGUGAGUUAGCGAUAUGUGUUAGUGGGUUAGGUUCUAACCCGGUAGACCUUUCGUAGGUUCGGUUGCACCGUCUUCACAGUCAAGAGAUUUUCGUCAGACACGUACAGGUGGGUACUUUGAUCCGAUGUCGGUACAGUGGUGCACGCUCGGUGACGUUUCCUUUACUUGUUGUUUAUAUCAUUUAUCUUAUACAUGUUGAGCCUUGCACCCAUGCUAUUUCCUUAUUUACUCUACUUAGUUGUUGCCAGGUGUAGUAUCAUAUGUAGGAGUAGAAUAGACUUUAUCUGUAUAUGAUAUCUGUGACGUGGUCGGUCGGUUCUCUUAUGUGAUCUCCAUGACCUGGUUGGUCGACGUUGCAUCUCCUAUACUUGUGAUCUGGUUGGUUGAUUUGAUUACAUGAUGACCCAUGUGGUUGGUGUGCCCUAGGGGGCAGGAUUGUCGGCUGGUUGCCGACGGUUGAUCAUUGAGCAUAUUGCAUUGAUCGCCCGAUACUCGUCCCAUUUCACGAACACUGGUGGUCUGAUCCACCGCAAGGGGUGUUUUUUUUCGGAAAAGUGGUUGCAGGUGUCAACCCGUAAGCCCUAGAGGGGUUAUAUGCAUGGUAGAGUAGUAGUGGCACUGGCUUGAGGUUUGCGGUGCGGACAAGGAGAGCAUUGGUUUCAGAUUGGAUACGUUUGGACUGAUUGUCCCGUUGAUGCAUGCAUACAGUAGCUGUAGUGGUUUAUCUACACACAUUUCAUUACUUGUUUAUCUUAGCUACUGUACUACCGUUAUCCAUAUCCUUGUUUAUCUCCAUGACUAGUGAGUACCCCUCGUCUUCGUCGGCUUGCGGUACCCACUGGGAGGGGAGACAUGUUUACAUGUUCUCACCCCCCGCCUCCAUUACAGGUGACGUCGCAGGUCCGAGUGGGACAGCUGGUGAGGAGCGUGUCUAGCGUACGAUAGAGCUCCGUCCCGUGUCGAUUAUUUCUUUACCCUUCAUACUUGAAUAAACAAUUUAGACAUAUUAUGGUUUAGUUUUGUUAUAUUAUUUGAAUAUCUGAGUUUUCAGUUGGAUUUAUGAGGUAAUAAAAAGAAUUUGUGGAGUUCAAAUGUUGAAUGGUUUUCUACCCCUCGUGGUAGCGUUUCUAAAAGAUAAAAGUUCCCGUGUAGGGAACAGUUUUUAAAAGGUUUUCUGUGGAUUUUGUAUCUUAUUAUUUUAAAAUCUGUUAUGGGUUGGAAACGUUUUAACUGAUAGAUGUAGAUUUAUGUUUAAAUAUUGAAUGUAUAACUGUGAUGUGAAUGGUGAAUGAAUGAUUGUAUAGUUGUUUCUAUAUUCAUUUAGUUGUGGUUAUAUCCUGUUUUACAUCUUGUACUUGUGCGACGCCGUGCAAAUACAGAGGAGACUCUGUCCGUGUGAUCAGUGAACUCUCUGUAUUUGUGGCGGAUCUGGCAUACCUUGGGGUCAGAUCUUUCAAAAAAAAAAUUUUAGCUAUUUCUGCUGUGUUUUCAAACAAAAAUGGACCCCGGGACAUGACAUUAGUUUUGAUCUAUUUUAAGAUUUAAGUUCAAAUGCGAGGAUAGUGGAGAUAUUAUAUAUUUCUGACGAAUUGAAAAUUUCUGGACAUAAAAAAAUUAGUUAAAAAGAUAGAGACAUUUUCGUAAUAAAAUUCAUAUUUAAUUUAAAAUUUAAAUUUUUAUUUUGAUCCAUUUGAAUAUUUAAAUUCAAAUGCGAGGAUAUAUUUAAUUCAAAAUUAUGAUAGGUUGAGAAAAUUUUUAAGAAACGAUAAGAAAAUAUUAAAAUUUUGAUGAGAUAUUUAAGAAACGUGUGGAUAUUAUGUCACGCCCCGCGACCGCCCGCCUAUUUGGCCGAGUCGCGGCGCCGCAAUAGACCGCCGAACGGACAGGAUUUUUCCUGUACCGCGGACAGAAUCUCCUCUGUACAUUCAAGGCGUCGCAAUCAAUAUAAUGUGGAAAGUUCCAACCAGGAACACAUUUCAAUCAAAGAUUGCAUAAUGGAAGGUAUCAAACAACAUAACACAUCCUAUGUUAUUACAUGCAUUCACAUUCAUAUAUUUUUACAUCACAAUUCUCAUUUGAUUCUUACACUAGCUUUCACUUAACUUCCAAAUACAAUCCGAUUUAACAUGAUUAUUACAACUUGAUUCUUUUUAUUCUUUACAUCCCUAAGCAAAGCCGACUUAGGGUACCGCUAUCUCUGGUCUCGGUGGUAGGGCGCUAACUAUGGAGCUACGCCCUCGCCUCGCGCCGCUCACGUGGGAACCUGUACCCCCAAAAACAACACGGGGGUGAGAACUAUAUAAAUAUAGUUCCCAGUGGGUACGGCCACCCAAGGAAAGAGCUCGACCCACAGGUCCAAGGAGGCACUGCAACAUAUUAGUCCAACAAAUAUCCAACAGAUAUAUAUAUAUAUAUAUGCGAUAAUUGAAAUACAUGUCAUGCCUCACAACCAUGCAAUAUGAAAAUCAUGCGAUUUAUGCAACCAAUUAGUAGUUCAAUCGAUACUACUUUAAUCCUGCUAUUCAAAGGUCAUUCAAUUGACUUCGAAGUUAUUCCACUAUUUUAAAUUCAUAUCAAUUACAAUUCUGAUCAUAUGGUCUCAUUUACCUUUAUCAACUAUCCACCCGACUCGGUCUUGAGUCAAUCAUUCGCGGAGUACCGCGUAAAGCCAGGCUCGAGGCGAAGGACGUCUCACUUGCACCUCAGCCUUAAGUCCACUCAACUAGGAUAUUGCUACAGCUCAUGUGCUUGUUACCCAAUCUCUUGGCUAACCCGAAGGUUUCGCCCUCAACAAACUCACCAACCCAAAAUCCCAUUAACCGGGAAGAUACCCGCUACAACCCGGUGGGACCGUCCUCUGGGGAGAUACCCGCUACAACCCAGUGAUGUCGACUCCGGAGCACAUCGCCCGAGGGGGAGCUACCACAACCUCGAGCAAGGACUAAAGGUGAGUAUGAUCAAUGAUCAAAUCCAAAAUCUUGAGGAUGUCAAGUUCAAUCCAUUCCUUAACUUUAGGAAGACUAUGCUCAAAUGACCCUAACUCUAGGGUUGAAAUGUCAUAAUAUUUCCAUCAUUCUUUUCUUUGCAUUCUUUACUAUCACUUGUGUCAUAUACACUACUAUAUUCUUGGACUCAUGCCACACUUGUUUUCUAAGUGUUCAACAUGCCAUAAGUGUUUCCACUAUACUAAUCAUAUGCCACUCGAUCUAAUAUAUAUAGAUUGUCCACGUCACAUAUCAUAGUUCAUAUGUCAUUGUUUUCCAAUGUCGAGUUCUCUAAUUCACCUAGAGUUUAUCGACCCAAGUUCAACAUGCAUGUGUCAUUUAAUAUAAUCCACAAUAUGUCAAUAUACAUUCAUCUAGUAUAUUCUACACUAAAUCAACAUGCACUCAUUCAUCAUAUUCCACAAUAUGUCUACAUAUAUAUACCAACCAUUCAUAUGCCAUCCAACAUGUUUCAUAAUUUAUCAACAUGCAUAUUACCUCUAACAUAUUACUAUAACAUUAUUUUCAUGCAUUCAUGUGACAAUUAACUCAUGCAUUCAUCUAGCAUUUAACACAUUAUAUGUCAUUAUGCAUUUUAUCUCAAUAGUAAGUAACAUCAACUAUAUGCAUCAAUUAGAAAACUAUUACUCUUAGACAUAUAGGCGACCUAGUCGCUUCGGUAAGCACAACCCACCUCAUUUCGCAUUCCGAUUGCUUGUCGACACUUGCAAUCGGCCUCCUGCGACACCCGGCACCCGGUUUGGCCCGAUCUCUCGCGCGACCACCGGAACGGCCUCCAAUUCACGAUCCGAAAAUUAAAGGUCUUCGGUUAUGUGUCACGAUGCUUCAAAUCUGUUUUCAUGAGUAUACGAUGUCGCAUCGGCCCUCCAGGCGGAAACGAAGCCUAAACGUCUGUUUCUUUAAUAACUUCGCAACGGCUCGACGAAUCACCGAACCGACUUUGCCAACGCGUUCGUUUACCUAACAAUUAGAUUUACGGAGGGUCAAAUGAGAUCAAACCCUCAUAUUUACAAAACUAGCAUUUUGAAUCCUAAGUUUACUACUAGGUAAAAACCCACCAUUAGGGCCUUGAUUUCAAGCAUCAAUCCUCUAAUUAGCAUGCUAGAAUACCUCUAAACCCAUUCUUAGAGCUUAAAAAUCAAACUAGAGAGAAAUGCCAUUAAAAGGUUUGAAGCUUACCUUCAAAGCUUGCUCUCUAAUGGCCAAUGAGGAAGGUGAAGAAGAUGACUUUUCUCCAAGCUUCCUUCUCCAUCAAAACCCUCUCUUUUGGGAGAGAAUUAGAGAGAGUAAAUGGAGGUUUCUCUCUCUCCAUCUACAUGCGUGUGUGUGUGUGUUGCAUUCGGCUGAGGAAGAAGAAAGGGACAAUCCCCUUUUUACAACUUAGUCCCUCAACUAUGCACUAUUCAAUCCAGGCAGUAGUUUAGCAGUUCGGAACAGUUGGAGCCCUUCUGAAUGUCCGUUUGAGCUCAAAUUUGACAGAUAGGCUCAGUUUAAUGUACUGAGUAAGAAUAUAUUUUAAAUUUUCAGUUUCGACCCCAUUUGGUCACCGAAAACUGUACCGAACUGUAAUCUUUAUCAGAUUGCUGUCGGAUUUUAUUUCUCACUCUAUGGGUGUCAGAAAAAUAUGAAACUUUAAAUCUAGCAUCAUAAAAAUAUUUCUGACUUAUCCUCCAAUUUUCAUAAUUUUCUGAGACUGUGUAUUUUCUGCUAAUUUAUCUGUCCCAUUUCCAACAGAAAAUUCUAGAUCUUCUGUUUUCAUUCCGAUUUCAGCACAAGUCACUUAUGACUUAUGUUUUAUUUUUAUAAAUCCAAUAAAAAUAGUUUCUCACACUAUUUUUAUUUAUUUUUAUUUUUAUAUCAAAAUCUGGUAUGUUACAUAUUAUGUGUGAGAAAGGUUAACUGGAUAUUAUGUAGGUGGUUAACGUAUAUGAUAAGUGGAUUAAUGAGAUAUUUGAGAAAUUUACGUAUAUUACGUUGAGAAAGGAUUGACGGGAACGGAAAUUACGUGUGAGAAGGAAAAUAUUUAAGAAACACGUAGAUAGAAGAUAUGAUAUAAAUGCGAGGGUAUUAUUGUCACAAAAAGUGACAGAUUGUCACGCCCCGGAUGUCUCGUUUUUCCGGGCACGCCGACAAAGCCGCCGUAUACAAAGAAAUUUCCCUUGUAUACGAAGCGACAUCAGUACCUGUAAAUCAAACAAUACUACAAACAGUAGUAUAGAGCUGCUCGAGUAAACAAAAGCUAAACANUCACGCCCCGGAUUUCUCGUUCCCCGGGCACGCCGACAAAUCCACCGUAUACAAAGAAAUUUUUCCUAUAUACGAAGCGACAACAGUACCUGUAAACAUACAAUACUACAAACAGUAGUAUAGAGCUGCUCGAGUAGACAAAUACUAAACAAACUGAGUUUCAUAUAUAUAGCCCAAAUCCAAAAUACAGAGCUACUCGCACUGGCGAGUUAAGUAUGCUAUGUACAUAAACUCGAAACAAAACGUCUACCUGCAGUAGGAGUGCCUCUAGCUCAGCUCGUCGGGUAGGGCUCUAACUCGCGACGCCCUUGCCUCGAUCCUGAUCCGCGGAAGGCGCAGCAGCCGAAACCUGUGGCUCUGCAAAACAGGGGUAACAACUGGGCGUGAGAACUAGUGUAAAAACAAGUAGUCCUCAGUGGGUGCCCCCCUAAACAACAUCGGUCAACCCACUAAAUCUACAGAUGGGAGCCAGGAUAGUAGUAAAUGCAGGAAUAAAAUCUACCGCUAUGAAUCACUACACUAUCAUGCUCUACACUAGCCAACUGUAGGAAAUGUCAAAUCUGAACCAAUCCAAUCGGGACUGUAAGCAUACCCGUCCCUGAGACUGUGAACACACCCGUCCCUGCCCAGUUGUGACUAUCCAGCUACCUCCACACUACUAGUCCGUGGAGAGCAAGUCCAACCGGCAUGACCAACGCGAAAGCAUAGCGCCCGUCUCCGAAGUGGCACUCGUGGGAGCUACCCAACCGAGUAUGCAGUGUAUCGCUGUCGAACUCAAUCGGCUCUCAAAAGCCAAAGUUCAGUAACCGACUCAAACUGGUCUAACAACCAACAGGUAACGUGCCCUCGGCACAAUCCGACGCCAAAAAGGCGAUACGGGUCCACCGUCAACCCCGACGGCACCCAACAGUCCGGAACAGCCUGAACGCUACUGUAAAAAUAUACUCGGCAUCCCGACACGAGCGUAACUGAAAGCUAAACUAUCUGGACUACUCACUAUGAGGAUACUGCUACAGUAUAAAAUAAUACAACGGCCCCUAGGGCUAAAUCAGGUAGUUUAACAUAUGCCGAUUCCAAUCGUGUUUUCUCCUAAGUCAAAUCCCAGUCCAACAUGUACAUUUAAGAUUUACUAGUCAUGUUCUCAAUACUGAUUUUAUCCAGGAUAGCAUCACGAACGUCAAGCUACAACAUGAUUACCGAAACUGAAAAAUCAUACAUGUCGACGAUUACGGUACUUAGGAAUAAACAGAUGUAAACCCACCUCGAAAGCUAUCCCCUGGCAGCGGUACACUCUCACAGCUGUGGCGCCACCUGCUGGGUCGAUCGUAGCCCUUCGAACCCAAGAAUCGCGCUAACUCCAAGCUCUACACCAAACAAUUCACCGUUUCAGUCCAGUUUUUGCAGCAGUGGAGUACAACAAGGAUUUGACCAAGCUAACCUUCACCAAAUCUGGAAAAUAAGGGUUUCAUGGAUUCCUCUCGAAGUCCCGAAUCCAAGGAACCAAGUCUCGUCGCGAUCCGACAUUCCUACGUCGCGUACAAGCUGAAAUACACACGGUCGACGGUGAAUUUCAGCAAAAUAGCAUUUCGAGUAGAAAUAGCAGAAUCAGCUGAAACCUCGGAGGAAUUGGAGAAUAGCUCACCACACCCGCUGUCCAACUCCGGUGCGUCGACGAUAACAGCAACGACUCGCGCUGCCCCGACAUCAAGUACGUGCUCGAUCGGUUCUGCGGCGCGACGUCGACAACGAAAUAUCUCCGCGGCACUCCUCAAGCUUGUCCCCUGCUUCAGUCGCACGAGAAAGAGAGAGAAACGAGAGACUUAAUUAGUGAAGUGCAUGCACACCCUCCUUAAUUAAAUAGAUAUGCAUGCAAUGGGAGGGGGUGUACGUGCAAGUUGCUAAGCACAUGCAUGUUGAUGAGCAUGCAUGGGUACACGUGGCUCCAAGCCACCAUAAUUAGUAUGCAACCCACUCAAAGAAACUAAUUAAUUACAUAAUAAAUAAAACAAGGAUACUACAUCCUCCCCCACUACAAAGAGUUUCGUCCUCGAAACUCAAACAUACCUUUGCUCAGGCAUCAAACAAAAAGGGAUAGGCCUCCCUCAUCACCGUCUCAGACUCCCAGGUCGCCUCCCGCUCAUCAUAAUUAUUCCACUGCACUUUCACAUACGGGAUGACUCGACUGCGCAAUUCUUUUGUCUCCCGAGCAAGAAUCCGCAACGGUCGCUCCUCGUAUCUCAGAUCCUCGCCAAUCUCAAGUGGAGUGAAGUCAAUCACAUGAGAGGGAUCGAAAACGUAUCUCCUUAAUGCUGAGACGUGGAAAACAUCAUGGAUGCCAGCAAAGUCGCGCAGGGGUAGAGUCUAUCCUGAGCCAACCGGUCGGAUACGCUCCAAUACCUCGAAAGGGCCAACGAAAACGUGGACUAAGCUUCCCACUGUACUCCAAUCGGCGUAUUCCCUUGUGACGGCGAGACUUUGACGAAAACAUGAAUCUCAACCUGAAACUCCAAGUCUCGUCUCCUCAGUAAUCGCGUAGCUCCUCUGUCGGCUCUGUGCUGCUUUAAAGGUGUGUCGAAACGACUCUCACUUUUCCUAGCUCAAGUAGAAAAUCUAUGGUCAAGUGUCUGCCGCCACCCACAUCAUCCAAAAUAGGGGGAUCGACAUUUGCUGCGUCCAUACAACGCCUCAAACGGAGGCCAUCUCCCGAAUGCCUCGUUGAUAGCUGUUUUUGUACGCAAUUGAACCAGUCCCCAUGUCGAUACACCUCCUCCAAAUUGUCACGCCCCGGGGACCGGAUGCCCAAAUUUGGCCCGACCCAGAGCACACGCUCAACAGACGCCGACGGACAGAGCUUCCCCCAGUCCGCCAAGGCUCAUCACCAGUACAAUUUCAAUAGAAGUGCAAUCUGCCGGAAAAUACACAAAUGGCUUACAGAGGGUAAGCAAUAUAGCUUUAGUGAAAGAGAAAAACUAAACAUUCACAAGUUACAUGAUUCAUUUGGAUCAUAUACAUUUGCAUUAUCUCAAGUAAUUUUCGAAUUCUUACAUUCACGUUUUCCUCAAAAUAGGAAUUUACAUUCUUUUCAUUCACCAUCACUUAUUCAUCAAGUCAAAAGUGAUAAAAGGGGUGUCUACUAACAAAUGGGUACCAACAUCCGAGUGGCCUCCUGUCUAAGGCGCCGAUACCUUUUACCGCGGUCGUCGCCGGCCGCUCGUCCCGGCUUGUGGAAAUAGUGGCGUGAGAACUACAACAAAGUUCCCAGUGGGUUCGGCUCAACAUCACCGACUUUCCACUUAGGACUAAGUGAGGCCCAUAGUAGAAAGGAUAAGCAGGUUAUAUAACCAAUCUUACAGCUAUGCUUAUAUGCCUGAACAAUUAGCAAUAGAAAUAUGUCAACAUAAAUAGAUGCAGGGGGUUAUGAGUGUUUUAGUUCUUUUCACUUUAUCUCUUAGUUCUUUAUUCUUUGUUCUUUAAUCAAUUGAGGCUAGCCCGAGGGUUUCGCCACUUUAUCAUUGCCUCCACAUUAAGAUCCAUCAUCGCGAGGAAUCUCACAGCUAGGACCGUCCUUCGGGUUACUCCAACCCGGUGCAUACUCCGUGAGCGCAUCGCCGAGGGGGAGCGACGCCGAAGCACGGAACUUCAUAGCAAGUAUGUCAUAUCCUUAAUCUCAAAGGAUUUUAUAAGUUAUCAACUACUUUGACUCUUACACUAGCUCUAGUGUUCUUUACAUCACUUUGAUGUUGAAACUCAUGCAAUCACAUUCUUUAGCAUUUCUUUUACUUUUGCUUAAUCUCUUAGCACAAUAUAUUCUUUAGUUCCCCAAUUUACUAUACUUAGGCUUGUCAUUUUCAUCAUUCUUUACACUUCAUUGGUUCUUUGAUCACAACUAACUAUGUGUCUCUUUACUUUACAUUUUCAAAUGCCACUCGACUAUGUCGAUUGUCACUCUGUUCUUUUGCCUCACUUUGGGUGCACCCACUUUUCUCUCAUGCAUACAUAUAGGGUUUAACUUUCAUUACAGGUUCGUUAACCAUACAUUAUGCAAGUUUCUCACAUCAUGCACAUCACAUCUUUCAUUUUUUACUCUAAAAUGCAUGCAACAAAUAUAUUAUAUGUCAACUUGAAUGACACAUUAGGAUAGAGUAGAAUUUCCAAUGAAGUUGAGAAGCACACCACUCGUAGGUCAAUUAUAGGUGCUCGACGAUUUCUUGAGAUAUUUUUAAAUCCCUUCGUUCUUUACCUGCGCCCAAAACGAAGCCCAUAUUUAGGGCCUUAUUGCCCUACUUACUUCAUUUUCUUUGACGCUCUUUGACAACGCGUCUUUAAGCGACAGAUUUUAUAAUAACGUUGAUAUCAAUUGUAUAAUCCGGUGCACCAACGCGUCGGAAAUACCCCAUUAGAUUUUUUAGAGGGUCAAUUGCACUUUAGAAACCCUCACAUGAGCAAAAGCCCCAAUUUGGUGCCCUAGCCUCUCCACAUCACUCAUGUUCAAACCUAGCAGUUUGAUCUCAUUGGGAAGUCAAAAGUAGCUUCAUUACACUCUAAAGAACCAUUAGAACCUCUUGGCUUUCCAAACCCUAGUUUGCAUUUCACUUAGAGUGGCCCAGCUCACUCUAAAGCAAACCAGGGUUUUGAUCUACUAAGAAGCAAAAGAGAGCUUAUACUACUAGAUAUUCCUAUUAAAAACCUUUCUAGGUUCAUUCAAACCCCAUUCUAGGCUUUUACUAAUUAGGGGUUCAAAGCUUACCUCAAGACUUCCCUUUUCUUCAAACUAGAGAUGAAGGAGAAGGAGUUUUCUUCACUUUUCUUCUUCUUCUCACUUUCUUCUCUUCUUCUCUUUCUUUUCUUCUUUCUCCUUACUUUUCUUUUUCUUCUUCUCUUUUUUGUUUUCUAGAGAUGAGAGAGGGAGAGGAAAAGGAGUGUGAAGGGCUAGUGAGAAAUGAGAGAAAUUUCUCUUUACCCCAAUACUAUACUCAAUGGGGGUUGCCCAAAAUGCAAAAAACCCCUCAACAUUCACUUAAUGCACUGCCCGAACUGGGCAGUUUCGCGCAGGGCACGAGACCGGUCUCCCGAGCACGGACCGGUUCCGAACCGUCUCACCUGCGCUGCCAGAGCCGCCUGCGCGCAGUGCAAACCGCUCCUCCUUAUGGCCGGUCUCUGGGACGGUCAUCUCAGGCAGAGAGAGGCUUCCCGAGAGCCUACCUUCCAGGACUUAGCGAUUUUCGGCUGGUCUCAUUCUGCACGCUGUCUCGGGCGGACCGUCUCGCUUCCCUUCAGGGACCGUCCCCGAGAGCUUGAAAUCUGCAGUUUUGCCAGAAUUCAAUUCUUUAGCUCUCGAAAACCAUCACAACUCAUUUUUAAUCAUUUUAAACACUUCGGACUUUUCGAAAAGUGUUCCAUCUCGCACUUGGUCAAUUGACUAAAGUUCGACAUUUUAUUCGAAUUUUCGGUUUAUAUUACCAAAAAUUCAGGACGCCAUGCCCUCAGCAUGAUUCUCAAGAGUCUUAUGGUCCGCUCUAGAACUGACCAUCUGUUCUGUGUUGGAACGCUGUACUAAAAUACAGCUGUAGUGCAAGGUGUCUGAAGGCACUCGCUCCAAAACCUUGGGAUACAAACCUCGGGUCUCUGUCUGAUAUCAAUCGACACUUGCACGCCCGUGCAACCUGACGAUCUCAUCUAGACGUAUUAGGCUGUGCGAGUCUCUCCCUGGACCAGGUAGUCAUGACCGGUUAGGAACGUGGCCAGACUGUCAGUCUGUCACUAUCGACCCCAAAUCGCGUUAGCACCCUGCGCUAGGCAAUCAACGACGAAGGUCCAUCGUGAUGCACUCCCAUUUUCACUCGCAUGGCAGACUCUGAAGCUGUGCCAGCAGGCACUGAUGCUCGGCCCUUCACCUGUUGCAAUGUCAAACACAUAAGCACAUAUCUGCCAAAGAGCCCUCUUCGAUCCAGGCCCCAGGAAUUGUGGCUUUAAGAUCCUUAUACUUUUGGUUCCCCCAGGCGUGAAACCGUAUAAUGGGAAACAAUGAGCCUCUCUCAAAUAUCUGCUGACAAUCUCAGAAUCCACAGGCCACACACAGUGCGUUCUGUACGUAUACUCCGAACGUUCAAAGCCAAAUCCCUCAGCCUACCCCCUGUCUAGCUGCAUUCUAAUACUCAGACAAGUACGCGAUUCCACUCUGUUCUCUCAGAUCCUAGUUCCAACGAGUGGGCCGUGUAACAAAAGAGACGUCAGCCUCGCCGUAGACCCAGGGGGUACUAUCUGUGAGUCCCAGGCCGCUGUUGCUCCUCGAGUAGGGGUCUCUGCUCAGUAAUCCUCAGAACUAAGCUCCUGCCAUCGAUUUCCUGCUUCAAAAUCUGUCACAACAUGUCGCGCUCAAUCCGACUCGGGCACUGGGGUGCAUGUGAUCUCUGGAUACUUGAUACAAUUCAUAGUCCUUUCAGUAACUCCAAACCCCGCGCGUGUUGAGGUUCAGCUACACCUCUGUGUGAACAGAUACUUGAGACUUUGAUGAUCGUUGAAAACCUCGCCAGUGUCGCCGUACAAGUCAAUGCCGCUAGCACUUCAAAGCAAAACCCACUGCGGCAACCUGCCAAGUCAUGCGUAGGGUAAUUCUCUCUCAUAAUCUUUAACUCCGCCGUGAAGCAUAAGCAAUCACUACUGCUGCAUCAGCACCAACCAAGUCCACUGUGCAGAUCACUGUAGAAUCACGAAUUCAUCCCCCAUCGACGGCAAGGGCAAAGGAUAGGAGCGACGUCGAACCUCAGUCUCAAUCUGAUCCAAAGCUCCUCUGACAGUCGUCGCUCCAAACAAAACGAUCCCCUUCCGCCGUCGAAGCGUGUGGGGGGUGUGGAAAACUUCGCAAGCCUCUCACCAAAUCGACGGUAAUAUCCUGCCAGGUCCCAGGACAGCUCGUACCUCAGUCACCGUCGUCGGUCUAGGGCCAAUCUCGAAUUGCUCUCAAUCUUCUUUGGUCCACGUACUGUCACGCCCGACCGGCGGAGGAGCCUUCCGGUAGGUUGUGACCCGAUUGUCAACACAUAUAAGGCGUCUACACAAAAGCUGAAAGCAAAACAAGUAUAUGAACAAAUAGAGAGUGAAUAACUAGCACUAAUGAUUAUCAGACGCGAGUAAAGUUCUAAUCCUUACCAAGGGUAAAGAAGUAAAGACGAGACAAUUAAAAGAUUCAUUAUAGUAGUACAAUAUCUGUCUCUAAAAGAAAAUGGUUGGUCUCUAGUACACUCGGUAAACUCCUCAACCUCUCGCAAAAAAAGAAAUAUAAAUCGAGAUGAUGCACCAGCAAUCGUCCUCGAAGGAAGCUAGCUCGAAGCAAAACUCCCUUCCCGCUGGAUCCCCUGCCUUACCUGCGCGGAAGGCUUGAAAAAUAUCGAGAAAAAGAGGGGCGCUUGAGACACUAUAUUUAUAAUUCCCAGUGGGCAAUUACUGACCCUCAGCUCUAUGCACCACUAGGCCGAAAAGAAAGGCGUAAGCUACCCAUAAUAUGCAAUAAUGACUGCGAUAUGAAAGCAUAAUUAAAAUGCUAAACUCUACUAAACUUCAAGUUACACGAUGUCAGUGGUGAUGCUAAUCUAUGAUCUCAGAUGGUAAAUCAUUAACUUUAUGAAUACAUUAUGCAUAAGUUUGUCAUGGCAACAAGUAUGCUUUAAUGCAAAAGGAGCUAUCAAGUAACUACAUGCCUCACCUAUGCUUAAAAGAUUUAUAAAUGUAAUUCCAACUACUAAACCUAUCUAGUAGUGCUUAUUCCAUUCCGGUUCAAUGUGCAUUAAUCAACAUGUUUUAGGACUACACAAUUGUAAUCCAAGCGAUAAUGUGCGCCUAAGUGUCGGUGGAUUAGCCCGAACAUUCCCACUCUAGGAAUGCAGUCUAUCCCUACCGACGCCCGUAAGCCAUCUCGAUUACCGCACGAGCGGAACACUAAAGGUCGCGUUAGGCCCUAACUCCGAAGUGCCGGCCUUGUUACGGGAGCGACCCUCGACAAGCAUGUAGAAUGCAGCACAAAUGGCAAGCAAGCAUAGUCCAAAGUCUCAAGUAUCCAAUCACUCAUGUCUGACUAACAUGGUAUUAUCACUAGCAUCCGAAGAGUCUAGUUUAAGUCACAAUUGUGAAGUUUCAACAAUUGUAACGCCUAGUGCCCCUUGAUGAACUUAGCAAUUUGAUGGUUCAACAUGUAUUCCAAAAUCCCUCAAAAUGGCCUAUCACUAGGAGUCACACAUGUCCUUGAGCUGCAAUGGCCUCUUGAUGACAUUAGGGGUCUAUUUCACAUACCUUUUAAAUGGCAAUCUUAGUCAACUUUCAUGUCACAAUAAACUUAGGUUUAAAUGCAUGAGAUCCAAUUGUAUUUACAUUAUAGGAAGCUAUGAAACCGCAUCUCGUAAUAGAAAUGUAAGUGCAACCAUCGGUCAAACCAAGCUACUCUCUACUACAUAGAGGUCCAAAAUUUCAUCAUAUAUAACAUAGGCCUUUUAAGCAUUCUAAAAUUCACAAUAAAUACAUACAAUAAGAAUAUGCAUGCUUUUCCAUUUAACGAUACUUAAUUAAGCACAAAUGAGAAUUUCUCAUUGUGUGGCUAGGUCAAACCCACCGAACCGUCUCGUAGGGCUCGUUUCGCCGAACAAAGUUGUCCCCGAGUCUCAAAAUACCCUAAACGUAUUGAGCGACAAGAUACACGGGCAUUACGAUCAUCUUAUAUCAUCAAACAUUAAUCCUAGAAGCAAAAAGGGCCAGAGCUCACCUCAAGAGUAGAAAUCUUCUCCUAAGCUCCAAAAGAGAGCUAGAACCCUUCCAAUCCAAGCCCUAGGAAGGUUCUAAACCAACCAAUCAAGCCUCAAAAGCCCUAGGUUUUAAAAAGCCCAAAAUAAACCCUAAGUCUCAAAACUAGGGUUUCAUCUCAAAAAAAGCUCUAAAAUCCAAAACUAGAGGAAAGGAUCUUGCCAGUUACCUCUUAGAAGCCUCAAAACCAGCUCAAAGUCCUCAAACUUCAAGUGUCUUCCCUCAAUCAAGCUCCAAACCUAAGCUCCAAGCUCCAAAAAUGGUGAAAAUAGCUCCAAUAGGCAAAAGAGAGGAAAAAACCAUCAAAAUCCAAGCUAGAAUGAGGUCAAAUCCAAAAGGUGGAGGGGAGAGGUGCCCUACCUGGUUCUCCACUCUUCUCAGCCCACGGGAGAGCCCUAGGGGCGUGGGUGCUGUUAUAAGAAGCCCACAAUCGCAAAUAAGCCCCUGCAGAACAAACUGUGCAGNNNNNNNNNNNNNNNNNNNNNNNNNNNNNNNNNNNNNNNNNNNNNNNNNNNNNNNNNNNNNNNNNNNNNNNNNNNNNNNNNNNNNNNNNNNNNNNNNNNNAAAUAAAACGAGACAUAUUCCAAAACCAGCUAGGAAGAGUAUCUGCAAUUUUGCUUUUUGACAAAUAUAGUACUUCAAGUUGAGACUGACUUUUGAGCCAUGCUGGAAAAUUGGGACCCAAAUGGCAGGAGGCUAGUAAAAUAUAUUUAAGUUGAAAAGAAGGAACCCAAUCGUCACGAACUCGCAUAGUAAGAGAGUUGAAUGAAAGGUCUAAGUAUUGUAUUUUUCUUAGAUAGGAAAGUUCGACAUCAGAUACGACACCCUCCAAUGAAUUAUUAUAUAGAGCUAGAGAAAUUAAAUUAGGAAGUUUCCAAACUCCCGCAGGAAUUGAACCAGUGAACAAGUUUGACCCCAGAUCUGUGUCUGUUAGACUAUCCAUAUGUUCAAGCCAUCCUGAUAAAUUCCCCUUUAAGUUAUUGUAACCGAGAUACAAAGACUGUAAAUUGUUGCGCACACAUCGUGGUAGCAUCUCUACCCAUUCCAUGAUUUCCCCGCCAAAGCCGAUACUUGACAAAUCUAAUGAAGUCAAGUUGCAUAAAUAUCUUAAUGCUCUUGGAUUCAUACCUUUAAAAUAAUUACCUCCUAAUGAGAGAACAUUUAGAUUGCUCGAAUGUAGAAACUCGUCAGAAAUAACGCCGUGAAACUCAUUGGAGCUCAAGUCAAGAAAAGUGAUGCUUGUAAGAUUCCGCAGCCAUGUGGGUACAGUGGAGUUUAUGACGUUAUCUCCAAGAUCAAGCACAUCGAGAGUUGUAAGGUUGAAAUGUGACAGAGAUGUAGAAAUGCCAGGAAGUGAACAGUCAGCCAAAUGUAGCACUUUCAACGAAGGAAGCAUAUUUACAACAUGCAACCAACCUGUAGAAGUAUUCAGGUUCAUCCUGCUCAAAUCGAGAUAUUUUAAGGAAGAUAAACGAGUAAGCCACAAAAUGUCAUCAAUUCUAAGAGUGUUGCCAGAAAAAGUGAAGUCAAAACUUAAAUCAAGAUAGUGAAGUUUUGAGAGAUUUCCAAUUUGUGGAGGUAAUUUUCCACUGAAAUGUGCAUAAGAGAGGUUGAGAUAUCUCAAGUUCUCGAAUGAACCCAAGAAUGCUGGGAUGCUGGUUCCGCUGAAAUUGUUCAUGCUGAGAUCUAAGUGCUCUAAAUUGCUUAAAAGAAGUAAAGAUGGAUUGAUCUCACCGCUCAAACAUGGGCAUUCCUCGAAGACUAUUUCAUACGAGUUUCUGUUUCUGAGGUUGAGUUUCACAACAUGGCCCGUGGUAUUGCUGCAGACGACUCCCCACCAUUUACAACAAUCUUCGCCUUCCCACGAAGACAAUAAAUUCUGAGGAUCAACCAAGCCGGACUUCAACGUGAGGAGUGCGUUCCUCUCUACCUCCAUGCAACCACUCGCCACAACAACGUCGAUGGUUAAAAUCCAUAGCAAGGAGGAAAAAAUAAGAGUAGCCAUGACGCAGGUUGAGAAAAUACACAACAUCAUAAUAAGGGAAUUGAUGUGGAGUAUUUUAUGGAGAAGGCCACCCAUUUGAGCCAUAUAUAUAUAAAUGUUACAUGGUUAAGCUAUCGCAAUUCACAUCAAAAGUACGUUCCAUUAUUGUAUGGAGUCAUAAUUCUCCUGUAGGUCCUACAAGGAAAAUUAAGCUACAGUUGUGUGAUUUUCAUGGUCAUACAAAUUAAUGGNUGUUAUUGUAAAAUAUGACAUUCUCAUUAGAUGUUUUGCUUCUAAAAUCUCCCAAACUAUUAUUUGCACAAACAUAUAAAGAGAAAUUAAGGCUAGUGUUAUUAUAAUUAGCAAGAAAUUAAUUACCUUUAAUAUGGGCACCAGAUAUUGACAAGCUUUACCCCUUUUCAUAUUCAAAAACCAUAGAGAUAGGGCGAGCGACUAUGUGGGUGAAUUGCUUUAAAUGUUCUAAUUCACUGCUUUUCAUAUUGAACAAGGGAUGAAACUUGAUAUGCUGGUGGUGAAGGUAGCAUGGUGGCAAAGAGGCCAUGGACUAAAGCGGAUGCUUCUAGUAGCAGCAGUGGGAUGGAUGCUGUGGAUAGGCACUCUUCCACACUCUAUCUCGUUGCUAGAGCACAUAUAUAGAGAAAGAGGAGGGUUAGGGUUCAAAUUUGGAUUUUGUUGGAGUGAUAUGAUAAUUCAGGACAGAAGAGCGCGAAUUUCGAAAUAGUGCGCGGGAAAAGAAAAAUUAAGCGAGAAUGCACACUUGAAUAAAAUGGACGUUUUGUGGCAUAUAGUAAUGUAUGCCACUAAUUAGUAAUCAUUCAGCAACACUUUUUUUAAAAUGUUGGUAAAGAAAGUAACAUUUAAUAUUAUCUGCCUCUAAUUUAUUAUAUUUAGCAACACAAAUGCUAAAUGUCACUACAUCGUUACAUUCGGCGACAAUUAAAUAAUAACGUUACUAAAUAUUAGAAAUAGCAUUAUCCAACUAAAUGUUGCUAAUUUUUUGUUGCUAAAUCAUCAAAUUGUUGUAGCAUGCGCGAAACCAACUCUUCGCCUUUCCUUCACCUAUAACGUCUAAUUAUACUAACCUUAACCCAACCCUUCGCCUUUCCUAUGCACAUAACGUCGUCUUCCCUCCACCUAUAACAUCUAAUUAAUAGUCCACUAACCUUAAUCCAACCCUUCGUCUUUCCUACAAACAUAACGUCUAAUUAAUAGUCCACUCACCUUAAUCCAACCAAACAUAACGUCUAAUUAAUGGUUCACCUACUUUAAUCCUAAUAUAAACAGUAAAUCGUAGAAACCUACGAAAAGUCCAAUUCUCUCAUUCUCUACUUUCUUUUCCUCCUCCAUGAGCUCCGAGGCUAAGAUCAAGCACGUUAUGUGGAUGGUGUAUAAGUUUGCACGCUGCAUCGCCAAGCUUAGCGUUGCCAUCUUCAUCAAAUCGAGCUUUCCUUCAAAUUUCAGGAGUUAUUUUAAAAGAUUUAUGUAUUCUUUGUGUUGUAUCGUUGAAAUUUUUUUGAUAGUUUUAUUCAGUUUUUUAAAGUUUUUUUUAUUUGCAUGGUAUUCAAACUAAUGUGUUUGUUAUGUUGAAAAUUUAUUGUUUUUUCUUUUUCUAUCCUUUAUUUUUUAUAUUUUUUCUCGGAAAGUAAAGUUCUGUAUUAUAUUUACUGUAUUUGGUUGUGUUAAGUUGUAUAUCUUUUUGUCUCUUAAAAAUUUAUUAUAUAACUUUUCAUAUGCUUUUUUUNUCGAAGAUUCCUCGGAUAAAUGAAUUCAGAAUUUAAAUCAAGGUAGUGAAGUUUCGAGAGAUUUCCGAUUUGAGGAGGUAUUGUUCCACUGGAAUACGAAUUAGCGAGGUUGAGAUAUCUCAAGUUUUUGAGUGAACCCAAGAAUGCCGGGAUGCUGGUUCCACUGAAAUUGUUCAUGCUGACAUCUAAGUGCUCUAAAUUGGUUAAAAGAAGCAAAGAUGGAUUGAUCUCACCGCUCAAACAUGGGCAUUCCUCGAUGAAUAUAUCACACGAGUUUCUGUUUCGGAGGUUGAGUUUCACAACAUGGCCCGUGGUAUUGCUACAGGCGACUCCCCUCCAUUUACAGCAAUCUUCGCCUUCCCACGAAGACAAGAAAUUCUGAGGAUCGACCAAGCCGGACUUAAACGUGAGGAGUGCGUUCCUCUCUACCUCCAUGCAACCGCUCGCCACAACGGCGUCGACGGUUAAAAUCCACAGCAAGGAGGAAAGGAUAAGAGUAGCCAUGACGAAGGUUGAGAAAAUACACAACAUCAUAAUAAGGGAAUUGAUAUAGAGUAUUCUAUGGAGAAGGCCACCCAUUUGAGCCAUAUAUAUAUAUAUAUAUAUAUAUAUAUAUAUAUAUAUAUAAAUGUUACAUGCAUGGUUAAGCUAUCGCAAUUCACAUCAAAGGUACGUUCCAUUAUUGUAUGGAGUCAUAAUUCUCCUGUAGGUCCUACGUACAAGGAAAAUUAAGCUACACUUGUGUGAUUUUCAUGGUCAUACAAAUUAAUGGCCUGAUUAGGAUUGCAUUGAGCUUUGACUUAAAACUUAAUUUUGCUAGAAGCUAAUUUUUUAGAUUAAAAACUGAUUCUGAAUAAAGUAGUCUUAAUUAUUACGAAUAUAGAGUAUUAAUUUGGCUACGAAAUACCAAAAGCGCUGUUGUACAAAAUAUAUUGUACAACAGCUUUUGGUAAUUUAUUUUUAUAUAAUUUGUUUAACUAAAAUGGUAAGUAUAUGAGUUUAACACGCAUAUAUAGUUCAUGAUUGAUGAUAAAUCUAGUUAAAAUAUUAAAUAUAUGAUUAAUACAGUAAAAUUUAAUUAGUAAGUAAUAAUCAUAAAUUCAAGUGAAAACUACAAACCUCUCUAAACCAUUGAGCAUUUUGAGAUUCAUACCUAAGGUUUUAAAAUUUUGAUUUUAUUAUCUAACUUCAUAUUUUUGAUGAUUUCGAAAAAAAAAAAGAAAGAAUACUAGAAUUGAGUACUCUACAGUAAAAGAGGAUUAGAGAAUAUUCCCAAAAACUAAGAAUAUUCUGUUAUACUAUAAAAAUUCUCAGCAGAACAAAUCAAAGUUACUAUUAGAUUUAGUAUAAAUUUAAAUUACAUACAUUUUAAAAUUAGAUAGCUUAAAUAAAAAUGUCCAAAGUUUAAGUCUUUUUAAGGAAGGGUCAAUGAUGGAAAUUUGUACGACCAACGAAUAAUGAUUCCAGUUUUUCUUUCUCCCAUUAAAAUCAUGAUAGGGAUUCAUAUGACCAAAAAAAAAUCUUAAAGUGCCUUUAAAAAAAUUUAAAAAUGGCAAAAUUACACUUUUUGUUUCUCAAAUUAUGAUGUGCGUGGCAUUUUGGUUCUCAAAAUUUAAUUUAAUAUAGUUUCUGGCUCAAACUCUAUAAAUUAAUAAAAUCAAGCCCCACCGCCUAAUUUAACGGACUAAAUAUUGACGUAUCGCCAAUAUGAAAGCUAUAUGAUAUCUUAAUUAUUGUUCUGUCAUUAAUCACAAUACGGUCACGUCAAUUAUACAUUAGCAAUGCAUUAUUAAUAUUUCAUCAUUUAAAUUGGGUUAUAGGACUAAAUUGCAACAACUUAGAGAGUUUGAACGAGAAAUUGGAAUUAAUUAAAGUUUAAUAACAAAACUCUCACGCCUGAAAAUUUGAGGACCAAAAAUAUAAUUUAGCAUUUUUUUAGGGCACUUUCUGAAGACUAUUUUCCUGGCCAUAUGAAUCCCUAUCAUGAUUUUAAUGGGAGAAAGAAAAAAAACCUAGAAAUAUUGUUUGUUGGUCAUACAAAUUCCUAUCAUUGAGUCUUCCUUAAAAGGACAGGUAUUUAAGGGAUGAAAACAGAUCAGAUACGGUCAGAUAUUCGACGAAACUGUAUCUGCAUUUUUUUUUGUUUUUUUAAUAUGAGCUCAGAUGUGUAUAUAUUUCAAAUGCUAAAAUUUUCUUAUUAUUUGGAUAUGAUAAAAUAUUUCAUAGGAUUCGAAUAUGGAUCUGAUUUGUGUUCGGGUAUUAUUUUAAUCAGAAUCAACACAUUAUUAUUAUUUGGUUUAGAAAAAUUUACUUGUCCAAAAAAAAUAUUUAAAAUAGAAUUCACAAUUUAAAAUAUAAAAAUAGAUUACACACUCAAAAAUAGAAAUUUUAAAAUUUUAAUUUUAAUUCAUUAAUUUGUAUUCGAAAUUUAAUUCGCAAUUUAAAUGUAAUUUUGUUAGUUCAAAUUUGAAUUCAAAAUGGUGCAUUUAAUUCACAAUUUAAAUAAUGUCAAAAAUAAAAUUUUAAAAAAUAAAUUUUAAUUAAAGGUUAACAUCAAAUUUUAAAACUAUAUCUAAAAUGUAAAAAUCAAACAUAUAAUUAUAUUUAAAAACAAACCACUAAUGUGGGCUCCCCACACCCCUGACCUGAGGAUUAGCCCCAUACCAUGUAAAUUGUGAACUACAUCACACUCUUUGUUAUUCACCUACAAAAUUUAAUUAUUAGUAGUAUUCUAGCUUAGUUCUAAUAACAUAUAUACAUAUUAAUUGUUGAUUAUUCAUAUUUGUAUUCAAUUUUUCGGAUAUCCGAAUAAUUUUAAAUUCUUUGAAAACCAUAUCAGCAUCCGUAUUCAACUAGAUCCGGAUAUUAUUAAAUAUGCAUGUGGUAAGGUCGGAUAUUAUCUAAUUCAUUUUCGACGCUAGAGAUGCAAACGGAGUAGAUCUAGAGGCAGAAGAGUCCCCAUGUCCCGCUCUGCUUCUUGUCAAGUCGAGGUCGAUUUGAAGCGGUUUAACUUUAAUCCUAUUUUGGCGCCCACAUACCGUUCCAUUCGGGGCGAAUCAGGACGGAAACGAACUUUUGGUGGAUUUUACUUUUCACUUGUCUAUUGGUCUUUUUUGAUCCCGCAAAUUCCAACACGAGGCAAGACGAAAGAGUAUACUCCACUACUAGUCCCAAAAAAGACAAAAGAAGAAAGGAUAUAUUGCACUACUAGUCCUUCAAUUUUUAAAUUCGACUUUCAAAACUCUGAACUUUCAACGAUAUUUCAUUUUCAAUUCUGAACUUUCAGCAAUGUUUUAUUUCAGAUCUCUUUCUCAGAAUAAAACUUAUUGGUUGUACCAAUAGGCAAUAGGCAUCAUAGACACGGACACGGACACGAAGUAUGAAACACAGCACUACUUGGGCACCAUGACUAAACAGCUCCAAAAAAUUAAAACACAGACACGAGAUAGACACCACUAUUAUUAAUAUAAUAACAUAUAUUUAUUAUAUAGAAAAUAUUAACUUUGUUAAAAUAUUAUUAUAUUUCUGAAUAAAAGUUAAUAAAAUUCUCAUUAAUAUUUGAGAAAAAANUGUCUCUACCUAAAUUUCCAAAUAAUUCAAGUCAAUUUGAAUAUUCCUCCAAUGACUUCAAAUGUCUAAAAAAAUAUAUAUUUACGUUGUUUCUCUUUCGCACCUUAUCACAUUAUUUUUGUAUGACCAAGAGUCCAACAGAAGAGUUAAAAAUGUCUUUUUAAGAAAGAGUCAAUGAUAGAAAUUUGUAUGGCCAACAAAUAAUGUUCCUAAUUUUUCUUUCUCCUGUUAAAAUCAUGAUAGGGAUUCAUAUGACCAGGAAAAAAAAAUCUUAGGGUAAAUUACACUUUUGGUCCUCAAAUUAUAAUGUUUGUGAUCGACAUUUUGAUUUUCAAAGUUUAAUUUAUGAUUGUUGGGGAACAAACCGCAACGAACUUCGAUUGUGACUAAAUCUAACUAAUUUUGUGAUUAAAUAAAUAAAACCUACUUACCGACAAUCGCUAAAUUCCAAAAAAAAUUGUGGAAGAAGAAUAUCAAAUUAAUUUGAUCCGGAAGCGUGCGAGGCACUGUCCUAAGGCGUAUUUCCGUCCUUCGUGCGGGAUUAACCGGAAACACCGCCCCAAGAUACGACCGGAACCCCUCCUCCUACGGACACGAACGCGGAAGAGGUUGACGAAGCUUCUUUCAACACCCAGCGAUAAAACGAUCAAAUGAAGUGGAUGAAAUUAGUAAAGAGAAAAUUAAAAUUAACUCAUGAAAAAACUAUUCUGUCAAUGAAGCUCUCAUCCAUUCAUUCGCAUGAACAGGGAGAGGGCCAUACGCACACCUUAAAUCCAAUGAGAUAAUUAGAACGUUGGAUGCCAACUGUUCUUCUCGAAACGGAUGCGCGAUGGACGCGCGAACGUGCGGGGAGCGGAGCGUGUAGGGAGCCGGAUCGCAAGCCGCAACGUCCGAAAAAUAAAUUCUCCGUUUAAUAAUAAAUUAAAUAAUAUAAUGAAAAAAUUAAUUUAAUUAAAUAAUGAGGAUUUUGAACUUUUCAUCAACAAUGAUAACUUCUGGUUAAAACUUUAUAAAUUAUUACAAUCAAACUACAGAAUCUAAUUUACUUGUCUAAGUAUUACCGUAUUGCCGUUGUGGACGUAAUAUGACAUCUUGCUCAUUGUCCUGUCAUCAUGCAUAACAAUAUCACAUCAUUUGCAUAUUUGCGACACAUUGAUAUUUAUUCAACUAAAUUGGGAUGUGGAGUUUGAUUGCAACAACUUAGAUAAUUCGAGUGACACAUUAUAACAAAUUAAAGUUUGAGGAUCAAAUCGUAUAGCGUGUCUCAUGGUUUGAGACCAAAAUUGUAAUUUAGCUUUUUUGUUUUUAGGCACCUUCUAAAGAUUCUUUUUCCAGUCAUAUGAAUACCUAUCAUGAUUUUGAUAGAGAAACCAAAAACCUUAGAAACAUUGUUUGUUGGCCAUACAAAUUCCUAUCAUUGACCCUUCCUUCAAAGAAUAGGUAUUUAAGGGAGGAUAACGGAUCGGAUACGAUCGGAUAUUUGAUGAAACGAUAUCUGCAUUUUUUUUUUUUUUGAAUAUAAAUUCGGAUGGGUAUAUAUUUCAAAUGCUAGAUUUUUGUUAUUAUAUCUACUAAAAAUGAAUUUGGGUACGACCAAAUACUUCGUAGGAUUUGAAUAUGGAUCUGAUUUGUAUUUGGGUAUUAUUUUAAUGAGAAUCAAGACAUUAUUAUUGUUUGGUUUAGAAAAAUUAAAUUGUCCAAAAAAUUUAUUUAAAAUAGAAUCACAAUUUAAAAUAUAAAAUUAGAUUACACACUCAAAAAUAGAAAAUUUAAAAUUUGAAUUUUAAUUCAUUAAUUUGUAUUUGAAAUUUAAUUCUGUAAUUUUGUUAGUUCAAAUUUGAAUUCAAAAUGGUGCAUUUAAUUCACAAUUUAAAUAAUGUCAAAAUUAAAAUUUUAAAAAACUAAAUUUUAAUUAUAGGUUAAAAUCAAACUUUAAAACUAUAUCUAAAUUUAAAAAUCAAACUUAUAAUUAUAUUUAAAAACAAACUACACCCCUGACCUGAGGAUCUAGCCCCAUACCAUGUAAAUUGUGAACUACAUCACACUCUUUGUUAUUCACCUACAAAAUUUAAUUNAAAAAUUUUAAAAAAAUAAAUUUUAAUUAAAGGUUAAAAUCAAAUUUUAAAACUAUAUCUAAAUUUAAAAAUCAAACUUAUAAUUAUAUUUUAAAACAAACUACACCCCUGACCCUGAGGAGCUAGCCCCAUACCAUGUAAAUUGUGAACUACAUCACACUCUUUGUUAUUCACCUACAAUAUUUAAUUAUUAAUAGUAUUCUAGCCUAGUUCCAAUAACAAAUAUACAUAUUAAUUGUUCAUUAUUCAUAUUUGUAUUCAAUUUUUUGGAUAUCCGAACAAUUUUAAAUUCUUUGAAACUAUAUCAGCAUCCGUAUUCGACUUGAUCCAAAUAUUAUUAAAUAUGUAUGUGAUAAGGCCGGAUAUUAUCUCAUCCAUUUUCGACGCUAGAGAUGCAAACGGAGCAGAUCUAGAGGCAGAAAGGGUCCCCACGUCCCGCUCUGUUUCUUGUCAAGUCGAGGUUGAUUUGAAGCAGUUUAACUUUUAUCCUAUUUUGGCGCCCACAUACCGUUCCAUUCGGGGCGAAUCAGGACCGAAACGAACUUUUGGUGGAGUUUACUUUUCACUUGUCUAUUGGUCUUUUUUGAUCCCGCAAAUUCCAACACGAGGCAAGACGAAAGAGUAUACUCCACUACUAGUCCCAAAAGAGACAAAAGAAGAAAGGAUAUAUUGCACUAUUAGCCCUUCAAUUUUUAAAUUCGACUUUUAGAACUCUAAACUUUCAACGAUGUUUCAUUUUCAAUUCUGAACUUUCAGCAAUAUUUUAUUUCAGAUCUCUUUCUCAGAAUAAAACUUAUUGGUUGUACCAAUAGGCAAUAGGCAUCACAAACACGGACACGGACCAGAUGUAUGGAACACGGCACGACUUGGACACGAUGACUAGACAGCUCUAAAAAAUUAAAACACAGACAUGAGAUAGACACCACUAUUAUUAAUAUAAUAAUAUAUAUUUAUUAUAUAGAAAAUAUUAACUUUGUUAAAAUAUUAUUAUAUUUCUGAAUAAAAGUUAAUAAAAUUCUCAUUAAUAUUUGAGAAAAAAAAUUCUCCUUUAUACAUAAUUUAUUUAUAUUGUCCACAAAAAUUUAUAUGCAUUCAUCAAAACGCCAAAAUAUCCAUAAACUUCCAAUAACAUUUUGGUUUAGGUCUCCUACUAGAAUAAAAUUUUUUGUUUGUACCUGCUUCAUCUAUGGCUAUGUUUGUUUCGUCAAAAGUAGAGAAAUAUCCAUUUUCACUGCUUCGUUUACUGCUACUUCACCUUCUGUCGAAACUCAAACUCUCCAAAAUAGCAUAAUUACUUCGUCCCACCUCAAGCCUAAGUUAAUUACGAAAAACAAAAAGAGUAAGAAAAGGAAUAAAAAAAUAUUAAUUUAACUCUCACACUUCUAACAUUUAUGUCAUUAACUUCCUGCUAUAGGAAUAACCAAAAUGGGAGAACUCGAGUUACACAACUAUACAAAUAAACACCAAAAAAAAAAUAAUAAUAUUUUUUACCGGAACUAUAAUUCAUCCGUAAGUCUAUCUAAAUCUGAACUUCACUUUUGGUGAAACAAGAAAGCCCUAUAUGCCUAGACGCCACGACUCUGUGACAUCCCAAUAGUCCCAUAUUGAAUAAGAAUAAGAUUGUGACUGUACAUAUAAGACAUCAUGAAGAUUAAUAAUAAUAAUAAUUAGAUUUAAGUACUUUAAGCAGAUAGUUUGAGUCUAAUAAAUUAUUAUUGCUACCAAGUCGUGUCUAUGUUGUGUACUUCAUCGAUUUUAUACUUCAAAUUUUAUAAAACCAAACAACUUUAUCAAACUUAAAAGUUUAAGGGCCAUAACAAAAUUUGAAUCCAAGUUCCCUGAAAAAUAAGUAUAACAAUUAACAAAGUAGAAUCAAGGUAAUUUUGUCACCCACGCUCAUUAUAUGCGAAAGGAAAUAUAAUUCAUGAGUUUUAAGAACUAAAGUAGGAUCGAACUAGAGAUUGAAUCCAAGUUCUCUUUUUAUUAUCCAUUUUACUAAUUUUUUCGUUAAAUCAGUGACAAAGUUAAAACUAAAUGAUACUAAAGUGAAUAUUCGAUAAACCUAGAUAGGGUAUCUGAAAUUUUUUGUUUAUAAUUUAACGAAAUAUUAAUGGAGGAAAAAAAAAUAAGUGACAAAGUUAAAACUAAAGGGUACUAAAGUAAAUAUUCGAUAAAUCUAAAUAAGGUAUCAGAAGUUUUUUGUAUAUAAUUUAACGAAAUAUUAACAGAGGAGCCGACAAAAAAUGAAAAAUGAAACCACAGAGUACUAAAUUGAUGAACUUUAAACCACAUGAUACUAAAGUAAGAAAGUGUAAAACCACAGAGUACUAAAUUAAUACACUUUAAAUGAAGAGUAUUAAAAAUGCGAAACUACAUGGGUGGUAUUUGAAGUUUUCUCAAAAAAGAAAAAGAAAAGUAGAAACUUCCAAUAGCUCCCAUGCAAUUCAGCAAACUUUUACUUUGUUGUCUAGUGGUUUAAGAAAUUAACGCUUAAUUUGCUCUCCUGUACUUUUUUUAAAAAAAAUUUAUCUAUUGUAAGGACCUGCAGUUAAAUUGGAUAACAAAAUGGUAUAAUUUACAAAUGAUAAGGUAAUAAUAUAAUGAGUCCGGCUGCUAUACUUUUAUGAGUAUAGAGCCUAUUGUACUCAUAAGUUUUUGGCCAUUAGAUCUACCCUUUAAUCAUUUUCAACCGUUAGAUUAUACUAUUAAACCAACCACCCACUCAACCCUAGGGGGUCCACUAUCAAUCUAACCGUAACCACUUUCAUCCUAACCACACAUUUUUUCAUCUGAACGGUCAAAAAUUUAUGAGUACAAAGGGCUCUAUACUCAUAUGAGUAUAGUAGGCCUAGCCAUAAUAUAUAAUACUUUAUAAUUAAAUUACAGUCCGGUAAAAUGGAGCAUAUUACCAGCAAAUAAUUUUAACUUCACUUCUUAUUCUUGUUACAGUUUAGAGCAAAAAAUGUUGCCUAUACCUAUCCAGUGUUAGAUCACACAUUCCAUAUCCUAAUUUCACUCCAAUUAGGGUAAAACCUUUUCUCUAUCUAGGAAUUACACAAUUCGAUUGAAAAUAUGAAGUGAAUGGAACGCUGACGAAUUCAUAGUGCACAAGGUCUCUUUGUUUCAUCCAAAGUGAAAAGAAUUUGAACUAAUUUUUAGCCAUAAAUAUCUACUUUUAUUGUUUGGUUCAUUAAAAAUUAUGUUUAGUCUUUCCAGGUAGUCGUAAUUGGCUUCACUCGGGCUUGUGGUGAAACAAAUUAUGGGAGGAAAAUUGAUAGAAAUUUUUCGCCGAAAGAAUGGGAGAGAUCUACUUCCAAGACAUCAAAAUGAAAAUUUUUGGUGAAACAAAUACAAAAAAUGGGAGAGAUCUAGUUCCAAAACAUCAAACAAACAGCAAUGAAAAAAUAAUUUUUACUUAAACUUCAAUUCAAUUGAAAGUCAUUUUCAAUCUAAAAAUCAGCUGUGGGCAGAGAAACAGAGCCAAAGAUAUGGAUGGAUUAAGUUCAUGCAAUAAUCUUAUCAGUAAAAGUGGAAAGUGAAAAGUGAAAUUUUUCCACAGUAUUUAAAAUGGUAUAAGAGCAGAAGAUCUGAAAUUCGAGUUUCACUUGAUUCCUCAAUUUAUUUAAUUUUCUCUCAAUCAAUUCAAUUUCACGUUUGGGCAUGUUAAAAAGUCUCAAGUGUGGAUUAAUAUAAACAAUAUUGUAAUCGUUUCACUUUCUAAGUAAGCAGAGAUCACAGUGUUGGGCGAUGUAGAUCAUAUCAUCUUUAUCAAUUCAAGUCGAUAGGCCAUAUUCCCAAUGCCACUUUCAUGAAAAAAAAAAAAAAAAAAUUCUGGAGAACAUGCGUGAGGAAUAAUGUUGAGUUCGAAUUCUGCUAGGCGCAUUACUUUGUUUAAUUUUCUCCUAUUAAAUUCAAUUUUACAUUCUAAACUUAUCAAAAAAUCUCAGAUGUUUAAUCUAUUUGUUUCACAUUAUUAAGCUUCUGGAGAAUAAUAAUUAUCGAUAAACUAUUUUACAGUAGUUAUAAAGAAUUAAAGAAGAAAUUGUUGAACAAACGUUGGAAUGCCGUGCCCACAUCUUUUCCUAUCAGGCCAGGAUUGCAUUGCAAACUAGUACAACAAUGACAAGAGUUAAAAAGACUCACUAUCGAUACAUCUAAUUAACAACGUAAAAUUUCUGUUUAUUAUAAAAAUAAAAAGCUAACAAUAAUUACAAAGUUGAUAAAUUUCAAGAACAAAUAUAGGAAAACAGCUAAAACACAGCACAAAUUUUAUUUAUCCACCAUUUCAUAUACUGAUUGCUCAAUUUCCCCACCUCCUCAUCAACCUAGCGUGAGUUAAUGCGACUGCAACAUAAAGCCUAUCAUACAUGGUAUCAAUCAAAUUGAAAUAACCAUACCUGAAAGAUUUGCUGAUUAACAAAGCACCACAAAUCGCCCAAAAUCCCGUGAUAAAUCCCAAAAUCACACUGACAGAGAGCCAUAAUCUUUCAAACUUGUCGAAUCUAUCUGCAGUCCCUUCGCUUAAAUCGUGAACUGAUUCAUUUGUAGAGCAAUUUUUAGUAGUCGGUGGUCCACAAAGAUAUGGAUUGCCAAUGUAAAUGGACGGGUCAGGAAGGGUUUGCAGUUGAUUUCCUGUCGGAAUUGGUCCUGAUAGAUUAUUGUAUGAUAAAUUUAAGUGAUUCAAAUAAGUCAAUGCGGAGAGACUUUGUGGAAUAGUGCCGGAAAGAUUGUUCAUUCGAAGGUCAAGAGAUUCCAAAGACUUCAUUUUGCCGAUAUUCUCUGGGAUAUUUCCUGAUAAAUGAUUUCGCGACAAAUUUAAGUUUUGCAGUGCCCACAAAUCUCCAAUCUCGUCAGGAAUCUCCCCAAAUAAAUUAUUAUCAGAAAGAUCUAUGCUCUCCAUGAGGUCGAGAAUGUUCGAAAAGAGUCGUUCGGCCCCUUUAAUAACAAACAAAAAACUAGCUGAAAAGCCAAAGAAUGUUCCUUGCUCUAAUUCUUCCGUACCUUUUGUCUUUCCACCUUUUUGCAAAGCCAUCCAACUGAAAUUGCCAAUAGACCGGGGUAUAAUUCCCGAUAGAUUGUUAUGAGAUAGAUCCAACACUUGAAGAUAUCUAAGCUGUAGAACUUGUGGGGGAAUGCUACCAGAAAACAUAUUUGAAUGCAAGCCAAGAAUCAUGAGGGAUGACAAAUUUUUUUCACCAAUCCAUGUUGGUAUUGCUCCGGAGAACUUGUUAUGCCCAAGGUCAAGAAAAAUUAACUGUCUACAAUAUUGCAAGGAAGAAGGAAAUUCUCCUGACAAGCUAUUGUUGUCCACAUUUAAUAAUGACAAACCAUCUAAAUGACAAAUAGAGUCAGGGAUGCUCCCAGAAAGAUUAUUGUUGGACACAUCUAUAAUAAAUAGACUCAUCUCUUGUAUUCUCCCUAAACAUUGAGGAAGUUCUCCAGAUAGGUUGUUCCUUGAUAGAUCGAGAAGCAUUAAUUCAAGUGAUUUGCAUAAAGAGUGUGGUAUAGUACCAUCAAAACUAUUAUUAGAGAGAACCAAGUAAUUUAAAUCUGGUAAUAUAGAGGAUGGUAAUGGACCUUCAAAGAAAUUAUUAGAGAGAUCCAAAAACAUAAUAGUAGGCGGUAAAGACGGCAAUGGGCCUUCAAAUUGAUUAAAGCUCAAAUUCAACGAGUUUAUCAUCGUUCGGUCCAAUGGUAAUGGCAAAUUCCCCUUGAUCUGAUUAUUGGAUAAAUCUAAAAUUUCGAGUUGUGUCUGUCCUUGCAUCCAAGUUGGAAAUUUCUGUGCCAGCCGGCACGACGCCAAUCCAAGUUCUUUGAGUUGGAAAGAAGGAACCCAAUUAUCACUAAAUUGAACCGUUAUGGAGUUAUUUGAAAGGUAAAGUUCUUUUAUUCCUCCAAGAUAAUUAAGUUGGACCUCAGAUAUUACACCCUCUAAUGAAUUACUAGAAAGAUCCAAAUAUGUAAUAUUAGGAAGCCUCCAUACUCCUACUGGGAUGGUACCGGUGAGUGAGUUGUGCCUCAAAUCUAUAGUAGUUAGACUCAUCAUUUUUUCUAGCCAUCCUGACAAAUUCCCGUUUAAAUUGUUUAGCGGCAAAUACAAGUUUUGUAGCUUAUAAAUUGUGCAUCCUCCCAACGGGUCGAUCCAUUCUGAAAUAUCCCCACUGAAGCCAAUUUCGUCCAAAUCCAAAGUAAUCAAGUUGCAAAGCUUGCGGAAUGCUCUUGAAGACAUACCUUUGAAAUUAUUACCAUGUAACGAAAGAACAUUGAGGGAUUCCAAGCAGCUAAAUUCAUCAUGAAUAAAUCCAUGUAAUGUGUUGUAUGAAAGGUCCAGAUGAGUGAUGCGACUAAGAUUCCACAGCCAUUUAGGUAAGGUAGAGUUGAUGAGGUUAACACUUAGAUCAAGCACUUUGAGAGAUGUAAAGUUGACGUACGACAGAGACGUGGGAAUUCCAGAAAGAAAACAGUCUUCCAAAUGAAGCACUUCUAAGGAUGGAAGCAUGUUUACUACUUGGAGCCAAUUUGGAACUGUACUCAAAUUCACUAUACUCAUAUCAAGAUACUUCAAAGAAGACAGAUGGGUGAGCCACCACAUGUUAUCUACACUAAUCAGGGGAAAAAUAGAAUUUUGUGCAUUGAGAUCGAGAUAGCGGAGAUUUGAUAGAUUUCCAAGUUGAGCAGGCACGAUUCCAUUGAACCAUGCAUUGGAGAGGUUAAGAUAUUUCAACUUUUGCAAAGAACCUAUAUGCGUGGGAAUGCUGUUACCGUAAAAAUUAUUCAUGCUAAGAUCUAAAUGCUUUAGAUCACUCAAAAGAGACAAAGAUGGUUUGAUCUCACCACUCAAUGAUAAAUUUCCAAGUUUGAGCUUCACAACAUGGCUCGUCGUAUUGCUGCAGAUGACUCCCGCCCAUUUACAACAAUCGCGGCCUUCCCAUGAAGACAAGAAGUUGUAUGGAUCGGUUAGACCAGCUUUAAAGCUGAGAAGUGUGUUUCUCUCUCUCUCAAUGCACCCCAUUGCCCUAAUUGCUUGGAUACCCAGAAUCAAAAGCAAGAAAGAAAGAAUAAAAGAAGCCAUGCAUGCUAUGUUUGCUCCAAACAAAUGGGCUAGUAAUUGGUUGUUGAGUGCAUACACACUCACACAAAUUGCCACACUAUUUAUUGAUGAGAACGUGAAAACAACCUUUAAAUUUUAGCAUAGUAUUCUUCGAAAGAGUCUUCUCUGUAACAUAUAUAUAUUUAUUAAUUAUAGGAAUAUAGGCUUACUUGGAAAGUGUAAUAGAUAUACUCUAUCCGUACUAUAAUUCUAGUGAGCUAUAUAAGAUCGCAAAGAACAAAUUAAAAAUAAUACAAUUACUUCAUAUUGUAUUAUAUUUUACAAAAAUUCUGUUAUUAUAUUUGCAUACGCUAUAUAUUUUACUUUUUAAUUAUAUGUUAUUAUUUUAAUAUAGACGGAGAAUAGUCUCGUUUACUUUGGUCGAUGGGGUUGCCCUCGUAUUUAAUCCAGUGAUGCAUGACAUUAUUCAUUUGAAAUUUUUGGCGUAGAUUUUUCGAUUCCAACUUACCUUUCACAUUUACGGUGGGAUAAGUAAUUAAUUAAUUUAUUAUUUUAAGUAGACUUUUCUUGUUGGGUGGUGUAUAUAUAAGCAUAAAGUCACUUUUAUGUAUGCAUGUGCAGUUGCGUUUGCCCAGAAAUUAUUGCAUGCGCAUGGUGUAUGGAUACGCCCCAUAAACCUAUGGGAUAAUUUUGAUAAAACAUCAGUUGGAUCUCCCCAACGAGGCCUCACUGGGGAGCCCUCGAUCCUCUGCUGCCAUGUGUUAAUUUUAUCUGGAUCCAAGUUGCAUGGUACACAAGAUGUUUAUAAUACUUAAAUAAAGAAUAAGAUAUUUUUUAACUAUAGAGGAAAGAAUUAUAACCCUCGGUAGAGACAAAACUCAGCAAAUCGAUCGGGCUCCUUAUAAACGAGGUUUUGUCGGAGAGUUCCUCACUGAAGUUUUUUUGGAUAAUUUCUAAGGUUUUUAAAUCUGAUACCAAUCACGACCCGAAAAUAAUGCAGGAUCACGAAUCACUAGUUGAAAUAGAGGUUCGACUGCUGGUUUGAAUGAUUUCAGCACAAUGUUAUGAACAUCUAGUUGUUAAUUUUUAAUAUUUAUAUAAUAAAAAAAUAUAUAUUGUUUAAUAUAUUUAUGUUAUUUUUAUGAUGAACCUGCAUUUGUACGUACCCUUGUAAAGUUGCGAAAAUUUCUAUGUGCUCUUCAUUUCAAAUAUACCCCUAAAAAGUUUUUUUUUAAUUUAUAUUACCCUAUUUAUUGCAAAAACAUUGGGUUUUAGGAAGGAUAUAUAUAUAUAUAUAUAUAUAGAGAGAGAGAGAGAGAGAGAGAGAGAGAGAGAGAGAGUAGGACUGCUGUGCUUUAAGGAGCACGAAGGCCUCCGUGCUCCUGUGCCGUUUUCGAUAUAUGAUGACUAAUUUGCUUGUUAUGCUUAAUUUGCUUCAAUUAAACGAGCUACUUGAAUGAAUGCACUCUCACACAAAUAUUGCUAGACUAUUUAUUGACGAGGCCGGCCUUGGAAACAACCUUCCUAGAAUUUAGCAUAUCACUUUACCAAAAAAUCUUUUCUGUAACAGACAUUUUACACAGAAAUAUCCUUAUGUCAUUAGCUAAUCUGGUCCCAAUUCCUGGAAUAAUCCGUUAGGGGUGGGGUUAACAAACACCAUUCUUUGAAAAUCUUGUUUGGGGACUAAGGGAGGAAUAACCCCUUAUCCCCCCCUCCUAACACCCAACCAAACACCACCUUAAGGUUUGUAAGAAAGUUGAAAACUUCAUAGGACUAUACAGGCAAUUGCCCUAUUUUUAAAUAUUAUUGUACUAUAUAUAGAGUUAAACUUAUAUCUAAAUUGCAUAUUGUUAAAAAAAUAAUGCAUAUUUAUAAUUAAUAAUUAAUUAAAAUAUAUAACAAACAUAAAUUCGUCUGAUUUUUGUAAAAUUAGAUAGGUUCACCUAUUCACCGGUUGAAGCACCGAACGGGUCAAAAGGGACACGGAUUUUAGAAAAUUAAAAUGAGCGAGACAUUAAUCACAAGAAAUAAAAUGGUCAUAUUAUGACAAUUUACAUUAUGUUAACACUUCUACAACAGUUUUUAGCAUGCUAUCCGUUUCGUUUAUUUCAUUUAAAAAUAAACUUAGUUAGAAAUAUGAAUCAACUAGGAUUCGAACUUAGGACCUCGAAUACCAAUAAACUUAGUUAGAAAUAUGAAUCAACUAGGAUUCGAACCAUCAAGCCAUUUGCCAUUUGCACUAGGAACAGGCAGUACACUUGUACAAAAGUUUGAAAACAAAACCUGCAGGGACCACGUUGCAAUAUCAAAAUAUAUAGUACUGGGACCAUGCCAUACGUUUUUCUCUUUAGCAUAGUCAAGUCAACAUGAUAGCUAGGCUCCCUUCAAUGAAUCAAAUUAAGCACGGCAACGACUCAGGUCAAAUAAAAUUUCACUUUUUCCAUUUUAUUUACAAAAUUUAAUAAGUGCAUAGAAACAUAAGAGUCGUCUUAUUAAAUUCGCGUCGUUUCUAAAAUAGAUGGACAGUGUGAUUCAAGUAUCAUUCAAGUAUUAGAGGAGAUUCACGAUGAGUACCUAAUCACUUCUUUUACUAUUAAAAAAGUGGAUAUCCUCUUUUAGAAAUUUGUGAAGCAUAUGUUAGCACAACAUUAUUCAAAGAGUCAAGGAUUAAGUGUGGACUAGUUUUGCCCGAAUGUGAAGUUACGAUUGAAAUCGAUUUUUAGUUGAACAAGUGAAUAUUUUUUCUUUCCUAUUGUUUGUUUCUAUUAUCACGCGCGGAGCUAAAGUUUCCUUAGUCCUAUAAUUUGUUUGCUAAAAAGUCAAUAACGUAAAAACUAAAAUUCUCAAUUUUCUAUACUUAUUUUAUCGAAAACUGUAUAAUUCCUACCUUUAAUUAAUAUUAAAGGGGCAAAAAUAAGUUUCGCCACAUUAGUAUUUUAUUAGUUUUUUUCUCUCUCUUUUUCUGAUCUAUAUUUGACUUGGGCCAACGGUGAGCCAAAAUCAGUUACAUUAUUUAAAAAAGAAUUAUUAUAUCACUAGCUAAAACUUUAUAUUUUUUGCAAUUAACCACGUAAGUAUAUAUCCAUACAAAUACAUAAUUUGAUGAUUGUAAUAGUAGACGUGGCAAAAAUUUAUGCCUCCACGUCAUUCAUUUUCUCUUUUCUGCCUAAAGCCUUUUUUUGCCUUUUCUGACUAUUCCUUUUUCUCUUCUGCGUAAAGUCUAACCUAAAAACUCUAAACCCAACCUAAAAUCUAAUUUUACUCUCUUUCUCAUUCCAAAAAAUUUUGAUUCCUUUCCGAGGUUGGACCAAAAGUUGGACCAAAUUGGACCAUUUUUCAAGACAGGUGCUUAUUCCCGAGGUUUAGCCCCCUUCCCCCCUCUCUCUCUCUCUCUCUCUCUCUCUCUCUCAUCUGUUGGCUCCCAGUUUUCUCUCUCUCUGAUAUGCUGGCUCCUCAGUUUCUCUCUUUUUUCCCCCUCUCCUAUGCUCUCUCUCUCUCUUCCCUUCUCCUCUAAAUCUUAGCCCCCCUUUCUCUCUCGCUGCCGCCCGAGGUCGGCGUGGGCAGCGGGGGCGUCGAGGGCGGAGAUGUCCGCCGCCGAGGGGAGGGCCGACGCGCGGGUGGAGAUAGCGCGGCUGCGAGAGGGAGUAGUUGUUAAGUAGCAGGACUUGGUGUUGGUUGAGUCGCAUCGUGGGCACUUGAGCGACUGAGCGACGGAUCUGGCUGCGGAAUCUUCGCGAGACGAGCGCAGUGCGCCAUCGAGCCAGGCCGGGUAGGGCCGCCGGCCGCACCUGCCAUGCUCGGGGCCUGAGGAGGCGGAGGCGGAGGCGUUCCCCUUCCUCCAGAUGGCGUUCGCCCAGGAGGAGAAGGGGCCGGGGCCGGGGCGACGCGCGGCGAAGAUCCCGUGGUGGAUCAGGAAGACGGCGUCGAUCUGUCCCAUCUACGGUGGCUCGCGCGUGUUGCUCGCGUGGUUCGCGGGGGAGGAGGCGCUGCAGCUGGAGGCGCUGGACGACGAGGACGUCAUCUGCGGGUCCCACGCCACGAUCGAAGGGUUCCUGCCGCUCCAUGUCGACGGCACCACCUGCAACGGGACCGGCCCGAGCCCGAGUCGAUGGAUGAUCGCGCGGGUGAGGCGGAGCCGGUGGGGGACGGACCCGCUCUUCCUCCGGACGUACAGCUGUGUGGCCGUAGGAUCGAACGGGGACGACCUGGAUCUGAUGGCGGAGCCUCUGCUACGUGGAGUGGGGGAGUGGGGGCGGCGCCCCUACAAAUACUGUUCGGUGGUGAGGCGACACACCGGACGCAUUACUCGACGACACACGGGACGUAUUUUAGCGACAUUCGGGAGGCCAACAGGCUGCUACAGCACUACAACCAACAUUGUUGAUCAGUUUGGAUUUGAUAUUAAUAUUCCACUAUUAGAUUUAUCAAAUCUAAUUAAGUUCCACUGUUAAUCAAUAACAAAAUCUCAACCAACAUAUGUAUACAUUAAUCAUACUUUCGAGACAAUAGACGUGGCAUAAUUUUAUGCCUCCACGAUCCUUUCAUUUUUUUUUCUUUUGUUUCUUCUGUCUAAAACCCAACCCAGCCAAGAUUUGACUCCUUACUAAGAUUUGAUCAAAUUGGUUUCCAAGAUAUUAGUUCCUUAUCAAGAUUUGAUCAGAUUGGUUCUAAAAAUACUCUUGAGGUUUUUCAAGACAGUUCCAACUUCCCAACGUUUGACCAGAUUUGACCAAAAUGAAUCAUUCUUUUUCUCUUAUUUUUUUGUUACUCUACUCCGUCUUGUCUGUUUUCUUCUUUUCGAGAGUGUAUCUCAUAUACACUAAAAAAAAGAAAAAACGAUCACAACUUUUUAUCUGUUUUUAUUUUUUUUAUUUCUGAUAUUUUUUUUUAUUUUUCUCAACAGAAAGUUUAAAAUACUUUUUUUUUAUAAUAAAAAAUAUUAUUAUCUAAGUAAACCUCAGAUUUUUUUUUUCUUUAAUUUUUGUUUUUUCUGUCACAAUUUUUUUAAAGCAUAUGAUCCAAUUUUUAUUAUUUAAUUAUAAUUUUUCUUAACUAAAAAUACAAUAUCUAGGUGAAUCUCUUUUUGUUAAAUAGAAAAUGAUUACAUGCUCCACAAUUUCUUUGGGGUACAUGUAUUCUUCUUCUUAUCUUGGUAAAAAAAAACACAACAUUUAGAUAAAUCUUUUUUUUGUUUACUUACUUUUAACUAUAAUUCUUUUGUUUUAUAUUUUAUUUAACUAUAAUAUAAAAUUAAUCCUUAAUCGCAGCGAAGCGCGGGUUCUAUACUAGUAUUCCAUCAAUUUAAAGCGAUUAACAUUAGUCAAAUUAUUAAGAAAUAAUAAAGAGCACAUGCCAGCUAUAUACAUGAGUCUCAAAUCAGCGUUUCUUAUUUGAUAUAGCUUAAUGAACUUAAAAAGAUUCAGCUGAUUUUUUAAAUAAAACAGAUCAAUUCAUCAAUUUAUUGGUGAAACCACGAAUGGGUCAAAUUGGGUUUUAAGCCUCUGGUUUUUCUAGGUUGAACCAAACUAGUUUGGACACUAGAUCAUAGUUCGAUAAGAGCGACUAACCGGUGAGAACCAAAUUUUAAAAUAUUAAUAAUUUCAUUUGUAUCUACUAUCUAAUUAAUCCAUAAUUACAUAAAUGUUUAUCUCAAACUAUCAAUAUUAAAAUAUCUCUAUAAUUUAAGAAAAAUAUCAAAAAAACUGGUGAAAAUUAUCUUUAAUAUUUACCAAAAUUUUCAGUUUACCCUUUAUCUAUUAUUAAUAAAUUUUUAAUAUAUACAAAAUUGAUACUAAUUCAUUGAAACAAAUUAAACGAUAUAAAUACUUGACAAAAAAUAUCAAUUUAGUAUAAACAAAGUAAACUAAAGAAUUUAUUUCCUAAAAAAAUAUAUUAUAUUAGUUUUUAAUUUACCAUUUUUAUUUAAGAAUUACAUAAGGACCGGACAACAUUAAAUUAAACAAAAAAUUAAACUUGAGUAGACGAAAAGGAUUUUCAAAGAUUAAAUCAUGAGUAUGGACUUGCAGGGACCAACCUGCAAUAUCAAAAUAGUACAGGGACUAUCCCACUGGUUUUGCUCUUAUUAAAGCAUUGCUAGUCAAGUCAAUAAGAUAGACACCUUUCAAUGAAUCAAAUUUAUAAACACGGCAAAGACUCAGGUCAAGUGAACUUUUAUAUUUUUUCAUUUUAUUUACAAAAUUUAAGAACUGCAUAAAAAAUGAGAGUUGGAUCCUCUUUUAGAAUUUUAUGUAGCACAUGGUAGCAAAGAUUAUUAAAAGAAUCAACGAUACAGUGCGUGCUAGUUUUGCUGAAAGAGAAAUUUAGACUGAAAUAAAUUUUUAGUCGAACUAAAGUUUAAGUGAAAAUUUCUUUCCUAUUAUUUGUUUUCAUUAUUGUGGAGUUGAAGUUUCUUUAGUUGCUUGUCAAAAGUCACCAACGUAAAAGUAAUAUGCGUGUAUCAUUUAUCAAACAUAGUCUACUAUUGAUGGUUUCGACAAUCAAAAAUAUUUGAAGUUUAAAAUUAUUUAUUCUAAAAUGGUAUCUAACCAAACUAAAAAUUCUGAAAAUGUAAUUCCACAUUUAUUGUCCCUAACGCAAGGGGCAAAUGGCUUGAUGGUUGGUACCCGAGGUCUCGAGUUCGAAUCCUAGUUUAUUCAUAUUUUUAGCUAAAUUUAUUUCUCAAUGAAAUAAAUAAAACGAAUAGCAUGCUAUCUAUCUCUCAAAAAAAAAAAAAAAAAAAAAAAAAAAANGCAAGUCUUGAUCCAAUCUCACUAGGGACUGUGAACACACCCGUCCCGCUUGUCGAAGCGAACCCGUAUUGUAGUAUCCUUAUAUAUAUAUAAUGCCACGUGCCUCCAUGCAUGUAUUUCAUGCUUAUCUAAUUAGGGGGUUGUACAUGCCUCCUUACUUAAAAUAUCCUCCCUCUCUGUCUCUGGAGCCAUACGCGAGGAGGAGGAGCUUGGGUGGAGCGUUCGUCGCCGACGUCGCAUCGCCGAGCCGUUUGAGCGCACGUUUGUCGCCGUAGCGUCGCGUGGAGGCCGGGCGAGGGUGCGUUUUUAUCGUCCUCAAUGUCGCACCGGCGCUGGAUUCGCUGUCGAUGUGGGUACCUAACUUUCCUCCUUGGAUUACUUGAACGCACGGUUUUGAGCUCGCGUGCUGAUUUUACUGAUUUUCAGCAUCGACCGUCAGUGUUUUGGCUCGUACUCGGCGUAGGAACGUCGGAUUUCGACGGGACUUGGUUCGUUGGAUUCAGAACUUCGAGAGGAAUCCACGAAGCCCUUAUUUGCUGGAUUUGGUGAAGGUUUGCUAGGUCGUAUCCCUAUUUCUUUCUGCUGCUGCUGUUUUGGGUAGAAUUGAUGCUUAAUAUGGGUUUCUAUGUUUAGACCCGUGGAGCGUGUUGUCGUUGGUUCGGGGAGCUACGCCGAGCUUGACAGGGACUCCGGUGACCUUCUUCACCAUCGGGGAUUUGCGAUUAAGGUGGGUUAAUCAUCGGUUUACUCCUAAGUGCCUAUAUAGUCGACAUGUAAUUGUGGAAUUAUCUUGUGUGGCGCAAUUACUCGGUUCAUUGAUUUAGUAUGGUUAAUAAUCUGAAUUGGAGCUGAGUUAUUAUCUUUGGAUAUAUAUAUACAUGUUGGACUUGGAUAAGACUUAGGAGAAAACUCGCGAUUAUGAUCGUCAUAUAUUUAAACUACCUGAUUUAGCCCUAGGAGCCGUUGUAUUAUUUUAUACUGUAACAGUAUCUCCAUAGUGAGUAUUCCAGAUAGUUUAGCUUUCAGUUACGCUCGUGCCGGGAUGCCGAAUAUAUUUUUACAGUAGCGUUCAGGCUGUUCCGGACUGUUGGGUGCCGUCGGGGUUGACGGUGGACCCGUAUCGCCUUUUUGGCGUCGGAUUGUGCCGAGAGCACGUUACCUGUUGGUUGUUAGACCAGUUUGAGUCGGUUACUGGACUUUGGCUUUUGAGAGCCGAUUGAGCUCGACAGAGAUACGCUGCAUACUCGGUUGGGUAGCUCCCACGAGUGCCACUCCGAAAACGGGCGUUGUGUUUUCGCGUUGGUGUCGCUCAUGCCGGUUGGACUUGCUCUCCACGGACUAGUAGUGUGGAGGUAGCUGGAUAGUCACAACUAGGCAGGGACGGCUGUGUUCACAGUCCCAGGGACGGGUAUGCUUACAGUCCCGAUUGGAUUGGGUCAGAUUUGACAUUUUCUAUAGUUGGUUAGUGUAGAGCAUGAUAGUGUAGUGAUAAAUAGCGGUAGAUUUUAUUCCUGUAUUUACUACUAUCCUGUCUCCCUUCUGUAGAUUUCGUGGGUGGACCGAUGUUGUUUAGGGCCGCACCCACUGAGGACUACUUGUUUUUACAGUAGUUCUCACGCCAAGUUGUUACCCCUGUUUUGCAGAGCCACAGGUUUCGGCUGCUGCGCCUUCCGCGGAUCAGGAUCGAGGCAAGGGCGUCGCGAGUUAGAGCCCUACCCGACGAGCUGAGCUAGAGGCACUCCUACUGCAGGUAGACGUUUUGUUUCAAGUUUAUGUACAUAGCAUACUUAACUCGCCAGUGCGAGUAGCUCUGUAUUUUGGAUUUGGGCUAUGUAUAUGAAACUUAGUUUGUUUAGUAUUUGUCUACUCGAGCAGCUCUAUACUACUGUUUGUAGUAUUGUAUGCUUACAGGUACUGUUGUCGCAUCGUAUACAGGAAAAAUUUCUUUGUAUACGGCGGAUUUGUCGGCGUGCCUGGGGAACGAGACAUCCGGGGCGUGAUAGUCUAAACACCCCAAUAGUCCCAUAUCAGGUAGGAAUAGAGUUGUGACUGAGUAUAUAAGAGACCAUAAACAAUAAUAAUUAAUAAUUGGAAAAACUUCNUAACAUGUUUGUAAUUGCAUAAAUGUUUGUCUUAAACUCUAUUCGUGGUUUCAACCAAAAGUUUAUAAUAUUAAUAACUUCAUUUGUAUCUCCCUUCUAAUCCGUAAUUACAUAAAUGUUUGUCUUAAAUUAUCAAUAUUAAACAUAUCGCUACAAUUUAAGGAAAAUAUCAAAAAACGUAGUGAAAACUAUCCUUAAAAUUUACCAAAAUUUCACUUUAAUUACGUACCCUUUAUCUAUUAUUCAUAAAUUUUUAACUAAAUUUAGUAUCUUUACUAACUUUAAAAUAUUAUAAAUUCAGUUGAAUAUAUACAAGAUUGAUACUAAUUCAUCAAAACAAAUUAAACUACGUAAAAACUUGACAAAAAAUAUCAGUUUAAUUUAACCAAAGUAAACUAAAGAAUUUAGUCCCUUAAUAAAAGUGCAUAUUAUAUAUUAGUUUUUAGUUUACCAUUUCUAUUUAAGAAUAACAUGAGGACUGAACAAUAUAUUAUUCAUAAUUAGGGCAACAAAACUUGCAGGGACCAACCUGCAAUAUCAAAACAGUACAGGGACUAUCCCAUACUUUUUUCUCUUUAGCACAGUCAAGUCAAUAUGACAGAGACCUUUCAGUUAAUGAGUCAAACAAUUAAACAGCACAAAGACUUAAUUAGGUCAAGUAAACUUGUACAUUUUCCAUUUUAUUUAUGAAAUUUAAUAAGUGCAUAAAAUUAUAUAAGUGUCCUUUUUCUAAAUUCGUUGUUUUUCAUAAAAUAGAUGAACUGUGUGAUUGAAAUGUGAGAUGAGAUUCACGAUGAGUCACUAAUCAUUUCUUUUACUACUGAAAAAGCGGAUCCUCUUUCAGAAGUUCGUGAAGUACAUGGUAGCAAAGCAUUACUAAAAGAAUGGGUUAGUUUCAUAUAGUUCCUGCAAACAAAAUAAUUACAAAUAUAUUUUUAUAAAGUUCAAUUUUUAUAUGUUGUUUUUUUAAAAAAUUUUAAUAUUUUCAAAUAUAUCCGUCUGGUUUAUUACUGUUAAACCACUGUUUAUUUUAUAACUGAAAUGACCUUUUUGCCAUCAUAGAUAUGUCCCUCUAAAAAUUUCAACUGUUAAUUAAAAAUAGGUAAAAAGGUCAAUUCACCUCAUUGAUUAAUUAGGAUUAUAAGUAUUUUACAUAUAGUUAACUAAUUUUUUCUAACAAAUCUUAACGGUUAGGAUAUAUCUGAAGAUAUUAGGUCUUUUGCAGGGAAUUGUAUAAAAUUAACCUCUAAAAGAAUCAGCGAUUAAGUGCGUGCUUGUUUUGCCGACAGUGUUGUUUAGAUUGAAAUAGAUUUUAAGUCGAACCGGAGUUUAAGUGAAAUUUUUUUUUCUAUUAUUUAUUUCCAUUAGUGUGUAGUUGAAGUUUUUUGAGGUUUAUUAUUUGUUUGCCAGAAAGUCAAUGACACAAAAGUUGAAAUUUUUAACUUUUUACAUUUGUUUCACCUAAAACUAUUCAAUUCGCACAUAUUAAUAUCAAAGGGGGGAAACAAGUUUUCCACAUUAAUUUUAUUAUUUUUUUCUCUCUUUUUUUUGUUUUUGAUUUCAACCCGUGGUAAGGCAAAGUCAAUUAUAUUAUUUGGGAGAGUUUGAAUUACAACCGAAUUCAUAUUGCAACGAGGCAAACCUUGAAGGUGGGUAUUUAUGAUCGAAAAUCACUUCAUUCCUCUCCACUUUCGGCGAAGCAGACACACUGUUAAUUUAUUUCUUUGCUACAAAAAUUUGGUGCUCUGGGGAAUUAGGAAAAGAAAAAAAAUAAUACUAUAUAUGUAAUCAAACUUCAGGGUCUAUAAAAAUGUAAUUCAGCGCUAGUUAAUUACUAUGAAUUCCAUAUUCAAAUGGGUUCAGAUACAUAACCUUAAUUUAGCCGUUUUGUAAAACAGUCCCUUGAACUUUCAAUUCUCUCAAUCACAUACCUUUUAUAAUUUUAUGAAUUACUUAUCUCUACAAACCUAAUUAACAUAUUUUAUUCAAUUCAUAUUACUCCGCAAAUUCAUAAUUAACUUAAAUUUUAUACUGAAAAAAUCAUAAAGUGACUUGAAUCACCAAAUUGAAAGGUCACAUACUGAAAAUCAAAAUUUUGAUAAGUUAGGUAUUCGAUUGAAAAUGGGAUAUAGUUCAAGCAAGUUUUGUAAACUUUUAUUUUUAUUUUGUUUUCAGGAAAAUAAUUUAAAAGUUGAAUAUGAUACUUCAUGUUUUAAACAUUAAUUUUUAACACUUCUUAUAUAAACUUCUUGAUCGGCGAAAUGAAUAAGAUGCCCCGAACAAAUAAUUUUUACACCCAACAAGGUUUGUACGUUAAAUGUAUAUGACAAAAUUAAGAAUCGUGCAUGAGUUUUGAAAAUACUGGUGUAAAAGAAAAGCACUCAAAACAACAAGUCCAAUACUUACCAGUAUGGGAAACUCCAAUUAAGCACCCUAUAAUAUAGCAUAUUUGUAACUCACUACCGCAUAGUUUAUAUAAUGUAGUAUUUUCCUUAAGAUGGCACUAAAAAGGUGGCAAAAUGUUACAUUUUACUACGCUAUAGUUUAGGACACUCUUUUUAAAAGCAAGUCCUCAUAGGAACUAAACUAAAAACAACCCACACAAAAGGUGCUUCUUUCUAAACUACAAUAUAGACCAAAAAUAUUCUACACCACGUACGGAAGGGCAUUUUUAAGUUUUCCCUCUAAAUAUUCAAAAAUUUUGAAAUACCAUGUAAUUUAUUUCUCAUAAUUAAUGCUACUAUUGCAAUGAAAUUAUACAAAACAGAAGUGAAAUACUAAAAAGACCAACCACACCUUACAUUAAUAAAGAUGCUACUCUUCCAACUACCUCAUCUCCUAUAUCUUUGUCUUGGUCUAGCCAAAGUUACUUUAGUUACAAUACAAAGCUGGUCACAUACAAUAUCAAUCAUAGAGAAAUAAGCAUUCCUCCAAGCAUUAUUGAGCAACAAAACCCCACAAAAAACUGCUAAACCGAAUAGAUAUCCCAGUACAACACCAAAGUAUAUCCAUAGCCACUCAAACUUAUCCUUAGGGCCUUCAUUAUCCUCAUAAUUUAUUUCAUUUGCAGAACAAUUUCUCGUACUCGGUGGCCCGCAGAGAUAUGGAUUGCCGAUGUAAAUGAAUGGAUCGUCAAGGGUCUGCAACUGAUUUCCUGUUGGAAUUACUCCCGAGAGAUUAUUAUACGACAAAUUUAAGUGGCUCAGAAAAGUCAGUGCCGAAAGACUUUGAGGAAUAUCACCGAAAAGCUUAUUCAUUGCAAGGUCUAGAGAUUCCAGUGAUUGCAUUUCACCGAUUUUUUCUGGAAUAUGUCCAAUCAAAUUAUUCCUAGAUAAGUUUAAAUAUUGUAGUGUAUGCAGAUCAGUAAUCUCAUCCGGGAUCUCCCCACUUAGAUUGUUGUCUGAAAGAUCUAUGCUUUCAAAUAGAUAGAGUAUCUUCCAAAUUGGAAGCUCCUCUCCCUUAAUAUCCAAGGAUAUACUAACUGAAUAAUAUACACUGAUAUUAUUAAUUCUAUCUGUUCUGCCUUGUUUUAAAGCUUUCCAGCUGAAAUUGCCGAAGGAUCGUGGUAAUGGUCCUGAUAAGUUAUUCCUAGAAAGAUCCAAAACUUGGAGAGAGCCAAGUUGUGCAAUUUGCUCCGGAAUGCCGCCAGAAAACAUAUUUGAACGUAACUGAAGAACCAUAAGAAGAGUUAAACUUUCCCCGAUCCAAAAUGGUAUUGUUCCAGAAAACUUAUUAUAUCCGAGAUCAAGGAUAACCAAACCUGUGCAAUUUUGCAACGAAGGAAAUUCUCCAGAGAAACCAUUACUAUUAAAUUUUAGCAGCGAAAUAUAUUUCGACGAGCAAAGGGAGUCAGGGAUCCUCCCAACAAGAUUAUUUGUUGACACAUCUAUAACAGAAAGGUACUCUUGUGACUUCCCGAUACAUUCAGGAAUUUCUCCUGACAAGUUGUUGUUUGAUAGAUCGAGAACUCCCAAAAAAGUUGAUUCACAUAGAGCAGAUGGUAUACGACCACCAAUGUCAUUAUUUGACAAGAAUAAGUAUUCUAUCUGUGGCAAUACAAUGUUUGGAAGUACUCCAGUGAAAAAAUUAUUGGAGAGAUCAAUGAUUAGAAGAUUAUGUGGUAGAGAUGGUAGCGGGCCUUCAAAUUGAUUUGAGCUCAAAUUCAAGUACCAUAGCUUUGUAGAGCCCAUCAAUAAUGGCAAUCUCCCUUUGAUUUGGUUUUCGGAAAGAUGUACAUAAGAAAUAAAAUGAGACAUAUUUCAAAACCAGCUAGGAAGAGUAUCUGCAAUUUUGCUUUUUGACAAAUCCAGCCCUUCAAGUUGCGAUUGACUUUUGAGCCAUGCUGGAAAAUUGGGACCCAGUUGGCAGGAGGCUAGAAAAAUCUCUUUAAGUUGGAAAGGAGGAACCCAAUCAUCGUGAACUCGCACAGUGAGAGCAUUCAAUGACAAGUCUAAGUAUUGUAUUUUUCUUAGAUAAGAAAGUUCGACAUCAGAUACGACACCCUCCAAUGAAUUAUUAUAUAGAUAUAGAUAAAUUAAAUUUGGAAGUUUCCAAACUCCUGCAGGAAUUGAACCACUGAGCAAGUUUGAACCGAGAUUUAUGUCUGUGAGGCUAUUCAUUUGUUCGAGCCAUCCUGAUAAAUUCCCUCCGAGGUUAUUGUCAUUGAGAUAUAAAGUCUGUAAAUUGUUGCGCACACAUCGUGGUAGCAUCUCAACCCAUUCCAUGAUUUCCCCACCAAUAUUGAAACUUGACAAAUCUAGUGAACGCAAGUUGCAUAAAUAUCUUAAUGCUUUCGGAUUCAUACCUUUAAAACCAUUAUAUCCUAGGAAAAGAUUAUUAAGAGUGCUCAAACGUAGAAACUCAUCAGAAAUAACACCAUGAAACUCAUUGGAGCUUAAGUCAAGAUAAGUGAUGCUUGUAAGAUUCCGCAGCCAUGGAGGUAAGGUGGAGUUUAUGGAGUUACCUCCAAGAUCAAGCACAUUGAGAGUUGUAAGAUUGAAAUGUGACAGAGAUGUAGAAAUGCCAGGAAGUGAACAGUCAGCCAAAUGUAACACUUUCAACGAAGGAAGCAUAUUUACAGCAUGCAACCAACCUGUAGAAGUAUUCAUAUUCACAAUGCUCAAAUCAAGAUAUUUCAAGGAAGAUAAACGAGUGAGCCACAAUAUGUCAUCUAUUCGAAGAUUCCUCGGAUAAAUGAAUUCAGAAUUUAAAUCAAGGUAGUGAAGUUUCGAGAGAUUUCCGAUUUGAGGAGGUAUUGUUCCACUGGAAUACGAAUUAGCGAGGUUGAGAUAUCUCAAGUUUUUGAGUGAACCCAAGAAUGUUGGGAUGCUGGUUCCACUGAAAUUGUUCAUGCUGACAUCUAAGUGCUCUAAAUUGGUUAAAAGAAGCAAAGAUGGAUUGAUCUCACCGCUCAAACAUGGGCAUUCCUCGAUGAAUAUAUAACACGAGUUUCUGUUUCGGAGGUUGAGUUUCACAACAUGGCCCGUGGCAUUGCUACAGGCGACUCCCCUCCAUUUACAGCAAUCUUCGCCUUCCCACGAAGACAAGAAAUUCUGAGGAUCGACCAAGCCGGACUUAAACGUGAGGAGUGCGUUCCUCUCUACCUCCAUGCAACCGCUCGCCACAACGGCGUCGACGGUUAAAAUCCACAGCAAGGAGGAGGAAAGAAUAAGAUUAGCCAUGACGCAGGUCGUUGAGAAAAUACACAACAUCAUAAUUAAUAAGGGAAUUGAUCAUAUGGAGUAUUCUAUGGAGAAGGCCACCUAUUUGAGCCAUAUAUAUAUAUAUAUAAAUGUUAUGCAUGGUAAGCUAUCGCAAUUCACAUCAAAGUUACGUUCCAUUAUUGUAUGGAGUCAUAAUUCUCCUGUAGGUCCUACAAAGAAAAUUAAGCUACAGUUGUGUGAUUUUCAUGGUCAUACAAAUUAAUGGCCUGAUUAGGAUUGCAUUGAGCUUUGACUUGAAAAUUAAUUUUGCUAGAAGCUAAUUAAUUUUUUAGAUUAAAACUGAUUCAGAAUGAAGUAGUCUUAAUUAUUACGAAUAUAUAGCAUUAAUUUGGCCACAAAGUACCAAAAGCUGUUGUACAAUAUAUUUAAAAGUGAUUCAUAACACGUUUGGUAAUUACAAAUUAAAAAGUUGUUUUAAAUCACCAAAUGACAAAAAGUUAUAAAUGUCAAAUAUUUAUUUUUAUAUAAUUUUUUUAACUAAAAUUGUAAGUAUAUGAGUUUAAUACGCAUAGUUCAUGAUUGAUGAUAAAUCUAGUUAAAAUAUUAAAUAUAUUAUUAAUACAGUAAAAUUUAAUUAGUAAGUAAUAAUUAUAAAUUCAAGUGAAAACUACAAACCUCUCUAAACCAUUGAGGAUUUUGAGAUUCAUACCUAAGGUUUUAAAAUUUUGAUUUUAUUAUCUAACUUCAUAUUUUUUAUGAUUUCGAGAAAAAAAAAGAAAGAAUACUAGAAUUGAGUACUCUACAGUAAAAGAGGAUUAGAGAAUAUUCCCAAAAACUAAGAAUAUUCUGUUAUACUAUAAAAAUUCUCAGCAGAACAAAUCAAAGUUACUAUUAGAUUUCGUAUAAAUUUAAAUUACAUACAUUUUAAAAUUAGAUAGCUUAAAUAAAAAUGUCCAAAGUUUAAGUCUUUUUNNNNNNNNNNNNNNNNNNNNNNNNNAUGAGAUAUUUGCUAGUUUAACGGUGAAAAAGAAUCAGAAUAGGUUGAAUUUUUGAUAGAAAAUUUUAUUCACUAUCUAAAUAAAGAUCAAUAACUCCGAUCUUAAAUUGAAGGAUCCGUUCAUCCAUUUUUAGGAUGUCGUUCGAUUUCAAUCGUUCAUUUUAUGUCCGCUUGAUGGACUUUACAAUGAUUUCGAAAAAUUACGAAAUUUAUUUUCUAAAAGUUUCAAAUAUUCUAGAUCAUGUUUAACGGUGUGGAUCGUCGAUUCGAAAACUCCAACAUCGAAAACAACUUAUGAGUACAAAGGGUUCUUUACUCAUAAGAGUAUAGUAGCCCUACUCUAAUUAUUGGAAAAACUUCAAAAACCCCCUCUGUGGUUUCACACUUUUUCAUUUUAGUACCCUGUGGUUUAAAGCGUAUCAAGUUAGUACCUUGUGGUUUCUCACUUUAUCACUUUAGUACCCUGUGGUUUAAAGUGUAUCAAGUUAGUACCCUGUGGUUUUGCAUUUUAUCACUUUAGUACCAUGUGGUUUUGAUUUUGUAUCAAAUUAGUACCUUGUGGUUUUUUAAACUAUAGGGUACUAAAGUGAUAACGUGUGAAACCACAGGGUACUAAAGUGAUAAAGUGCAAAACCACAGGGUACUAACUUGAUACACUUUAAACCACAGGGUACUAAAGUGAUAAAUUGAGAAACCACAGGGUACUAACUUGAUACGCUUUAAACCACAGGGUACUAAAAUGAAAAAGUGUGAAACCACAGAGGGGGUUUUUGAAGUUUUUCCAAUAAUUAGAGUAGGGCUACUAUACUCUUAUGAGUAAAGAACCCUUUGUACUCAUAAGUUGUUUUCGAUGUUGGAGUUUUCGAAUCGACGAUCCACACCGUUAAACAUGAUCUAGAAUAUUUGAAACUUUUAGAAAAUAAAUUUCGUAAUUUUUCGAAAUCAUUGUAAAGUCCAUCAAGCGGACAUAAAAUGAACGAUUGAAAUCGAACGACAUCCUAAAAAUGGAUGAACGGAUCCUUCAAUUUAAGAUCGGAGUUAUUGAUCUUUAUUUAGAUAGUGAAUAAAAUUUUCUAUCAAAAAUUCAACCUAUUCUGAUUCUUUUUCACCGUUAAACUAGCAAAUAUCUCAUACCGUUCGUUAAAAAUUGUCAAUUUUGUGAGCUUUUAAUCGUAAGGUAAAUGAUAUCGAAAAAUUAUAAAAUUUAAUUUCUAAAAGUUUUAAAUGCUCUAAAUAAUGUUUAACGGUAUGGAUCGUCGAUUCGAAAGCUCUAUCAAUAAAAACAACUUAUAAGUACGAAAGCGAUCGUACUCAUAAGAAUAUAGUAGCCGGACUCAUAAUAAUUAAAUUUAAGCACUUUAAGCAGAUGGUUUGAAUCCAACAAGUUAUUAUUACUGGGAAAUCAAGUCGUAACAAACUCAAUGUUGUGUACUUAAUCGAUUUUAUACUUCCAAUUUUCACUCCUAGAUGUGAUGAAACCUAACAAAAACUGGGAUCUUGAUCCCCGACAAUAGGACUAAAGAACUAAAUAUGCAGGUAUAACAAACAAUAUACAAAAAAAUUCUACUAACAGAAAUAGGAAAGAAAUAUAAUGUCGCUACUUAUGUAAACGAAGAUAGAUUUCUUUCAGACUACUAAAUCAAAUGAAAGAAAAGAAAUGCAAGGCAAGAUCAAUUUCAUUCUUCGAAAGAUUCUGUCAUAUACACAAAUAGGUUACUACAGAAGAAUCUACUAUCACAAAAACAGAUCAUACCGAUAAGUUUGUGGGGAUCACAAGCGAGACAUCAGAUGGCGGGUGUAAGAAUGAAGUAAUCUUAUUUCAGAGAAGAUGUUACACUCAAAAGCAAGUGCCCAGGAUAAUUUAGAGCACUCACCAAUAUUAGGCAUAGGAAAAAAAAAACACUCAAACACCUAACAUAACUUCAAAACCCCACAAUGUCAUCGCAAUCAUAUCGUAAAUGUUCUCUCUCUACAUAGUUAAGAAAGAAAAUAUAGCAUUAGGAUUUGACCUGAUUUUACAGCUUCAUUGGAAAUAAUCUCAUCACUUAUGAAGCAGCAAAACUAAUCACACUCAAUAGUAUCAUGAUUCUGGGAGAAGUUCAAUCUGAUCCUUCUGCUUUUGCUGUUGUUCCCUUUUCUUCAACUCAUUCUCAUAUUUGGCUAGCCUCUCCUUCAUCUUUUCCUGCAUAAAAACUCUGCCUCAGAACAACAAAGGAAAUAUGCAAAGCGAGAAAGGAACUCAAAAGAGAGGACAUGGAUUUGCCUUGUAACUCUUCUCAACCCGGUGCAUGACAUAGAAGCCGAGGACUCCGCCAAGGAUAGUCCCGGUUAUGAUUCGAAUGUACGCCCACUUGUACGACACCAUCUCUUUCGGUCCUUCCUUUUCCUUCGAUACUAGCUACUAUCUGUGCGCAUGCAACGCAUAUUUUGGAAAAAGAAAACAGAAAUUAUUUUGGGUAAAAAUUUCUAACUUACAAAGCAAAUAUAAUUUGGAGAGAGGUUGGUGUUGGGUAAAAAAAUAUGUUUUGCAACUUAUAAUGCAAUGCCCAAGGAGGUUGGCGUUAGCUUUCACUUAUUACCUAAAUGAUUCAAGGCUUUCUUUUUAGUAUCUUGAGGUAAGAGACAAUGAUGGAUUAACUUGUAUUCAAAACACUGCAACAUUUAGAGUCCAACGAUUUCAUUAAAAAGUAAUCAAGUAUCCAGGCACCACUAUCCUCAGAUCAAAUAAGCAAAAAAACAUAAAACAAAUGACAAAUGAAACGGCACUACAAUUACUUGAUAUGCUUUUCAGUAAAUUUACCAAAUACUUUCCUUCCUUGCCACUCUCACACUAUCAUUUCUUUAAUUCGUCUUUAUGCUAUUUGCAAUUCAAAAAGUCAUAUUAUCCAAAUUGCUAAAUCCUUUCCCGAAAUUCUGAGUAAAAUUUAAUGAGAAAAGUAAAGAACAUAAAAUACAAACAAAAGUAAAGGAAGCCCCCAUCUUGUUCAGCUCAAAAACAUAGUUUUAAAAGGCGCAAAGGACUCCUGACCCUAAAUGCCGGGCAAAAUCAAGCAAGUUAGACACACAUUUUCACAGUUUUUGAAGAUAAAUAGAACACUCCUUAGAAGUUCUAGUAGUAAUCAUUGAAUGAAACUAACGCACUUUAAAAUCAGGUUAUAGCUCUAUUAAAUAUUUAAGAUCACUCAAUAAGAUUUGUGAACAAAUGUGUGGCUCAAAUCAAUGCAUAUAUCAAAGAGAGAAAAAAGACAGUUAGAGGGCACAAAAUUUGAAACUGCUUCGGAACUUCCCUUCUCCUAUGCUUUAAAAUGGCGGCAGGAACCACCAUCACCAAAUGCUUCUUUGGCGACUGUUCCCACCGCAUCGGAGGAGAGAAGCUACAAAGCGCUUCUACAACUAUUUUGGUGCAAUGAACUAGGCCUUACAUUCCCAAACUAGGCUCUAGCUUAGAAAAUUAGAAUUAUCAAGAAAAACAAUGAAAAACAUUUGUUUGGUAUCGUUGCCGUUUUUUUCUAUUUUUUAAAAAAAUAGAAUUUUUACAUGAAAUAGUACAGAAAGGGAUAGUGGAUUGCUUGCAAUUCUUACAUUCACGAUAUUUGCUCAGCAAAGAAAAAAAAAGAAAAAAAAAAAGCAACUUCUUUUUUUUCCAUGAUUUUUGUCAUCCAUUACUCGGCCGAAGUGUAUUAUUACAAGCUAACCAAUCAUGACGAAUUUUUUAUAUAGAAUUAGUGUUUCAACAAAAUAAGAUCGAAAAAAAGAGGGGGCAAUGAUGCCAAAUGAGGCCUAAAACCUAUUAAUUAUAAUUAGAGCUCAAAACAGCAGGAAUUAGACUAAAAUUUGUUCAUCUCCAACUAUGUUUAAACAAAAUUACGCAAUUAUAUUGCGCAAAAGCUAAAUAGAAUCCAAUUUACAUGAUGAGCCAAACAUUACAUUACACAAGAAAAACACAAACCCAAAACCCUAAAAACAGCAGGAGCAACUACAGAUAAGCAAAAUUGUGUACUCACAUCAUCAACACAAAAGCUAAAUAGAGUUCAAACCCAAAGAUUACAUGAGAGAAACUCAAAAUCCUAAACCCUAAUUUAUGAAUCAACCAUUAAUAAAAGGCAUGAAACUCCCUAUCUUUUUCCCUUCCAUAUUCUAUUAGAAAGGUUUAGGAGAUGAUGGAGUUGGGCAGGGUAGUCUGACCUUGCGAUGGCGACGGUGGGCGUCGGAUGGGAAGGAAGACAGCACGAUUUGCAGUCGGAUGAUCGAGCCGCCUGCCUUCCUUGUUCAGCUCGACGCAGAAGGCAGUCUCACGUUUGGCUCAAGAAAAAGAGCGAUGCCUUCCUUGUUUCACUCCAAAACUGGAAAGACAUGUUAUUCGGGUUAAUUGCAUACAGGUCCAUAUAAACAUAAUAAAUUACAAAUACAUUUCUACAAAAUUUAUUUUUCACAUAUUGUUUCUGUAAAAGUCAUGAUUUUUCCAAAUAUAUUCUUGCUGUUAAAAAAAUUUAGUUAACCAUAGGCUAAAUACUUAAUCUUGAUUAGUUAAUGAGAUGAAUUGACCUUUUUAUCUAUCUUAAAUUAAUAAUAAUUGGGACUUUUUGAAGGGCAAAUUUGUGAUGACAAAAAGGUCAUUUCACUUAUAAAAUAGAUGGACUUUAACAGUAACAAAUCAGAGAGACAUAUUUGAAAAUAUUAAGACUUUUAUAACGACAAUAUUUAAAAAUUAAACUUUAUAGCGAUAUAUUUGUAAUUCACUAUAUUUAUAAAGAUCUGUAUGAAAUUAAUCCUUAUUAUUUAUUUAACUGUAAUUUUAUUUUCGUCAAAAUUUAAACUCUAGUAAUUAACUUUAGCCCAACUCAGGCCAAAAUCAAUUAUGAAAACAAAAAGUUGAAAAAAAAAUAAAAUACUAACUCAUAUUUCACACCUUUAAUUUUUCCGUGUCAUUCGCUUUCUUUCAAAUAAAUAUCAAAACUGAAAAAAAAUUUAGUUCCACCACCAUACAAAUAAAUACCAGAAGAAAAUUAAUUUUUAUUUGAAUUUCAGUUUCAUUCAAAAGUUUACUUCAAUCUCAAUUUCAUUUUCGGUGAAACAAAUAGACCACAGGUGUAAGAAGGUAAAAUGUACAGAACAUAUCUCAAUUAUAGACCAUUUUAAAUUGACUAUCAAAUCUUUUAAAAUUUUAAUUUUAUUGUCCAAUCUGUUAAUUUGUUUGAUUGACUCUGUCAGCAAUACUUUAAUUUCAAAUUUUGAAUACGCCGUUAUCUUUACCAGUUCAAUUAGUAUACUUCAUACAAUUCUCGCUACUAUAAUUUUAUUAAAGUGAACAGUUAACUUAAAUUUUGAGAUUAAAGGUCGCCAACUGACUUAUAUCAAACAAAUUGAAAGAUUAAAUAGUAAAUUCAAAAUUUUGAAUUUCAAGAUAAUACAUUAGGUCAGGUAAGUUAUACACUUGUUUAGCGUGCAAGAAUUACUCUCCACUCACUAAUAAAGGUUACUAUUUUCGUAGUAGUAUUAUUAACUUUUUUUCUUUUAAUACUAAAAAGAAUUUUGUGAACCCUAACACUCCGUUUGGAUUGAAUAUAAGAUGGGUUUGGAUUGAAUAUAAGAUGGGGUAUAAAGGCCUUAUACCCCAUCUUGUACCCAAACGCAAUUUGGUUAAGGUGAGAACUAUACGGAUUAUUCUAGAAAUAACCCGUUAAGGAUGGGAACUAUAGUUCUCAUCCCGAGUGGGAACAAGCUUAGGAACAAGCUUGUUCCCACCCACUUGGGUACAGAGAGAGAGAGAGAGAGAGAGAGUGAGUGAGUGAGGUUUGUUUUAAAAUAGAAUUUAAAUUUUUUAGAAUUUAAAAUAUGUAAUUUUAAAAUUAAAAUUGUAAAUCAUAAAUUCUAAAUUUUAAAGUUUAAAAUUUAAAUUUGAUAUUACAAAUUUUUAAAUUUUAACUGUGAUAUUUUAACUAUUUCAAAUUUAAAUUUGGUCUUAAAUUUAAAUUUUAAAAUUUAUAAAUUUAAAUUUUAAAAUUUAUAAAUUUAAAUUUUUAAAUUCAAUUAUAGGAAUAAUAUCAUUAUUUUCUAUUUAUAAUUAUCAACUAUUUCUCUUAUACCAAAUAACUAUCCAAAUAUAAUUUUUCUAGUUCCAGCUUAUACUAAUAUUUUAAUCCAAACAAAAUAAAUACCCUGAUUCUUACAAAAAUUCAUACUUAUACCUAUUUCUGGAAUAACUAGUUCCUACUAAUUUACGAACCAAACGAAGCCUAAAGAUUACUUCACAUUUAUAUAUGUAUUUAUUCUUAAAAUAUGCUCCUUCUCUCUCUCUCUCUCUCUCUCUCUCUCUCUCUCUCUCAAUAAAAGAAAAAACAAAACAAAAGAAACUUUUUUUUUUUUUUCGUACAUUAUGCUGGGCCAUUUUCUCUGGUUCUACAUGGUCUAAGUAGCCUGGAUCCCAAUGGCCCAUUUUUAUAUCUUCCUUAGAAAUCAGGGAGGUGCUUAUAAUUGAUGUGUUUUGGACUAGUUCUGUCGUUUUGGGCCUCGCCCUUUUCUCUCUUUCUUUGGCUAUUUUUUUUCUUUCUUUUUUGCUAAGAGCUCAAACAUAAAUAAUCCUAUAACAAGUAGUAAAAAAGGUAAAAGAUUUAUUUAUACUGCUAAAUUGAUGCGGAAUAGGAUUUAGUUUUCAGGUUGAUUGGAUUCUAAUGAUAUGUCACAUUCUUGGGUCUAUAUGGGCUUUAGCUCAGCCAAAAUUUUCUAAUAAAUAGUAUCAGAGUCUAUAGAUUGAUCCUGAAUUAGCCGCUCAUUUAUGUAUUGUAGUAUAUAUAGUGGCCUAUUUAUGUGGUAUAUUUUUUGAUACGCUCAAAAGAGUUAAAAAUAGCUGAAGUCCCCAGAAGUGUGGGCUAGCUGUAUGUACUUAGAAUUUUCUCUUCUUUUUUAUUAGGUAUUUUAUGCGCUUAUAUAUGUUCUGGAAAUCGUGCUCAAUGAAUUUAAAAAUAUAGUGGUUGUUUCAGAGUGGUUCAAGAUCACAAGCUUGUUUGGGAGCAAGAUUAUGGUGAUUGAUUUUGCUUACACUUUUCUUCCUUUUUCUUUUUCCUGUGUUUAAUUACAUCUAUGAGCUUGAUUAUGUGAUAGUUCAUGUUUAGGUUUAGAGAACCAUUUCAAGUCUUUUUUCGUUUUCUUUUUUCUUUUUUUACUUCUCUUACUUAGGUAUGGAUACUAUCAUCUAUAUUCCCUAUUUUUAUUUAUAUUAAGUUUUAAGAAUACUUGCAUAUUUUUCUUAAUCUAUUUUUAUCUAUAACCCAUUUAGGGUGCCAUAAGAUGCCUGGAGCUUACUAAUGUGUCGGAAUGAAUACGAAAGAUGUUUGUGGGUCGGACGGCAUUUAAUUUGAGAAGAACUUGUGAUGUUUUUGUGGCUUGCUUUGAGGGCAACAAGAAUGGUCGGUCUGAUAUAAGAAACGAAAUGUACUUCUCGAUAGAGAAAUUAUUUGUUGGGAACUCGGUGGAGUUUAAUGAACAAUUCAAUAUAAGACGUGAUACUGAUUAUUAAGGCUCGCAAGGAGCACGCAUUGGCUAAAACACAUCUACAUUAAUAUUUUACCGUUUCCUAAUCAAAACUCAGAAAGGCUGGUCUAAAUGUGCGGUACUUAAUUAGAAGCCGCACAUAAAUCCACAUGCCAAAUCAAUUUGUUCUUAUUUUUAUUUUUUUAAAAAAAAUGAGCUUUUUAUUGUUGGCUUAAAUGGACCAGCAUUCUGCCCUGUGACAGGAGAUUAUGUUGGACCGAGUCAUAUUCGAAAUGGCGUGAGGCUGGAUGGGCCGAGUCAUGUUCGAAGUGAUGUAAGGCUGAUUGGGCCGAGUCAUAAUCGGGACCCGUGGAUACUGCAUCUGUACAUUUUAAGUGAAUUGAUUGUGUAUUUCUAACAGCUCGAGCUUUUGAGAUUAAUAGUUAACGCCAACGAUCCGACACUCAUCACUUUCCUCCUAUUUACCCUCUUUUUAAAAAAAAAAAUUUGUAAUCAAGGAUGGAUCAUUUAUUUAUGGAAAACUUCAAAUACCCCCAUGUGGUUUUGCAGUUUCUCACUUUAGUACUCUGUGGUUUAAAGUAUAUCGAGUUAGUACCUUGUGGUUUCGCACUUUCUUACUUUAGUAUCCUGUGGUUUAAAGUGUAUCAAAUUAGUACUCUGUGAUUUCAUUUUUGUAUCAAGUUAGUACCCUGUGGUUUUAUUUUUCUCUUUUUAUUAUCCAUUUCGAAAUUUUUUUUUCGUUAAAUCAGUGACAAAGUUAAAACUAAAGGGUACUAAAAUAAAUAUUCGAUAAACCUAGGUAAAGUAUCUGAAGUUUUUUUUGUAUAUAAUUUAACGAAAUAUUAAACCACAUGGUACUAAAAUGAGAAAGUGCGAAACCACAGGGUACCAACUUGAUACAUUUUAAACCACAGAAACUAAAGUGAGAAAGUGCGAAACCACAAGGUACUAACUUGAUACACUUUAAAUUACAUAGUAUUAAAAUAAAAAAUAGAAACUGCAGUAGGUCUGGCAAAUGAGGCGAGCGGCUCAUGGUUCGAACUGCGUUCGGCUCGAAUUCGGCUCGCUUUGAGUCGGCUUUGAAUUAAAUUUCAAGUCGACUUGAAGCUAAAUUAGGCUCGAAUUAAUUUCAAGCCAAGCUUGAGUAUUACCGGCUCGCUUCGAAUUAGCUCGAAAAAACUCGAUAUUAUAUAUAUAUUCUAUAUACUAUAUAUAUAUAUAAUAUAUAUAUAGAGAGAGAGAGAGAAGAGAGCAGAGAGAGAGAGAGAGAGAGAGAGAGAGAGAAAGAAAGUCUAUUAUAUAUAUAAUAGCACCCAACACGUGCUAUUAGGUUUUCGCGGCCUUGGAGAAGGGAUGUCGGUUAAGGAUAAGCGAUUCUAUGUAUGAGUUGAGUGGUGGUUAGUUGAAUAGUAGAUCUAAGUGAGUGAAAUGGUUCAACGAUAGAUCUAACGGCCAAAAUAAUCGACCAGCACUGAAGCAUUUGGUAUUAUCGAUAAUUAGUAGCCGGGCUUCUCUCUCUCUAUAUGUAGUCCGCAUUAUAAUCUAUCUAUAGUAGCUAAUUACUUUUGUGUUAUCAGUUUUCUGCUAUUAGAUCUACCUAAAAUAUAGAGUCGGUAUAAUAUACCUUAUGGCAUAAUACCAAGCAUUUAAUGCUAUCGAGUUUUUCUGCCGUUAGAUCAUACACGCUUUGGCCAUUUUCAUUAUUAAUCAUACUAUUCAUUGAUUCCACCUCCCUCAUCUAGAGGGCUACUAUAUCCUUGACCAACAUUCCUUCAUUCUAAGGCCCGAAAACCUCAUAGCAAUAAUUGAUACUAUUAAAUAAUAUUGAACGCGUAAUUAUAUAUAUAGUAUAUAUAUAUUUUUAUAUAUAGCUAGGCUACUAUAUUCUUAUAAAUAUAGACCCGUUUUAUACUUAUAAAUUUACGCUGUUAGGACUGUGCAAUUAGGAUAAUAGUGAUCCCCUAGGAUUGAGUGGGUGGUUGGUUGAAUAGUAUGAUUUACGGUUGGAAAUGGUCAAAAGUAUAUAUUUGACGAUAAAAAACUUAUGAGUGUAAAGAGAUCUAUACUAAUAGAGUAUAGUAGCCGAACUCUCUCUCUAUAUAAUUAUAUAUAAUAUAUAUUUUAAUUAUAGAAAUUUAUAUUAUGUAUUUUAAUUGCAUGUAUAUAGAAUUUAGAUUAUUGGGCCCAUAAAAUCAAACCAGCAAAAUGCUACUUUAAUUGCUCUUUCUUUCUCUUUUUCACUCGCUUAUAGAGUUGUUUUUUCUAAUUUUUUUAAUAUUAUAAUAUUGUAUUUCAUGCAUUCAUUUUGUAUGUUGAGCUAUUAGACAUUUUUUGUAUCGAAUUUUAGAUAAUAUUUUAUAAAAAUUAAACUAUAGAUUGUACGAUGUUAAGAAUUUCAAGCAGCUCGUUUAGGGCUCGAGCUCGCUCGACUCGAAAUUAGGGUCACUGGAGCUCGGCUCGAAUUAAUUUCAAGCCGAGCUUGAGACUAAAUUUAGGCUUGAAAUUAAUUUCAAGCUAAACUUGAGCUGAGGUAAGCUCGCUCGAGCUCGGCUCGUUUCCACCCUUAACUACAGGGUAUUUAAAGUUUUUUCUUUAUUUAUUUAUUUACAUCAUGUGUUCAAUGCUCAGCCGCCCACCAACCUCUUGUUUUCUCAACGAACGCGCGUGGUACGCGUGCUGGCAAGUCAAUUCUUGGAGUGCGACCAUUGAUUUCUUCAUCCUCCAACUCCCUCCAUUAUUUUUUUCGCCUCCUAUACUCCACUCUACUCACAUUUAUUAAAAGCAUAUGGUACUGCUUCGUGCUCAAAAUUUAUCAUUACAUUACAUGUUGUGACAUAUGGAUCAUAAAAUAUAUAUAUAUAUAUAUAUAAUUAUUAUUUUAUUUAGAUUAUAUAAAUAAACAUAACAAUGUAUUAUAUAACCGCUGCAUAAUUACUAUUAUAUUAUGUUUCGAGCUCUGCCUAUUGCCACAUCAGCAAUACGUUACCGUUUAGACAACUAAGGAGCUGUUUGGUUGGAUGUAGUUACAAAAAUAGUAUAGUUGGAAAUAUAUGCAGUUGUAAAUAUUACAGUUAUAACUGCUGCAGUUAUAUUUCUUCUACUUGGUAGUCUGCUGUUGAGAUUUGCAUUUAUAAAUUCUGUCAAAUUUUAGAUAGAAAAGUAAGAUUAUCUCUUUUGAAUGUAACGUAAUCAUAUUUUAAUUAUUAAUUAAUAUUUUUAUAUCUAUAUAUAAUGUGAGACCCAGUUUCUGUCAGUGGGGACUUGUCGACAGCUCUGGAGAGUGUCGAGACAAGCCCGAGUUGCGUUGGCGUCAAAUAGACGCGAAACGGACUCCGUUUGACGCGAGGGCAGCAUUCUGUGUGAAAAUCUGCGAAAUUGCAGGAUUUUUACUCUGUUGNGUGACUGAAACCAUUGCUGGUUGAGGUGCGAUUAGUUCGCCGCCAGAUAGAUAGGUCAUGACUUGAGUCCUCGCUGGGUAAAUGCAACGUGUUCGCCACCAGAAUGACUAUGUCAAGUGACUCGAGCCGAGUUCAGCGUGUGCGACGACUUCGCCGCUAAGAGGCUAAGUUUAGAGGGCGGUAGGCUGAUGAGCAGCCAGUGCGCGGACUAUCCGCGGAUGAUUGACUCAAAGCCGAGUCGGAUGGUUAGCUCGAUAGGGUAGUGGAACCCUGAUGAGCUAGAGUUAGUGGCUUGAGCUAAGGUAAUAGAGACCUUAGAAGCCAGUUGGACUUGAGUUGAGAACCUAAGGUAGUAGAAACCUUAGAGUUGAUGAUAUGAGCUAAGAGUAGCCAAGUAAAGUGUAGAAUCGAUUGAUCUACUAGUUGUUGCAUAGAGUUGUAUGAUUUUCAUAUCGCAUAUUGUGAGGCAUGGCAUGUAUUUCAAUUUAAAUAUAUAUCUGUUGUAUAUUGUUGAACUAACAUGUUGCAGUGCCUCCUCGGACCUAUCGAUCGAGCUUUUUCCUUGGGUGGCCGUACCCACUGGGAACCAUAGAGUUGGUUCUCACCCCACGUUGUUUCGGGGUGUUUCAGGUACAUACGUGAGCGGCGCGACGACGCGAGGUAAGGGCGUAGCUUCGUAGAUAGAGCCCUACCCCAGACACCGAGAUAGCAGUACCCCGAGUCAGCAGGGCUUAGGGGUUAGAAUGGAAUGACAACAACCAACUUAUGCUAAAUGUAAUAAUGUGAUUGUAUUUGGAAAUCAAGCAAAUGUAAAAGAUAAACUGUGAUGUAAAAUGUUGUAUGAAAUGAAUGCUUGUAAUAGCUAGAAGUUUUAUGUAUUUGAUACUUCCUUGUGCAAUUUGGAUUGAUAUCCGUUCCUGGUUGGAACACUUGUUCAUUGUAUUGAUUGCGACGCCUAGGACGUACAGGGGAACUCUGUCCGUAGUACAGGGGAAACCCUGUCCGUUCGGCAGUCUGUUUGCGGCACCGCGACCCGGCCAAAUAGGCGGGAGGUCGCGGGGCGUGACAACAAAUGCUACAGUAUCUGGUGUGACUGUCAACUCUACACCUCGUACUGAAGUAGUAAACAUGUAAGGUCCACCAUCAAAGUCACUCAAAUGACCCGCUCGCAUAUAGAACUCACAAAUGAGCUCUAAACAAUAGCCUGUUUGCUCGGGAAAGUCGCAAAUCUCAUGUAAAUUACCGUUCUCAAAGAGAGCUUGAAAUGCCGGCGCACGUUCAAUCAAAUUUGCAACACCAACUGCACGCUCACCAAUGCACAAUUAUGAGGAGUACAUAGAGCGUCGGCGGGAAUCAAUCAGAGCGUCUUGAGCACUUCGACGUGGAGGAUCAGAAAUGGGAUCUCGAAUCUCAAUUCCACUAGAUUUCUUCCGACUGCGAGUAAAUGUCAUUUGUUCUGUUGCUUUUCCUUUCCCCUUUUCUUUUUCCUUUUCCUUUUCUUUUCCCUUUUCUUUCCUAUUGCCUUUGUCCUUGUCUUUCUCAGGAGCUGCGGGCUCUUUGCCUUUCUUCUUUGAGAGCACCUCAGGAGUAAGUGCGUCCCAAUCAGUCGACUCAGAAUCAGACUCGUCGCCAGGAGCAUUCUCACUCCUUACAUCUUCCGGUUGUUGCUCAACCGGUUGCUUAGCCGAAGAGCGUUGACGUUUGCUUCCCCGACCACCACCGGCCAUGAGAAAAACGAGCACAAGUAGCCACGAAUACAUUUUUAAGAAGCUCCUGUUAAACACAAAUAUUUACACAUAUUGAACAUAAGAGCAUUUUUAUUUUGAUGUCAAAAAUUUGAGCAAGUUGAAAUGUAAAAUACUAAAUGAUCCUAAGGCCACAAAAUCAUGAAAACCAUGGGCAAAUCAUGCAACAAAAUGAAAAAUCAAGCCCUAACAGAUCUAGAGAGUCAAUCAAAGGAGAACACACGAGUUCCACACAAUUUCUAACAUCAAAAUCCAUAAGCUCACAAAAAUAACCAAAAAAUCCGAAAUACUCAUGAAAAAUAUGCAAGAAAUAAAAUUAUUACCAAAACCCCUGUUGUAAUCGAUGAUGAGUAAAAGACGGUGUCUCUAGAACCCUAAGCAGUGAGAGGAGACAAUAUGAAACGAGAAGGUAGAGAGAGAAGCAUCGAACGAAACAGAUCUUCAUAUAGGGGCUCGGGCGGAGGGACCGGUCUCUCAAGUCAGGGAUGGGUCCCCGAGCCUGGAGUUUAAAAAAUUUUAUUUUAAGUUCAAAAUUUUUAAAAAUUUUAUAUGAUAUUUUAAGAUCCCCCAAUACAAAAAUGACCAAUUUUCAUCCCCAAUGACUUCAAAUAAAAUUUCAUAAAUAAAUAAAUUUUGAAAAGUAAAUUUCAAAGAUAUUCAAUUUGUCAAAAAUUGUUGACCCAAAAAUCAAAUAAAUUUAUAUAAGUAUAGAAUAAAAUUCCACACAUCAUGCAAGAUCUAAAAUUAAUUGUAUUGUUUUAUCAUCAUAUUUGUUAAAAAAAUUAAUAAAGGAAUCUCGUAAUCGUGAAAUUAAAAUAAUACCCCCAAAUUGAGUUAUGCACAUUAUUCGAGAUAGGAGUGGCUCUUUGAGCAUGUUUUAACAAACCGCCUUAUAUCGCCUAGGAGAUGUAUUAAACAUAUUAUUAAAAUUUUACCAUCUCCACAACAUCUCAUAUUUAUUUAUUCUUUUUUUUUUAUCUUAUAGAGAUACUUUGACUAUCAUGUGGUAGCUGCACACACUGACCGGACGACCGGGGUGGUAGCUCUUUCCUCCAUGUGGUGGUAGUUUUCACACUCCCAGCAGGGAUGUAACUCUUUCCACAUCUUUUGAAUUUAAGAAAUUUUCAUAACCGGAAAGACUUCCCCUAAAUUAGUGCAACCCUCAAGUCAAAAAUAUUAUCGCAAUUUCAAAAAUAGAGAAAUAGUUAUUCAUCUCAUAGCUAAUAAUCAAACAAAACAAUUGCAACGUUCAAAGUUCGAAGCAUGAGGUGUUGUAUUUAACUCAGUAUACUAAAACAGAAUUUCAAUGAUUUAAUCGUUCAAAAUUAUGACAACAGAGAAUAACAUUGACAGUGAUCAAUCAAAACAUAAUAUGAAACAAUUAAAGCCAUAUUAUAGAGCUCACAAAAACCAAUUUAUCUCCUAAAAACAUAACAUUGACAGUGACACCAUUCAUGAAACUCAAUCAUCUCUCAAAAAUAAUCAAGAAAAAUCGAAAAACAUGCACAGAAACAAAAUGCAAUAUGCAUAUGAUCUAUGGCCCAAUAGAAUGCAUCUAGAUUGAAGGAUUCAUACCAAUAGCCUUUCUUAAAUGUAGAAAACGUUUUUGAUCCAAAGGCUUAGUUAAAAUAUUCGCAAGUUGAUUUUCAGUUGAAAUAUAUUCAAGUUGAAGAACGUUUGAUUCAACCAAUUCUCUUAAAAAGUGAUAUCUUAGUUCAAUAUGCUUUGUUCGUGAAUGUAAAACAGGAUUUUUCGAAAUAUUUAUGGCACUCGUGUUGUCAUAUAAAAUUGUAAAAGUGGUGGAGGAGAUCCGAUAGUCACUCAAUAAGCUUUUCAACCAUAGUAAUUGUGCAGAGCAACUACCGGCCGCAAUAUAUUCCGCCUCGGCAGUGGAGAGUGCAAUACAAUUUUGUCUUUUACUAUGCCACGCAACUAGACAGUGGCCUAUAUAAAAGCAUGCUCCACUUGUACUUUUUCUAUCAUCCACAAAACCGGCCCAAUCUGCAUCCGAAUAUCCAAUUAAAUCCAAAGACGUCCCCAUCGGAUACCAUAGACCAUAAGCGGUUGUACCUUUAACAUAUCGUAUGAUUCUCUUAACCGCUUUCAAAUGAACUUCUUUUGAAUUAGCUUGAUAGCGAGCACAAAUUUCCACACUAAAAGCAAUGUCCAGACUACUCGCGGUCAAAUACAGUAAUCUGCCGAUCAUGCUCCUANCAAAUAAGCCUAAUUUGGCUUCGUUAUGCCGCAGGUAAAGAACGAAAGGUCUAAAAAUCUCAAGAAAAUCAUCGGAGCACCUAAAUAGACCUACAAGGAGGGUGGUGCUUCUCAAACUCUUUGAACUUCUCUCUAUGCCUAAUGUGUCAUUCAUUUGAGCAUGUGUAUAUAUAUAUUAUUGCAUGCAUUUUAGGGUAAAGUAAUGAUGAAAACGUAAUGAUGCAUGAUUGUGAGUACAACUUGCAUAAUAUGAUGAAUGAGAACUAUGUGAUGUCGAAAACCCUAUGUGUAUGCAUGAGAGAAAAGUGAGCACCCAAAGUGAGCAAAAGAACAGAGUGACACAAUGACAUAGAUCGAGUGGUAUUUGAUAAAGUUAAAGUGAAAUGACACUAGAGAUAGUGUGAGGUAAAGAACCGAUGUAUUGUAAAGAAGGAUGAAAAUGACAAUGUUUAAGGUUAAAGUAAUGUGGGGAGUAAAGAACAUGAAAUGCUAGAGGUAGCCAAAAGUAAAGAAUGUAAAGAAUAUAAUUGCUAGAGUUAGCAACAUAAAGUGAUGUAAUGAACACUAGAGCUAGUGUAAAGUCAAGAUUGAACUUAUAAAUCCUUAGAGUUAAGGAUAUGAUCAUACUUGCUAUGAGUUCCGUGCUCGAGGGCGGUCGCUCCCCCUCGGGCGAUGCGCUCCGGAGUUAUGCAUCACGGGUUGGAGUAAACCUGAAGGACGGUCUUAGCGGGUGAGUUCCUGCGAUGAUGGACUUAAUGUGAAGCAAGUUAAUGUGGCGAUACCCCCGGGUUAGCCUUGAGAUUAAAGAACAAAGAGCAAAGAACAAAGUGCAAAGAACAAGAACAAAGAACAAAGAGUAAAGUGAAAAGAACAAGGAAUUUGCAUAAUCUGCAUCUAUUUAAUGUUGAGCAUACUCCUUUGCUUAUUGUUCAGGCAUAUUAGCAUCAUGUUGUAGAUUGGUUACUAUAUCUCAGCUUAUCCUUUCUAUUAUGCCUGAGUUAGUCCUAGUGGGAAAGUCGGUGAUGUUGAGGCCGAACCCACUGGGAACUUUGUUGUAGUUCUCACCCCACUAUUUCCACAGAGCCAGGACCGAGCGAGCCGGCGAGCGACCGAGGUAAAGGUAUCGCGCCUUAGACAGAGGCCACCAGAGUUGUGUUGGGUUUACAUUUUGUAGUAAAGUACCCUAUGAUCAUCUUUUGGUACAUGAUGAUAAAUGAUGUAAAGAAAAGAAUGUAAUGUGUAUUUUGAGGUAAAUGUGAUAUAAGAAAGAAAUGAUGAAAUGAAAUGUAAGGAAUUUGAAGAUGAACAAGGUGAAUGCAAUGUAUAUGAUCAAAAAUGAAUCAUAGUACUUAUAAAUGUUUAGUUUCCCUUUCUUUCACUAAUGGCUAUUGCUUACCCUCGCGUAAGCCGUUUGUGUAUGUUUCCGCUAGUGCAUUUCUUGUUUGAAUUUGUACAUGUGAUUAGCCUUGGGCGGAUAGGGGAAACUCUGUCCGUUCGGCGUCUGUUUGGCGUGCUCGGGUCGGGCCAAAUUGGUACCGGUCCGGGGCGUGACAGUAAGAGUUGUGGAAGGGAUCCGAUAGUCGCUUAGUAAGCUCUUCAUCCACAACAACUGAGUGGAGCAACUACCAGCAGAAAUAUACUCAGCCUUGGCAGUGGAUAGUGCAAUACAGUUCUGUUUCUUACUGUGCCAUGCAACAAGACAAUGUCCAAGGUAAAAACAAGCUCCACUAGUGCUUUUCCGAUCAUCUGCAGAACCAGCCCAGUCUGCAUCUGAGCAUCCAAUCAGAUCAAGAGAUGUUCCCAUAGGAUACAAGAGGCCAUAUGCGGUUAUACCUUUAACGUACCGAAUGAUCAUUUUAACUGCUUUCAGAUGAACUUCCUUAGGAUUAGCUUGAUAGCGAGCACAAAUUCCAACACUAAAAGCAAUAUCUGGUGUACUCACAGUCAAGUACAAUAGGCUCCCAAUCAUGCUUCUGUACUGUUUCUCAUCCAUACUCUGUCCAUCCGAAUUCAAUCCAAGUCCUUUGUUACUUGUACCCAUUGGAGUAUCAAAAUUCUUUGUAUUGUCCAAUUCAAAUUUCUUAACCAAAUCUUUCGCAUAUUUGGAUUGACACAAGUGAAUUCCAUCUUUAGUUUGUUUAAUUUGAAGUCCAAGGAAAUAAUUAAGCUCCCCCAUCAUCGACAUCUCAAACUCGCUUGUCAUUAACUUCGCAAAUUCCGUGACAUCUUUAUCCUUAGUUGAGCCAAAAACAAUGUCAUUAACAUAAAUUUGUGCCACAAUAAAAUUAUUUUUCGAGUGUUUUACAAAAAGAGUUAUAUCCACUCCCCCUCGGUUGUAGUCUUUUUCGAUAAGAUAUUUUGUCAAACACUCGUACCAUGCCCGCGGAGCCUAUUUAAGUCCAUAAAGUGCCUUUUUUAGUCGAAAAACAUGAUUUGAAAAUUUGGAGUCUAUGAAACCUUUCGGUUGUUCAACAUAAACUUUCUCUUUUAAAAAUCCGUUUAAAAAUGCACUUUUAACAUCUAUUUGAAAAAGAGUAAUUUUAAAAUGACAGGCAAUCGCGAACAAAAUACGAAUUGAUUCAAGACGAGCAACCGAGGCGAAGGUUUCAUCAAAAUCUAUUCCCUCAAUUUGUGAAUAGCCCCGAGCAACAAGUCUCGCUUUGUUUCGAACAAUAGUACUUCCUCAUUUUUCUUAUUCUUAAAAAUCCAUUUGGUACCAAUUAUGUGUUGUUGCUCAGGCCGUGGCACUAAUUCCCAGACAUCAUUACGCGUGAAUUGACCAAGUUCUUCUUGCAUAGCAUUAAUCCAAUAUUCAUCGAGAAGAGUUUCGUCAAUAUUCUUUGGCUUAACUAAAGAAACAUAACAUGCAAAUUCACACUGAAGUUGUCUCCUAGUUUUCACACCAGUAAGAGGGUCUCCAAUAAUAUUUGACAAAGGGUGAUCUCUUGACUCUCUCAGGGGUGUAGUCUCAUAUGAUAUACUAGGUGUUUCAGAUGAGAUGCUUUGAGGCUCAGAUGAAUCAUUUGAUGCAACAAUUUCAGGAGAUGCAAUGGGAUUAUCAAAUGCAGAAACAUUAUCAUUCACAGGCAGUACAAAUGGAGAAUCAUUAUCAUCAUCAUUCAUCAAAGAGUUAGAAGUACCAUUCACAGAAGAACUUACAGAAGAAGCUUCAUCUACUUUUAUAUUUAUAGAUUCUAUCACCGUCUUAGUUCGUAAAUUGUACGCACGAUAAGCACGACUUAUAGUAGAAUAACCAAGAAAUAUCCCCUCGUCACUUCGGGAGUCAAAUUUUCUAAGAUUUUCAUGAUCCCGAAGGAUAAAACGCUUACUCCCGAAGAUACGAAAGUAUUUAAUAUUAGGUUUUCUACCAAGCCAAAGUUCAUACGGAGUAUUCAAAGUACCCAGAUGCACAUAAAUCCGAUUGAUAACAUAGACGGCCGUGUUAACCGCUUUGGCCCAAAAAUGUAAAGCAACUUUCUUACUAUGAAGCAUAACACGUGACAUCUCUUGUACAACCCGAUUUUUGCGUUCAACCACUCCGUUUUGUUGCGGUGUAUAAGGAGCCGAGAAUUCAUGUUUAAUCCCAUUAGAAACACAAAAAUCAACAAUUUUUGAAUUUAUGAAUUCUCCCACUUGAUCACUUCGAAUACAUAUAAUUUUAUCAUUACACUCAUUCAUAAGACGAAGACAAAUCUCAGAAAAAGAGUCAAAAGUAUUGGCUUUUUCACGUAAGAAAGCACUCCACGAAAAACGAGUAAAGUCAUCAACAAUAAGGAAUAUAUAACGUUUGCCACCCAAACUUUGAAUCCUAGAUGGUCCCAUCAAGUCUAUGUGUAACAACUCUAAAGGUUUAGAUGUCCCUAAGUUGUUCAAAUUCUUAUGUGCGGAUCUAGUUUGCUUUCCUAGUUGACAACCCCCACACAUAAUGUUCUCUUUGGAAUCUAUCUUAGGUACACCUCUAACAAUCUCUUUCUUCGAUAUCUUAGAUAGUUCCUUAAAAUUUAUGUGACCUAGAUGUUCAUGCCAUAAAGUUUCAGUCUCUAAUAUUGCUAGGUUACACUUUUCAGAUGAAGCACUAGAAACUAUAUAACAGUUAUUCUGAGAUCUUACACCUUUUAAAAAUAUAUCAUCAUCACGAGUCACAUUGCAUUCUUUAUCAGAAAAUUUCACAGAAUACCCAUCAUCACACAAUUGGCUUAUGCUUACGAGAUUUGAUUUAAUCCCCUCAACAUAAAAAACAUUAUUCAAAGUAGGGCCAUCUAAGAUAGUAACUGUUCCUUUUCCAAUGAUUUUUGAUGACCGACCGUCUCCAAAAACAACAAGUCCUCCGGAGAUUUUAUUUAAAGAAGUAAACCAAUUUUUGUCACCCGUCAUGUGACGGGAACAACCACUAUCCAGAUACCAAGAAGUAUUAUCGUAAGCAUGAAGCAAAGUGUGAAUGACAAGGCAUGGGAAGACUUCACCUUUGCGUACCCAGACCUUACGUGUUUUGGGUUGCGACGAUUGACUUGCUUUUGGUGAUCGUGGCUUGUCGACGAUUUGAGUUAACUUCUUCUUCAGAUCCUCCUUCUUUGGCUUCCAUGCUUGUUUUGCCUUUGAUUUCGGAGCAUUCUUCUUUGGUGUCCACGUUUGCUUCACUUUUGGUUUAGGAUCAUUCUUCGUUUGCAUCCAUGAUCGUUUCUUCUCAACUUUUGAAUCUUCUUUUGUUGGCUUCCAAGAUGUCCUCCGAUCCAAGAGUGUAGUGGAGCUUUUAGCCCUUUGUUCGCAAAACCUUUUCACAUGUCCUAAAACACGACAAAGAUGACAAGUUUUGUUAGCAAAUGUGUUUUUAGGAGGGAUAAACUUACCAUAAAGCUUAGGAAACGCUUUUGUCGAAUGUUCGUCAUCUUUUUUGAUUGCUUGAUCAACAUACGUCCGUUCGUAUCCAAGUCCAAAUUUAUUUGUUUGAUCAAGUCCAAGCAUUUUGUCAAGUUUGCUAGAGCUAGACGAAAAUUGAUUUAAAUCCGAUUUGAGUUGGAUAAUAGUCUUGGUGAAUUCCAUAUUUGAUUCUCUAGCUUCCGUGUAUUGCUUGGUAAGGAAAUUGACAUUUUCAACAUGAGACUCCUUUUCCUUUUCAAGCAAUAUACACUUCUCAAAUAAAGAAUCGUAAGCCUUAGUCAAACCAUCUCUUUCUUGUUCUAGAUCCUUUGUCAAUGAGUCCAAUCUUGAAUUCUCUUGUUCCAAGUCAUGUAGCCUCCGCCGCAGCUUCUUGUUAUGUUUUGCCAUCUUCUUUGAUUCGACAACCAAUUGUUGAUAUGCGGCGACCAUGUCAUCUUCAUCCGAUUCUUCAUCCGAUGAAUUUUUCGAAGUCAAUUUUUCAUGCAUAGAAGACAUGGAGAUAGAGUCAAUAGAUGUCAGACACAUAUAAUUAGAAUCAUGUGCAAUAAGUGCCGUUGCGUUUACAUCCUCAUCGCUUGAAGAUGACUCAUUCGAGGAUGAAUCAUCCCAAGUGAUGGCUUAUAUCGCUUUCUUUUUCAAAGAUUUUUUAUUAGGACAAUCCGAUGCAAUAUAACCAAAUCCUCUACACUUAUAGCAUUGGAUUUGACCUUCAUUACUUUUCUUCUCUUUAGAAAAAUCUUUUGAAGAGCUUUCAGAUUUUUUUAUUCUUAGAAAAGGAAGAUGAAGAAGAACUCCCUUUAGAUUUGCUUGACUUUGAGGAGGUAGACUUUGGAGGAAACUUCUUUCUAAAGUUCCGACGGAACUUCUUCGUUAGAAGAGCCAAUUGUUUUUCAAACUCCUCCAAUGUUUGAUCCGAUUCUGAGUCCGAUGAAGUAGUCAUGUCAUCUCCUUUUGUUGAUUUUAAGGCCAUACCUAAAGCUUUAGAAGAAGACUUGGAAGAAGACGAAUUAGAAGGUGUACCCUCGUGUGUAACUUGUAAAGUAUCCCAAAUUUCUUUGGCGGUUUCACACGCCAAGACACGAGAAAACUCGGUUUGAUUUAAAGCAUUAAAUAAAGCAUUGAUACCCUUUCCGUUGAAUGAAGAUAGUUCGUUUUCCUCUUUCGUCCACUUAUUUCUAGGUUUCGGACCGGUAACAUUCUCAACAACUUCGGUGGGAUGUUUCCGCCCGAAUUCAAUGGCUUGCCAUACCCGCUCGUCGAUGGCAAUAAGAAAUGCCCUCAUACGGACUUUCCAAUAAGCGUAAUUAGUGCCAUCGAAGAGAGGGGGUCGAUUGAUGUUACCGCCCUCGGCCAUGAUUUACAACCUAUACCCUCUCUGAAACCACUUGAAAGAUAUGGAUCCUAAGGAUCUAAAAGAUAAAUAACACCUAGAGGGGGGGUGAAUAGGUGUAAACGGUAAAAACAAAUAAACUCGAUGCGAAUUAAAAAAGAAUGCGAAAAAAAUAAAAUCAACACACCGAGAAUUAACGUGGGAAAACUCCAAAUCGGUGAGAAAAACCCACGGGACCGACCACACAAAGAAAUCCACUAAGAAAACUUGAGUACAAGUGAUUUAACAAAAAUACAUGACUCAAUUUACCGAAUCCUCGUUGUAGAUUGUCUUCGCCGAUCCUCGAUCGCUUGGAAUCCUCCAACCGACCACACCGGAAGUCCUUGCAGCAAACAUGCCUCGAUUCCACGAAACGCCCACCGAAUCCACGGCCUCCAUGCGAAAUCCAUGCGCUAACGCUCCAUCCGAAGCUCAUAGGGAUUUAACAAUUUGUGGUGAUUUAAGAUCUUAGAAAGCACAUAUAAUAUGAGGAGAAACCCUGAUUAUAACAUCACCAAUUUGAUCCUUAAAGAUGUUUUGAAUCAAAAUCAAAGAAUCUAACCGGUGAUCUAAGAACUCGAUGUUUAAAACAUAGAUCAAAAACUCCGAAUCAAGCCGUUAGGAUUUCUAAAAGGUUAUAUCUCUAAGCUCACGUCAUAUAGGGAUCCUCAUAUCACAUUUAUAGGUUUAGAUGGCUUCUAAAUGGACUAGGAUUUCAAAAACUCAAUUUUAAAAACUGACGACGGUCUCAGGGUCCGGUCCUCCCGAGGAGACCAGUCUUUGGGGGACCGGUCCUUUGCUGCGUAGCUGAGAAACAUGCGUACGGGGACCGGUCCUCAAUUCAGAGACCGGUCCCUCCCUGCACAACAAGAUAAACCACUUACGGGAACCGGCCCUCAAGACCAGAGACCGGUCUCCCAAAACUUCUACGCAGAGAAGACUUGAUGGGUCCGGUCCCUCUGAUCAAGGACCAGUCCCUGAGCCCUGAGAUUUAUAGAAAAGUCCAGUUUGAUCAACAAAAACACAAUCUAAGUCUUCUAAACAUAUUUUAACAAUAAAAUCUCACCACAAACUAUUUAUAAUCAUACCUAAGAUCCCAAAAGUGUGACCGAAGUUUUUGACCUCCAAAUUCCAAUUCUUUCUUCAAACUUUGUCUUCUAACUCUUCGAGACUCCAUCAAACUUCACGAAAGUCGCCAACCUAGAAAAAAUCCUUAACAUCGAAAAAUUAUGAAAUUUGAUUUCUAGAUGUUUCAAAUGCUCUAGAUAACGUUUAACGGUGUGGAUCGUCGAUUCGGAAGCUCUAUCAUCGAAAACAACUUAUGAGUACGAGGGCGAUCGUACUCAUAAUAGUAUUGUUGGAGCCGAAAUUCCCCGACCUUUGAACCGGUCAAAGUUGUUUCUCGGGAAGCGCGUCGGGAUGGAAAUGGCUGCGAAGGAUGACCCUCGAAGUAUGCGCCCUUCGAUAGAUCAAGCGAUUAGGCUGACGAGGGAUCAGGUUAGCCGGGUUCAAAACCUUUAUAAGAGAAUCGGUUUGGCUGGGAUGAGCCGAAUACUUGAAACAAGCCAGAAAGUGGGCAGACAAAAGAGCCGAAUGGCUAGGACAACUUGAGAUCUGGUCGGCCUGAAGAGCCGAAAAUGACUUUCUAUUAAAUGGAACCGGGGAAAGUACAGAGAGAUGGGUUUUUAGUCUACAACGGAGUGAUGCCCGAGGGGCAGACAGACUCCAGGAUGCUAAGUUACAGGAACUACUCCUAGGAAAAAUAAAUAAAUGCGAGAAAGAAAGAUGCAAGAAAAUAAAGGUGGUCUUUUGUGCGCAGGGGCUAAGACCCCUUUUUGGGGUAUUAUUACCCUAUUUAUAGAUAGCCCCCUUUGAUCAGUUAUUUCAUAAUCGGCCAUUAUCUCCUCAUAUUCCGGACCACUUCUAGCCGAUUGGAACCGCAUGUAACUGCUUGCGGUUGCCAUAACUUCCUUCAAUUCGCGUGAUACCUUCUUCCGGCACUUCCGAUGCACGACCCAAAAGACGCUUUUGAAGGGAAUAUUCGCACCUAAAUCCGAUUCUCGCUUAAUCGGCUCAACAAUUGCCUCCUCGGCAGCUUUCGAAGUAACACUUCGGUAGCUGGCGUGAUCUGAGACACGAUCACUUUUUAACUUCCUGACAUGGUUGCAUCUCGGCCGUUCCUUUUUCGCUGCCGAAAUUUUGUAAUUGAUUUGAUAACAAGCGCGAUCCGAGGCGUCAUUCUCGGUCCAAUCACAUUCAAAAUCUCUGCACCAGUACUAGAUAUGAUUCGAGGCGUGACCCUCUGUAUGGUUCAAUCUUAGCCGUUUAUUUCCUUUUCUUUACGGCCCGAUCUCAACUUUCGUUUUGUCUUACUUGCGGCAUUAACUAGGUUAUCUUAAUUACCGCCGUCUAUUCAUCAUUAAAACUGACCUCGAAACUCGCUUCGACGCGACGGUUCAAUACGACGACCUUUCUUCUUCUCCAAGCUUUUUAUUCUUUUUGUCUCUUCUAUUUCUUCUUCGUCUUCCAGGAAACCUUUCUUUUGCUUCCCUUUCCUUCAUCUUUUCCGAUUUUAUUUUCCACUUGACUUUUCCUCUUUCCUUUUUCGACUAAUGGCGUUGGUUCUGCCUCUUCCUUCUCAUCCAUCCCUGGAUUAUACUAUACUUAAACCCUUUGUCGAUUCGGACCCCUCUAGAUUUAUUUUGGGUCCUUCACUUACAAAAGUGCCAGCCCCUAUUGACUCGCCCUUUUCUAGCGAUGGUCUCCCCUUGAGAAAAGCUAUUCAUCUUCAGUCUUGGUACUCUUCUGCUUCAACAGGGAAGAGUCUUCGAACUUGGCCAAGUACUUCAGAGGCAUAUUUAACCUGGUUAGAUCGAGUAGAAGCCGUCUUUGGUGACUUUUGGCGAGAGGUUGGGAUAUAUGAAGCUAUUCAAUUGUCUCGGCAUCCUCCUAUUGCCGACAAUCUUCUUCUAGCCGCCACUCUGUGUUUUUGGUCCCCCACUUCUAAUGUUUUUCUUUUUAAAAGAGGGCCUCUCACCCCCACUCUUCUUGACGUGGCCACCAUUACUGGCUUGUGCCCUCAUGGCGUUUCUAUUUCUAUGUCUUAUAAUCCUGACGGCGUAUCUAAUUUUGAGGACCGUCUAGACCUCAAUGACUUGGCUUACUCCAAGUUCAUCCGCAAAUUCGCANGCCGCGUCAACGCCUCAACUCCUCGAAGCGUCCACCGAAUCCUCGGCUUCACGCGAGAUCCACCCGCCGAACCUCCUUCCGGAGCUUGUAGAAUUGAUGAUUUGUGGAGAUUAAGACUUAAAAUACCAUAAGCAAUGAGCGUUCACCUUCUAAUCAAUCAUCAACUUAAUUCUCGAUGAAAUUCUUGAGUUAAAACUUAAGAAUCAAGUCUAUGGUUGAUUAUACGAAACUCGUUAUAUGAAUAAAUCAUAAGAACAUGAAAACAAAUUUCUAGGGUUUUAGAAAGGUAGAAAUUCUGAGCCUCAACUCAUAUGAUGACCCCCAUAGCUUAUUUAUAGGUUUAGAAGACUUAGAAGUGGACUAGGAUUGCAAAAUAUCUAUUUUAAAAACUGACGUCGUCCUCAGGAACAGGUCCUCUCGAGAAAACCGGUCUUUGAGAGAUCGGUCCCUCGAGUGGGAGACCGGUCCCUCGCUGCGUGACAGAAAACACAACGUUCGGGAAUCGGUCUCUCAUGCCAGAGACCGAUCCCUCGCUGCGUGACAGAGAAACCCAUGUUCGGGAACCGGUCUCACUUUCCAGAGACCGGUUGCCUUAAUAUUCUAUGCAGUGAGGACCCUCGGGGACUGGUCUCUCAACCCUGGAACCGGUCCCAGAACACUGAGAAGUUCAGAUUCAGCUUCUUAAUGCAAUCCAAGUCUUCUAAACUUAUUUUUUGAUUAAAAUCACCAUAAAUGAUCUAUUUUUCAUACCUGAGGUGCCGAGCUUUCCGAAUGAAUCUUUGAUCUUCAACUUGCAUCUUAGUUUCAAAACUCCGUGCUUGAUUUUUCAAGACUCCAUUUGACUUUACGAAAUCCGCCAACCUAAAAAAUCCAUAACAAAUCCGGGGGUAUCGCCUCAUUAACUCACCAACUCAAAGUCCAUAAUCGCGGGCCCUCAGCUUCCUCCCGCUAGGACUAUCCUCUGGGGAACAGAACCACCCAGUGAUGACAAACUCCGGAGCGCAUCGCCCGAGGGGGAGCUACCGCCCUCGAGCAAGGACUUAUAGCGAGUAUGAUCAAUCCUUAACUCUAAGGAUAUUCAGUUCAAUCUGUUCCUUAACUCUAAGAAAUUUAUGCACAAAUGACCCUUAGCUCUAAGGUUGAAUGUCAUUGUGUCAAUCUCAUGUUCUUUGCAUUCUUUAUCUUCGACCAUGUCAAUACACUAACUCUAGUGUUCUUUACAUUCUUUACUAUCAUUCAUAUUAUACAUUAACUCUAGUAUUCUUGGAUGCCCCACAUUUAAUGCUAUCUUUAGCCAUUGUUCUUUAUGCCACAUUUUGUUGCUAACUCUAGCAAUUGUCAUUCUUUGAUGCCACACAUUUGCUAACUCUAGCUUUUAUCAUUCUUUAUACCACAUUUGUUCUCUUUGAUGCCACACACAUUAGCUCUAGUGUUCUUUACGUCAUACGUCAUGCUAACUUUAGCUUUCAUUCUCAACAUUACAUUGUCCUCAUGUCAUAUGUCACUUGUUCUUUAACUUCAUUAAGCUCUUAUCUCUUUUUACAUGCACAUAUAGGGUUAUUACAUUCUCAUCGGUUUUCAACCAUUUCAUGAUGCACUUGAACUCACAAAAUGCAAGCAUUCACAUAUUUAUAAUCUCAUUACCCUACUAUGCAUGCAACAAUUAUAUAUGUAUGCUCAAGAAGUGACACAUUAGACAUAAAGGGAAUUCCAACAAGUUUGGAAGGCACCACCCACCUCGUAGGCUUUCUUAGGUGCUACGGUAAUUUUCUUGGAAUUUUUAGACUCCUAAUUCGUCACCUGCGGCAAAACGAAGCCAUAUUAGGCCUUUUUGCUCAUAACUUUACAUAGGCUUUUUGUAAUGUCAAUCCGAGCUCACCAACGCGUUCGUUUGGUCCCCAAUUAGGUUUCUAGAUGGUCAAUUUCACUUUGAAUCCCUCACAAGCAAAAGUUCCAAAUUUUAGGUGCCCUAGCUUCACAUACACCAAAUCUAGGAUUUUGAUCUCUUAGAGAAGCAAAAGAAAGCUUCAAAACUCUUUAAUCAUUCCAUUAAAACCAUUUUUAGGUCAAUCAAAACCCAUUCUAGGGUUUCACCAUGAGAGGGGUUGAAGCUUACCUCUAAGCUUCACCACCUACACCCAAUCCAUGGUUUUGAUCUCAUCCACAAGCAAAAGAAAGCUUGAAAUACCCCAAAAGGCUCUACUAAAACUAUUCAUAGGUCCUUUGGUUCUCAUCUUAGGGUUUUACUAUGAAAGGGAUCAAAGCUUACCUCAAAGCUUUCCCUUCUUUGCUCCAAAGAGGAAGAAGAAGGAGUUGCUCCACUCCUUGGUCUUCUUCUCCACCUUUGUCUUCUUCUACUUCUCCCUCUUUUCUUUUCUUUCUCUUUCUUUCUUCUUCUCCUUCUUGUCUUCUAGAGAGAGAAAGAGGGGAGAGAGUGUGUGAGAGGGAGAGAAUGAGAGAAAUAUCCCAUAACCCCUCAUAACAUAACCCAUGGGUUUAAUUGCAAAUAAACCCCUCAACUUUCACUUUAUUAAACUGCCCAAACUGGGCCAUUUUCGAGCUCGGGGACCGGUCUCCCUGACAAGGGACCGGUCCCAGAGAGCUUUCCCCAUGGGCAGCCAAGGCCCCCGCGCAAUGCAACCAGUCUCUCCCAGAGGGACCGGUCUCUCGGGGACCGGUCUCUCCCCGCAGGGACUGGUUUCCGAGAGCUGGUUUUCUGGGACUUAGCCGAUUUUUCAGCUUUCUCAUUUCUCACGCGUUCGGGGACCGAUCUCUCCCACCAGGGACCGGUCCCCGAGAGCACAAAAGCUGCAGUUUGCAAAUUUUUAUUUCUUUAGCUCUCGAAGAUCUCUUUAAACGCACUUUUACUUAUUUUAACACCUUCGGACUUUCCGAAGUGUACCAUCCUCACACUUUGGUCAAUCUGACUAAAGUUCGAUAUUUAUUUUUCGAAUUUUCGGUAUAUUAAAGACGGAAUUGGAUGUUAUUUUUACUCGCUAUGUGAGCUUAGCGAUACCCUUUAGGACUUAGAACCAUGUCAUGAAAUGGAUAUUUGGUGAUGCCACUUUAGCAUAAUAUCUAAGGGCCAUAAUUGAUUCAGUUCAGCGGAACAUGUCUAGGAAAGCAGUCAAGUUGAAAUGGAUUGGCAUGAGACAUAUGAGGAAAAAUCAUUUGACAAUACACCUAUAAUUCUUGACUCAUAGCCCAGGUGAUUAUGUUGAUAUUUGUUAUUAAUAUAAUCAUGAGUGCAGAUGCACUGAUAAGAGAGAUCUAACUUGCUCUAUAGGGAUUAGAGAUGCUAAAAUCUGGUAUUGUUCAAUGAUUUGUGGUAUAGAAGAGAUUUGGAGUUGUAGUGUUAUAUUAGUUGGAUAGUGGCUUAAUAUAAUACUCCUCACUUGAUUCCUCUUGUUAUUGAUUGCACCAAUUAUUUCUCGUAUGAAGAGUAGAACGAGAUAAGAAUAUAUUUGUGAUGAGACAAUAUGAAUAAGUACCAAGUGUACGAGUGGGAGAGUUAGGAUUCGUCCACAUUGGAACAUAUCUAAAAUAUUUCUAAUCCACAUCGGAUAAGGAAUAAAAUUAAGAGAUAGAUCCUAAUAUAUUUAAAUCUCUAUCUAUGUGAGAUUCCGUUAGAAUAGGAUUGGAACUAACAUCUUUUCUAUGGCCUAUAAAUACAUGAGAUAUUGGCUGCAUACAAUACAAAAAAAAAAAAAAAAAAAAGAAUAAUCUCUCCACAAAAUUCUUUUUCUUGGGUUCACUCUAGGGCAUCAUCAGAAACCUUAGGGAUUUGGGCGGUGUGCUGCAAUCCACUCUGAUAGCCUAUUAGCAACGAGAAAGAACAACAUGUAAGAAAUUGAGACAGAUUGCUGGCGGAUUAAGGAGUUCGUAAAACAAGAUGAGAUCAAAUCCUAAUAAUUGCAACAUUAAUUCCGCAUCAAAGAGGUAUGUAAAAAUCUAUAUCAUUUUUGUACUUUGAUUUGGUUAUUUAUUUUUCCUACAAUUCUAUUAGGCCUAGUUUUGGAUUUAUCUUGCAAAAUCAUCUCUGUUUUUAUACUUUGGAAGGUUUCAAUCUUCUCUGUUUUAGUAUUACCAAAUUGUAAUGAAAAUUGAAAGUGGAGAAGCAUGUAGUUGCAUGCUUCUUAGAAAGAAUAAUUAGAAUUCCAAGAAGCUUUUCAGUGACAACACCUACAAUCUAUAUUUAUUUAUUUCAUUGAUUAUUUAAUUCUUUUUCAAAACCAUAUAUCCUAUUUUCACAGUUAUUUACCUAAAGAAAUAAGGAACAUACUAUUAGAAUUUUAGUUAGAUUUGUAGUUAAAUUCUAGUUAAAUUAAAAUAAAUAUUUAAAUCUAUCAAAAAUAAAUUAAUUUAAAUUUAAAUAUUAAUUAGAAUCGAAUUUUUAAUUAUACUAGAAUUGGAGUAAGUUUUUCUUGAGCUUAAUAUAUAAUUCCAUGGUAUACGGGUUUGUAUGGCUUAGCCUUGUAGUACGGCCAAUUAAUUAGUUGCUUUAUAGUUAGCAGAGCAGAGAAGGUGAGGCCCUAUCAGAGAGAGAGCAGCAAUAUGCUUAGUGCACCUGGUGUCUAGGUGCAUAAGAAUUGUUGAAGUUAGAUGAUUUGAGCAUAGGUUUGAUUUCAAUGAGAGAAGUCUUCUAAACUUAUAGAAGACAAGAGAAGGGUGAGAGGGAUUCAGAAAUAGGGCUUAGGUUGAAGCUACUCUAUACAGAAGAGAAAUCACAUAUAAUUCUUCUCUUAUUUAGUAAAUUUUGUUUUAUCUGUAUUUUCUAUUUGAUUUUUUUCCUUUUUGUAGCUAUGCCAGCUGUUUGCUGAGGAAACGGGUUUCUGGUAAAAAUUUGAUUUGAGCUUUUGUUACGCAAUACCAACUACUGGUACCAAAUCAACAGCGGUCGAUAUCAAGGCGGAUUGCGAAUUUUUCAAAAUAUGAUAUUAGAGUGAGUACCAAAUUCUCAAUAAUUGGUAUUAGAGCUUAAGGUUACUGAUCUUCCGGAGAGAUCGACGAAGAUCGCUACAAAAUUGGAAAUUGAGAAGUUCGACGAUAAAUAAUUUCGGAUUGUGAUAGAUUAAAGUACGGAAAGUCCUCAUACAACAAGAGUUAGAUGAGAUGUUGAACAGGAAGGAAGCGAAGCCGGCAAAGGUCACGGAUUCGAGUUGGGAGAAGAUAGAGUGGAAGGCACCGAGUACGCUUCAUUUAUUAUUAGCAGAUAAGGUUCUUUGCAACAUAGCCAGCAAGUCAACACUGGCGAAGUUGUGGAAGAAAUUGGAAGAGAUCUAUACAUGACUAAAUUCCUGACAAAUUGUAUAUGAAGUAACGACUAUUCAUGCUGCGGAUGCACGAAAUGACGAGCCUAUAUGAGCAUCUGAAUGAGUUCAAUAAGGUGGUAAAUAAGCAGCCUGGUAAAUAAGGUUCGAAAGUGAGAUCGGAUCGUGUGCGAGGUAAAUAAGCAGAGAAAUUUAUACGUUCUGAAUGGGAGCACAGCCUGAACAGGAGAAAAGACGGUUUGGGCUCUAAAAGUUUAUGAAGGUGCAGCCGCUCGAGGUGGAGUAGCGAAUGUGGCGACAUCGAGCGAAGGAGAUACACUCAAAGUGAAGCUCGUAUAGUGAGCUCGACACAAAAGUUGAAGACAACAAAUCAAAUCACGGUGAAGAUUGUUAGAAUUUUGGUUGGAUUUGUAGUUAAAUUUUAGUUAAAUUAGAAUAAAUAUUUAAAUUCAUUAGAGAUAAAUUAAUUUGAAUUUAGAUAUUACUUAUAGUUGAAUUUCUAAUUAUAUUACAAUUGGGUACGUUUUUGUGAAGUUUAAUAUAUCCACGCAAGCCAGUUCGUGUUCGGCUCGAAAUGAGCUCGAGAUCGAAUCGCUCGUUUAUUAAACGAGCCGAACAUGAGCUGGGGUCAGCUCGCUCGUGUUCGGCUCGAUAACAGCUCGAAUACAUAUAUUUAUAUUUAUAUAAUUUGUUUAAUUUAUAUUUAUAUAUAUAAAUAAAUAAUUAUAUAUAUAAUAUAUAUUUUUAUUAUUUAAUUUUUAGCAAAAUAAAAAUAUAAAGGCGAGCUCAAUUAUAAAAAAAUCCAUUUAUAUGUAAAGUUUUAACUAUUAGAUCAAAGUCUAAUGGAUAAGAUUUUAUAAAUUUAUUUUUUAUAUAUAUGUCAAUCCUAUUUUCCUUUUAACUAUUGUCGUGGCACUCGUGUUCAGGCUCGUUCAAUUAAGAGGCAGAACACGAGCUGAAUUUUUUGACUCGAUACCUUAACGAGUCAGCUCGUGUUCAACUUGUUUAAUAAACAAGCCGAACACGAGCCAACCGAGCUCGGUCGUGUUCGGCUCGUUUACACCCCUGCUCCAUGGUAUGCCGUAGAGGUGUUGCUCUCUAAUUAGUAGAGCAGACAGGUGAGACUGUACGGGAGAGUGAGCCAAUAUGCUUAGUGCACCUGGUGUAUAGGUGCAUAAGAAUGGUUAAAGUUAGAUGUUUUGAGCGUAGGUUCGAUUUCAACGGGAGAAAUCUUCUUGAAAAGGGUGAGAGGAAUUGGCAAAGAGGGUGACGGCCGAAACUAUUUUAUGGAGAAGUGUAAUUUAUUUUUAUUUACUGAAUCUUAUUAUACCUGUAUUUUCAGUUUGGUUUUUUUUUUUUGGUUGUGUAAAUUGUUUGCUAAGAAGACGAAUUUAUAAUAAAAAUUCAAUUUGACACUUUUAUUGCGGAAUACCAAUAAUCAAUACCAAAUCAACAACAGUCGAUAUCAAAGCGCAUUGUAAAUUUUCAAAAUCUGAUAUCAGAACGAAUAUUACAUUCCCAACACAUAUUUCGAAAACAAGUACUUUCGGAUUGUGAAGAAAUUAAUAGCAAAGAAGUAAAAGAUUUUAAGUAGCUAAAAAUUUUGAAAUAUGGUUAGUAAUUGACAGUUUUCUAUGAAUGGAGUUUGAACAAAUUAUUUACAUAUUUACCAGAGAAGCUUGUCGUGUUUUGUGUCUGGAUGAGUUUUAACAAAUGAUCGACUCUGCCUUAUAUUAUAUUAUAGGACAAAAAUUUGCUCGGCAUCCGUGCCUAAACAAAUCCGUGCCCAAACAAAUUGUUUGGGCACGGAGCCGGAUGGGCGCCCCAUCACCACCGCCCCUUUCCCCUUUCUCUCUCUCUUUCUAAAAAACAGAGCCCACCAAUUUUUUUUUCUUUUUUCCGAGGGUCGCGAUGGGCGCCGCACGCCGCACACCACGCGGCGCCCAUCGGCAUCGUCCCCGAACAAAAUUGUUUGGGGACGAUGCCCAGCAAAUUUUUGUCCUACUAGUUAAGGGACCCCGCGCUUCGCGGCUGGAAGCCAAUACAAUAAUAAAUUAUUAGAAAUAUUAAAAUCAUUUUUUUUUUCAUAUUAUGUAUUAAUAUUUUUAAAUAUUAUUUAUUUCCGUAUUGAAUAAUUAAAAAUGAAAGAAUGAACUAAAUAAUCCAAAAAAAUAAGGUUAACAUAAUGAGUUGCCGUGUAGAACUUAGACAUUUAUCAGGCAAAUGCAAAUCUGUUGACCAUCAAUUAAUGUAAAUUUCAUGCGAGCCAAUAAACACAGCUUGAAGAGCAUAAUCCAAAAAAUAAGGUAGAAGUAAUAAGUAAACACAGCUUGAAGAGCAUAAUCCAAAACAUAACAGUAAUGCAAACCGGAAUGUAAAGACAGAUAAAUCUGUUGACCAUCAAUUAAUGUAAAUUUCAUGUGAGCCAAUAAACACAGCUUGAAGAGCAUAAUCCAUAAAAUAAGGUAGAAGUAAUAAAUAAACACAGCUUGAAUAGCAUAAUCCAAAAAAUAAGGUAGAAGUAAUAAGCUGCCUUCCUUUCAUACCGAAAACCGGACAAAAGGUGUGAAAAUAAAUAGUAGAUAACAACUGAAGUACGGAAUUAAAGGUAAGUACAUAGUCUGAUAAGCCACACUUAAAAGCUGUGUGCAAUAGCUUUGGCCAAAACAAAAGGAUGGCAACAAAAUGAUAAGUGAGGUAGUAACUAACUACAUAUUCUUACAUGCCAAGCUUAUAAAGCCAACAGUAUCCAAAAUCAAAGUAUGGCAUCAAAAUAGAAUAUGAGUAUACAAAAGAGCCAUUAGUUAAGGCAAUUGAUUAGACAUGGCUUUAGAGGGAUUGGUCUCAGGAACAGGAGGAGGUGUAAGAGCAGUAAUGCGGUUUACUAUGUCAUAGCAUUCUCCAACGGCACGCCGAAGCUGGAUUUGGUCAUUGACAUAUACAUUUUUUUGCUCAACUGUACUCACGAAGCAUUCCUUCAAAAAGUCGUAUUCACGAGAAAGGUUGCUAAGCUGCGUACUUAAUUGUGUAGUUACCACUGUAUAAUCAGUACAUUUGUGGUCAUAUAAAGUCUUAUAGAGCACAGAGUCGUCAUAAUUAACAUCUUUAAUUUGUAAGUCGCAUUCAUCCUUAAUUCUCUUAAGAGCGAGGCGCGCAACAUCUUGUUGAGCACCAAUGGAAGUAGGGAACUGAGAGCUUGAACAACAAACAGUUUGGAUGAUGGUUUUGCUUCGCGGAAUUGCAAAUCCACAUGACCUACAAAUUUUCCUUCAUCAUCCACAUCUACUACAAUCUGUGGCACAUCCAGGUGUAGCUGUUCAUAAACCUCACUGAGCAGUCUAAUGUAAGAAACGUUAAUAGUCGUCAUUUCUCGAGCUGCGGAGAAAAAGGGAAGAAAACAGUUUUUUUUUUUUUCAAAUAUUGGGAGAGGGUUAUAGUGAAAUAAGUUAGAAUGGUGAAAAAAAAAGAAAGAAAAGGAAACGAAAGAUAUCAUGACCAGCUAAUAAAAGCAGAAAAGAAAGGCAUGAAAAAAAGAGGAAAAAAUGCUUAUGUAAAGAAUAACCAAAGCUGCAGGCACACACACACGUUUAUAGUGAGGGAAGAAGAAUCAGAUGGCAUUUAUAGUGAGGGAAGAAGAAGCAGAUGGUUCUUUAAUGCCAUUCAAAGUGUUUUACCUGCACGUUUUUUAACAGGAACCAUACGUAUUUUUGUAAAAANAGAGAGAGAGAGAGAGAGAGAGAGUGAGAGAGAGAGAGAGAGAGAGAGAGAGAGAAUUAGGAUGGAAUACUAUUAAUAGUAAAACGCUUGUUUUGCUAUCAAAUUUUUAACCCUUGGAUGAAAAAUUAUAGGGUCAGAAUGAUAUUAGUCGGUUAGAGUUGAGUGGUCCCCACUGGGUUAUAGUAUUUAAUCCAAUGGUUAGAAAUAAUGAAAAGAAUUGAUCCAGAGGCUAAAAAACUGGUAGCAACAAUGAGAUUUUGCUACUAAUAGUAGCCCAGUCCAACUCUAUAUAUAUGUAUAUAUAUAUAGACACACGCCCAUAAGCAAGUACAAUUGUUACACACUCUCUACCUUUUUUUUUUGGCAGGGGGAUCAGGUAAAAUGUCAUGCACAAAUCAAAACCAAAGCAAACAGGAAAUUGCAAGUAGAAAAAUUAGCGAGGCUCAGAUACUCUAUAUGUAAGCAGCAUUGCUACCAUCCUUUUAUUUAAGUCAUCGGCUGAACAUAAGAGGCUGUAAAUGGUUGCAGAUGGUUGCCUGGGAAAAGGCCAUCCAAACCUGCAAUGCUUAGCCUUUCGCUGGAAUGGAGCAGGAAAAAAGCAAGGAGAAAAAGGCGGGUGAAGUUGAGUGAAAACGUGAAGCUUCAUUUGAAAAGGCGGCAAGUAAAAAAUCUGUAAAACAAUUGAACCAAAUGCUAAAACAGUAAACAAGUAGGGGAUGAUUAAGAAAAGAAAGAACCCAAGCUGUAUAAGCACAAAAGAGUGAAGGAAAAAGUAAAAGAAUAAUUUAAUCACUGUGAAUCAUAGAUAAAGUUGAGAGAAAAAAAAAGGUGAGUACCACACAAAGGAAAAAAAUAACAGUAAUGCAAACCGGAAUGUAAAGACAACAAUAGAAGUUGGGUGGGCGUGCACAUGCCGUCCAAAUCGGAAGCAGAUGGUUGCCUUUGUGCAGGACACCAUUCCACUUCUAUGAGUUAACCGCAUUUGCAUUGUAAAGAAACAGCCUCUUUUUUUUAUUAGGUAUAUAGCCUCAAUAAAUAUCCGAACCAAGCAAGCAACAAAACACAAAUACAGAAGAUAGGGAAAAAAUCCGAACAAACAUAAUAAAAGAUCUGAGCCAAGAAAACAAUAAAACACGAACACAUAAGAUAUUAAACACAUUAGAAACUAAUGUAAAUUAAAACAUAAGUAGGUUCAGAGAAAAGUGUGAGAAAUGGACCAAUUUGAAGGACUCCCUUCAUCACUUGAGUAGGUAACAUGAACAGAAAUGCACACGGGGUUGCCUAACAACAGGCCAUCCAACCUUCUGGCAUAGUAUAUGCCCUAAAUAGUCGCCGCCAUCACGCAAAGAAGCUGUAAAUCCGAGAACUGAUAAAAAGCAAGAAUAUACAACACCGAAGGGAUGUAACAGUUCCUCACAAAUAGAAACCAUAUAAAUAUGAACAACCAAGUAAAAGCAGGGGAGAAGAGAAAGAAAAAAAAAAAAACUUACAAAAGCAAGAGGGAAAUGAAAAGUAUACAGUGAAGCAUGAAACAAAAAAACACAUGUCAGCCACCAGCUAAAGUCCGAAUCAAAAAAGAAGGCAAAAUUUUAGGGAAAGAAGGGUGUGUGCACGCCCUACUUAAUUUGACAGCACAACAAAACCACAGCACAACAAAGCCAGGUAGUGAGGAGAACCCGUUCCCACAUAUUAGUGCCAAGUAAAUAAGCAAAUGGCCUAGGCAGUAUAAAAAACAGGUGAGGGGGAGGGAGGGAUGGGGGGUGGGGGGUACGUAGCACAGUAAGCAGGCAACAACACAGGUGGAUAAUAUAGGUGCCUGCAAUUAUGAGAUCAGUUAGCACUAUAAUUUAGGCAGUACUAUAUGUUCUAUUGUAAAUAGUGUAAUUCUACCUUACAAUGCAGGAAUAGGACAGUGCACAACUUUCUGCAAAAAAGUGCUAUUUAUAGACUUUAUCAGAUAAAGCAAGUAGAGAGAAGAAGAGGAAAGGAGGGUAACGUACGGAUGACAUCACUAAAUAUUGGCAUAUCUUCCCCCCCUUUUAUUCCUUUUUUUCUCUCUAGUUAAAACCAGGGACCAAAAAGAGGGGCAUAGAGGCCAAAUAGAUCUAGAUUUAGAGGCCACCACAGUUUUGGAUUUCAUCACAACCACACAUUACAGAAGCAAGCUCUGGCAUAUCUUCCCCCCCCCCCUUUUAUUCCUUUUUUUUCUCUCUGGUUAAAACCAGGGACCAAAAAGAAAGGCAUAGGUGCCAAAUAGAUCUACAUUCAGGGGCCACCACAGACAACCGCACAUCACAGAAGCAAGCACUGGCAUAUCUUCCCCCCUUUUAUUCCUUUUUUUCUCGCUGGUUAAAACCAGGGACCAAAAAGAGAGGCAUAGGGGCCAAAUAGAUCUAGAUUUAGGGACCACCACAGUUUUGGAUUUCAUCACAACCGCACAUCACAGAAGCAAGCCCAUUAACAGUAGAGUAUAUCCGAAGAGAGAUUAGAAAUAUGAAGCAGAGAGAGGGCUCACCUGUACGUAUAGGAUUAGAAUCAUGAGUAGAGAGAGGGCUCACCUGUACGUAUAGGAUUAGAAUCAUGAGUAGAGAGAGGGCUCACCUAUACUCGAUGGUACCGUUUGGAUUGGGUACAAGAGGGGGGAUAAGGGGGUUAUCCCCCCUCUUGUACCCAAACGAAAUUUGGGGAGGUGGAACAACUUGUUCCACGCCCAACCGGACAAGCCUCUGUUCCUAUGUCCGGUUGGGUGGAACAAUUGUUCCACCCCCUUCGUUAUGAGAUGGGAGAGAGAGAGGAUGACGGAGGAGAGAGAGAGAGAUUUUUAUUUAAUUUAAAUUUCUAAAAUUUAUAAUUUGUUUUUUAAAAUUUAAAUAAUUAUAAUUUUAAAUUAUACAGAUCUUUAUGUUUAAAUUUAUAAAUUUGAUAUUUUAAUUUUUUAUUUUUUUAAUUAAUUCUUUUUAAAUUUUAAAUUUAAAUUUGAUAUUUUAUAUGUUUCAAAUUAUUUGAUCUAAAUUUAAAAUUUAAAUUUGAAAGAAGAAAAAGAAUUAGAUUAGGGUUUUUUAUUUCUUUCGCCCAACCNAAGUUAAAAUUUUUAAUUUAAAAUUAUAAGUUUAAAAUUUUAAAUUCAAUUAUAGGGGUAAAAUCAUUAUUUUCUAUCUAUAACUAACAACUAUUCCACCUUAUACUCACAUUUUCAUCCAAACACAAUUUUUCUAGUUCCAGCUUAUACCCAUAUUUUCGUCCAAACAAAAAAAUAUCCUUGUUCCUAUGAAAACCUAUACUUGUACCUAUCCCCGGUAUAACUAGUUCUUGCUUAUACCCGAACCAAACGAAGCCAAUCGGUAUAGGGGCCGAGCCAUCAGCCAGCAGAGGGAAGACCUCACCUGUAAGGCUGGUAGGUAUAGGCGUAGACCCAUGAGAGAUGGUCCAACCCGAUGACAGCUAAGGAGAGAUGGCGAGGGUAGCGCCGAGCCGCCGAACCCGAUGACAGGUAAGGAGAGAUGGCGAGGGUAACGCCGAGCUGCCGAACCCGAUGAUAACUAAGGAGCGUUAGUGAGGGUAACGCCGAGCCGUCGAGGAGAGAAGAGAGUGAAAUCGUUUUGGUGGGGAGAGGGACAGCGCGAGAAGUAGAGAGAGGCGCGAGAGAGCGACGGGGAGAGUGAGAGCUGGAGCGAGAGAGAGCGGCGGGGAGAGAGAGCGUCGGGUAGAGAGAGAAAGGGAGAAAGAGAUAGGGGAGAUAGAGAUGGCCUGAGGGAGAGAGGGAGGAGAGCAUCGGGUAGAGAGAGCGACAGUUAGAGAGAGAUAGGGGGAGACAGAGAUAGGUUGAGGGGGAGAGAGAGAGAGGAGAGGGGGUUUUACAACUGUUUUUUUUUUCCUUCAUUUUUUUUUUGUUCGCAACCCCACCUCUUCAACGGCUGCCAUGUGAAUUUGGCUUCCCUCCACACUCCACGUGGCUCCGUUGUACUGUCAAAUAGAAUAGUUAUAGAAAUUAUAUGACCUCUGCAUAAUUUUAAUCCUCGUUUUUUCCAUCUUUAUCUAUUUUGUACUUUGGAUUAACUGCAUGUCUCGUCCUCAAGAUUAUAAGAUGCGUGACAUUUUACUCCUCAAACUAUAUUUAUUGUAAUUUCUAACUUGAACUUUCAAAUUUAUUAAAAUUAAGUCCUACGAACUAAUGCAAAAUCAAUAUAGAGAGCUAUAAUUAAUAAUAUGAUAAUAAUUUAGAUGUUAUAUUACUUUUAUAUCAACAUGCCUAAAGAAAAUAAGAAAUUUCAGAUUAAAAAUUAUAACAAAUUAAAGUUUGACGACCAAAAUAUUACAUGCCUCAUAGUUGGGAAACCAAACAUGUAAUUUAUUCGCAUACUUUUAAUUCAGUAACCUAAUUUCUAAAUAAAGAAAAAUAGUAUAACUCAAUAUUGAGCCAUCAUCCUAAAUAUGAGGCGUUACAAGGAUUCGGUAAACAUAUGGUGCAAAAAAUAAAUAAAUAAAUAAAUUGACGUGUUGUACAUAGAGGAUAAUUUGCCCUCCCAUAGUAAUUAAAAUUCACACGAUAUAAGGUGGAGCAUUUUUUAAAAAUUUUAAAUCUUUAAUGUCGAAUUCUAAAAUUAGAUGAUCCAAAUAAAAUUUAGGCACAUUUAGAGAGUCGCAAUGCAAUUCAACCUUUAAAUAUCCCAACAUAAUAUCUUUUUUUCUUGACUUACUUUUUCUUAAAAAUAAAUUUAAUUAAAAAUAUAAAGCAAUUUAAUUUUGAACUUGAAAUGAUUGAUAUCAAUUAUCAAUCUUUUUACCCUUGCGCUAGGGUCGGUGAAUCAAGUCAACAGGAUAUUUCUAAUUAAAGCACUCUUCAUCCUCUUCACCGAAGCCGGCCACUUGGUCCGAAGAUGGAAGAGCUUCUCAUCGUCCUCUCCUCUUCACGGAUAUGGCAGAAUUUGUCGGGAUGAAGGUUAGCGAGUGGUUCGCGUUCUACGUUCUAGAUAGGCUGGUCAGCAAGGUCUUCUCCUACUUCUCCGGGCGAUGCGAUCUGCUGAAAGGCGUGGAGGACAUGCUGCGGGACGUGGAGGAUCGGCUUCCGCGCAUCCGAGCGGUGAUCGACGCGGCCGAGGGGAUGCCCGUCAGGGAUCCGGCGCUGGCCAAAUGGAUAGCCGAGCUCAAAGACGCCGCGUACGCGGCCGACGACGUCGUGGACGAGUUCGAGUUCAGAGAGCUGCACGACAGAUUGCACCCGCGGGGCAAGGUGGGUGAGCUAUCAUCCUCGGCUCACAAACUUCUCGCGCAUUUUACCUUCUCGGACGAGGACCUCAUUAAAAGCUUGAAGAAUCUUGUAGAGAAUCUUGAUAAAAUUUAUGCCGACAUAGGCCACAGGGAAUUGAAGCUGGAUCAGUACUGCAAAGAUAAGAAGGAAGCCACCGCGGCCUGCAGGGAGACCAGCUCGUUCAUGCUGGAAGACAAGGUGUUUGGGAGGGACAAAGAGACACAGAUGAUGCUAGAUCUGCUGCUCAGCGCAGGCGAGCCGGCUGAUCGUGGUGGCGCCACUACAUGCAGCAGUGCAGCGGGGAGCAGCAGCGGUCCUGGUCUUGCCGUUCUUCCGAUCGUAGGUAUAGGAGGAGUCGGCAAGACAACUCUUGCGCAGCUUAUCUACAAUGAUCCAAGGGUAGCCCAGCACUUUCAGCUUCGGAGGUGGGUCUACGUCUCUGACAAUUUCGACGUGAAAAGGAUCUCCAAAGAGCUGGUGCAUGGGGGGAUUGCCGAUCCUCGCUUCGUCGAUAUCAGUUUAGAUGAGGCUCUAGUGAAGGUCACGGAUGCCACUAGGAAUGAAAGGUUCUUGUUCGUACUCGAUGACGUGUGGGACGAGAGAGGAAUCAAGUGGAAGGAGCUCCGUAGUGCAUUGAAAUUCGGGUUGAAAGGAAGUGUUGUUUUAGUAACUACUCAAAGCCCGGUUGUGGCAGAUCUUAUGGGGACCGUGGAACCGAUUGAGUUGAAGUGCUUGGAGGACUACGACUAUUGGGAGCUCUUUGAACACUACGCGUUUGGCGAUCAGGAUCAGCUUGACGGGAGCAAGCGGAAAAGGCUGCAAUUAAUUGGUCAAGAAAUAUCGAAAAAGCUACACGGCUUACCGCUUGCAGGAAAGGUGCUCGGAACUCUGCUCCAAUCCGAACAACAAGAGGGGUACUGGAGAUCAAUCUCCGAAAGCGAGUGGUGGAAGCAAGAACUUGCGCUAGAUAGCAUCCUUCCAUCUCUUGGAUUGAGCUAUCAGCACUUGACCACGAACCAGAAACAAUGCUUUGCUUACACUUCUAUAUUCCCGAGGGGUUACGAAUUCGAGAAGGAACAACUGGUCCACAUGUGGAUUGCACAGGGAUUUAUCCAAUUCGACUCCGACCAGAGAACCAGACCGGAGGACUCAGGCAAUCGUAUGUUUGAUGAGUUAGCCAACAGGCACUUCUUUUUUCCUACGAUGCAUAACAAGUUUGUGAUGCAUGAUCUGAUCAGAGACUUGGCCGUGUAUGUUUCGUUGGAUGAAUGUUAUGCGGUCAAUGAGUGGCCGGUAAAGUUUCCAGCGACUGUUCAUCACUUAACUCUUAAUACAGAUAAUCUAGAUGUGCUAAGGGACGUCCCCAAGUUUCAAAGAUUACGAUCUAUCAUAUUUUUUCGAGAAUAUGAUUCUUCAGAACUUGAUGAGAUUCUCGAAGGAAUCUUAAAGAAUCUCAAAAGCCUGCGAGUGCUAGAUUUGUCACACAGCGGUAUACAAAUAAAAAAGUUACCAGAUGCUAUCUGUGACCUAUCACAUCUUCGGUACCUAGAUAUUUCGUGCACUGGUAUCAGGCAAUUUCCAAAACAGUUUUCCAGGCUUUGCCAUCUACAGGUUCUUAACUUGCAGCGCUGUCGCUUUAAGAAGAUGCCUGAAGGAAUGAAUAGACUAAUAAAUAUGCGACAUUUAUACGCAGGAGCUGAAACAAUUGCUCUAAUUGAUGGGAUCGGGAGACUUACCGACCUUCAGGAGUUGGAAGAAUUCCGCAUCACAAGGAAGAGAGGACACCGGAUCGAAGAGUUGAAGGGACUGAGAAACCUCCGGAGGCGACUUGUUAUACAAAAUCUUGAGAGUGUGGAAAGUAGGGAGGAGGCCAUGGCAGCCGACUUAAAGAACAAAGAAUACCUUAAUGCACUAUGCUUGAAUAGGAAGCCUGAUGUAAAAGGCCAGUGUGAUCUGGAGGAGCAAAUGUUUGAAGGCCUAGAACCACAUUACAGUCUUAAAAAUCUUACAAUUCGGCAUUAUGGAGGUGCGACACUUCCAAAUUGGCUGGCAAAGAAGCAGCAUCUCACCAAUCUAGAAUCUGUUUACCUAAGCAACUGUGCUAGGUGCGCGAGUCUGCCACCCCUCGGGCAUCUUCCUUUUCUCAAGGUCCUCCACAUUAGCAUGAUGCCUGCAGUUAAACGAAUCGGAGUUGAAUUCUAUGGGGAUGCUGAUCAAGUCUUUCCAUCACUCGAGGAUCUCAGCUUUACCGACUUGAAGGAAUGGGAAGAAUGGGAAGAGUGGCCUCACACCGAAGGUCGGCAAUUUUUCCCUCGACUCCGUCUAGUCCACAUUUUCACUUGCUGGAAGCUGAGAAAAGUCCCACUUCAUUACUUAAGUUCAGCAGUGAUUGAGCUCAGAAUUCGUGGGUGUGGUGACUUGGGCGGUGCCCUGCCUCGAUGUCUACAGAGCCUAACCUCCCUCAUCAUCCUAGAAUUGAGUAACUACCCACAUAGAACAUCAGUUUGUCUGUCUAACCUAAGGCAUCUAGAGUUGUUGAAACUCGGAUGGUCAGAGUUUAGCCUACUUACCGGGUUUCGGUCCCUCACUAGCCUGAAAGAUUUGCAAAUUGGAGGAUGCCCCAAGGUGAAUGAUUUCAUGCAGACUGAGCUGCCAUAUGAGGAUCCAGAUCUGAGAUCACUCUCUUUUUUCAGCACGGACGAUAUCCCUUUCAACAAUGUGUGGAUCACACUAGGAACUGCCCGCUCCCUCCGUUAUAUUAUCCUUCAGAACUGCGAUCAUCUUGCUUGCUUCAAGGUAGAGCAGGAAGAAUGGUUCCAGAAGCUAAUCUUACUCGAAGAACUAUCAUUCUUGGCGUGUCGAAAUUUGCAAAGCCUUCCUACUUCUCUAGUAACCUUUUCCUCCAUCAAGAAGUUGUCCAUAGGCCUCUGCCCUGAGAUUAAAUCACUGCCAGAGAAUGGCCUACCAGCUUCGCUUAAAGAAUUGCGCAUCUGGGGGUGCCCAUCGCUGAAGGAGCGCUGUGUAAAGGAUCAAGGACUAGACUGGCAACUUAUUGCUCACGUUCCUUUUAUAUUCAUAGAUGGUGAAACCGUACAAAUUCUGUGAGAGAGUAGUUAAGCUAACUAAUUAAUCAGUUUCUUUAUCUGGUACUGAGUUUCAUUACUUUCUUUCUAAUAUUUGUGUUUUUUUGUACAUCUGUUUUCACGAUUCAUAAGUUAUGUAUAUUUCAAUACAUAGUUAUAUUCAUAUAGUUAAAGAUAACAUCAUUGGAAACUCUUUGAAAGAGAUUUUAAGAUUGAGGCCAACUUAAUUAGUUUCUGCAACAGAAUGNUUAUAAUAUAGGAAUUUGAGAACUACUUGAGGAAAAAGGAGUAAAUUAGUCCCAUACUGGAACUACAACUUUGUUUUUAACUUGCUACUCGUAAGAUUGAGAGUAAUAACUUACUUGAAAUUUUUCAUUUGUGUUGAAAUUGAAUGGUUUAUAGUUGUCAAAUUUUUUUGUAAUAUUAAAGUUGAAAGCCAGCUCUAAAUAUGCGGUGUACAGACUAGACUAGAGCCAAAAUCUUGCUCCUGAUCAAGCAUGGGAUCCACCCUAGCUAGCUCGCUACUCCAAUACCCGCACCGCUGCCUCCUUCCUGAUCUGAUCUGAUCAAGCAUCGAUCGAAUUCUGGCCGUGGCCGGAAUGAGGAAGCAUGUCACCACCAUCUCGGCAUCUCCCCACCAGGCCACCACAUCCACAUGCAAAUCGACGGCUCCCAUCCCAUGAUCCCAUCCCAUCCCAUCAUCCUGUCAUACGCAAUUUGGCCGUCUUCCCAUAAUGCUCGACUAAUAAUAAUACUUAACAGAUGAUAGAUACCAUUUUCUUUGUUACUUAAACAUAAAAUCUAUAACACUUAAAAACUCCAUAUCGACCAAAUUCCGUGAAAAAACUUUUUCACAUCAUUUACCAAGUAUUCAAGUGGUCUCAAAAUUUAAAAACUUUCAACUGCAUUUAUAAGAUAUAUUUGAGAUUACUUGAUCACUAACCGAAUGAUAUAAAAUUACAUAAUUUGGUCCCCAUGUUGUUCAAGUUCUAUAGAUUAUAUCUAAUAAGAGUGGUAAAUUCCUCCCUCUGAACCAGAUAACUUGCAAUCGAUCAAGCAAAUACAGAUCGAACAUCGGAAAGCUAAUUUGCCACCUGACGAUGACAGAUCUUAGUAUCCAAUGCGACCAAAACAUGUUCAUGUCACAAAAGCACCAACAAAACAAUCUACACAUUUGUGCCAGUGUGGCUAUCAUUGUAUAUUUUGUAGAAAAAUUGCCCCAGAAUAUUUCCAGGGCAAGGAGUACCGCGCCCAGCAGUUGCUCCCAGAAUAUUUCAAAAUUGCCUCCACAGGGAAUCAUUCAGCAAAAAUACAAGGAACAAAAGAGUUGUAAGCCUAGCAAUUCAACUCCCAACUGAGAUCCAACUAUAGUGCUGCAAAGAGUGAAGACCUCAUAGAUCAUAUUAACAUGAAUAUUCAAAAAUAUCAAUUAUUAGUCACCAAGUAGUUUCAACUGCUCCGGAGAAGGGUAUAUGCGAAUUCCAAGGGGAACAAAGCGAUUCCUUUGCUCUCGAGCAGCUGAUUCGCAACCUGCAUGUUGGACUCCAUCAGUUGGCCCAUCAUUUCUCCAAGCGGCUCUGCAGACAUCUGCGGAUGAAGCAAAUAGUGCCCAUAACCCUGCUCAGCACAUUGAGAUCAACUAAAUGUGAGAUAUUAAAAUGUCCAAAAUUAUUUUUUGAAUAGAUAAUUUACAGACCGAAUCUUGACAGUGUUUUAACUUUCAAUGUCAGAUCAAAGUUACUGGAGUCCAUGAAAAGGGAGAUAUCAAAUUAAAUAGCUGUCUUACUGUAGCUGGUUUGCUUUAUUACAGUACUUCAACACAGAAUAACCCUGCUCAGCAUAUUGAGAUCUAUUGAAUGUGAGAUAUUAAAAUGUCCCAAAAUAUUUUUGAAUAGACAAUUUACAGGCCAAAUCUUGACACUCUUUUAACUUUCAAUGUCGGUUCAUAGUUUACUGGAGUUCAUGAAAAGGGGGAGAACAAAUUAAAUUGCAGGCUUAUUAUAGCUGGUUUGUUUUACUGCAUUAAUAAGCCGGUCUGUUUUACUGCACUCCGACAUGGAAGAAUCAGAAUCUGAGUUUUAGGAAGAAUUAUUCUCCACUUUAAGCCAAAAGCAUGCCGUGAAGCCGGUGAUUAGCAUUUCGCAGGUUCUCUUUGCCAACACAAAGAUAUCUAUGUAAAUAUCGAUAAAACUAUUAAGUAGAGUAUAAGAGAAAAUAAUAGUAACCUUUUGGUUAAAAAGUACAGUACCUGAAAGAUGGUCCCUUUUGAUCCGACUAUGCAACCUUUUAAAGUUUUGAUUUUGGUACCCAGCCUUGCCAAUUUGUUUAAUUUAAGCCAUUUGACAGUUCUUCCAGGACAAAAUUUAGACUAAUCACUUACUUUAAUUAAUUUAUAGUCCCAGGAAUUACAUGAAAGAUAACCAACGCAUCCAAAUUUUGUAUUUACAAGCUCAUGGCUUACCUAUGGUCACACGAAUUAAACAAUGGACUUGUUUAAUUUUAUUGGAUUUAUAUCAAGCCCGAAAAGAUAAACAACGCAUCAAAAUUUGAAGCAGCAAGAGUCAUUAAAUGGCUCAUUCAAAUGAAUUAAAAGGUUAGAUAGCAAAAUCAAAAUUAUUAAAAGUCAAGUAGUCAAAUCAAAAUGGGUGAUAAUUUAGGCAAGUUCCAGACAUUGUUAUCUAAACUUUGGUCCCUUUCUAGGAAAAUCCUGGUGAAAUUUCUUUCAAUGUGUUUUACAUGUGUUUGGGCCGAAAGUUGCUUACUGAUUAAUACUAAUAGCCCGCUUCUGACAGACAAGUGGUAACAUGGUAGCCAAUCAGGCUUCGUAGUCUAGGUACCAUAACAAGCAGCACAUGUUGCACAAAUCACAUCCUGCUAAAUAUUAUUAGAAGAGGUAAGCGUGCAAAUACAUGCAAUUGUUUUGCUAGUGGAAAAAAGUUUUCCUACAAGGUUUGAAUAUUCAUCCUAUAUUCUAAUUGGCUCUUAUGAACAAUCGCCCUGAACGAAUCCGAGACCAGAACUUUUUUUUUGGGUUAAAUAAAUUAAAAGAGAACUCAGCUUGAGCAUGCAUGCCUAAAUUGCCGAAACUAGGACAUAGAGACCAAAUUUGACUAAUCGACUAAUCAUUUGUACUAUUUCAUUCAUCAUAUCUUGCUAUAUUUAAUAAAGUUGAUCAUAUACUCCAUUUAAAGUAGCAUAAACAAUAAUAUUUCACAUACCAGCUAUUGUAAAAUCAAGUUUUUUAUGAUCAUUACAACUCUAUAUUUUUCAUAUGGUUUCUCUUAGAAAAAUUUAGAGACUUCUCAACCAAGGGUGAAAAUCUUGAAGCCAAUAAAACUUCUGUAACCAAAAAUUUAAGAGCACAUUUCAAACUCUAAACUUAAACUGACAUUUCGAAGCAAACAAUCAGCUUAUACAGAAAGAGCUUGUGACACAAAUUCAAAAAAAGAGAGAACUUCUAAAUCAAGUGAAAACUCCCAAUUCUGGAGGUGUAUUAUAGGUGCUAACAAAAUCUAUAAAGUAGGCACUAGGAAUUCGUUAAGGAAUGCCAGAGGGACUUUAAGCAUGACAGUUGGUUGGGAGAUGUAGGGGAAAUACGUCCACAUAAGGAGUGAAUAUAAGAGUUUUUGGCAACCUCUAGACUUUUAUAAUUAUUUUCCCCAAUGAAGGAUUCCUAAUAAUAUAGGGGUUUGAUUUUUUUAUUAUACGAAUUCCUAUCAGGGAUUUCCCUAAUCAAGGAUUCCCAAAACAAUGGAAUUUGAUUUCGGAUAUGAAACAUAACUCGGUUUACAUAAAGAGAUGAAUAUAGACUUUUGGCGACCUCUAGACUGUUCUUAUUAUUUUCCCCAGCAAAGGAUUCCUAAUAAUAUGGGGGUUUGAUUCUUUCUUAUACAAAUUCCUAUCAAGGAUUCCUCAAUCAAGGAUUCCUAAUAUAAUGGAAUUUGAUUUCAGAUACAAAUAUAACUGAGUGUUAUAUAAAGGAGACCCUAGAGUAUAUCAAGAUAUAUUCUCUGCCACAUAGAAACCUUAGAUGCCACAUCCUAUUCUCUCUUGAAACACCAUCCUAGGCAUCUAAGAUUUAGUAUGCAUAUUUCAGCACUCAAGUAGACCUUUCCUUAAUCACAGGCACAAAAGAUAUCAAAAGUGUGACACCCCCAGAAUAUGGAAUAAUCCUAUAUAUGAGGUAUAGCAGGACCAAACCUCUUAACCCAGUUAUAGCAUUUUGGGCAAUAGCUAGGCCCAAGAGGUUAAGAGGGUUGAGCGAGCCUAGGGGUAGAGUAGUUUUAGGAUAGUUGACCCCCUUGGGAAGCGGGACGUCACAGUUGAUAUCAGAGGCAAUCACAAGCCGAAAGUUUGGGAUGAGUUUUAGUUGAGCCAAGAUCAUACAGCGGGCAAGAGCGCGGCACCCCGGCUGAAGCUUAUUAGGGGUGAAGUGCGACUUCCCACAAGGUCAGCUAAGGCUAGCGAGACGAGUCUCACAUCACCUGGUACUUGUAAAUGCGCUUAAGCCUAAAGAGAAUGUCAGUGAUGUGACACCCCCAGGAUUUGGAAUAGUCCUAUAUAUGAAGUAUAUUAGAGCGAAAUAUCUUAACUUGACUAUGGCAUUUUAGGCCGUGGUUAGGUCCAAGAGGUUAAGAGAGUUGGGCGAGUCUAGAGCUAGAGAAAUUCUAGGAUGACCCCUCUGGGAAGCGGGGCGUCACAAAAAGGGUCAUGAAACAAGCUUCUAUCAAUUCAGGUUUGUGGGUACAAAAAUUUAGGAGCAACUUGAUUCCUCAGAAAAGUAUAAAAAAAAGUUUUUCAAGAAAAAUGUUUUCAGUAGAAAACUUCUUUUUCAGUUUUUGCUCGUUUGGUUCCAAGGAAUACUAGCUUUUUUGGAAAGCUUUUUCCAAAUUACAUGGAAAACUUGUGUUCUCAUUUCAUGGAAAACUUUUUUCUCGAAAUUUUUUUUUCCAUACUUUUUCGAUAUACCAAACAGCCCCUUACCUUCUUCCACAGGUGAGAGCACCCAAACCACUAAAUUUCGAACCUGAAUGAUUUGGUGGGUGAUAAAGUUACAUUUGUGGAGACUCACGAUGAAUGCAAGGAUAGAAGAUAAGAGUUGAGAGGGAACUUUAAAGUGCUGAAGAUGAUGUUAAUUGUUAAAGGAAGAACUAAAUCAAGGCAUUGACAAAAAGGAGUAGCGAAUAGGUAGUAAGAAAUAUACCACUAAGACAGUAUAAGUAUAUCUUUAACGGAUGUGAAAGACAUGCUGUGGCCAAAUUCUUAUGGAAAGUGUUUGCGCAGCUAAUGAUUAAUGUUUUUUUAUGGCUUUCCAAUCAAAACAGAAUUUUACUGAAAGGGAAACGUAUCAAGACAGAACUAAGAAGGAAUGGAGAAGAUGCAUACUUCAAUGUGUAGCAAUGACAGAAAGGCAAUAGAUCACGUAUUACUAUCAUAGAAUACAAAAAAGUUUGAAAAACAAAAUUAUAGAAGUCGGGGCUCAGUGCGAUAACUUUUCCUUGCUCCUACAAGGAGCAAUCGAAUGAACAAAAAAAAAGAUUAUGAAUCAUAUGAGCAAAGCAUGGGAAAUUUAUCAUGAUGAUGAUUAGUUGAAAGAUCAUGCAAUAAAUCAUAUUAUAGUUCAAAAUAUGUCCUGCAUCAUGGAUAGUUUAGUGGAAGCCAUCAACAGAAAUUUUAACAGAUUAUCUAACUCAUAUAGAGAUAACAAAAAACUACACCUAUGACCACUCAAGUAUGACCCUGCCUACUAAUGAAGAUUUCAAUAUAUAGGUCAAGUAAAAGAGGACACUUUGAGGAGCAGAUCAAGUUUCUCCGACCAGCUCUUUUCAUUGCUAUUAUUCACUUUUUGGUGGUUAUGUCUUUGUGAAAAUGAUUAUAAUAGGUUGAAAGGUAUUCAAGCUUAGUCUUUUGGUUGGAUUUAUAUGAGAAGUGUAGAUACAGCGAUGGCAUAAUUUUAUUUUCUUGCCCUUGUUGUUGGACAUUAGUUUGGUUGGGUAGUGAUGAACUGUGUAAGGGUGAGGCGUCUAACCACCCCCCACACCCCCACCCCCGAAAACACCUCUGCGAGAAUAACUCUAGUGCUCUCCAAGGCAUAUGCUGGGUAAGAUUCUAAAUUUCUAACUUCCGUGACAAAAUUAACUAGGCUUAGUUGUUUAAGUACUUAACAUUCAGUUCUUUCUAGAGUUGUCUUCAUGAAUUUAUUCAGCAUACUUGACAUUCAGUUCUUUCUAUAGCUGUCUAUUUGAAUUUAUUUAACAUAUUAAAAAACUGCUAAUUUUGUAUAAUGUAACAAAACACCAUCCCUUGCCACUUUCAUGGCAUGGCACCUUCUGUAAAGCCAUAAGCACAGCAAAUGACAUCGACCUGUAUAGAAAGAGUCCUAAACAACAAGAAAGCCUUACACCUAUUAUUCAAGGUUCUUCAUGUAAUGUCUUAUCCAGCUUUAUCUAGUAAUGCCCAUCAAAUCUGAGGAAAAAUCUGAGGAAUGCAUUGAAAUUUAGAAAAGCACUCAUUCACUAAUCAUAAUAAAAGGUGAUUUGCAACCUUACUCGAGAUUAAUCAAAAUUCCAUGAUUCUACAAUAAAAAUGAUAGGGCCAGCCUAUUCAAUAAGUUAUCACGAGUAGAAAAUUUUGAAGAAAGCAUUGACAACAUUUUUUUUAAUUUAAUCAACUAAAAAAGAGGUACGAAAAAGCAAGUGAUACCUCAACAUGAACAAAGCGAUGAUCAGUCUCUUCACCAUCUAAGCGGCUCUCACUCAAUACCUGCCAUUCAAGUGAUUAUAACAAGAUUUACUAAGCACAAAAAUGCCUUGGACACUUAAGGACAGCAGAAUCACGUACCUUCAGCUGUAGUUUCAAAAACUUGACGUAGUCAAUUAAAUCAUCAAAGGCAGAUUCUUUGUUCCUCUAAAUAGAUGUGUUUGAAAAUAAAAGAAAUGAAGAUUAGACUUUGCUAAUGAAUUUUCACAAGAAUCUAAAUUUCUUGGCAAUAAACAAAACAUGGAAAGUAAUUCAUAGAAUGAUGCAGAAUAAGCUUGAACCUAUGUUGAUCGAAUUAAACCGAUUUAAUUUAUCGUUUUUUAAAUUAGAUUAGAUUAGUUGAGUAUAUCUUUUCGUUAGUUAAAUGAGGAUUUUUAGCUAUCCUCUUAUUUGCUUUUAUCUGUUUUUAAAUUUUUAUUUUUUCGUUAAUCUCUAGAUAAAGUUGUUUUAGUUUGGUCAUUUAGGAUAAGAUUAAAUUCUAAGUUGUUUAUGUAUAGAUAAGGUUAAGAAUAGUAUAAAUAAGGCAUAAGGCUUCUUUGUAUGGGGAUGAAUAUGAAUUUAUGAAUUUAUGAAUUUAUAAUGAAGACAAAUGCUUUGGCAAUGAUGUCUUUUUUUUCCUUCGCAAAUGCGUCGCCCUAGAGUGAGUCCAGAUUAUUAUCUUUUCUAUUUUUUGAAUUUUUCUAUUUGCUUUAAUUUUCUUUUUUUUAAUUACGAAAAUUUCUAAAAAAGUAUUUCAAAAACAUUCAAAUUUUCAAAAAGCUUUCAAAAUCAUAAAUUAUAUUUUGGAGCCCUCUAAAACCGUAAGACCCUAUAUGUUGUCCUACAUCAGAUCUGGAAUCAAAGCUUAGGCUAUCUGACGGUUCUAUUUUGUCAAAGUUUUGGGCUUGUGAAUGAAAACAAGGUGAAAAUUGUAAAAAAUAAAGGUGAGAAAAAGAAUUAUAAAAAAGAGUGGAGUGAAAAAAAAAAAAAGUUGAAAGAAAAGUGAGUGGAGAAAAAGAAAUGGAGAGUGUGUAAAACAAAAAAAAAGAAAAAAAACAUUAUGGAUGCAAAAGAAUGUUUUCAAAAUGUUUUUCAAAAGUAUAGUGGAAGAAAAGGAAUUCAUAUUGAGUCUUUAAAAGAAAUAUGCGAGAAGACAAGAGUUGAGUUUGAUGAAUGGUUGUACAAUCAGAGAUCAUAUUUUGAGAGAAAAAAAAAAUGAUAUUCGAAUGAAAAUACUAGAUGACUUGAGAUGGUGGUAUAGACAAAGGCAAAUAUUUCAUCUUGAUUUUAACAGAAUAAUUUUUGAGGAAGAAGAAAAAAGGUUAAAAGAUAUUGAAGAUGGUGCUCAAAUUGCUGAAGAUGAUUUUCAAUGUAUGGGUAAGGUCAGAUAUGAGUGUCAAUUGAACCAACUAAAAGUUCAUCUGGAGAACCUAAUUGCUUAACAGAGUAUGCUAGCUAUAGCACAAUUGGGAGUUGACAAUUCUGAUUCAAUUCCAUCUACACUAUCUGAUUGCAAAGAAGUUCUAGAUUUGAUCGAGUUAGAAUUUGAACAUCCGCAAAUAAAUCAUGAAGCCAAUGUCGAUCGGCAUGUUGAAAAGAUAAGAUUGUCGAUCGAGUUACCUUUAUUGCCCCAACAAUAUGAGUCCACUAUACUAGAGCUUCAGAUUGCAUCGAAAGCAUCUUUCUUAUUGGUAUCUGUUACGAUAUAUUUUAUCUAUAUUAGGAUGUUACGAUAUAUUAGGAUAUUGUGUAUUAUUAUCUUAUAUAGAUUAGUAUCAUUGCUCUAUAGAGUAGGAUUAUAUAGUAUGUAAUCCUAGUUAUACUCUUACUAUAAUAGUCAUUGUUACUACAGUAAGACAAUCUCUUGUACUAUAUAUAUAUUCAUUAAUACAACUCAAGAGGGUAUGCACUUUAGCCCUUCUUUCAUGGUAUCAGAGCAGGAAAUCCUGAGUUCGAGUCACGCCAGGCUCCUAGCAUAUUAAUUUCUUUCCAUUUAAUUUAAGCCCACGUCAUGGGCCAGGCCAACUAAAAAAGUCUCGAACCCAGACGUGAGGGGGAGUGUUAAAUAUAAAAAUAUUUAAACACCGUUCUCCAACAGCUUAAGCUUUUAGAGUACAAUGGUUGUUUCACAUGGUAUCAGAGCAGGAGGUCCUGAGUUCGAGUCACGCCAGGCUCCUAGCAUAUUAAUUUCCUCCCAUUUAAUUCAAGCCCACGUCAUGGGCCGACUAAAAAAGUCUCCAGCCCAUACGUGAGGGGGAGUGUUAAAUAUAAAAAUGUUUAAACACCGUUCUCUAACAGCUUAAGCUUUUAGAGUACAACGGUUGUUUCACAUGGUAUCAGAGCGGGAACCCUAAUGUGGGGAUAUCGAUCCAUAGCCACCAUCCACCAUAAAUGUAACAUACCAGAUUUUGGUAUAAAAAUAAAAAUAAAUAAAAAUAGUGUGAGAAGCUAUUUUUAUUGGAUUUAGAGAAGUAAAACAUAAGUCAGAAAUGACUUGUGCUNGAGUAUCGUGCUGUAGCCUACACACUUGCUGAGACAGUCUGGAUUCGUCGUCUCCUUCGUGACCUUCGUGUUUUCUUAUGGCGCUCUAUCAGUAUUUAUUGCGAUAAUCUCAGCACCACCUACCUUGCGGCCAAUCCUGUUCUCCAUGCUCGCACGAAGCACAUUAAACUUGAUCAUCAAUUUUUGCGGGAAAAAGUUCAAUUUGGUGAUUUGGCCUUAAUUCAUAUCCCUUCUGACAAGGAACUUGCCGACAUUUUCACCAAGCCCCUGUUAUCCUCUCGGUUUUCGAUAUUGCGGCUCAAUCUUCGCAUCGGACCACCGGAUGCUUAGCUUGCGGGGGGAUGUUACGAUAUAUUUUAUCUAUAUUAGGAUGUUACGAUAUAUUAGGAUAUUGUGUAUUAUUACCUUAUAUAGAGUAGUAUCAUUGCCUUCUAUAGAGUAGGAUUAUAUGGUAUGUAAUCCUAGUUAUACUCUUACUAUAGUAGUCAUUGUUACUACAGUAAGACAAUCUCUUGUACUAUAUAUAUUCAUUAAUACAACUCAAGAGGGUAUGCACUUUAGCCCUUCUUUCAGUAUCAAACCUUACGAAAUCUCAUGAACUUAUCAGUUGUUCUUCCUACUUCAAUACCAAAUUGGAAACUCAAAUAAUACAAGUAGUUCGACAGGCAGGCAUUGGGCUACAUAUGAUACAAGUGGUUCGACAUGCAGGCGUUGGGCUGCAUCACUGUAUUCUGCACGCUUGGUUGUUUCCUAUCUCCUUACAAAUCCAACUGAUCUCAAGUACGAGAUCCUGCGCAACGAAAGCGAAUGAUGCAGAACAAGCCUGAACCUCUGUUGAUCGAAUUAAACCGAUUUAGUUCAUCGUUUUAUAAAUUAGAUUAGAUUAGUUGAGAAUAUCUUUUCGUUAGUCAAAUGAGAAUUUUUUUGUUAAUCUCUAAAUAAAGUUGUUUUAGUUGGUUAUUUAGAAUACGAUUAAAUUCUAAGUUGGUUAUCUAUAGAUAAGGUUAAGAAUAGUAUAAAUAAGACAUAAAGCUUCUUUGUACGGGGAUGAAUAUGAAUUUAUGAAUUUAUAAUGAAGACAAAUACUUUGGCAAUGAUAUCUUUUUUUUCCUUCACGAAUGUAUCGCCCUGGAGUGAGUUCAAUCCCAAAGUGAGUUCGGUUCAGGAGUGAGUCCUCAUUAUCUUUUCUAUUUUUUUCUAUUUUUUUGAAUUUUUCUAUUUUCUUCAAUUUUCAUUUUUUUAAUUACGAAAAUUUCUAAAAAAGUAUUUCAAAAACUUUCAAAUUUGCAAAACGCUUUCAAAAUCAUAAAUUAUAUUUUGGAGCCCUCUAAAAACAUAGGACUCUAUAUUCUGUCCUACAUCACAUGACCUUUAGGUGAUCAUAUUGUGUUGAAAACGAAAGGACAAGAAUUUAUUACAGGAUAGGCUCUUAACACUAUAAAUACUUGGCUCUUGAUACUUUAAGUGCAGGUUUGAUGAAUAAAAAUUUCUACUCUUGUUCUUUGUCCUCGCCAUGGUGUUCUUCUUCCUAGUGUGAUCAUCGAUGCUACUUCCUCGUGCCGAAAUCGUCUUCUUCCUCAACUUGAUCGUUGUCAAUUCUUCCUUGUAGUAAGAUCGGCUUCUGCUUCUACAUGGUCUUCUUCCGCAAUUUGAUAGUUGUCGCUUCUUCCUCGUGGCAAGAUCAGCUUUUGCUUCUAGCACUCCUCUUCUUCCGGAUCCCUACCUCCUCACAUCUUCCCGUUACUUCUACCCAUGGUGUAUGACCCUCCUCGUCGAUCAUGGAUCCCUCGCAAUAGUGUGAUCGGUGCAUUUCUUGUAUCUUAUCUUCUCCUUCAUCUCCCGAUAGCCUAUUAUCCCCCUUUCAAUCUAGCCUUCCACAUUACCAACUACUUUUAUCAAAACAACUAAAUCUAAAAGCUUUCAGUCCGAUAAAACUAAAUUUACCUCUUUGGAACUAUUAUAUGUAUUUUCAAUUGGGUGUUUUUAUCUUAUAUAUUGAAGGUUUAUCACCAUCUUAGUAUUGCUCUGAUUCAAUUUUAAUUUUUCGUUUUGCUGAAAUUUUUUGCUUCCUUACUUUAAUUUUAGUAAAGUUCGACGGAAUCGAUAAAUUGAACCUAGUUUAUCUCAAGGAAUACCUUUAAACAAAAAAAAAGUUGAAAAUUCAUAUUUAGCAAUACCUCGGUUUGCAUCAUUUUUUUCUUUGAUUUAUCCAAUUUCGUGAAGCAUUUUCAUUUUCUAUUCAAUUCAAACUAUGCCUACACUAUCCUCGAUCCAGGCAUUUAACCCUUUAUGCAGAUGUGUCGGUUGUCAAGAGAAAAUGAAGAAAAGCAUUAAUCAACAAUGUAUCUUACAAGAAGCAAAAUCUAAAUCUGCAACAGCGAUUUUAUAGGCAUUACAUGGAUUCACCAUAAAGAUUUGACUUUGCAUUAAUGACGCAUUUGGUUCACACUAUCCUGCCAUGAUGACUGGGAAUCCUAUAGGAAUAUUUUCAAAUUACUGCAAUUGGUUCAUCCCACAUGUAAUCCUCUAAGUAAUGUAGGAUUACUAGCAGCGCAGGAUUUCCCUUUAAUAUUAUCGAUGAGAAGGGUGGGUAUCUUGCAUCACUAAUUGCAGGUACUCCUGCAACUUAUGAAAAUUUUCAAAAUUUCCUCUCCCCACCCCCAAUUGCCUCAAUUUUAAAUUUAAAAUAGAUUCAAAAUUUAAUUUCUCAUUAGAAUAUAGAUAAAAAAUAUGAACUCAAACUGAAAUAUAAAUUCAAAAUCUGAACUUGAAUUUAAAAUUUCAAUCAUUCAAAAAUUUGAAUUUGAAUCUGAAAUUUGAAUUCAAAAACUGAAUUUGAAUAUUGAUUCUGAAUCCAAAAUCAAAUAUGAAUAUGAAAUUCAAAUUCAAAAUCAAUUUUUGAAUUUGAACUUGAAUUACAAAUAUGAAUUUGAAUUGAAAUUCAAUUUGAAUAUCUAAAUAUGAAAUUGGAAUUCAAAAUCUGAAUUUGAAUUUGAAGUUUGAAUUCAAUUUUUAAAUUUGAAUUCAAAAUCUAAAUUUUAAUUUGUAAUUCGAAUUCAAAAUCAAAAUUUGAAUUUAAAAUUUUAACCUAUGUUUAAAUUUAAAACUUAAAUCUGAAUUUAAAUUUGAACUUGAAUUCAAGAUUUAUUCAAAUUUCAAUGAAUAUGAGUGCAUGGGUAUUUUUGGAAUAGUGCUAAAAUCUGUAAGACAAACCAAACACAGCAAUCUUACAUGUACAGUAAUUUGCCAUCACACUACAGUACUAAAUCAAUCUCAGUAAUGCAGCAUUAAUAGUAAUCUAAUUCACAAGAAUCAGAUUGCAAGUUAUGUUGAAAUAACUAGAAAUGCUUCAUAGUGCGAACCAAACACACCCUAAGAACUUAUAAACUUAUAAUUUGAGAACCUUGAAGCCCUCUCCGCAUUUCACAGAGAGUGGGGCCCGCCCACUCUUCUUGGACAAGUGUAGUGUGAAGCGAUCUGUAAUUGGUCACUACUGCAGAAUCGGCUCCAAUGUAAAGGUAAUGAGAGAAAUUUUUACCUUUGUAUUAUUUUUCUUAUGUCAAGCCUUCAUCACCUGCUUUGUCUUUCAGUAUGGUUAAUCUAAUGUUAGCCAUUAAUAGCUAUUUGUAUCAGAUUAUGAAUAGAAUUCGGAAAUUGGCAUACUGAUGUGAUAGUAAAGGUACUAUUACGUUGUCUAUUCCUUUCAGUGUUGCAGAUUGUGAAUUCUGUUGUGAUGGAUCAUGCGACUAUUGAAGAUGGAUGUCAGCUAUAUAUGCAGUAAUGUGCAGCUUCAAAAGUGCACAGUUUUGAAAGAUUGUCAGGUGAUUACUUUUUGUCCUGUGCUCCUUUCUUUUGGCUUUUUUUUUCUCCUUUUGGCAUUCUCUUCACUGCACUAUUAUAAAGGGUGGUUAAACUUGCACAUUGCUCCUCCAAGCUUUCUGCUAUAUUGUUGAAAUUGUUCAUAUAUAUGCCUAUGUGGUAGCAUAAAUAUUUGAUUAAGAAACCUCAGUGUAACAAACUUUGAUAGACUAUAUUUAACUUGGAAUGUGGCACUAACAGUUGGUCGGAAUAAAACAUGUUUGAGCUUAAGCAAAUGUCCGGUCUAAAGAUAGGUAUGCUUCUUAAGAACGAGUAGAUCCACUUGAGUAUAUCUUUGACAACUUGAGAAACCAUGUUAUCUUCUCCAACUUCAACAAACUGGGAAUGCUAAUACCAAAUCCUGCACAAUUAAGUUCUCAUCUUAAAGCAUUCUCACGACAUCUUGGUUUCUAUAUUCUCGACAAUUCAAAAUGAUGUGUUAUUGAUUUCAUCAACAAUGUCAGUAUUCUUAGUCAUGCAUGCUGGCAUGCUUAGCUUAUUUCUUUUGGUUCGUAAUCUAUUUACUCAUCGCCUUUCCAGGUUGGAGCAGGCUAUGUUGUUACUACUGGGAGCGAGCACAAAUCAGAGGCUCUCUCUAAAAGGUAGAAUAAACCAAGUUUUGUCAUUCUUGCUUUUAUAAAAUUGAGAAUAACCAAGUUUUCUAAGUUUUACUUCGUCAUAUAUAGAUCUUUAAAUUUAUCUACGUGCUAUAUAAAGUUUAUUUAAUUUUUUUAAUUGCUCAAAAAAAAUCAAAUUGUUCAGUUCCAUAUAGUUAGGUUCUUUGCGAUUAUCAUCGGUAGGUUUUAAAUUUUUCAUACCCCUUUAGUUUAAAUAAGAUUGAAAUCAGGAUAAUAAAUGGCCUGAUAUAAAGAACAUAUUGCAUUUUUUUGUCACAUGUUGCAUAUUUGUGUGUUUCCUUGCUUUAGUGCAUACAGUGUUUGUUUGAUGAUAACAGUGUUACGGCUGGCCCAAUUACCAAAUAUAAAGAUGACUUGAUGAUUUGAUAUUUUUGAAUCAAUAUUUGAGAUAAAGUUGUAAACAAAUAUUUCAGAAUUAUUUUAUAUCAAAUAAAUAUAUUCGUUAAUUCUAUUAAAAGUAUAACAAACAAUUUAUAAUAAUAAACUAUAAUAAUGCCUAUCCGCCGCAUCGUGUGGGGCUCUAAACUAGUUAAACAUUAUGCUCAAGAAUAAUAAUAAUAAUCUACUCCAAAGAGUAGAUAGGAAUGGAAUCUUUGCUUAAGUGAUUAGCUCCUUUCUAGCUUUCUGCAGUUUUCGUAGGACCUAUCUCCCAGCGAUUGGUGAAAAUCACUUGAUGAUAUAGUUUCCAACUAUUAGAUACUACUCCCUUUGCUCCACGGAGUGAGAAUAGCCAGUGAUUUAAAAAGCGUGCCUCAGGCGCAUGCCUAGCCCCUAGGCGGGCGACCUCGCCAAGGCGCACGCCUCAUGCGCCCAGGCGCACGCCUACCCUGAGGCGCAAGGCGCGCCCAAAGCAAAAAGGUUGCCUGAUGGGUUUGGACUUUGGAUCCAACUCAUCCAACAAACCCGUUAAGUGUAAAAAAGAAAAAAAAAACCAUGAGAAGCCCUAAAAAUUGAGCAGACUCCUGAGUUUUUCGCUCGAGCAAGCAUCACGCCAUCAUCUCUCUUUCUCCUUCUCGCUGGCCACUCGAGCAAGUAUCAUGCCAUCAUCUCUCUCCUUCUCGCUAGCUCUUCACGGCUCCACAGCCUCCUUUCGAGCAAGAAUCUCUAUUUUUCUCGCUGGCUCUCCACGGUUCUAGUGCUCCGCUUGACGGCUCGAGCAUGGAUCACCUCUCUCUCUCUUUCUCGUUCACUCUCCGAGGUUCCGCCAUCAUGCUGCAGGUGCAAUCCUCUCCCUCUCUCACACUUUUUAAUUUCUCUUCCUCUCGCAUGUUACCUCUCACGCUUUUUUUUCUUGUAAACAGAGAGCUCUUUCGCUGUUCUCUCUCUUUUUUUUUGUAAACAGUAAAUACACUCUCUUUCUCUGUUCUCUUUUUUUUUCCUUUUUUUAAAAAAGUAAAUAGUGUGUGUUUUCUCCAUUUUUUUGUAAAUAGUAAACACUCUUUUCUAUUUUUUCUUUUUUGUAAACAGUAAAGUUUUCUCCAUGUUUUCUCUACUUUUUUCUUUUUUUUUUGUAAACAGUAAACACUAUUUUCUCUAUUUUUCCUUUUUUGGGUGAACAGUAAACACUUUUAUUUUUUGGUAAACAAUAAACACUUGCAACACCUCUCUCCGCUUAGUUUUUUUUUAACAGCAUUUUUGUCUGAUAAGUGAAUAAGUGAUUAAAAAAUAAAUAAUAUAAGACCAUAUGUCACCGUUUCAACUUGGAAAAAGACUAGUAAAACUUGCAUUUUUGCUGAAUUAGAAAUUUUGCUGAAACAUUGCUUAGUUUUUAGAUUUCUUUUCCAUAUUUUUGGAGUUCUAACUUGCUGUUGAAUUUCUUGAAUGGAUUCGGAAGCAUCCAAAAGAGGCCCUCCAUAUUUGUUUAUUUCAAGUGUGCGCCCCACCUCUCUCAGGCGCACGCCUACGCCUUGCGCCUUGCGCCUAGCAGCCUUUUGCGCCUUGGCUUUUUAAAACACUGAGAAUAGCACUACUCACACUCAAUUAUGACCUACUUCAUAAACAUCAGGCAACAAGGAUUCGUGUAUGUAGGGUGUUAAAAAUUAAGAUGUAAAAUAUUUAAGAACAAUGUCCAAUAUCCAAUGCAAAUCUAACAAAAGUACUAGAUGUAUAACCCCAAAACAUAUUUUAAUUACAUGCAAUAACAAAAAUCAAUAAAGAAAUGCACAGCCACACUUGGCAAUGUUUGAUGGGAUGCUUUUGUUUGCAUUGAUAGUAUAUAGGAUUGUGCUUUGCUUCAGCACACAAAACAAUGACAGUGCAAAACCGACAUAGGAAACAUUUGAGAUGUAAAGGAGAACUAACCAUAAAAUUAUAUUCUACGAUGAGGCUUCGCAACCAUCUACGAAUGAAAGAUUCGGUGGCAUGUAUGUACCUUCUUUGAAUAUGGUAGGCAAUUUUGAAGUGCUUUUAUUCCUUCUGAUAUCCUGGCUCUUCGAAGCUAUGAUUAGCAAAAUAACAAAUGUAAGCACAUAUUUGAUAGAUAAAUUCGGGUUCCAAAAAACCUAUAUUAUAAUGAAAUUGGCCUGUGCAUGACACAGGAGUUUAAUAAAGCUAUUCAUCACUAUCAAUUGUCAACAUCCCUAAGAGAGAGAUUGAAAGGACAAAUAGAGUCAAGUUAAAAUAGUUUCACAACUCUGCACCACUUUCUUCAAUAGAUAAUUCAAUGUUAACCAGAUGGAUACUCUGGAAUACAUUUUGGGGCUUUUGGCACGCUUCUCUAUAAAAUUAUCCACUUCAUACAUGCCCCAAACCAUUGUAAACUCUCAAUUUUCAUAUACAGUCCUCCAAAUGCAGAUUCUGUUAAAAAAAAAAAAGAAAAAAAGAACACCCUCCUUACCUUGGGAAGUAGUCCUAUUCAAGGGCCAAGUUGGUUUCGUUUUAGAAAACUACUUCUAAAGAGGGACACUAAUGCUAGCACAAGAUCUAUAUGUAAGAAAUUAUGGUGUUGAAGAGCAGAUCUAAAAUUUUCAGGUAAUAAAUGUAGAUAGAUGAUUUGGCAGGGGUAUACAAGUUAAUAUCUCUACAUGGUUUGUACAUAGAUCCUUACCUUAUCAUUUGCUACACUCUUGUUUUUGCUUUUGCUUGAUCGAACUAUCUCCUUACAAUCAGCCUCCGCUAGAUUGAAGUAAUGCUCAUUCGAUUUUGGCUUCAUCAGUGCAUAACUCUGUCAGGUAUAAGCAGUAUUUGGAUUAGAAUGCAGCAAGUUGGUACCUAGAUAUUCCCCCGUGUAGAUGAUCUAAACAACUGAAAAUUGUUUCGGCAUGUACAACAAUUUACACAAAAGAUAGACAGAACAAGGAAAAGAUUACCUGAUUGAAAUUUUGAUUUUCACCAUUACUGGACAUUCUGCCUGUUUGUUCUUCUGCAUCUAGCAUCGAAUGUGUGAUCUGCUAGAAAAACAAAGCAAUAUAUAUUGAAUUAUGAGAACAUAUUUUGACCCAAAAGAUGAAAUUCUAUAGUACAAAAUCCUUUUGGCAGUAAUACCAUAGGAAGAUUGUAAACCUCAAUAUGUGUUCUGCAUUCCACUGAAUCUACAGCCUUUGAAGAACCACUUGCAGUGCUUGUAAUCCUACUACUGAUUAUAGGACCAAGAGAUUUAACUCCUGAAGCACCAAUGUCCGCAAGUGAUGAGUUUCCAGAGACUUUUCUUAAAGGAUUUGAUGAGAACUUUGAAUCGUCAAAAUGACCAUCUUUUAGUUCAAAGAACCCUCUUACGUCAUGCAAUCUAUUGAUUGCUUGGGGAUUUGCAUGAAGUAUUCUUGUACUGCUUGAAAAAGGACCAGGGAAAAGCAUAUCGGCAUCAUUACCACAUACAUUUAGAAAACUCUUCUGACAAGCCCAAAUAUUUUGAAGAGUAGGCAUGUCAUUUCUUGGGGCAGUUAUAAGAUUCACCGGUACAUCUCUGUAUGGUUCCCGCACCGGCUCUACACUGCUCGUUUCAAGUCUCUUCGGCAUAUCAGAUUCAGCUUUACUACUACGUCUUGUUCCACCAAAAGCAUGCAUCUGACAAUUCUUGGAACUAGUAUGAGGGAGCAUUUUCAUGAGCUAGCACAAAUUACCAAUUGGUAAUGAACUUAAAGGGCCCUUUUGGUUCACGGUUUGUAAUAUUCUAGUAAUCCUCCAUAUUUUCUAUUGAAAAUAUUCAAAUCAUUACCAUAUAACUCAAGUUAGGUAGUUGUAAAAGGUGUUAGUGAAGUAGUCGAAUGUUGAUUUUUAGGUGAUAGGAAUAAUAGAUUAUCAUGGGUUAGGAGAUAUUCUCAUUUCCAUGCUUGAUGGGAAUCACUAGUAGUUUGUUAAUAAGAAUAUACUAGUUUGUUAGCAACAUCCCAAUCCAUGUGGCUGGCUUAGUAAGAAACUUGCCAUUCCAAAUAUAAAAUAUAUAACAAUCCCAGAAUAUUACAAACCUUGAACCAAACAGCCCCUAAGUGUCAUAUUAAGUGAUCAUGCAUAGUAUCAUGCUUGCAAUAGAGAUAUUUAUAUUGCGUAAUUUUGGGAUAACAAACAAAUAGCAGUGAGCAAAUUCGGUAACUGCAAUGCAAUGAAAGCAACAAAUUAAUAGCAAUAAUAACAGGCAUCUAACUCAUUUUAAACUAAGAUAAAUUGAAUAUACUAGUUAGUGUGAUGAGUACAGCAGUUUGUGUUAUCAGCGGGUAUAAGCAACCAACACUUGCUUGUGGCAUCCAAGAACAAACUGAUAAACCAGAAUGGAAGAACUUAGAGAUAAGCCCUGAAAAACUAUUUCUGCUCUUCUUGAAUAUAAAUAGAAAACAUUUCCUUUGCUCAGUGUUUCAGUGCCCAACUUGUUGACAGUUUCAUCCAAUAUAGGUCAGCCUAGAGCCCAUCACUUCGUUUCAUAGUUAGGCUCAUGAUCAAACUAUCCAAAAAGAAAGGACUAAACCGAAAGUAAUUUAGGCCUUAUUUUUUUAUGCUGAUGUUUUUUGAACUUUUAAACUCAAAUUCCAUGUGAUUUGAUUGCGGGCAAGUGGAUGCUUAUUGUAAUCUAUACAUCUGUUAGCAGAGACGAAGCUAGGACUCAACUAUAAGGGGGGCCAAAAUACAUACAAAUCAAAACUUCAGCAAAUAAAUAAGAUUUAUCUAAUCAAAUUUUUUAUGAGAAAAUAUGCUAACUAAAUAAUUAGUGUAAAAAAAAAUAUUACCCCUUUUUCUAUUUAUGCUUACUUAACUUUUAAUUGUUUUAUUUAUAUUAUUUCACUCAAAUAACUUUGAAAUUUACUAAAUCUAAUAGUAAUUCAGUUAGUGAUCUAAUUUCUUAAUUUUUAGUAAAUACAAUUAUGACAAGUGAUGACUACUAGUUGAUAGAGCUAUUAAAUUUAAUAUAAUCUUUAAUUUAAUUAAAUUAAAAGAUUAUCUAAAAUAAUUAUAAUUUAUGAAGGUACUAAACAAAAAAAAAAAAAAGUAAAUUCAUAGUUGAGAGAGCACUAUGUUAACACCAAGAAUUUUUUUAAAAGAUAGGUCAGUUGAUAUACUUUUGAGCAAGGUUUUAAGUACCGCCCCGUGCCGUACGGCACGGGACGUGCCGUACAGUACAGGAGGGGUAUCGCAUCCCCCCUGCGUCUCGCGGCNUGUCACACCGCGAAACUUUCGGUGAAUCAGGGAAACAAAAAUCGAUUUUCUAAACAAAUUUUGAUCAAUAUAUUUUUUUAAAGAAAAAAAAAAUGAAUGUAAUUGCGGUACUAUUCUAGUUGUUCUAGUAAUUAUAUAUUUCCUAAUCGAAUCAAUAUAUAGAAACAAAAGAAUAGUUGUACUUUUCAAAUAAAAACAAAAGAAUUUUAAUUUCUAUUCUACAUCAGGUAUAGUUGUACUUUAUAUACAAAAUGAUUACAUGCAUGUUAAUUGAUGAGUAUAGUAAGCUAUACAUUGCAAAUAUUAAUAAUUAUUUGUUUAAAUCUUUCAAAAUAACAUUAUAAAACUUAUUGGAACAAAAAAAAACUUAAAUAAGUCCGUGCCAAAGCGUGCCAGUAGGAGGUCAUGCGUAUCCAUCGGCACGCACACAUACCACGUGUCGGCACGGAAGCGUACCCCUGCCGUACCGUGCCAGGGAAAGAAUGGCACGCCCCCGUGCCACGACACUUUAAACCUUGCUUUUGAGAUUAGCUAAAAGUAUAUCUUUAAGAAUUUUAUAUAUAGGGGACUAUUAUGCAAUUAUGAAAAGUCUAGGGGAACCAUACCACCCCCCCCAAGUGUUCACAUAGCUUCCGUCUUUGUCUGUUAGUUUCAUAUUGCAACAACAAAAAUAAAAAUAAAAAAAAAAUAAAAACUAGGUAAAUAGCUUUUUCGUUUUUCUUUUUUUUUCUCCACAAACAUUGUUCUUUUCUUUUUCUCCACAGACGUUUUUCUUUAAACUAAUUGCUAAAGUGAUACUGUCAAACUCUUCAAUAUUCAAAGCAUUAUUUAAUGAGUUCAUUUGUGGUGUAAUUAACUUCAAAUGAAUCAUUAAUCCUUCUGAUUAUGACGCAGGAUUCUGAAGAAUUAAAUCAAUUUCAUAGAUAAUGUAUUAACACUAGGAUAUUACGAUCUAAGUGUUCCCACGAAAAACUUUACUGCCCAUGAGACAGUUACUAAGCAUUAUAGAUAUCUUGAAACUACCAAGGGAUUUUCCAUAUUGUUAACAAAAUCGGCGAUCUUUUCUUCACAAUGAUCCACUAAACAACUCGGUCAUUCUAGUACCACAAAGUUAAAAAUAAGAUUCCAACUUUGUACUUAUCAAGCAUCAAAUUUUGAACUCAAAGUCUACCAAACAUCUCUAUGUCACAAAACAAUCAGCUAAUGACACACCAUUGUAACAUCUACAAAAUUCAGUAAUAAAGAGCAUUACAGAUCCGGUUGCAAAUCAAUCAAUACACAGGCUUUGAAAAAUUUUAAGCAAUUUGCUUUCUUAAUGGUAGCUAUCAGCAUCACACACACAUUUGUUGUUCUUAGUAACCAGCUAUCAUCAGUUGCUGAUCUCUUUCAUACCGGGCCUAGUUCAUUACCUAAAUUUGGCAUGGAUUGAAGUAAAAGUUGAUUGUUGAAGAGCCUUUUUGGAACCAUUUGUCCUUUUCCUUCAGAUGACAAGGGGAUGACCCAAAAAGAAUAUAUUUAUGAAGAUAUAAUGCUUACAAUAAAAUGUUGUUAAAGAUAGACAACUCAUUUGUAAAGGUUGAUGGCUUGUUUCCGCUAGGGGCCCUCUUUUCCCUCUACCAUAUUUUUUUCAGGUCUCCUCUGUUUCUUAUAUCAAUUUUCUAUCUCUACUUUAUCAAACCUUACCCUUUUAUCUUAGUUAUUAAACUGAAUUAUCUGCUAAAAUACAGGUUUCAGCAUCACCAGGCAUCAUGUAUGUAGUUUGAAACAUCUGAAUAACUUCAUGGCAUAAAGAAUCACUUCUAACAAAGCACCAAAGCCAUUUCCACUCUUCAUUGAUCUUUAUCAAAAUUAAGCACAUAGUAAGAGAGACUACUACCGACACGAUUUCCCAAUUUUCAGUAUGCAAUGCAUCAAUGCAGUGAGAAAGAUUGAGAAAAUAUAAAUCUUCCCGCUACCCACAAAAAUACAUAGUAAGAAGGCGCGCAUUGUUGUUGCAGGAAAUGUAUUAGGCAAACUGAGGACCUUCUCACAGCUCAUUUUGCGAGUUCAAGAAAGAAGAUGAUGGAUCCAAAGCUCCAACCAGCAGCCAUAGUUAAAAGCAUUUUCACCAUAAUUCCAUAGCCAUUUCUAACCCCAUCAAGUUGUGGAAAUGUGAUUUUCAUUUUCUUUUUUCUUUUUCCUUUCCAGAAGAGAGACAUGUGUUUGUUCUUACGCAGUAUAUUGUCUAAAGCCUCAGAUGCACUCACAACAUUGCAAAAGUGCCGUGAAAAUGGAUUUUGUUUGUAAAGCAAUGCAAAUUCUAAUUAUUUGACAAAACAGAACAAUGCAGUGAGUAAAAAAGCCCAAGUAAUUCUUCAUGUACCCCAUAAGGCACCUCAAAAUAUUGUUGAUGAGUUAACAACACACACAUAACAAUUGAUUAGUUUUAGCUUUUUAGAGUUGGUGUCCUAUCAGGCUAAUACCAAUCCCUAGUUCCUAUGCAUGCAAUGCUGUUCAUCAAUAAUAUUCUAAAGGAUCUGUGGGCCACAAAAAGCAUUACUCAAAAGCAAACAAAUUCUAUCUCAUUCUUAAUAUCUUUAAGACAUGAAAUCAGAUGCAGAGAGAGCUCUGAAGAACGACAAGAAGCAGUACAGGUCCAUGCCGUCAGUCAAAGAAUUAAUUAUCCUUUUCCCCAACUUUGGUAGAAAUUUGUAGUUAGCUAUCAUAAGAUGCUCAAGAACAUACACGUUUCCAUUUUGGUUCAUCUCUUUUCAAAUCUCUUUUUUGGUACAUCAAACAAGCAGAAAAACAAGAGAGUGCAAUCCCAAACAAAAUCUUUGCACCAACGACGCCCUUCUCUCAUGUUAGGGCUAGUUUGGCCCUUUUCCUGCUAUGUUGAACGUAAAUAUUAAAAACACCACUAUGUAGUAUCUUAAGUUAUUUGAAUAUAACAAUUGUUUCACAUUAUUUCACAAUAGUAUCAGAGCAAGAAAGAGAAACAGAAUUCGAAUCCCAUCAGGUCGCUAUUCUCAUUGCAUUCAAGUCCACGUCUUGGGUCUGUGACUGUGAAUAACUCUUGAGCCCAGACAUGAGGAUGAGUGCUGGAUAUAGGUAUUAAAAGCAUUAUUCUCUAGUAGAUUAAGCUUUUGGAGGAUGACUGUUGUUUCGCAUCAUUUAAUAAGAACGGCAUUUAAAUAUUAUAUAUUCAGCAUGCUUCGGCUUUCAGCAGCACAACCUUUGGCAGUGUGUUCGGCAAAUCAACGAUCAGGAGCUGAGCCGUAAAGGCACAGACUCUAAUUUCGUGCUUGUGAUUUUACUGCGGAAAGAAUCUAUUGAGAAACUAUUCGGACAACACUUUGUACUAGUAUGGCGAUGCUUUUUUUUGUCUUAUAGAUUGUCUUCAGCAUGCUCUGAUCUAGCGUUCGGCAAAAGCCGUAACCUCAACAAGAGUAUAAACUCUAAUUUAGUGCUUCUGAUUCCGCUGUAAAAGAAAGAAAGAAAGAAAGAAAGAAAGAAAGAAAGAAAGAAUCAGGCAGGCAGGGAACUGCUUUCUGAUAACAGUUGAUCAUCAGACAGGCUCAGCACUCUACAAUGCGGGUUCGAACAAGCUAAGCUCUCUAUCCCUCCUACUACUAGUACUACCUCUUUCUCUGCAUACUGAUGAUCAGUCUCGCUCGCAGCAAUCACCAAACAAGAAUGAAAGAAAGAACCCGAUCGAGCCUGAGCCUGAGCCUAAGCCUAAGCCUAAGCCUAAGCUACGAUCCGAGAAUGGGGGACACUACAAUAAUAUUCGGAAGCAAAAACCGCAGGAAUGGAAAGGAUGGAGAAGGAAAGCACCUGAGCACCUGCUCCGGUGCCUGCCGUGGUGAGAUGGGUUCCGGGUGGAAGGAGAGGGCGCCCGCCGAGGGAUAGAUAAAGAAAAAAAAAGGUCGAUGAUGCCGUCAGCACUCAGGACUUAUGUAGGAUUCAGGAAGAGGAGGGGAGGGGAGGGGAGGGUUUUAGCCUUUUAUUCGGAGGGAGGACUGAGGAGGUAACAAACAGGAGAAAUGCCGAGUCUAUUACAAGACUACAACCCCAAUGAUGGCUGGGUAGCAUCCACAAUUACAGCCCUUAAUCCAAGUGAAUUGAUUCAAUUCUCUCUCUCUCCCUCUCUCUCUCUCUCCCUCUCUCUCUUAGUAGGGUUAAAUAAAAAUAAAAAUAAAAAUAAAAAUAAUUAAAGUGAACCUUACUUACCUACCUAAAUUAUGGACCAAUUUGAAUUAACUAUCUAAGCUAAUUAUAUAUCUACUUUAAUAAACUUAUUUAUAGUUGCGAAAAUUGUAUAAAAUAUUUUAAUUAAACUUGUAAAAAUAUACAACUUAUUUAAACUUUAAAGGCUAAAAUAAAUAAAACUCUCCGAAAAAUACCUACUUUUUCACUUCCCCCUCCCCCCCUGGCUAUCAAAAACCUAUAUUUUGUCCAUUUAAAAUUUCAGAAACAUUCUUACAGAAUUAUCUAUAUUAAUUGAGAGAACAAAAUAACAAAAUUAUCCUUACAUUUUUCAUAAAAAAGUAAUUUUUUAAUAUAUUUCUGACAUUUUUAAAGGUAUAAUAAGAAACGGACGAAAUAGUAACAGAACCCUAACAGAAGGGGCUAAAUACAUUAACUUGAAAUUUUGAGGGGGCAAAAUACAUGUUAUUGAAACUCAGGAGAAAGCGGAAAAGUGAGUAUUUAUAGACAAAUUUUCUGUAUUUUAGCCUAAAUCAAAUGUAUCGUUGACUAAUUCAAAUCAAAUAAAUUAAAAGAUUGUAUCAUGCCUCGGGCUACAGUGAAAGCGUAUAUCAAGCACAUGCACAAACCCGCUACGUGGAUAAGAACGCCUUCUAUACACACGAAAAGUCAACAAUCAAUCAAUUUCAACACUAUUAUACAACUUCAUAUAACAGAUAAUAUACAAGUUGAUAGGUAUCAAGAGCAAGUACCAUCUUUAAGCACUUCAUAAUCCAUAUAUUGUCUUCCAAAAUAUAUUAUUACUAGUAUAGGUUCCGCACUUUGCCGCGGGUACAUAGUAUUUUAGUCAAUAGUAUGAUAUAUACUAUAUAUAUAUAUAUAUAUAUAUAUAUAUAUAUAUAUAAUUUUUAAAAUCUUAAAAAUUGAAAAACUUACAAUGAAAAAUACAAAGCAAACUUAAACAUCCUUUUAUAUAUUAUAAAAGUUAUUUUUUUACUAAUAUUUUCAGAUUUCAGUAUUUGUAGAGUUAAAGUAUUUCUAAUAACUUGACUUAAAAAUUCAAUCAAACUUAAUAGUUUUAGUAGCUAUUUUAAAAAUAAAUUUUAAUUUAAGAUUUAAAAUUAGAAGAAUUAUUCUAAAUUGCCAAAUAGAUAAGAUCGUAUUCACCUUACUAAAAUUUAUUGGAGAAAGAUGUUUUGUUAUUUGCACAUGAUGUAUAUUAACACACCAUAUACCCCAAUUUAUAUUAGAAAACUAAUUUCUAAUAUCAAAAUAUAAUUAAAUAUAUCUAAGCUAUGAAGUCUAAUAAUUUAAAUAUAUUUUCUUAAUUAAAUUUAAAAUCACUAUUAGAGAUUUGAAGCAUGCGGUGUAUGUAAUUAUAUACAUUUAGUGUAGAAAAUGCUUAAUUAUGGACCGGGCUCUUUGAAAAGUUCUUUUUUAUAGUUCUAAAAAAAAGAGGAGAAACUUUUGCUUACACCUGAUAUAUGUUAAUAUUUCAUACAUCGUAAGUAUAUUAGAUAAUUCAUAAAUACCUAAUAGUUAGUAUUAUAAAAUAAAAUGUAAGUAUAUUAGAUGAUUCAUAAAAUACCUAAUAGUUAGUACUAUAAAAUAAAAUAUAAAAUAUAGUAUAAUAUUGUCACGCCCCGGAUUACUCGUUUUUUCGGGCACGCCAACAAAUCCACCGUAUACAAAGGAAUUUUCUCUUUAUACGAAGCGAUAGCUGUACCUGUACCUAUACCUGUAAUCAUACAAUACUACAACCAGUAGUAUAGAGCUGUUAAAAAGAAAACAUAUAUAGUAACAUCGGUUCAAAUACAUACAUAGUAUCCUGAUACAAAAACACUAGCUCCGACAAGGUACAAUAUCAGUAUGUAUAAGAACCAAAAACUACAACUACUUGUAGUUGGUAGUAAUCUCUAGGUCAGCAGCAACUGGGAAGGGAUCUAGCUCGCGACUCCCUUUCCACGAUCUGAAUCAGCAACAGCAGCAGCCGAAAACGAAGGCUCUGCCAAAGGUUUCCAACAAUUGGGCAUGAGAACUACUGCAAAAAGAAGUAGUCCUCAGUGGGUACCGCUACCGACCUCAACAGCUCACCCACUAAGUCUACAGAUAUAUGCUCAAAGAUAGUAAAGGAAGCUAGAACAAAUCUACAGCUAUAUGCCACUAUACUAUCACAAUCUAACACUAGCUAUCUGUUAAAAAUGCAAUCUCUGACCCAAUCUCACUAGGAACUGUGAACACACCCGUCCAGCCUGUCUAAGCUACACUAACUGCCACCACACUAGGUCGUCAGUGAAGAGCAAGUCCAAAUAGGAGAAACCGACAUCAAUGCAAAAGUACUAAGCCCGACUCCGGAGUGGCACUCGUGGGCGCUACCCAACCAAGUAUACAAGCGUGUCUCUGCCGAGCUCAAUCAGGCUCUCACAUGCUAUAAUCAAUACAGAAAGGUCUAACAGGUCUGACAACCAUACUAAACAUGCCCUCAGCACAAUCUGAUGCAAAAAUAGUAAACCGGGUCCACCGUCAACCACAACGGCACCCAACAGUCCGGAACAGUCUAUACACUACUGUAAAAAUAAAUUCGGCAUCUCAGCACGAGCGUAAAUGCAUUCUACACUAUUCUGGGUAUCCACCGCCCACCAACUACGGCGAUACAUACAAACUACGGCUCCUAAAGCUAAAUCUGAUAGUUUGAGCAAAUGACAGUAUAGAAUCAAUAGUUUUCUCCUAAGUCAAGUCCAUGUCCAACAUGUAUAAUUUAGCUAAUAUUCUAAACUCCAAUUCAGAUUUAAAACUAUGCAAAUCAAAGAAUCGAGCUACUACACAUGCUAAACAAAGCCAAAAAAAUACAUGCUGUCAACAUAUAGGCUUAGGAGGUAAUUUCGAGAAUUCCGGUAAGCAUAUCAUUAACCCACCUCAAAAGCUAAUCCACGACGGCGGAAAGUCGAAUGAAGCGGAACCACGCGGUUUCCCAGCCUCCGAACGAUGCAACUACGACGUCCACGCGCUCGAACGGCUCCCCGGCGUGAUGUCGGCGUCGAUCCAAACUCCACCCGAAGCCUUCUCCGUGCGUAUGGCUCAAGGGCAAGAGAGAGAGUGGAACAAGCAAAAACCCUCCAUCUCUGCCUCCCUACACGUAUAUAAAGAGAGUAGGUGAGGGUGAAAACAACGAGGUAGCCAAAAGACCAAACAGCCCCUCACCUACCCUGGAGUAGCAGUACCAGGCCAAUGCCGUACCGGUACCCUGCAGCAAAAUUUGCAAACCCGAGAGCAGUCUGCGUUGAAAACACACUGGGUACCGGUACUCCUCUAUGUGGUACCGGUACGCAUCGCUGAAAAUCUGAAAUUGGCAGAUUUCAAUGCUAAAACCUGCUCUCGCGUCGCAACGAGUCCGUUUUGCGUUUAUUUCGCGCCAACGCGACUGGACUUGUCCCGACACUCUCCAGAUGUGUCGACAAGCCUCAGAUGCUGCACUUCCACAGCUGCUGGCCACCAGGGAUACUACAAAUAUAUUAUAUUAUAAAAUAUAAAAUAUUUAAUAAUUUAUUGUAUUAUAGAAAUUUAUUUUUUAUUCACAUUUUAUACCCGAUCUACAACACAAUUGGUGUGUCGAAAAUUUCUAUUGAAUAUAUGGCAUGUUUUUAUUGGCUAAGGGCUACAAUGAACAGGUGGAAAAAGGAUUCAUACGACGUGGAGGUGGGACGUAUACUGAGAAAACCGUCAAAUUAUGUAUUGGUAUGGAUUCUAUUACAUUAUGUUGCAAACGUUUAAUAUAUCAUCAACCCAAAAUAUUUUCCCAAAAUACAAAUAGGGUUGACCCGUACUUGAUCCAAAUGGGGCGGAAAGUAUUUAACUAUCAAGUAAUCUCUUUGCCCAUCUCGAACUUUCCCACUAACUAUCAUUAGCGAGUGUGAAAAUUAUAAAAUAUAAUUUCUAGUGGAUACUAUUGUUUAGAUUACUUGAACCUUAUGUAAAGAAAAGCACAAAGAACUAAUUUUGAUAAAAAAAAAUCAUGACAAUAAUUAAUAGCAUAUCCAUCUUUACUUCACUACUCUACUAACCCCAUGGAAAGAAACCAAUAAAAGUCUUUUAUUGGCCUUUUACUCUACUUUGGAAUCAGUUGAUCCGAAGUGGGGUAAAAAAAAAUAAAAACAAAAAGUACUGCUAUUUGGUAGCACCAUCUUUAAUACCUGUGGGCCCACGUACUAGUGGGCCCACCAAAAUACUUAGAUGAUUAAAAAAUAAAAAAUAAAUAAACAAAUAAAUAAAAAUAAAAAAUUAUUAUGAUUUGGAUACUAUAUCCGACUGCAAUUUUAUUUUCUUCUUUAGUUAAGAGCCUAUUUGGUUUCUUGGAAAAUAGUAGAAAACUAUUUUCUGAAAAAAAAAUUGUGGAAAAGAAAUUUUCUAAUUUCUAUUGUUUGGUAAGGUGGAAAAGAAAAAUAGUUUUUUAUUUUUAUNUAUUUGGUUUCUUGGAAAAUAGUAGAAAACUAUUUUCUGAAAAAAAAAUUGUGGAAAAGAAAUUUUCUAAUUUCUAUUGUUUGGUAAGGCGGAAAAGAAAAGUAGUUUUUCAUAUAUAUGUGAUUGGUUGGUGAGAAAAAAAAAAUAAAAAAUAGUUUUUCAUUUAUAUUUCAUGUGUUUGGUUAGUUAAAAUAUUGGUAUAUAAAUACCUUCUACAAAAGAAGGAUGUGAUUACCAAUUUUUUAAAAUUUAACAUAAUAAUCACAAAUUUUUAUAAUAUAAAUAAUAAAUAAUUAAAUAAAAUAAAUUUUAUACCAAAAUAGUUUGACAAACGAGAUGGAGACAUUGGAGAUAUAGAGAUGAUUCUGCCAUAUUAUAUAUACUAGUCUAGAAACCCGCAUGAUGCAAGGGAUAAAAAUUAUAAUAAAUUAUAAAUUAAAUAUAGAAAUAAAAAUAUAAACAUAUAGCAAAAAAUAAUUAAUACUUGAUUGAUUAAUAAUAUAAAAAAUAUAUUGAAUUUUUUUUAGAAUGAAAAUAUAAUCUAAUGAAAAAUAAAGAAAGAAAAUAUAUCGUUUGGAUUGGGUACAAAAGGGGGAUAAGUCCCCUAUCCCUCCUCUUGUACCCAAAUAGAAAAAUGGAUGGGUGAGAACAAGUUGUUCAUUCCCACCCAGGGUGGGAAGUGGGAACAAGGCCUGUUUGGAUACACAGUAAAAUAUCUCCACGGAAUUUAUAAACUGUGGUUUCGGUCAAGAUAAAAUAGAGAAUACUGCAACUCUAAAAAAUUCCACGGAUUCAAUUUUUAAACUGUUUGGAUACGCAUUGUACAAUUUCACAGGAUUUUUCUAAAUUUUAAGAUUAAAAGUUAAAAUUUAAAAUUUCAAAAAAAAUUUAAAAUUUAAAAAUUGAUUGAAAUGUGAAUUUUGAAUUUUGAAUUUUAAAUUUUAAAUUUCAAUUUGAAAUUUACAAAUUAAAAAAUUAAAAUUAAAAUCUAAAUUAAUUUUUAAAUUUUUAAAUUUUAAUUUUAAAUUUAAAAAUAAAAAUUUAAAUUUAAAAUUUAAAAUUGAAAUUUGAAAUUUGAAAUUUAGAAUUUUAAAUUUAAGAAUAAAUUUAAAAUUUAAAGUUAAAAUAAAAUUUAAAAUUAAAGUUAAAAUUUGAAAUUGAACUAUAGAACUUGAGAUGAAAUUUGAAAUUUAAAAUUUGAAAUUUGAAAUUUAAUUUUAAAAUUAAAUUUUAAAAGUUAAAAUUUGAAAUUAAAGUUUGAAAUUUAAAUUUAAAUUUGAAAUUUAAAUUUAAAAUUUAAAUUUAAAAUUUAUAUUAAAUUUUAUUUAAAAUAAAAAAUAAAAUUUAAAUUUAAAUUGUAAAAUUAAAAUUUAAAAUUUAAAAUUAAAAUUUAAAAUUUAAAAUUUAAAAUUUAAAAUUUAAUUUUAAUUAGAAUUUUAAAUUUUAAAUUUUAAAUUAAAAAAAUUUAAAAUUUAAAGUUAAAUUUGAAAUUUGAAAAUUUAAAUUUAAAAUUGAAAUUGAAAUUUAAAUUUGAAAUUUGAAAUUUGAAAUUGAAAUUUAAAGUUGAAAUUAAAAUUAAAAUUUAAAUUUAAAAUUUUAAUUUAAAUUUCAAAUGUGAUUUCAAAUUUCAAAUUUUAAAUUUUAAAUUUUAAAUCUAUGUUGAAAUUUAAAAUCUAUGUUGAAAUUUAAAAUUUUAUGUUGAAAUUUAAAAGUUAGAACUUGAUGCAUUUUUUUAAAUAAGGGAGCUCAAGAAUGGUGGAAUUUUUUUUCCUUUGGUUAGAGUGGAUUAUACUUUUACUCCAUUUUUUGGAGUAUAGUUUAACUAUACUCCAAAAAUUACGUUACUUUUUUUCCUCCCAAACGCUUCAUAGGAUAUUUUUCCUACCGUCGUAGUAUAGUUUAACUAUGCUACGUUUUCAGGAGUAUCCAAACGGGGCCCAAUUGUGGGAACAACUUGUUCCCACCUAGGGGUUGUUUCCACCCCCGGGUAGAGAGAGAGAGAGAGAGAGAUUUUUAUUUUAAAUUAAAAUUAAAAUUUUUAAAAUUUAAAAUUUGUAAUCUCCAAAUUAAAAUUUAUAAUUUAAAAUUGUAAAAUUUAAAGUUUAAAUUUUAAAUUUGAUAUUUUUAAAUUUUAAAUUUUAAAUUUGAUAUUUUUAAGUUUUAAAUUUUAAAUUUAAUAUUUUAUAUCUUUCAAAUUUAAAUUUGGUCUUAAAUUUAAAUUUUGAUAUUUAAAAUUUUGAAAAAUAAAAUUUUAAAUUUUAAAAGUUAAAAAUUUAGAUUUAAAAUUUAAAAUUUUGAAUUUAAAAAUUCAAAUUCAAAUAUAAUGAGAGGGGUAAUGCCAUUAUUUUCUAUUUAUAACUAUCAACUAUUCUUCUUAUUCCACCUUAUUUAUCUAAACCCUAUUUGUUUUACUCCUAGAAACAACCAAAUUUCAUCCAAACACAGAAUUAGUCUAGUUCUUACUUAUACCUAAACUUAUACCUAUUCCUGAUAUAAGUUAGUUCUUAUUUAUAUUCGAACCAAACGAACCCUUAUGAAGAGAAUAAAAACUGUUACGUAGAUAGGAAUUAAAAAAAACAUAAUUUAAUGUAAGAAUAAAAGAGAAGGAAAAAAAUAAAAAUCGGAGGUGAUUUCGUUGGGUGGGUUUCAUUACUCGACGAGUUAUAACGGGCUCCGGUUUCUUUUUUUCUACAUCAAAAUCUAAUUUCAAAAGAAAAAUUAGUAAUUAAAAUAAAAUAAAAUUAGGAGAGAAAUAAUAAUUUUUUUCUUUUUGAGAAAGAAAAAAAUAUUUUUUUAAUUCAUAAAAAUAUAAAAUCUCACAUGAAGCAAACUCGAUUCAUAGCUCUUAAAUUCAUCAUCACCUACUUCUUCUCUAUAUUAAAUCAAAAAAAAAAAAAAAAAAAAACAAACAGAGAAGAGAGAAUGGACGUGGGUUAGGGGGAGAGAGAAAGGGAGAGGGGGGAUGGAGGUUUUCUUGAGAGAGCGGGUUGGAGAUGAAGGGACAUACAAUGGGAUUAAACGGAAAUGAAGGGAACAUACGGUGAGAUGAGGAAAGAUGAAGGGAUGUAUGGCCGGAGGAUGAAAAAAAAAUCAGAAAAGUCUAAAAAGGGGAGAACUUGUCACAUCAGCUUGAUAUUGGGAAAUCAUAUAGAGACUAGUGUAGUGAUCCGCACAAUAUGACGCGUAAAUAAUAUUCGAUAUUUAAUAUAACAACGACAUCGAAAAAUCGUUGGUAGGAAUUUUUUUCUUCUCUUUACAGCUUGAUAUUAUUUUUUUUUUGUAAUGGUCUUAUACUUGUUAAUUUUUUUUUUUCAAUGGACAAUUUAUCUUAUCCUACUUGGACUGUAUAAUACCUAAAUUUAUGAUUUUUGCAAAGAAAUCAUAUAUAAAAGUAUUAUGAUUAGCACCAAAAAAAAUUCUUAAAAUGAUUGUUGCAAAAAUAUUUAUAAAUUGGCAAUCAAAUUAGAUUAUGUCAUAUAUAAUAGCAUUACGAUCAGGAUUGAGGAAAAAAAAAUUUCUAAAUUAUUCAUAAUAAUAAAUUGGAAGGCAAAAAAAAAUUAAUAUAUAUAUAAAAAUUAAACCAGAAACCUUACAAAAUCUAAGGCAAUCAAUUGCAGAUCAACCGUACACAGACAGUCAAUUUUCUAAAACAAAGUAAAAUUAUUCAGUAUUUUUUUUAAAAAAUAAUAAGCAGCCAAAUUGAAAUUCAAAUAAAAAUAAAAGGUAGAAACAAAAUAAGAGAAGAAAGAGCACCAAUAAAGAAAUAAAGAUUUUUUGCCGCAAAUAAAAAUUUUAUGGAGCCAUAUUAUAUAGGCAAAAAAAAUAGCAUUCAACGUAAAACAACCCUUCGGAUUCAACAAAUACAGAUAUCCGAGGAGUCAAAGGGCGUGUAGAGAAUGAAUCUGAAUCAUUUUUGCGACCGUAGGGGGAUGAAUCGGCAGGAAUGAAGCGUCGCUAACGAAAACGGCACGACAGGAAGAAGGACCGAUAAUGAACUUAGCCAAAUUUUCUGUCUAGGGAGGACACAUCAGGAGUCGAAGAGGGAUCUAGGAAAUCGGGUGAGCAAUUAAGUGGGAAGAAGAUAGAGAAAAAAAAACGUUGACAGGUGGGGCCCAUGGGCUUUUAUAAGAGGAUGAAUGAUAGGUGCUAUACAAAUCAAUUAAGUGGAAACUGGGUGAUCAAUUAAGUGGAAAGAUGAUUAAAAAAAAGUGACAGGUGGGGCCCAUAGGCCAAGAUGAAUGAUAGGUCGUAGACAAAUCAAUAAUUAAGGUAAUUUAGUAUGACAAGUAAAUCCUACAAAAAUACAAAAUUAAACUAAUAUCGUCACGUAGACAAAAAAAAACAUGAAUUUUCAUAGGAGUUUAUAGAUACAGAUAAAAAGAAAUGAGAGAAGAGAGUGCAGACAUGUCAGUUGGGUGGAGAGAGAAAGAGAUUGGGGACGGGGUUUUCUUAAGAGAGCGGGUUGGAGAGGAUAAGAGAGAGAUGAAGGGAAAUGAAGAGAUGUAUAGCGGGAGGAGUGGAAAAAAAAAUUAGAAAAGUCUAAAAAAAGGAGAACUUACGAUCGGAUGAGGGGAGAUGAAGAGAUGUAUGGCGGGAGGAGGAAAAAAAUUAUCAGAAAAAAAGAACUUGCCACAUCAGCUAUUGAUAUUGGAAAAUCAUAUAGCGAUAUAAAUAGAUAUAGAUAUAGAUAUAAAUAAUUUGGGGAGAUGGGGAUGACGGUGGGAGAUGACAGAAAUGACAGAUUUGGUGGUAAAAAUAUACCAAUAUAUUAGAAAAGAGAAUUUUCUUUUUUACUAAAAGCGUUCGCUAGAAAAAUUUUUAUUUUCCUAAACAAAAAAAAUUUGGGAAACGAAAAGGAAUGUUUUUUGUAAAAUAUAAAAAAUAAUUUUUCAAAAAAUCUAUUCCUUUUGCAAACCAAACACGCAGAAUUUUCAGUCUGAAAAAAUUUUCUAGAGUAUUUUCUAAGAAACCAAAUCGGUCCUACACAAUAGCAGCAGCAUCCUUUAGGGAAAAGAAAAAAAAAAAAUUCUAUUUCUUUUCAUUCCAGCUAUUUUUGCCCUUUCUUUUACUGGCAUUAUUAUUAAUUAUUAAUUAUUAAUUUUUUGUUUGAAAAUAGUAGUCAUUUUGAGUUGUUAUAGUAAAUAGAAAUAUAAUUAAUCCAUUAAGACUUCAUUUCGUAUCAUGCUUUUUUUUAUAAUUUUAAAUAUUUAUUCUAUGUAAUUUGAUAUGUUGGAGGAAAAAAAAUAUUAUUGAUUAAUUUAUAAUGCAUCCGGCUAAGUAACAUAUGGUAAGUUAUUUAAAAAAAUAUUAGAAGCAAAAACAUAUAUAUAUUUUUUUGCCAAGUAAACACUACUUUGGAUGAAAUGAUUGACAUCAAUCUACUGUUAACUCUUGCACAUUGAAUAUAUACAAAAUUUAUUUUAAAAAAUAAAUGUGAUAGCAAACGAUGCCUAAUUCUUUUCCUUAUUUGUUCUUUUAUUAUACAUUAAUUCCACUAUGAGAAAUUUUUGGAUCCAACACUGGCAAUAGUAUAAAACUACUUUGCUUCUAUGAUGUAUAAAGUAAAAGCAAGUUCAACUUUUCUAUUACCCACCAAUUUAUGAUAUUAUUAUGUCCAAUUUCAACACUUUAUCCUUCUCUAGAGGACCAACUCAAGUUACAGUUCUAGUUUGUAUCAUGCCAAUGAAGAACCGUGAUUGCCAUUCCACAUAUGGAGCCAUGCCCCAUAUCCGUCUCCCAAUUGGCUCUCAAAAAAGCAAAAGUGAGCUUAUUCGUUUGGUUGCAUUUUUCUAAUUAAAAUUCAGUAUAAUGCAUCAAAUUUUGGCUAAAUAGGCAAAAUAAGAAUAAAAAAUCUUUUUUUCUAAAUAACCUUAUAAAAUUGUUUAGUUGGCGAAAUAACCCUCUGAAAAAUUUAUUUCGCCAAAUAACCCUCCUCUUGCCAACUUAGAGCUGCAGUGAAUAAUUAUACCCGAAGCGAUGAAUCAUUCACCAUCUUCAAGAAGGGGGUAAAAUCGUUCACCGCCUUUCUACAUAGGUGAAUGAUUCAUUACUUCUAAGUUUUAUGUUCGAAGAAUUUGAAAUUCAAAUUUAACUUUAGAUUUCAAAUCAAAUAUAAAAUUCAAAUUUAUAUUUUGAAUUCAAAUUUAAAAAUUGAUUUCAAAUCAUUGAUUUUGAUUUUAAAUACAAAUUCAGAUUUCGAAUUCAAAUUCAUAUUCUGGUUUGAAAUAUCAAUUCGAAUUCGCAUUAAAUUUCAAAUUUAAAUUUAAAUUUUGAAUUCAAAAUUUGAAGUAUAACUCAGAUUUUGAAUUCAAAUUGCAAAUCAAAUUUAAAGUUAAAUUUAAAAUUAAAAUUCAGAUUUUGAAUUCACAGUUUAAAUUGAAACUCACAUUUGAUUUGUAAUUUCAAUUCAAAUUCACAUGCAUUCAAAAUUUUCAAAUUGAAAUUUAAAUGCUGAUUUUGAAUUCAAAUUUUGAAAUAUAAUUCAAAUUUUAAUAUAAAUUAUAAAUUUUAAUUUAAAAUUUAAAUUUAGAUUUUGAACACAAAUUCAAAUAUCAAAAUCUAAUUCAAUUUCAAUUUCGAAAUCUAAAUUCAAAUUUUGAAUUUCAAUUCAAAUUUCUAAUUCAGUUUUAAAAUUGUAUCUUUAAAUUCUAAUUUCAAAUUAUUAGUUUAAAAUUAAAAUUUUAAUUCCAACUCAGACGUCGUGAUUUUGAUAAUUUUAGAAGCGGUGAAUCUACUUCUUUUCUUCUUUUUUUUUUGAGAGAGAGAGAGAUAGGUAGCACGCUAUCUGUUUCGUUUAUUUUAUUUAGAAAUAAACUUAGCUGGAAAUGUGAAUCAACUAUGAUUCGAACUCGGGACCUCGGGUACCAACCACCAAGCCCUUUGCCACUUACUCUAGGGACGGUCGGUGAAUCUACUUAAAAGCCGAAAAGGGUGAAUGAUUUAUCUCUUUCGUAGAAAAUUUAGAAGAUGGUGAAUCGAAAUUUAGAAGAUGGUGACUCGUUCACCGUCUUCUCGAAAAUGGUGAAUGAUUCACCGCUUUUGGCAUAAUUAUCCAUUGUGUAGUUGGCAAGAGGAGGGUUAUUUGUCUAAAUAAAUUUCUUAGAAGAUUGUUUUGCCAAUUAAAAAAAUUCAAAGGAUUAUGCAGAUAAAAAUCCCGCGAAUGAAAAUUACGCUAGACAUGACAUGAAUGGAUUUGGAAAAGUUUAAGCUGAGUUAGAAUUUAUUUGGAAUUGUGGUAAGAGACUAUUUGGUUUGAUAUAAAUAAAAAUAUAGUAGAGUUGGAGAUACAUGUAAUUGAAAAUGUAAUAGUUAAAGCUACGUAUAUCUCGUUUGGUUAGAUGCAGUAAAAAGCACAGUAGUUAUAUGUAGCAGUUGUAUGUCACUGAAAAGUGCAUUUGUAAAAAAAUUUCCCUUUUUGUACAUAGUGGUGAGAUUAUCUCCAAUAUAAACAGAAAAAAAUAUUUUUUAUUUAAAAAAUAAUUAAGGAUGUAAGCUUGCCUCUUAUUUAAAGUUACUCUUCCAAACUGUUAUACAGUUGGAACUACAGUUAAUUUGGACGCAGUUCAAAAUUGCAUCAACUACGUCUCCUCAUGCAAUUUCAACUACAGCAGUUGGAUUCAAAUGCAUCAAAUCAAAUAUUGGAUUUGAAUUUGUACGUAGUUACAACUAUAUGCAAUCAAACAAUCCCUAAUAAAAGCACUCGAACUACUCAUGAUGCAAAUACCUCGUGUAAUGGAAAUAUACCCCUCCUUAGGUCUUCAACCAACUAUACUAUAGUAGUCCUCCAGGUGCAGGUGCUUCUUACAACUAUAAUAGACCUCCAAGAAGCACCCCAACGCUCGAGUUUCUUAUAUAUAUAUAUAUAUAUCAAUGAGCCUCCGAUGCCACAAUAGUUAGCUGGUGGAAGAUGAAUUUCUCUACAAAUAAAUAAACGCCAACUAGCACAUUUGCUAAUUAAGCAUGCUUCAGCAUAUGUAAAGACGAUGAAGCAGGAGGAGACCUUUUUUAGAGGAUGGAUUAUUUGGCCAGAUAAAUUCUCUAGACUAGAAGGUUAUUUUGUAAAUUGAAAAAUUUCAUCGGAAAGAAAAAAAGAAAAAAAAAAAAAAGGGUCUGGAAUCUGGAUCCCGGUUUACCACAUUCCUGAGAGCUCGGUCCUGCGAACGCCACUAAUAAAUCACACUGGUAGUGGUGCAAAACCGAGCCACCACACUGGCUUACAUACCCCACCUUACAAGCCCACUUUCCCUCCAUACGCUACCUACCGGCUCUUAACUACAUUAGCAUUAGCAUCAUUAGAGGGAUAAUACGGCCACUAACAUCAUCAUAUAGGACUGACUAAUUUACAUCAUCUUCUAACAAGCUUGUUGCUUGUUAUUUGGGGACCCCCAAGUUGUGAGUGCGAGCGAGUUAAAUGGCAAAAUAAAGAGAACAGGUAAUGGGAGGAGGUCUCUCCCCCUCCUCUCUCACUCGCACUCGCACUCUCACUCUCACUCUCACUCAGGUGCGUCCAUCGACUCCGGCGGUAUGCGAAACAGCACAGAUGCAGAAUAAUGCCCCGUCUGUGUACAUAGGGGUGGAUGAAAUAGUAAAAACCAGGCUCCAGCUGGACCUCUUGGCCUCGACAGUUCUUACGGACAUAACAAGCAAGUACUUUUGUAGUAAAGGAAAUAGCGAAGCUACAAGAUUAUGUUCAGAUCAGUUACAGCAAUUAACUGAGAAUCAGAAUAGCUUUACCAGAUACAGAAUAAUAAUUAAGCAGGUUAAGGAGGUUAGAUAAUUUACGAGCCUCCUAUUCGCCAUGUAUCUCCACUAUGAUAAGUUACACGAUUCACCAAAAACCAACUAAAACAGGGCGCGGCCAAAGAAAAUAAAAAAAAAAAAUCACUUCCUCCAAUGAUGUACGAAAUCACGACCCUCUCCAACCUACAGGGAGCAGGAUUCCUGGAACAACUUUCGUUUACACAGGCAUCUUACAAAAAGCACGGCACCGAUAACAAUGUGUUAGUGAUGUUUCUAGAUCACAAGUCAAAAGCAUUCCCAGCCGAUCAGAUGUCGUUUUAAUUUGGGGCUUAGUGUAUUCUCUUUCUCUUGCUUGUUUCGGGGUUAUCAUCAAGAACAAUGAUAUCAUCAUCGUCGUCGUUGUCUUUGAUUUCUUGCAGACUUUUUUUAUCAGAUAAGUUACGGCUAGGACGAGUCUGAGGUUUAUCGUCAUUCUCUGUUGCUGUUUCUGACCUUUCAGGCUUGGGCAUUUUCCUCUUUUUACUGGGCACUGCUGGAGUUGUUUCCACCUCAUCUCCGUCAGCUUCUGAUGAAGAUACAGAGGCCACAGCUUUGGUCUCUCCGUUGCUCACCGCAACCUCUUUGCCCUUUUCGGAGGGAGUGGUCCACCCAGAUAGGACCAUCCCAUCAGGUUCUUUCUCCUCGUCAAAUUCCUCCCUGCUUAUACAUCAAUAUAUUGUAAUGAUAUCUCAUACUUCAUAAUCUCUGUUAUAAAAGUAGCCAUUUCAUGAACUGAAAGAAACAUGUAGGAGGCAUACAAUGGAAAUAAGAGAGGGCUUCGACGAGACAAAUGGACUUAAAGCACAAACAGAUGAAAAACCAGACUCAGGAAGCAAACCAGAAACUGUGUCUAAGACUUCCAAUUUUCGAGUACUUUGACAAUGUUUAGGUAUGUCAUUUAUCAAAUUUAAAAAGAAGAAGAAAGAAACAAUCCCAGAUGCACUUUUUAUCUUCUAGUAUGCAUUUGCAAUCUGAAGACGGAAAACGGUAAAUGACUUUCAAGCAUGUCUAAUAUGGUAACAUCCUAACAUAAACCCCGAAUUGAUGUCAAAACCAAGUGAUUGCUAAUAGUUCUUACAAUCACUUUCAUUGGUUUCUAAAACAAGAUGGCUUCUCUUUUGCUUCCCCUCACGAGAGUUAAACACAAACUCUUCCAACCUUGACACUUUCAUACACGCUUAUCUCCUAAUGCAUCAUCAUUCAAUGCAUUAGACGCUUUGACGCAAAGCACAGAUUAUGUAUAAUUAAAGUUCCAAGCCACUACAACAGAAUAAGAAACUUUAUAGGAACAACAUGAUGAAUGUAUUUGGGAAAUUAACAAUGCAAAAAGAUACAGAAACCCAAAGACGUAAUGGAAACCUGUGUUUGAUGUUGAUAUUGCAUACUAAUUCCUGUUGAAGAUCCUCGAGACAAAGCACAGUGCCACUUCUGACCGGAGCAGGCAGUCCAGAUAAAACCUGCGUGAGAUGUGCAAGACAAUCCCGUAGGACGCAAAAAAAACAAAAAACAAAAAAAAAACAAAAAAAAGAAAGAAAAGAGAACAGACACCAGUUAAAGCCAACCUUAGCUUACCAUGCACAACUGAAACAGAGAAUGCUAAGAGUGAAUAUAUGAAUAAAAGAAGUCAUCAGACACAACCUUGUCGAGGUUCAAAGCAUAAUUGGCAGCUAAAUCCUUGUCCAAAUCAUCACCAUCCUCAAAGACGAGUGUUGAGCCAACCAUUACCAUAGGAAGGUUCAUACCAAGUUUGGCCUUUACUAUUCUCUCGACAACAUCUCGAAGCUUUGCAGUAUUAGUGUUAACCUCCAACAGCAGGGGUGUCUGUCUCAUUUAAGUAUACAAAUGUUUAAAACAGUCACAUAUCGGGGAGAGAGAGAGAGAGAGAGAGAGAGAGAGAGAGAGGGAUUUUACAAAAAAGAUAAGUACCUCAGAACAGACAUAACAUGAUUUAUUAGCCUCAAAUGGCUGCACCGGCAUUAGAAGCAUCUUUCUUGAUGGAUGUUCAAGACAAUAUGUCAUCCUGUGAACAAAAAUAGCUCUCCCAGUUAAACAAAACUUAAUUUUGCCUAUAAAUUUAAUACAAAGAUGUGCACAGAGAAGAUAGAAGUGGCAAGCGUUGUGCCAAUCAUCACAGCAGCUAAAAAAGAUAAUAAUAUGUCACAUGCAAUUUGUUUUUGACCGCCAAUUCUUGUCUGUAUCAUAAUUAGGUAUGUUGAUGCCUUGAUGGCAUAGGAUUGAUUCGAUUUUUCGGAAAAUAAAAUCCAAAAUGCCCAAUCAACAUUGAAACCCAAAACCAAAACCAAAUCAAACGACUUACAGAAGUCGAAAACCAUAAAAAACCCACCGAAAAACCUAAAACACCAAAACUGAAACCCACUAUAACUUUCUUUUAACAAUUCUAUUCAUAAACAAAACAGGAUUCAAACUAGGUUCUAAAUCUUGAUACAAGAACAGCAAUAUAAAAUGUUAUCAAGAUGACUAUCUUGUCUUAAUCUACAUUCUACAGCAAUUAGAUCAAAAUACACUGGCUUGAAUACAUAUACAUCUUCAUCUGGAGGAAUUAGAACAAAGGUGUGUAUAUAUAUAUAUGCGUUUUAAAUAUAUAAUUUAAGAACAUCACUCUCUAAUAGCUUAAGCUUUUGGACAAAAACGAUUAUUUCACAUUCUUUACAUGGUGUCAGAGUAGGAGGUCUUGAGUUCGAAUCCCACCAAGCUCCUAAUCUCAUUUAAUUUCCCCCAUUUAACUCAAGUACACAUUUCAAAAUGUCUCGAGCCCAAAUGAGAGGGAACAAUGUUAAAAUAUAAAUAAGAACACCGUUCUCUAACAAUUUAAGCAAUUGCAAAAAAAAACAAUUGUUGCACAUUUUUAGACAUACGAAGUAUACAGUUUGAGUUCAAGUUCAGGUCAGGAAGUCGCAAAAACUAUAACUGAGACCCAACUAAGUUUGUUUUCCCAUCGCCCAAACCAUGACGGUUUACCUUCAGUUAUUACUGCCCCAUUCAGGUUCGAGGUUUCUAGUAAAAUUUUGCAUAUCAUACGCAUUGACAUCCCUAUUGUGGUAUGUUACAUUACGUUCUAUGUGAUUGGAAAACUAGGACGAACAAGAUUACUAUAGGACUUUGAAGAACAAAAUUAAUUGAAUUGCAAGAUCUUGCUUUUACGAGUGUUGCAAUAACUGUCAACUACUACAAUUGAACAUGCAAUAGGACUUCAUUUUCAAUAUCUAAUCAUAUGUAAUGAUAAGUCAUACAUCAAUCUCUAUCACUAUUGCUAGGCACCAAAGCUACUUGGUUCUCAAGUAGGAACCUUUCUUACUAGCACGGGCUCAGAUAUUCCAAAGGAUAAUUAAAAAAUAGUGUUAACAAGUAAUGAUCAGAAAAGUAUCAUAUAAGCAAUGAUCAAAACCUGUGAACAAGAAAGAGAUGAAAUAUCAUGUGGAGAAAAUCUAUGCGAAGACAGUUUCCCUGCUGUUAAGGCACAAACAACUAAUCAACUUUAAGAGCUCCAAGUAAAGGCCAAGAAUUUGCAUUGCAUAAUAACCCACUAGCCAAUAAUUAACACUACUCGUAACUCAGGAAAAGCAGGUCACCACAAAUCAUGCACUCCCAAAUAACAAUGCGGUAGACCUAGUACUGUUAAUUUAGAUUCAGAGCUUAAGCGUGGAGAGAAGAAAGAAACAAAGGUGAACUAUUUGGGUUGGUACUGCAUGCUGUGAGUUGUAUUUCUCUAUUCUGCUCAAUGAAAAAACUAUAAUAGACCAUGAUAAAUGAAUAAAAAGACGAAAUCCAAAGAAUCGUCAAAAGAAUAUGCAGACUGAAAUUUUGGUCAACAGGAUCCUCAAAAGGGAUGCAAACUAAAAAUUUGUUCAAAACACCAGUUAUAUAAGUUUCAAUCAUUAUAACCUAUAUGAAUCAUCUUUCCCAGAGCGCUUCUUAGUAGGAAUAAAAUCCAACUAAUGUUCCAUUUUCAUACUGAUAGAAAUCAUGAAGACUAUCAAAAUUUUGCAAGAAUUUUGUGGAAUGAAUGUAGCAGAACUCAAGCUAUUAUUUCAAAUGAAAUUUUUUAUGAGGUAAAAGCACAAAAUUACAAGCUGAUGGAGAUUGAAAGCAACUUCUUUCGAUGAAAGAAAAUUUUUCCUGCAUGUUUCAAAUGCUACUUGGUGGACAAAGAACUAAAUUUGCAGACUUCUCAAAAGGAAUGGUUAGAAAAUAGCUUAGUCUCAAAAUAAUCAUCAUAAAAAAUGAUAGCCAAAAAUUUCCAUAUACAAUAACUAGAUCCAGAAACCAGAAAUAGUGGAAACUCGUAACUUCAUGGACAAAGGAACUGUACCUAUAAUUCUCAAAAUCAUUCUGCAGCACUUUAAUUGCUUCUAUAACAAUCAGACCAGCAAUAAUAGCAUUUGUUGUUGCGACGGCAUGAACGAUGUUGCCGGCGAUGCCUUUAGCUUCAAAAAGACUAUGCAAAGGAAUCCCAAAAGAAGAUGCCCUGAUAUUUGCAGCAGCAGUCACAAACUCCACUGCCAACUGAUCAUCUUUGUCAAAGGUUAAGCACCCAAUAUCCUAAGACCAAUUAAUAGCAACAUGAACUAAGUUUAACAGAGAAAAUGAUCUCAGGAGCAUAACAACAGAUAGAUGCAAAAGAUGGUACCUUCUCUCUUUUUUCAAAAAAUAAUCUAAGAGACUCCAAAAAGAUUCGUGAAUUCUCGGCAAGGCUCCAAACAUCCUGUGGGUUCUUCAGAUUAAGAGAGGACAUAGCAGAUGGGGUCAAAUCCUCAGUCUUGCAGUCCUCUGAGUACCCAUUUCGGUGAACUAGUUUGUCAGGUAAAAGAUCAUUAAUAUAUACCGGUCUAGGUCUUUGUCUGUUCUUCCAUGUUUCUUCAUUAGUUAAUGCAACUUCAAUAUUAUAUCCAAAAACAUGAUCAUAAAUUCUCCGACCAUACUGCUCAAGGUCUUCAUGUGGGUUGCGUACAAAUACAUCUUGUGCAUGCUCUGACUGAGAAUUGCCAUCACCAGAAUGCACGUUAAGAUCAUUGUCCUGAUUUUUGUCACCAAAUAACUUGGCAAAAAGCAAGUCCUUGGCCCAAACAAUACAGUGAACAAACUGGACAUGUAAAAGAUAGAAUUCAGCAUCACAAAAAAAUAGCAGACUAAAGAUUUAGUUAACUGAAAUUCAGUUCCAGCAAAAAUGCAAUCACCAUACCAACAAAUCAACAGAUAAUAGUAAUCAAGAAAAUUCCAUGCAUCGAAAGCAUAAAACUUCCGAACCCCAAACAACAAUAAGAACCAAGAAAUAAAGAUCUGCAAGUUCACAAAUCGAAAGUAGAUUUCUGAUAUGUUUAAAUUUGAGAUCACAAAAGUAGAUUUCAAAUUCUCUUCCAGUUUUAUUAGCAAAUUCACAAAUAAUCCCUAAAUUACCCACAUGAGUACAUAUGAUGGAACACCUUUCACAUUUGUUUUUCCCAAAAAGACUGAAAAAAUCAUGUCAUUUUUGGACGAGAUGUACAAAACACAUUUAUACACAAGCAUCUAGUCAAAUAAAACUUAAUUUAAUGUUUUCCCUAAGGUUAGAUCAAGUAACAGCACAUAACAUAAUUCCCUAUUUUCCAUGAAUAACUGAAUUCCUUCCUCUAAAAUUCAUAAUAUCUUCUCACUAAUUCCAUAUGCAACUUUAACACAUACUCUCUCUUUAUUACUUUUCUGCUGUUCUACAAAUAUCAUCCUACCCCACAAUUGAAGGAAUAACAAAUUACCUUGAAUAGAAGACAUCAUAACAUAAUUCAAAAGUGGGUACUGAUGUCAACUGAAAGUUUAUUAUCAGCGUGGCCCUGACAUUCACUGAAUAUCCCAUUACAAAUGCAUAUUACAAUAAGGCGCUAUGAGAAUUACAUAAAUAUUCAUACUUUUAGUCAGUUUUGGCUGAUCCAUGUAAAUGUCCAGAGCAUAAUAUUCCUUAUUACCAUUUUUUUUACCCAUAUUUGUACUUUAAAAAUGGAUUAUUCAAAUAUAAUUCAGAUACUUUAUUACUUUUGAUUGUCAAAAAGAAAUUGUUCAAAUAAAGUUUGAUAAACCUUGCUCAAAAUUUGUUACAGCUUUACAGGAAAAGGCCUGCAUCAUGUUCUAAAAAGUGUAAAGUUACUAGGCAAGUAGCCAAGAUACUGCAUAGCUUAUGCGGAAGGCGAGUGCAUAUGGGGUCACAUAGGAUACAACAAUAGCCUGUAAACUGUGGUAAGACAAAAUACAAUAGAUAAGAAUAAGAGGCAGAAGAAUCACGAAGAAAAAUCCUAAGAAACCUUUAUAUGUUGUAGGACAUUGCAACACUAUAAAGAUCAUGUCAAAUUUUUAUGUAAUUUUCGAUGCAAAGUAUUCUCAAACACGAGUAGCAAAUGAAAGUAGUAUGAAGAUUUAUAUCUCAAAUCAGUAGAUUUAAAUGUAUAACUAGUCAGCAUAGACAUGUCGCAACAUAUCUACUUAUAUAUACUUAAAAUACAUCAUAGCACGCGACUUGUGUAACGACCCGACCCGCUAGCAAUAAUAACUUGUUGGGCCCAAACCAGCCCAAAAUGCUUAAAUCCAGUUAUUAUUAUUAAUUUCCAUAAUCUCUUAUAUACUCGAUCACAACCCCAUUCCCACCCAAUAUUGGACUAUUGGGGUAUCACGGAGUCCCCCUGUUUAGGCCCUGACAUUCUUGUCAGACCAAUCACACGCACAACCUACGAUCACCAAGUGAUGUGAGACUUGUCUCGUUAGCCUUGAUACCGACCUUAGCUUAACCUGUCAUUCUCCAACCUGGCUUAGCCUGUCAUUCCAACACUGAGUCAACCGAGAUUCAUCUCACACUUCCGACUAGUGAUUGACUCUGAUAUCAAAUGUAACAACCCAACCAGCUAGCAAUAAUAACUCGUUGGGCCUAAAACCACCAACCCAAAAUAUUUAAGCCCAAUUAUUAUUGUUAGUGUCUGUGAUCUCUUAUAUACCCAAUCACAACCUCAUUCCCAUCCGAUGUGAGACUAUUGGGAUGUCACAACUAGGUCUUAUGUUUAUUACCUAGUGGCUAGUGCCCAAACUAUAUUUAGAUAUGGUCUAUGUGGGUUGGUUAAGCAACUGCAUCCACUUAGGCGUGCAAAAAUACGGGUUUAUGCACUAGUAGAAUAGUAGCCACCCUUUAGGAAUAAUAGCCUAUGAAUGAUGAGCAUUGUAUUUUGUAUGUACAGUUAAAAAGGUCAUCAUUUGAACCAAGGUUUUAAUCGCCUCAACAAUAGCAUGCGAAAUAUCAGUCAGCCUAUUAUACAGUGGCGCGUUGCAUGCCAACAGCUCGGCACAAUCGUCAAAGGCCAUAAUAUGGUGUCCUUUUAUAUGUUGGCACACACCUGCAAGCAGCAUGAUCAACAUGUUUCGCACGUGCGUAGCAUGUACCCCAGCUAACAAAGUACUUAACUUGGUUUGUGUUCUUUUACGGCUUGUUGGGCUCAUUUUAACAAAUGUAUAAGUAUUGUUUCAGUGGAGAUAUUCGAAGAAGUCCAAUAGCACUUUCAUAGAAACUCACCUCACAAAUUUAUGCUGCAUCUAGAAGCAAGAGCUUCAAUUUUAAAAUGCCUUUCGACCCAGAAGCUAAUUUCAUCUACCCUUGAAGUCUGAAACAUCACACCUUUCAUCUUCCCAAGUCAAGGUAUUCGAAUAAUUAGCCAAAAAUGCAUUGAACAUGCAUGGGCAGUCCAUGUUGAUAAUAAUUUAAAGCAGUAUAACAUUGAUGCCAUGCAUUGCACUAAGCAUCCUAGACAUUUUGACAAGGCUAACACUAUGGCUAUAAAUUGAGCUCUUUGCUUUUGAACAACUUGUGUUCGGCUUGAAACUUGGCUCAGCACAGGCUCAGUUGGCUCGUCUAACAUACAAGUUAAGGUUGAGCAGCUCAAUGCUCUUAGUUAAUCUUAAAAAUAUAAAAAUUGGCAAAACAUAUUGAAAACAAUCAAAUAACAUAUCAAUUUUAUGUCAGAAGAAGCAUAAUUCGUCCUCCUUAGAAUGAAAAAGAAAUUUUCACAUGUUAUACAAAUGUAAUUCUAAAUAACAGAUUAGCAAUACGUAUACAAUAAAGGUUCAUAAAAAUAAAAACAUCGUCAAUUUCUUAGUACAAACACAUAAAUCAGUUCUUCAUGAGCAGCUCAAGUUUGACUCAAAAGUAAAUAAGCUUGAGAUCAACACGACUAUAAGCGAGCCGAUCUUGAGCUUAGCUUAGCUUGCUUAUGUUUAGCUUAUUAACAAUACUUACUCAGCUAGCACAUUAUUAUGGCUUUCAUACUACAAUAAUGACUAAAUUUUAAUUGUAUAAGUUGUUGGCAUUUAAAACUUCAAAUUGUAUCAGUUGCUUCAGAUCAUUUGAUUGGUUGGAUCCUUUUUUUCCUUAGCAUAGGAAGUUAGUACAAAUCCAAGGUUUAUUCACCAAAAGUUGAAUAAGCCACAAUUUUAGUAUUCUUCCAAAUUGGAGGUUCUGCUCUUAGGGCUUAAAAUCUCAUUUCAGCUUCCCACGCAUUGUAAAAGCUCCAAGCAUCUGUAUUUGCCAAACACCAGGAGGUGAUCGCAAAUCAAGGCAAAAGCAAAAGCUAGACCAAAUAGGUACCAAGAAUAUCAGCAGUGGUAAGAAAUUUCAUAAGGAAAUGACAAAGAAAAACUAAAGAAAAAAGUUGUAAGUAGCAACGAUAAUCUUUCACAGAAUAAUUCAUCCAUGGAAGCACAGAUACACCAGUUAAAACAAGAGAAAAUCAGAAAAACCAGAACAGAAUUGACAAAGAUUAAACCUUUGAAGGGGUGCUGGUGAUCGUACAAACAGGAUAGGUCUUCGGAGUGGGUUUUGGCUGGCAUUCAUAGCACUCUGUUUUGCCUUUGACAUGAACUGUGACCUACCAAAUGAAAAACGAUUAAUAUAUUUCACUAGAGUCAGUUUGACAUGUUAAUGCACAAAAACAUGAGAUUUUCUGAUUUGGCACAUACUUAUAGCAAGCAGUUCAUGGUGUCGUUAAUUAACAAAGCACAUAGGAAGCUAGUUUGGUUCCUGCAAGAAAUACAGCUAAAAAAAUAUACGGGUACUAGAUGACUAAAUCAUUCUAGGAUUUGAUUGUAAAACAGACAUUCGUUUCAUGCAGAAGUAACUCUAAAAAGUAAGAGCAAACACUACGGGAUUGCAACUUGCAGUAUGCUGAAUUUCUGAAUAUAUGACAUUCAGAAUAAAAAAUGUAAAAACAACUAGCACAGUGCGAUGAGGAUGUUGACGUGGACAAACAGCAAUAUAAAGUAGGACCGGAAAGGAAGAUGUUCGCUCUGCAGCAGAAGCAGCUUCAAGGCAGGAUUAUGGAAUAAUUACGGAAACACAUACAAAAUGGAGAUGUAAAUUGAUCGAUAGGAAAGAAUGAGGUAAUCCAAGGUUAUGCUAUGAAAGUGAGAGAGAGAAUCCAGAAAUGACACUAACAGAAGUGAUUAAGAAAGAUAAAGAGGCAACAUGUUUAGAAGAGGAGAUAAAAGAAUCUGUGGCCAGAGAACAGUUACAUGACGAAGAUGAGUUACGAGGAUAGAUGGCAAAGUUUAUUUGACAACUUUUCCGUCAGUACCUCUUAGAGGAAGAUUAAAGCUAAACAAAUGUUAGUCCAUACAUCCUAACAAAUUCUUCUUCUAGAGAUACAUCAAAUAAAGCAGUAGAUUUAUGGGAGUACGAAUAGCAAUUACCAUGCUACACAUUACUUUCUAAUGGCUUUAUAAUUAGAUUAAACUGGGAGUUAUAUGACAUCACCUGCCCCAGAAAACCUGUUGUUCCACUUUCAACUAAAGGAACUUCAGCAGCAAGGCAAAGUCGAUUAACGUGUCGUCUAGCAUCUAGGUUAUCCAGACCAUUCAGGACCACAUUAAACUGCUUAAAAAAAUCAACAUUGAAUUGAGGAUCUUUGACAUUUGAAUGGUAUGGUGUGAUAUUGAUGUGGGGCCUAAACCUUAGAACAGCAUCACGAGCAACCUGAAAAGAAUACAACCAUGAUGGAAGCAAUGAGAGCAGCACCAGAUGUAAAUAAAUAAAAUAGGAAAAAAGUUUCAUGAGAGAUGAAUAAAAAACAUUCAAAUGUUGCUUACUUUAGCUUUAGAUUGUCCAACAUGAUGUUGCCGAAAUAAAAAUUGCCUGUUUAGGUUGCUAACUUCAAUUGUGUCCAUGUCAAUCUGCAAAUUGUUUCAAAAGUUCGAUUUAUAAGUUGGUAUCCAAAAUGUCAGCUGAUAAGCUUACUCUACUCCCGUGGUAUAUAGACGUCUGAAUGAACUCAUCCAAUUGGGACAACAGUGGAUUUCAUGAAAAAUGGAUACGUGAUGAUAAAAGACUCCCACUAGACUCUAGAGAAAUUACCACGUCAGAAUAGAUAGCAGAAUAAGAACUAUAAACAUUCUCAAAGGGGUACGAACAGAGUAUAAACAUAUAAGACACCAUAUCUUUGUGGCCAUGAAACUAUUUAGAACAGCUAUGCUAUAAUUACAUAGAUAAUAAUGUUCCUAUAAUGAUAAUUACAAUAUUGCUACUAGCAAAUACACUAAGCAACUUCCACUAACGACAAUCAUCACAAAAUAGGAGACAAACGAAAAGUAACAAAAUGGAGGCAAAAGAAGCUUGGAUUUGGCAAACGAAUUCCGUGAAAAUACUAGGUUCUACAGUUCUACUGUAAAUUUUCAAUAGAUAAUUACAGAUAAUUGGCAAAGCUACAACUCUUUGUCUGCAAUAUAUGAUUAUUACAAACAUGGUCAGUCAAACCAUUAUUAGCAUGAUAAUCACCAGAACAGGUUAAAGGACUAAAUCCCGAGUAAAGAUAACAAAAAAAAAUUGCAUAGCCAUGCCUUCUCUCAAUGUCGGAACAAAUGCCUGCCUUAAAAGCAAGGAUUACCAUGCCACUAGCACCGGGUGUGCCAGAGUUCCAUUGGCAAGGCACAACACAGCACGUCAUGGCAUGGCUUGGCAUGCCAGCACGCGUAGGGAUAGAUCCUCUUUUAUUGUUAGCAGGAACUACACAGGCCAUGCCAGAUCCUUUUUUAUCUAUUAGAUGAGAAGCAUCGAGGGCACAUGCCGGCCAUGCCAGAACAAGGCCCACCAACAUAGAAAUCCUUGCUUACAAGAAACUACACCAACACCAGGUCUAACAAGCUUGUCACAUUACACAAAAAACGAAAUCAAAGUCCAGAUAAAGAAAUGGAGUGGAUAUUGAAUGAAACUUUUGAGGACAAGUAUUACAUUGCCACAAGAAGCCAUCGGUCCUAAUUUUGCUGAUCUAAGAGGCAGUAUUUGCCAGCUCCUUAGGCCAUAAUAUCAUGAGUUUUACUCUUACUAAUACUUCUUGAAUCUACACUGCACAAACCACUAUAUAAACUUUAAAAUCAAUUUCUCAGUUUCCUGUAAGUGUUGUUUUUGGCACUUUUUUAAAGCCAGUUCAUAAAACAUCUGACUGAUCCAUGGACAAAUAGCUGACAUAUUCAACAUCCUAAAGCACCAUAGAGAAAUAUUCAACCUGCUUUAAUUUUUCUGUCAUAAUUCAUGUUGCCCUCUCAUAACAAACAGCCCAUAUAAUCCAGGGUACGAGUUAAUUCUUUCAUCUACCCUUCUCUAUCUUUUUAAAAUCUUUGUUUGCUUUUCCUGCUGAUCUCCAAGGUAUUGUAAUUUAUUUCAGUGCUUGCAUUGAUUAUCACUGAAGCAAUUCGAUUCCUUAGGCUGAACAAAAUGGUACACACCAAAAAAAGCAAAAAAGAAUAGCAUGGAUGGUAUGUUGAUUUAAAGGAUAGAAGAGAAACCAAAAAGGAGCCUAACAUAUAAGCAAGUAGUACACUUGAUGUCACAAUCCUUUCAUUCCUGACAAGAUUUAUUAGAGAGUUAAUAAUCUCUCCCCAGUCCACAUAUAAAUCAUAUUCCGACUUUUAAAUAAAACAAAAAAUAUAUAACUCUAUAUUUAUAUCAAGUUGGAUCUCAUUAAUCAUGUUUCAAGUAAUCCAUGCUAUCUCGCUUUAUCUCAAAAGAGUGGAUGAACCAAUACAUGCGUAUGUGGUCCCUUGAACACCCUUAAUAAUCCAUUAGUCUCUCUGCCUGUUGGCUAGACACUUAUGCGCUACACAGUAAGCACGUGAGCAAGUCAUCUACUACCAAAUUAACCAAGCACUUAGUUAAAUGCAAGCAGAUUAAGCAUGGCAUAUUAAUGAAACACCUAAACAUAGAGUUUACUUGGGGGUAUGUUUAGUUUAUAUUGUGACUGUUGCCUUUCUUUGUAAUCAGCAAAAUUUCUUGCUUAUAUUACUUAAAACUUCCACGUGAUAUUUACUGUGUUACAGUAGGUCUUCAAAAUUUUCUCUGUUUCCUUUCUUUUUGGGGAUUUGUUAUGUGCGUUAUCCGUUUACCAAUUUCUAUUAUUCGCAUUUCUACCACAGUUUAAAAAAUGUUAAUUGCAUCUGAAAUCAAAUACCGCAUGCAUACCAGCAUGCACCUGAGUAACGCAUACAUCUGGCACACUAUUGGCAUCGUUCAGGAGAACGCCUUUUCUACCACUUACAAGCAUAGUUUUGAUUAACGACAAUUGAACAAAUUUUUAAAGUGAGAAGCAUUGUUUCCGUUAAUUAAACCACAUAUAUGCCUGCAAAUGCAUCUGCAUACCAAAUAUACAACAUGCGGCGGCAGGAAGGGUGGAUUUUAGUGCCUCUUUGGGCCUACUUGUGCUUCCUGCUUUCAACAAGAAUCACCCCUAGAAAAGCGUUUUGGCAAAUAAAAAAGUCCGGGGCUUUGGCUAGAACAGAAAUCACACACACACACACACACACACACACAAAGAAAAAAAAAGAAAAGAAAAGAAGAAGAGAUUUUGAGGCUUAAAACCGAAAGAUUUAAAUUGAUGCUUCUACAGCGGCAGCGAGGAUGUAAAACAGCAAAAAAUUUACUCAACAGCAAUCUAUCCAACAGCACCGCACCCUACAUACCCUGCAGCAGGGGCAAACAGGAUCACAGAAUUUUAUCCUCUCCUCUUUAAUUUGAGUAUGCGGACGGAGUGGUACAUACACCGGGUCGAGUCAAACAGCAAAAUAAACGAUAAAACCCUAGAAUCCCGGAAGUAGCAAAAGACCGGAGGAGAGAAACCCUAACAGGACUGGACUGGACUGGACUGGGUGGUGGUGGUGGUGGUGGUAAAAGUAAAAGCAGGGGAAGGCGAAAGUAGAAGUAAAAGCAAAAGCAGGGGAAGGCGAUGUUACUAUGUGAAUAUCGCGGAAGCCGGAGAGGGCAAGCGUCUUCAGGAGCUCGCAGCCGAUCCCGCCGGCCCCGACCAUCAGCACCUUCGCGGCCUGCAGGACAAACCCCCCCAAUCCGAGUCAAGCGAAGUCAGACUCCUUCCUUCCUUCCUUCCGCAAGAAAAUAAUACCUGCCUUCCCGAGGCACCCACCCCACCGAGAAGAACAGGAACAGGAACAGGAACAGGAACAGGAACAGGAACGUGAACGUGAAGCGAGAGCAGCAAGUUUUGGGAGGAGACGAAGGAUCGGGCUAGUAAAAGCCUCCUCGCCCGAAGAAGUGCAAGGAGAGGGGGCGAUGGGCUUCGAUUCCGAGACCUUCGAACCGAAAAACCGCUGAUGAGCGGAGAGUAGAAUUUCGAAACUAUCUGUUUCUUCCGUGUACAUUCUUUCUACCUUCUUCUUUUUUUCUUUUUUUCUUUUUUUCCUUUUGUCUUUUUUUUUUUUUUUUCAAAAAAAACUUUGCCUAUUUUGGUAAUAAAAAAAAGCAUAUAGUCCGACGCUAGCUUGUAUUUCGGGGCUACAAGAAGUUAUGGACUUUUUUUUUGCAUUUAGCCUUCUAAAAAAAUUUUAUUUCAAAAAUGGCCCUGUCAAAAUUUAAUUUGCAAAAAUGACCCUGACUUUGCCACGCAAGUGUCACGUCAGCGCCACGCAGGCGAAGCUGGGGCCACGGCGUUUAAGUUGAACAUGGUGAACCAUUCACCGUAUUCAAACACGAUAAAUGGUUCACCGUGUCCAGUGUGUUAUUCAUGCCCUUGGUCUUGCAGCAGGUCGGAGAGAGCCUGGGGCAGAGGGAGAGAGAACCCAGGGGUAAUACAUGAGACACGGGGGACCAUUCACCGUGUCUAAACACGGUGAAUAGUUCACCGUGUCCAAACACGGUGAAUCAAUUACCGUGUUUUCUUUGAAUACAACCCCCCUGAGCUGUCUUCCUCUUCCCCCCAACUCUCUCGCUCGAUCUCUCUCUCUCUCUCUCGCUCGAUCUCUCUCUCUCGCUCUCUUCCUCUCGCUUUCUCUCUCUGGCAGACGCCGACGCCGCCGCCGCCGCCGCCGACGCCGCCCUCUCUCGCCCGAGGUGUUUCCCCACCCUCAUUCUCUAUCUAGCUCUAGAAGCCCCCACAUCUCUCUCUCUCUCUCUCUCUCUCUGUCGCCCACCCCGCCGGCGCCGGCGACCCCGGCGACACCGGCGCCGCCCUCACCCGGCCGAGAACACCCCACCACCCCUCUUGCUCUCUCUAACCUCUCUCUCUUCCUNACGCCGCCCACAGUGGCUUCUCACUGUGAAAAGCCUCUGUGAGGCCUCCCCCCCCUUCCCCCCCUCACAGAGGCUUCUCACUGGCAACCCCCCACAGAGACCCUGUGAGGCCUCUCACUGUGCAACCACCCUCCCCCGCUCACAUAGUCCUCUCACUGUGCAACCCAACCCAAACCCCCCUCCCUCACAGAGGCAUCUAAACCCCUCUCUCUCUCUCUCUCUCUCUCUCACUGAUUGUUCUCGGUGUCUUUAUCACAGGUCACUCCUUAGCUCUUAAUUGGCAAAGUAGUCGCGCCGACCGUGUUCGCAAAAUGGUAAUACCAUCUCUUACCCUCUCCUUUGUUAUAUGUUAGAAAUGUGGUAUGUCUUGAGUUUAAUAUUUUUAUACAUUUUAUUAUAUUACUUUAGAACUCUAUAUCUGGCGACUGUGUUCCUUUCUAUAUCCAUUGGGACGGAAAUUUUAUCGAGAACAAUAAUGUACCAUGAUAUAUUGGUGGCCGUAAAGAAUUGGUUGCGAUCCGACGCGAUAUCUCAUUUCGGGCAUUUGAGAUGGAAAUAUAUAAUGUUACUAAUUAUGAUCGAGUGGAAGACCGUCUACGCAUCACAGUGAAAUGUCCAAUGGGAGGUGAAUGGGAAUUAGUUAACGUAUCAAAUGACAAUACACUAUCUGCCGUGAUGAGUAUUUUUCCCUUCCAUGGAUGUAUAAAGUAUUCGUGGAGAAAUAUGUGUCGACGACAUACGACCGUCCAAAUACCAUUAAUUAUAUGGAAAUGCAUCGUAGUAGCAAUUAUCAAAGGAAUUACGUCAAUCGCGAACGAGUUCGUAUAUCAAGGUAUAAAGUAAUGACCUUUAUAAAUGUUUUUCAUGAUUCCUCAAUUAGUUUAGGUGCGCGAAAUUAAUAACUCUGUCUUGUAAGUGUUACAGAGAAUUUGGAGUCCCAUGUGUGCCAGUUAGUGCAUCAUUGCCAUCUACUAUGAUGAAUCCGUCUCGGUUGGUUGCUCAAAAUGAGUGGUAGGUGAUUGUAUGAUUUAGUUACAUUAAAAUUUGACCAAUGUGAAUAGUUAAUCUUAUUGAAGUAAAAUAAUACUUGUCAUGCAUAUAUAUAGGUUGAAACAAUCCUAAUCCUAAUAAAAAAAUGAUUAGAUUCGAGUUCAUACAAUCCUAAUAGGUCUCGUAUUAAUCAUUAAUUUUCUCGGGUCAAUAAUUAUAAUAUACAAUAAGCCUAUUUAAAAAUGUGAAUGGGUGGGCCCUUAUGAAAGCCCAAACAAAUAAAAAAAAAAAAAUGUGAGUGGGUGAGCCCUUACGAAAGCCCAAACAAAUAAAUUAAAAAAAAAGUGAGGGUGGGCCUUUAUUUCAGCCCGUUAUCAUUUGAGCCCAAUAAAUUAAGGUGGGUCUGAUCAACGACGGCCCACACCCACACCUUAUAAAGUAUCUAGUCGAAAUCCGAUUUCAAAUCAUAAUCCAUUCAAAAUUCGAAUUUCGAAUUUUGAAUUCCCAAAAUACCAUNN
This 416398-nucleotide long non-coding RNA is filed under the name Ananas comosus (pineapple). RNAcentral describes it as "long non-coding RNA (ACOM_LNC026618)". Lineage: Eukaryota; Viridiplantae; Streptophyta; Magnoliopsida; Poales; Bromeliaceae. The record is from RNAcentral.